UCCUUCCCAACAUCCUUCGUCAUCACCAUCUUCUUCUUCGGUGGGUUUCACUUUGUUUAGCUUCGGUGCGUCUACGACUCCUUGAGAGAAAAUCUUCAUUGUUGGGCACUGUCUCACAACUACGUGUUCCAAGGACGGGAACUCAAGAGCGUAAUUACCCAAACAAAAGCUUGUUAGGCUUGGCAAACAAUCAAGUCCCAAGUACUCCAAUUUCCUGAAAACAAUGCAAUCUUCCGCUUCUUCUCCAACCUGCGAUUGUAUGAUUUCUUCUAUCAUUUUGCAAUCAGCUAUCUUCAUUCUUUCGAGAUUCACUAGAGUUUUAGAUGUUGAGAGCGUCAACACAUUUAUCAACCCGUGACACUUCGAUACUUCUAGUUCCCACAGAUUUUCCAAAUGCCACGAAGGUGGUACUAAUUUUUGCAACUUACUACAUUCCGAUAUUUCUAGACUUCCCAAGUUUGCAAACGCUUUGCUGGAUUCGUCAUUUUCCUUCCAGAGAUGCUGCACUUUGUGUAAUCCAGAUACUUUAACUCUAUCAAUUGAGGGAAUGCAACCUAAAAAUCAACAAAAUUAAGUUGUAAAUGAAAAUAUGUAUCCAAUCUCUGCAGUCUUCCCCUGCAUAUUUUAUGGACAAGAUUAAUCACAGCAUUUUAUAUUUUUUUUUCCAAAUUAGUAUGCUUUGCAGUAGGAUCCCAAAUAUAAGUAUCAAAUCGAUUACCCUUUGAAACACAUAAAUGAAAUCUGAUGCUAAAUCUAAUAUGAAUUAGCUAGGAAAACAGAGAUGUUACACACAUAAUUAAUAUAGUUCAUCACCUCGUGUUACCAGGCAUCCAAUUAAUUUCAGACACUUUUAUAAUUCAUACUAUAAAGUUAGUUAAUAAUUGCGGUUAUAUUGUUAAAUCAGAUAUAAAUUAAGACGACAUGUAAAAAGAUGAGUCAUUAAAUUUGAUUUGAUUCUAAUGAAAUUACAACUGUGCGAAAGAAAGUGAAGGGAAAAAUAAUAAUAAUGAUUACCUUUUCAUUGAAGAGAUGUUGUAUUUGAUCAGCUACCAAGAGGUUCUUUUCUGAUUUUAAUUUUUGAGCUUCCUUAUUAUCUGCUGUCAUGUGCAGUACAGAUGUAGAAUUGGAUAUGAAUGUUUCCAUAUCAGGGCAAUUCUCAAUAGUUAGAUAUCUCAACUUAGGCAGUUCAAUUAUAUUCCUAGUGAAGUUGAAAAAUCUUUUGAGUUUUGGAAGGUCAGUGAGCCCUAGCUUGAAAAGCUUAGGAAACAGGGGGCCUAUAUGUUCUUUGUCAGCAUUAAUUAGCUCUUCCAAAUGAAGCACCUCUUCAAGUGAAUCACAAUUCCUCACUUCCAGGUAUACCAAAUUGUUCAAGCACCGUAGCAGAUUAGCAGGAAUAGCACUCGACAUAUUCGUGCAGUCAUCCACCACCAGGUCGAAUAAAUUGUUGAAGAAGCUGACAGGCAGUGCUUGGCCAUGCCAUAUUUCUUUCAAACGUGGAAAAUGCGAGAGUUGCAAAUGUAUUAUGUCACGAAAUCCAAUCUGCACAAACCAAAACAAUUGCACUGGAUAUAUACAAUUUUUUCUUUUUGAAAGGCAUAGAUAUAUAUAUACAUUAAACUUAUAUGUUCAAAUGUGCAAGUGCAAGGGAGAUGCAUAAGUAAUUUCGACGAAUCGAUUUAACACAUACCAUUUCUUCGUAACACUUUUGUAUAGUGGAAUUAAGGUUGCCUUCCCAACGGCGCAAUUCACCCUCUUCCUGUUAAGAAUAGAAUUAGUUAGUUAAUGAGUAUGCUGACAUGGCAGCUGAGUCAGCUAAAGGUUGUUAUAGAGGUUGUUAGUAGUAACCUGUGCGUGUGUGCAAUGUGUGUAGAAUCUUCUAUGCACAUAUAAAAAGGCUUGUAAUUUCCAGAUUCAUUAGAUCAAUAAUAACAGAAUUCUCAGCUUACAGAAGUUUUCUUUCUUCCUAUUUUCUUAGUAACCUAACAACAUCACAGUUUCAUAUAAAACUUAAUACUUCCUUUUACUCACUUGCACUUUGCAUAGCUUUGGUGUGGAUAAGAUUCCCUGAGAAAAAGUCUUCAUGUUCAGACAAUGUGUCAUAGAAACUUGUUCCAAUGAUGGGAAUUCAAGAGUGUAAUUCUCCGAACAAAAGCUGGUAAGCCUUGGUAAAUAAUCAAGUUCCAAAAGUUUUAAUUCGCUGAAAGCAAUACGAUUCUCCUUCGCUUCUUCUCCAACAUGUCCUAUGAUUUCUUCUAUUUUUUCACAGAGUGAUACAUUAAGAUUCACUAGACUAUUGGGAAUUCCAACCUGAAAAUAAAGAGUAGCAUUCAACUAGAUUCAAAGUAUGUCAAAAUCAUACAAUUGUUUUAUGAAAAAUAACAAACCAUGAAUGUCUACUAGAUAUUUUUUGUUAAAGAAAAAAAGGAAAAAAUUAAAACAAAAAUAAAUAAAUAGAAGUCCAGAAAAACAAAGAUAAUGAAAAUGCAUUUACACUAUUUAGUAUUAGGAACGGAGAAAGAAUUUCAGCUAAUUUUUAAAUAUUAUAAAUUCAUUUUUCAUCUUGAUGCUAGUUUUUAAAAAAUUUUAAUUUUCAAACAUGCCUAUUUUUAAAAUAACUAAACUAAAACGCUGUAUUUCCCAUUUUUUUUUCCCGAUAUUCAUGCUUUUAAAAAUGGAAAACAUUUCUGGAAAACACUUCCCAACGCCAUCAACAUGGGACUGUUAUAGAGUGAAUAUUUGAGGAAUUUUUUUAAUCAACGGUCGAUUCAAAAUGACCAUCAUGAAUUUGUGCUUAAUCAAUGGCGUAAUCAAUUCAUAACUAAACUAGAGAUAUUAACUACAUUUGAACACUUUUUUUUUUUAAAUAGAAAUCUAAAGACCCAAGGAAAAGAGAAAUAUAUAUGAAUUUGUGAACUUAAAAGCUGAGUAAUUAAGUAUCUUUUAAUUUCUGAAAAUCUUAUUUAUUAGGAUUUAAGAAAAAAAAACAAUUAAAUUGAAUUAUAUUAUGCUGUUAAAUCGUGUUUAAAACAAUUAUAUUGUUGACUUUAAUGCAGGUGAACCUAUAAAUUAGAUUGAAAAUGCAGAGUUCAGAAUGGUGAUUUGAAGUUCAAUACUUUUGUUCCCUCCAGAAGUUUGAAGUACAAUACUUGCAAUAAAUAAUUUGUGAAUGAAAAUUAUUUGUAAACACAAAAAUGAUUAAAAUAAUUGUUGAAUGUUAUUUGAAAUAAAAAUUCAAAAUGAAUAUAGCAAUCUUACCAAUGGAGGAAAAAUAUUCAGUAGAUUAUCACACUCAGAUAUCUCCAAUUUUUUCAAUUUGCUAAAAGACUUCGAAGCAAGCUGGUGGUGCCAUAUUUUUCUCAACUUAUCCGCCUCACUAAUAUGUAAUACCUCCAGACUUGGGAGUCGUACCUGAAGUUAAAAAUUCAAUGCAAUUAGAGAUGUAUAUUAAUUAAAUUUGAAGACUCAACGAAAAGAGAAAUUAACUAUUGAGAAUAAAAUUAAUUUAAAAAAAAAAAACCUUUUCAUCAAAGAGGGGUUGAGGUUGCAUUUCAGUGUGAAUGACGUCUUCUGGUGAGGCAAAGCUACAUAGUUUUGGAAGACCAUCGAGCCGCAGGUAGUGUAGUUUGGGAAAAACCUUUAAUUCAUCUCUUCCUCCUAACCCCCCCGUGGUGUCGACUACCCCUUCCAUUGACUCACAAUCCCAUAUCUCAAGAUGUUGGAGUUGCCCAAGACUAUUAACCAUAGAACAUGAAAACAGAUACUUCACACAAUGACACCUUUCCACAGUCACUUUUGUUAAAUUUUGACAACAAUACAUUCCCUGAAAUUGAUCGAGCCAUAAUUUUUCGAUGUUUCGUAAAUCGAAAAGUUUCAGUUUCUCCAAACGUGGAAAAGAAACCUGCAAAGCAAAACCGUACAUUUUUGUUCCUUCAACUACAACUUCUAAUAUAAUAUUCUUUCGAUGAUUGAAGAUCAAUCGUAAUAAUAUAUUAAUUAAUUAAUUAUUAAACAGAAAAUUAUUACCUGUUGAACAGGAUCAUCCUCUGCAUUGAUUUCUGUGAAUCCCUGAGUAGUUGUUGGUUUCUCCAUGUCGGGCCCUAUAAAUGAACAAAAACAAUAUGUAAUAAACAUCCGUGUUUUUUUUCACCAAAAAAAGAAAAAGAAAAAGAAAAAAAGAAUGAGUCAAUGUCAAUAAUCCUACCAAUAAUUAAUUUCAAUACUUACCAAUAAUCAUUUUCAAAUCAUCGCAGUUUUCCACUUCUACUUUUUGAAGCCGCAAUAGGUUUUUGGCCAUAGAGAAUGAGAAGAGAUACUUCAAUUUUGGACAGCAAUCUACGUUUAUAAUCCUUAAGUUGCUGAAAGAUUGAUCUUCUCUGAGUUGGCUGUAGCAUAUCGUCUCCAAAUUAGUUAAAAACAUAAGAGACAAUGACUCCAGCAAGGGAAAGACUUUGCAACGAACCCGUCUAACUGAACCGACAAUAUGUAAAAUCUCAGAACAACUUUUUACAUGAAGAUGCUUCAAUCGUGGAAAACCUUCCCCAUCGUCUAAUUCAUGAACAACACUUUGAACACCCUCCAAUGUUUCUAGCCAGAGACCUUCAGUUCUCUGCAGCAACAUUUUUGUCCCAUCAUUCUCCUGAAGAAUGCUAACUUUUUCUAGCCCCUUGAGCAUCAUCAAUCUUGGUGCUUCAGAUUUGACGAGCAAUGGGUCAAACUCAUCUUCGGACUCAUCUCCUAUGCGUAUCCUAUAUCUUUGCAAUUCCACAGAGACAAAAUUCGGCGGCAGAAUUUCGGCAUCCGCAACUUCUAUCUCCAAAGUAGCUAGCUUUGUCAACCUCUCCAACUCGACAAGACUGGCAUUACUUCCUCCUUCAACCUUCUCCCACCCUGAAAAGCUGUUACCCAUAUACAAUUCUUCUAAUUGAGAUAAUUUUGAUAUGACAUUCGGUGCUAUCACCUCAAGCAACCAACAAUUGCUCAAAUCUAGCAACUGUAACCGCGUCAAUUGUCCAAUUUCAAGUGGUAACUGCUUGAUAGUGGAACGUGCAAGGAUGAGAAUCUCUAAUUUCUUUAGCUGUCCAACUAUUGCUAUAUCUUUUAGUCGGCAAUAGUCUAAACACAAUGUUUGGAGGUUAAUGAGGCAACCAAGUGAUGAAGGUAAUGAAGAGAAGUGAAUUCGAGUAAAAUUCAAAACUUUGAGUCCUUCCGUCCCUUUAAAGAAGUGAUCUGAAACUUGCAUAGAGCCAUCACCCUCCGUAUGCAAUAGCUCAAGACAGGGACAUUGCAACCUUUCAGGAAGCACUUGAAUACCUCCAUAAGUUAAAGAAAUAGCAAUUGGAUCUUUUCGUAUUGUCUCUUCCAUCUUUUUCUCCAAGUCGGCAACAUUUGGAAUAUUAAACAUGCGCUUCUCAAAUAACUGCAAUGCUUCUUUUCGUGGCAAAGCAUCGAUCGGAAAAUUUUUCUGACAACUCAUAUCAAUGCGCAAUAAAUCUUGCUUUCUAGACGUCAAUAUUAUUGUGCAUCUUCUCUGAUCAUCCUUUCUAUCUUUCUCAGCAACAUCCCCAGAAGGAAUUCCAACAACAUCCAACUCAAGUUCUGUCCAAAUAUUAUCCAAUAUAAUGAGGACCCGCUUCUCUUUCUUCAAUCUUUCACGUAAUCGAUCAGCUCUUUCGAAUUUAUUCUCAUCCGAGCCAAAUUUCAUGCCUAAGUCAAAAGCAAGUUUCUUUUGAAUUUCCUGAUGAUCUGGGGUCUGUGUUACCUCAGCCAUAACGACCUUAUCGAACAACUUAUCUUCCAUAACUUGCUUUGCAACUUGCUUGACUAGCGUGGUUUUACCCACGCCGCCCAUGCCGUAGACCCCAAUAAUGUUGAGCUUAUCAUCCUUCAACGCCUCCACAACAUCUUGAAAUACUUUCAUUCUUGAAUCAAAGGCCUCGUAAUCUUUCACUUGCAUAUGUUCUGCCCGCUUUGGAGCAGGACGGUAGGAAACAUUAGAGAAGUUUCCUUUUCCCAGGAGACUAGCGGCAGCUUCUGCGGCCUUUGCUGCUUGUUUACUAAGCUUGUAACGAGAAAUCAAGUUUGGGCACAAUCCUUUGAAGCAGGACUUCUUAGCUCUAUCUUCAUCAUCACUGAUGGAUUUUGCAACCCCUUCACUGAAUUCAUCAACUUGAUUUAGCCAGUCUGUGACACCCUCAUAAAUCUCAUCCCCUUGUAGUCUAGCAUGAUUAACAGGUUGUUGCACCGUUUCUCUUCUAUAUCCCAGCUGCUUCACUUGAUCUUUUAGGCCAUCUAUGUAGCUCUGGUACUUGAACACAUAAGAUAUCUGCCGUACAAUCGGUUUGAACAGUGACUUUGCACCUUCUGCUACGAUGCUGGAAAAAGCAGCCAGACCCACUUCUGCCAUCGCCUGCUGCUUAACAAAUCUAAUAAUAUGUCAAAGAAAGGAAUACAAAUAAACUAAAAUGAACUAGAGGGAAAGACAAAAAAUGGAAAAGACAGCAAACAGUAUCGCAACAUUGAUCUUGAAUCAACUGAAACAUGAACAAAGCAUUUUUUCUUCUUUCUUAAGGAUCAGAGUUUUUGCUAUUAACAGAAACGUACUUCAAGUGUCUAAAAAAAAUUAACUAUAAAUGAACAAUAACUACAAAACUCAAGCAAAACAAGCCAUAAAAUUUUUAUCUUGGAAAGUGGAUGGAAAUUAAGAAAGAAAUGGUAUAGAGAUCAAGCAUCAGAGAUUAUGCUAUUAAAAGAAAUUAAUUGAAGGUUUUAGAACAAGUGCACCUGUUUAAUUAUGUGGGAUCAGAAAGUUGAUGAGCUUAUGUAAUCGCCUUGAAUAUUUAAGAACAAUUUCAAUGAGCAAAAAAUUUCUGUUACCUGCAGAGGAAUGUGAUUAUAGAGAGCUUAUGAGAGUAAUGACAAUGAUUUGGAAAAGAAGAAGACUUAAUCAUGCAGCCCUUAAUAUUUAUUGAAUGACUUGUGAUCAUUUCUUUUAUGAAUAAAAUGCCAACAGCAAAAAGAGAAGAAAGGGCGAAAUUUACUAAGUCUUAUUUUAUUUUUAAUUUCUUUUAUUUUCAUUCGGCGAAGAGGGAAUCUCUCCCUCUUUUUGUUUUUUUACGGGGAAUCUCCUUACCUAAUGUGACAUAAUGAAAGCAAUCUGUAAAUAGUAAUAUAAUGUAAUAAUUAAAAAUACCCACAUAUUUAUAAUAUUAAUGAUGGGAUCCAUAUGUUUAUACUGAUUAAAUUGGUGGACCAGAAUUUAUUUGACCGUACUUGUUUUCUAUUUAAUUAAGAUUGAAACGAUAGAGAAAAAUUUGUCGUAUUGAUUUGUUUCGAUUGUGGAGUUCCAACACUGAAAGUGAAGAUUUCAUCAACUUUCUCACAUGGACACGUACCGUCAUGCAUAUUGCAUUAUUUUCCUAGAAAAGCAAGAUUAAUUCUUUUAAUAAGCAAACGCGUAGGUGGGAAUCCAUUCAUGAAACAAGUGGAACGACAAUAUCAAACCAAUGAUAAUUCAAAAUCUGAAUCCGCCUGAUGGACGGCAACUAAUCUGAACCAUUCUCCUUUAGUAACAGGGGAAUGAAAUUAUAUCGAUGAUAGAUAAUUUCAAAACAGGGGAAUGAAAACAGAGGAACCUGUUUUUCCUUCCUUUUCUUCUUUCCCCCAACUCUUCUUCUAUUUAUAUUUUCCUUGGAAUUUUCGGCAAACGAAAAAAAAUUGGGAAUGAUUUCAGGAAAACAGGUGGAUAAUAACUAAAAUAUUUAUUUUUAUAUUUUUGAUAAACACACUCACUAUUAAUAGAAUUCAUUAGAUAUCAUAACUUAAAUAACUUCUUGUGAUUAAUUGAGGGUACAUUUGGGAUUUCUUUUAUUUCCCAAUAAUUAGCUUCUAUGUUGAUUCUCAGAAAAUUAAUUUUACGAAUAAUUUAGUAGGGUGUUUGGUAAAUGAUGAUUAUUUGACAACCAGUUUUCAAAUAAUCUACUAUACAAAUUUGAUAAGUAAAAAUUAGAAGUGUAAUAUUCAAGUGCAAAUGUGCAAUGAUAAAAAUGUAAUUGUUUGUUUAUUUGUAGUUUAUUUAGAAUAUUAUUACUAACAUCAUUUUUUUAUUUACUGGAUUUUUAAAGAGUAUAUUCUAUUUUCUUUAUUACAUAUCUAUAUCAAUUUUUUAUUAACUAUUUUAAUUUGUAAUAAAACUAACUUUAAUUUUUUUUAACUAAAAAAUUUGUUAUGCAGUUUGUUAUAUUAAAAAAAAAAUUCGGACGGUGUCUAAACAUGGUCACCAGUGAUUGUUAUAUUAAAAAAAAAUCUAUUCAAUUUUUUCUCUGAUUUUGUGUCGAUAUCUUUCUUACGUAUGUUGAUAUCAUAUUAAAGUGAAUUCAAGACCCUAUAUUAUUUUGCAUAACAUCAAAAUUUAGCCGAAUGGUAAUUAAGAAUUUCCUUUUUUGUUUGUCCCACAAUUAUAUAGUCUCAUUUUUUACAAUAAGCUCACAAUAUGCACGGAAAUGAAGAUCUAUUAAAAACUUCCCUAUAAUAUUAAACACUAAACAAUAUCACCAUGUUAUGCAUAUGGUGCCUCGUCAACAAUUUGAUGUUUAUUUUGUUUCUCGGGUGAAUAUGACUACUUGCGUUGCGAGUCCAUGCUUUUGUCGUUUGGAUGGAGGACGUGCCAUCUUUUUAUUUUAGAUGGUUUGUAAGACUUCUGAUUUAAUGAUUGAAUGCAGUCAAUUAACAAAAGCUUACAUAUUAUGUAGGUGCUGAUAUGUCUGUUCUUGAUAAAGUAGAUUUAUUUACAUCCAAGCCAACGGAGCCAAAGACAUUUCGUUAAUAAAAUACACGAUAAUUAUUUUUGUUAAACUGAUUUCUGGUUAAUAAGACCUAUAACAGCAUUCAAGGAAGCCACCGAACUCAAAGGAAAGGCAUGGUUAAAUAUACUGCGAAGCAUGUGAGUUCGUUUUUUAAUCUCUUGAUCACUCAUAAGCUUUUCUAUACCACUCACUGUAUCAUCCUUUUGAAUCGAUUUUGAUUGAUCAUCAGAGAUCAUGUACCCCACCUUAAGAUGAUUGAUCACAAAUUUGGCAUUGUAAUGUUGGUCACCUCUAAUUGGCCAUGCUAAAAUUGGGACUCGACAACCAAUUGCUUUUACUGUUGAAUUCCAUCCACAAUGAGAUAAAAAUCCACCCGUGAUUGAUGACUCAAUAUCAAUAAUUGUGGCGCCCAUCCAUCUAUUAUCAAAUCCUUUUUACCGACUUUAUUAUCCAAACCACUACGAAAAUAACUGCCUUCAGCUGGUUUGUCCAAAUGACGUAGAGGAUCCAAUCUACCUGCACCACCUUGAAUUACCCAAAUAAACGAUCGAUUUGAUGCUUCUAAAGGAUUAGCUAGUACUAAGUACUCAUCUAAGGUCAGAUCCACUUCAGUACCAAAUGACACAUAUAACACAGAUCCGCGUGAUUUCAAAUUCAACCUUUGAACGAUCUCAUCUUCCGUCAUAUUAGAACUCCGCCGGUUGGUUCUCAUCUCAUGAUCAUCAAGCACUGAACCGGCCGAUUUGUAAAAUUGUUCAGGUAAUAGUGGGCCCACUCCCCACAUCGGCUUUCCCAAUUCAUUGGCUAAAUAAUUAAUAAAUGGUCCCUCAAGACCAUCACACGUGUUGAACAUCAACGCCAUUGAUCCCUCCACUUCCUUCAUCCAGUGUGGUUGAUCACCGGCUUCUGGUGGACCUAUUUUCUCGGAACCGGGUGCACCUCUCAGAGGUGGUGGACCACCAGGAGGGGGCCCAUGAGGCCUGUGUUUUAGGUCCGAUUCAAAUAAAGCCAUAUCCUCGGGUAACCGAGGAAGUAAACGGGCCUCUCCCGGUUUGACAUCUUGGAUGCGAGCCUGCCACAUGGCACACUCCGCAGCUGCCGAGCAAGCACCAGAAGUGAAGAACCCAACAAUGGGAACUUCAAAAAUCUUGAAAACAUCAGCCGUCCAGCCCAUCAUAACGUCGAUGACUGCACAAACGGGUCGGCUUUUGGGUUCCCGGGUUGAAAGGAGGUUUCGAACUUCGAAGGCCUUGAAGCAUUUGGCUGUGCAUGGCAACAUGAGGGUGAGGAGGCGAAGGAGGGUAUUUCAGUAACUUCAAAGAGAGGGUAUUGGUGAAACGAGGAAGGGAUGAUGCUGGGGGCGGAAAUGUGAGAGGGAAUGAUGAGGGUAGAUUUGUAAUUACGAGUAGCGAUUUGCUUGCAUAAUUCAAUGCAUGGAAACAGAUGUCCCUGACCGAAGAAUGGGACAAUCCAAACCUCGGCCUCAGCAGCAGUAGCAACAGAGCUUGACAUCUUUUUGAAUUAUUUGAUACUUAAUUGUUACUGUUUGCUUUUACAUCUUUCAUAAAACACUCUUUGUUAUAUAUAAAGAGAUGACUUAAUGGAGAAGUAAGUGUUUUAGUUUUACAGUUUUACUAGUAGGUGAGCUCUGAGUUUGAUAAUUUGAUUGUUAGUUUUAGUUGGUUAGUUAUGAGAAAGCAUCUUUUAGAAAAUUCAUUCCAGUUUCAACUAAAAUUAAUAAUAUUGUUCAAAUUAAUUACUCGAUAAAUAAAUAAUUAGAGAUAAAUCUAUCCCUAAUCUCACAUUUAUAAAAUAAGGAUUGAAAUAAGUUCUUGUGGAUUCGAACUCAAGCCCUCAAGCCGAGUGGCUGGAUCUUGACUACUUUGACUUAAUUAUUAUUAUUAUUAUUAUUAUUAUUAUUAUUAUUAUUAUUAUUAUUAUUAUUAUUAUUAUUAUAUAUAUAUAUAUAUUUCAUUCUUUCAUUGAACAUCUUUUGUUAUAUAAUAAAGAAGAUAAGUUGACGGAGAAGAGUUUUACUUUUACUAGUAGAUGAGCUUUGAGUUGAGAACGUUAGUUUUAGUUGAUUAAAUAUCUACCAUCCAAAUCAACAUUCCUUAAACUAUUAUUCAAGUGAGAUGUCUGAGUAACAUACGCUUGAGUUAGUUGGUGCCUAACAAUUCGUGUGAUACAUGAAACCAACCAAUAUGAAAACCAAAUCAAGUUGGUAGGAUUACAUUAAUUUAAAUUAACUUUCAAGUUCCAACAUUAUAAGAUAAAUAAAUAGCAUAAACUAAUUUUUUUUUUCAAGUAAAUAUGUUUAUCGUUUAAAAAUUAUUUUUUCUUGCGGUAAAUGCAACACUAAAUAAGGAGUGAAGAGGGUAUUUUGUAGGGUAUACCCCCACCUUUUAUUUCAUUUCAUUAUUAAAAAAUAAAGGCUUGAUUCAACAUUCAAGUAAAAUUAACAAUUCCAUGAUAAAAUUGCUUGAGAAUAAGAAUUAAAAUAAAAAAAGAAAACAGCAACUCAAAAACGACAUACAAAUACCGCAUAGAGGUUUUUCGUCACGAGAUAUUUUUGGGUUGAGACAACAGUUGUAUAACAGAGCAUACAGACUGAAUGACGGUGAGAAUAAGAAGGAAAACGGCGCCACACACCGAAAUGCCAGCCCAUGGAGUAUUGAAGUAAUUUUGUUUCAAGUUUGCCCUCCAUUUGUAGCACGUUCUUUUGCAGUGAUCAUUCAAUCCUUUGCAUAGCCCAGAAAAAUAGAAGCUAUUAGACAGCAGAGUAGUACCUCUAGAAAGGAACACAUAAUCAUUUAUGUAACACAUAAUCAUUUAUGUAAUUCUCUGAGUAAUGCCGUUGUUCAAAGGCAAUGAGAUUACGAAAUAAGGAUUCUGUUUCUAGCUGUAGCUUCAGUUUCGGAAUAUGCGAUGUCCUGUUUUUGAAUUCUAUGGCGAACAAAUCAUUGCUCUUGCUCAAACUGAAGUGGACUCCAGCUUGGUGGAGAUUAGUCACACUUGGUGCGGUUUUACCUUUGUGGUAUUGCUGACCUUCUUGUUUUUCCUGAUUCCUCGAUGAUGGGAGAUGGCAAAUCCUUAGAAAAUCAAGGAAAUGCUCUACCCUAGCCUUAGUGUAAGGAGGGAAUUUUUGCUGAUUACCUUGUACUACCUCUAAACCCUUGAAAUACUCGUAUGUGACUGUGAUGAUGGUUGGAUUUUCAUGUUGGUCGGGGAUUUCAAUUGCCGCUAGAGCAAAAAGAUCCUCAAGAAUGAAGAAAGGAAGCUGAUUCUCAAGCAACCACAUAUCAUACCGUAUAUCCUCUAUUAAAUAGGGUUUAUGAAAUAUAUGAUCAUCUUUUUUUUGAAGUUGACGGAAAUGAUACCUCAAUAAGAGUUCAAUGAUGAAGGCAGCAUCCAGCAGAAUCAUUUCAACAAAUUUAUCACUACUUAGUUCGACUUUUUCUGCAUAAGAACCUCGUAAUUCUGCUUCUCUGAACUUUAUAAUUUGAACAAACUCGUCAAAGCUUAUUUGGGUCCGUUGAAGAAAGUAAUGCAGGUACCGCUGUUUAUGUUCUUCCAUGAACUGUAAGUUUGCUUUGCCAUGCUGAAGAGGGCCAAUUGAGACUACCUGAGGUGUAUGUACCUUUUCAUUUAUCUGACGUAAUCGCUCUGGAACUCUGUAGAUGCAGCAGUUUGAGGGCAAUGGUGAUAAUUUUUUCAACUUAACUUGCAAGCAUUCUUCCAUGUUAUAAACUGAAAACAUGGCGCGAAAUUUAAUCAAUUCAACACUUAAUAAGGCAUAGUAAUUAAAAAAGAAUUAAAAAAAAAAACCAAAUACAAGAGCAUUCUUACACGUACAGAAGCACCUCAAUCCCUACUAUUUGCAGAGCUGUAGCCAGGAGUCAAUGAUAGACCAGACUGAACUAAAAGGAACAACUUUCUUAGGAAUAUGUUAUCGGUAUUUUCUCUGGCCUCAGGCCAUCAACAAAGCAGUUUCAGUGCUUCUUAUAUAAUUCCAUGGAUUAUUCCUUGCCUUUACAGAUGAUAUAAGUCACAAUUCAUAUAUUAAUUUCUCCAGAUUCCGUACAAGUGGACCAUAACUAUGGAAAAAUUCAAAGAAUGCAACAGCCAUUUGAUUGGUCCAUGUCAGAAGUUAAUCUGGGGAAAGAAGCUUGAUCUAGCAGUAAAAUUCUCUCCUUCAAUCAGUCAGUUUGGGGCAGCAACAAGAUCAAAGCCACCACGCAAACAUUUACUAAAGUUUAUAUAAUAUUCACUAGUUUAUAUAAUAUUCUUGAAACUCAUCUUAAGUAAAGCAACAAAAGCCUUCACUGUUUCUUAACAACUUUAUUGCUCUAACACGUAGCAUAACACUUUUAAAUUUGCAUAAAGCACAAUAGUACUUUAGUUUGUAACAACAGCACAGAUAAUAAAUCGCAUUUUAUAGCUUUAACAAAAGCAUACAAAAUUCUUAAACCUUGUUUCAAGCAAUUCAUUAAUGCCACAAGGAUGUCUUUUUGCUUCCUACAGUUUUUAUUGAAAUUCAUAUAUUCUUCUUUAUCAAAUUAAGUAAUUUUCCUUUUUCAAAAAAUCAAGAAGGUUUCGACUGCAUGGAAAUACAGCACACAAUUACUACUAUUCCCGGAGUAAGAAAUUCAUAAAUGCAAUAUAAACAUACAUUUUCAUAAGACAUCAGAAUCAAAGAAUCAUCAAUGCAUCAAAUCUGUACACCCAAAAAAGUUGAAAGCAUCAAGAGAAAAUUAUACCGCAUGGACCCUUUACAACCCUUAUAACGAGUUCAGACAGCCUAAUCCAAUUUAAUAGAUUUGAGGACAGCUACAAUGUGCAAUACAAAAUUUCCCAAUACUAUUUAGAACAAAGUCUAGAAAAUAAAACCUAUAUAUUGUACAAAAUCACGAAAACCAGAAAUGACGAAAAACCUGCGAAUGUAAUUUUUGGGUUUCUUCAACAUAUCUUCCAUCCAAAUCAAACAAGAAUCGAUAAAUCAACAACAUUCAUCUUUAAACGACAUAUUACCACAAUAAAAUUGUCAACCAAGCCUCAUAUAAACCUUUUUUGUGUUUUUUGGUAAAUAUAUUUGUUAUUCUCUAAGAAUACUAGGGAAAAAAGAAACCCACUUUCUUAAUCAAGAAUCAAAUAGUAUAUAUGAAUCUAAGCUGAAGUAAGUCUUGGGUUUGAUGAAAAAGCUUGCAUUGUGAUUUAGAUUGGAAAGGAAGUUGAUUUUUGCUGGUUGAGAGAGAGAGAUUUGAGACUUAAGGAGUGUUGCUAAUCUUCGAUCGUGUAAACAAGGGUAACUGGGUCAUAGUUCAAAAUAAGGGUCCAAAAUUUACUAAAGCUAUUAAGGAGCCCAAAACUCAUAAUGGCUUCCCCAAAAUAAAUAAAAUUUUCUAGCAUUAAGUUUUUGUUUCUUCUUGAGAUUUCCUUGUCGUACUUACCCAUAUUUCGAUAUUGCCUCCAAGUAAACUUAUAUAUAUUGAUUAACAAUAUAAACAAGCACUAUGAAGUUUUAGGCCUGAAAAAACAUUGAGGUUGAAAUGAAAACCAUCUAUUUAAGUAACAAAAUCUUCUGAUAAUUUGAUGCUUAAUAAAUAGAGCAGAGAUGACAUAUUAAUCACGCUAUGAUGUGGAAGUUAUGAUUAUAUUCAUCUUAAGAAUAAGAUCUUUCAAACACUGGCAGAUUAGUAUCAAAAUACUCAGCAUAAGACCUACAAACUAGAAAUCAUGAACCAAUUAUUGAACUCAGUACAUAAGUUGAUCUUUUAUAAGCUAUAAAACAAAUCUGCUAUAACAUAAGAAAGUGGGAUUUAUCACCAGACAAAUAUUUUGGUGAAACUCAAGAUGACGGAAGGAUAUCCAAAACAACCUCCUUAAGGGAAGGCAUCACUUCCUGCUGAUGCAAACAUAUAUAUUUAUUACUCACUUUCUUGAGGACCUUCCAGGAACCUGGGUAGCAUCUAACAGAAAGUGGAAAAGAAUAAAAUGUAAAAUAUAAGUUAAACAGCAGGAAAACAGUGAGUGAUACUAGGCAAGCAUUAAUAGGUUGCCGCAGGAAAAGUGUCAGUAACUAGCUAGCAAACCUGAAAAGGGUUCCUCCAUUGCGACCCUUAAAAUUGUGAAUGUAAUAUAUGGUCUCCAUCACAGGAAAAAGUGUAUUGGAUAGUGCAGCCAGCUUAGUGUUGCGGACCGCCCAAAUUCGUAGCCCAAUUUAUUCACCAAGAGCCCAACACAAGGCCAAGAGUGCUACCUUGGCCCGAUUCCGGAAAAUUCUAGGCAACUCUAGCACAUUGAGCUUGUAAAUACUCUAGAAUUCUCCAUAGAAUUCCAGCACAUGUAAAUAGCUAGGAAAUGGUAGAAUUCUCUAGAAUCUCUAGAGCUUGGCAAGCCUCCCCUAUAAAUAUGGGAUGGCAUUAGGCAUUUGUAUCCAACAAACACUACAACAAGCAUUGUAAGCAACUCAAGCAAUGUAAUUCUCUCUUUGUGCAAUACAAUUUCUCUUAUUCGGCUCUAUUGCUCUCUUCUCUAGUUCGAGAAGCUCUAAGCUUACUUAGCAACAUUCGGCAAAGUUGUCUAAGUGCCGCACGAGUUAGCUGCGCAAAAUACUCAUCCCGUGACAAGUGGUAUCAGAGCUAAAGUUUGCACGCACGCAAAUUAGCUCACGAGCAAUGGCCAACCUUUCAAACGUAGCACAAUAGGGUGUUGUUGGUGUGGAUGUUCCACUGGAACCAAGCCGCGACCAAGAGGGAGAACGCUCCCAAGGCAAGACUCGUGGCAAGUCCAAGGCCCCAUCCGUGGAUGCGUUGGAGCCUCGUGUGACUACUCUCGAAAUCACAUUGUCCGCCGCUCAAGAAAGUCUCGAGGGAUUGGAGGAACGAGUGGACGGUCUCGAGGGGGAAUACGCCGAGUUCACGGUGGCAACAAAAGCUCUCAUCCAAGAGCAAGCGAACACUCUCCGAGGUGAGUUUCGUUCUUUCCAUGAUGAGUUGCUCAAACUUCGUAGCUUUGUUCAGGAUGAACUACGAGCUGUCCGUGCAGAAGUGGAUGAAGUCCGCUCGGAUUGGGCAUGGCACAAGUGCACAGUCUCUGCUAGUCCAGCUUCCGCAAACUCGAGUGAUGCGCGCCGCAUUGACGUGCCAAAGCCCGACACCUACGAUGGCACACACAAUGCCACCAUCGUGGAUAAUUUCCUCUUUGGGCUCGAUCAAUACUUCGAUGCCAUGGGUGUCCGAGACGAGGCAUCGAAAGUGGGCACUGCACCCACCUAUCUUAGAGGCGCUGCACAACUAUGGUGGCGUCGCAAGUAUGGCGAGAUGGGCAAGGGCAUUUGCACCAUCGACACUUGGGCCAACUUCAAGCAAGAACGCCGAAAGCAGUUCGCCCCAAGCAAUGCGGAGAAGGAAGCACGAGCGUGCUUACGUCGCCUCAAGCAAACGGGUAGCAUAUGGGACUACAUCAACGAGUUCACUACCCUUAUGUUGGAGAUAAGCGACAUGUCCGACAAAGAUUCGCUCUUCUACUUCCAAGAUGGCCUCAAGGAUUGGGCCAAGACUGAGCUUGAUAGGCGUGGUGUUCAAACACUUGACGAUGCCAUGGCCGUUGCGGAGUCGCUCACCGAAUACUCUAUCCAAUCCAAGGACAAAAAGGCCAACCAAGGCAAAGGUGGGGGAGAGAGUCGCAAGGACAAGGGCAACAACCGCAAAGAUUGGGGGUAGAAAAAACUGCCUAGCAACAAGAGCGAGCAAGGAAAAUCGGAGGGUAAGAAGGAGGCGCCAAAGCCGCGAAGCCCAUGCUUCAUAUGCAAUGGUCCUGAUUGGGUACGCGACUAUCCGGAGAAGAGGUCGCUAAACGCUCUUGCUGCCCAACUCAAGAGCAACCCUACAAUGUCCACAGAGGAACCCCAACUCAGCAUGGGUUCUCUCCAACGCCUCGGCGCACUUAAUCACUAACAGCCUGCACUCGUCAAGAAAGGGCUCAUGUAUGUAAGCGCAAAGGUAAACGGUCAGUUCGUUCGCGCGCUGCUAGACACGGGAGCGACGCACAACUUUGUGUCCGUAGACGAGGCCAAGCGCUUAGGCCUCAAGGCCACCAAGGAAGGAGGCACGAUGAAAGCGGUGAACUCACCCGCCAAGCCAAUUGCGGGGAUCGCACAAGGCGUGCACAUUAUGCUUGGAACAUGGAGCGGAAAGCUUGAUUUCUCCAUCGUUCCCAUGGAUGACUUCAAGAUGGUCCUCGGCAUGGAAUUCUUCAACCAAGUCCAUGCCUUCUCGCUGCCCGCUCCGAACUUCCUAAGCAUCCUCGACGGGAGUAAGGCAUGCAUGGUUCCCACGGAACGAGGCAAGUCCGAGGAGAAGACACUCUCUACCAUGCAAUUUAAAAGGGCUUUCAAGAAGGACCCAAGUUUCUUGGUCUCCAUUCGGGAACUAAACGAGGUAGGAAAUAGCGGAAUCUCGCCAAACCAAGUCCCUCCGCGAAUUCAAGCCGUCCUUAAUGAGUACAAGGACGUGAUGCCUCCAGAACUUCCGAAGAAACUCCUACCUCGACGAGAGGUUGACCAUGCAAUUGAGCUGGAACAAGGCACGAAGCCACCAGCCUUGGCGCCCUACCGCAUGGCGCCACCCGAAUUAGAGGAGUUGCGGAGACAACUCAAAGACUUACUGGACGCAUGCUACAUUCGCCCCUCAAAGGCCCCAUUCGGUGCACCUGUGCUCUUCCAAAAGAAAAAUGAUGGAUUGCUGCGGAUGUGCAUCGAUUAUAGAGCGCUCAACAAGAUCACCAUCAAGAACAAGUAUCCGAUUCCCUUGAUCGCGGACUUGUUCGACCAGCUUGGCAAAGCGCGGUACUUCACCAAACUCGACUUGCGCUCCGGGUACUACCAAGUGCGCAUCGCCAAGGGAGACGAACCAAAGACAGCGUGCACAACAAGGUACGGGUCUUUCGAAUUCCUUGUGAUGCCUUUUGGCCUUACUAAUGCACCCGCCACAUUUUGUACGCUCAUGAACAAGGUGCUCCAACCAUUUCUCGACCGCUUCGUGGUCGUGUACUUGGAUGACAUAGUGGUGUAUAGCACCACGCUCGAGGAUCAUGCCCAACACUUGCGACAAGCCCUCCAAGUACUUCGAGACAAUGAGCUAUUCCUCAAAUUGGAGAAGUGCUCGUUUGCCCAACGAGAAGUGGAGUUCCUUGGCCACAAGAUUGCGGGCGGGAAGCUCAUGAUGGAAAAUGCCAAAGUGAAGGCCAUUCUCAAAUGGGAACCUCCCUCGAAAGUGCCCGAGCUUCGCUCAUUCCUUGGGCUGGUGAACUACUACUGCCACUUCAUCAAAGGCUAUUCGGCCAAGGCAGCACCCUUGACGGAUAUCAGAACGUGGCAUUAGUUCGAAGAGUGCCAACGCGCAUUCGAGGAGUUGAAGAAGGCAAUUUCAGAAGAACCUGUCCUCGCUCUACCGGACCACACAAAGCCCUUCGAAGUCCAAACAGAUGCCUCAGAUUUUGCCAUAGGUGGAGUCCUUAUGCAAGAAGGCCACCCCAUAGCGUUCGAGAGUCGAAAGCUAAAUGAUACGGAGCGUCGCUACACGGUGUAAGAGAAGGAGAUGACAGCCAUCAUACAUUGCUUGCGUGUGUGGCGACAUUACUUGCUAGGCUCACACUUCACGAUUAUGACGGACAACGUGGUGACAAGCUACUUUCAAACUCUAAAGAAGUUGAGUCCGAAGCAAGCACGGUGGCAAGACUUCCUUGCGGAAUUCGACUAUUGGCUCGAGUACAAACCGGGGAAAGCCAAUGUCGUUGCGGACGCUCUAAGCCGCAAGGUGGAAUUGGCAACACUUAGCAUGAGCCAACCGAAGUUCGACCUUAUCUCACGCAUCAAGGAAGGCCUCCAACAAGAUCCGCUAGCAAAGGAUUUGCUGGAGAAGGUGCUCGAGGGAAAGACAAGGCGUUUUUGGCAAGAGGAAGGCAUCCUCCUCACCAAGGGAGAUAGGCUGUUCGUGCCAAGGUGAGGAAACUUGUGGAAGGAAGUUAUCAAGGAGUGCCACGACUUCAAGUGGGCUAGUCACCUAGGAAUCGAGCGCACCACCGCACUAGUUCAAGCCUCGUAUUUUUUGCCACACAUGAGGGACGACAUCGAGGCAUAUGUGCGAACUUGUCUUGUGUGCCAACAAGACAAGGUGGAUCAUCAACUUCCAGCGGGAUUAUUAGAGCCGCUAUCGCUAGCAACAAGACCAUGGGAAAGUGUCUCCAUGGACUUCAUCACAUCGCUGCCUAAGUCCGAAGGAUGCGGAAGUAUCAUGGUCGUUGUCGACCGAUACAACAAGUAUGCCACAUUUAUUGCCGUACCAAUCGAUUGCAAAGCGGAUGAGGCAUCUCGCCUAUUCGUCAAGCACAUUAUGAAGCUUUGGGGAGUUCCAAAGAACAUUGUGAGCGACCGAGACCCUUGGUUCACUGGGCGUUUCUGGACGGAGCUCUUCAAGAUGUUAGGGACCGAUCUCAAGUUCUCGACAAGCUUUCACUCACAAACGGAUGGGCAGACCGAGCGCAUUAAUGGCCUCCUCGAGAUGUACUUGAGGCAUUAUGUGAGCGCUCAUCAGCGAGAUUGGGCGAAGCUAAUCGACAUCGCCCAAUUUUCUUAUAACUUACAGCGAAGCAAGGCUACGGGCAAGAGUCCGUUCGAGAUCAUCAUGGGAUUUCAGCCCAUGACCCCCAACGCCAUAGCCUCGACUUACGGAAGGAAAAGCCCCGCGGCACACAAGCUCACCCGCGAAUGGCAUGAGGAAGCGAACACCACGCAAGCCUAUCUCGACAAAGCCGUGAGGAAAAUGAAGAAAUGGGCGGAUACAAGGAGACGACAUGUUGAGUAUAAGGAAGGUGAUCAAGUUAUGAUCAAGCUCCUACCCCAACAAUUCAAGAUGUUGCGGAAAGUCCACAAGGGGUUAGUGAGGCGCUACGAGGGACCCUUCCGAGUUGUUCGACGUGUGGGCAACGUCUCGUAUCAACUCCAACUUCCGCCAAGACUCAAGAUCCAUCCGGUCUUCCAUGUGAGUCUUCUCAAGCCAUAUCACGAAGACAUGGGAGACCCAAGUCGCGGAGAAUCGAGGCGCGCACCAACUGCCGUUGUCACCGCGUUCGACAAAGAUGUGGACUACAUCAUUGCGAACCGCGUGGUUUCGAGGAGGGGCGUGCCAGCACAUAGCGAGUACUUGGUGAAGUGGAAAAACCUCCCCGAGAGCGAAGCCACUUGGGAACGUGAAGACAAUUUGUGGCAAUUCGUUGAGCACAUCCAGAGGUUCAAGCACGAGAGCGCGAUGAGGACGCCGCGAGGUUAGGUGGGGGAGGAUGUUGCGGACAGCCCAAAUUCGUAGCCCAAUUUGCUCGCCAAGAGCCCAACACAAGGCCAAGAGUGCUAGCUUGGCCCGAUUCCGGAAAAUUCUAGGCAACUCUAGCACAUUGAGCUUUUAAAUACUCUAGAAUUCUCCAUAGAAUUCCAGCACAUGUAAAUAUCUAGGAAAUGGUAGAAUUCUCUAGAAUCUCUAGAGCUUGGCAAGCCUCCCCUAUAAAUAUGGGAUGGCAUUAGGCAUUUGUAUCCAACAAACACUACAACAAGCAUUGUAAGCAACUCAAGCAUUGUAAUUCUCUCUUUGUGCAAUACAAUUUCUCUUAUUCGGCUCCAUUGCUCUCUUCUCUAGUUCGAGAAGCUCUAGGCUUACUUAGCAACAUUCGGCAAAGUUGUCUAAGUGUCGCACGGGUUAGCUGCGCAAAAUACUCAUCUCGUGACAUUAGGGUAGAAGAAUGACGGAUAAUCUUUAGCUCAUUUAAGGAAAUCCUCUCUGAUCCUUUCAUUGCACAUUCCAAAACAACUCUACUACAACCAAGUUACCAAUUCUUUUUGUUAAGUCAUUGUUAUUUGUUAAAAAAAAAAAAAGUCUUCCUUGCAACAUUUUAUUGAAAGAUAUAACAUGAUCAUCCCUAUUAAUUCCCUUUUAGAUUUCUGUGAGUGAAUUUCAAAUUAUUGUAUUCAAAAAUAGAAGCAAAAGACCCACUUUACUUUCAAUUUCUGCAACAAGAUACCAAUUGAAGGACCAAAAAGUUGUAAACAAGCAAUUCAAUGGGUGGGCAUCUAGAAACUGCUAAAUAGCAUCAAAAUCAUACUAAAUUUACAGAAAGUACAAUAAUAAUGAAAGAAUGGUGAAGGAUACACCCAGACCUUAUCCGGUCAAGUUCUCUAUUGAAUAUAAUCAGUUUCUGGGCAGUAUUGAAGACAGCUUCUUUGUAAAGCUCUUCAACGACAAGCAUUUCUACAAGACGAAAGAAAAGCAAAAUUAAUUACCUUAAGGAAUGAAUAUCAAUAAGAAGACAAGGUGUAAGACUACCAUUGACAUUAAAAUAUGGAUAGGCGACUAGAAACAAUUCAUCUUCUGGCUUCACACGGUCUGCCAUUUUAACCUUCUCAGUGAAUCCAAAAUCCUCAAAGAAUGAAGGUUUUGUUAGAUAGUCCAACUUAAAUAAUGAUCCUUCAAAGACCGAUUUUCUUGCAUAUUUGACUUCAUUUGCCUCUGGGAAAAACUAAAAACCAAAUGACAGACCAAGAUCACGAAACGAAUCAUGAACAUAGAUAUCAGAUAAUCAGAAAUGGGCAUUAAACAGACUACUAACAAGUAGGAAAUGCAUACAGAAAACAUUAUUCAUACACCUUAUGCACAUGAAAUAUAUAUGCAGAGGGAUCCUCUUGUGAAUUUAGUUUAUAUCCUAAUAUGAGACAAUGAACAAUUGGAUGGCAUCUAAGGGCUAACAUUUGUUUGAUUAUUAUAUGAAAAAAAAAAACAAAACAGAGUUGAUUGAUGGCCUUUGAUGGAUUGCCUACACUCUUAAAGUGCAGAGAGCCUGAUUAAUUGCUUUACCUGCCCCCCCCCCCCACACACACUUGGUUUUAUUAUCUCUCUUUUCAAAUAUAUAAUCAUUGGCUGUCUUUCAUCCUGAUCCGGCUCUCCUUCCAGGCCCCAGCUGUGUUUUCUUCAAUUCAGUGAAACAUUCACAUUCAGGUAAGAAUAAACUUGUCCUUCCUCAAAAAUCAGCUUCUCACCAUGAAGCUUUCUUUUUUAAACCAAUUACUAGUCUAGCAUAACGCAUCUAAUUGAAGACAACUCAGAAUUGAAAAAGCCAUACUUUAAUGUCUGUUGUUGGGACCUCAAGACCAGGAACAAAAAGCUUCUUUCUAACAGUUGGAUUAACAAGUAGAAAUAGCUUUUUUUCUGAAGGACCCAACAUUGCAUUGAAAAAUUCAACAAAAGGAAUGGCAUCAUAUUUAGUCCUGCUAGAAUUUUGUGCACUUAACACAAUGGUUAAUAAUUGGCCCAGCGGACACUUUGUCGAACUAUUGGCAACCUUGACUGUGGAAAUGCAUAUUUCAAAUGUUGGCAGGCUCUAGCUUCUUGAUGUACUGUUGAUAGAAAUGCCUAUUUCAAAAGUUGGCAGGCUCAAACUGCCGAGACUUUGGUUUCUUGCAUUUCAAACCCACAAAUAAAACUUUGGCAGAACCCCAGAAAGAGCUACACCUCCCAAAUUUGAUGACAAAUGAAGAGACCAUGCCUAGUGCUUAGUUCGGCAAAUGAGUAAGUUUGAAAGAAAUUAAGGGAAACCUUUCCCACAGAGAGUCAUAUUGAAGGUUACAAUUUGAAGACUUUGUCCCCUGUCGCCCACAACCUUCUUUGAUCUCUUUGCUUAGUCAUAAAUAAUCAAACAUAUGUUAGUCGUUGGAUGCAAUCCACUCACUGACAUCUCAUGUCCACAAUCAAUCAACCAUAUUUUAAUAGAAAUGAAAACAUUUUAAUUAAAAAAGAAUGAGAUAGGAACAAAAUGAAACUUGGCAGACAUGGGUCUAUGAGAUUUUAAAGAUGCUUGGUGAAAGUCGUAUUCAAGAGUUCAACAGUCAGUUCUAUCACCUAUGGCAAAGUAACCACCAUAACUAAAGCAAUUACAAAACAUCAAGAAGCUUGAACUUGGCAAGAGGUCUCAUUAACAGUAUACCUCAGAAAUUAAGACAGACUUAAAGUACAAGCUUUUGGAUUUAUUUAAACACUGAAAAUAAUAUGGGUAGAAGCUCCUAUGGUCACAGCAAACAAUUACAAAGCACAAAACCCAAAAAAUAGAUAUGCAAAAAGCUGCAAAAGAACAUUAUUAGCAAUUGACAUCUGCUUUGCUCAGACAAAGGUUCUCAUAACAAAGGACUUAGUGAUUAUCUUUCAUAUGUUUAUGUUAAGGGGAAAAAGGAAGUUUGUUUUAGUCAAUCUCAUGUCUAAUGGCAUUCAUAAGGAGCCCAAAAAUAAAAGAAAAAAUAAAGAGUUAGUAGGUGUUUCUCGCAGUAUAAAGAAAAUUUAUCAUCCAUGAAAAACUUAGUAUGGAAAAAGCUAACUCAUUUAUCUGCCAAUGGAGAAAAACUUGUUGUCCACCCACUAAGGACCCACCAUUGGGAGAUGGAUCCCAUGGAUGGGAACCACAAAUAUUUUAUUCUAAAUGAAAUGGGUAUUGUACCAUAUCAUUUAAUUUGUAGAUUCCACUGAUGGAACUCAUCAAACUUUUCAAAUGGUAGGUCCUUCAUGGGUAGGCGCAUCACUUCAGCAUCCUUCUCCACCGAUGACUAAAUCUGGACUCAUUUAAAAAGAAUACAAAGCAAAACUAAUUGACACAAAUUGCAUAGAGGUCUAGGAGCCAAAUCAAUGUUGUUAACUCAUCCAAUUAAUACAUUCUCUUAGAGGUCAUACCUUGGUAACUCAUUUCAAAAGAAAUUAAAAGAAAAACGACUGCACAAAUUGUACUGAGCUCAAGAAGACCUGUUCAAGGUGUUCACUUGUCCAACUAAUAAAAGUCAUCAAGGAUUGUAUCGGGGACUUGGGACCAAUCCUGCCUUAACUAGAGAAAGGGAAUUUAGGAUGAAGAAGAUAACCUCUUCUCCUAGAGCCCUUUUGGACAAAAAUGAAUUCCUACUAAUUCUGAGAAUAAAACCAUAGACAUCUAACUUCUGAUAUCUAGUCAAUCUGGUAAAAUCUUGUCAGUUGCACUUGGGGCAGAAAUUAGUUCCACCUUGGUUUACAGGACAGAAAUUCGUCAUAUGCAUGUAUUUAUUUAUGUUUUAUACACAAACGCAUACAUGUACACACAAACACUACCUUCACUUUGAAGAAAAGAUUAAAAUAACACUGCUCACAUACACAAUACUUACUAUUCUAGUUCGUGUAACUUUCUCUGGAGUCACAAACAGGUCACAGAAUUCACGUAUUAACCGCAUACUUCCAGUCAUUUCUAUUCCUCCUUCACCAUCACCUGUCCCACAAUUACAAAAAGUGAGAGGUAAUAACCAACAUAUUUGGGUUGCUCUUCGGUAAGGGGUGGGAGGUAAGGGUUAGUUGUGGAGGGCACCUGGUACAGAAUCAAGGCCAGCUGUUGGGAAUUCGAUCUCUUGUAACAUAUACUUGUUCAUCAUAAACUAUAUACUUAUUCUGCAGUCGAUGUGUGCAUAUAGCUCUUCAAUUAUCCAGUAAUAACUCACCAUCAACUUCCUACCAUCCUUCAUGGCUAAUUCAGCAGCCAUUUUUGCCUGUUUAAAGGUCAAAAGCCCAAACUAAGCAGAUGCUCCUACUCCGAUACUUAUUAUCUAACUACUACAGAACAGAUGAUACACAUCAAGUUGUAUCAAGAGAGACACCAAGUUGUGUUUUCCAAGAGGUUCCAAAGAGGAUCUGUUUCUUUGUGUAAUUUUUAGACUGCUUUGACAACUCAUCUUAAAGGUGCCACUCAUCCAAUAUGAUGUGGUGACAGUAGUUUAGAGUUUUAAACUAAAUGCAGAGCUAAUAGUAUUUUGGAAAUAUAAUCAUCCUAAGAUACUAUAACACAAGGAUUCUUACACAAAAACAACAACUUCGAUGUAGAGAGAAGAUGAUUUCACAAAAGCAGAUGUUUUGAUUUAAGUCUCCAAAACCCCCACCAAGAAAAUGUUCAACGGAUAUAGAAAUAUGAUCCACAUAUCUGUAACUUAAACUGUAAAAGUUGUUGAUGUUGUUCUAAAAUUGCCACAAUCUAUCUACCCCAUGAAUGUUUUUGGAUAAAACAAGAAGCAGGACCCAAUGCCUGUUUUCUAAUAGCUUCAAAAAGGCCAAAUUGGUUUUGAAAUGUCUCCAGCUUUUCAUUUAACAAGUUUAAGGAUCCCUUCGGCAUUGCAAUUGGGGAGCUCAGAUAUAUAAAAGUGCCUGGUAAACUCUUACAGCCGCAGCUUUUGAGCAAAAAUAAUUUUAUCUCAUAAUUGUUUGACUAAAAACAUAUAUCACCUUUUAUCAGUUUUGUAAAAAAUAUUAUUUAUAAGUCAUAUUUACCAAACACAGUCAACUUUUACAUCACAACUAUAGCUUUUUUUUUUUUUUCACCACACAUAUAUAGUUAAAAACUACAAGAACUCGAUAUCAAACAGAUCCUAAAGCGUAAUCUAAUAAAAAGGUAAAUAAACAAAUGCAGAAGCCAGCGUACUUGAUCAAGAAGCUCUGAAUAGUCACUGGGAAAGGGAAUAUCGACGUUAAUGGGGUUAUUGCCAUCGCUUGAAACCGAAUUGGUGAGACAAUUGCGUUUUCUUCUGUACGGCGAAAAUGUGACGAUUGAGUAACAACUUAUAUCGAACUUUAGGUUAAAAUAAUUACUAUGGAAUAUUGGAAUACGAGAUUAUUAGCAUUUGAGUGCUUGAGUGGGAAUCAAGAAAACUUAAAAUAGUUCAGUUAACCCAAAAAGAAAAAGGGGGGAAAAAACCCAUGGAAAGUGCGAUGAAUGUAAAUCCACUUUAAAACUUUAAUCAUAAAUGGUUAACUAAUUUUAAGUAAUUUGGAUUAACUUGACAAAUUGAAAAACCAUGCACUAGAGGAAAAUGUUCAUAUUUGGAGGUCCGAAUUUAUCUACCAUUCAACCCUAUUUUCAGCUCCUGCAUGGAGGAUAAGUUAGUUUGGUGAAUCUACCACUAGCUAAUUAGCUAAUUUUUUUUUUUGAAGAUAGCUAAUUAGCUAAUUAAGAGAGCAUUAACGUUGAUAAUUUGUCCUAUCUAAAAUGAAAAGUAAGAAAUUUACACUAGUAAAUUUUACACAAUCACAGUUGGAAUUUCAAAGAAACAAAAACGGAUCAAUAGUGCAAUUGUAAUUCAAAUUUGCACUUUAGGCCACACGUUCGGCCCAGUUCUUGUAUUAACACUUCAAUACUUGACAUGUGGCCAUUUUUUUAUUCGUCCACGUUCUUUGCAUUCUCAUGGUAGUACUCGAACAAGACAAAAUUUCACGAAUAUUCAGUUGAAUUGUUGUUGAAACAUGUAUAAGAAAUCAAAUCUCGUUAGUUUUGAAUAUUACCAGCAACUCAAAUUAUUUUAACCUAAAGUUCAAUAUAAGUUGUUGUUGGGGGUUAACGGCAUUUUGAACCACAAAGUAAAGAGAGAGAGAGAAGAAACGCUCCCCUUUCAAAUACCGUGCUCUUUUGUACCUGGGAAUUUAAUAAUUCAUGCGAAUAAAAAAAUUAUAAAUUUAGUAAAUUAUUUAUUAAAAAAUAUUGAGAGGUUGUGCAUUAUUUUAUUAGUAAUGACAUAGUAAUCAUCAAAUUAGUUGAAUUAAAAUAGUUGUUGACUCACGUAAUUUAUUUUUAUUAUUUUUAAAAAAAAUGGUCUGCGUUAAUAAGGUUAAGGGUGACAACUGGGAUCAAUAUACAGUUUAUUCGGGUGCUUAAAACCUAAUAAAUAUCCACUAACUCAUAUAUAGUUAAAAUAUAAUUAUUUUUAAAUAAAAAAUUUAAUAUAAACUAAACAAAUUGAUCGGAUUUUGUUUCUCAAGGUACAUCAUUAGAACGUUACUUUUAAUUGAACAAAAGCACACAUAACUAGCACAUUCGCCACAAAAGCCUCGGCUUAGUGGUCGGCUUAUUAAUUAUCCUAAUAAAAUCAUGGUCAUAAAUUUGAGUCCCCGUAGGUUAGGUAGCUUUUUUAGACUACACUAUAAAUACAUGUAUUUUACUUCUCGCGGGUAUUGCUUCUAGUAGUUAUCCAUCCGAGUAUAGAGCUUUGUAGCUUUCUUCAUGACCUUCCCCAAUUUCAAUGCUUGUUAAACAAUCUCCACAGAAAAUGUGAUAGAAAUGUCCCGCUGCCACUUGUUGUGCAUAGUCCAAAUCUGCAAUUUAAGGUCAUCAUUUCAUUUAAUUUUCCGUUAUAUAUAUUCAUCUUUCUUAGAGGCCAAGAAGUCUUCGACAGAAAUGUGAUCUUUUUCUAGUAGCCUCCCGGUGAUGAGCUUCUCCCAAGUUUCAAUUAAUUCGCUUUGAGUGAGGAUAUUUUCUGGUGGCCUCAAAUACAAUGUUUUGUUCAGCACUCGAGGAGCAUCUAUUCUCUUAAUAGUAUAUAUGGCAACAUCAUCGAUAUGCACCAUAGAAAAAAAGAUAAUCAUUUUGUUUAAUAUGAACAUAAAUUCUUACAGUCUAACUCAUAUUAUAGUGAACGAUGUUGUUGUGUGGUGCGUGCAUGCACUAUCUAUAGUUUUAAUAUUAUUAAUAAAGAGUUAAAAGUCUUGAUUUAAUUUUAAAUUGUCAUUCCUCUAACUUCACCGUCUUCAUAGAUCCAGACUUUAUCUUUUGAAGGGCGAGGGUAGCUAUAUUUGAGAGAGGUGUCCGGGGAACCAACCAGCAAAAAACAGCUAGCAGAAACAUAAAUGACAGGGAUUUGAGCAGCCUUGAUUGCCCUUCUCACACAUGUGCUCUGCGUUCUCCCUCUCGCUCUCACUCACUCACGCCCAAAUCUCACCUCACUCACGCCCAAAUCUCACCUCACUCACGCAUCUCUCCUUCUGACCGGUGGUUUUCUCUCUCUCGCCGUGGGUCUCUAGGCUGGCAGGGAUUUCUCGACUUGACUACUAAAACAUAAUCCAAAAACUACUAAGAGAUGUAUAUAUUACUCUGAUAUACACAAUAUGAAGAAACUGCAGUUAUAUUUCAAAUAUUAUAUGAAGGAAGAGGCUGUAUGGAUUAUCCAAAGGUGCUGAAAUUAAGAGACCCACACCAACCGACAGACCCCCGGUGAUAGAGAGAAAGUCGACCGUGAGAUGCAUUCAAGACGGGGGAAGAGUGAGAGAGAAAACUGCCCGGUCAGAAAGAGAGAUGCAUGAUUGAGGUGAGAGAUUUGGGCGUGAAUGAGUGAGGAGUGAGGGAGAGGGUGCCGCGUGUGUGGGAUGCGUACAGUGACAAUUUAUACUUACAUCAAAACGCCGAGUUCGGUGCCAUGUGUAGGGCUAACUGUGGUUUGAAUCUCACUUUGGUAACGGAAAUGACUUUGCAAUUGACAGUUUUUGUCAAAAGUUCGCACUGCAUGAAACUAGUGUUAAUAUAAUUUAAAAAAUUAAUUUCAGUAUUAAUUUUUAAAAUGUUAAUUAUUAUAUUUAUUUUAAUAAUAUAUUUAUAUUUAUAAUAAAAAUUUUAGUUAAAUAUUUGUGUUAAAUAGAAUUUAUAAUUAAUAUAAUAUAUCUUAGGUAUUAAUUAUUAUAAUUAUUCUAUAUGCUAUUGAAAAUCAUUUAAAUUUUUAGAUGUUUAUUUUCAUACUAAGUUUCUAUUUAUUUUAAAAUUUAGUUUAAUAUAAUAUAAGCAAGUAAAGUAUUAAAAUAUUUUUUAGUAUUUUUAAAAUAUUAAAAUUAUUUUAAAAUAUAAGUCAAUUUUUUAAGUUAAUAGAACUAAUAUUUACAGUUUAUUUGAUGGCCUCAACAAGCUAAAGCAGCAUCAAAAUUAUGUGGCUCCUUAUUUUAUUUUUUCCCUUUCAAAAAGGGAAAAGGAUAAGUUUGGGAGAAUGUUUAUAUUUUUAAUAAAUUCUUUUUUAUUAUAAUACUUUUUGUCUUUAUUAAUUUAAAAAUAUUGACUCUUAUAUUUUAAAAAAUAUAAAUAUAAUAUUAUAAUAAAAUAUAACAAUAUAUAUCAAAUAUUUAAAAAAAAUUUAUAAUUUUAUAUUAUAUUAAAAUAAAUUUUUAAUAAAUAAAAAUAAUCUAUUAAAAUAAAGUACAAAAAUUUAAAUUAUUUUCAUUAUCAUCUAAAAUAAAUUUACUAUUAUUAAUGCAUGAAAUAUAUUAUAGUAAUUGUAAAUUUCAUUUAACUCAAAGAUUUAUUUAGAAUGUUUAUAAUAAGUCCAAAUAUAUUAUUAAAAUAAUUAUAAUAAUUUACAUUUUAAAAAUUAAUACUGAUAUUAAUUUUUAAAUUAUAUUACUCUACCAGAAAAAUUAAACUAUUAAAUUAUAUCAAUAUUUAUUAAAAAAAUUGAAAUUAAUUCUUGUUAUAUUUUUAAUUGGAAUUUUUUCAUGUGAUAUAACCACAAUUGCUACAUUUUUUCCCCUGAAUAAAGAUGGAGUUAUAAAUUAUUUGUAUAAGUGUCUGUGUGGAAACUAAUGUGACAUGAAAGUAAUAGUUGAAUAACAAUAAUGGGGCUUUAGGCAAUUUUUUCAUGAGAUUUUCUUGCGAUUUCAACACUUAAACAGACUUGUCCUUCAUCCCAAUUUAUUUACCCCAUUUGGGCCCGUUAUGACAUAGACAUAUUCUUGUGGAAUGAAAAACUUCAUGAGAAGAAAUUGUUUUAUUAUAAUAGAAAAAAGUGGUCCAUAAGUCUAUUCAUUACUUUUUUUAUUCAAUAUAAAUGGCUAACUUUAAAAAUGGUAAAAAUCACAUAACGCGCAAGCGAAAUCUAAGAUUUAUAUUUUUUAAUACUCUCCAAGUCUCUCUUUCUCUUUUUCUUUUUUUAAAUAAAUGUCAAUAUAAAAUUAGAAAAAUUUUAGAUAUAAAAUUUGGCGAUGACCAAACAAAAAUUGUAGAGGAAACCUUGAUAUCAUUGAAAUACUGAUCAUAGACACUACAGUAUAAAUAACUUAUUGUGAUCCACUCAACUUGUAACACUUUAAUCCAUAUUCUAAAAUUUUCAUGUUUGUUAGGAUUUUUAUUAUUGAUACUACUGUAUCAAUAAAAUUAUAAUUUAUUCAUAUGGAAUGAAAACAUCAAGAAAGGACCUCUGAUUUUUAUUAUAACAGAAAAAAAUGGUCCAUAAGUCUAUUAAUUAUUUUAUUUAUUCAAUACAAAUGUCCAACUUUAAAAAUGGUAAAAAUCACACAAUGCACAAGUAAAAUAUUACAAUUACAUUUUUUAACUCUCUUUGAGUCUCUCUCUCUCUCUUUAAAAAAUAAACCUCACUAUAAAAUUAGAAAAAUUUUAGACAUAAAAUUUGACAAUCACCAAACAGAAAACAUAGGGAAAUGAAAAUGGAGGAGCCCUAUUUUCAUUAGAAUAUUGAUCAUAGAUACUAUAAUGUAAAUGAUUUGUUGUGGUUCAUUCAACUUGUCACACUCUAAGCCAUUUUCUAAAAUUUGUAAGGUUUAUAGUAUUUUUAUUAUUGCCAUCAUUGUAUCAAUAAUAUUAUAAAUUAUAUAUUCUAUUGUAAUGAAAAUUUGUGUAAUCUUAGGUAUUUAUUAUAUUAAAUUGUGUGGAUUAAUUAAGAAUAUUUUUGGAGACAAAAGAAGUGUGUGUACGUAGGAUUAAUGAUAAAAAAUUUCUAAAUAAAGAUGAUUGCUUCAUUGACAAGCACAUAUUUAUAUUCCUCUAUUAAUAUUUGGGUUGUAAACUCUAUAAUAAAGUUGGUUGGUGUGAGUGGUUCGGCACUCUCACUCCUUAAGAAAGAUCAGGGGUUCAAGCCUCGCUCUCGUAUGGAGUCACCACUUUGGCCAGCACUUUACCUCUUACGGGCCGACCCGAUGCGAGCAUGAAUUAGUAUGAGUUGUGGUACGGGCUUAAAGGUGCCUCCCAUAGUUUGGGCCCACUUAGGAUCACCUCGUGGUUCAAACAAAAAAAAAGUGAAUAUAUUGUGGUAAGCGAUGUGGGCAAUAUCGGUUGCGAAAUAUUGAGAGAUCAUUAAUGCAUAUAAUUAUUGAAGAUGCAUAUAGAGGGAAGAGUGUAGAUCUGGCUGUAACAAUUAUGAAGCUUUCCCCAAGUAUACUCAUGCUUCCUUAAUUGUUCCGAAGUAUUUUUCAUAGUGUGCAGAUUUACUUUAUGGUGUCUUAAUUCGUCUUAAAUGAUUACUUUAGUUGUUUUGGGAUUUAAUGUCAUUUAUUGUGUUAAUUUUAAACAAUAGAAAAAAUAAGUAAUGGUAACGAAAGACUAAUUUGUGAUAUUGAAGCAUACGGGCUUAACUCAAUCCAAAAAUUAGUAAGUUAGCUCAAGAGUUAAGAGUUGUCCAAAUCUUAUAUGCUGAAUCCAAGUUUAAUACACAAUUGAUGCGGGAUGUUAUUCCUAACACCUUCCAUCAUGCGUAGGAUUGGCAAAAAAAUUCGGGUCAGUCCCACCUAAACCUGCAGGCUUUAUGCAUGGCUCGCAUGAUGAAGUUACGGAUAUUAACCUAAAAAUUUGAAACUUACUAUGAAUGGCCUUGCUUAAAGACUUUUGCAACUUUAAUUUAUAACAAGUAUGUAUAUAUACACACACAUAAGCUUAGAUUGCAUUUGGAUGGCUUUUUUAAUCAAUUCAAACAAUUUGAAAUUUAUCGGAUUAAUCUGAAUCUUAUCUGUAUCCGAUUUUGUCCGCCCCUACUAUUUAUAAGCCCAGGUGACUCUCUUUUACUAAUUAAUAAGAGAAUUUUUGACCUUAUAUCCUUGCUGUGGUGUUAGACUGUUGGUCAUUUUGAUUGUUUCCUACCUUCCAUUUACGCCAGCUAUAACAUUGUAUUAUCACCAUUUUAGCCAUUUAAAUGAAAUUUUAUUUUUGUCAAAAAUAAAAUGACACCCUUAAAAUUAAAAAAGAAAUAGUUAUGUAGACCUCAAAUUUUUAAUAAAGAAUGCCAAUACCCCUUUUAACUACAAGAUUCUUAGUAGAUGAUAACUAAAAAAAUUAACUUCAAAAAUUUUCACUAAAUGUAAAUCUGAUUGAAAUAGUUUAAAUUUUUCUAGUAGACUAAUAUAUAUAACUUAAAUAAUUAAUUUCAUUAUUAAUUUUUAAAAUGUUAACUAAUAUAUUUUUAAUUUAUUAUAAAAAUUUUAAAUAAAUUCUUGGAUUAGAUAGAUUUUACAAUUAAUGUAAUACUGUUGAUUUAUUAAUAAUAUUAAAAUUAUUUUAUAUGAUAUUCAAAAUAAUUUAAACUUUGAUAUAUUUAUUUUAAUAGUAUGUCUAUUUAUUAUAAUUUGGUUUAAUAUAAUACGGGAUUGCAAAAUAUUAAAAUAUUUUUCAAUAUCAAAUUAUUUUAAUAUGUAUAUAUCAUUACAUUUAUUUCAAUAUCGCAUUUAUAUUUAUUAUAAGAUAUAAAAUUAAAGAGUAUUGCAAUAAAGUAAAAAAAGAAAAAAAAAAGUCUUAUUAUCCCUUAUUCACGAUAUGAGGUUCUAUAAAAUUAUUUCCCCAAACGGGUGUCCUUUUCUUAUUUUCAAAAGAAAAACUAAAGUAAGAAUAAGUCCAUGGGUUUCAAAAGACUUAUAGUCCUAUCCCGGAACCUACAUUAUCUGCCACUAUGACUAAUGACAAAUUUUUGGUGGGAUAUAGGAAAAUUGUCAAAAGUUCAUGCUGCGUGAGAGUCUUUGGUGGGAUGUGGAAGGAUUGUCAAAAGAUCACACCACGUGACAUAACCACAAUUGCUACAGUUUUUUUUUUUUAAAAUAUUGAUGGGAGUUAUAAAUUAUUUAUAUAAAUUUGCGUAGACUGAUGUAACAUAAAAGAAGUAGCUGAAUAACAAUAUUUGGUGCUUUAGGUAAUUUUCAGAUGGGCCUUUCUUUUAUUUAGCGACUUUAGUGCUUAAACAAACUUGUGCUCGAUCUUAAUUUAAGCCUAUGAUGACAUAAACAUAUUCUUUUGUGACGAAAACAUCAAGAGAAGACAUCUCAUGUUUUAUUAUAACAGAAAAGAAGUGGUCCAAACGUCUAUUCAUUAUUUUAUUUAUUCAAUAUAAAUGGCCAACUUUAAAAAUCACACAACGCUCAAGUGAAAAUUUAGAAUUACAUUUUUUAAUACUCUCGGAGUCUUUCUCUCGUGCCCCCUUUUUUUCUAAAAAAAUAAACCUUAGUGUAAAAUUAGAAGAAUUUUAGAUAUAAAAUUUAACAAUCGCUAAACAGAAAAGCAGCGGAUUGAAAAUAGAGGAGCUCUGUUAUCAUUGGAAUAUUGAUUAUAGAUAAUAGGGUAUUUUUUAAUUGAGUCCUCAUUAUUUCUAGAAAAAAAUUCAGAGACCAGAAAUUUACUAAAUGAAUUAAUUAAAUCCUUUCAAGUACAAAUUAAUAUCAUUCAAGUCCAUAACUUAACUCUUCAGUUAGAAAUAUUAACAACGUUGAGGACAUUUUAGUAAAAGAACAAUUGAACCCUUCCUCAUUCUUUUAUUUUUGACAGGUGGCAAUAGUUUGCUUACAGGUGGCAAUAGUUUAAAGCAAAGUCAAUUCACCUAACCAAGUUAAAGUUCUUUCAAGCGGAAAAAAAAAAAACCUCUAGAAGAAACUGCCGUAUUCUUCGUGUGAGAGGAGGGAUUGAGAGAACGUGGGAUGGCGUCAAAAAUGUUAUAUAAAUAUACUGUAAUUUUGACCAAAGCUUUGUUAGCAUUGGUUGAGUUCAAGUAUUGGAGAGAAGCCGAGCUUAAAGGUUAGUAACUCUAAUUUUUAAGUGAUUUUUGCAAGUAUUUUCUGAUAAAAUUGUUUCCAUAUUUAGUGAUCUUUGUGAAAAAUUAUGUUUUUCAAGUCUAUUUUUCUAAAUGACAAACUAUGUUUAAUUAUUGGUGGAUUUUUUUAUUGAAUGUUGUAUUUUGUUAAUAUACUUUUUUUAAUUUGCUCUUUAUAUAAUAAUUAGACCAAAUACACCAUAUUUAUAUAUGUAUUUAUUGAACUUAUUUUGCCUAUUUUAUAGGCUUUCUUGAGUUGUUGUAUAUGUACAAUAUUUCAUUUCAACCAAUUGGUAUCGUUAUAUUAAUAAGAUUGAAUUCAUUGUAUUUGCUUUUUUGUUCAUGUAAAAUUGAAUUCUAUGUGUUAUUAUGAGUGGUAAUUUUUAUAUAUAUUAGACUAAAUUCUCUAUAGUUGUUGGGUUAUUUUUUCUUUUCAGUUUUUAUUUUUAUAUGUAUUAGAUUGAAUUUUCUUUUAUACUUUUUUUAAUCGAAUUACAUGUAUAUUUCAUUUAGGUUGAGUUUUUUAUUCUUUGCUAAAUAAAAUUGUAUUAGUUUAGCCAUUUUUUGAUGCAAUACUUUUUUGUUUUAAAAUUGAUGCAGGUAGUCAUGUUACCUUUUUUUUUGUUGGUUAAAAUUAAUGGGGCGGUGUAUGAGAUAGGAUAUAGGGACCCAGAGGAAUAUAAGAUUAUUAGGUUGUUUCAUGAAAUUCUAGAAGUCAUGGUUAAGUAUGGACACAAUGAAAUGGAUUUGAUUGAAAUUUUUGUUGUGUUGCCAUGGACUACAAGUAGGCAGAGGAAGCUAAUUUCAAAUGAUAGUGAAUUGUAUUCGGUUUUUGAGGAGUUUUUUUACUAAUAGUUGUCAUGUUAUUGAGUUUGAGGUGCACACUGGGUUAGGUGGUCAAUCAUGUCAUGAAAGUGUUGUAAUAGGAUCUGAAAAUCCUGUCAAUAUAGGUGUUAGUAUGGGUAGUGAUAAGUUUGAAAAACUUAGUGAGGAUGGCUUUAUCGGAGGGCACUUAUCUGAUGAAGAGAAUGGUCUCUUACAUAUGUAUGAAUCCAUUGUUGAUAAUGAGUGGAAACCAAAUCUAAAUGGUUCAGUUAGUCUAAAAGUAGGAAAUACCUUUGAAUCUGUUGCAUUAUUAAAAGAGGUUAUGGUGAAAUAUGCAAUCCAAGAGGGUUUUGAGUUAAAUAGGAUUAAAAAUGAUGGUGUUAGGUAUACUUGUUGUUGUGUUAAUCCAAAAUGCACUUGGAAACUUCAUGCUUCAUCGAUGGUUGAUGGGAUAACUUUUAAAAUUAGGUAUAUUAAAGGGAAACAUGAUUGCCAGAUUAAAUCAAUUAACAAAGAUGCAACAGCACCUUGGAUAGCUAAAGUUUGUGCUGGACUUAUUCAAACUAACCCAGGAGUUGGUGUAAAUGUCAUAAGAAGUGAGUUAAAAGAUAAACAUGGGAUUGAAUGUGACAAACAAAAACUAUACAGGGCAAAAAAAAUUGCAUUAGAAAACCUAGGUGCUGACCACAUUGCUUGCUAUGGAAAGCUUUUGAAAUAUGCUCACAUUCUAAUGAAAAUGAAUAGAGGUGCUUGUGUUAAGGUAAAGGUUAAAAGGCCAUUGUCAAAUAGCCCAGUUUUUCAAAGGUUUUUUUUGUCAUUUCCUGCACUUAAAGUGGGGUACCUAACUGGGUGUAGACCUUUCAUAGGAUUGGAUGGGUGUCACUUGAAGGGGCCAUACAGGGGAGUAUUGUUAUCUGCUGUUGCAUUAGAUGAUGAUAGUGGAAUUUUUCCAUUGGCUUUUUGCAUAUGUGAGGUAGAGAACUAUGAUAGUUGGAGUUAUUUUUUAUCUUUGCUGUAUGAAUUCAUUGGGGCUGAUGAUCAUAGGUCUGUAACUAUUAUUAGUGAUAGACAAAAAGGUCUUUUAUGGGGAUUGGAAAAAUAUUGGCCUAAUGCUAGUACUAGAUAUUGUGCUAGGCAUAUCUUUGCCAAUUUGAAGUGUAAGUUUCCUGGUUUGAAUGUCAUGGGGUUAUUUUGGAAAGCUUGUAGGGCUGCAAAUCAGUAUGACUUUGAGAGGGCAAUGAGUCAAAUUAGGGCUAAAGACCAAAAUUGUUAUGAAUGGUUGAGAAAAAUACCACCUGCACAGUGGUCUAGAAGCGGGUUUGAUCAUCAUGUGAAAUCUGACCAUGUUACAAACAACAUGACUGAAUCUUUUAAUAAGUGGGUGGAUGAGGUUAGGGAUAAGCCUGUCCUAACCAUUCUUGAGCAUAUUCGUAGACAACUAAUGGUGAGAAUGUUGAAAAAAUAUCAGCUAGGUGAAACUUGGCAAGACCAUUUGACCCCAUAUGCUAGAGAAAGACUAAAUCAAUCCUCAAAUGAGGCAAGGAGAAUUAAGGUCUUUGGAGGUAGAGGGGAGCUGUUUGAAUGUUGUCAAGCUGGCUAUAGAAACAUCCUGGUACAUAUUACAGAUGGUACAUGUGAAUGUGGGAUGUGGCAAGUUAGUGGAGUGCCUUGCAAACAUGCAGUAGCUGCUAUUCUUCAUAAAGGAGGGCAACCUGAAAAUUAUGUGCAUCAUUAUCUGACCAAGGAAUCUUUUAUGAUGACAUACAUGGGGACUAUAAAUCCUAUUCCUGAUGAGUGUGCUUGGCCUGAAGUGGAAGCUGAACCUUCCCCUGAUGUUGUGGUGCCUGUGAAGGUUGGACCACCUGACAUAAAGGCUCCAGUUGGUAGACCGAAAAAGAAAAGAACAAAAGAACCUGGUGAGACCAAACUAACUAGUAAAAGGUUUACUAUCAAAUGUAGUGCUUGCAGAUGUCUUGGGCACAACAAAAGGGGUUGCCCUAAUUUUCCAAAAACCACAAGAACUAUAGAGGUAUAACAUAAGAGUCAUUUUUGUUUUUUAAAUUUCAUUUGGUGAAGCUAACAAAUAUUGAUCUUGAUGUUGUGCAGGGAAGCAAUAGGACUUCAUCAAGUGCACAGGUUUAAUUUAAUUAUACAAUUUUAAUUCAAAAGGAUUUUUUUUUCUUUUGCACUAGAUAUUGCUUAAAACUUGGUGAUAUUGGUUGUGUGCAACGAAGAAAUAAGGCUUAAUCAAGUGGACAUGUUUAAUCUAGUUCUGAAAAUUUAAUUCUAAAGGAUUUUUUUCGUUCUUUUUCAUUAAAUUGCUUAAAACUUGGUGAUUUUUUUUGUGCGCAGGCAAGCGAUAUCACUUCAUCAACUGCACAGGUCUGAUUUUGUAAUUGAAUCUCCUUAUAUAUGUUUUGUUAUGUUAUCAAAUGGAUUAAUAACUUGGUACUAUAUAUGUUUGAUUUGAUCAUGGAAUUAUAUUGAAUAGAUUGAUUCUUUUUUUUUUAUUAAAUGAAAUUGAUGUCUUUUUUUUUUUCUUUUUGGACAGCAUGGAACUAACCCACAAUCUCAAGAAGUAGAUGUCAAUGAUCAAUCAAUUGGCAAUAGUUCUGAACAAGCUAGUUAGGCUUCAAUCAAUGUCACUCAACCAGUGGGGCUGUAUACACAACUAUUGUGGACUGUACUUCAACCUCAAAAUGAAGAAAUUAUCACUGUUAACAAGGAGUAGGAUAAUACAAUUUCACCUUGGGUUGACAUUUAAUUCUCCAUUAUAGAAUUUAGAAGACAAUUAACUAUUUUUUGUGUUUAAAUUUCAGUUUACCUUAGUAUUGUUAAGGUAUUUGUUAGUUUGAAUUUAAUUGACUUUCAUACUUUUAAUUUCAUUUUUAGACCGAAUGUUAUUGUGAUUUUUUUAAUAUUAUAUUCAAUACAUAUGUUAUUUAGUUUAACAAUUAUUAUAUUUUUAUAGAUGUGAUGAAAUUAUAUGGAUAGCAAAUUACAUUUUCAUGUAUAAUUCACUCAAAUUGAUAAAUAGGCUGUUAGAUUGAAAAAAAAAAGUCCAAGGUUAAAAUUGUACUUUAAAUCACUAAUAUGAUUAUAGGGGUAUACCUGUCUUUUAUGUUUAACUUAACAUUUUCACUAAUUUUUUUAACGGAAGAAUUGGGUUAAGGGCUUGAAUGACAUAAAUUUACAGUUGAAAGGAUUUAAUUGAUUCAUUUAGUAAACUUCUGGUCUCUGAAUUUUUUUCUAGAAAUAAUGAGGACUCAAUUAAAAAUUACCCUAGAUAAUAUAAUAACUUGUUGUGGUUCAUUGUAGCACUCUGAGCCAUAUUUUAAAAUUUACUGGUUUGUUAAUGCUUUUAUUAUUGACAUUAUUGUGUCAAUAUUAUUAUAAUUAAUUUAUUCAUUUUAUUGUAAUGAUAAUUUGUCUAGUCUUAGGUACUUAUUAUAUUAAAUUAUGUAAAUUAAUUGAGAAUACUUUUAGAGACAAAAGAAACACGUGUAUGUAGGAUUAAUAAGCGAAGAGUUGUAAAUGAUGGUGAUUGCUUCAUUCAGAGGCAUAUUAAAUAAUUAUGGAGAGUUGCUCUAUUUCGGAAGCAUAUAUUUAUACUUCCCUACCAGGAUUUGGGGUAAGCGAAGUGCUUUAUGUAUUGCAGUAAGGAAAUGUGGGCAAUAUCAGAGCCGAAAUAUUAAAAGAUCAUAACGCAUAUAAACAAUUAGUAUAUUCAAGACACAUAUAGAGGAAAGAGUGCAGAUCCGGCCGUAACUAUUAUGAGGAUUUCCUCAAGUAUUCUCAUGCUUCCUCAACUGUUCUGAACUAUAUAUUCUUCAUUGUGGGCUGUUUUGCUUAAAUACCAACACAAUGAUUCAAUACUUCAAAGGUCAAGGAAAUGUCAAAAUAUGAAAUGAAAAUACUUAAAUAGCCUUCUACCUAACAAAACUUAGUACUUCUAACUGCCUUCGCAGAGAAUCUAUAAAAUAAAAAAAAAAUCAUCCAGGAAAAGUUUCGUAACAGAAAAACCGUCUUUCAAAAAAUAAAAAUAGAAAAACCGACUCAUUUAUCUGCCAAUGAACCAGUCGGGACUCAUUUAAAAAAGAUUAAAAAGCAAAAGUAAAUGACACAAAUUGCAUAGAUAUCUCGGAGCCGCAUCAAAGGACAAAGGUGUUAAUUUGUCCAAGUAAUAAAUUCUCCUAGGUCAAAAGCAAUUAACGAUGAAAACUUUCUUCAUUAAGGGUCUGGCCUACGUAAAAAAAAAACAGAAAAACCACCCCAAGGUCAAAGCACAACCAUAAGUUUUGAGUUGCAGUUUUUAAAUUUUUUUUAUAAUAAAUCAACGUGUAUAAAAAAUAGAUAAUGAUUUUGAAUAAUCUUUUUGAUAAAUAUAGACAUAAAAUUUUAAAAUCACCAAACAGAAAAACAGGGAAUUAAAAGAGAGCCCUUGUUUCUCCUCUAUUUUGUUUGUUUGUCCUCUAUUUUAGCAGGGCAGCUAAAAGGGUUUGGAAGUUGACUGAAUUUUAUGAGGAUGUAAAGCAAUUAGCUCGGCAAGACAUGUUGAGUGUGCUGCAGGAUUUAACUGUGAAGAGAAAAAAGAAUGAGCUGGAGCUUGUUGUUGCGGUGUGCUGGGCCAUCUGGUACUCUAGGAAUCGUUUGGUGUUUGAAGGAAAGGAUGAAGAUCCAAAAAAUUCAGUGGCCAGAGCAAUUGCUAUGGUGGAAUCAUACAGGCGAAUAAAAGUUCCAAAUGAACAAAAUUCUCCAGGCCAUAGCAGAAUCAGUCAACUAGAAUGGGCAAAUCCUCCAAAGGGGUGUUAUAAAGUCAACGUUGAUGCUCCAAUCAAUGUUUCAAACCAAAAGGCAGGGUUGGGGGUAGUCAUUAGAAACUCUGUGGGUAAGGUUGUUGCUGCAGCAGUCCAAGGAACUCCAUAUAGGGGAGAUGUGGCGUGUAUGGAGGCUGAAGCUGUUCUGUUUGGUCUUCAGAGUGCCCAACAAGCAGCUGUUUCCCCAAUAAUUAUUGAGUCAGAUUCAAAGGAAGUGGUGGACCUAUCCUUAAAGAAAAAGAUCAGCAAGACUGAAAUUGAGUGGAAAAUUGCAGAAAUCCAAGCAAAUCUGGAAAAUCAGAAUGUGUCCUCGCUGUCAUAUGUCCCUAGAAACUGUAACUCUAUUGCUCAUUCUAUUGCAAAGAUAGCUCUAGGUUUUGAAAGUCAAGUCUUUUGGCUGGAAAACUUUCCAGAACAUAUCAGGUGUACUCUUGCUAAGUUCAUCAAUUGAAAAGCUUUACUUUUCUCAUCAAAAAAAAAAAAAUAGGGAAAUGAAAAGAUCGUAGGUGGAAAUUUUUUUUCUGCGUUGUAUCUUCUCAAUGCUGCAUGCAUUCAAAUUGUCAUAUUGCGAAAAUCCCUUUUCAAUGUUUCAAUUGCAAUGUCAUUGCCAUUAUUCAUAGUGGCAGACAAUGGACAUCACGGGACAUGGCUAGAAGUCUAUGUUACGGCUUCUGUAAGUAACAGCAGCCAAUGGGGAACUUCCACGGGUGCUAGAGGAGAGAGAAAGAGGUCCCAAUGCAAGGUGAUGGAAAUAGGGAUGGCAAUUGUACCCGCAAACCCGCAAACCCGCCCAAACCCACCCGCCAAAACCCGCCCGUUGCGGGUAAUUUUACCCGUUGCGGGCGGGUUUAGUAUUAUAAAUUAAAACCCGCACAUGGAUGCGGGUGGGUUUGGUAUUAACCUUAUAUCCGGUGGAUACCCGCAUGGAUAUCCACCAAACCCGCAAUAUUUUUUUUCAAAUAUUUUUAAUUUAAUUUAAAUAUAAAAAUGUAUAAAGAAAAUAAUGUCAUUAAUCAAAUUACCAAAUAGACAAAUGCUCAAAGUUGUGUAUGUGUGUAUGUGACCCAUCUCUUAUUCUAAAGUCAUAAGCUAAAGAAAACUAAAGGCAUUACCCUUCGAAUUAGUAUUUGAAAAUAUUAAUCUUAAUUAUUAUUAUAGGCAUUGUGUUGGAUGGGUGCUUAUGGUGGUGAAUGAAAUGAAUAUAUUCUCUUGGAUCUUGUUUUAAAUGAUAAUAUGAAAUGUAAUUAUUAUUUUUAGAUACUAGUUUGUGUUUUUUAAAUAGAUUUGUGUAAUUUAUACUUAAAUUUGAGAAUUUGUAUUGAAUUGAUGUGGAAAUUUUAAUUUUUCAUUGACAUUGUUUAAAUAUAAAAUUGAGUAUGCUAUAUGGAAUUUGAGGUUAUUAUUAUAAAUUUAUAUAUUAAAUAUUUGUGAUUUUAAAUACGGAAACCCGCAAAAAAUCCGCCGGAUACCAUUGCGGGUUUGGUAAUUGUUAAAACCCGCUGCGGGUGGGUUUUUUUAAAAAAAUUAAAACCCGCUGCGGAUUGCGGGUGGAUUUGGUGAUUUAAAUUUUGUGCGGGUUUGGGUUUGAUAAUGGCAAACCCGCUGCGGGCGGUGCCCAUUGCCAUCCCUAGAUGGAAAUGGGAAAGUUCAAAGCUGUUACUUUCAGCUUCUGCACCGUAGCCAUGUCCCACGGGACAAGGCUAGAAGUUAUCAUGACCAUAGACUUUUCUAAUUUAUUUUUUCCUUUCAAAAAGGGACAAGGAUAAGUUUGGGAGAAUGAUUAUAUUUUUAAUAAAAGAAUUCUUUUUUAUUAUAAUACUUUUUGUCUUUAUUAAUUUAAAAAUAUUAACUCUUAUAUUUUAAUAAAUAUAAUUAUAAUAUUAUAAUAACAUAUAACAAUAUAUACAAAUAUUUAAAAAAAAUUAAGAUUUUAUUAAAAUAAUUUUAUAAUAAAUACAAAUAUAUUAUUAAUAUAAUUAUAAUAAUUUUCAUUUUAAAAAGUAAUACUGAUAUUAAUUUUUUAAAUUAUAUUACUCUACUCAAAAAAUUAAACUAUUAAAUUAUAUUGAUAUUUCUUAAAAAAGUUGCAAUUAAUUCUUAUUAUAUUUUUAAUUGGAUUUUUUUCCCGAGAUAUAACAACAAUUGCUACAGUUUUUUCCCAAAUAAAGAUGGAGUUAUAAAUUAUUUGUAUAAGUGUCUGUGUGGAAACUAAUGUGACAUGAAAGUAAUGGUUGAAUAACAAUAAUGGGGCUUUAGGCAAUUUUUUUAUGAGGUCCUCUUGCAAUUUCAACACUUAAACAGACUUGUCCUUGAUCCCAAUUUAUUUACCCAUUUAGGCCCACGAUGAGAUAAAUAUAUUCCUGUGAGAUGAAAAACAUCAGGAGAAGAAAAUGUUUUAUUAUAAUAAAAAAAACAAGUGGUCCAUAAGUCUAUUUAUUACUUUUUUUAUUCAAUACAAAUGGCCAACUUAAAAAAUGAUAAAAAUCACAUAACGCACAAGCGAAAAUUUAGAUUUACAUUUUUUAGUUCUCUCCGUGUCUCUCUUUCUCUUUUUUUUUUAAAAAAAUAAAUAAAUGUCAGUGUAAAAUUAGAAAAAUUUUAGAUAUAAACUUUGGCGAUGACCAAACAAAAAUUGAAAUACUGAUCAUAGACACUACAAUAUAAAUAACUUGUUGUGAUCCACUCAACUUGUAACACUUUAAUCCAUACUCUAAAAUUUGUAUGUUUGUUAGGAAUUUUAUUAUUGACAUUAUUGUACCAAUAAAAUUAUACUUUAUUCAUAUGGAAAGAAAACAUCAAGAAAGGACCUCUGAUUUUUAUUAUAACAGAAAAAAGUGGUCCAUAAGCCUAUUUAUUAUUUUAUUUAUUCAAUACAAAUUGCCAACUUAAAAAAUGGUAAAAAUCACAAAAUGCACAAGUAAAAUUUUAGAAUUACAUUUUUUUAAUUCUCUUUGAGUCUCUGUUUCUCUCUUUAAAAAAUAAACCUCACUGUAAAAUUAGAAUAAUUUUAGACAUAAAAUUUGGCAAUCACCAAACAAAAAAUGUAGGGAAAUGAAAAUGGAGGAGCCCUAUUAUCAUUAGAAUAUUGAUCAUAGAUACUAUAAUGUAAAUGAUUUUUUGUGGUUCAUUCAACCUGUCACACUCUAAGCCAUUUUCUAAAAUUUGUAAGGUUUAUAGGAUUUUUAUUAUUGGCAUCAUUGUAUCAAUAAUAUUAUAAAUUAUAUAUUCUAUUGUAAUGAAAAUUUGUGUAAUCUUAGGUAUUUAUUGUAUUAAAUUGUGUGGAUUAAUUAAGAAUAUUUUUGGAGACAAAAGAAGUGUGUGUACGUAGGAUUAAUGAUAAAAAAUUUCUAAAUAAAGGUGAUUGCUUCAUUGACAAGUACAUAUUUAUAUUCUCUAUUAGUAUUUGGGUUGUAAACUUUGUUUAUAAAGUGAAUAUAUUGUGGUAAGCGAUGUGGGCAAUAUCGGAUGCAAAAUAUUGAGAGAUCAUUAACGCAUAUAUUUAUUGAAGACGCAUAUAGAGGAAAGAGUGUAGAUCCGGCUGUAACAAUUAUGAAGCUUUCCCCAAGUAUUCUCACGCUUCCUUAACUGUUCCAAAGUAUUUUUCAUAGUGUGCAGAUUUACUUUAUGGUGUCUUAAUCCGUCUAAAAUGAUUACUUUAGUUCUUUUGGGAUGAAAGGUCAUUUAUUGUGUUAGUAUUAAACAAUAGAAAAAAUAAGUAAUGGUAACGAAAGACUAAUUUGUGAUAUUGAAGUAUACAUGCUUAACUCAAUCCAAACUUAGUAAGUUAGCUCAAGAGUUAAGAGUUGUCCAAAUCUUAUAUACUGAACCCAAGUUCAAUACUCAAUUGAUGUAGGAUGUUAUUCAUAACACCGCCCGUCAUGCGUAGGAUUGGCAAAAAAACUCGAGUCAAUCCCACCUAGACCUGCAAGCUUUAUUUAUGGCCAGCAUAAUGAAGUUACAGAUAUUAACCUAAAAAUUUGAAACUUACUAUGAGUGGCCUUGGUUAAAGACUUUUGCAACUUUAAUUUAUAACAAGUAUGUACACACACACACACACACACACACACACAUGUUUAGAUUGCAUUUGGAUGACUUUUUUUUAUCAAUGCAAACAAUAUCAAAUUUAUCGGAUUAAUUUGAAUCUGAUCUAUAUCCGAUUUUGCCUACCCCUACUAUUUAUAAGCCCAAGUGACUCUCUUUUACUAAUUAAUAAGGGAAUUUUUUGACCUCAUGUCCUUGCUGUGGCAUUAGACUGUUGGUCAUUUUGAUUGUUUCCUACCUUCCAUUUACGCCAGCUGUAACAUUGUAUUAUUCACCAUUUUAGCCAUUUAAAUGAAAUUUUAUUUUUGUCAAAAAUAAAAUGACACCCUUAAAAUUAAAAAAAAAAUAGUUAUGUAGACCUCAAAUUUUUAAUAAAGAAUGUCAAUACCUCUUUUAACUACAAGAUUCGUAGUAGAUGAUAAAAAGAAAAUUAACCUCAAAUUUUUUCAUUAAAUGUAAAUCUGAUUGAAGUAGUUUAAAUUUUUCUAGUAGACUAAUAUAUAUAACUUAAAUAAUUAAUUUCAUUAUUAAUUUUUAAAAUGUUAACUAAUAUAUUUUUAAUUUAUUAUAAAAUUUUUAAAUAUUAUCCUUGGAUUAAAUAGAUUUUACAAUUAAUGUAAUACUUCUUAUUUUUUAAUAAUAUUAAAAUUAUUUUAUAUGAUAUUCAAAAUAAUUUAAACUUAUAUAUAUUAAUAUUAUGUCUAUUUAUUAUAAUAUGGUUUAAUAUUAUACGGGAUUGUAAAAUAUUAAAAUAUUCUUCAAUAUCAAAUUAUUUUAAUAUGUACAUAUCAUUACUUUUAUUUUAGUAUCGCAUUUAUAUUUAUUAUAAAUAUAAAAUUAAUAAAAUUAAAGAGUAUUGCAGUAAAGUAAAAAAAAAAAGUCUUAUUAUCCCUUAUUCAUGAUAUGAGAUUCUACAAAAUUAUUUCCCGAAACGGGUGUCCUUUUCUCAUUUUCAAAAGAAAAAAUAAAGUAAGAAUAAGUCCAUGGGUUUCAAAAACUUCUAGUCCUAUCCCGGGACUACAUUGCUGCCACUAUAACUAAUGGAAAUGACAUUUCAAUUGACAUUGCCUUUCGCAACAUGAAAAAUUUUUGGUGGGAUAUGGAAGAAUUGUCAAAAGUUCACGCCGUGUGAGAGUUUUUGGUAGGAUGUAGGAGGAUUGUCAAAAGAUCACACCAUGUGAUAAAACCACAAUUGCUAUGGUUUUUAUUUUUUAAAUAAUGAUGGGAGUUAUAAAUUAUUUAUAUAAAUUUGCGUAGAAACUAAUGUAACAUAAAAGAAAUAGCUGAAUAACAAUAUUUGGUGCUUUAAGUAAUUUUUAUAUGAGCCUUUCUUUUAUUUAGCGGCUUUAGUGUUUAAACAAACUUGUUCUCGAUCUUAAUUUACUGACCCCAUUUAAGCCCAUAAUUAAACAUAUUCUUUUGUGACGAAAACAUCAAGAGAAGACAUCUCAUGUUUUAUUAUAACAGAAAAAGAAGUAGUCCAAACAUCUAUUCGUUAUUUUAUUUAUUCAAUAUAAAUGGCCAACUUUAAAAAAAUGAUAAAAAUCACACAACGCUCAAGUAAAAAUUUAGAAUUACAUUUUGUAAUACUCUCUGAGUCUCUCUCUCCUGCCCCCCCCCCCCCUUCCUUUUAAAAAAAAUAAACCUUAGUGUAAAAUUAGAAGAAUUUUAGAUAUAAAAUUUGGCAAUAGCUAAACAGAAAAGCGGCGGAUUGAAAAUAAAAAAGCUCUAUUACCAUUGGAAUAUUGAUUAUAGAUAAUAUAAUAACUUGUUGUGGUUCAUUGUAGCACUGUGAGCCAUAUUCUAAAAUUUAUAGGUUUGUUAAGGCAUUUAUUAUUGACAUUAUUGUGUCAAUACUAUUAUAAUUUAUUCAUUUUAUUGUAAUGAUAAUUUGUCUAGUCUUAGGUACUUAUUAUAUUAAAUUAUGUAAAUUAAUUGAGGAUACUUUUAGAGACAAAAGAAACACGUGUAUGUAGGAUUAAUAAUCGAAGAAUUGUAAAUGAAGGUGAUUGCUUCAUUGAGAGGCAUAUUAAAUAAUUAUGGAGAGUUGCACUAUUUCGGAAGCACAUAUUUAUACUUCCCUAUCAGGAUUUGGGAUAAACGAAGUGCUUUAUCUAUUGCAGUAAGCAAUGUGGGCAAUAUCAGAGGCGAAAUAUUAAAAGAUCAUCCAUGAAAAGCUUCGUAACAGAAAAACCGUCUUUCAAAAAAAAAUAAAAUAAAAUAAAAAUAAAAACAGAAAAACCGACUCAUUUAUCUGCCAAUGAACCAAUCAGGACUCAUUUAAAAAAGAAUACAAAGCAAAAGUAAAUGACACAAAUUGCAUAGAUAUCUAGUAGCCGCAUCAAAGGACAAAGGUGUUAAUUUGUCCAAGAAUAAAUUCUCCUAGGUCAAAAGCAAUUAACGAUGAAAACUUUCUUCAUUAAGGUUCUGGCCUACGUAAAAAAACAGAAAAAAUCACCCCAAGGUCAAAGCACAACGAUAAGUUUAGAAUUGGAAUUUUUAAUUUUUUUUAAUAAAUCAACGUGUAUCAAAAAUAGAUAAUAAUUUUGGAUAACUUUUUUUGAUAAAUAUAGACAUAAAAUUUUAAAAUCGCCAAACAGAAAAACAGGGGAAUUAAAACAAAGUCCCUGUUUAUCCUCUAUUUUGCUUGUUAUUAAAAAGGGAAAUGAAAAGAUUGCAAGCCGAAAUUUUGUUUCUGCGUUGUCUCUUCUCAAUGCUGCAUGCAUUCAAAUUAAACCUUACAUAUGCUAGCAAACUAGCUACUCUGCAUGUAAGUUCUCGAUAAGUCCAAAUAAUAGAAUAAUUGUAAAAUGUUCAAAUUCAGUAAUUAAUUAUACAUAUUUAUUUAUUCAAAAAUUAUUAUUAUUACUAAUUAUUGUCAAUAAUAUAUUAAUAUACUAAUUAAUUGUAAAAAAAUUUAUCAUUCAUAACAAUAAUGAUGAUGAUGAUAAUAAUAAAAAUUCAAAAUAUAUUAAUUAAUUAUAAUAAUAUAUUAAUUAUUUAAUAAUAAUAUAUUUAAAAUAUAUAAAUUGAUUAGAAUAGUUAUAUUAAUAAAUUAUAAACAUAUAUUAAUUAAUCAUAAUAAUUUUUUAAUUGAUGACAAAAUAGAUAUUUUAUAGUUUGUGAGAGGGGGCAAAAUGAUCAAUCUUGGGAAUGGGGGAUUGAUUCCCACCACCUUCCUUAGGAAUCAAUCUUCCAUUCCUCAUUCCUAAUUUGGGUGGUCCCCAUAGUUCUUAUUCGGAUCCCAGCCUCUAUUUUGUGAAGUAAACAUCAUUAAUGAUUUCGAUUUCGGAUUCCGAUUCUCCAAUCCAAGAAGUAAAGGCACCAUUAUUGUUAAUUGGUUCAAACACACAAAGAGAAUGUACCAUGUAGCUAGGCGUCAAGGUUGUGUGGCACAAGGUUGUGUGGCACAAGUAGGGAUGGCAAUUCAACCCGCACCCGGCCCGGACCCGGAUGAAACCCGGAUUUUCCAGUCCGGGUUUAACCCGUACCGGAUUAAAUAAAAUCCGGAUCCGGAUGUCAUUUUAAAAACCCGCAUGUACCCGGGUCCGGUUCCGGGUUUAAGUAAACCCGUACAUCCGGAACCCGGACCCGGAUAUAUAUUAAUUUUAAAAAAUUAUUUUUAAUAUAAAUAGAAAGCAAAAAAAACCCAAAUGGUGCCCUAGAAGCUCAUUACACUUUCCCAGCCGCACAAACAUUUCCUCUCUUAUUCCCUCUUCAGCUCAUCUUCAUCUUCAUCAAAUCAUCGUCGCAUCACUUGCCCAUCUUCGCGGCUGUUCAACUUCAACAUCAUCAUCAUCAUCAUCAUCAGCCGUCGUUUCCUUUCUUUUUCUGCGGCGACCGGUAACUAGCUGUGAUACGGGUUGAACGCCGCCUUUGCCAAUCGCAACCGCGGCUGUGUUCAUCAUCAUCAACCGCCGUCACUUUCAAGAACGAUACUCGAAAAUAUUUUGAUGGGAAUCUUGUUUUUGGUCAUUUUAGUAACAGUGUGUGCAAGUGCGAGUGAGAGAGAGAGAGAACGUGGCUUACUCGAUGCCACUUAUCAUGCUUUCAUCUUUUUUCAUCCAGUGCGGGGUCUGUCUUUGUUGGCUUUUUGGAAAACUUGUUGCUUUUAAUGGUGUAUUACUUCUUUUGAAUAUCCAAUCAAUGUAAACUUAUUUACAUUACCCCUCCAGUUUUCCCAUCACCAUUAAAAGUGCUUUGGUUGCUCCUUGACUGUGCUUUGGUUGCUCCUUGACUCCUGACUUCCUGCUCGCAACAAAAGCUAGUUCUUUAGCUCUCUUUACUAAUUGAACGAGUCACCACAUUGGGUUGCUGAUUCUGGGCAGCCAAACAAAAUUGUUGUUUUUGUUAAUUAGUUUCCAGAUGAAAUAAUUUUUCUUUGAUUUGCUGAAAUCCUGGAUAUGUAUUUCUAUUUGAUUUUUUUAGUCGAAUUUAGUUUUUUUUUUUAAAUUGGAUUCAUCAAUCCGGGUUGGAAACCCGCAGUCCGGAAACCCGGAUUUUUCCGGGUUGAACCCGUACCGGACCCGGAGUGGAAAAAUGCGGGUUUAUUUCCGGGUCCGGUACAGAAAAUAUUCGUCCGGGUCCGGAUCCAGAAUGACUAAACCCGGACCCGGACCCGGAUUUUGCCAUCCCUAGGCACAAGUAACCUUUUUCUUUUCUUUUUAUUUUUUUUUGUUUUCCUUAACGGAUCAGAAGAAAUCGGUGCCUUUGAGAUACUACAAUGUAAAUAAGUACUUGUGGUUCAUUAAAUCUGUAACACUCGGUACCCUAAGGUUUCUUUUGAAAAAGGGCUUUUCUCACUGAUCACCAAUAUCCAAGUAAGUUUGUUUCAUUUCAGAAGGUGCAAAGUUUCAAACUUUUUGUAUUGGGAUGUAACAAACUUUGGCCUUAUAUGCCUGCUGUGACGUUAGACUGUUCAUUUUGAUUGUUUCAUACCUUUCACUUGCGCGCACUGUAGCACUGUAUUAUUCAUCAUUUUAGCUGUUUAAAUGAAAUUUUAUUUUUGUCAAAAAUAAAAUGACACCAUAAAAAUUUAGAAAAAUAAUCAUGUAGAUCCCAAAUUUUUAAUAAAGAAUACCAAUAUUCCCCUUGACUACAAUACCCUUAGUAGGUGGUAAUCAAACAAAUUGACUUAAACUUUUUUACGAAAUGUAAAUAUGAUUUAAAUAAUUUAAAUUUUCCAGUAGACUAAUAUAUAAUUUAAAUAAUUAAUUUCAAUAUUAAUUUUUAAAAUGUAAAUUAAUUUAUUUGUAUUUAUAAAAUAUUUGUAAUUAUUUUAAAAUUUUAACUAAAUCCUUAGGUUAAAUAGAUUUUACAAUUAAUAUAAUAUUUCUCAUGUAUUAAUAAUAUUAAAACUAUUUUAUAUGAUAUUGAAAAUAACCUAAAUUUUUAUAUAUUUAUUUGAAUAUUAUGUCUCUAUUUAUUAUAAUUUGGUUUAAUAGAAUACGAGAUUGUAAAUUAUUAAAAUUUUUAGAUAUUGAAAUUAUUUUAAUAUGUACAUAUUAUUAUAUUUAUUUUAAUAUCCUACUUAUAUUUAUUAUAAAAUAUUAAAAUUAAUUUUUUUAGUUAAUAAAUUUAAAAAAUAUUAUAAUUAAAAAAAAGAGUCUUAUUGCCUGUUAUUCACGAUAUGAGGUUCUACAAAAUUAUUUUCAAAAGGAAAAAUAAGUCCAGGGGUUUCAAUAAAUUCUAGUCCUAUCUGCCACUAUAACUAAUGGAAACGACAUUGCAAUUGACAUUGCUUUUCGCAAUAUGACAAUUUUUUGGAGGGAUAUGGGAGAAUCGUCAAAUGUUCACACUAUGCGGGAGUUUUGAAUGGGAUCGGGGAGAAUUGUCAAGAGUUCACACCACGAGAAACCAAUGAUAGCCAUAAUUACGCUGUCAGUUCUUUGUUUAUUUAUUUUGUUUAUUUCAUACAUUGUUGUCUUGUUGGCAUUGUUUUGUAAAUAUAUAAAAGUAAAGUAAACUAUUAGGGUGCUGCUAAGUUAAACUGUUGUAACUUACAAUCCCUUAAAAAAUAAUGUAAAAAAUUUAACACGUGGUGGGAUCGACAUAUGUUUGAAGAGGCUUUAAGUUACAGUAGUUGUGACUUAGAAAAAUCCAAAUAUUAGACAAUAACACACAUUAACAAUGCAUAUAAUUUGGGUUUGAUUUUUUUAAAAAUUAUUUGAGUAUUAACUAUCCUUAAGAUAUUAAUGUGAAUAUAAUUUAAUAUUAAAUAAUCAAAAUCUGUAUAAUUAUAAUAUAUAUUUCAUACAUUGCAUGUUUAAUCAAAAUCGGAUUGCUUUUUACCUUCCAUUUACGCCCACUGUAGCAUUGUACUAUUCACCAUUUUAGCUGUUUAAAUGAAAUUUUUAUUUUUUUUCAAAAAUAAAAUGACACCCUUAAAAUUUUAGAAAAUAGUCAUGUAAACCCCAAAAUUUUAAUAAAAAACACCAAUACCCUUUUUUACUAUAGUACUCUUAUGGUAGCCACAAAAAAAAAUGACUUCAAAAUUUUUUACUAAAUGUAAAUAUGAUUUAAAUAGUUUAAAUUUUCUAGUAGACUAGUAUGUAUAAUUUAAAUAAUUAAUUUUUAAAAUGUAAUUUAAUAUAUUUAUUUUAAUAAUAUAUUUAUUAUAAAAUUUUAAACAAAUCCUUGGGUUAAAUAGUUUUUAUAAUUAAUAUAAUAUUUCUCACGUUUUAAUAAUAUUAAAGUUAUUUUCUAUGAUAUUGAAAAUAAUUUAAAAUUUUAUAUAUUUAUUUUAAUAUUAUGUCUCUAUUUAUUAUAAUUUGGUUUAAUAGAAUACGAGAUUGUAAACUAUUAAAAUAUUUUUAGGUAUUGAAAUUAUUUUAAUAUGUAUAUAUUAUUAUAUUUAUUUUAAUAUCCUACUUAUAUUUAUUAUAAAAUAUUAAAAUUAAUUUUUUUAGUUAAUAAUUUAAAAAAAUAUUAUGGUUAAAAAAAAGAGUCUCAUUGUCCGUUAUUCACGAUAUGAGAUUCUACAAAAUUAUUUUCAAAAGGAAAAAUAAGUUCAGGGGUUUCAACAAAUUCUAGUCCUAUAUGCCAUUAUGACUAAUGGAAACGAUAUUGAAUUGACAUUGUUUUUUGCAAUAUGACAAAUUUUUGGAGGGAUAUGGGAGAAUCGUCAAGCGUUCACACCAUGCAAGAGCUUUAUGUCACGGGAUGAGUGUUUUGCGCAGCUAACCCGUGCGGCACUUAGACAACUUUGCCGAAUGUUGCUAAGUAAGCCUAGAGCUUCUCGAACAAGAGAAGAGAGCAAUUGAGCCAAAGAAGAAACUUGUAUUGCACAAAGAGAGAUUACAAUGCUUGUUGCUUACAAAGCUUGUUAGAUACAAAUGCCUAAUGCCAUUCCAUAUUUAUAGGGGAGGCUUGCCAAGCUCUAGAGAUUCUAGAGAAUUCUACCAACUAUCUAGAAUUUACAUGUGCUGGAAAGUCAUAGAGAAUUCUAGAGUAUUUACAAGCUCACAUGUGCUAGAGUUUCCUAGAACUUUCCGGAAUAAGGUCAAGCUAGCACUCUUGACCUUGUGUUGGCUCUCUACCCCGAAAUUGUGGGCAAUUGGGCUAGUGAAUUGGGAGGUCCGUAACAUCCUCCCCCACCUAAGCUCGCGGCGUCCUCGUCGUGCUCUCAUGCUUGAAGCGUUGGAUGUGCUCAGCGAAUUGCCACAAAUCAUCUUCACAUUCCCAAGUGGCUUCACUCUCGGGGAGGUUUUUCCACUUCACUAAGUACUCGCUAUGUGCUGGCACGCCUCUCCUCGAAACCGUGCGGUCCGCAAUGAUGUAGUCCACAUCUUUGUCGAACGCGUUGACAACGGCAGUUGGUGCACGCCUUGAUUCUCCAAGACUUGGUUCUCCCACGUCUUCGUGAUAUGGCUUGAGAAGGCUCACAUGGAAGACCAGAUGGAUCUUGAGUCUUGGUGGAAGUUGGAGUUGAUACGAGACGUUGCCCACAUGUCGAACAACUCGGAAGGGUCCCUCGUAGCGCCUCACUAACCCCUUGUGAACUUUCCGCAAAGUCUUGAAUUGUUGGGGUAGGAGCUUGAUCAUGACUUGAUCACCUUCCUUGUACUCAACAUGCCGUCUCCUUGUAUCCUCCCAUUUCUUCAUUUUCCUCGCGGCUUUGUCGAGAUAGGCUCGCGUGAUAUCCGCUUCCUCAUGCCAUUCGUGGGCGAGCUUGUGUGCCGCGGGAUUUUCCCUCCGUAAGUCGAGGCUAUGGCAUUGGGGGUCAUGGGCUGGAAUCCCAUGAUGAUCUCGAAUGGACUCUUGCCCGUAGCCUCACUUCGCUGCAAGUUAUAAGAAAAUUAGGCGAUGUCAAGUAGUUUCGCCCAAUCCCUCUGAUGAGCGCUCACAUAAUGCCUCAAGUACAUCUCGAGGAGGCCAUUGAUGCGCUCGGUCUGCCCAUCCGUUUGUGGGUGGAAGCUUGUCGAGAACUCGAGAUUGGUCCCCAACAUCUUGAAGAGCUCCGUCCAAAAAUACCCAGUGAACCGAGGGUCUCGGUCGCUCACAAUGCUUUUUGGAACUCCCCAAAGCUUCACAAUGUGCUUGACGAAUAGGCGGGCUGCCUCGUCCGCUUUACAGUCGACGGGUGCGGCAAUGAAUGUGACAUACUUGUUGUAUCGGUCGACAACAACGAUGAUGCUUCCGCAACCUUCAGACUUGGGGCAGCGAUGUGAUGAAGUCCAUGGAGACACUUUCUCAUGGCCUUGUUGCUAGCAGUAGCAGCUCCAACAAUCCCGCUGGAAGUUAAUGAUCCACCUUGUCUUGUUGGCACACAAGACAAGUUCGCACAUAUGCCUCGAUGCUGUCCCUCAUGUGCGGCCAAAAAUAUGAGGCUUGAACUAGUGCGGUGGUGCGCUCAAUUCCUGGGUGACCAGCCCACUUGGAGUCGUGGCACUCCUUGAUAACUUCCUUCCGCAAGUUUCCCCACCUUGGCACGAACAGCCGAUCUCCCUUGGUGAGGAGGAUGCCUUCCUCUUGCCAAAAUCACCUUGUCUUUCCCUCGAGCACCUUCUCUAGCAAAUCCUUGGCUAGCGGAUCUUGUUGGAAGCCUUCCUUGAUGCGUGAGACAAGGUCGGACUUCGGUUGGCUCAUGCUAAGUGUCGCCAAUUCGGCCUUGCGGCUUAGAGCGUCCGCAACGACAUUGGUCUUGCCUGGUUUGUACUCAAGCCGAUAGUCAAAUUCCGCUAGGAAAUCUUGCCACCGCGCUUGCUUCGGACUCAACUUCUUCUGAGUUUGGAAGUAGCUUGUCGCUACGUUGUCCGUCAUAAUCGUGAAGUGAGAGCCUAGCAAGUAAUGUCGCCACACGCGCAAGCAAUGUAUGAUGGCUGUCAUCUCCUUUUCUUGCACUGUGUAGCGGCGUUCCGUAUCAUUAAGCUUUCAACUCUCGAACGCUAUAGGGUGGCCUUCUUGCAUGAGGACUUCUCCUAUGGCAAAAUCCAAGGCAUCCGUUUGGACUUCAAAGGGCUUUGUGUGGUCCGGGAGAGUAAGGACAGGUUCCUCCGAAAUUGCCUUCUUCAAAUCCUCGAAUGCGCGUUGGCACUCUUUAGACCAAUGCCACGUUCUGUUUUUCUUGAGCAUAUCCGUCAAGGGUGCUGCCUUGGCCGAAUAGCCCUUGAUGAAGCGGCGGUAGUAGUUCACCAAACCAAGGAAUAAGCGAAGCUCGGGCACUUUCGAGGGAAGUUCCCAUUCAAGGAUGGCCUUCACUUUAGCAUUCUCCAUCAUAAUCUUCCCGUCCGCAAUCUUGUGGCCAAAGAACUCCACCUCUUGUUGGGCAAACGAGCACUUCUCUAGUUUGAGGAAGAGCUCAUUGUCUCGAAGUACUUGGAGGACUUGUCGCAAGUGUUGGGCAUGAUCCUAGAGCGUGGUGCUAUACACCACUAUGUCAUCCAAGUACACGACCACGAAGCGGUUGAGGAAUGGUUGGAGCACCUUGUUCAUGAGCGUACAAAAUGUGGCGGGUGCAUUAGUAAGGCCAAAAGGCAUUACAAGGAAUUUGAAAAACCCGUACCUUGUUGUGCACGCUGUCUUUGGUUCGUCUCCCUUGGCGAUGCGUUCUUGGUAGUACCCUGAGCGCAAGUCGAGUUUGGUGAAGUACCGCACUUUGCCAAGCUGGUCGAACUAGUCUGCGAUCAAGGAAAUCGGAUACUUGUUCUUGAUAGUGAUCUUGUUGAGUGCUCUAUAGUCGAUGCACAUCCGCAGCGAUCCAUCCUUUUUCUUUUGGAAGAGGACCGGUGCACCGAAUGGGGCCUUUGAGGGGCGAAUAUAGCCUGCGUUCAGCAAGUCUUUGAGUUGUCUCCACAACUCUUAUAAUUUUGGUGGCGCCAUGCGGUAGGGCGCCAGGGCUGGUGGCUUCGCGCCUUGUUCCAGCUCGAUGGCAUGAUCUACCUCUUGUCGAGGUGGGAGCUUCUUCGGAAGUUCUGGAGGCAUCACGUCCUUGUACUCAUUGAGGACGACUUGAAUUCGCGGAGGGACUUGGCUUGGCGAAGUUCCGCUAUGUCCUUCCUCAUUUAGUUCUCGAAUAGAGACCAAGAAGCUUGGGUCCUUCUUGAAAGCCCUUUUGAAUUGCAUGGCGGAGAGUGUCUUCUCCUCGGACUUGCCUCGCUCCGUGGGUACCAUGCAUGCUUUGCUCCCGUCGAGAAUGCUUAGGGAGUUUGUAGCGGGCAGCGGGAAGGCAUGGACUUGGUCAAAGAAUUUCAUGCUGAGGACCAUCUUGAAGUCGUCCAUGGGCACAAUGGAGAAGUCAAGCUUUCCGCUCCACGUACCGAGUGUGAUGUGCACGCCUUGUACGAUUCCCGCAAUUGGCUUGGCGGGUGAGUUUACUACCUUCAUUGUGCCUCCUUCCUUCGUGGCCUUGAGGCCUAAGCGCUUGGCCUCAUCUACGGACACGAAGUUGUGCGUUGCUCCCGUGUCUAGCAGCGUGCGAACGGACUGGCCGUUUACCUUUGCGCUAACAUACAUGAGCCAUUUCUUGACGAGUGCGGGCUGUUGGCGAUUGAGUGCGCCGAGGCGUUGGAGAGAACCCAUGCUGAGUUGGGGUUCCUCCGUGGACAUUGUAGGGUUGCUCUUGAGUUGGGCAGCAAGAGCGUUAAGCGACCUCUUCUCCGGACAGUCGCGCACCCAAUGGGGACCAUUGCAUAUGAAGCAUGGGUUUCGCAGUUUUGGCGCCUCCUUCUUGCCCUCCGAUUUUCCUUGCCCGCUCUUGUUAUUAGGCGGCUUUUUAUGCCCCCAAUCUUUACGGUUGUUGCCCUUGUCCUUGUGACUCUCUCCCCUACCUUUGCCUUGACUAGACUUCUUGUCUUUGGAUUGGGUAGAGUAUUCGGUGAGCGAUUCCGCAACGGCGAUGGCGUCGUCAAGUGUUUGAACACCACACCUAUCAAGCUCGGUCUUGGCCCAAUCCUUGAGGCCAUCUUGGAAGUAGAAGAGUGAAUCUUUGUCAGACAUGUCGCUUAUCUCCAACAUAAGGGUAGUGAACUCAUUGAUGUAGUCCCGAAUGCUACCCGAUUGCUUGAGGCGACGUAAGCGCGCUCGCGCUUCCUUCUCCGCAUUGCUUGGGGCGAACUGUUUUCAGAGUUCUUGCUUGAAGUCGGCCCAAGUGUCGAUGGUGCAAAUGCCCUUGCCCAUCUCGCCAUGCUUGCGACACCACCAUAGUUGUGCAGCACUUCGAAGAUAAGUGGGUGCAGUGCCCACUUUCGAUGCCUCAUCUCGUACACCCAUGGCAUCGAAGUAUUGAUCCAGCCCGAAUAAGAAGUUGUCCACGAUUGUGGCAUUGCGUGUUGUUGUGCAAAUUUUAAUGUACUCGCAAGCGCACGAAUCUAUUAUAGUAUAGAUCAAUGGUGACGAGUGUCGAUCCCACGAGAAGGUGGAUUUUAAUUGUGUAUAGAAUUAAUUUUGCAAAUGGUUGAUUGGAUUUGUGGUGGAAAUGAUUUGGAAUAUGCUAAAACUUAAAUUAAAAUGGCGAGAAUAAAUUCUGAAAUUGGAAUUGAAAUGACGAGAAUAAAUUGAAGAGAAUUCUAUUGAAAUGACGUACUUGGGUAUCUGGAUCCGUAUCAACAUGCAUCAUGGGCUAAAUAAUCCGUAUUAAUGCCAAUUAAAUCAUGAGGGGGGAAUCCACACCUCAUGAACCACGCUCUAAUCAAUAUGGUGCUAAGGGCUUAUCGUGCCAAAUAAUAAUAACCUUGUACUAGAGAGCCGGUGUAACCAAGGCGGUAUCUAGACAAGAUCAGUAUUAUUUGUCGACGAUAAGUCAAAUCAUCCACAAAAACUAGAGGGGAAAAGAAAAUAAAUUUACCAAAUAAAGCCCAUGACACAUGUUGAGACUUCACCUUCAACCCAAGCUUGAAAGAAAAUUAGCCACUCAUAAUUGAACUAAGGGCAAAAUGGGAAUUUAUUAAAAUACAAAGAAAAUACAAGAUGGAGAAGGAAUUACAGAAAAUGGAUCCCAAAAAUGGAUUCAGAGAUAUCAAAUUAGGGGGGGGAGGCCCCCUUUUUAUAGAUACAUGGAGUAAAUCAUGGCCAUCGGAUUAAAAACAGUUUGGACGCUCAGGAUUGCGCCACGUCAUCAGUCAACAGUCCACGGUUUGACCACGCGGAUGAACAGUAACACGGUUUGACCUGGAUGAACAGUAACGCGGUUUGGUUGACAAUAAUCCUGUGUGAUGCAUGCACCGUACGCGAGAUUUUUCGUCCACUGAUAUGCUGCCACGUCACCAUCAACAGUACAUAAGAUUUUAGUCCAACAGGAUCGUGACACCUCAUCAGUCAAUGCCACAUCAUCGGUCAAUGCCACAUCAUCGGUCAAUGCCACGUCAUCGAUCAAUGCCACGUCAUCGAUCCGUCUAUGUGAACAGUGUCGUGAACAGUAACGUAGACAGUACCGUAUACGUGAAUAGUACCGUACAUGUGAAUAGUGCCAUUUUUCCUUUUAUGCUCCUCCUAAGGUUUUCGACCGUCCUGAGUUCAAAAGUGAUGUCCGUUUUGCCAUCUGAUCUCUCCUUUAUUGUGAAAUGACUAUAAUGCCCCUAAAAUACAUAAAAUACUUAAUUAAAAUAACACACACGUAAUUACAUCACAAGAAGGUUAAAUACAUAAAAGUAAGGGUUGUUAGUAAGACUUGAAAUGUAAAAUGACGGUUUUCUCCUUUAUAAAUAUGCAUUUUCUAACACUCAACACACCCCCCAACCAGCUUAUUGCUAGUCCCUAGCAAAUAAAGCGAAAACAAAAUUCAAAUUCAAAUUUUUUUUUUUUUUUUUAGAAACACUCGUGUUUAUUCAAUCAGAUUAAUGAUAGCAAUCAAAUAAAAGUAUAAGCAUUAUCUCCAGUCUAAAGCAAUAUCACACCCACAUCAACCAUCCACAUGAAUCGGCCCAGUAGAUUUUGUUAUAGGUACUUUCAAGAAUGACAUGUCAAACCCCAAAAUCUCACUGGAAGUAAUGACACUCUCACAAAUAAAUUAAACCCAAUAAAAAUAGUCACUCCAAUGAAUGGUAAUUGAGAGAGAAAAUAAUAAAGAAGUGAUAUCACAUGCUCUCACCAAGAUGAAAUAAAUAUGCCCUUAGCUUAGAAAUAAUACGAUCUCAAGUCAAAUAAAAUGUUAGUCAACCCACUUUAUAUAUCUUUUUUUUUUUUUAUUAUGCAUCACUACAUCUUUUUAGCCCAUAUAACUAGCUUCUACUUCAAACUAUAGUUCCCUAAAAUCAAGAAGGACUUUUAUUAGGACGUAACGUAGGCUAGGGAUAUGGCUAAUAAAGAAAGGAAAUAAGGAAAACAAAGUGUAUGUUUGAGAAAAAUGCAGAAAUAAUUUUUUUUUUUUUUUGAAGUUGCAAGGUAGAUUUCACCUAUUAUUGUUAUUUUAUUCUUUUGAAACAACAACUUUUGUUUUUAUUUUAAUUUUUUUUUUUACUUUUAUUUGGCAUAACUUCACUGAACAACAUAAUUAUUUACAUUUUCUCAAACAUAAAUAGGUGAUGGAACUUAAAAGACAUUGGGUAAUACUCCAAAUCGGAGUGGGUCAAGAUGAUAAGUUGACAAAGAAAAUGUUUUUUUUUUUUUUUUUUUAAAGGCUCAAAAGGGGUAACUAUGGAUAUUUAAUAACAGGGAUGGCUAGAAAGGCUCAAACGGAUCAAAGAUGGUCUUUCCAUCGUUUUUUAGGGCUCUAAAUAAUUAUCCAUAUCUACUAGUUAAAUGGGCAUCCCAAUAUAGCAACACACAUUUUUUUCUUUUUUCUUUUUUUUUUUACCAUUUUUUUUUAAAGGGUUAACUCAAAAGAAAUCUAGAGAUCGUGUAUAAAAUAAUAAACUGCUAAGUUGUAUAGAGAAUGGGCAAAAGGGUUACUCUCCAAGAAAAUGAUAGGCUCAACUACUCACUUGGCACUUAUUUAUGACAUGUUCAUUCCUUCAAGCAACUCAUAUUUGUCUCCGACAUCAACAUGUAAAGUAGCAAACAUAGCGUAACAUCACUUAAGACCAAAGAUAAUACAAAUACUAAAAUUUGAAAUUAAUCAUGUCAUCCAAUGUUAAAACAAAUAACACAAUUUUUUUUUUUUAAACAACAUUCUACCCCCCAACCUAUUCUAAACAUGAAAGGAAAAUAUGCAUGCAGAAAUGUGAAAAUGAUGUAGAAAAAUUAAUUAGAAAAAGAAAUUUUUUUUUUUUAAACUAAGAAGAUGCGUUUCUAGAGGCACUACACUCCAUAUUCAGCCAUCUUCGACUCAAAAAUUUGAAACUACAUAUUUAUAAAGGAGAAAGAGGAAGAAAACAGGUUUUUUUUUUUUUUUUUUUUUUUUUAAACGAUGAAGAUGCGUUUCUAGAGGCACUACACUCCAUAUUCAGCCAUCUUCAACAUAAAAUGUUAGCAACAGUUAGUUUCUACAACAAAAAAUCAGUAAAAACUUAACCAAGAUUCCACAAUUGUCGACUAUUCCCUCCCCCCAACCAGAACGAAACAUUGUCCUCAAUGUUUUAAAGGAAAGAAGUAGAGUUUAGAAGACAUCACCUGGGUGGUGCAACACAGAAGAAAAUAUUUACAGGCGGAGAGUUAAAUCUAAUUUGUACUUCUUACUGCGGCUACUGUUACCAUCAUUAUUUGGUCGCUCCAACACAAAGGUCCAGGGGUCUGGCUCCGGUUUAUAAGCUUGUAACAUAUCAAGUAGCUCAUUAGCAGUGUGAGCACAAAUAAAGAGUUUUUUCACAUUAGAAGGAAUGAAAUAGUUUUUUAUUGCAUGGUUAAGAAAUGCGAUAAAGCCAUCAUAAAAGUUAUUGACAUUUAACAAACCGAUGGGUUUCUGGUGGAUGUGCAGAUGGGCCCAAGAUGCUAGUGUCAUAAGUGCCUCUAGUGUUGCAAGAUCUCCUGGAAGGAAAAUAAAAGCAUCAGCAUGAUUAAGCAUUUCAGUUAUUCUUUCUUGCAUACCUGAGACGACUAACUCUUCUCCAGUUGAUGAGUCAGACGAACUGCCCAAUGGUUUUAGGAUUCUUGGGAUGAUGCCUAACACUUGACUUCCUCUGAUAAAAGCUGCUUCUGAGACCAUUUUUGAUAACCCUCGGUUACCUCCUCCAUACACCAAAUGUAAUUUUCUCGCUGCUAUGCUUCGACCAAGAUCUAUGGCUGCCUCCACGAACUCUUUAUGUUUGCCAUAGGUAAAUCCAGAAAGCACACAAAUGUUCUUGAAUUGUCUAUUAGGAGUAGCUGCCAUUGUGAUACUUCUCAAAAAUAAUUUGUGAGUGCUUGACAAAAGAUAAAUCACAUUUAAGAAUCUUGGUGACAGUGGAUCACAGCUGUGAAUAAGGUAACAUGUCAGUGUCAAAUAACGCGUAAAGCACGUGGCUCGCGAGUCAAAAAGGAAACAGUAAAAAGGAAAAAGCAAACAGUAACAAAAUUAUUAAAGACAAUAAUGCAAACAAUAAAACAACAGUGAAAUGAAAUAAAAUAACAGUAAAGUAAAAGGAUAUUUACACGUAGUUGCGACUGUGGCUCACAUCUUCCUCUGGUUUUACGUCCAGAAACGGCUUGAACGCCCUCUAUGGGUCGAGGAUAGGCUUCCUAUCCAGUUUUCUUAUAAACUGGCAAACAGGGUCGUUUAUAGUCAGAUUCCCAAGACUAUAUUGUGUAUGCUCUUUCUGGAAUAAUGGCCAUAACUGGAGAAUCGCUCCUUGCACAUAUCCACUGGGAUGCGUUUCAAGAGACAAAAGGAUAUCAUCCAAUGACUCCUUAUUCAAGCCAUCCCUAAUGAAUUGAAUCUUAUCUUCUCUGUUAUCAGACACCAUUCCUAAAGAACAUGGGUUUCUAUCGCAACUCAUUCUGGCACACUUGUGACAAGCAACAGAAAUUCUUCGAGCUCGUCGUUUUCUUGCGUAAUUUCCUUUACCACAACCAGGCAUGUAUGCAAUAAAUUUAGGAGGUAACUCACCUGCCAAUCGUACUUUAGCCUCGAUUAACCAACGGAUGUCUGCAGGUAUGUUAUUCCUCAUGAGCAAUCGCAUGCGUUCAGACCGGGCUUUAUAGAUUGUAAGGAGGGCAUUCUGAGGAAGUGAAGGGAAUCGCUUGUGAAGCUUUGCUAGAAUCUCGUUUCUAUCCAUACCUUCGCCUCAGAAUAUCAGUUAUUAUGGGAAACUGAAGUAACCGACUUGAUUGUCACGGAGUACCGUUAUCCGCCACUUCACCGGGGUAACAAACUAAAGCACACAAAUAGAAAAACAAAUCAAAACACACAAAGAAAAUUAAAAUCGUCCUCUUAUUGAAUUUACCUCAAGCUCCAACUGGAUGUCGUAAACACUUCUCUCAAUGUCUCUGAGUUGGCGUUCUAAACCCUCAACAUAGGCUACUAACUCUGGUGGUUGUAGAGCCCAAAUGCGUUGUGUUUUACAAAAUNNNNNNNNNNNNNNNNNNNNNNNNNNNNNNNNNNNNNNNNNNNNNNNNNNNNNNNNNNNNNNNNNNNNNNNNNNNNNNNNNNNNNNNNNNNNNNNNNNNNNNNNNNNNNNNNNNNNNNNNNNNNNNNNNNNNNNNNNNNNNNNNNNNNNNNNNNNNNNNNNNNNNNNNNNNNNNNNNNNNNNNNNNNNNNNNNNNNNNNNNNNNNNNNNNNNNNNNNNNNNNNNNNNNNNNNNNNNNNNNNNNNNNNNNNNNNNNNNNNNNNNNNNNNNNNNNNNNNNNNNNNNNNNNNNNNNNNNNNNNNNNNNNNNNNNNNNNNNNNNNNNNNNNNNNNNNNNNNNNNNNNNNNNNNNNNNNNNNNNNNNNNNNNNNNNNNNNNNNNNNNNNNNNNNNNNNNNNNNNNNNNNNNNNNNNNNNNNNNNNNNNNNNNNNNNNNNNNNNNNNNNNNNNNNNNNNNNNNNNNNNNNNNNNNNNNNNNNNNNNNNNNNNNNNNNNNNNNNNNNNNNNNNNNNNNNNNNNNNNNNNNNNNNNNNNNNNNNNNNNNNNNNNNNNNNNNNNNNNNNNNNNNNNNNNNNNNNNNNNNNNNNNNNNNNNNNNNNNNNNNNNNNNNNNNNNNNNNNNNNNNNNNNNNNNNNNNNNNNNNNNNNNNNNNNNNNNNNNNNNNNNNNNNNNNNNNNNNNNNNNNNNNNNNNNNNNNNNNNNNNNNNNNNNNNNNNNNNNNNNNNNNNNNNNNNNNNNNNNNNNNNNNNNNNNNNNNNNNNNNNNNNNNNNNNNNNNNNNNNNNNNNNNNNNNNNNNNNNNNNNNNNNNNNNNNNNNNNNNNNNNNNNNNNNNNNNNNNNNNNNNNNNNNNNNNNNNNNNNNNNNNNNNNNNNNNNNNNNNNNNNNNNNNNNNNNNNNNNNNNNNNNNNNNNNNNNNNNNNNNNNNNNNNNNNNNNNNNNNNNNNNNNNNNNNNNNNNNNNNNNNNNNNNNNNNNNNNNNNNNNNNNNNNNNNNNNNNNNNNNNNNNNNNNNNNNNNNNNNNNNNNNNNNNNNNNNNNNNNNNNNNNNNNNNNNNNNNNNNNNNNNNNNNNNNNNNNNNNNNNNNNNNNNNNNNNNNNNNNNNNNNNNNNNNNNNNNNNNNNNNNNNNNNNNNNNNNNNNNNNNNNNNNNNNNNNNNNNNNNNNNNNNNNNNNNNNNNNNNNNNNNNNNNNNNNNNNNNNNNNNNNNNNNNNNNNNNNNNNNNNNNNNNNNNNNNNNNNNNNNNNNNNNNNNNNNNNNNNNNNNNNNNNNNNNNNNNNNNNNNNNNNNNNNNNNNNNNNNNNNNNNNNNNNNNNNNNNNNNNNNNNNNNNNNNNNNNNNNNNNNNNNNNNNNNNNNNNNNNNNNNNNNNNNNNNNNNNNNNNNNNNNNNNNNNNNNNNNNNNNNNNNNNNNNNNNNNNNNNNNNNNNNNNNNNNNNNNNNNNNNNNNNNNNNNNNNNNNNNNNNNNNNNNNNNNNNNNNNNNNNNNNNNNNNNNNNNNNNNNNNNNNNNNNNNNNNNNNNNNNNNNNNNNNNNNNNNNNNNNNNNNNNNNNNNNNNNNNNNNNNNNNNNNNNNNNNNNNNNNNNNNNNNNNNNNNNNNNNNNNNNNNNNNNNNNNNNNNNNNNNNNNNNNNNNNNNNNNNNNNNNNNNNNNNNNNNNNNNNNNNNNNNNNNNNNNNNNNNNNNNNNNNNNNNNNNNNNNNNNNNNNNNNNNNNNNNNNNNNNNNNNNNNNNNNNNNNNNNNNNNNNNNNNNNNNNNNNNNNNNNNNNNNNNNNNNNNNNNNNNNNNNNNNNNNNNNNNNNNNNNNNNNNNNNNNNNNNNNNNNNNNNNNNNNNNNNNNNNNNNNNNNNNNNNNNNNNNNNNNNNNNNNNNNNNNNNNNNNNNNNNNNNNNNNNNNNNNNNNNNNNNNNNNNNNNNNNNNNNNNNNNNNNNNNNNNNNNNNNNNNNNNNNNNNNNNNNNNNNNNNNNNNNNNNNNNNNNNNNNNNNNNNNNNNNNNNNNNNNNNNNNNNNNNNNNNNNNNNNNNNNNNNNNNNNNNNNNNNNNNNNNNNNNNNNNNNNNNNNNNNNNNNNNNNNNNNNNNNNNNNNNNNNNNNNNNNNNNNNNNNNNNNNNNNNNNNNNNNNNNNNNNNNNNNNNNNNNNNNNNNNNNNNNNNNNNNNNNNNNNNNNNNNNNNNNNNNNNNNNNNNNNNNNNNNNNNNNNNNNNNNNNNNNNNNNNNNNNNNNNNNNNNNNNNNNNNNNNNNNNNNNNNNNNNNNNNNNNNNNNNNNNNNNNNNNNNNNNNNNNNNNNNNNNNNNNNNNNNNNNNNNNNNNNNNNNNNNNNNNNNNNNNNNNNNNNNNNNNNNNNNNNNNNNNNNNNNNNNNNNNNNNNNNNNNNNNNNNNNNNNNNNNNNNNNNNNNNNNNNNNNNNNNNNNNNNNNNNNNNNNNNNNNNNNNNNNNNNNNNNNNNNNNNNNNNNNNNNNNNNNNNNNNNNNNNNNNNNNNNNNNNNNNNNNNNNNNNNNNNNNNNNNNNNNNNNNNNNNNNNNNNNNNNNNNNNNNNNNNNNNNNNNNNNNNNNNNNNNNNNNNNNNNNNNNNNNNNNNNNNNNNNNNNNNNNNNNNNNNNNNNNNNNNNNNNNNNNNNNNNNNNNNNNNNNNNNNNNNNNNNNNNNNNNNNNNNNNNNNNNNNNNNNNNNNNNNNNNNNNNNNNNNNNNNNNNNNNNNNNNNNNNNNNNNNNNNNNNNNNNNNNNNNNNNNNNNNNNNNNNNNNNNNNNNNNNNNNNNNNNNNNNNNNNNNNNNNNNNNNNNNNNNNNNNNNNNNNNNNNNNNNNNNNNNNNNNNNNNNNNNNNNNNNNNNNNNNNNNNNNNNNNNNNNNNNNNNNNNNNNNNNNNNNNNNNNNNNNNNNNNNNNNNNNNNNNNNNNNNNNNNNNNNNNNNNNNNNNNNNNNNNNNNNNNNNNNNNNNNNNNNNNNNNNNNNNNNNNNNNNNNNNNNNNNNNNNNNNNNNNNNNNNNNNNNNNNNNNNNNNNNNNNNNNNNNNNNNNNNNNNNNNNNNNNNNNNNNNNNNNNNNNNNNNNNNNNNNNNNNNNNNNNNNNNNNNNNNNNNNNNNNNNNNNNNNNNNNNNNNNNNNNNNNNNNNNNNNNNNNNNNNNNNNNNNNNNNNNNNNNNNNNNNNNNNNNNNNNNNNNNNNNNNNNNNNNNNNNNNNNNNNNNNNNNNNNNNNNNNNNNNNNNNNNNNNNNNNNNNNNNNNNNNNNNNNNNNNNNNNNNNNNNNNNNNNNNNNNNNNNNNNNNNNNNNNNNNNNNNNNNNNNNNNNNNNNNNNNNNNNNNNNNNNNNNNNNNNNNNNNNNNNNNNNNNNNNNNNNNNNNNNNNNNNNNNNNNNNNNNNNNNNNNNNNNNNNNNNNNNNNNNNNNNNNNNNNNNNNNNNNNNNNNNNNNNNNNNNNNNNNNNNNNNNNNNNNNNNNNNNNNNNNNNNNNNNNNNNNNNNNNNNNNNNNNNNNNNNNNNNNNNNNNNNNNNNNNNNNNNNNNNNNNNNNNNNNNNNNNNNNNNNNNNNNNNNNNNNNNNNNNNNNNNNNNNNNNNNNNNNNNNNNNNNNNNNNNNNNNNNNNNNNNNNNNNNNNNNNNNNNNNNNNNNNNNNNNNNNNNNNNNNNNNNNNNNNNNNNNNNNNNNNNNNNNNNNNNNNNNNNNNNNNNNNNNNNNNNNNNNNNNNNNNNNNNNNNNNNNNNNNNNNNNNNNNNNNNNNNNNNNNNNNNNNNNNNNNNNNNNNNNNNNNNNNNNNNNNNNNNNNNNNNNNNNNNNNNNNNNNNNNNNNNNNNNNNNNNNNNNNNNNNNNNNNNNNNNNNNNNNNNNNNNNNNNNNNNNNNNNNNNNNNNNNNNNNNNNNNNNNNNNNNNNNNNNNNNNNNNNNNNNNNNNNNNNNNNNNNNNNNNNNNNNNNNNNNNNNNNNNNNNNNNNNNNNNNNNNNNNNNNNNNNNNNNNNNNNNNNNNNNNNNNNNNNNNNNNNNNNNNNNNNNNNNNNNNNNNNNNNNNNNNNNNNNNNNNNNNNNNNNNNNNNNNNNNNNNNNNNNNNNNNNNNNNNNNNNNNNNNNNNNNNNNNNNNNNNNNNNNNNNNNNNNNNNNNNNNNNNNNNNNNNNNNNNNNNNNNNNNNNNNNNNNNNNNNNNNNNNNNNNNNNNNNNNNNNNNNNNNNNNNNNNNNNNNNNNNNNNNNNNNNNNNNNNNNNNNNNNNNNNNNNNNNNNNNNNNNNNNNNNNNNNNNNNNNNNNNNNNNNNNNNNNNNNNNNNNNNNNNNNNNNNNNNNNNNNNNNNNNNNNNNNNNNNNNNNNNNNNNNNNNNNNNNNNNNNNNNNNNNNNNNNNNNNNNNNNNNNNNNNNNNNNNNNNNNNNNNNNNNNNNNNNNNNNNNNNNNNNNNNNNNNNNNNNNNNNNNNNNNNNNNNNNNNNNNNNNNNNNNNNNNNNNNNNNNNNNNNNNNNNNNNNNNNNNNNNNNNNNNNNNNNNNNNNNNNNNNNNNNNNNNNNNNNNNNNNNNNNNNNNNNNNNNNNNNNNNNNNNNNNNNNNNNNNNNNNNNNNNNNNNNNNNNNNNNNNNNNNNNNNNNNNNNNNNNNNNNNNNNNNNNNNNNNNNNNNNNNNNNNNNNNNNNNNNNNNNNNNNNNNNNNNNNNNNNNNNNNNNNNNNNNNNNNNNNNNNNNNNNNNNNNNNNNNNNNNNNNNNNNNNNNNNNNNNNNNNNNNNNNNNNNNNNNNNNNNNNNNNNNNNNNNNNNNNNNNNNNNNNNNNNNNNNNNNNNNNNNNNNNNNNNNNNNNNNNNNNNNNNNNNNNNNNNNNNNNNNNNNNNNNNNNNNNNNNNNNNNNNNNNNNNNNNNNNNNNNNNNNNNNNNNNNNNNNNNNNNNNNNNNNNNNNNNNNNNNNNNNNNNNNNNNNNNNNNNNNNNNNNNNNNNNNNNNNNNNNNNNNNNNNNNNNNNNNNNNNNNNNNNNNNNNNNNNNNNNNNNNNNNNNNNNNNNNNNNNNNNNNNNNNNNNNNNNNNNNNNNNNNNNNNNNNNNNNNNNNNNNNNNNNNNNNNNNNNNNNNNNNNNNNNNNNNNNNNNNNNNNNNNNNNNNNNNNNNNNNNNNNNNNNNNNNNNNNNNNNNNNNNNNNNNNNNNNNNNNNNNNNNNNNNNNNNNNNNNNNNNNNNNNNNNNNNNNNNNNNNNNNNNNNNNNNNNNNNNNNNNNNNNNNNNNNNNNNNNNNNNNNNNNNNNNNNNNNNNNNNNNNNNNNNNNNNNNNNNNNNNNNNNNNNNNNNNNNNNNNNNNNNNNNNNNNNNNNNNNNNNNNNNNNNNNNNNNNNNNNNNNNNNNNNNNNNNNNNNNNNNNNNNNAUGAACUAUCAGAAAUUGGGUAAAUGAUACCUGCGUCUAAUAGCUUAAGGACUUCUGUUCUAACAACUUCUUUCAUAUUAGGAUUUAACCGACGUUGCAUUUCCCUAGUAGAUUUAGCAUUUUCAUCAAGGUGAAUGUAAUGCAUGCAGUCUACUGGAUUUAUACCUUUGAUGUCUGCUAUGGUCCAUCCUAAUGCCCCUUUGUGCUCUUUUAAAACAUCCAACAACUUACCUUUUUGUUCGUCAUUUAGGGAUGAUGAGAUGAUUACCGGCAGAGUACUUUCUUCUCCCAAAAAUGCAUAUUCCAGAGUGUUGGGUAAUGGUUUGAGCUCGAGUUUCGGUGGUGAUUCUGAUGAUGGAAUGAGUUUCUUCUCUGAUGGUGCUAGUUGUUCAACUCUUGACUUCCAUUUAUUAGUGUCCAUGGAUGGUGCUGAGUCAAGUAGGGCGUUGACCUCUUCGACCGAUCUGUCAAUAUCAAAAUCCAAACCAAAGUGAGUUAAACAUGUUUGUAAAGGAUCAUCACUAAGGUUUGAAAGAAAAGUAUUAUCAACUAUUGUUUCUAUUAAAUCCACAUCAACAAUUCCAUCAUCUGCACUGUGAGGUUGUUUGGCAAUGUUGAAGAUGUUUAGCUCCAUAGUCAUGUUGCCGAAGGACAAUUGCAUAUUUCCGGUCCUACAUUGAAUAUGAGCAUCUGCAGUUGCCAAGAAAGGUCGGCCUAGAAUAAUGGGGAUGUGCUUCCUUGAGUCCUGUAUUGGUUGAGUGUCAAUUACAAUGAAAUCAACAGGAAAAUAAAACUUGUCUACCUGGAUAAGCACGUCCUCCACAAAACCACGAGGUAUUUUUGUGGACCGAUCUGCAAGUUGUAACACCACUGGAGUUGGGUGUAAUUCUCCCAGUCCAAGUUUCACGAAUACAGAGUAAGGCAACAAAUUUACACUAGCUCCUAAAUCCAACAAAGCAUUCUCAAUUGUGUGGUUCCCUAUACUACAUGAGAUAGUGGGGGAGCCUGGGUCUUUGCAUUUUAAAGGAAUUUUAUGUUGGAGUAUAGAACUAACGUUUUCUGUUAAAAAUGCCUUCUUUUGAACAUGCAUAUUUCUCUUUUUAGUACAAAGGUCUUUAAGAAACUUGGCAUAAGAUGGAACUUGCUUUAUAGCAUCAAGUAAAGGGAUGUUAACACUUACCUGUUUGAAGAUUUCGAGAAUCUCACCUGUGGAUUUUCCUUUCUUGCCUUUCGCUAACCUCUGAGGAAAUGGAGCUUUCGGAACGUAUUCUCGUGGGUUGGUUUCUUCUUUCUCCUCCGGUGGUGAGUCUUCAACAUUCACAGGUACAAUUUGAUUUUCUUUUGUCACCGGCAUCUCCACUUUGUUGUCGACUUCCUUUCCUUUUCGCAAGGUCAUGACUGCUUUGACCUCUCCAUGCUGUUGUGGUGAACUGGUACUUGCUUCAUGUACUCCUUUAGGAUUAGGCACUGGUUGACUUGGAAAUUUUCCUUUCUCAACAGUCAUUGCCAAGGUCUGAACUGAAGAAGCAAGUUGUCCCACCAUCUUCUCGAGGCUUGAAACUGAUUGAGCUUGUGAGUUGAAGCCUGCUCUCAACUCAUUUCGUAGUCCAUCAAUGGUGCGGUUCUGUUGCUCAAUCGUAGAGUGAGUAGCAUUCUUGAAAUUCUGGAAUGAAUCCUCCCAUGGUCUGGGUUGAGAGUAGUUUUGGUUCUGAUUGAAUGGUCUAAAUGGGGGCUGAGAGGCUUGAGGAUUUUGAGGAAUUUGUUGCAUUGGUGGAGCUGCUGGUCCAUUCUGUUGGAAUCCUUGAGACCAUGAAAAAUUGGGGUGGUCUCUCCAUCCAGGAUUAUAUGUGUUGGAGUAUGGGUUGUAAUUCGAUGGUUUUCUCAUUACACCUAUGGCAUUGGCUUGAUCUGAGUAUGAGUCAUGGUCAUGUGAUUCUGUUGAUUUAGCAGUCGAUAACGAUGCUAUUUGUCGAGCAAGACCUUCAACCAUCUCCUUGACUUCUUUGAUUUCCGAAGUUGACUCGCCAAUUUGAACCUCAUUUACUCCCUUAAUUCUUCUAGUAUUCCUGAGUGAUCGACUCCGUUGUUGGGAAUUAUCCGCUUGUCGCUGGAAGAAUUCCCAAAUCUCUGAUGCACUUUUUGACAUUAGCUCUCCUCCACUUGUUGCCAUUAGCCAUUCUUGCACAUUUGGUAGUAAUCCCUCCAAAAAGUAUUGACAUUGGUGCCAUUUUUCGUACCCAUGAUGUGGACACUUCAAGAGUAGCCCAUUGAAUCGCUCCCAUGUUUCGAAAAACUGCUCGUCCUCUCUCUGUGUAAACUCUGAAAUUUCCCUGCGAAUAGCAUUGGUUUUAUGCACUGGGAAAUAUUUAUUCAAAAAUUUUGUAACCAUUUGUUCCCAUGAUGCAAUGCUAUUAGCAGGCAAUGUAUUAAGCCAUGAACGAGCUCUAUCCUUUAAAGAAAAUGGGAAUAAUCUGAGUUUAACAUCAUCGUCUGAAAAAUUCUCAUAUUUGAAUGUUUGACAAAUGGCAUGAAAAUCAUUCAAAUGAUUAUAUGGGUCCUCAUUUUCUAAGCCAUAGAAUGUGGGGAGACAAUUUAGCACACUAGGUUUUAAUUCAAAACUCCUAGCAGCUACAUUUGGGUAUCUUAUGCAUGACGUGCUCAAAUUAGCUAAGGGACUAAAAUAGUCCUUAAAUGGCCUCUCCUGUGGUGCUUGUAAAUCUAUUUUAUUUUUAACGUGUUUGUGUGUGCGAAGUGUUUUUUCUAAUUCAAGGUCUAUAGGUUCAAGAUUUGGUAAUAAUGACCUACGACCAUGCAUGCAAAAUAAAUAAAAUAAAAAUAAAGAUGGGAACAAAAACAAAUAAAAAUAAAGAAGAGGGAGAAAUUACGAUACUAACCUUAUUGCGCUAUUACAACCUUUCUAUAAAAAUACACAAAAACAAAUACGUGAAAUAAAUUAACUAAAAAUUAAAUUAAUAAAAUAAACAAAAAUUACAAAGAAAAAAAAUUAAAAAUUAAAUUACAGAAUUUUAAAGAAGAGAAAAAGAAAAGAAAUAAUAACCUUUAAAUGUAGAUUUACUUUUUUUUUUAAUAAAAAAUACAAGAAAACAAAUAAAAGAAAUUAUUCACAAAAAUUAAUUCUAUGAAUUAAAAUUACUUACCUCCCCAGCAACGGCGCCAAAAACUUGUUGUGCAAAUUUUAAUGUACUCGCAAGCGCACGAAUCUAUUAUAGUAUAGAUCAAUGGUGACGAGUGUCGAUCCCACGAGGAGGUGGAUUUUAAUUGUGUAUAGAAUUAAUUUUGCAAAUGGUUGAUUGGAUCUGUGGUGGAAAUGAUUUGGAAUAUGCUAAAACUUAAAUUAAAAUGGCGAGAAUAAAUUCUGAAAUUGGAAUUGAAAUGACGAGAAUAAAUUGAAGAGAAUUCUAUUGAAAUGACGUACUUGGGUAUCUGGAUCCGUAUCAACAUGCAUCAUGGGCUAAAUAAUCCGUAUUAAUGCCAAUUAAAUCAUGAGGGGGGAAUCCACACCUCAUGAACCACGCUCUAAUCAAUAUGGUGCUAAGGGCUUAUCGUGCCAAAUAAUAAUAACCUUGUACUAGAGAGCCGGUGUAACCAAGGCGGUAUCUAGACAAGAUCAGUAUUAUUUGUCGACGAUAAGUCAAAUCAUCCACAAAAACUAGAGGGGAAAAGAAAAUAAAUUUACCAAAUAAAGCUCAUGACACAUGUUGAGACUUCACCUUCAACCCAAGCUUGAAAGAAAAUUAGCCACUCAUAAUUGAACUAAGGGCAAAAUGGGAAUUUAUUAAAAUACAAAGAAAAUACAAGAUGGAGAAGGAAUUACAGAAAAUGGAUCCCAAAAAUGGAUUCAAAGAUAUCAAAUUAGGGGGGGAGGCCCCCUUUUUAUAGAUACAUGGAGUAAAUCAUGGCCAUCGGAUUAAAAACAGUUUGGACGCUCAGGAUUGCGCCACGUCAUCAGUCAACAGUCCACGGUUUGACCACGCGGAUGAACAGUAACACGGUUUGACCCGGAUGAACAGUAACACGGUUUGGUUGACAAUAAUCCUGUGUGAUGCAUGCACCGUACGCGAGAUUUUUCGUCCACUGAUAUGCUGCCACGUCACCAUCAACAGUACAUAAGAUUUUAGUCCAACAGGAUCGUGACACCUCAUCAGUCAAUGCCACAUCAUCGGUCAAUGCCACAUCAUCGGUCAAUGCCACGUCAUCGAUCAAUGCCACGUCAUCGAUCCGUCUAUGUGAACAGUGUCGUGAACAGUAACGUAGACAGUACCGUAUACGUGAAUAGUACCGUACAUGUGAAUAGUGCCAUUUUUCCUUUUAUGCUCCUCCUAAGGUUUUCGACCGUCCUGAGUUCAAAAGUGAUGUCCGUUUUGCCAUCUGAUCUCUCCUUUAUUGUGAAAUGACUAUAAUGCCCCUAAAAUACAUAAAAUACUUAAUUAAAAUAACACACACGUAAUUACAUCACAAGAAGGUUAAAUACAUAAAAGUAAGGGUUGUUAGUAAGACUUGAAAUGUAAAAUGACGGUUUUCUCCUUUAUAAAUAUGCAUUUUCUAACACUCAACNNNNNNNNNNNNNNNNNNNNNNNNNNNNNNNNNNNNNNNNNNNNNNNNNNNNNNNNNNNNNNNNNNNNNNNNNNNNNNNNNNNNNNNNNNNNNNNNNNNNCACUGGAGUUUGCGGAAGCUGGACUUGCGGAGAGUGUGCGAUUGUUCCAUGCCCAAUCCGAGCGGACUUCAUCCACUUCCGCACGGACAACGUGUAGUUCGUCCUGAACAAAACUACGAAGUUUUAGCAACUCAUCAUGGAAAGAUCAAAACUCACCUCAGAGAGUGUUCGCUUACUCAUGGAUGAGAGCUUUUGUGGCCACCGUGAACUCGGCGUAUUCUCCCUUGAGACCGUCCACUCUUCCUUCCAAUCCCUCGAGGCUUUCUUGAGCGGCGGACAAUGCGAUUUCGAGAGUGCCUACACGAGGCUCCAACGCAUCCACGGAUGGGGCCUUGGACUUGCCGCGAAUCUUGCCUUGGGCGCGUUCUCCCUCUCGGCCGCGGCUUGGUUCCGGUGGAACAUCCACACCAACAACACCCUCUUAUGCUACGUUCGAAGGGUUGGCCAUUGCUUCGUGAGCUAACUUGUGUGCGUGCAAACCUUAGCUCUGAUACCACUUGUCACGGGAUGAGUGUUUUGCGCAGCUAACCCGUGCGGCACUUAGACAACUUUGCCGAUUGUUGCUAAGUAAGCCUAGAGCUUCUCGAACAAGAGAAGAGAGCAAUUGAGCCAAAGAAGAAACUUGUAUUGCACAAAGAGAGAUUACAAUGCUUGUUGCUUACAAAGCUUGUUAGAUACAAAUGCCUAAUGCCAUCCCAUAUUUAUAAGGGAGACUUGCCAAGCUCUAGAGAUUCUAGAGAAUUCUACCCACUAUCUAGAAUUUACAUGUGCUGGAAAGUCAUAGAGAAUUCUAGAGUAUUUACAAGCUCACAUGUGCUAGAGUUUCCUAGAACUUUCCGGAAUUGGGUCAAGCUAGCACUCUUGGCCUUGUGUUGGCUCUCUAGCCCGAAAUUGUGGGCAAUUGGGCUAGUGAAUUGGGCGGUCCGCAACAUUUAGGUGGGAUAUGGGAGAAUUGUCAAGAGUUCACACCAAGAGAAAUUAAUGAUAGGCCUAAUUUCGUUGUCAAUUCUUUAUUUAUUUAUUUUAUUUUUUUAUACAUUAUUGUCUUGUUGGCAUUGUUUUGUAAAGAUAUAAAAGUACAAGUAAAAUAUUAGGGGAAGUAAAGUAAAAUAUUGGAGGUGUUGCUAAGUUACAGCUGCCGUAACUUACAGUUCCUUAAAAAAUAAUGUAAAAAAUUUAACACGUGGUGGGACCCACAUUAUGUUUGAAGAGGCCGUAAGUUAUAGCAGUUGUAAAUUAGUAAAAUCCAAAUAUUAGACAAUAAUACACAUUAACAAUGCAUAUAAUUUGAGUUUGAUUUUUAAAAAAAUUAUGUGAGUAUUACCUAUCCUUAAGACAUUAAUGAGAAUAUAUUUUAAUUUUAAAUAAUCAAAAUCUGUUUAAUCAUAAUAUGUAAUUCAUACAUUGCAUGUUAGAUUUGUUUGGAUUUUAAGUUGUUGCUAAUAAAUAUUUAUGUUGUGAAAGUCGAAUUCAAUAGCUACAAAAGCAGAGAUAAUGGUAUUUUAUGUAGUUUUUAAGAAUACAAGGAUAAGACCAUAACGCAUGAGAUAGUGUUAUUUUAUAUUAAAAGACCAUAACACAUGUAUUUGAGCCAUUUAUAUUGAGGACACAUAUAGAGCGAAAAGUGCAGAUCCGGCCGUAACUAUUGUGAAGCUUUCCUCAAGUAUUCUCAUGCACGCAGACCUUAGCUGGUCAAGUUUUCUGAUUUAAUAUAAUCAAUUUCCGCGCAGUACUAACGACAGCUUCUUUGUAAAGCUCUUCAACCACAAGCAUUUCUACAAGGCAAAAGACUAGGACGUGUCGGAAUGAAUAUCAAUAAGGGAAUGUCUUAUGAAUUUAGUUUAUAUCCUAAUAUAAGACAAUCAAUAAAUAUUAGAUGCAAUCUAAGGGCUAACAUUUGAUUGAUCAUUAUACGAAAAAAAGGUACAAAAAUACAAAACAGAGCUGAUUGAUGGCCUCUCACAGUCAGUUAUAUGACAAAGUAGCCACCACAACAAACUUGAACUUGGCUGGAGGUCUCAUUAGCAGUAUACCUCCGAACUUAAGACAAAGACUUUAAAAUGCAAACUUAUGGAGCAAUUUAAGCACUGAAACUAAUAACAGUACGGUAUUAGCAAUUGACCUCUGCUUUUGCUUAGACAAAGGUUCUCAUCACAAUGGAUUCAUUAGUUGCCCUUGCCUCACACGUUUGGAUGCUAAGGGGAAAAAGGAAGUUUGAAUUAGUCAAUCUCAUUUCUAAUGGCAUUCACAGAGAACCUAUAAAGCAAAAAAAUAAAUAAAAAUUUUCAUGUUGCAAGUGAGCUCGUUUUCAAUCGAUUUUUAUUGAUCAUAAGAGAUCAUGUGGCCCACCUUAUUUUUAUUUUGGAUCCAUAACCCAAAGCUGGCCCAAGUUCUGAUUCCAGAAUCAUUUGUCUACAAAGUGACCUCAUUCCGGCAAUUGGUUUAUGCUAAUAGCACGUGCAAUUUUCAUUUUCUUCUUUUUAUUAAUUAAUUUCAUCAUUAUUAUUUGCUUAUUAGUUUAAAUUAAUUAAUUAUAUUGUAUUAAUGAAAUUAGUCUUUCAUUUUCUUUUCUCUUUCAAUGCACAAAGCCAAACAACCAUUCUUUCUUCAAAUACCGAAGAGCUCCUGACUACGGCUGUCAAUGCUUCUAUAUUUAUGUGCUGUGCUGCAGCACUCUUAGCGAAAGCUUGAAUGAAUGAUUAAAGACAAAAGCUUAUAUAAAAGCAGAUGCCGGAGGCACUCAAAAAGCAUUUGAGAGAGAAGCUAAACAGCAAAUCAUCAAACGCACUUCAAUGACUUUGAUUUUGAUUUUUGUUUCAAAAGAAGUAGAAAAGUCCAUGGGUCACGAUAACUGCUUGUCCUCUGCCGUGACCUCAUUGUCCGCUGCUAGUGUCAAAUAGAUUAAUCUUUCUAGUAGAUUAAUAUAAUUUAUAAUUUUAAUUUCAGUAUUAAUUUUUAAAAUGUUAGUUGUUAUAUUUAUUUUAAUGAUAUAUCUAUUUUUAGUAUAAAAAUUUAAAUAAAUAUUUAGAUUAAAUAGAAUUUAUAAUUGAUAUAAUAUAUCUCAUGUAUUAAUGAUAUUUAAAUUAUUUUAAAUAAUAUUAAUCCUAACUUAAAAUUUUAUAUAUUUAUUUUAAUGUUAUGUUUCUAUAUAUUAUAAAAUUUAGUUUAAUAUAAUAUAAGAUUGUAAAGUAUUCAAAUAUUUUUUAAAUAUUAAAAUUAUUAUAAAAUGUAUAUACUGUUACAUUUUUAACAUUGAAGUCAAUCUUUUUUAAGUUAAUAGAGUGAAAAGAUAUAAUAAUAAAAGGCUAUGUAAUCUUUCACUUGCACAUAUUCUGUACUCUCUGGAGCACGACGGUAGGAAACAUGAUUACAGAUGUUAAAUUCGCCUUUUUUCACAAGUUUAUCAGCUUCGUUUGCGGCCUCUGCUGCUUGUUUACCAAGCUUGUAACGAGAAAUCAAAUUUGGGCACAACCCUUUGAAGCAGAAUAUCUUAGCUCUAUCUUUAUCAUCAAUGAUGGAUUUUGCAACCCCUUCACUGAAUUCAGCAACUCUAUUUAGCCAGUCUCUGACACCCUUAUAAAUCUCAUCUCCUUGUAGAGUAGCCUCUCUAACCAGUGUUUGCACCCUUUCUCUUAUAUAUUCCAGCUCCUUCACUCAAUCUUUUAGCCCAUUUAUGUAGCUCUGGUACUCGAACACAUAAGAUAUGUGCCGCAUAAUCAGUUCGAAUAAUGCUUUUGAACAUUGUGAUACAAUGCUGGAAAAAGCAGGGAGACACCCUUCUGCAGCCAUUGCUUGUUGCUUAACAAUAUAUAUAUAUAUAUAUAUAUACAAGUGUCAAAGAAAGGAAUACAAAUAAAUUAAUAUGAACUAGAGAGAAAGAUAGAGAAUGAAAAGACCGCCAACAAUAUCGCUAUAUUGAUCUUGAACCAACUAAUAAUUAAAUAGAGAAUUUCUUUUUCUUUCUUAAGGAUCAGAGGUUUUGCUAUUAGCAAAAAGGUACUUCAAGGGUCUGAAUAAAAAACCAACCAUAAAUUAUCAAAAGCUAGUAAGAACACAGACGUAAACAAUGAACAAUUACUUAAGCCAAACAGACCAUGAUACAAAGCAAAUCUAAUAAAAUGACAAAGAAAGAAAGAAAGAAAAUACAACAAACAGUAUUGAAGUGUUGAUCAUGAGCCAACUGAUAUUUAAACAGAUUUUUUUUUUAAUUUUUAGUCUUUUCUAAAAGGAUUAGAGUUCUUGCUAUUAAUAGAAAGGUUUCAAAGAUCUGACACUAUUAGAAAAGUAUUAAAUAAUGACAAAAAUUUUAUGACAUAUAUGGUUGUAUCUCGAAUGUGUCAUAAAAUUAUGAUAGAUUCAUAAUAUGUAUUCAUAUGCCCAGAAUAUAUGAUAUAUUCAUGACUUAUAACUUAACCGUAGUAAAUAAAUGAUACAUAUAAGUCAUGAUUAAGUUUUGUGACCUUAUAAGAUUGUAAAACAGUGUCGUUUAAAUUAACGACACCGUUCUGUAUAACUUAAAACACAUCAACACUUCAGCCAAAUUUUGGCGGGUAAAAACCCAUUUAGUCCCUAUAUUUUAAGAUUAGUAUACAUUUAGUCCCUAUAUUUUUAAAAAUGCCUCGAAACGUUCCUGCCGUUAAAGUAUUGAUACCCCUACUGUUACUUUUUAUUUCUUUUGGCUUACUUUUACAAUAUUAUAAAAGUGUAAUAUUGUAAAAGUAAGCCAAAAGAAAUAAAAAGUAACAGUAGGGGUAUCAAUACUUUAACGACAGGGACGUUUCGAGGUAUUUUUAAAAAUAUAGGGACUAAACAGACACUAAUAUUAAAAUAGAGGGACUAAAUGAAUUUUUACCCAAUUUUGACUAAGCGUUGAAUAAAUCCCUCUCUCUCCACUGGCGACUACAACCUAAAAUGAAUCAACUCUGAGCCUCUCUCUAUAACACUAUAUAGAACCCUAAACCUAAGAGCAUCUCCAAAAGGCUUUAUAAAUUUUACUCUUUAAAUAUUUAUUUGCUUACCUAUGUGGCUAAUAGAAGAGUGAAAAAAUAUAUUAUCUCUAAAAGACUUUUCAAAUAUAAAUGAGUUAAUAUUAUUUUAAUUAAAUAAUUAUUUUUUAAAAUGAAAAGUCAAUAAUAAUUAAAUCAUCUCUCUCUUUUUCCAACAAAAAUAAUAAAAUAUAAAUUAAAAAGAAAGAAAUCAACUCUCUAAAUUUAAAGAGAUAGAAUAAUUUUUUAUUUAAAAAAUUUUAAUUAAAAUAUUUUAUAAAACUUUAAAUGUUGACUUAACUUUUCAGACAGCUAAUAAAAUAAGAAAUAAAAUCUUAUUUGAAAAGUGUUUUCCUUAUAUUUUAAGUCUCACAUUCGCAACCGACGAAGCUGAAAAAGUUCCCCACAUAUCAAAACCACAGCGAACUGCCUCCGACCCUACGGACCCAAAAAAAUUUAUUGUAUUCCUGCUCUUUCACAUCAAUAAUUUUUUGUAUUAUUCCAUAACCCAAAAGCUUUCCUCUGUUUCAACUAAGCGAAAAUUUACAUAUUAAAGCCUAGCUCAAAUUCCUUUUUUCAAUCGAAAUAAAACGUAGCCCCAAAACCCUAAUUCACCACACCAAUUUAUCUCUGCCCGGUAUUCAUUUAAACCCUACCUCGCGGUUCAAUGUCAUUCAAUACGAUUGCAGAUGCCGUUUCAACUUGUCAUUUAGUUAUUGCCAUCCAGUUCUCUAUGGUAAGCCUUAACCCUAACAACUAAUCGACUGUGGUAGCACGUUGCUUGUUAGGAGUGGGGAUACAUUAUUUAACUAUAUGAAUUGGGUGAUGUUAGUGAUUCAUUCCCCUAUUUGUCAUGAAUUAAGAUUUGUGUAUAAUGCUAGUCAGAUUGCUAAAAAUUUCAUAUUUUGUAUUGUUCCAGUUGAAUUUCUUGCUUGUGGAAGAUAAAACAAAAGUUCAAUUUCAUGUUGAUUUAAUUCUUCUUUUUCUUCUUUUUUUUUUUCUUCUUUAUAGUCACGCUCUGGCUUUGGUGCUAUGCUUAGUGCAGUUUAUGGUUUCAAGAUUAAGUCACGUUUAUUUGAUGGCAUCGAUUCCAUCGUUGAGGAUUGGAUUGUUGAUCAAAUGCACAUAGUAAGCUCUUCUUAUUUUAUCUCAGUUUUAAUUUUCUUUUAUUAUCUGCCUCUACCUGAAAAUGGACGUGUUUUACUAGUAAGCAUAGACUUUGUUUAUUUAAUUGAUAUUUUAAUUUUAUGUAUAAGAAUAGAGGUUUAUUUUGGAAAAAAAAGCAAUAAAAAAACAGACUCUGUUGAAGCUAAUUAGUACUGAAUGUUUUUGGUGGUGCGACCAGAGGUGGAAACAGGGUAUGAAAAUGUGUUACUAGUGAGGUUGCUGCUUAAGAUGAGAAUGCAUUCUUUUCAAAAAUCCUUGGUAGGUGUGAUCUAAUUAUAUUUGAUGGAAUAUUAAAUGGCUAAAAAUCUGUCAUACGUUCAAACUUUGUUUGUGUUUGGAAGAAUGGUGUUGACUGUAUAUUCGUUUGGAAGAAUGGUGUUGAUUGUAUAUUCAUUUGCUUAGCCUUUUGACAGAUGGAUUUGAAACUGACGACAAAUGUGAUUCAAUUUACAAGGUUUUCGAGGGGCUCACAGUGGAAGGGAUAUUGAAGAACUGGUCUAAGAUAAAGCCUAUGAUUGUGAAAGAUUGGAGUGAGAAUAUAAAUGCUCGUUUAAAUCUCUUUGGCAAGGUCAGAGAUGAAUGGAUAGAUAAGGAUUUAUUUGACUACUUGGACUGGUGCUAAUAGGUAUUUUAGGCAAGCUUUUUGAGAUAACACUGAGCAAGUUAUACUACUAGUUUGCACAUGAUGAUCAAAACUCUCAAAAAGUAAAAUAAAAUAAAUUAUUAACUUUUACUUAUCUUUUGCAUAGCAAUCAAUGUGGUGCUUGUUCUGUGACAACUUUGAUAAUCUACUUAAUUAUUGGUUAGCAUUUGGACCAAAAAAGUUCUUAUGAUUUACAUGUUUUGUAGAAAUGCAUGAACCUUAAAUGUGCUGAUCAGGGAGUUUAAUUAUUGCACCUUGAAAUUCAUUUAUUGUUAACUAAUUGGCUUUCCUUUGCAUAAAGCCGCUUAUAAGGCUUGAGUGGACGUCUUUAUGGGCAUAUUAUUUGUAUUUCUAUAUGCAUGCCUUUAUCACUUAAUGUGCUGCUUUUAUUUCUUUAUGCAUGCCUUUAUCAUUUAAUGGCCAGCUCCCUCUCCUCUUUUGUAAUUUGAAUAGUAGUAUGGGCCUCCAUUUUACAAAUCUUUAACAUUUUUUGCUGUAAAUUAAUUUUUCUUUCAAAUAUUUUGGAGGUCAUUGGAAUUCCUGUAGGUCUAUUUACCAGAUUUUAGUAUGUUUAAGGUUUUAAUUUUGCUUAAACUUUAAUUUUUCUGAAAGAUUGUAGUAUUGAUCCUUAAAGAAAGAUCAUGCUACUUCAAAUUAUUUUGAAGUGUUGCCAGUUAUAGCCUUACAUAACAAAUUCCAUUUGUCUGGAAAUUUAUUGAUAGCUGUUACAGCAGCAUAUUUUAUGACUCUACUUCUUAGUUAUGUAAGUUCAUUAUGUUUAGGUCAGAGGCAGUCAGCUGUGGGGAAUCGAUAUAUACACAGAUGACUUUGAUCUUGUUGCUGGUAUGUGGUUCUAUGAAUAAUUGUGUUUGCCUCACUGUUUUUGUUUUAUGAGAUCUAUAAUUGAUCUUGGGAUAUUACUUUCUAGUCCUCAUGCAAGCAAGUUACUACCUUCCCACUGCAUCUCCUCCUUUAUCUGCUAUUCAAGAGUUGCGUGCCAUAAUCUGGUGUUACCUCUGCAAGAUUGUGAAUGAAUAUAAUGCCUCUAAAUUUAUUUUAUACAUAAUGCUGAUGCUGAAUAAUAUAUUGUAGCUCCUGUCAUAUUCUACUUUGACUUUUUAUAUUCUGUUUCAUAUAAAAAUCUUAUUCAACUUUAGUUGUUCAUGAGCAAAUGUCACAUGUAUAAGCCCAAAUGAUGUUUAAAGGUAGCGCGGCUACCUUUAGUUUGAGCUUACAAUGGAUGAAAAAGAAAUUGAAACUGAUAUUUUGCUGUUUUUCUGAUUUUUCAAAGUAUUUUAGAUCCUGAGUUUUGUUUGGACUUGAUGGUUAUAGAUUGUGUCUAGAUUUGUUAAGUUGUUUCCAACACCUCGUGCCAAAUGAAAGCACAAUCUUUCUGAUUCAGAUGUCUUGUUAAUUAUGCUUCAUUUUUUCGUUAAAGAUUGGAUGGUUGCAUGGAUUGAUGGAGUUGGAGUUCAACCAAUAAUUCUAAUUUUUUGGACUUAAAAUGCCUUUUUCUUCUGUAUAAAAACUUUAGUAAGUGCUAUUGAGUUGACGGAGGUUGAAUACUUACAGGUUGUUUCACACUUUUUAAUAGUUUUACAUAUAUGAAUUUCUGUUUUUUGAAUUGCAGAAAGGAGGUGGAACUAUUGAUUUGGAGCCUUAUCUUACUCACUCAUCGACAAUGGAGCCUAUCCUCGCUCCCAUGGCAGUGGAACGGACAACAACUACUAGGGCUGCAACAUCAGUUGGUUUGGGUCUGUUUUGAGUUUAUUUUCAUUUAUUUGGCUAUGUUUUGAUAGCGAAUUUUGAUAUGUCAAUAUAAUGUGUAAUUGUUUUGGGUUGAGCUGGUAAUUAUGCUGGAUUAGAUUGGUUUGGUUUUGGUGCUUCUCUGAUGGAACUCUGCUUUUUUUAGAAAUUUUGAAUGUAAUAUGAGACUACAUUUAGUUUAAUUUAACACUGCAUCUAGUCUAAUUACUAGAAGUGUGGCAUUUGGUUUGGUUUAUCCGAUAUUCUCCAGAAUUUCACUUGCAUCUGGUUUUGUUGCAUAUGUUUGCUUGCAUUUGAUGGCAGUAGCAGACUGUUUGGUUUUGUGACAUUUGAUGGCAGUUUGGUCUGUUCUUGGUGUUGAUUUAAGAUUGUUCCUGUUGUGCUGAUGUUAAUUGCAGGUGCUUGAAUCAGCUAGGGUUGCUGGUUUAUUCAGAUGGUUGACUCAGGCGUUGUUACUGGUUAAUUCAGGUGGCUGACUCAAGUUGUUCAUUUAAUGUUAGGAAGCAAACUAAGAAUUAAUGAAGUAUUCAUUUAACUAUAAUUAUUGUAGUUAUUUUAUUUCAUAACUGAAUUAUAAUCUAUGAUACUUGUGAACAAAUUAGAGAAUUUUUAUAUAUGAAUUAUAUAUGUGUGUGUAUGUACAUUUUGCUAUUUAUAUAAUAAUUUAAAGAAUAUAUUUCAAUUCCCACAAAAAAAAAUGGCUCCAAUUUCAAUAAUUCCCGCCAAAUAAUUAAAUUUUUUUAAUUUACUGCCAAAAUAUAUCUUAAAGAAAUGUUAGUUAUUCUUGCUAGAUUUAACAAAAAUAAUUUGUAGGAUUAACAUUUAAUUAAAAUAAUUAAAUAAUUUUAUUAUUCCAAUUAAAUAUGUCAUGUUUAUACGUCAUACAAUAGUCAUGAAUGGGAAGUAUUAGUUACAUAUUUUUCCUUGGGAUUUCAGGCAAAUGAAAAAAAGAUUGAGAAUGGUUUCAAGAGGACAGGUGGAUGAUAAGUAUUCAUUUUUGUAUAUUUGGUUAGGGGAUUUUUAUGGUAUUGAUCUUUUUUUUUUUUUAAAUUUUCAAUUAGUUGCAGCCUUAGAGGAAGAGCAGGCUGAUCAAAUUGAUUUGUCUUGUUUUUCGGGCAAUCUACGACACGAUGAUCGUGAUAAUGCUCGUGACUGCUGGAAACUUUGUGAUGGAAAUAACUUUAGAGUUCGUAGCAAGCAUUUUUGUUAUGACAAAACAAAGGUUCCCCCAUAUUUUGUUUGUUUGUUAUGGUAUUUAUAUAUCCUGCAUAGGCUAGGUAGACAGGUUAUGAUGUAGUUUGGUUGGCUCUUCUUGUGCUUUGUGCAAUUUGUAACUGCAGAUACCUGCGGGAAAACAUUUAAUGGACCUUGUUGCUGUUGAUUGGUUCAAAGACACAAAGAGAAUUGACCAUGUAGCUAGGCGUCAAGGCUGUGCUGCACAAGUAACUAUUCUUUUCUUUUUAUUUUUCCUUUUCCAUUGAUGCAUUAGGAGAAAAUAUUGCCUGUGAGAUACUUCAAUGUAAAUAACUUCUCAUGGUUCAUUGAAUCUAUAACACACUGACCCUCUUCUAAAAAACGUAGGUUGCUUCUGAAAAAGGGCUUUUCUCACUGAUCUUUAAUCUUCAAGUAAGUUUGUUUCAUUUCAGAAGGUAUUAAGUUUCAAACUUAUUGUAUUGGGAGGUUGUAUAGUUGUAACCUAAGCAUCUGCAGGUUCCUGGUUCGACACAUUAAAGUAUGGUAUUUUAUUUUGUCACAAGGCAAUUGGUUAUGGGAUCACUUUUGCAACGGUUUGUUGAUGGCGAUGAUGAGUUUCGCAAUAGUAGGUUGAAACUUAUUCCAUCUGUUCCUAAGGUAUCCAUCUUGGCCUUCAUGUAUUAGGACUAUAUUAACGUAUACUUACCCUUUUCUGCAUGGUACACUUCAAUUUGUCCAAAGAAGGCAUGCAUUUAGGUGUAAAUGUAUUGAUGGGUAGUACCUUCAAACUUCAUGUCCUUUUUACCCUCUUGAAUUUGUUUUGCACUUGUUCUUGAUUUUAAGCACUGAAUCAUGCAGGGGUCAUGGAUCGUGCGCCAGAGUGUUGGAAGCACCCCUUGUUCAUUAGGGAAAGCGGUUAAUUGUAACUAUAUUCGCGGUUCCAAGUACUUAGAAGUAAAUGCUCUUGGAAUUUCUAUAGUACAUGAGAUGUUCAUCUUUCAAAUAGCGUCCGAUACCAUUAACAUGGUUUAACAUUGUUCAUCUUUUUGUAGAUUGAUGUUGACAUUGGUUCUUCUACUGUUGCUAAUGGAGUUUUGGGCCUUGUAAUUGGUGUAAUUACGACAUUGGUGGUUGACAUGGCUUUCCUUGUACAGGUAUGUAUGAUUGUUUUUUUCCCCCACUUCUAAAUGGACACAAGGGAAAAGACAUGAUUUUGAGAUAUUGCACUGCAAUUUGCAUUUUUGCAUACUUGAAUGUUCUCAGAAUAGUAUAAUGCUUCGUGUGUGUCUUCUUUAUCUUGCUCUUCUGUAUGCAGGCAAAUACUACAGAUGAAUUACCGGAGCGGCUGAUUGGUGCUGUACAUGUUUCUCAUAUAGAACUCAAGUCUGCUGUUGUCCCAAAGUUGGAACCAGAGAUAUCAUGACUCUGGUUUCAUUUCACCUCAACUGUGUUUUUUUUUUUUUUAAAUUAAAAAAACAUUUGUUUUAGGUAUACAUACAUGUAUUUUGAUCCCAUUUUCAUGGGAAUUUUGCAUUAAAAAAUGAAGAAUAGUGAAUAGGAAAUUUCUUGAUUCUUUAGUUACUAUUUUUGGUAUGAGUGUAAAUAGUAGUAAAGUUGGUUUCUACUCGCAAACAAGUGAACUGCUCGAUUCCUGAGUGGUAUCAACCAGUUUCCAACUUUUUAAUAUACACUAAUUGUUAUUGUUUAAUAGCUACUACUAUUAAAACUCAACAGCUGACAAAAAUACUUAAAAAAAAUGAUUUUACUUCUUUCCACGAGAUCUAUAACAUGGUCUUGACUUCACGAAAUUCUUUUAAUUUAAAACGUGCUGGUGUGAGAAGGUCAGUUUGACGGAUUAAUUCUUUUUUAACAGUGGUCGAGAUAAUUUUACUAUACUCAAAAAUAUUCUUAUUCUGAUAGUGCCAUAAAUGUUAUGCUGUUUUCUUCGGCUAAUGGUCUUCUAUCAAGAGAGGGUAGAAAUCAAAUGCUUAAAAGACCAAUUGAAGGAAUAAUACAGAAAUUUAGGCAGAAUCUAAUCGAAUAUUGCAUGAAACAGGAAACAUCAAUUCAAGUCCUUUCUUAAACGGAGAAUGCAUCAAACAAAAUCCAAAGUGUCUUGCAAGUCUGUAGCAUGAGCAAAAAAUUAUUCAAGUACAGAAGAAUGAGCAAGCUAAAUCAUGUAUAAGAGAUUGGUCUGGUUCGGGAUAGCUUCUUCACUGUACCUAAAGGGUUGGCUCAAUCUCUUCUUUAGAAUUCUGCAGAUUUUGUAAUUACUCGUGUAAGCAAGCAUACAUUGCCACCAUAAGAAUAAUAAAGCUAGAGUAAUGAUAUGACCACCACCUCUCGUGCACAAACAAUAUUGUAUAAACUAAUGAGACAUAAUAUGAUUGGUUAAACAAAAACAUUACAUGGCCCUCAUAAUAAUAAUAAUAAUAAUAAUAAUAAUAAUAAUAAUAAUUAUUAUUAUUAUUAUUAUUAUUAUAUAUUUUCAGUCAACCAAUCAUAUUAUAUCACAUUAGUUUCUAUAAAAUAAUUAGCUAAAUAGCACCAAAACUUAAUUGAUACUCACCAUUUCAUUGAACAAUUUUUUUAUGGUGUCAUUGAGGUUGCCUUCCCAACAUCCUUCAUCAUCAUCAUCUUCUUCUUCGGUGACGUUCACUUUGUUUAGCAUUGGUGUGUCUAAGAGUCCUUGAGAGAAGAUCUUCAUUUUUGGACACUGUCUCACAACUACUUGUUUCAAGGACGGGAAUUCAAGAGCGUAAUUACCUAAACAAAAGCUUGUUAGGCUUGGCAAACAAUCAAGUCCCAAGUACUCCAAUUCCUUGAAAACAUUGCAAUCUUUCGCUUCUUCUCCAACCUGCAAUUGUAUGAUUUGUUCUAUCAUUUUGCAAUCAGCUAUCAUCAUUCUUCCGAGAUUCACUAGAUUUUUAGAUGCUGAGAGCGUCAACACAUUUAUCAACUCGUGACACUUCGAUACUUUCAAAGCCUCAAGAUUUUCCAAAUGCCACGAAGGUGGUACUAAUUUUUGCAACUUACUACAUUCCGAUAUUUCCAGCCUUUCCAAGUUUGCAAACGCUUUGUUGGAUUCGUCAUUUUCCUUCCAGAGAUGCUGCACUUUGUGUAAUCCAGACAGUCUUAAAUUCCCCAAUUGAGGGAAAGCAACCUGAAAAUCAACAAAAUUAAGUUGUAAAUGAAAAUAUGUAUCCAAUCUCUGCAGUCUUCCCCUGCAUAUUUUAUGGACAAGAUUAAUCACGGCAUUUUAUAUUUUAUUUCCAAAUUAGUAUGCUUUGCACUAGGAUCCCAAAUAUAAGUAUCAAAUCGAUUACCCUUUGAAACACAUAAAUGAAAACUGAUACUAAAUCCAAUAUGAAUUGAUAAUCAAUACUAUAAAGUUACCAGUUCAUCACCUCAUGUUACCAGUCAUCAAAAUAAUUUAGGACUUUUUUAAUUUAUACUAUAAAGUUAGUUAAUAACUGCGGUUAUAUUGUUAAAUCAUAUAUAAAUUAAGACGACGUGCAAAAAGAUGUCAUUAAAUUUGAUUUGAUUAUAAUGAAAUUACAUAUGUGCGAACGAAAGUGAAGGGAAAAUAAUAAUAAUGAUUACCUUUUCAUCGAAGAGAUGUUGUAUUUGAUUAGCUACCAAGAGGUUCUCUUCUGAUUUUAAUUUUUGAGGUUCCUUAUUAUCUGCUGUCAUGUGCAGUACAAAUGUAGAAUUGGAUGUGAAUGUUUCCAUAUCAGGGCAAUUCUCAAUAAUUAGAUAUUCCAACUUAGGCAGUUCAAUUAUAUUCCCAGUGAAGUUGCAGAAUCUUUUGAGUUUUGGAAGAUCAAUGAGCUUUAGGCUUAAAAGCCUAGGAAACAGGGGGCCUAUAUGUUCUUCCUUAGCACUUAGCUCUUCCAAAUGAAGCACCUCUUCUAGUGAAUCACAAUUCCUCACUGCCAGCCAUUCCAAAUUGUUCAAGCACCGUAGCAGAUUGGCAGGAAUAGCACUCGACAUAUUCGUGCUGUCAUCCACCACCAGCUCCGCUAAAUUGUUGAAGAAUCUGACAGGCAGUGCUUGGCCAUGCCAUAUUUCUUGCAAGCGUGGAAAAUGCGAGAGUUGCAAACGGUUUAUAUCAAGGAAUCCAAUCUGCACAAACCAAAACAAUUGCACCAGAAAUAUACAAUUUUUUUUUUUGAAAGGCAUUAUAUAUAUACACAUUAAACUUACAUUUUUUGUGUUUUAACUUCUAAAAAUAUAUAUACAAGGGAGGUGUAUAUGCUUAAAUGUGCAAGUGAAGGGAGAUGCAUGAUGAACAAUUUGGGUGAAUUGAUUAACACAUACCUUUUCGUCAUAACACUUUUGUAUAGUGGAAUUAAGGUUAUUGCCUUCCCAAUGGUGUAGUUCACCCUCUUCCUUUUCAGUCACUUGCACUUUGCAUGGCUUUGGAAUGGAUAAUAUUCCCUGAGAAAAAGUCUUCAUGUUCGGACAACGUAUCAUAGAAACUCGUUCCAAUGAUGGGAAUUCAAGAGUGUAAUUCUCCAAACAAAAGCCGGUAAGUGUUGGUAAAUAAUCAAGUAUCAAAACUUUUAAUUUGCUAAAAGCAAUACGAUUCUCCUUCACUUCUUCUCCAACAUGUCUUAUGAUUUCUUCUAUCUUAUCACACCACGAUACAUUAAGAUUCACCAGACUACUAGGAAUUCCAACCUGAAAAUAAGCAGAGAGUGUGUGUGUGUGUACGUUAAAAAAGUAAAAAUGUAAGAAUAUCAUUCAACAAGGUUCAAAGUAUGUUUAAAUCAUACAAUUAUACAUUUUAUAAACAUAACAAACCAUGAAAUGUCUACUAGAUAAUUUUUUGUUAAACAAAAAAGGCAACAAGAUAAAUAAAUAAAUAAAAGCCAAAUAAACAAAAGAUAAUAAAAAUGAAUUUACACUAUUUAGUAUUAGGAACAUAGAAAGAAUUUAAUGCAAUUUCUAAAUAUUUUAGACUUAUUUUGCAUCUUGACGCCAGUUUUUAAACAAAAUUUGCAAAUUUCAACUAUUCCUUUUGGGAAAAAAAAAAUCAACCAAAAUGCCGCUUUUUCCCUUUUUCCUUGGUCCCUUUUUUUUUAUGUAUAUUUAAUUUUGGAAACAAAAUUAAAGUGGAUCUUUAUUAAGUACUUCUAGACUCGAGGAAAUUUCUUUACAAUCAAGGAUCAGUUGUAAAUAAUCAUGAAUUUGUGGUUAAUUAAUGGCAUAAUCAGUUCGUAACUAAACAAGAGAUAUUAAUUAAAUUUGAAGACUUUUCUUUUCUUUUUUUCUUUUUCCAAUCGAAAUGUGAAGAAUUAAGGACAAGAGAAAUAUAUAGAUGAAUUUGUGAACCUAUAAGAUGAGUGACUAUCCUUUAAUUUUUGAAAAUUGUACUUAUUAAGAUAUGAGCAUAAACAAUUAAAUUGAAUUAUAUUAUGCUGUUGAAUCGUGAUUAAAAAAAUUACAUUGUUGAUUCUAAUGCUGGCGAACCUAAGAACUGGACUUAAAAUGUAGAUUUGAGAGUGGUGGUUCGAAGUACAAUACUUGAAAUAAAUAAUCAGUGGCUGAAUAUCAUUUGUAAACCCAAAAAUGGUUAAAAUAUUGUUGGAUGUAAUUUGAAAAAAAAAAAAAAAGAUUCGAAAUGAAUACAGCAACCUUACCAAUGGAGGAAAAAUAUUCAUUAGGUUAUCACACCCAAUUAUCUCCAAAUUCUUCAAUUUGCUGAAAGACUCCGAAGCAAGUUGGUGGUGCCAUAUUCUUCUCAAAUUAUCGAUCGACCUAAUAUGUAAUACCUCCAACCUAGGAAGUCGUACCUGGCAGUUAAAGAUUAAAUAACUAAUUAAUCAAUUAAUGGCAUAAUCAAUUGAUAACUAAAUUAGAGGCGGAUAUUAACUAAAUUUGAAGACUUAAGGAAGAGACAAAUAAAAUAUUGUGACUAAAAUAAAUUUAAAAAAAAAAAAAACCUUUUCGUCAAAGAGAGGAGGUUGCAUUUCAAAAUGAAUGGUGUCUUCUGGUGAGCUCGUGGAGAUGAAUCUUAACAUAUUACUGCAACUCUGAAUCUCGAGCUUUAGCAAAGAAGGGAAUUCAACAACUAAAUCUGAAUGAAUAUGUCCCGUAUUGGCAAAGCUUGUUAGCUCUGGAAGCCAAUAGAGCCGCAGGAAGUGUAGUUUAGGAAAAACCUUUAAUUCAAUCAACUUUCCUUCAUCUCUUCCUAACCACCCCGUCGUGUCGACUACCCCUUCCAUUGACUUACAAUCCCAUAUUUGAAGACGUUGGAGUUGCAAAAGACUAUUAACCAUAGAAUACGAAAACAGAUACUUCAUACGAUCACAACCGAACACGUGCAGCUUUGUUAAAUUUUGACAACAGUACAUUCCUUGAUUAUGAUCGGCCCAUAAUUUUUUUAUGUUUCUUAAUCUCGUGAGAUUCAAUUUUUCUAAGCUCGGAAGAAUAACCUGCAAAGAAAACCCGUACAUUUUUGUUCCUUCAAGUACAACCGUCUAGUAUAAUAUUCUUUUCAUGAUCGAAGAUUAAUCGUGAUAAUAAAUUAAUCAAUUAAUUAUUGAACGGAAAAUUAUCACCUUUGGAGCAGGAUCAUCAUCAGCAAUGAUUUCGUUGAAUCCCAAAGAAGUUGUUGGUUUCUCCCUGUCGGGUCCUAUAAACAAACAAAAACAAUACACAUAAUUAAUCUUUGUCGGUUUUUUUUUUUCAAAAUAAUUGAGGCGAAGUCCAUAAAUCCACCAACACUUAAUUUCAACACUUACCAAAAAUCAUUUCCAGAUCAUCGCAAAGACUUAUUAAUACUUUUUGAAGCCGCAGUAGGUUUUUUGCCAUGGAGAAUGAGAAAAGAUGCUUCAAUUUGUGACAGGAUUGUACUCCUAUAAUCCUUAAGUUGCUGAAAGAUUGAUCUUCUGUGAGUUGGCUGUCACAUAUUGUCUCCAAAUUGUUCAAAUAGCUAAGAAACAAUGACUCCAGCAAGGGAAAGACUGUACAAUGAACCCGUCCAACUGAACCGACAAUAUGCAAAAUCUCAGAACAACUUUCUACACGAAGAUGCUUCAAUCGUGGAAAACCUUCCCCAUCAUCUAAUUCAUGAACAACAUUCUGAACACCCUUAAGUUCGUAUAGAUUGAUAUCUUCAGUUUCCUUCAGUAACAUUUUCAUCCCAUAAUUCUCCAAAAGACUGCUAACAUUUUCUAGCCCAUGGAGCUUCAUCAAUCUUGAUGUUUCAGAAUUAACGGGCCAGAUGUCCCACACUUCUCCUAUGCAUAUCCUGUAUCUUGACAAUUCCACAAAGACCAAAUCCUGCAGCAGAAUUUGGGCAUCCCGAACUUGUAUCUCCAAAGUAGUUAGCUUUGACAACCCCUUCAACUCAGCAAGACUGGCGUUACUUCCUCCUUCAACCUUAUCCCACUGCGAAAAGCUGUCACCCAUAUAUAGUUCUUCCAAUCGAGAAAAUUUUGAUAUGACAUUUGGUGCUAUCACCAUAAGGCUGCUACAAUUGCUCAAAUCUAGCAACAAUAACCUCGUCAAUUGUCCAAUUUCAAGGGGUAACUGCUUAAUGUCGGAAUCUCGAAGGCUGAGAAUCUCUAAUUUCUUUAGCUGUCCAACUAUUGCUAUAUCUUCUAGUCCGCAACUAUCUAAACACAAUGUUUGAAGGUUAAUGAGGCGACCAAGUGAUGAAGGUAAUGAAGAGAAAGGAAUUCUAGUAAGACUUAAAACUUUGAGUUCUUCUGUCCCUUCAAAAAAGAGGUCAGAAAUUUGCAUAGAGACGGGCGCCAUGCCCCUUGCUAUUAACAAAAAUAACUUGAGUUGGGGACAUUCCAACCUUUCGGGAAGCUCUUGAAUAUCUUCGUAAGGUAAAGAANNNNNNNNNNNNNNNNNNNNNNNNNNNNNNNNNNNNNNNNNNNNNNNNNNNNNNNNNNNNNNNNNNNNNNNNNNNNNNNNNNNNNNNNNNNNNNNNNNNNGCAUUGAUACAGCAACAUCAUGAAUGAUGUCAUGCAUUUUAACUUCAUCUUCAGUAUCGCCAUCUAACAAUAAGCAUGAAGCUUUGAGAUUGUCGAUCAAUGCAUCCACUCUAUUCCUUGCAUCUUCCAAUGUGUGAACAUUUUUAAACAAACCCAAACCCAUACCAUAUCUCAACAGGGAAACAACUUCUACAGGAUUACCUUCACCAAACAGAGUACAAAGAAGGAACAAAGAUUUUGCUUCAUCACUUUCCAAGAAAUCGUAACUCAAUUUUAUGGAAGAAUACACAUAUGCAUCCAUACCACGAAUUUCUCUUAGAUUGGAACUUCUUAGCUGAUUCAAUGCAUCCUUCCAAAUGUUAAGACUCUUAUUUUUCAGAGCACUUGCAACUGUUCUCAGUGCAACAGGCAAUCCCCCGCAUUUUUCAACGAUCUCAUCUGCAGUGGGUUGAAAAUCAUAUGUUUUUUUUGAAUCACCCACAAUCUUCUCAAAUAACUGCAAUGCUUCAUCUUUGGAUAAAGCAUCGAUCCAGAAAUUUUUCUGAGAAUUCAUAUCAUUGCACAAUAAAUCUCGACUUCGAGACGUCAAUAUUAUUGUGCGUCUACUCCGAUCGUCCUCUCUAUCAUAAGGAAUUCCAACUUUAUCGAACUCAAGUUUUGUCCAAAUAUUAUCCAGUAUAAUGAGGAGCAGCUUCUCUUGCUUCAACCUUUGACACAGUCGAGAAGCUCUUUGAAAUUCAUUCUCAUUCAAGUCAAAUUCCAUGCCUAAAUCAAAAGCAAGUUUGUCUUGAAUUUUAUGAUGAUCUGGUGUCUGUGUUACCUCAGCCAUAACGACCUUAUCGAACAACUUAUCUUCCAUCACUUGCUUUCUAACUUGCUUGACUAGCGUGGUUUUACCCACGCCGCCCAUCCCGUAGACCCCAAUUAUUUUGAAACUAUCAUCCUUCAACGCAUCCAAAACAUCUUGAAAUACUUUCGUUCUUGAAUCGAACUCCUCGUAAUCUUUCACUGGCAUAUAUUCUGUACUCUUUGGAGCAGGACGGUAGGAAACACUAGAGAAGUUGCCUUUUCCCACGAGACUAGCGGCAGCUUCUGCGGCCUUUGCUGCUUGUUUACUAAGCUGGUAACGAGAAAUCAAGUUGGGGAACAACCCUUUGAAGCAGGACUUCUUAGCUCUAUCUUCAUCAUCAAUGAUGGAUUUUGCAACCCCUUCACUGAUGAAUUCAUCAACUUUAUUUAGCCAGUCUAUGACACCCUCAUAAAUCUCAUCCCCUUGUAGUCUAGCAUGAUUAACAGGUUGUUGCACCGUUUCUCUUCUAUAUCCCAGCUGCUUCACUUGAUCUUUCAGGCCAUCUAUGUAGUUCUGGUGCUUGAACACAUAAGAUAUCUGCCGUAUAAUCGGUUUGAACAGUGACUUUGAACCUUCUGAUACAAUGCUGGAAAAAGCAGCCAGACCCACUUCUGCCAUUGCCUGCUGCUUAACAAAUCUAAUAAUAUGUCAAAGAAAGGGGAAAGGAAUAGAAAUAAAUUAAAAUAAACUAGAGAGUGACAAAAAAGGAAAAGACAGCAAACAGAAUCGCAAAAUUGAUCUUGAAUCAACUGAAACAUGAACAGAGCAUUUUUUCUUCUUUCUUAAGGAUCAGAGUUUUUGCUAUUAACAGAAACGUGCUUCAAGUGUCCCAAAAAAAAAAUGAUAAAUGAACAAGCCAUAGAAAUUUUAUCUUGGAAAGUGGAUGGAAAUUAAGAAAGAAAUGGUAUAGAGAUCAAGCAUCAGAGAUUAUAUUAUUAAAAGAAAUUAAUUGAAGGUUGUGGAAAACCUGUUUAAUUAUGGAAAGUUGAUGAGCUUCUGUAAUCGCCUUGAGUAUUUAAGUGCAAUUUUGAUGAGCAAAAAGUUACUGUUACCUGCAGAGGAAUGUAAUUAUAGAGAGCUUAUGAGAGUAAUGACAAUGAUUUGCAAAAGAAGAAGACUCAAUCAUGGAGCCCUUAAUAUUUCUUUUAUGAAUAAACUGCCAGCAGGAAAAAUAAAAAAAAGUGGUAAAUUUACCAAGUCUUAUUUUAUUUUUAAUUUCUUUUAUUUUCAUUCGCCGAAGAGGGAAUCUCUUUUUUUUUCGUAAGGGAAAUAUCCUUUCCUAAUAUGUCAUGAUUAAAGCAAUCUAUAAAUAAUACAAUAAUCAUAUAAUGUAAUAAUUAAAAAGACCCACAUAUUUAUAAUAUUAAUGAUGGGAUCCAUACGUUCCUACUGAUUAAAUUGGUGGACCAGAAUUUAUUUGACCUUACUUGUUUUAUAUUUAAUUAAAAAUUGAAACGACAGAGAAAAAUUGUCGUAAUGAUGGUUUCGAUUGUGGAGUUCAGCUGUGGAUAGCACUUGCAAUACUGAAAAAGAAGCUUUCGUCAACUUUCUCACAUGGACGCGCACCAUCACGCAUAAUUGCAUAUUGCAUUAUUUCUCUAGAAAAGCAAAAGCAAGAUUUAUUCUUUUAAUAAGCAAACGCGUAGGUGGGAAUCCAUUCAUUAAACAAGUGGAACAGCAAUAUAUUAAACCAAUGAUAAGCAUUCUUAAGUGGGAAACCAAUUAUGACGGAUAGUUCAAAAUCUGAAUCCGCCUGAUGGACGGGUUUGACCGCAGAGCUCAAGAUAAUCUGAACCAUUCUCCUUUCGUAACUUAUAGAUAAUUUGAAAACAGGGGAAUGAAAACAGAGGAGCCCUGUUUUUCCUUCCUUUUUUUUUUUUUUUUUUCUUACCCAACUCUUCUUCUUUUGUAUAUUUUCCUUGGAAUUUUAGGUAAACCAAAAAACUUUGAGAAUGAUUUCAAGAGAAUAGGUGGGUAAUAACUAAAAUAUUUAUCUAUAUAUUUAUAUAAAGUUGGGACUACAAGAGAUGAUGUGGCAUCACCAUUUCUAAUUUUUGUAUAUUCUCUAUUAUCUAACAAAUAGAGAAAUUUUCUUUCAGAUUUUAUUUUUCAUCUUUUCAUAAUUAAUUUGACUGUUAUUAUACAAUCAAUAUGUAACAGUUCAUCAAAAGACCCACUAUCUUCUUUAAUUGAAACCUUCUUGAUCAGGACUACAAGAAGUAAUGUGGCACUACCAUUUCUCAUCUUUGUAUAUUCUCUAUUAUCUAACAAAUAGAGAAAAUUUCUUUUAGAUUUGGCUUUUUAUCUUCUCACAAUUAAUUUGACUGUUAUCAUACAAUUAAUAUGUAACAGUUCAUAAAAAAACUCACUAUCUUCUCUAAUUGAAGCCUUCUUGAUCAUAAAUUAAGCAAUAAUUUAUAAAUAUUUUUAAUCACUCUUCUCCUCUGACUCACCUAAAUUUAUAAAUAACAACAAAAAAUAUGAUAUCUCAUGUAAAUAUAAAAGAAUAGAAAAUAGCAAUAGCUCUAAAACAUUUUUUUUUUCAUUUUGGCCCUCACUUGCCUGAUCAUGGCAAAUAUUACAAAUGCAACCAGUAGGAAUGAUUGCCUCAACAACAAUAUGAAACCAGGCUACAAUCUUGCAACAAGACUUGAAGUUAGUGGAGGCCAAAUGGAGUGUUGGAACGUGUUAAUGGAGCUGAAAUCAUGCUCAAAUGAGAUUGUUAUAUUCUUCAUUAAUAGUCAGGCUGAUAUUGGCCCUGACUGUUGUCGCACUGGCCUGCAAUGCUCACCUCUCUCGGAUUCACGGCUGAAGAAGGGAACAUACUGAGAGACUACUGUGAUGCAUCUUCUGCUCCUUCUCCAGGUGGCCUCGCGGUGAUAUAUCAGCUUCAGGUUUCCAAGGUUUUUUGGCUUAGACAGGGUGCAUCUAUGGUACUUCAUAAUUAAAAAAAGUCUUUUUGGUUUUAUCUUUUCUUUAUUUUUUUAUUUUUUUUUUGGAAGUCUUGCCUCUUAAUCGAAUAGAAUAAAUUGUUAAAAUUAGAAUAAGAAAAAAAGGAUAAUAUUAUUUUUUUUCAAAGCCGCGCAAAGGGCGGUUCUAUUUCCUAGUUUUUAUAUAUUUGAUAAGCACGCUCACUAUUAAUAAAACCCAUUAAAUGCUAUAACUUAAAUAACUUCUUGUAGUUGAUUGAGAGUAUGUUUGGAAUUUCUUUUACUUCCCAAUAAUUAAUUUUUACCUUGAUUAUCAGAAAAUUAAUUUUAUGAAUAAUUUAGCCGGGUGUUUGGUAAAUGAUGAUUAUUUGACAAUCAGUUUUUAAAUAAUCUAUUAUAUAAAUAUAGUAAGUGAAAAUUAGAAGUAUAAUGUUCAUGUAGAAAUGACAAAAAUGUACUCAUUUACUUAUUUGUAAUUUAUUUAGAAUAUUAUUAUUUAAAUAAUUUUUCUUAUUCAUUGGAUUUUUUAAGAGCAUAUUCUAUUUUCUUGAUUACACAUUUAAAUAACUUUUUAUUAACUAUUUUAAUCUGCAAUAAAAAUUAACUAUAUUAUAUUUAACUAAAAAAUUUGUUAUGUAGUCCGUAAUAUACACAAAUACUUGAAUUUAUUAAUAAACUUAACUGCAAAAAAGAAAAUGCAUUACAUAUAUCUAAUUUCUUAUUUUCAACGAUUGAAAGAUGUUAUUUAGGAAACUUGUACGAGAUAAUUUAAUUUUGGACUAUUGACAUUAUAUUUACUUAGAAGUGGAAAUAGUGGGUGGAUAAAUUUAAUUUUUCAUUAAUUGCUCAAGAAGCAAGAGGAUUAGUGAUGGAUGGAGAGUUAGUGUAGAAUUGUGAGGCCAUUUGAUUACUGCAAGCAUUAUAAAUUUCUUGUUGCUGAGAUUAAUCUAAUUGAAUUAAUGACUCCAUGAUAGACUUAACAAAGGAUUCUUGUGGCAAGAUUUCUAUUUAUGAGGCCAUUUGAUUACUGUAAGCAUUAUAAAUUUCUUGUGGCAAGAUUUCUAUUUAUGACUCCAUGAUAGACUUAAGUUUUAGUGAGACAAUUGCUGCCUGUUGCAGACAUGAUACCUCUAGUACUUCAGAAGAUAGCAUAUCACGAAACACAUCCAGACUAUACUGAGGUUACAUCGAAAAUUCCUUGGCCCAUCGUGCGAGUGUGUGACAUCCCGCAACAAAAAUUAGGGUAUGUACUAUAUAUAUAAUGUGUUUUGAACAUAAUAAUAAGAAUGCUGAUUUUUAACAAUUAAUUUAUUUUACUUUUUUUAGUGGUGAUUGUGGAGAAUUUUUGUUGCGGUACUUGGAGGUCCUAACCCAUGGACUUGAUGUCAAUUCAUAUUGCAAACAAGAUCAUGUUAUACAAUUUCGAAAAGCCUUGGUUGUCAAAUUAUUUGGGCAUAGGUCAUGGAAAAAAACUUUGUAGUGUACUACCCUUAAAAACUUUGUUGGUGUGUCAUUUUUGGACCAUGAGAUGUGAUAGUUAUAAUGAGGAUGUUGUUGAUAUUUGAUGUCAUUAAAGAUAACUUGACAUCAUUAAUAUGUUUUAUUUCUUUGUUAACUAUAUUAAUGAUAGUGAAGAUAGUUUGUACAAUCUAUGUAAUGUAACAGGAUUGCCAUAUAUGCUCAGGGAAUACUCUGUAAGAAAAUACACGACUGCUGUUAGCUAUUUGCACGGAUACAUGACUGCAGUCGAGUAUUUACAAAUAUACAUGACUAGCUCUCUGUAAGAAAAUACUCGACUGCAAUUGGGUAUUUACACAGAUACACGACUGCAGUCAAGUAUUUAUAAUUGUACAUAACCAGCUCUCUAUAAGAAAAUACUCGACUGCAUUCGGGUAUUUACACAGAUACACGACUGCAAUCGAGUAUUUAUAAUUAUAUUUGACCAGCUCUCUGUAAGAAAAUACUCGACUGUAGUCGGGUAUUUGCACAGAUACACGACUACAGCCGAGUAUUUACAAUUAAAUAUGACUAGCUCUCUAUAAGAAAAUACACGACUGCAGUCGGGUAUUUGCACAGAUACACGACUGCAGUCGAGUAUUUGUAAAUAAACAUGACCAGUUCUGUAACAGCCAAAAUACACGAUUGUACUCGGGUAUGUGGACACGGAAUAAAAAAUCAACUAAAACAUUCAUUAUAUUGAUGACACAAUCAAUAUAAACUUUAACAUAUUAAAUUUCAAAUAAAUGAAACUAACUGUAGUCUGGUUGCCUAUCAAACAACAUAAAUCCAAUACUUAUUCGAAUCGUAAAUAAGUCAUAAUACAAUAAAAGUUGUUUAACAAUCAUCAUAAUUUUUUUGCAUUUUCAACCCAAACACUCGGUCCAUAUUUUAUAAGCCUCUAGUAAUUUGGUUGCCUAUUAAAUAACCCGAGAUACUAUUUCUAUCAAUUGUGCAUACGUUGUAGAAUAGGGCACUAUGAUCCCUCUUGCCUUUGUACCAUUAAAUCUAUAAUGGCCGUUUUGCUCAAUCCAUUCACCACAAAACAUAAUUGGCACACGUACUGAAGUCAUUUCCUGUAAUAAUACAACGGUUGAUUAUACAACAAAUACAAAAAUAAAAAUCAAGCAAUGUAUAUAACGAAGUGUGGAUCUGUCUGCCUAUUUACAUGACUCACGUCGUGUAAUUGGUAGUUUACACGACAAUAGUUAUGUAACUUGCUAAAAUACACAACUAUAGUUCUAUAAACAGUCAGAUGAUAUAUUUAGUAAAAAAAGCUGUAAUCUUUGUACUAAUCGAAUGGUAGGUGUCAUAACAGCUACUAUAUCUUCCAAACUUGCACGAUUGUUGUCGUGUAAAUUCAUACAUACAUGACAAAAGUCGUGUAAGUUGCAAAAAUAUAUGACUCAAUAAAUAAUCAGAGGACAUAUUUCUUCUUAAAAAAAUAUUGGGAUCUGAUAACAAUUGGAACAUUUUACAUAUAUACACAAUUAUAGUAUGUAAGUUCAUACGUACACGAUAGUAGUCGUGUAACUUAUUAACACACACGACUAUAGUCCAGUAAUAGUAAAAGGAUAUAUAUAGUGAAAAAAAAAAUAUUUUUUGCACCAAUAGAAUGAUAAAGUGUCAUGAUAAUUGGAAUCUUUUGCACAUUUGCACGACUACAGUUAUGUAAAUCCAUACAUACAAGACUGAUGUCGUGUAUGUCGGGUGCAGAAAAAAAUUUUGGCAACAACUUCAGGUUUUAACGAAUGUAGUUAUAAAAUCCAUCAAAUAACAGUCAUAUGAUGCAAAUGUAAUGAAAUAUGAGUUGCUUUAGUGUUUAUCACAAACCAAACAAAACCCUAAAAAUAAUAUAAUGUCAAUUAAAUGAAUAAAUAACACAAAAUAAAAAAAAAUUUCAAAUACCUUAUUCAUGGGAUGAAUAAUGCACCCAGCUGCAAAUUAAAAUCUCAAUGCAUUAGCUGUUUGUGAGUGAUUUUGAGUAUGGAGUGAGUUUUCGUUGUGUGGAGUUAAAAAAAGUGAGAAGUAAAGAGUGUUAGAGACGAGUUGUGUGUGUUUUAUAUAUUUUUUUAAGGAUAUUUUAAACAAUGUAUCACAUAAAAAGGUAUAUCUAGAUAAUUUUCAAGCAUGUGAUAUAUUUAACUAAAUACCCUACUUUUAAGGUAUCUUUAAUUAAAAACCCUCUUAUAGUUGAUUGAGGGUAUGUUUGGAAUUUCUUUUACUUCCCAAUUAUUAAUUUUUACCUUGAUUAUCAGAAAAUUAAUUUUAUGAAUAAUUUAGCCGGGUGUUUGGUAAAUGAUGAUUAUUUGACAAUCAGUUUUUAAAUAAUCUACUAUAUAAAUCUGGUAAGUGAAAAUUAAAAGUAUAAUGUUCAUGUGCAAAUGACAAAAAUGUACUCAUUUACUUAUUUGUAAUUUAUUUAGAAUAUUAUUAUUAAAUAAUUUUUCUUAUUCAUUGGAUUUUUGAAGAGCAUAUUCUAUUUUCUUGAUUACAUAUUUAAAUAAUUUUUUAUUAACUAUUUUAAUUUGCAAUAAAAAUUAACUAUAAUAUAUUUAACUAAAAAAUUUGUUAUGUAGUCCGUAAUAUACACAAAUACUUGAAUUGAUUAAUAAGCUUAACUGCAAAAAAGAAAAUGCAAAAAUUUAAUCUCUAUAUAAACUUUUAUGUACACAAAACUAUUGUAAUAAAGUAAUUCAUAGAAAUAUAAUAUUAUAUACAUGUGUAAAGAAAUAUAUAACUAUAAUAUUAUCCACUUGUAGCACUAUUAUUUUUCAAUCUCUCCAUCUCUUGAUCUUCAAGAACGUUAGUACCAUGAUCUGCUUCUUGAGUUCGACCUCCAUUUCCACAGCAUCAACAAGGCAAUCAAUUUGCCGUGAAAGCCUUACAGCUCCUCCCACUUUCCUCCUUUUUGUAGCCACUCUUUUUCCCUUUCUUUAUUUAGUAGCUUCUAUGGAAAUGUUGUGAAAAUUUUAAUAUACUCGCAAGCGCACGAAUCUAGAAAUAGAAUAGUAGUAACGAGGUCGAUCCCACAGGGAUUGUUAUAAAUUAAAAAGUCUAAUUUAAAUCUAAAAUUAAUAUUAAUUCUAACCUAGUUGAGCAAAUUGAGUUUUUAAGAAAAUUAAACCAAUAAAACUAAGGAAGCAAUUAAAAUAAAGGAGAAUUCAAUAAGAUAAGAAUUACCAAGGUUUUAGAAUCCACCACUAUUCAACUAGUAAUUAUCUAAUUAUUAAUUAAUCCCCAAUUUUGGAGUGACAACUCGAAAUCAAUCUAUGUCAUCUCAUGGAUAUAACAAUUAAGCCCAAGUAAUUAAAUCUAAUGUAAGUUCUUUUUCUGCUUAAUAAUAUGACAUCUAAGAAUCUCAUGUAAACAUAUUGAAUAACAAAGAGUCAAAGUUUUCCUAAGCACUCUAUGUAAACAAUUUAAUGAAAGACAUAGAAUCAAAGAUAAUCAUGUAUAAACUUUAUAAAUUCAAGCAUAGAUUUAAUUGAAUAUUAAUCCUAACAAUCAAUAAUGCAUGACAGAAUUGAUGAAAAGAUUUUAUUAAUAUCUAAUUAAUCAUGUGAAAUAAAAACCAUAAUCAUCAAAGAACAUAUAUAGGGAAUUAAUUAAAUAAAAAGAUAAUUAUUUCAUUGAAUAGGGUUUCAUCCUUAACCUCAGUAUAAGAAAAUUAGUUAGACAUACUUGAAUUGAGAGCAACAAAAUAAAUAAAUUCAGCCAUGGGGAAGCCGAAUUGCUGCAGAUUUUCUUCUCUGUCUUGAAUCCUUGCGUCUCCAGUUCUCCCUUCUGACGGCUCUCUUGCCUUUAUAUAAUGUUACUAACUUGCUUAAUCCUUAUUGGAUUCUAAUUGCAUUAAUUCUUCUCCACCGACUUAUAAAGCCCACUCACCAAGGCCUUUUAAAAUUAUUUCCUUACUAAACUUUGAAAGCAAAGCACACGUUUGACCACAAAAGCAAAAGGCCAAUUAAUGAUUUCUUCUUUUAAUGCCCAGCACAUGCAUUCCAAAUUGCCAAAUCUUUGCUUUCCAAAUGCAUGCCCACCGUUCAUCCUUUGAAGAGAUUGACUUCCAAUUUUGGUCUUCUUGACUUCCAUUAAUUCUUGGUUGCAUUUUUGUCUUCCAAUUUAAUCUUUAUUCCUUCUCAAUUUGAAGUGUUUUCAUGCCCUUUUUAUCAACAAUCUCCAAUUAAUUCCCUAUUCAAUAAAACAAUUCAAUUAAUUAAAAAUAACAAAUAAAUAUAACUAGCAAUUAUAUUAUUAAGGGUAAAAUAUGUAUAUAAAUUAUGCUCAUCAGGAAACAAACUCAUCGAACUACCAGUACAUUUUUCAAUUAGAUAGGACUGAUAGUAGAUAUUCAGUACUCUCAGAUGGUGUGCAAACAUGAUCAUCAGUGAUUGUUGUCUUAAAAAGCAUUCUAUUUAAUUGUUCCUCUGACUCUGGCAUGCAAAAUUUCUUGAUUCACGAAUUUCCUACGUAUGUUGAUAUCAUAUUAAAAUGAAUUCAAUAUCACAUNNNNNNNNNNNNNNNNNNNNNNNNNNNNNNNNNNNNNNNNNNNNNNNNNNNNNNNNNNNNNNNNNNNNNNNNNNNNNNNNNNNNNNNNNNNNNNNNNNNNGCAUGUUGUGAGCUUAUUACCAAAAAUGAGACUAUAUAUUUAAGCCGAAUGGUAAAAAACUUCGGAUGGAGGAUGUGCCAUCUUUUUAUUUUAGAUGCUUUCGGAUGGAGGAUGUGCCAUUUUUUUAUUUUACAUGCUUUGUAAGACUUUUAAUGAUCGAGUGCAGUCAAUUAACAAAAGCUUACAUAUUAUUUGUUGAAAAUUGAUUUUAAAAAAAGAAGUCAAAAUGAUGGGUGGUUGAGCCUGUUGGGGAAAAAUCAGGUUUUUAAAUUUUUAUAAAACCUUUUGAAGAUCGCUCUCAUAUAAUAUAUAAGAAUUCGUAUUCUAGAAAUCGUACCUUGUAAAUCUGAGUUUGCUUUUUCCGCUGAAGUGAUUUAGGCUCCUAGAUCACGAUCCGCCACCACCACUCCUGUUAGAUCACGAUCCGUCACCACCACGCUUGUUAGAUCACGAACUGUCUCCAAUGAUCUUCCAGGUUAUGACUCAGGUUCGAUCUGCACUUGACGUGUGGGCGCCUUUAUCACUACCAAAGCAACUAGCACGAGAAAAUUUUUCUCUCAAAAAUGGAGAGAAAAAUCUUAUUCUCUGAUUUGUAUAAAGUGGCUUCUCCACUUUUUCUUUAGAGAAAAAUAAGCCUUUUAUAUCACUCUUUAGUGAAAACCCUAGGCUCCAAAUAAAAUAAAAUCAAAACCCACGUUAUUUACUUUUUCAAUAGGGGACCCACCUUGUAAAAUAACAUAAGGCCCGUUAUACAAAAGCUAAUUAAAUGGAGCCUCCCACUAAAUGAUAUAUUUAGGCUUUUGACCCAAAUUGCUAGUUAUCUUACUUAUUAGUCCAGUAGUGGUGCAAUCAAUUAAAUGAGCUAACCCGGGGAUCAUUUGGGAACAUACAAUAGUGGCUACAAUAAUUAGGCAUGUAAUUAAACUAGCCCAAUUAUUUAAUUCCAAAUCUACUCCACUAAAAGAUUGGAACUGACUUCCAUAAUUGUAUGCUCGAAUAAUAAUUCGUCCCAAGCCACAUUGAUUUCUUUACUGCACAAUCCUUUGUACCACAUCGUUAAUUAAAUUGAUAUCUCAACUGUCCAAUCAAUUUAAUAACAUCUUAUUCCUUGAUCCUUACUGGUUUUCUCUAAUGAUCAUUUUCAACAUACUAAAUAUGUUGACACACUCUGGCCAGAGAAUUCUAUGAUCAAGUACCGAAAACCUAUCAAGAGAUGUGUUGUACAAAUUCUAUAUUGUUAAUCCAUAACUCCAAUACUCAUAAUUGCUCCCACCAAGAUACCGGGUAAUCUUGACCACAAGGAUGUGUCGUGCCCAUUGGUAACUCAAAUGGAAUAACAAUCACAAUCAUGAAAUCAUAAUUAACUCAAGAUUAAGAUUACAGUAAAAUCAAUGCCUAUGAGAUUUAAUAAGUCUGACAGUUAUUACAAAGUUAAUUAAAUCUCAUAUGUGAUCCUGUUCAAUGUAGUCGUACUACAUCAAUAAAUUCAUACAUGAUUAAGACAAAUCAUUCAAUGAAUUUAUUACAGUCUAUACCUAAAUAAAGUGCCCAACUUUAUUUAUCAACUGCGAACUAAAUUUAUUUAAUCAUAAGAUAACUUGUAUUUAUGUCUUCUGUGAAUCCACAUGGUGAUCACAUAAAUACAUAUAAUAUGAUUAAAUGGACUUUAAUACAAAUAUUAAUGCAAUUAAGAUAUUUGAAUAAAAUACCUCAUUAAUUUUAUUAAUCAGAAAAAAUGUUUAUUACAAUUAAAUAAACACAUAUGCUUUUAAAGAGCAUAUUUUCCCAACAGAGCCAUCAUCUUUGAAUUCAAAGAUGGUGGGUGGCCAAGUUAGCCACCAUCAUUGAACAAGAAAAAAUGGGUGGGUGCCGCCCAUGCAAUGAAGAAAAGGGAGAAAAUGAAGCCAAAGUUUGGCUAUAAAUAGAGGGGUUCUCCCUCUCAUUUUUGUAUCCCAGAGAAGAAAUCCCAAAAUUUGAGAAGCAAGAAUAUGUAAGAGAAGCAUUGAGAGCUUCCAACAUGGGAGAGAAAUAUUCUUAAGCAUGUAUUUAUAUUGAAAGAGCAUUUGGCUCCUCAAUAUGGGUAUUACGGGUUUGAUUUGUUAAGGAAUAUUUCUCGCAAUUAUGUAUUUGGGGCUUGGGUGAGAGAAAAUUAUUUAUGAGAGUGUGGUUGUAAUAAUUUUCCACAUAGUGAAAUUUUUUUUUUCUGGUUGUCUCUUGACAACGGCUAUGGUUUUUCUCCGGAUUUGGAGUUUUCCACGUAAAUCUUGUGUUGUGUGAUUGUUGUAUUCUCCAUUUAAAUUUUUUGUUAAUUUGUUGCUUGACAAAUUGCUUGGAGUGAUCUUGGAAGGAAACUCAAUUUCCUAACAGUGGUAUCAGAGCCAUUGAUUGAAGUUUUGAUGUCGAGGUACUGUUCACGUAGACAUUACUAUUUCACGUAUACGAUAUUGUUCAUGUAUACGGUAUUGUUCAUGUGAAGCAGUGGGAGCCAAUCUAAAUUGUCCGUGGUGAAGAGUAUAGGGUCAUUAUAAAGCAAAUAUGUCAGUAGCUGGUAUUUUUCAAACUUGGUGGAGUUUGAUGUUGUUCAAAAAUUAAUGGGAGAAUGAUUUUUUGUUGGCUUGUGGAGAAUUCAAGUCAAAGGUGUAUCCAAUCUGGUAUGCACAAAGAUUUGAAGGUGUGGACAAUUUUGGCACCUCAAGAAAAUUGUCAAGAAGGUGGAGCGGGCUCGACAAAUUACUCCAGAAUCAGUAAAAGAAAUACUGAUAUUUCUCGCAGAUGGUGAAUUUGUUUUUGAUAAGAGAUUGGAUUAGUUCUUUUGGCAUGUAGAUCUCCAAGUUACCAUAAAAGAGAACAUGUUAUUAUCAGUGGGGUCCACAAGUUUGCACGAGGGCAUUGGCUUGGUAUAAAUGCAAGGUGUGUGGUGGAAAAGUUAUGUCAUGGCUGAAGAAUUCUCAGUGAAACCAAGCAUGAGAAUUGCACUAUAAAUUUCAGCAGGAUAUUUUGAUAUGUGCCGAGAAAAAUCUUAGAAUAGUUGAUUCUAAGUGGUAUACUCAUUAUGGUGUAGUGUGAUAAUUCUUUAUAUUGAGAAUUAUAACUAUUGGUGAAGACAAUGUUUUGUAGUAGUGACUAUGAAAUUCUUUUUUUUAAUCAUGGUAGAGAUUGUUGAAAAUUGAUUUUAAAAAAAGAAGUCAAAAGGAUGGGUGGUUGAGCCAUCAUCUUUGAAUUCAAAGAUGGUGGGUGGCCAAGUUAGCCACCAUCAUUGAACAAGAAAAAAUGGGUGGGUGCCGCCCAUGCAAAGAAGAAAAGGGAGAAAAUGAAGCCAAAGUUUGGCUAUAAAUAGAGGGGUUCUCCCUCUCAUUUUUGUAUCCCAUAGAAGAAAUCCCAAAAUUUGAGAAGCAAGAAUAUGUAAGAGAAGCAUUGAGAGCUUCCAACAUGGGAGAGAAAUAUUCUUAAGCAUGUAUUUAUAUUGAAGGAGCAUUUGGCUCCUCAAUAUGGGUAUUACGGGUUUGCUUUGUUAAGGAAUAUUUCUCGCAAUUAUGUAUUUGGGGCUUGGGUGAGAGAAAAUUAUUUAUGAGAGUGUGGUUGUAAUAAUUUUCCAAAUAGUGAAUAUUUUUUCUUUGGUUGUCUCUUGACAACGACUGUGGUUUUUCUCCGGAUUUAGAGUUUUCCAUGUAAAUCUUGUGUUGUGUGAUUGUUGUAUUCUCCAUUUAAAUUUUUUGUUAAUUUGUUGCUUGACAAAUUGCUUGAAGUGAUCUUGGGGUGAAACUUAAUUUCCUAACAUUAUUUAGGUGCUGAGAUGUCUGUUCUUGAUAAAGUAGAUUUAUUUACACCCAAGCCAACGUAACAAAAGCCUAAUAUACACAAUAAUUAUUUUUGUUAGACUGAUUUCUAGCUAAUGAGAUCUUUGAAAGCAUUCAAAGAAGCCACAGAACUCAUAGGAAAGCCCUGAUAAAAUAUACGGCGAAGCAUGUGAGCUCGUUUUUUAAUCUCUUGAUCACUCAUAAGCUUUUCUAUACCAAUGACUAUAUCAUUCUUUUGAAUCGAUUUUGAUUGAUCAUUAGAAAUCAUGUACCCCACCUUUAGAUGAUUGAUCACCAAUUUGGCAUUGUAAUGUUGAUCAUCUCUAAUUGGCCAUGCUAAAAUUGGAACCCCACACCAAUGGCUUCUACCAUUGAAUUCCAUCCACAAUGAGAUAAAAAUUCACCCAUUGAUUGAUGAUUCAAUAUCAAUAAUUGUGGCGCCCAUCCAUCUAUUAUCAAUCCCUUUUUACUGGCUUUACUACCCAAACCACUAUGAAAAUAAUUGCCUUCUGCUGGUCUGUCUAAACCAGUUAAAUGACACGGAGGAUCCAAUCUACCAGCACCAGUUUGAAUUACCCAAAUAAAUGGUUCAUUUGAUACUUCUAAAGCAUUGGCUAGUACUAAAUACUCAUCUAACUUGGACCCACUUCGAUACCAAAUGACACAUAUAACACAGAUCCUCAUGAUUUCAAAUCCAACCAUUGAAUGAUCUCAUCUUCGUUCAUGUUAGAACUCCACCGAUUGGUUCUCAUCUCACGAUCACGAAGCACUGAACCCGCCCCAUUUGUAAAAUUGUUCAAGUAAUAAUGGGCCUACUCCCCACAUUGGCUUUCCCAUUCGAUUGACUAAAUAAUGGGAGAUUGCCAAUUUUCCCCUACUAUAAUCAAUAUAUAUCAUUUAUUCAUUUACUAUUUUUAUAAUGGUCAAAAAUCCCCUUGACAGUAUAAGUUUAUAAUAUUACUUUUAUUUUUAAUUGCUCUUUUAUUUAUAUUUAUUAUAAAUAAAAUAAAUCACAUGAAUAAAAAAUAAAUAAAUAAUUAAGUAUUAAAAACAAGAAAUAUAUGUUUUAAUAUGAGCAAAAAAUUUAAUAAUAAAUUUUUCUUGUAAUUAUUUAUUUUGUGAAUAUUUUCUUAUAAUAAACAUUUAUAAUAUUUUAAAAUUAAAUGUAAAAAGAAUAGGCAAAAUAUUUUAUUAUUUAUCUUAUAAUAAAUUUUUAUUUGUCAUUCAAGUUUUCUUAUAAUAGUUUUUUAUCAUUUUAUAAUAAUUUUCUUAUAUAUUUAUUAUAAGAAAAUUUUCAAAAAAUAAAUAAGUACAAGAAAAAAUUACAUUAUUGAUUUUUUUGCUCAUAUCAAAACAUAUAUUUGUUAUUUUUAAUGCUUAAUUUUUUAUUUAAUUUAUAUUCAUGUGAUUUAUUUAAUUUAUAAUAAAUAUAAAUAAAAGAGUAGUUGAAAAUAAGGAUAAUAUUAUAAACUUAUGUUAUCAGGAAGAGUUUUUGGUCAUUAUAAAAACAGGAAGGAGGUAAAUGGUAUAUAUUGAUUACAAUAGGGGGAAAAUUGGUAAUCUCCCCUAAAUGAUUAAUAAAUGGUCCCUCAAGAUCAUCACAGGUGUUGAACAUCAAAGCCAUCCAUUCCUCCACUUCCUUCAUCCAGUGUGGUUGAUCACGGGGUUCGAUGGACUCAUUUUCUCUGAACCGGGCGCACCUCGCAAAGGUAGUGGACCACGAGGAAGGGGCCCGUGAGGCCCGUAUUUAAGCUACGAUUCGAAUAAAGCCAUAUCCUUGGGUAACCCAGGAAGUAAAUGGGCCUCUCCCGGUUUGACAUCUUGGAUGCGAGCCUGCUACAUGGCACACUCCACGCUGCUGAGCAAGCACCAGAAGUGAAGAACCCAACAAUGGGACCUUCAAAAUUCUUGAAAACAUCAGCCGUCCAGCCCAUCAUAACGUCGAUGACUGCACAAAUGGGUCGGGUUUCGGGUUCCCGGGUUGAAAGGGGUUUUGAAGGCCUUGAAGCAUUUGACUGUGCAUGACAACAUGGUGGUGGUGGUGGCAGUGGUGGAGAUGAGGAGAGUAUUUCAGUAAUUUCGAAUAGAGGGUAUUGGUGAAGAGGGGAAGGGAUGAUGCCGGUGCCGGAAAUGUGAGAGGGAACGAAUAUUUUAACAGGGACGGAGCCAGCGUGGGACGAGGUGGGGCACAGGCCCCAGCUGGCUUUUAAUUUUUUUUUAUAAUUAUACUAAAAUAUGUAUUUUAUUUGUUAUUUAUGAAAAAUGUCUCAGCUGAAUUGUAAAAUUUAAAAUUGACUCCAGUAAUUUUAAAAUAUUUCAUACUGUCCCUAAUUUAUAUUUUUAAUUAUAAAUUAUUUAAUUAGUUAUUAACAUUUCAUGAAACUUUAUUAAAGACACGAGAACAAAUAUUAAAAUAAAAAAUAAUCAUAACAAAAUGUUAGUAUAAUGGUUAAUGGACUAGUUUUUAAUCUUUUUAUUUUUUAUUCAAGUAAAAUUAAUUAUUUAGUCUUUCAACACUGACCAUAAGUUGUAAGUCUUCCUAAUUCUAAUUUAUAAUUUUCUAAUUAAUCUUUUAUCUAGUUUUAAAAUUUAUAAUUUUAUCAUGCAUUUCAUAUUUGUUCUGUGUGUUGCAAUAUUUGAAUAUUUUUGUUAUUAUUAAAAGAUUUUAAGAGCAAAUUAAGUAAUAACCUAGUCUUGUAUAUUGAAAAAUAUAUUUUUGCUUAUAUUGAUAAUUCAUUAUUUUCAACUCAUAAAAUCCCAUUGAGGAGAUUUCGCGGAGAACCAUUGUAAUAAGUAAAUUUAUUAUCAAUGAAUAUUAUAGUUGUAAUGCUAUUUAUUGAUAUCUAAAUUUUUAAAAAUGUAUUAUACUUUAAAUAUGCUUUCAAUUAGAUGCAUACAGACGCACUCUAUAAGAAGUACAAUUGUACAUGUAGCAAGCUCCCAUUUAGAGUUUAUAGGGCCCACAAUACAGUUUCUCAAAUGACGACUUAUCACACGAGCAAUCGUACAUUCGAGUCAUCUUUAAUUUUAAAUGUGCCCCAGCUCUAUCAAAAUCCUGGCUACGUCCCUGGGAACGAUGAGGGUAGAUUUGUAAUUACGUGAAGCGAUUUACUUGCAUAAUUCAAUGCAUGGAAAUAGAUGUCCCUGACCGAAGAAUGAGACAAUCCAAAUCUCAGCCUCAGCAGCAUUAACGACAGAGCUUGACAUAUUUUAUUAAUCAUUUGAUACUUAAUUAUUACUGACUGCUUUUGCCACCUUUCGUAAAACAUUCUUGGUUAUAUAUAAAAGAGAUGAUUUGAUGGCGAAGUGUGUGUUUUACUUUUACAGUUUUACUAGUCGGUGAGCUAUGAUUUUGAUAAUUUGAUUGUUAGUUUCAGUUGGUUAGUUAUGAGAAAGCAUCUUUCAAAAAAUUCAUUACAGUUUCAACUAAAAUUAACAAUACUAUUCAAAUUAAUUACUCGAUAAAUAAAUAGUCACAGAUAAAUCUAUCCCUAAUCACACAUUUAUAAAAUAAGGAUUGAAAUGAGUUUCUGUGGCUUCGAACCCACGCCCUCAAGCCCAGCGGCUGGAUCUUGACUACUUUGACAUAAUUAUUAUUAGUUUUUGUCCAUCUUUCACCAGGCAUCUUUUGUUAUAUAAUGAAGAAGAUAAGUUGACGGAGAAGAGUUCUACUUUUACUAGUAGAUGAGCAUUGAAGGUUAGUUUUAGUUAGUUAAAUAUCUACCAUCCAAACCAAAGUUCCUUAGACUAUUAUUCAAGUGAGAUGUUUGAGUAACAUAUGCUUGAGUUAGUCGGUGCCUAACAAUUCAUGUGAUACAUGAAACCAACCAAAUGAAGUUGGUAGGAUUAGAUUAAUUUAAAUGAAAAUAAAAAUUAGUUUAUGCUAUUUAUUUAUCUUAUAAUGUUGAAACUUGAAAGUUAACUCUUCAACCUGUCAAUUGGUUCAUGACAUGAUCAAAUAUUCAAGUAAAUAAAUUUAUCGGUUAAAAUUAAUUUUUCAUGUGGUAAAAGCAAUACUAAAUAUGGAGUGGAGAGAAUCAUUUGUAGGUUAUACCCCCACCUUUUAUUUCAUUUCAUUUAAAAAAAAAAACAACAACAACAACAAAGGCUUGGUCAACAUCCAAGUAAAAUUAACAAUUCCAUGAUAAAAUUGCCUGAGAAUAAAAAUUAAAAAAAAAAAAAAACAGCAACUCGAAAACGAGAUACAAAUACCGCACAGAAGUUUUUCGUCACGAGAUAUUUUUGGGUUGAGACAACGCUUGUAUAACAGAGCAUACAGCUUGGAUGACGGUGAGAAUAAGAAGGAAAACGGCACCGCAGACCGAAAUUCCAGCCCAUGGAGUAUUGAAGUAAUUUUGUUUCAAGUUUGCCCUCCAUUUGUAGCACGUUCUUUUGCAGUGAUCAUUCAAUCCUUUGCAUAGCCCAGAAAAAUAGAAGCUAUCAGACAGCAGAGUAGUACCUCUAGAAAGGUUAUUUAUAAGCGUUGACGCUGCCUCUUUAUCCGGCAACCAGUUCUCAAUGAUUCCGUUCUGAACAAGCAACUCGACGUCCUUCGCUGUGUUCACGAGAUUAUGAAUAAGGAACACGUAAUCAUUUAUGUAAUUCUCUGAGUAAUGCCGUUGUUCAAAGGCAAUGAGAUUACGAAAUAAGGAUUCCGUUUCCAGCUGUAGCUUCAGUUUCGGAAUAUGCAAUGUCCUGUUUUUGAAUUCUAUGGCGAACAAAUCAUUGCUCUUGCUCAAACUGAAGUGGACUCCAGCUUGGUGGAGAUCAGUCACACUUGGUGCGGUUUUACCUUUGUGGUAUUGCUGACCUUCUUGUUUUUCCUGAUUCCUUGAUGAUGGUAGAUGACAAAUCCUUAGAAAAUCAAGGAAAUGCUCUACCCUAGCCUCAGUGUAAGGAGGGAAUUUUUGCCGAUUACCUUGUACUGCCUCUAAACCCUUGAAAUACUCGUAUGUGACUGUGAUGAUGGUUGGAUUUUCAUGUUGGUCGGGGAUUUCAAUUGCCGCUAGAGCAAAAAGAUCCUCAAGAGUGAAGAAAGGAAGCUGAUUCUCAAGCAACCACAUAUCAUACCAUAUAUCCUCUAUUAAAUAGGGUUUUAUGAAAUAUAUGAUCAUCCUUUUUUUGAAGUUGACGGAAAUGAUACCUCAAUAAGAGUUCAAUGAUGAAGGCAGCAUCCAGCAGAAUCAUUUCAACAAAUUUAUCACUACUUAGUUCGACUUUUCUGCAUAAGAACCUCGUAAUUCUGCUUCUCUGAACUUUAUAAUUUGAACAAACUCGUCAAAGCUUAUUUUGGUCCGUUGAAGAAAGUAAUGCAGGUACCGCUGUUUAUGUUCUUCCAUUAACUGUAAGUUUGCUUUGCCAUGGUGAAGAGGGCCAAUUGAGACUACCUGAGGUGUGUAUACCUUUUCAUUUAUCUGACGUAAUCGCUCUGGAACUCUGUAGAUGCAGCAGUUUGAGGGCAAUGGUGAUAAUUUUUUCAACUUAACUUGCAAGCAUUCUUCCAUGUUAUAAACUGAAAACAUGGCGCGAAAUUUAAUCAAUUCAACGCUUAAUAAGGCAUAGUAAUUAAAAAAGAAUUAAAAAAAAAAAAUACAAGAGCAUUCUUACAAGUACAGAAGCACCUCAAUCCCUACUAUUUGCAGAGCUGUAGCCAGGAUUCAAUGAUAGACCGGACUGAACUAAAAGGAACAACUUUCUUAGGAAUAUGUUAUCGGCAUUUUCUCUGGCCUCAGGCCAUCAACAAAGCAGUUUCAGUGCUUCUUAUAUAAUUCCAUGGAUUAUUCCUUGCCUUUACAGAUGAUAUAAGUCACAAUUCAUAUAUUAAUUUCUCCAGAUUCCGUACAAGUGGACCAUAACUAUGGAAAAAUUCAAAGAAUGCAACAGCCAUUUGAUUGGUCCAUGUCAGAAGUUAAUCUGGGGAAAGAAGCUUGAUCUAGCUGUAAAAUUCUCUCCUUCAAUCAGUCAGUUUGGGGCAGCAACAAGAUCAAAGCCACCACGCAAACAUUUACUAAAGUUUAUAUAAUAUUCUUGAACCUCAUCUUAAGUAAAGCAACAAAAGCCUUCACUGUUUCUUAACAACUUUAUUGCUCUAACACAUAGCAUAACAUUUUUAAAUUUGCAUAAAGCACAAUAGUACUUCAGUUUGUAACAACAGCACGGAUAAUAAAUAGCAUUUUAUAGCUUUAACAAAAGCAUACAAAAUUCUUAAACCUUGUUUCAAGCAAUCCAUUAAUGCCACAAGGAUAUCUUUUUGCUUCCUACAGUUUUUAUUGAAAUUCAUAUAUUCUUCUUUAUCAAAUUAAGUAAUUUUCCUUUUUCAAAAAAUCAAGAAGGUUUCGACUGCAUGGAAAUACAGCACACAAUUACUACUAUUCCCGGAGUAAGAAAUUCAUAAAUGCAAUAUAAACAUACAUUUUCAUAAGACAUCAGAAUCAAAGAAUCAUCAAUGCAUCAAAUCUGUACACCCAAAAAAGUUGAAAGCAUCAAGAGAAAAUUAUACCGCAUGGACCCUUUACAACCCUUAUAACGAGUUCAGACAGCCUAAUCCAAUUUGAUAGAUUUGAGGACAGCUACAAUGUGCAAUACAAAAUUUCCCAAUACUAUUUAGAACAAAGUCUAGAAAACAAAACUUAUAUAUUGUACAAAAUCAUGAAAACCAGAAAUGACGAAAAACCUGCAAAUGUAAUUUUUGGGUUUCUUCAACAUAUCUUCCAUCCAAAUCAAACAAGAAUCGAUAAAUCAACAACAUUCAUCUUUAAACGACAUAUUACCACAAUAAAAUUGUCAACCAAGCCUCAUAUAAACCUUUUUUGUGUUUUUUGGUAAAUAUGUUUGUUUUUCUCUAAGAAUACUAGGGAAAAAAGAAACCCACUUUCUUAAUCAAGAAUCAAAUAAUAUAUAUGAAUCUAAGCUGAAGUAAGUCUUGGGUUUGAUGAAAUAGCUUGCAUUGCGAUUUAGAUUGGAAAGGAAGUUGAUUUUUACUGGUUGAGAGAGAGAGAUUUGAGACUUAAGAGAGUGUUGCUAAUCUUCAAUCGUGUAAACAAGGGUAACUGGGUCAUAGUUCAAAAUAAGGGUCCAAAAUUUACUAAAGCUAUUAAGGAGCCCAAAACUCAUAAUGGCUUCCCCAAAAUAAAUAAAAUUUUCUAGCAUUAAGUUUUUGUUUCUUCUUGAGAUUUCCUUGUCGUACUUACCCAUAUUUCGAUAUUGCCUCCAAGUAAACUUAUAUAUAUUGAUUAACAAUAUAAACAAGCACUAUGAAGUUUUAGGCCUGAAAGAACAUUAGGAUUGAAAUGAAAACCAUCUAUUUAAGUAACAAAUUCUUCUGAUAAUCUGAUGCUUAAUUUAGAGAAGAGAUGACAUAUCAAUCACGUUAUGAUGUGGAAGUUAUGAUUAUAUUCAUCUUAGAAUAAGAUCUUUCAGGCACUGGCAGAUUAGUAUAAAAAAUACUCAGCAUAAGACCUACAAACUAGAAAUCACGCACCAAUUAUUGAACUCAGCACAUAAGUUGAUCUUUUAUAAGCUAUAAAACAAAUCUGCUAUAACAUAAGAAAGUGGGAUUUAUCACCAGACAAGUAUUUUGGUGAAACUCAAGCUGACGGAAGGAUAUCCAAAGCAACCUCCUUAAGGGAAGGCAUCACUUCCUGCUGAUGCAAACAUAUAUAUUUAUUACUCACUUUCUUGAGGACCUUCUAGGAACCUGGGUAGCACCUAACAGAAAGUGGAAAAGAAUAAAAUGUAAAAUAUAAGUUAAACAGCAGGAAAACAGUGAGUGAUACUAGGCAAGCAUUAAUAUGUUGCCGCAAGAAAAGUGUCAGUAACUAGCUAGCAAACCUGAAAAGGGUUCCUCCAUUACGACCCUUAAAAUUGUGAAUGUAAUAUAUGGUCUCCAUCACAGGAAAAAGUGUUUUGGAUAGUGCAGCCAGCUUAGGGUAGAAGAAUGACGGAUAAUCUUAGCUCAUUUAAGGAAAUCCUCUCUGAUCCUUUCAUUGCACAUUCCAAAACAACUCUACUACAACCAAGUUACCAAUUCUUUUUGUUAAGUCAUUGUUAUUUGUUAAAAAAAAAAAAAAGUCUUCCUUGUAACAUUUUAUUGAAAGAUAUAACAUGAUCAUCCCUAUUAAUUCCCUUUUAGAUUUCUGUGAGUGAAUUUCAAAUUAUUGUAUUAAAAAAUAGAAGCAAAAGACCCACUUUACUUUCAAUUUCUGCAACAAGAUACCAAUUGAAGGACCAAAAAGUUGUAAACAAGCAAUUCAAUGAGUGGACAUCUAGAAACUGCUAUAUAGCAUCAAAAUCAUACUAAAUUUACAGAAAGCACGAUAAGAAUGAAAGAAUGGUGAAGGAUACACCCAGACCUUAUCCGGUCAAGUUCUCCAUUGAAUAUAAUCAGUUUCCGGGCAGUAUUGAAGACAGCUUCUUUGUAAAGCUCUUCAACGACAAGCAUUUCUACAAGACAAAAGAAAAGCAAAAUUAAUUACCUUAAGGAAUGAAUAUCAAUGAGAAGACAAGGUGUAAGACUACCAUUGACAUUAAAAUAUGGAUAGGCGACUAGAAACAAUUCAUCUUCCGGCUUCACACGGUCUGCCAUUUUAACCUUCUCAGUGAAUCCAAAAUCCUCAAAGAAUGAAGGUUUUGUUAGAUAGUCCAACUUAAAUGAUGAUCCUUCAAAGACCGAUUUUCUUGCAAAUUUGACUUCAUUUGCCUCUGGGAAAAACUAAAAACCAAAUGACAGACCAAGAUCACGAAACGAAUCAUGAACGUAGAUAUCAGAUAAUCAGAAAUGGGCAUUAAACAGACUACUAACAAGUAGGAAAUGCAUACAGAAAACAUUAUUCAUACACCUUAUGCACAUGAAAUAUAUAUGCAGAGGGAUCCUCUUGUGAAUUUAGUUUAUAUCCUAAUAUGAGACGAUGAACAAUUGGAUGCCAUCUAAGGGCUAACAUUUGUUUGAUUAUUAUAUGAAAAAAAAAAAAAACAGAGUUGAUUGAUGGCCUUUGAUGGAUUGCCUACACUCCUAAAGUGCAGAGAGCCUGAUUGAUUGCUUUACCUGCCCCCCACACACACUUGAUUUUAUUAUCUCUCUUUUCAAAUAUAUAAUCAUUGCCUGUCUUUCAUCCUGAUCCAGCUCUCCUUCCAGGCACCAGCUGUGUUUUCUUCAAUUCAGUGAAACAUUCACUUUCAGGUAAGAAUAAACUUGUCCUUCCUCAAAAACCAACUUCUCACCAUGAAGCUUUCUUUUUUAAAACAAUUACUAGUCUAGCAUAAUUGAAGACAACUCAGAAUUGAAAAAGCCAUACUUUAAUGUCUGCUGUUGGGACCUCAAGACCAGGAACAAAAAGCUUCUUUCUAACCGUUGGAUUAACAAGUAGAAAUAGCUUUUUUCUGAAGGACCCAACAUUGCAUUGAAAAAUUCAACAAAAUGACUGGCGUCAUAUUUAGUCCUGCUAGAAUUUUGUGCACUUAACACAAUGGCUAAUAAUUGGCCCAGCGGACACUUUGUCGAACUACUGGCAACCUUGACUGUGGAAAUGCAUAUUUCAAAUGUUGGCAGGCUCUAGCUUCUUGAUGUACUGUUGAUAGAAAUGCCUAUUUCAAAAGUUGGCAGGCUCAAACUGCCGAGACUUUGGUUUCUUACAUUUCAAACCCACAAAUAAAACUUUGGCAGAACCCCAGAAAGAGCUACACCUCCCAAAUUUGAUGACAUAUGAGGAGACCAUGCCUAGUGCUUGGUUCGGCAAAUGAGUAAGUUUGAAAGAAAUUGAGGGAAACCUUUCCCACAGAGAGUCAUAUUGAAGGUUACAAUUUGAAGACUUUGUCCCCUGUCGCCCGUAACCUUCUUUGAUCUCUUUUCUUAGUCAUAAAUAAUCAAACAUGUGUUAGUCGUUGGAUGCAAUCCACUCACUGACAUCUCAUGUCCACAAUCAAUCAACCAUAUUUUAAUAGAAAUGAAAACAUUUUAAUUAAAAAAAAUGAGAUAGGAACAAAAUCAAACUUGGCAGACAUGGUCUAUGAGAUUUUAAAGAUGCUUGGUGAAAGUUGUAUUCAAGAGUUCAACAGUCAGUUCUAUCACCUAUGGCAAAGUAACCACCGCAACUAAAGCAAUUACAAAACAUCAAGAAGCUUGAACUUGGCAAGAGGUCUCAUUAACAGUAUACCUCAGAAAUUAAGACAGACUUAAAGUGCAAGCUUUUGGAUUUAUUUAAACACUGAAAAUAAUAUGGGUAGAAGCUCCUAUGGUCACAGCAAACAAUUACAAAGCACAAAACCCAAAAAACAGAUAUGCAAAAAGCUGCAAAAGAACAUUAUUAGCAAUUGACAUCUGCUUUUGCUCAGACAAAGGUUCUCAUAACAAAGGACUUAGUGAUUAUCUGUCAUAUGUUUAUGUUAAGGGGAAAAAGGAAGUUUGUUUUAGUCAAUCUCACGUCUAAUGGCAUUUAUAAGGAGCCCAAAAAUAAAAGAAAAAAUAAAGAGUUAGUAGGUGUUUCUUGCAGCACAAAGAAAAUUUAUCAUUCAUGAAAAACUUAGUAUGGAAAAAGCUAACUCAUUUAUCUGCCAAUGGAGAAAAACUUGUUGUCCACCCACUAAGGACCCACCAUUGGCAGGUCUGAUGGAUCCCAUGGAUGGGAACCGCAAAUAUUUUAUUCUAAAUGACAUGUGUAUUGUACCCAUAUCAUUUAAUUUGUAGAUUCCACUGAUGGAACUCAUCAAACUUGCCAAAUGGCAGGUCCUCCGUGGGUAGGCGCAUCACUUCAGCAUCCUUCUCCACCGAUGACCAAAUUUGGACUCAUUUAAAAAGAAUACAAAGCAAAACUAACUGACAUAAAUUGCAUAGAGAUCUAGGAGCCAAAUCAAUGUUGUUAACUCAUCCAAUUAAUACAUUCUCUUAGAGGCAGGGACGGAGCCAGCGUGGGACGAGGUGGGGCACAGGCCCCAGCUGGCUUUUAAUUUUUUUUUAUAAUUAUACUAAAAUAUGUAUUUUAUUUGUUAUUUAUGAAAAAUGUCUCAGCUGAAUUGUAAAAUUUAAAAUUGACUCCAGUAAUUUUAAAAUAUUUCAUACUGUCCCUAAUUUAUAUUUUUAAUUAUAAAUUAUUUAAUUAGUUAUUAACAUUUCAUGAAACUUUAUUAAAGACACAAGAACAAAUAUUAAAAUAAAAAAUAAUCAUAACAAAAUGUUAGUAUAAUGGUUAAUGGACUAGUUUUUAAUCUUUUUAUUUUUUAUUCAAGUAAAAUUAAUUAUUUAGUCUUUCAACACUGACCAUAAGUUGUAAGUCUUCCUAAUUCUAAUUUAUAAUUUUCUAAUUAAUCUUUUAUCUAGUUUUAAAAUUUAUAAUUUUAUCAUGCAUUUCAUAUUUGUUCUGUGUGUUGCAAUAUAUGAAUAUUUUUGUUAUUAUUAAAAGAUUUUAAGAGCAAAUUAAGUAAUAACCUAGUCUUGUAUAUUGAAAAAUAUAUUUUUGCUUAUAUUGAUAAUUCAUUAUUUUCAACUCAUAAAAUCCCAUUGAGGAGAUUUCGCGGAGAACCAUUGUAAUAAGUAAAUUUAUUAUCAAUGAAUAUUAUAGUUGUAAUGCUAUUUAUUGAUAUCUAAAUUUUUAAAAAUGUAUUAUACUUUAAGUAUGCUUUCAAUUAGAUGCAUACAGACGCACUCUAUAAGAAGUACAAUUGUACAUGUAGCAAGCUCCCAUUUAGAGUUUAUAGGGCCCACAAUACAGUUUCUCAAAUGACGACUUAUCACACGAGCAAUCGUACAUUCGAGUCAUCUUUAAUUUUAAAUGUGCCCCGGCUCUAUCAAAAUCCUGGCUACGUCCCUGCUUAGAGGUCAUACCUUGGUAACUCAUUUGAAAAGAAAUUAAAAGAAAAACGACUGCACAAAUUGUACUGAGCUCAAGAAAACCUGUUCAAGGUGUUCACUUGUCCAACUAAUAAAAGUCAUCAAGGAUUGUAUCGGGGACUUGGGACCAAUCCUGCCUUAACGAGAGAAAGGGAAUUUAGGAGGAAGAAGAUAACCUCUUUUCCUAGAACCCUUGAGAAAAUUAUUGAAGAAAUAUGUAUCUCCUUUUCUUAUUUUUACAAUAGGGUUACACAAUACAUAUAUAUAUAUUCUAAACUACAUAAUGUGCUAGAGUAGGAAAGUAAACAACUAACUGCAGACCAAGAAACUAGGAAACAAACUCUAUCUAAAAAACUGAAAUUCUAUCCCUAUCUUUUUUCUUUUCUAUCCCUAUCUUUUUUCCUUAAAAACAGGAUAGAAAACAAGUGACUUUUCCACACUCCCCCUCAAGCUAGUUCGAAGAUAUCAAUCAUUCCCAGCUUGCUAGUUAGUGACUCAAAGCUUGAUUUAUGAAGUCCUUUAGUAAGAAUAUCAGCUAGCUGCUUUGUUGUUGGAACAAAGGUCAUGCAUAUCAAACCACUUUCUAUUUUCUCCUUGAUAAAAUGACGAUCCACUUUGUUGAGUGUUAGAAAAUGCAUAUUUAUAAAGGAGAAAACCAUCAUUUUACAUUUCAAGUCGUACUAACAACUCUUACUUUUAUGUAUUUAACCUUCUUGUGAUAUAAUUACGUGUGUUUUAUUUUAAUUAAGUAUUUUAUGUAUUUUAGGGGCAUUAUAGUCAUUUCACAAUAAAGGAGAGAUUAGACGGCAAAACGGACAUCACUUUUGAACUCAGGACGGUCGAAAACCUUAGGAGGAGCAUAAAAGGAAAAAUGGCACUAUUCAUAUGUACGGUACUAUUCGCGUGUACGGUAUUAACUACGUUACUGUUCACAACACUGUUCACAACACUGUUCACAUAGACGGAUCGAUGACGUGGCAUUGACCGAUGAUGUGGCAUUGACUGAUGAGGUGUCACGAUCCUGUUGGGCUAAAAUUCUUAUGUACUGUUGAUGGUGACGUGGCAGCAUAUCAGUGGAUGAAAAAUCUCGCGUACGGUACAUGCAUCACACAUGAUUAUUCUCAACCAAACCGUGUUACUGUUUAUCCGAGUCAAACCGUGUUACUGUUCAUCCACGUGGUCAAACCGUGGACUGUUGACUUAUGACGUGGCGCAAUCCUGAGCGUCCAAACUGUUUUUAAUCUGAUGGCCAUGAUUUACUCCAUGUAUCUAUAAAAAGGGGGCCUUCCCCCCCUAAUUUGAUAGCUCUGAAUCCAUUUUUGGGAUCCAUUUUCUGUAAUUCCUUCUCCAUCUUGUAUUUUCUUUGUAUUUUAAUAAAUUCCCAUUUUGCCCCUAGUUCAAUUAUGAGUGGCUAAUUUUCUUUCAAGCUUGGGUUGAAGGUGAAGUCUCAACAUGUGUCAUGGGCUUAAUUUGGUAAAUUUAUUUUCUCUUCCCCUCUAGUUUUUGUGGAUGUUUUGACUUCUCGUCGACAAAUAAUAAUAAUCUUGUCUAGAUACCGCCUUGGUUACACCGGCUCUCUAGUAUAAGGUUAUUAUUAUUUGGCACGAUAAGCCCUUAGCACCAUAUUGAUUAUAGCGUGGUUCAUGAGGUGUGGAUUCCCCCCUCAUGAUUUAAUUGGCAUUAAUAAAGAUUAUUUAGCCCAUGAUGCAUGUUGAUACGGAUCCAGAUACCCAAGUACGUCAUUUUAAUAGAAUUCUCUUCAAUUUAUUCUCGCCAUUUCAAUUCCAAUUUUAGAAUUUAUUCUCGCCAUUUUAAUUUAAGUUUUAGCAUAUCCCAAAUCAUUUCCACCACAAAUCCAAUCACCCAUUUACAAAAUUAAUUCUACACAAUUAAAAUCCACCUCCUCGUGGGAUCGACACUCGUCACCAUUAGUCUAUACUACAAUAGAUUCGUGCGCUUGCGAGUACAUUAAAAUUUGCACAACAAGUUUUUGGCGCCGUUGCCGGGGAGGUAAGUAAUUUUAAUUCAUAGAAUUAAUUUUUGUGAAUAAUUUCUUUUAUUUAUUUUCUUGUAUUUUUUUUUAUUAUUAAAAAAAAAAGUAAAUCUACAUUUAAAGGUUAGUAUUUCUUUUCUUUUUCUCUUCUUUAAAAUUCUGUAAUUUAAUUUUCAAUUUAUUUUUCUUUGUAAUUUUUUUUUGUUUAUUUUAUUAAUUUAUUUUUAGUUAAUUUAUUUCACGUAUUUAUUUUUGUGUAUUUUUAUAGUAAGGUUGUAAUAGCGCAAUAAGGUUAGUAUUGUAAUUUCUCUCUCUUCUUUAUUUUUAUUUGUUUUGUUCCAUCUUUAUUUUUAUUUUAUUUAUUUUGUAUGCAUGGUCGUAGGUCUUUAUUACCUAAUCUUGAACCUAUAGACCUUGAACUUGAGAAAACACUUCGCACACACAAGAACGUUAAAAAUAAAUUUGAAAUGGAUUUACAAGCACCACAGGAGAGGCCAUUUAAGGACUAUUUUAGUCCCUUAGCUAAUUUGAGCACAUCAUGCAUAAGAUACCCAAAUGUAGCUGCUAGGAGUUUUGAAUUAAAACCUAGUGUGCUAAAUUGUCUCCCCACAUUCUAUGGCCUAGAAAAUGAGGACCCAUAUAAUCAUCUGAAUGAUUUUCAUGCCAUUUGUCAAACUUUUAAAUAUGAAAAUUUUUCAGACGAUGAUGUUAAACUUAGAUUAUUCCCAUUUUCUUUAAAGGAUAGAGCUCGUUCAUGGUUAAAUACUUUGCCUGCUAAUAGCAUUGCAUCAUGGGAACAAAUGGUUACAAAAUUUCUAAAUAAAUAUUUCCCAGUGCAUAAAACCAAUUCUAUUCGCAGGGAAAUUUCAGAGUUUACACAAAGAGAGGACGAGCAGUUUUUCGAAACUUUGGGAGUGAUUCAAUGGGCUACUCUUGAAGUGUCCACAUCAUGGGUAUGAGAAAUGGCACCAAUGCCAAUACUUUUUGGAGGGAUUAUUGCCAAAUGUGCAAGAAUGGCUAAUGGCAACAAGUGGAGGAGAGCUAAUGUCAAAAAGCGCAACAGAGAUUUGGGAAUUCUUCCAGCGACAAGCGGAUAAUUCCCAACAACGGAGUCGAUCACUCAGGAAUACUAGAAGAAUUAAGGGAGUAAAUGAGGUUCAAAUUGGCGAGUCAACUUCGGGAAUCAAAGAAGUCAAGGAGAUAGUUGAAGGUCUUGCUCGACAAAUAGCAUCGUUGUCGACUGCUAAAUCAACAGAACCACAUGACCAUGACUCAUACUCCGAUCAAGCCAAUGCCAUAGGUGUAAUGAGAAAACCAUCGAAUUACAACCCAUACUCCAACACAUAUAACCCUGGAUAGAGAGACCACCCCAAUUUUUCAUGGUCUCAAGGAUUCCAACAGAAUGGACCAGCAGCUCCAGCUCCACAAAUUCCUCAAGUUCCUCAAGCCUCUCAGCCCCCAUUUAGACCAUUUAAUCAGAACCAGAACUACUCUCAACCCAGACCAUGGGAGGAUUCAUUCCAGAAUCUCAAGAAUCUUACUCACUCCACGAUUGAGCAGCAGAACCGCACCGUUGAUGGACUACGAAAUGAGUUGAGAGCAGGCUUCAACUCACAAGAUCAAUCAGUUUCAAACCUCGAGAAAAUGGUGGGACAACUUGCUUCUUCAGUUCAGACCUUGGCAAUGACUGUUGAGAAAGGAAAAUUUCCAAGUCAACCAGUGCCUAAUCCUAAAGGAGUGCAUGAAGCAAGUACCAGUUCACCACAGCAGCAUGGGGAGGUCAAAGCAGUCAUGACCUUGCGAAAAGGAAAGGAAGUCGACAACAAAGUGGAGAUGCCGGUGACAAAAGAAAAUCAAAUUGUACCUGUGAAUGUUGAGGACUCACCACCGGAGGAAAAAGAAGAAACCAACCCACGAGAAUAUGUUCCUAAAGCUCCAUUUCCUCAGAGGUUAGCGAAAGGAAAGAAGGGAAAUUCCACAGGUGAGAUUCUCGAAAUCUUCAAACAGGUAAGUGUUAACAUCCCUUUACUUGAUGCUAUAAAGCAAGUUCCAUCUUAUGCUAAGUUUCUUAAAGACCUUUGUACUAAAAAGAGAAAUAUGCAUGUUCAAAAGAAGGCAUUUUUAACAGAAAACGUUAGUUCUAUACUCCAACAUAAAAUUCCUUUAAAAUGCAAAGACCCAGGCUCCCCCACUAUCUCAUGUAGUAUAGGGAACCACACAAUUGAGAAUGCUUUGUUGGAUUUAGGAGCUAGUGUAAAUCUUUUGCCUUACUCUGUAUUCGUGAAACUUGGACUGGGAGAAUUACACCCAACUCCAGUGGUGUUACAGCUUGCAGAUCGGUCCACGAAAAUACCUCGUGGUAUUGUGGAGGACGUGCUUAUCCAGGUAGACAAGUUUUAUUUUCCUGUUGAUUUCAUUGUAAUUGACACUCAACCAAUACAGGAUUCAAGGAAGCACAUCCCCAUUAUUCUAGGCCAACCUUUCUUGGCAACUGCGGAUGCUCACAUUCAAUGCAGGACUGGAAAUAUGCAAUUGUCCCUCGGCAACAUGACUAUGGAGCUGAACAUCUUCAAUAUUGCCAAACAACCUCAUAAUGCAGAUGAUAGAAUUGUAGACGUGGAUUUAAUUGAAGCAUUAGUUGAUGAUACUUUUGUUUCAAACCUUAGUGAUGAUCCUUUACAAACAUGUUUAACUCACUUUGGUUUGGAUUUUGAUAUUGACAGAUCGGUCGAAGAGGUCAACGCCCUGCUUGACUCAGCACCAUACAUGGACACUAAUAAAUGGAAGUUAAGAGUUGAACAACUAGCACCAUCAGAGAAGAAACUCAUCCCAUCAUCAGAAUCACCACCGAAACUCGAGGUCAAACCAUUGCCCAACACAUUGGAAUAUGCAUUUUUGGGAGAAGAAAUUACUUUGCCGGUAAUCAUCUCAUCAUCCCUAAAUGACGAACAAAAAGGUAAGUUGUUGGAUGUUUUAAAAGAGCACAAAGGAGCAUUAUGAUGGACCAUAGCAGACAUAAAAGGUAUAAACCCAGUAGACUGCAUGCAUUACAUUCACCUUGAUGAAAAUGCUAAAUCUACUAGGAAAAUGCAACGUCGGUUAAAUCCUAAUAUGAAAGAAGUUGUUAGAACAGAAGUCCUUAAGCUAUUAGACGCAGGUAUCAUUUACCCAAUUUCUGAUAGUUCAUGGGUCAGUCCUGUACAAGUUGUCCCCAAAAAGUCAGGAGUCACAGUAGUUACGAAUGCUGAUAAUGAAUUGAUACCCACUAGAGUAACUACAGGAUGGCGUGUAUGCAUUGAUUAUAGAAAGUUGAAUUCUGUCACACGUAAAGACCAUUUUCCUUUACCAUUUAUUGAUCAAAUGCUUGAUAGAUUAGUAGGCCAUGAAUUUUAUUGCUUUCUAGAUGGCUACUCAGGAUAUAAUCAGAUUCCCAUAGCACCAAAAGAUCAGGAGAAAACUACUUUCACUUGCCCUUUUGGCACAUUUGCAUAUAGGAGAAUGCCAUUUGGAUUAUGUAAUGCACCUGCUACAUUUCAACGAUGCAUGUUGAGCAUUUUUUCUGAUAUGGUUGAACAAUUCCUUGAAGUCUUUAUGGAUGACUUUUCUGUUUUUGGUAACUCGUUUGAUCAAUGUUUACAUCAUCUAACGCUAGUUCUGCAGAGAUGUAUCGAGAAGAAUUUAGUCUUAAAUUGGGAGAAAUGCCAUUUUAUGGUAAAACAAGGUAUUGUUCUCGGUCACAUCAUUUCGAGCAAAGGUAUUGAGGUUGACAAAGCCAAGGUGGAUCUCAUUUCUAAUCUUCCUCCACCUAAAACAGUCAGAGAAGUACGAUCUUUCCUUGGACAUGCUGGUUUCUAUAGACGUUUCAUUAAAGAUUUUAGCAAAGUUUCUAGACCCUUAUGCAAUUUACUUGCUAAGGAUGUACCUUUUAUCUUUAAUGAUUCAUGUCUCAUGGCGUUUGAAAAAUUAAAGCAAUUGUUGACAUCAUCACCCAUCAUUCAGGCCCCAAACUGGAGCUUACCAUUCGAGCUCAUGUGUGAUGCAUCUGAUUAUGCAGUAGGAGCAGUAUUAGGACAAAGAGUUGAUCGAAUUCCCCAUGUUAUUUACUAUGCUAGUAUGACAUUCAAUGAUGCACAGUUGAAUUAUUCAACUACUGAAAAAGAAAUGCUAGCAGUAGUGUUUGCAUUAGAAAAAUUUCGAUCUUAUCUCAUUGGUUGUAAAAUAAUUAUAUUCACAGAUCAUGCUGCUCUUAAAUAUCUUCUCACAAAGAAAGAUGCAAAAGCUAGACUAAUUCGUUGGGUAUUACUUUUGCAGGAAUUUGACUUGGAAUUCAAAGAUAAGAAAGGCACAGAAAAUGUCGUGGCGGACCAUCUCUCUCGUCUCCAUUUUGACACAAUUACAGAGCCAUUAAUAUUAAAUGAGUCAUUUCCAGAUGAACAAUUAAUGAGUGUGGAAGUAUUACCUUGGUAUGCUGAUAUAGUUAAUUAUCUUGUUACAGGUAAACUUCCAGAGCAUUGGACCAAGCAAGACAAGGCUAAAUUCUUUGCGGAAAUAAAGAAUUUCUUUUGGGAUGACCCAUAUUUGUUCAAGUAUUGUGCAGACCAAAUUGUUAGACGAUGUGUCCCUGAAAAUGAAAUUCAGAAUAUUCUUUCAUUCUGCCAUGAACAAGCUUGUGGAGGCCAUUUCAGUGCUAAGAAAACAACGACUAAAGUUUUACAAUGUGGUUUCUAUUGGCCAACUAUAUUUCGAGACGCUUACACUUUCUGUUCUUCAUGUGAUAGGUGUCAACGAAUGGGGAGCAUUACACGAAGGAACAUGAUGCCACUAAAUCCAAUUUUAGUGGUUGAGAUUUUUGAUGUAUGGGGUAUCGACUUCAUGGGACCCUUUCCCUCUUCUUUUGGCCAUCAAUACAUAUUGGUUGGUGUUGACUACGUCUCAAAAUGGGUAGAAGCAAUUCCAUGUAGAACCAAUGAUCACAAAGUGGUGAUAGGAUUUUUGAAAAGCAACAUUGUCUCACGCUUUGGAUUCCCUCGAGCAAUAAUCAGUGAUGGUGGUGCCCACUUUUGUAACAAAGCAUUCAAAGCUCUUUUGACAAAGUAUUCAAUCACACACAAAGUGGCAACCCCUUAUCAUCCGCAAACCAGUGGCCAAGUUGAGAUCUCCAAUCGAGAAAUAAAGCAUAUAUUAGAAAAGACGGUGAGGCCAGACAGAAAAGAUUGGUCAUUAAGACUUGAUGAUGCAUUAUGGGCAUAUAGAACGGCUUUCAAGACCCCGAUUGGGAUGUCACCCUACAGGCUAGUGUAUGGAAAAGCUUGCCACCUACCUGUGGAACUCGAGCAUCGUGCAUAUUGGGCCAUCAAGAAAUUCAACUUUGACAUGCAGCAAGCCAGCUCAGAAAGAAGAUUACAACUGGCAGAACUUGAAGAAAUUCGCAAUGAUGCAUACGAAAAUGCCAAAAUUUACAAGCAACGAAUGAAAGUCUUUCAUGACAAGCACAUUAUGAGAAAAUCGUUCACUCCAGGUCAGAAAGUGCUUUUAUUCAAUUCUCGCUUGCACCUAUUCCCAGGUAAGUUACGCUCUCGAUGGUCUGGUCCAUUUAUUGUUCAUACUAUUUUUCCACAUGGGGCAAUUGAAAUUAAGGACCCAAAGAACGGUGUCACGUUUAAAGUUAAUGGUCAAAGAUUAAAGCCAUAUCUUGAGUACCAACCACAUGGAGAAGACACCGAAAUAAAUUUGAGUGACCCACCAGAUUUGAAUUGAUUUUUUUUCUUUUUGUUGAUUUGAUUUUUCUUUCUUUUUAUUAUUCUUUUGCUAAUUGAAAUUAUUUUUGCAUAAGUGUGUUUGUUUUACCAUUAAGUUUUCUUUUCUCUUAUCAUUGUUAAUCAUGAGUACCAUACUUAGACCGUUCCUCCUGAACAUUCUUAAACCACUUCAACGUGUCAAAACUCAUCUCAAAAAGCAGAUUCAAUUUUGUAAAACACAACGCAUUUGGGCUCUACAACCACCAGAGUUAGUAGCCUAUGUUGAGGGUUUAGAAUGCCAACUCAGAGACAUUGAGAGAAGUGUUUACGACAUCCAGUUAGAGCUUGAGGUAAAUUCAAUAAGAGGACGAUUUUAAUUUUCUUUGUGUGUUUUAAUUUGUUUUUCUGUUUGUGUGUUUUAGUUUGUUACCCCGGUGAAAUGGCGGAUAACGGUACUCCGUGACAAUCAAGUCGGUUACUUCAGUUUCCCAUAAUAACUGACAUUCUGAGGCGAAAGUAUGGACAGAAAAGAGAUUCUAGCAAAGCUUCACAAGCGAUUCCCUUCACUUCCUCAGAAUGCCCUCCUUACGAUCUAUAAAGCUCGGUCCGAACGCAUGCGAUUACUCAUGAAGAAUAACAUACCUGCUGACAUCCGUUGGUUAAUCGAGGCUAAAGUACGAUCGGCAGGUGAGUUUCCUCCAAAAUUUAUUGCAUACAUGCCUGGUUGUGGUAAAGGAAAUUAUGCAAGAAAACGACGAGCUCGAAGAAUUUCUGUUGCUUGUCAUAAGUGUGCUAGAAUGAGUUGCGAUAGAAACCCAUGUUCUUUAGGAAUGGUGUCUGAUAACAGGGAAGAUAAGAUUUAAUUCAUUAGGGAUGGCUUGAAUAAGGAGUCAUUGGAUGAUAUCCUUUUGUCUCUUGAAACGCAUCCUAGUGGAUAUGUGCAAGGAGCGAUUCUCCAGUUAUGGCCAUUAUUCCAGAAAGAGCAUGCACGAUAUAGUCUCGGGAAUCUGACUAUAAACGACCCUGUUUGCCAGUUUAUAAGAAAACUGGAUAGGAAGCCUAUCCUCGACCCAUAGAGGGCGUUCAAGCCGUUUCUGGACGUAAAACCAGAGGAAGAUGUGAGCCACAGUCGCAACUACGUGUAAAUAUCCUUUUACUUUACUGUUAUUUUAUUUCAUUUCACUGUUGUUUUAUUGUUUGCAUUAUUGUCUUUAAUAAUUUUGUUACUGUUUGCUUUUUCCUUUUUACUGUUUCCUUUUUGACUCACGAGCCACGUGCUUAACGCGUUAUUUGACACUGACAUGCCACCCCAUACACAGUUGUGACCCACUGUCACCAAGAUUCUUAAAUAUGACUUUUUGUUAAGCACUCACAAAUUGUUUCUGAGAAAUAUUCCAAUGGCAGCUACUCCUAAUAGACAAUUCAAGAACAUUUGUGUGCUUUCUGGAUUUACCUAUGGCAAACAUAAAGAGUUCGUGGAGGCAGCCAUAGAUCUUGGUCGAAGCAUAGCAGCGAGAAAAUUACACUUGGUGUAUGGAGGAGGUAACCGAGGGUUAUCAAAAAUGGUCUCAGAAGCAGCUUUUAUCAGAGGAAGUCAAGUGUUAGGCAUCAUCCCAAGAGUCCUAAAACCAUUGGGCAGUUCGUCUGACUCAUCAACUGGAGAAGAGUUAGUCGUCUCAGGUAUGCAAGAAAGAAUAACUGAAAUGCUUAAUCAUGCUGAUGCUUUUAUUUUCCUUCCAGGAGAUCUUGCAACACUAGAGGCACUUAUGACACUAGCAUCUUGAGCCCAUCUACACAUUCACCAGAAACCCAUCGGUUUGUUAAAUGUCAAUAACUUUUAUGAUGGCUUUAUCGCAUUUCUUAACCAUGCAAUAAAAAACUAUUUCAUUCCUUCUAAUGUGAAAAAACUCUUUAUUUGUGCUCACACUGCUAAUGAGCUACUUGAUAUGUUACAAGCUUAUAAACCGGAGCCAGACCCCUGGACCUUUGUGUUGGAGCGACCAAAUAAUGAUGGUAACAGUAGCCGCAGUAAGAAGUACAAAUUAGAUUUAACUCUCCGCCUGUAAAUAUUUUCUUCUGUGUUGCACCACCCAGGUGAUGUCUUCUAAACUCUACUUCUUUCAUUUCAAACAUUGAGGACAAUGUUUCGUUCUGGUUGGGGGGAGGGAAUAGUCGACAGUUGUGGAAUCUUGGUUAAAUUUUUACUGAUUUUUUGUUGUAGAAACUAACUGUUGCUAACUUUUUAUGUUGAAGAUGGCUGAAUAUGGAGUGUAGUGACUCUAGAAACGCAUUUUCAUCGUUUAAAAAAAAUUAAAAAAAAACUAAAAAAAAAUUUCAGACAGUUUCUUUUUUUUUUCUUUCUUUAUUCUGUUUUUAUGUUUAUUUUUCUUCUUUUUAAUUUCUCCUCUAUAAAUAUACAUUUUCCAACUUGUGAGUCGAAGAUGGCUGAAUAUGGAGUGUAGUGCCUCUAGAAACGCAUCUUCUUAAAAAAAAAAAAAAAAAAAACCCAUUUUCUUUUUCUAUCAUUUUACGUGUAACUUUUCUAAUUAGUUUUUAUGCAUCAUUUUCACAUUUCUGCAUGCAUAUUUUCCUUUCAUGUUUAGAAUAGGUUGGGGGGUAGAAUGUUGUUUAAAAAAAAAAAAAUUGUGUUAUUUGUUUUAACAUUGGAUGACAUGAUUAAUUUCAAAUUUUAGUAUUUGUAUUAUCUUUGGUCUUAAGUGAUGUUACGCUAUGUUUGCUACUUUACAUGUUGAUGUCGGAGACAAAUAUGAGUUGCUUGAAGGAAUGAACAUGUCAUAAAUAAGUGCCAAGUGAGUUGUUGAGCCUAUCAUUUUCUUGGAGAGUAACACUUUUGCCCAUUCUCUAUACAGCUUAGCAGUUUAUUAGUUUAUACACGAUCUCUAGAUUUCUUUUGAGUUAACCCUUUAAAAAAAAAUGUGUGUUGCUACAUUGGGAGACCCAUCUAACUAGUAGAUAUGGAUAAUUAUUUAGAGCCCUAAAAGACGAUGGAAAGGCCAUAUUUGAUCCGUUUGAGCCUUUCUAGCCAUCCCUUUUAUUAAAUAUCCAUAGUUACCCCUUUUGAGCCUUUUUUUAAAAAAAAAAGAGAACAAAAACAUUUUCUUUGUCAACUUAUCAUCUUGACCCACUCCGAUUUGGAGUAUUACCCAAUGUCUUUUAAGUUCCAUCACCUAUUUAUGUUUGAGAAAAUGUAAAUAAUGAUGUUGUUCAGUGAAGUUAUGCCAAAUAAAAGCAAAAAAAAAAAAAAAAAAACAAAAGUUGUUGUUUCAAAAGAAUAAAAAUAACAAUAAUAGGUGAAAUCCACCUUGCAACUUCAAAAAAAAAUAUAUAUAUUUCUGCAUUUUUCUCAAACAUACACUUUGUUUUCCUUAUUUCCUUUCUUUGUUAGCCAUAUCCCUAGCCUACGUUAUGUCCUAAUAAAAGUCCUUCUUGAUUUUAGGGAACUAUAGUUUGAAGUAGAAGCUAGUUAUAUGGGCUAAAAAGAUGUAGUGAUGCAUAAUAAAAAAAAAAAAGAUAAAUAAAGUGGGUUGACUAACAUUUUAUUUGACUUGAGAUCGUAUUAUUUCUAAGCUAAGGGCAUAUUUAUUUCAUCUUGGUGAGAGCAUGUGAUAUCACUUCUUCAUUAUUUUCUCUCAAUUACCAUUCAUUGGAGUGACUAUUUUUUUAGGUUUAAUUUCUUUGUGAGAGUGUCACUACUUCCAGUGAGAUUUUGGGUUUUGACAUGUCAUUCUUGAAAGUAGUUAUAACAAAGUCUACUGGCCGAUUCAUGUGGAUGGUUGAUGUGGGUGUGAUGUUGUUUUAGACUGGAGAUAAUACUUAUACUUUUAUUUGAUUGCUAUCAUUAAUCUGAUUGAAUAAACACGAGUGUUUCUAAAAAAAAAAAAAAAAAUUAUUUUGAAUUUGAAUUUUGUUUUCGCUUUAUUUGCUAGGGACUAACAUUAAGCUGGUUGGGGGGUGUGUUGAGUGUUAGAAAAUGCAUAUUUAUAAAGGAGAAAACCAUCAUUUUACAUUUCAAGUCUUACUAACAACUCUUACUUUUAUGUAUUUAACCUUCUUGUAAUAUAAUUACGUGUGUUUUAUUUUAAUUAAGUAUUUUAUGUAUUUUAGGGGCAUUAUAGUCAUUUCACAAUAAAGGAGAGAUCAGGCGGCAAAACGGACAUCACUUUUGAACUCAGGACGGUCGAAAACCUUAGGAGGAGCAUAAAAGGAAAAAUGGCACUAUUCAUAUGUACGGUACUAUUCACGUGUACGGUAUUAACUACGUUACUGUUCACAACACUGUUCACAUAGACGGAUCGAUGACGUGGCAUUGACCGAUGAUGUGGCAUUGACUGAUGAGGUGUCACGAUCCUGUUGAGCUAAAAUUCUUAUGUACUGUUGAUGGUGACGUGGCAGUAUAUCAGUGGAUGAAAAAUCUCGCGUACGGUACAUGCAUCACACAGGAUUAUUUUCAACCAAACCGCGUUACUGUUCAUCCGAGUCAAACCGUGUUACUGUUUAUCCGAGUCAAACCGUGUUACUGUUCAUCCGCGUGGUCAAACCGUGGACUGUUGACUUAUGACGUGGCGCAAUCCUGAGCGUCCAAACUGUUUUUAAUCCGAUGGCCAUGAUUUACUCCAUGUAUCUAUAAAAAGGGGGCCUUCCCCCCCUAAUUUGAUAGCUCUGAAUCCAUUUUUGGGAUCCAUUUUCUGUAAUUCCUUCUCCAUCUUGUAUUUUCUUUGUAUUUUAAUAAAUUCCCAUUUUGCCCCUAGUUCAAUUAUGAGUGGCUAAUUUUCUUUCAAGCUUGGGUUGAAGGUGAAGUCUCAACAUGUGUCAUGGGCUUAAUUUGGUAAAUUUAUUUUCUCUUCCCCUCUAGUUUUUGUGGAUGUUUUGACUUCUCGUCGACAAAUAAUAAUAAUCUUGUCUAGAUACCGCCUUGGUUACACCGGCUCUCUAGUAUAAGGUUAUUAUUAUUUGGCACGAUAAGCCCUUAGCACCAUAUUGAUUAGAGCGUGGUUCAUGAGGUGUGGAUUCCCCCCUCAUGAUUUAAUUGGCAUUAAUAAAGAUUAUUUAGCCCAUGAUGCAUGUUGAUACGGAUCCAGAUACCCAAGUACGUCAUUUUAAUAGAAUUCUCUUCAAUUUAUUCUCGCCAUUUCAAUUCCAAUUUUAGAAUUUAUUCUCGCCAUUUUAAUUUAAGUUUUAGCAUAUCCCAAAUCAUUUCCACCACAAAUCCAAUCACCCAUUUACAAAAUUAAUUCUACACAAUUAAAAUCCACCUCCUCGUGGGAUCGACACUCGUCACCAUUAGUCUAUACUACAAUAGAUUCGUGCGCUUGCGAGUACAUUAAAAUUUGCACAACACACUUCAACAUGUUUAGUUCUGUCAUGAUGAAUAGGGUUAUGAGCAAUGUUUAUUGCUGCCUUGUUGUCACAAUACAACUUCAUAGGAACAUCAAUGAUAAUCUUCAAUUCUUCAAGUAGCUUCUUUAACCACAAAAGUUCACAAAUACCAUAUGCUACUGCUCUAAAUUCAGCUUCAGCACUGCUUCUUGCAACCACUGAUUGCUUCUUACUCCUCCAAGUUACCAAGUUUCCUCCCACAAAUGUGCAAUACCCUGAAGUUGACCUUCUAUCAAUAAUAGAUCCAGCCCAAUCUGCAUCAGUAUAUACUUCAACUUGCAUAUUGUUAUUUUUCUUGAAUAGCAGGCCUUUUCCUGGAGUUUUUUUCAGGUACUUGAGAACCUUGUAAACAGCUUCUAAGUGCUCUUUACAUGGAGAGUGCAUAAAUUGACUAAUAACACUUACUGCAAAGGCUAUGUCUGGCCUAGUAUGAGACAAGUAUAUCAACUUACCAACCAACCUUUGGUAACUUUCUCUAUCCACUGAUUUUCCUUCAAUUGCAUAUCCCAAUUUGUGAUAAGGAUCAAUAGGAGUGUCUCCAGGUUUGCAUCCCAACAUGCCAGUUUCCUUGAGUAAGUCUAAAGUAUAUUUCCUUUGAGAAACAAAAAUGCCUUUACUGGAUCUUGCAAUUUCCAUGCCCAAAAAAUAUCUUAAGGGGCCAAGGUCCUUCAUCUCAAAUUCUCUAGCAAGAACCUUCUUGAGAUUUUCCAUUUCUAUUACAUUGCUUCCAGUCAAGAUGAUAUCGUCUACAUAUACAAUGAGGAUCACAACACUACCAUCAGUGAAGUGUUUAAAAAACAUUGUAUGAUCUGCUUGACUCUGUAAAUAUCCAAAGCUAUGAACAGAUUUGGUAAAUCUGUCAAACCAAGCUCGAGGAGAUUGUUUUAAGCCGUAAAGUGAUCUCUUCAGCUUGCACACUUUUUCAAUACCAUAUUCAUUCUCAAAACCUGGUGGCAGAUCCAUAUAUACCUCUUCUUCAAGCUCUCCAUUAAGAAACGCAUUCUUAACAUCUAAUUGUUGUAGUUGCCAUCCUAAGCUUGCUGCAAGAGACAACAAAACCCGAAUGGAAUUCAUUUUUGCCACGGGAGCAAAUGUUUCUUGGUAGUCAAUGCUAUAUGUUUGUGUAAAACCUUUCGCGACAAGCCUAGCUUUGUACCUCUCAAGUGACCCAUCUGCUCUGUAUUUAACUGUAAAAAUCCACUUGCAACCCACUGGUUUUUUUCCUUCUGGUAAUUUAACUAGUUCCCAAGUUUUGCUUUUUUCUAGAGCUCUCAUCUCUGCAUACCCAGCAUCUCUCCAUUCUGGAAUAGAAAGAGCAUCUUGUACAGAUUUUGGAAUUGCUAUGACAGACAGGUUAGCUGCAAAAGCUCUAAAAGAUGGAGAUAAUCUAUGAUAUGACACAUACUUAGAAAUUGGAUGAAGAGUACAAGACCUAGUUCCUUUUCGUAGUGCAAUUGGAACAUCUAGAUCAUUUGUAGUUUCUAAAACAGAUUCUGAAAUAGGAUUAGAAUGAAUGUUACCUGCAAGUUCCAAGUUGCCUGUGUUUGGAUCCGAGUCUUGGCAGUGAGGAGAGGAAUGAUGAUUUGACCUUUUCGAAUUCCGUCGUGUGUAGACUUGAAGCUAUGGUUCUGGAACUCUCUCUAAUGAUUUUUCAUUAUUCAUAAUUGAUGGCAUUGUAGAAGGAACAUGAGGUACACAAGACAUAAUAGGCAUUGGAAGAGAUAAUUCCCAAAAAUGAUCUUCCGGAGUAUGAUUCUCCCCCUGAAGAGAAGUUUUGGGAAAGAAAGAUCUAUUUUCAAAAAAUGUGACAUCCAUUGUGAUGAAGAAUUUUUUAGACAAUGGAUCAUAACAUUUGUAGCCUUUUUGAGUAGGAGAAUAGCUAAGAAAUACACAUUUUAAAGCUCUAGGAUCAAGUUUGCUCAUGUUCUAUGUAUGAAUGUGAACAAAAGCAAUGCACCCAAAAAUCUUGGGUGGUAAAGAUGUGAAAAACUUAGCGGUAGGAUAGAAUUUUGUGAAAACAUUUAAUGGAGACUGAAAAUUAAAGAUUCGGGUAGGCAUGCGAUUUAUCAAGUAUGAUGCUGUGAGAAUGGCUUCACCCCAAAACUGUUUUGGCACCCUAUUUGUGAACAUAAGAGAGCGUGCAACUUCUAACAAGUGUUGAUUUUUCCGUUCAGCAAUACCAUUUUGCUGAGGAGUAUCUACACAAGAGGAUUGGUGCACAAUGCCAUUUUCCAUGAAAUAAUGACCAAGGGCAGUAGAAAAAUAUGCUCUCCCAUUGUCAGUUCUAAAGACUUGGAUUUUUGCUUGAAAUUGUGUUUGAAUCAUGGUAUGAAAGGUUUUAAAAACUGUUGCAGUUUCUGAUUUUUCUUUAAGCAAGUACACCCAACAAACACGAGUGUGGUCAUCAAUAAAAGUUAUGAACCAUUUAGCCCCCGAAAUGUUUGUAACAUGAGAGGGUCCCCAAAUAUCACUGUGUAUGAGAGAAAAAUGUUCAGAUUUUUUAUACGGCUGUGAAGGAAAAGAUACACGAUGAUGUUUGGACAAUACACAAAUUUCACACUGAAACAAAGAAGGAUUUUUAUUCUUGAACAACAAAGAAAACAAGUGUUGUAAAUAAGAAAAACUAGGAUGACCUAAUCGGAGAUGCCACAACAUUAUUUUAUCUUUAAUAGAGAAAGUUAGUUCAUUAUUUGUUGCCUGAGCUUCUCCACACAAACUAACAUCCUCCUCGAAGUAGUACAAACCAUCUACCUCUCUAGCACUGCCAAUUUUCUUCCCUGAACACAGGUCCUGAAAUUCACAAUAGGAAGGAGAGAAUUUAGCAAUGCAAUGAAGAUCCUUGGUAAUUUUGCUAACAGAUAAAAGAUUACAAGACAAAUUAGGAACAUGAAGAACAGAUGUUAACACCAAAUUUGUAGAGAUAGGAAUAGAUCCUUUUCCUGCUGCAGAAGAUAGUGAACCAUCAGCAAUUUUAAUUUUUUGACUACCAGGACAUGGAAUAUAUGAAUAAAAUAAUUUAGAAUGGCUAGUCAUAUGAUCGGUUGCUCCUGAAUCGAUGAUCCAUGGAUCUUUUUUCUCAUAAACAACUCCUAAAGCACUGAAAUCAUUACCUUUCUGGGCUAAAGAACUAGAAGAUGAAGGAUUUGGGAGAGAUUGUGACUGAUUAAGAAACUUGUACAGUUGCUCUAACUGUUCUUUAGUGAAGAGUUGAGAUUCGGAUUCUCCAGUGUUGAUUGUCGGCUGAUUCUCCCCAAAAACUUGAAAACCUCGACUAUGUUUACCAGAGAAUUUAUUGUUUUUCAAAUUUGGAGGUUUUCCAUGAAGCUUCCAACAUGCAUCUCUGGUAUGUCUUGGCUUGUGACAAUAAUCACACCAAACUCUGUCCUUCUCAUCACUCUUCUUCAGGUUUUUUGUUCCCCCAAUCAGUGGAGCUUCUGGUGUAACAGAGAUCAAGGCUGAGUUCUCUGCUGAAGAACCUCCCAUCAUCACAUUCUUUCUACUUUCCUCUCUUUUUACAUAAGAAAACACUUCCCUGGUAGAAGGAAGAGGUUCCUUGCCAAGUACUCGCCCACGGACUUCAUCAAGGUCUGAACUCAAACCUGCUAAGAAUUCAAAUACACGCUCUUUUUCUAACAUCUUCUUGUAUUUAGCACUAUCAGCAGCACAUUCCCACUCGCCAUCAUAGUACUGAUCUAACUCUUGCCAUAAGCCCUUCAAAAUAUUGUAGUAUUUAGUCACUCCUUGACUACCUUGUUUGGUUUCUCGAAUUCUGGUUUUCAGAUCAUAAAUCUGAGCAGAAUUUCCCAAAUCAGAAUAGGUCUCGGUGACAGCAUCCCACAAAUCCUUUGCUGUUGGCAGAAACAAGUAAGUUUGACCUAUCUCCGAUUCCAUUGAAUUCACUAACCAUGACAUGAUCAUUGAGUUGUCAGCAGCCCAAGUAUGAAACUUUGGGUCUUCUUCAGUUGGUUCUUUAAUUGAACCAGUAAGGUAACCAAUCUUCCCUUUACCUCUGAUAAACAUCUUCACAGAUUGGGACCACUGAAGAAAAUUUUGACCAUUCAAUUUAUGGAUUGUGAUCUAAAGUGAUGGACUAUCAUUAGAAACAUAACUUGAUAGUUGUAGAUGUCGUUGCAAUUGCUCUGAAGAUAACUCAGAAGUUUCUUGCUCGCUAUACUUUGAUAUUGGUAUUCAAAUAGAAUUGAAAACUAAAUCCAAGAAUCAAAGAGCGACUCUGAUACCAUGAGAAAAUUAUUGAAGAAAUAUGUAUCUCCUUUUCUUAUUUUUACAAUAGGGUUACACAAUACAUAUAUAUAUAUUCUAAACUACAUAAUGUGCUAGAGUAGGAAAGUAAACAACUAACUGCAGACCAAGAAACUAGGAAACAAACUCUAUCUAAAAAACUGAAAUUCUAUCCCUAUUUUUUUUCCUUUCUAUCCCUAUCUUUUUUCCUUAAAAAUAGGAUAGAAAACAAGUGACUUUUCCACAGCCCUUUUGGACAAAAAUGAUUUCCUGCUAAUUUUGAGAAUAAAACCAUAGACAUCUAACUUCUGAUAUCUAGUCAAUCUGGUAAAAUCUUGGCAGUUGCACUUGGGGCAUAAAUUAGUUCCACCUUGGUUUAAGGACAGAAAUUCGUCAUAUGCAUGUAUUUAUUUAUGUUUUAUACACACACACAUGCAUGUACACACAAACACUACCUUCACUUUGAAGAAAAGAUUAAAAUAACACUGCUCACAUACACAAUACUUACUAUUCUAGUUCGUGUAACUUUCUCCGGAGUCACAAACAGGUCACAGAAUUCACGUAUUAACCGCAUACUUCUAGUCAUUUCUAUUCCUCCUUCACCAUCACUUGUCCCACAAUUACAAAAAGUGAGAGGUAAUAACCAACAUAUUUGGGUUGCUCUUCGGUAAGGGGUGGGAGGUAAGGGUUAGUUGUGGAGGGCACCUAGUACAGAAUCAAGGCCAGCUGUUGGGAAUUUGAUCUCCUGUAACAUAUACUUGUUCAUCAUAAACUAUAUACUUAUUCUGCAGUCGAUGUGUGCAUAUAGCUCUUCAAUUAUCCAGUAAUAACUCACCAUCAACUUCCUGCCAUCUUUCACGGCUAAUUCAGCAGCCAUUUUUGCCUGCUUAAAGGUCAAAAGCCCAAACUAAGCAGAUGCUCCUACUCCGAUACUUAUUAUCUAACUACUACAGAACAGAUGAUACGCAUCAAGUUGUAUCAAGAGAGACACCAAGUUGUGUUUUCCAAGAGGUUCCAAAGAGGUUUUGUUUCUUUGUGUAAUUUUUAGACUGCUUUGACAACUCAUCUUAAAGGUGCCACUCAUCCAAUAUGAUGUGGUGACAGUAGUUUAGAGUUUUAAACUAAAUGCAGAGCUAAUAGUAUUUUGGAAUAUAAUCAUCCUAAGAUACUAUAACACAGGGAUUCUUACACAAAAACAACAACUUCGAUGUAGAGAGAAGAUGAUUUCACAAAAGCAGAUGUUUUGAUUUAAGUCUCCAAAACCCCCACCAAAGAAAUGUUCAACAGAUAUAGAAAUAUGAUCCACAUAUCUGUAACUUAAACUGUGAAAGUUGUUGAUGUUGUUCUAAAAUUGCCACAAUCUAUCUACCCCAUGAAUGUUUUUGGAUAAAACAACAAGCAGGACCCAAUGCCUGUUUUCUAAUAGCUUCAAAAAGGCCAAAUUGGUUUUGAAAUGUCUCCAGCUUUUCAUUUAAUAAGAGAGAGAGAGAGAGAGAAGAAUCGCUCCCCUUUCAAAUACCGUGCUCUUUUGUACCUGGGAAUUUAACUAAUUCUUGCGAAUAAAAAAAUUUAUAAAUUUGGUAAAUUAUUUAUUAAAAAAUAUUGAGAGGCUGUGCAUUAUUUUAUUAGUAAAGAUAUAGUUAUCAUCAAAUUAGUUAUAUUAAAAUAGUUUUUGACUCACGUAAUUUAUUUUUAUUAUUUUUAUAUAUAUAUUUAAUUAAUAAAUUUAUGUUAUAUUCAUUUGUAUAAAAAUGUACAGUUCUAUCCUCACUCUUAUUUUAUUUUUAUUAUUUUUUCAGAAAAUGGUAUGCGUUAUUAAGGUUAAGGGUGACAACUGGGAUCAAUAUACGGUUUAUUCGAGUGCUUAAAACCUAAUAAAUAUCCACUAACUCAUAUUUAAUUAAAAUAUAAUUAUUUUUAAAUAAAAAAAUUUAAUAUAAACUAAACAAAUUGAUUGGAUUUUGUUUCUAAAGGUACAUCAUUAGAACGUUACCUUUAAUUGAACAAAAGCACACAUAACUAGCACAUUCGCCACAAAAGCCUCAGCUUAGUGGUCGGCUUAUUAAUUAUCUUAAUAAAAUCAUGGUCAUAAAUUUGAGUCCCCGUAGGAAUUAUUAGGUUAGGUAGCUUUUUUAGACUACAAAAGCUUUUUUAGACUACUCAUUCAUUUAAUUUUCCGUUAUAUAUAUUCAUCUUUUUUAGAGGCCAAGAAGUCUUCGACAGAAAUGUGAUCUUUUUCUAGUUGCCUCCCGGUGAUGAGCUUCUCCCAAGUUUCAAUUAAUUCGCUUUGAGUGAGGAUAUUUUCUGGUGGCCUCAAAUACAAUGUCUUGUUCAGCACUCAAGGGUCAUCUAUUGUCUUAAUAGUAUAUGUGGCAACAUCAUCAAGAUGCACUAUAGAAAAAAAGAUAAUCAUUUUGUUUAAUAUGAACAUAAAUUCUUACAGUCUAACUCAUAUUAUAGUGAACGAUGCUGUUAUGUGGUGCGUGCAUGCACUAUCUAUAGUUUUAAUAUUAUUAAUAAAGAGUUAAAAGUCUUGAUUUAAUUUUAAAUUGUCAUUCCUCUAACUUCACCGUCUUCAUAGAUGCAGACUUUAUCUUUUGAAGGGUGAGGGUAGCUAUAUUUGAGAGAGGUGUCUAGGGAACCAACCAGCAAAAAACAGCUAGCAGAAACAUAAAUGACAGGGAUUUGAGCAGCCUUGAUUGCCCUUCUCACACAUGCGCUCUGCGUUCUCCCUCCCGCUCUCACUCACUCACGCCCAAAUCUCACCUCACUCACGCAUCUCUCCUUCUGACCGGUGGUUUUCUCUCUCUCGCCGUGGGUCUCAAGGCUGGCAGGGAUUUCUCGACUUGACUACUAAAACAUAAUCCAAAAACUACUAAGAGAUGUAUAUAUUACUCUGAUAUACACAAUAUGAAGAAACUGCAGUUAUAUUUCAAAUAUUAUAUGAAGGAAGAGGCUGUAUGGAUUAUCUAAAGGUGCUGAAAUUAAGAGACCUAUUGAAAAGUCAUGCAUGUGGUAAUUUUUCAAAGAGCUACCAAACAUUUGAAGAAAAAAUGGAAAGUUGGCAAAUUUGUCAAAUUUGCCAAAUGGACACCAUUGACUAUUGGCUUAGGUUAGGUGGAAUGGUAAAGGGGUUGGUGCAAUAGUGCCAUUAUUUUUCCUAUAAAUAGAUGGCACUUUUUCCAUUCUUUUGCAUCCCAAAAUUGUUAAGCUUAUAAGUUUCUAAGCUUUUGAGAGAAGUGAGAGAAGUGUGUCUGGGGAAUUUAUCUUUCCUGCAGAGUGUGAGAGUACUGGGUAUAUUUUGGGUUUCUGGGAAGUGAGAUUCGUUACUCAAAUAUUGUACUCUAUUAAUUGUUAAAUAAACAAUUAUUCUUUCUUGCCUCCGUGGAUGUAGGUUUAAUUACCGAACCACAUAAUUCUUGUGUCCUUUAUUUUUUCUAUAAUUAUUUGGUGCGCUUGAUUCCGCAUUCCAAGCACAACAAGUGGUAUCAGAGCCGAAGGUUCGUACUUGGGGGGAUACGGUACUGUUCACGUAUACGGUACUAUUCCCAUAUACGGUACUGUUCACGAAUACGGUGGAGACGGCCAUUUGUACUUGGGAGACAGUCUAUUGUAAGUAGUGUGUAUUUUUGCAUGUUUAGGAAAGUUCUGUCAACAAAGGCGAUAAGAGUCUAAGGAUUCUGGUUUUUAAUUGGGACCGAGUUCCCGUCCAGUUUCUUGGGAACUUUCCUGGUGCAUUUAUUCAUGCGAAAUUAACAUCAUAGAGACUGUUUUUCAAGUGGAAAUAGUUCGUUGAGAAAAUGGUAGAAGGUGAAACUUCCAGAAUUGGGGAGAGAUCUACCGAGACUAUUUCAGGAGACACUUCAGGUGGGAGACGAGAUUUGUCAAAUCGCUAUUCAGCACCUGUUAUAGGAGGUCAGAAGAUCGAUGUUGAAAAGUUUGAUGGGAAAAUCAACUUCGGCAUGUGGUGGCGCGAAGUUAUGGAUGCCCUUAUUCAAAUCGAUCUCGAUGUUGUUCUGAAAAAUAAAAGACACUUGUAUGAUGAAGAAAUUUGGGAUCGUAUGAAUGAAAAAGCUUGUGGUUAGAUCAGAUCUUGUUUGACCAAGGAGGUGAAAUACUUGGUGAAAGAUGAGGAGUGUGCGGUAACUUUGUGGCGUACAUUAGAGGAAAAGUACUUGGUGAAAAGUCCUGAAAAUCGCCUUCAUGCAAUGAGCCAAGUAUAUGGUUUUCGAAUGAAGCCUGGGGUGUCAAUGCACGAUCAUGUUUCAAGAUUUGAAAAGUUACUUGCUGAUUUGAAGAAUCUUGAUGAAGAUAUUAAGGAUGAAGUCAAGGCUAUGAUUCUGUUACACUCACUACCAGAGGAAUAUAGCCAUUUUGUGACUACUUUGAUAUAUGGGAAGAGUGUGAUCGUCUUCAAAGAUGUUUGCACAACAUUGACUAGCUUAGAGAUUCGGAAUAAUGAUAAAAAUUCUGAACGAGCAUCGUCUGAAGCUUUAGUGAGCAGAGAUUGGGCGAUGGAGAAACAGAAGAAGCGUGGUGGAAAGAACUCUCGAUCCAAAUCGAGAAGCAGAAAUAUAGCUCGAGAUGAGUGUGCCUUUUGUCAUGAAAAGGGCCAUUAGAAGAAAGAUUAUCCAAAUGCUCAAAAGAGAGAUGGGAAGAAACCAGCAGCAGCAAACAUGGCACGGAAAGAUGAGGGAUCUGAUUAUUCACUAAGUAUUACUCCUGCAGCAUACGUGGCUAGUUCGAGCGAGUGGAUACUUGAUACUGGAGCAACCUAUCAUUUGUGUCCCAUUAAGGAAUGGUUUACGGAUUUCAACGUAUUGGAAUCUGGUGCAGUUGUGAUGGGGAAUGAUCAACCUUGUCGCACAAUGGGGAUAGUAACAAUUCGGCUCAAAAUGUUUGAUGGAAUGGUCAGAGAACUCAAAAAGGUUAGAUUUGUUUCAGCUUUAAAGAAAAAUCUAAUUUCUGUGGGUGCUUUAGAAGCUAAAGGCUACAAGGUUACCAUUGAAGAUGGUAUAAUGAAGUUUACACAUGGGGCUAUGGUGAUUCUGCAAGGGGUUCGGCGUCACAAUCUGUACUAUUUGAAGAGAGGUACAACUGAUGAAGCAAAUGUUGUUGAGGCACACAGUGACACCACCAAGCUAUGGCAUGUACGACUAGGACAUGCUAGAGAGAAGUCUUUGCAAACUCUGAUAAGGCAUGGACUCUUAAAAGGUACCAAAACCUGUAAAUUAAAUUUUUGUGAGCAUUGUGUAGUAGGCAAGAAAACAAGGGUUAAGUUUGGUACAGCUAAUCACGAUACUCGUGAGAUCCUUGAAUAUGUUCAUAGUGAUGUAUGGGGACCAACCAAGACUGCAUCAAUUGGUGGAAGCCAUUAUUUUGUUACAUUUGUUGAUGAUUUCUCUAGAAGUGUGUGGGUGUACACCAUGCGAGCAAAUGAUGAGGUUCUAGAGAUUUUCGUGAAAUGGAAGAAAUUGGUGGAGACUCAAACUGGAAGAAAGAUCAAAGUAUUACGAUAUGAUAAUGGGGGUGAAUAUACUUCUGAUCCAUUCUUGCAAGUAUGCCAGAACGAGGGUAUUAAAAGACAUUUCACAGUGAGACAUACUCCGCAACAGAACGGUGUGGCUGAGCGUAUGAAUCGUACUUUACUGGAGAAGGUAUGGUGUAUGUUAUCUAAUGCUGGUUUAGAUAAAAAGUUUUGGGCUGAAGUUGUGAGCUACGCAAGUCACUUGGUAAACCGGUUGCCUUCUGCUGCAAUUGGAGGUAAAACUCCUAUGGAAAUGUGGUCUGGAAAGCAUGCACAAGACUAUGAUUCCCUUCGUAUAUUCGGGUGUCCAGCUUAUUAUCAUGUCAAAGAUGGUAAACUAGAUCCUCGUGCUAGAAAAGCUAUCUUUGUGGGAUUCAAAGGUGGAGUAAAGGACUUCAAGCUUUGGGAUCUCGAAGAUAAAAAGUUUGUGUGUAGCAGAAAUGUCACAUUUGAUGAAGCUUCAAUGAUGAAAGCUUCAAGUUCUCAGCAGGUGGAGAACAAGACCAAAGAGGUAUUGCUGCGGGUGGAGUUUGAUGCAACUCCAUAUGUACCAGUUAGUUCUACAUCAAAGAAGAGUUCAACUAUAGAGGUGACACCUAGAGUUGAAGAAGAGGUUGUUUCUUCUGAUGUCCCACAAAAUGAAGAAACAAUUGAUAAUGUAGAUAAUGAUGAUUUUAUAGCAACAAGGAGGCUAAGAAGAGAGAUAAAGAAACCCGGAUGGCUUACUAAAGAUAUGGUGGUAGCCUAUGCACUUCCAGUUAUUGAUGAUGACAUCCCCAACACUUUCGGUGAAGCAUUACGCAGCAGUGAAAGUGAUCAGUGGAAGUUAGCCAUGGAGGAAGAGAUGAAAUCUCUCCAUCAAAACCAGACUUGGGAACUUGUAAAGUUACCAAAAGGGAAAAAGGCUAUUGGCAAUAAAUGGGUCUACACCAAAAAGCAAGGAUCUCCGAAUAAAAUAACUCCUCGAUACAAGGCAAGGCUCGUGGCAAAAGGUUUUGCUCAAAAGGAAGGUAUUGACUACAAUUAAGUUUUCUCUCCAGUUGUAAAACAUACUUCCAUUCGUAUCCUACUUGCCUUAGUUGCAGAAUAUGAGUUAGAGUUGGCUCAAUUGGAUGUUAAGACCGCGUUCAUACAUGGAGAUUUGGAGGAGGAAAUCUAUAUGAUUCAGCCUUGUGGUUUCAAAGUUGCUGGAAAAGAGAAUCAUGUGUGUAGGUUGAUUAAAUUUUUGUACGGACUGAAGCAAUCGCCAAGGCAGUGGUAUAAAAGAUUUGAUCAAUUUAUACAAGGGCAGAAAUUCACCAGAAGUGAACACGAUCAUUGUGUUUACUUUAGAAGACUACCAGAUAGAGCUUUCAUCUAUUUGUUACUCUAUGUCGAUGAUAUGCUUAUAGCUUCGAAGAAUAGAGAUGAGAUCGAAAGAUUAAAAAAGCAACUGGCUUCUGAGUUUAAGAUGAAAGACUUGGGUGAUGCACAGAGAAUACUUGGGAUGGAGAUUCGUAGAGACAAGAAGAAUGGGAGCGUAUGGUUGACUCAAAAGUCUUAUUUGAAGAAAGUGCUAGAAAGAUUCGGUAUGGAUGACAAAACUAAACCAGUAUGUACACCUCUAGCUUCUCAUUUCAAAUUAAGCUUUUCUUCAUGUCCUAGAUCUCAAGAGGAGCGUGAUUAUAUGGCUCGUGUUCCAUAUGCUAGUGCUGUGGGUAGUCUUAUGUAUGCUAUGGUAUGCACAAGGCCCGAUAUAUCUCAAGCAGUGAGCAUGGUUAGUAGAUACAUGCAAAAUCCGGGUAAAAAUUAAUGGCUUGCGGUAAAGUGGAUUCUCCGAUAUCUGUAUGGGACAGUUGAUGUUGGGUUAUUGUUCAAGAAGGAUUGUGGUCAACAAUGUGUUGGGUAUUGUGAUUCUGAUUUCGCUGGAGACCUUGACAAGCGAAGAUCAACAACGUGCUACGUAUUCACAUUGGGUGGAGGUCCGGUUAGCUGGAGGUCGAUUCUACAAUCGACAAUUGCUCUGUCCACUGCGGAAGCAGAGUAUAUGGCAGCAACUGAAGCUAUAAAAGAAGCUAUCUGGUUGAAAGGUUUAUUAGGUGAUUUGGGAGUAAUCCAGGAGAACAUUGCGGUCUUAUGUGAUAAUCAAAGUGUGAUAUUCCUUGCGAAGAAUCAAACAUAUCACGCUCGGACGAAGCACAUAGAUGUGAAAUAUCAUUAUGUGAGAGAGAUUAUCGAGAGCGGUGUUGUGUUGUUGAGAAAGAUCGAUACCAAAGAUAAUCCAUUAGAUAUGUUGACGAAGGUAGUUUCUGGAGUUAAGUUUCAACAUUGCUUGAAAUUAAUUCAAAUCCUUCGAUUGUGUUAAGAUAUGUCCUUCGGGAAUUUUGAACUACGGUUGGCUUGAUCCCAAAUUUUGGGUACGUAGGCAGUCAUAGAGAUGCAGCCACUUUGGGGAUGAUGAUUGGUUGGUAGUCGGCUCAGAUUUGGACAAAUUUUCACCGAGGUGGAGAAUUGUUGAAAAGUCAUGCAUGUGGCAAUUUUUCAAAGAGCUACCAAACAUUUGAAGAAAAAAUGGAAAGUUGGCAAAUUUUUCAAAUUUGCCAAAUGGACCCCAUUGACUAUUGGUUUUAUGUUAGGUGGAAUAGUAAAGGGGUUGGUGCAAUAGUGCUAUUAUUUUUCCUAUAAAUAGAUGGCACUUCUUCCAUUCUUUUGCAUCCCAAAAUUGUUAAGCUUAUAAGUUUCUAAGCUUUUGAGAGAAGUGAGAGAAGUGUCUGGGGAAUUUAUCUUUCCUGCAGAGUGUGAAGUACUGGGUAUAUUUUGGGUUUAUGGGAAGUGAGAUUUGUUACUCAAAUAUUGUACUCUAUUAAUUGUUAAAUAAACAAUUAUUCUUUCUUGCCUCCGUGGAUGUAGGUUUAAUUACCGAACCACGUAAUUCUUGUGUCCUUUAUUUUUUCUAUAAUUAUUUGGUGCGCUUGAUUCCGCAUUCCGCGCACAACAAGACCCACACCAACCGACAGACCCCCGGUGAUAGAGAGAAAGUCGACUGUGAGAUGCAUUCAAGACGGGGGAAGAGUGAGAGAGAAAACUGCCCGGUCAGAAGGAGAGAUGCAUGAUUGAGGUGAGAGAUUUGGGCGUGAGUGAGUGAGGAGUGAGGGAGAGGGUGCCGCGUGUGUGGGAUGCGUACAAUGACAAUUUAUACUUACAUCAAAACGCCGCGUUCGGUGCCAUGUGUAGGGCUAACUGUGGUUUGAAUCUCACUUUGGUAAUGGAAAUGACUUUGCAAUUGACAGUUUUUGUCAAAAGUUCGCACUGCAUGAAACUAGUGUUAAUAUAAUUUAAAAAAUUAAUUUCAGUAUUAAUUUUUAAAGUUUUAAUUAUUAUAUUUAUUUUAAUAAUAGAUUUAUAUUUAUUAUAAAAAUUUUAGUUAAAUAUUUGUGUUAAAUGGAAUUUAUAAUUAAUAUAAUAGAUCUUAGGUAUUAAUAUAUUAUAAUUAUUCUAUAUGCUAUUGAAAAUCAUUUAUAUUUUUAGACGUUUAUUUUCAUAUUAAGUUUCUAUUUAUUUUAAAAUUUAGUUUAAUAUAAUAUAAGCAAGUAAAGUAUUAAAAUAUUUUUUAGUAUUAUUUAAAAUAUUAAAAUAAUUUUAAAAUAUAAGUCAAAUUUUUAAGUGAAUAUAACUAAUAUUUACAGCUAUUUGAUGGCCUCAACAAGCUAAAGCAGCAUCAAAAUUUGUGGCUCGUUAAUUUAUUUUUUCCCUUUCAAAAAGGGAAGAGGAUAAGUUUGGAAGAAUGAUUAUAUUUUUAAUAAAUUCUUUUUUAUUAUAAUACUUUUUGUCUUUAUUAAUUUAAAAAUAUUGACUCUUAUAUUUUAAAAAAUAUAAAUAUAAUAUUAUAAUAAAAUAUAACAAUAUAUAUCAAAUAUUUAAAAAAUUUAAUAUUUUAAUAUUUUAUAUUAUAUUAAAAUAAAUUUUUAAUAAAUAAAAAUAAUCUAUUAAAAUAAAGUACAAAAAUUUAAAUUAUUUUCAAUAUCAUCUAAAAUAAUUUUACUAUUAUUAAUGCAUGAAAUAUAUUAUAGUAAUUGUAAAUUUCAUUUAACUCAAAGAUUUAUUUAGAAUGUUCAUAAUAAGUCCAAAUAUAUUAUUAAAAUAAUUAUAAUAAUUUACAUUUUAAAAAUUAAUACUGAUAUUAAUUUUUAAAUUAUAUUACUCUACCAGAAAAAUUAAACUAUUAAAUUAUAUCAAUAUUUAUUAAAAAAUUUUGAAAUUAAUUCUUGUUAUAUUUUUAAUUGGAAUUUUUUCAUGUGAUAUAACCAGAAUUGCUACAAUUUUUUUCCCUAAUUAAAGAUGGAGUUAUAAAUUAUUUGUAUAAGUGUCUGUGUGGAAACUAAUGUGACAUGAAAGUAAUAGCUGAAUAACAAUAAUGGGCCGAUUUCAAUUCUUAAACAGACUUGUCCUUCAUCCCAAUUUAUUUACCCCAUUUGGGCCGGUUAUGACAUAAACAUAUUCUUGUGGAAUGAAAAACAUCAUGAGAAGAAAAUGUUUUAUUAUAAUAGAAAAAAGUGGUCCAUAAGUCUAUUCAUUACUUUUUUUAUUCAAUAUAAAUGGCUAACUUUAAAAAUGGUAAAAAUCACAUAACGCGCAAACAUAUUUUAGAUUUAUAUUUUUUAAUACUCUCCGAGUCUCUCUUUCUCUUUUUCUUUUUUUAAAUAAAUGUCAGUAUAAAAUUUAAAAAAAAUUUAGAUAUAAAAUUUGGCAAUGACCAAACAAAAAUUGCAGAGGAAACCUUGAUAUCAUUGAAAUACUGAUAAUAGACACUACAGUAUAAAUAACUUGUUGUGAUCCACUCAACUUGUAACACUUUAAUCCAUAUUCUAAAAUUUUCAUGUUUGUUAGGAUUUUUAUUAUUGAUACUACUGUAUCAAUAAAAUUAUAAUUUAUUCAUAUGGAAUGAAAACAUCAAGAAAGGACCUCUGAUGUUUAUUGUCAUAGAAAAAAGUGGUCCAUAAGUCUAUUAAUUAUUUUAUUUAUUCAAUACAAAUGGCCAACUUAAAAAAUGGUAAAAAUCACACAAUGCACAAGUAAAAUUUUACAAUUACAUUUUUUAAUUCUCUUUGAGUCUCUCUCUCUCUUUAAAAAAUAAACCUCACUGUAAAAUUAGAAAAAUUUUAGACGUAAAAUUUGACAAUCACCAAAUAGAAAACAUAGGGAAAUGAAAAUGGAGGAGCCCUAUUUUCAUUAGAAUAUUGAUCAUAGAUACUAUAAUGUAAAUGAUUUGUUGCGAUUCCUUCAACUUGUCACACUCUAAGCUAUUUUCUAAAAUUUGUAAGGUUUAUAGGAUUUUUAUUACUGCCAUCAUUGUAUCAAUAAUAUUAUAAAUUAUAUAUUCUAUUGUAAUGAAAAUUUGUGUAAUCUUAGGUAUUUAUUGUAUUAAAUUGUGUGGAUUAAUUAAGAAUAUUUUUGGAGACAAAAGAAGUGUGUGUACGUAGGAUUAAUGAUAAAAAAUUUCUAAAUAAAGGUGAUUGCUUCAUUGACAAGUACAUAUUUAUAUUCCUCUAUUAAUAUUUGGGUUGUAAACUCUAUAAUAAAGUUGGUUGGUGUGAGUGGUUCGGCACUCUCACUCUUUAAGAGAGGUCGGGAGUUCAAGCCUCGCUCUCGUAUGGAGUCACCACUUUGGCCAGCACUUUACCUCUUAUGGGCCGACCCGGUGCGAGUGGGAAUUAGUAUGGGUUGUGGUAUGGGCUUAAAGGUGUCUCCCACAGUUGGGGCCCACUCAGGACCACCUCGUGAUUCAAACAAAAAAAAAAAGUGAAUAUAUUGUGGCAAGUGAUGUGGGCAAUAUCGGAUGCGAAAUAUUGAGAGAUCAUUAACGCAUAUAUUUAUUGAAGAUGCGUAUAGAGGAAAGAGUGUAGAUCCGGCCGUAACAAUUACGAAGCUUUCCCCAAGUAUACUCAUGCUUCCUUAACUGUUUCGAAGUAUUUUUCAUAGUGUGCAGAUUUACUUUAUGGUGUCUUUAAUUCAUCUUAAAUGAUUACUUUAUUGUUUUAGGAUGCAAUGUCAUUUAUUGUGUUAAUUUAAACAAUAGAAAAAAUAAGUAACAGUAACGAAAGACUAAUUUGUGAUAUUGAAGCGUACGGGCUUAACUCAAUCCAAAAAUUAGUAAAUUAGCUCAAGAGUUAAGAGUUGUCCAAAUCUUAUAUGAUGAACCCAAGUUUAAUACACAAUUGAUGCGGGAUGUUAUUCCUAACACCUCCCGUCAUGUGUAGGAUUGGCAAAAAAACUCGGGUCAGUCCCGCCUAAACCUACGAGCUUUAUGCAUGGCUCGCAUGAUGAAGUUACGGAUAUUAACCUAAAAAUUUGAAACUUACUAUGAAUGGCCUUGCUUAAAGACUUUUGCAACUUUAAUUUAUAACAAGUAUGUAUAUCUACACACACAUAAGCUUAGAUUGCAUUUGGAUGGCUUUUUUAAUCAAUUCAAACAAUCUGAAAUUUAUCAGAUUAAUCCAAAUCUUAUAUGUAUCCAAUUUUGCCCGCCCCUACUAUAUAUAAGCCCAAGUGACUCUCUUUUACUAAUUAAUAAGAGAAUUUUUGACCUUAUAUCCUUGUUGUGGCGUUAGACUGUUGGUUAUUUUGAUUGUUUCCUACCUUCCAUUUACGCCAGCUAUAACAUUGUAUUAUCACCAUUUUAGCCAUUUAAAUGAAAUUUUAUUUUUCAUUUUAUUGUGUCAAUACUAUCAUAAUUUAUUCAUUUUAUUGUAAUGAUAAUUUGUCUAGUCUUAGGUACUUACUAUAUUAAAUUAUGUAAAUUAAUUGAGAAUACUUUUAGAGACAAAAGAAACACGUGUAUGUAGGAUUAAUAAGCGAAGAGUUGUAAAUGAAGGUGAUUGCUUCAUUGAGAGGCAUAUUAAAUAAUUAUGGAGAGUUGCUCUAUUUCGGAAGCAUAUAUUUAUACUUCCCUAUCAGGAUUUGGGGUAAGCGAGGUGCUUUAUGUAUUGCAGUAACCAAAUGUGGGCAAUAUCAGAGCCGAAAUAUUGAAAGAUCAUAACGCAUAUAAACGAUUAGUAUAUUGAAGACACAUAUAGAGGAAAGAGUGCAGAUCCGGCCGUAACUAUUAUGAGGAUUUCCUCAAGUAUUCUCAUGCUUCCUCAACUGUUCUGAACUAUAUAUUCCUCAUUGUGGGCAGAUUUACUUAAAUACCAACACAAUGAUUCAAUACUUCAAAGGUCAAGGAAAUGUCAAAAUAUGAAAUGAAAAUACUUAAAUACCCUUCUACCUAACAAAACUUAGUACUUCUAACUGCCUUAGCAGAGAAUCUAUAAAAUUAAAAAAAAAAAUUCAUCCAUGAAAAGCUUCGUAACAGAAAAACCGUCUUUCAAAAAAUAAAAAAUAAAAAAUAAAAACAGAAAAACCGACUCAUUUAUCUGCCAAUGAACCAGUCAGGACUCAUUUAAAAAAGAUUACAAAGCAAAAGUAAAUGACACAAAUUGCAUAGAUAUCUCGGAGCCGCAUCAAAGGACAAUGGUGUUAAUUUGUCCGAGUAAUAAAUUCUCCUUGGUCAAAAGCAAUUAACGAUGAAAACUUUCUUCAUUAAGGUUCUGGCCUACGUAAAAAAAAAAAAAAAAAACCACCCCAAGGUCAAAGCACAACGAUAAGUUUAGAAUUGCAGUUUUUAAUUUUUUUUAAUAAAUCAACGUGUAUAAAAAAUAGAUAAUAAUUUUAAAUAAAUUUUAUUUGAUAAAUAUAGGCAUAAAAUUUUAAAAUCACCAAACAGAAAAACAGGGGAAUUAAAACAGAGUCCCUGUUUAUCCUCUAUUUUGCUUGUUAUUAAACAGGGAAAUGAAAAGAUCACAAGCGGAAAUUUUGUUUCUGCGUUGUCUCUUCUCAAUGCUACAUGCAUUCAAAUUAAACCUUACAUAUGCUAGCAAACUAGCUACCUGCGUUUAAGUGUUAGAGUGCAAUUUAUGCACUAAUUUUGCAUUGUUUACUUCUUUUAAUAUCGAUAUUUUGCACUUAAUAAUAGUGAUUUACUUGUAUUUUAUUUUUGUAAGUGCAAUUCUAUUUAUUGGUGCUAAAAUUGGGCUACAAGAUGAUGUUUGAAGAUGAUUGUUUUCUUGGAAAAAUUAUGAGUUUCAGAAGAACUUUGUUGAUAAGGCGUGGGCGCUGGCUGUCAACUACGGACCUGUAGUUUUUAGUUUAACGUGUUUUGUCUUUUUGGUUAUUUUUGUAAUCACGAAUUUAAUAUUUAGAUAAUAUUUUAGAUAUUAGUAUUUUAUUUUAAAAAGAACUCUAGAAGAGAAUUUAAGAGGGGAAUCUAUGGUCAAAGGAAAAAAAAGAAAGGAAACCCUAGAUCUAAAUUUUUCUCUUCUCUCUAUGAAGAACUAAACCUAUUAUUCUGGUUAAAGGUUAAUGGAGCUUUGAUUCAUCAUUACUGUGAGAUCUUUCUUAUGCUUUAAUUGUUUUAUUGAUUUUUGGGUAUUUGUUUAUUCUCUAAAUUAUUGUCAUGAUUAUGUUUGUUAAUUAGAUAAUUAGCCAUUAUUUAAUUAUCAACUUAAUCUAUUGUCAAUUAAAGGAUUCAUCGUAUGAAGAUUUUAAUGUUUGUGACAAAUAGCAUAGCAGUUCGUUAUGUUAUGAGAAUAAACAAUCUAAUUUAAAUGAACCAUCGUAUGCGUUUGUUGAUUAGGAUUUGGGUCUCUCUGGUUUUUCAGGUUGUCAAUUGAUUAAAUCCUAUGAUCGUAUCUAGGGUUGUCUAUUGAUUAGGGAAAUAACCAAUGGUCGUACCUUGGUUAUCGACUAGUUAAGGAGAGAUUGGCUAUUAGAGGGUCUCAGUAGCUAUAACCGGUCUAUUCAUAAGUAGUAAUGAUUUAUAUUUGAAUCAAUGAUCAAUAGUCGAAUCAAGCUGAGUUAAUUCCUUCAACCAGAGCUUUCCCCAAUUUUAAUUUGCAUUCUUGUUAUUUUAAUUUGAUUUUUAUUAUUGUCAACAAUUCCCCCAUUUUGCAUUUUGCAUUUUAAAAGGAUUUAAAUAAUUACUAAUCUCUGUGGACACAACCCUACUCAAUCACUAUACACAAUUUAUUUAGAGUAUGUAUUUAUUUUUGCUGGCUUCGACAACCAUCAAUAAGUUCUCGAUAAGUCCAAAUAAUAGAAUAAUUGUAAAAUGUUCAAAUUCAGUAAUUAAUUAUACAUAUUUAUUUAUUCAAAAUUAUUAUUAUUAUUAAUUAUUGUCAAUAAUAUAUUAAUAUACUAAUUAAUUGUAAACUUUUUUAUCAUUCAUAACAAUGAUGAUGAUGAUGAUGAUGAUGAUGAUGAUAAAAAAUUCAAAACAUAUUAAUUAAUUAUAAUAAUAUAUUAAAUAUUUAAUUAUUUAAUAAUAAUAAUAAUAAAUGCACAAUGUAUAAAUUGAUUAGAAUAAUUAUAUUAAUUAAUCAUAAUAAUUUUUUAAUUGAGGACAAAAUAGAUAUUUUAUAGUUUGUGAGAGGGGGCAAAAUGGUCAAUCUUGGGAAUGGGGGAUUGAUUCCCACCACCUUCCUUAGGAAUCAAUCUUCCAUUCCUCAUUCCUAAUUUGGGUGGUCCCCAUAGUUCUGAUUCGGAUCCCAGCCUCCAUUUUAUGAAGUAAACAUCAUUAAGAUUUCGAUUCCGGAUUCCGAUUCCCCAAUCCAAGAAGUACAGGCACCAUUAUUGUUGAUUGGUUCAAAUGCACAAAGAGAAUGUACCAUGUAGCUAGGCGUCAAGGUUGUGCUGCACAAGUAACCUUUUUCUUUUCUUUUCUUUUUAUUUUUCUUAUUUUCCUUAAUGUAUCGGAAGAAACUGGUGCCUUUGAGAUACUACCAUGUAAAUAAGUACUUAUGGUUCAUUGAAUCUGUAACACUCGGUACCCUACAAUUGCUUUUGAAAAAGGGCUUUACUCACUUAUCGCUAAUAUUCAAGUAAGUUUGUUUCAUUUCAGAAGGUGCAAAGUUUCAAACUUGUUGUAUUGAGAUGUAACAAACUUUGGCCUUAUAUGCUUGUUGUGACGUUUGACUGUUCAUUUUGACUGUUUCCUACCUUCCACUUACGCCUGUAGCACUGUAUUAUUCACCAUUUUAGUUGUUUAAAUGAAAUUUUAUUUUGUCAAAAAUGAAAUGACACCAUUAAAAUUUAAAAAAAUAGUCAUGGAGAUCCCAAAUUUUUACUAAAGAACACCAAUAUUCCCCUUGACUAUAAUACCCUUAGCAGGUGGUAAUAAAAAAUUGACUUAAAAUUUUUUGCGAAAUGUAAAUAUGAUUUAAAUAAUUUAAAUUUUCCAAUAGACUAAUAUAUAUAAUUUAAAUAAUUAAUUUCAAUAUUAAUUUUUUAAAUGUAAAUUAAUAUAUUUGUAUUUAUAAAAUAUUUGCAAUUAUUAUAAAAAUUUUAAAUAAAUCCUUAGGUUAAUAGAUUUUACAAUAAAUAUAAUAUUUCUCAUGUAUUAAUAAUAUUAAAAUUAUUUUAUAUGAUAUUGAAAAUAACUUAAUUUAUAUAUUUAUUUGAAUAUUAUGUCUCUAUUUAUUAUAAUUUGGUUUAAUAGAAUACGAGAUUGUAAAAUAUUAAAAUAUUUUAGAUAUUGAAAUUUUAAUAUGUAUAUAUUAUUAUAUUUAUUUUAAUAUAUUUAUAUUUAUUAUAAAUUAUUAGAGUCAAUUUUUAGUUAAUAAAUUUAAAAAUAUUAUAAUUAAAAAAAAGAAUUCUUAUUGUCUGUUAUUCACAAUAUGAGGUUCUACAAAAUUAUUUCUCCAGACGGGUGUCCUUUUCUUAUUUGUAAAAGGAAAAAUAAGUUCAGGGAUCUUAAAAAAUUCUAGUCCUAUCGACCACUAUGACUAAUGGGAAACGACAUUGCAAUUGACAUUACUUUUCGCAAUAUGACAAAUUUUUGGAGGGAUACGGGAGAAUCGUCAAACGUUCACACCACACGAGAGCUUUAGGUGGGAUCGGGGAGGAUUGUCAAGAGUUCACACCACGAGAAAUUAAUGAUAGGCCUAAUUUCGCUGUCAGUUCUUUAUUUAUUUAUUUUAUUUAUUUCAUACAUUAUUAUCUUGUUGGUAUUGUUUUGUAAAGGUAUAAAAGUAAAGUAAAAUACUAGGGGUACCAUUAAGUUACAGCUGAUGUAACUUACAGUGUUUUAAAAAAUAAUAUAAAAAAUUUAAUAGCUGGUGGGAUCCACAUAUUUUUGAAGAGACUUAAGUUACAACAGUUGUAACUUAACAAAAUCCAAAUAUUUGACAAUAAUGCAUAUAAUUUGGAUUUGAUUUUUAAAAGAUUAUUUGAGCACCACCUAUCCUUAUGAUAUUAAUGUGAAUAUAUCUUAAUAUUAAAUAAUCAAAAUUUGUUUAAUUAUUAUUUGUAUUUCAUACAUUACCUAUUAGAUUUGUUUGAAUUUUACGUUCUUGCUAAUAAAUAUUUAUGUUGUCAAAGUCAAAUUCUAAUGAUUAAAAGAGCAACUAUCCCUUAAAUUUUAAUGGUGAAUUGUAUAUAGUUUUUAAGAAAGUAAGGAUAAGUUGGAUAAUUGACUUAAAUUCUAAUGAUUAAAAGAGCAACUAUCCUUUAAAUUAAAAUGUCAAUUUCUUUAAUUAUAAUUUUUUUUUCAUGUGAUAUAACCACAAUUGCUAUAGUUUUUUUAAAUAAUAAUGGGAGUUAUAAAUUAUUUAUAUAAAAUUUGUGUAGAAUCUAAUGUAACCUAAAAGUAGUUGCUGAAUAAUAAUAUUUGAAACUCUAGGUAAUUUUCAUAUGAGCCCUUUUUAUAUUCAGCAUCUUGAAUCGGGGGAAAUCCGACUUGAAUUGGCGGCUGAUUUUGGUGAUGUAGCUUUCGGUUUAUGGUUGCCUUACAGUGGCGGACGACUGAUUUACGGUCGCCGACUGCUAGGGAUUAUGGUGGUGGUGUAAAUUGACGGAAAAAGUAGAAGGUUUGGUGGCGGCGCGUGUAGGAACCACUCGUGGGUUGUCGUUUCGUGUGGUGACUGCGGGUGGCGAUCAAGGGCUGACGUUGGUCGGUUUUUGGUCAACGGAGGGCGGCCAGUUUGUUGGUGGAGGUGGCUGGCGGUGAAAGUGGCUGAAUGGUGGUGGAUAUCUUGGUGGAGCUACGGGUUUGGGUUGGUGAUUUGCGGCUGUUCAGGCGGCGGUUGAGGCAGCGAUAGCUGCGGCUUGGUCGGCGGUGGCUAGCGAGGUUUGUUGUGGUGUUGGCUGGCUGAUCGGUGGUGGUGGGCGGCGGCGGUGGAGGUUGAUGCGGCGGGUAGGGUUUUCAAAUCGGUUUUUGAUAUUUUUUUUUUUUUUUAUGAAUUUGGUGUGGAUGGGUAUAGGGUAAGAAACACUAGAUAUCAUUCUAGUACUGGACCAAGCCAACGCAAUUAAUUUACCAUCUAGUCGAAGGGUGAUUAGAUAUCGUUCUAACCCAAACGAUAAAAUGAGAUUUUUAACAACGCGUAAUACAAGAUUAGAUGAUGCUCUAAUCCAAACGACUCUACAACGACUCUAUAAGAGAGAUUUUGAUAGAUAAAUCUAGGGAAAAUUAUAAAAGAUGGGUUUUAUUUAAUAAUUAAACCUAAAGUUUUGAAAACAAUGACAAGAUAUUUUUAUUUAUAAUACAGGAAAUCUGCUUCCCUAAGAUAACCUAAAAAAGAAAAGUAAAUCAUAAUUAUAAUAGAAAUGAAAGAUUAAGAUACACACCAUAAUUGACUCAAACUAAAAUAGAAAAUCUUAAAGUAAUAAAUAUUCUAAAAUUGUAAAUUAUCUAAAAUAACAAUAAUUAACUUCCUAAAUCAUUUCUUUGGUGUAAAUCAUUUUACAUCCAACCUCGCUUUAAAGGUUUGAACCAGCGUUACCAACAACAAUGUAUCAAGUUCCAAUCUAGCUUAAGAUCAUGCUGAUACAUCUACUGAUAUCUUUAUUUGAUUAGACAAUAAUGAGUCUAUCUCAUCACUUGUUACCUCUUUCUUGAAGGCUGCAUCUGUUGAGCGAUAACCUCGUUGAAAGUUUAAAGAUCUUCCUCCAUGUUAAAUUAAAUGGGCAUUUGAUUAAGAACUUUAUCUCUAUCUCCUUCUAUCAAAUAACAACCAUCCAAAGGGAAAAAAAAAUUAAAAAAAUCCAUGGGUCACAAUAAUUUCUGGUCAGCCCACAAACCCCCCAUUAUCUGCCACUAUCAAUCAUGAAAAUGAAAAUAAAUGGCAUAUUCCCAAAAUGACGAAAGAUUUUGGGGGAUAUGGGGGAAUUGUCAAAAGUUCACACAACGCGAAACAAGUGUUACAUCCAAUUUUAUUUCGUCAUAUAAUGAUAAUAUCAAAUAAUGACAACCAUCCAAAAGUAUGAUGGGUCUUCCAAAAUUUUAAAAAUGUCGUCAACAUUUAAUUUUCAAUGCUAAAGAAAAUGAAAUGCCCAAAAAUGACACGCAAGACCCACUCACAAACUAAAUGGCCCUUGACCAUAUGUAACAAACUUUGACCUUAUGUCCCUGCUAUGGCGUUAGACUGUUGGUCAUUUUGAUUGCUUUUUACCUUCCAUUUACACCCACUGAAGCAUUGUACGAUUAACCAUUUUAGCUGUUUAAAUGAAAUUUUUAUUUUUUUCAAAAGUAAAAUGACACGCUUAAAAUUUUAGAAAAUAGCCAUGUAGACCCUAAAAUUUUAAUAAAGAACACCAAUACCCUUUUUGACUAUAGUACUUUUAGUCGAUGGUAACAAAAAAAAAAAAUGACUUCAAAAUUUUUUACUAAAUGUAAAUAUGAUUUAAAUAGUUUAAAUUUUCUAGUAGACUAGUAGGUAUAAUUUAAAUAAUUAAUUUAAAUAUUAAUUUUUAAAAUGUAAUUUAAUAUAUUUAUUUUAAUAAUAUAUUUUUAUUUAUUAUAAAAUUUUAAAUAAAUCCUUAGGUUAAAUAGAUUAUAUAAUUAAUAUAAUAUUUCUCAUGUUUUAAUAAUAUUAAAAUUAUUUUACAUGCUAUUGAAAAUAAUUUAAAGUUUUAUAUAUUUAUUUGAAUAUUAUGUCUCUAUUUAUUAUAACUUGGUUUAAUAGAAUAUGAGAUUGUAAAAUAUUAAAAUAUUUUUAGGUACUGAAAUUAUUUUAAUAGGUAUAUAUUAUUAUAUUUACUUUAAUAUCCUACUUAUAUUUAUUAUAAAAUAUUAAAAUUAAUUUUUUUAGUUAAUGAAUUUAAAAAAUAAUAUAAUUAAAAAAAGAGUCUUAUUGUCCGUUAUUCACGAUAUGAGGUUUUACAAAAUUAUUUUCAAAAGGAAAAAUAAGUUCAGGGGUUUCAAAAAAUUCUAGUCCAAUCGACCACUAUGACUAAUGGGAAACGACAUUGCAAUUGACAUUGUUUUUCGCAAUAUGACAAAAUUUUGGAGGGAUAUGGGAGAAUCGUCAAAAGUUAACACCACACAAGAGUUUUAUUUAUUUAUUUAAUUUAUUUCACACAUAUAUUGUCUUGUUGGUAUUGUUUUGUAAAGAUAUAAAAGCACAAGUAAAAUAUUAGGGGAAGUAAAGUAAAAUAUUGGGGGUGCUGCUAAGUUACAACUGCUAUAACUUACAGUUCCUUCAAAAAUAAUGUAAAACAUUUAACACGUGGUGGGACCCACAUUAUGUUUGAAUAGUCCGUAAGUUAUAGCAGUUAUAAAUUAGUAAAAUCCAAAUAUUAGACAAUAAUACACAUUAACAAUGCAUAUAAUUUGGGUUUAAUUUUUUUUAAAUUAUUUGAGUAUUACCUAUCCUUAAGAUAUUAAUGAGAAUAUAUUUUAAUAUUGUGAAGCUUUCCUCAAUUAUUCUCAUGCACCCAGACCUUAUCUGGUCAAGUUUUCUGAUUCAAUACUGACGACAGCUUCUUUGUAAAGCUCUUCAACCACAAGCAUUUCUACAAGGCAAAGGACAAGGACGUGUUGGAAUGAAUAUCAACAUGGGAAUGUCUUAUGAAUUUAGUUUAUAUUCUAAUAUAAGACAAUCAAUAAAUAUUGGAUGCAAUCUAAGGGCUAACAUUUGAUUGAUUAAUAUAAGAAAAAAAAAGGGUACAAAAAUGCAAAACAGAGCUGAUUGAUGGCCUUUAACAGUCAGUUCUAUGACAAAGUAACCACCAUAACCAAUGGAAUUAUAAGACAUCAAGAAACUUGAACUUGGCAGGAGGUCUCAUUAGCAGUAUACCUCAGAAAUUAAGACAGAGACUUUAAAAUGCAAGCUUAUGGAGCAAUUUAAGCACUGAAACUAAUAACAGUGAUGCCAAAAAAGGUGCAGGAGUACGGUAUUAGCAAUUGACCUCUGCUUUUGCUUGGACAAAGGUUCUCAUCACAAGGGACUCAUUAGUUGCCCUUGCCUCACACGAUUGGAUGCUAAGGGGGAAAAGGAAGUUUGAAUUAGUCAAUCUCAUUUCUAAUGGCAUUCACAGAGAACCUAUAAAACAAAAAAGUAAAUAAAAAUUUUCAUCCAUGAAAAGCUUAGUAACGGAAAAACCGACUCUUUUAUCUGCCACUGACCUAAUCCGGACUCAUUUAAUUAAAAAAGAAUUCAAAGCAAAACUAAAAGACACAAAUUGCAUACAAGUCUAGGAGCCAUAUCAAAGGCGUUAUAUAACUUGUCCAAUUAAUAAAUUCUCUUAGGGACCAUGCCGUGCUCACUCAUUUCCAAAGCAAUUAAUGAUAAGAACUUUCAUCAUUAAUUGAUAUGGCCAGUGUAGAAAAAAAUGAAAAACCCCUCCAAGAUUAAAGCACAAGGAUAAGUUUAGAAUUACACUUCUUAAAUUUUGGUUAAUAAAUAAACGUCUAUAUGAAAAUAGAAAAUCUUUUUGGAAUAAAUAAACGUCAAAUUUUUGUUUCUAUCUUACUACCUUCUAAAUCCGCAAUCCCAAGUACUUAGAAGUAAAUGCUACAUAGUACAUGAGAUGUUUCCCGUUCAAAUAGCUCGUCCGAUACCAUUAACAUGUUCAUCUCUCUGUAAUUGGUGUAAUUACGAGAUUGGUGGUUGACAUGGCUUUCCUUGUACAGGUAUGUAUGAUUGUUUUUUUUUUUUUUGGCACUUCUAAAUGGAUACUGUUGAAAAGCUUAAAAUUGAACUGAUAAUUUUGUUUGGAAGCUCAGAAAAUUCAUGAGAAAGUGAAAUAGAAUAUGCUGGAUUUCUUUUCUUUCCAUAACAUACAAAUGACAAACGUAGCAGUAUUUAUACUCGUUGCUUACAUCAUAAAAACAGAAUUAAAGCAAGGUACACAACUAUAACAGCAUCAAAAGCGUGCUUAACUAAUUGGCUGAGCUGGCAUAUACUUCUUUAACUAACAAUGCUGCUGACUGGACUUUAGCUCACACAUGCUUAUCGUGCAGCUACUCUUAGUUCACACGUGCUCAGUGUGCUUCCUUAACAGACACAAGGGAAAAGACAUGAUUUUGAGAUAUAACGCUUGAAUGUUCUCGGAAUGGCAUAACGCUUCGUGUGUCUCGGAGCGGCUGAUUGGUGCUGUACGUGUUUCUCAUAUAGAACUCAAGUCUGCUGUUGUCCCAAAGUUGGAACCAGAGAUAUCAUGACUCUGGUUUCAUUUCACCUCAACUGUGUUUUUUUUUUUAAUUAAAAAAAUAAUUUUUUUAGGUAUACAUACAUGUAUUUUGAUCCCAUUUUCAUGGGAAUUUUGCAUUAAAAAAUGAAGAAUAGCUAAUAGGGAAUUUCCUGAUUCUUUAGUUACUAUUUUUGGAAUGAGGGUAAUUAGUAGUAAAGUUGGUUUCUACUCGCAAACAAGUGAGCUGCUCGAUUCCCAAGUGGUAUCAACCAGUUUUCAACUUUUUAAUAUACACAAAUUGUUAUUGUUUAAUAGCUACUACUAUUAAAACUCAACAUCUUACAAAAAUACUUAAAAAAAAUGAUUUUUUCUUAUGAUGCUGUAAAAAAAAUUACGGGUUUACUUAUUUCCACGAGAUCUUGUAUAGUGUUCUUGUAUAGUGGAAUUAAGAUUGUCUUCCCGAUGGUGCAAUUCACCCUCUUCCUUUACAGUCACUUGCACUUUGUGCAGCUUUGGUGUGGAUACGAUUCCCAGGGAAAAAGUCUUCAUGUUCGGACAAUGUGUCACAAAUACUCGUUCCAAUGAUGGGAAUUCAAGAGUGUAAUUCUCCAAACAAAAGCUGGUAAGCCUUGGUAAAUCAUCAAGUUCCAAAAGUUUUAAUUCACUGAAAGCAAUACGAUUCUCCUUCACUUCUUCUCCAGCAUGUCCUACGAUUUCUUCUAAUUUUUUGCAGUUCCAUACAUAAAGAUUCACCAGACUAGUAGGAAUUCCAACCUGAAAAUAAGCAGAGAGAGUGUGUGUGUAUAAAUAUUAAAAAAGUAAAAAUGUAAGAGUAUCAUUCAACUAGGCUCAAAGUAUGUUUGAUCAUACAAUUAUACGUUUUAUGAACAUAACAAACUGUGAAAUGUCUACUAGAUAUUUUUUGUUAAACAAAAAAGGUAACAAGAUAAAUAAAUAAAUAAAUAAAAGCCAGAUAAACAAAGAUGAUAAAAAUGUAUUUACACAAUUAGUAUUAGGGACGUAGAAAGAAUUUAAGGCAAUUUCUAAAUAUUUUAGACUUAUUUUGCAUCUUGAUAUAAGUUUUUAAGCAUAAAUUUGCACAUUUCAACUAUUCCUUUAAAAAAAAACUCAACUAAAAUGCCUCUUUUUCCCUUUUCCUUGGUCCCCUUUUUUUUAUGUAUAUAUAAAAAUGGAAAAAAAAAUUUGGAAAAGACUUCCUAGUACUGUCAACAAGGGAUUGCUGUAAAGUGGAUCUUUAUUAAGUACUUCCAGACUCGAGGAAAUUUCUUUACAAUCAAGGGUCAGUUGUAAACAAUCAUGAAUUUAUGGUUAAGUAAUGGCAUAAUCAAUUCUUAACUAAACUGGAGAUAUUAAUUAAAUUUGAAGACUUUUUUUUUUUCCCAAUCGAAAUGUGAAGAACUAAGGAAAAGAGAAAUAUAUAGAUGAAUUUGUGAACUUAUAAGAUGAGUGACUAUCCUUUAAUUUUUGAAAAUCGUACUUAUUAAGAUAUGAGCAAAAACAAUUAAAUUGAAUUAUAUUAUGCUGUUGAAUCUGUUUAAAAAAAUUAUAUUGUUGAUUCUAAUGCUGGUGAACCUAAAAACUAGACUUAAAACGUAGAUUUCAGAGUGGUGGUUUGAAGUACAAUAUUUGAAAUAAAUAAUUAGUGGCUGAAUAUCAUUUGUAAACACAGAAAUGAUUAAAAAAUUGUUGAAUGUUAUUUGAAAAAAAAAAUCGAAAUGAAUACAGAAACCUUACCAAUGGAGGAAAAAUAUUCAUUAGCUUAUCACACUCUUCUAUCUCCAAAUUCUUCAAUUUCCUGAAAGACUCCGAAGCAAGCUGGUGGUGCCAUAUUGUUCUUAGGUUAUCCAUCCACACAAUAUAUAAUACCUCCAACCUAGGAAGUCGUACCUGGCAAUUAAAGAUUAAAUAACUAAUUAAUCAAUUAAUGGCAUAAUCAAUUGAUAACUAAAUUAGAGGCGGAUAUUAACUAAAUUUGAAGACUCAAGGAAAAGACAAAUCAAGUAUUGUGACUAAAAUUAUUUUUUUAAUUAAAAAAAAAAAACUUUUCAUCAAAGAGAGGAGGAGGUUGCAUUUCAGAAUGAAUAGUGUCUUCUGGUGAGCUCGUAGAGAUGAAUCUUAACAUAUUACUGCAACAACCAAUCAUGAGGUUUAGCAAAGAAGGGAAUUCAACAACUAAAUCUGAAUGAAUAUGUCCCAUAUUGGCAAAACCUUUAAUUCAAUCAACUUUCCUUCAUCUCUUUCUGACCAUCCCGUGGUGUCGACUACCCCUUCCAUUGACUCACAAUAGCUUAUCUCAAGAUGUUGGAGUUGCAAAAGGCUAUUAACCAUAGAAUAUGAAAACAGAUACUUUAGACGAUAACACCUUUCCACAGUCACUUUUGUUAAAUUUUGACGAAAGUACAUUCCUUGAUUAUGAUCGGCCCAUAAUUUUUUCAUGUUUCUUAAGUCCCUGAGAUUCAAUUCCUCUAAGCUCGGAAGAAUAACCUGCAAAGAAAACCCGUACAUUUUUGUUCCUUCAAGUACAACCGUCUAGUAUAAUAUUCUUUUGAUGAUCAAAGAUUAAUUGUGAUAAUAAAUUAAUCAAUUAAUUAUUGAACAGAAAAUUAUCACCUUUGGAGCAGGAUCAUCAUCAGCAAUGAUUUCGUUGAAUCCCAAAGAAGUUGUUGGUUUGCUAAUUGUUGCACCAAAGAAGUAAGAUUUGAAACUUGUUUUUCUAGAGAAGUAGUACUUACCUCAUUGACUCGCUUAGGUGGCGGCAGUAGAUCGUUCCUAGUGUUGAACUGUUGGGAAUUAGCAGCCAUGUUAGCAAUGAGAUUUCGGGCUGCUUCUGGUGUCUUAUCCACGAGUGCUCCUCCACUAGCGGCAUCAAUCAUACUCCUAUCCAUAGGUAGUAGAACCUCAUAAAAGUAUUGAAUAAGAAGUUGAUCACUUAUCUGAUGGUGAGGGCAACUAGCACAUAGCUUUUUGAAUCGUUCCCAAUAGUCGUAGAGCGACUCUCCAUUAUACUGUCGGAUUCCACAAAUUUCUUUUCGAAUGCUGCCAGCUUUUGAUGCUGGGAAAUAUUUCUCCAAAAAUAGCUGACGCAUCUCAUUCCAUGUAGUGACAGUACCGGAGGGAAGAUAGUACAACCAUUCCUUGGCUGAAUCCGCCAAAGAGAAUGGGAAGGCCAUUAGCUUAACUUGCUCUUCAGAAACUCCGGCUGGUUUCAUUGUGGAGCAGACCACAUGGAACUCCUUCAAGUGGUUAUUUGGAUCCUCUCCUGCAAGACCAUGAAAAGUAGGAAGAAGAUGAAUCAUCCCAGAUUUGAGUUCAAAGUUUACUUGAGGGUUUGGAUUCUCAAUGCAUAAGGGUUGUUGGUCCAAGUUAGGAGCUGCCAACUCUUUAAGUGUUCGGUUGUUAUUCUGAGCCAUUGGUUGGGGUUCUGGGCUGCUUGGNNNNNNNNNNNNNNNNNNNNNNNNNNNNNNNNNNNNNNNNNNNNNNNNNNNNNNNNNNNNNNNNNNNNNNNNNNNNNNNNNNNNNNNNNNNNNNNNNNNNNNNNNNNNNNNNNNNNNNNNNNNNNNNNNNNNNNNNNNNNNNNNNNNNNNNNNNNNNNNNNNNNNNNNNNNNNNNNNNNNNNNNNNNNNNNNNNNNNNNNNNNNNNNNNNNNNNNNNNNNNNNNNNNNNNNNNNNNNNNNNNNNNNNNNNNNNNNNNNNNNNNNNNNNNNNNNNNNNNNNNNNNNNNNNNNNNNNNNNNNNNNNNNNNNNNNNNNNNNNNNNNNNNNNNNNNNNNNNNNNNNNNNNNNNNNNNNNNNNNNNNNNNNNNNNNNNNNNNNNNNNNNNNNNNNNNNNNNNNNNNNNNNNNNNNNNNNNNNNNNGCUAGUCCCCGGCAACGGCGCCAAAAAUUUGGUAGUGUCGUUAAGGUGCACCAAAUUUAAAACCUUACCACUAAUAUAAAUAAUUAGUACAGAGCGAGUAAGGAUCGAUCCCAUAGAGACUAUGCUAGUUAUAUUUAUUAUUAACUCCAAAGCAAGAUUUAAAAUAAAAUAAUAGUAAUAGUAAUAAUAAUAUAAAUUAAUCUAACUAAAGAAAAUGCCAAUUAAAAAUAAAAGGGGGGUUUAUGAAUUUUUAACUAAAUAGUAAGAAAUAAAGAAAUUAAAAUUACGAACAAGAAUUUAAUAAAAACUCUAAUUAAAGGAGAAAGAAAUAAUAAUGAUGAAAACUUUGGUUAAAGGAUCAUUCGCCACCACCAAACAUGCACAUAAUAAAUCAAUUCUAUUAUCAAUUUAUAUUGAAACUAUCAACCAUAGACAACAAUAAGCUCUGUUAGUCUCAAUCUUUCCUUAGUGUGUCGUUAGGUAAAAUAAGCUCUUCACCUAAUCUAUAACCAUUAAAUAAUUUAAAACAAGCUCUUUAAAUUUAAGAUAAUGGAAGCAUUAAACAAAGAAAGAAAUUAGGUUGAUCUAGGCAAUAAACACACAAGCUCAGAUUAUUUAACCUAGGUUAUGUUCUCCAAUUGAAAUCAUUAAUUCCAACCUGCUACUAAUGAUUAAAAUAUCAAGACAAUUACGGAUCAAGAAUUUUAAUCUAGCAAUAAAAUUUAUUCAAGUCCUAUCUAAUUGGCCACUCAAACAAAACAAGAAUAAACCAUGAACAUUAAUUAUAGAAGAACAUAAACAAUCUCAAUUAAAUAAAUUGAAUGAUAGAAUUUAAAUUUAAUUGCAUAGCAUGUUUAGGGUUUUGAAUUCACCCUCAACCAAAUAAAAAUCUAGCCUAACAUAAUUGAAUUGGGAAUAAGAGAAUUGACAAAACCAAUCAUAGAGAUUAAUUCAAGCGGCUGCCUUUUUCUUCAAUUGAAUUCCGGCUGCUGAUUUUUUCUUCUUCUUGCGGCUAUUGAUUUUCCUCUUGCUGCCGAAUUGGAUUUGCCCUCCCAAAGUCUCUUGCUGCCCGAAUUCUUUUCCCUCUAUUGCUUCCGCUUGAUCCUAUUUAUAAUGCUUCAAUUGUGGCUUUUUUUAAAUCCUUGCCUGGAAAGAAUUAAAUUCAAAGCUCAAAACCGCCACCUCAUGCUUCAAUUAAUAAGCCAAUAAUGAUUUCCUAAAGCCAAAAGGCUUUAUUCUCUUUCCUUUCACGUGGCAACUUUUGGUUUGCAUCUUUGUUUUCCAAUUUUGCUUUCAUGUGAUGGCUUGGCUUGUUAAUUGGCUUGGCUUCCUUUUUGACUUCCAUUUUCUAAUUUUAGCUCCAUGUGCAACAUUAAUUUUGCUCGGCCCAUACAAGCUUUAAUUAAAUUUAUUUUCUAAUUCCUUCCAAUUCUUGAUCUCUUGUGCACUUUUGUCUCUCAAUCUUCAAUCAAAUUUUUUUUCUUGAAUGCUCCGAUUUAAUUUCUCUUUAAUUCCAGAAUAUACCUAAAAUAACAAAAUAAAUAAAACUAAGAUAAAAAUUAACAAAAUAAAAUAUAAUUUACUAAAUUAAAAAUUAACUAAAAUAACUAGAAUAUUUAAGACCAAAACAAGAAAAAGAUAGAGAAAUUAAUAGCAAAAUAUAUGAAAAAUAUGCACUUAUCACAAGCCUCUCAUUUUUCAAAGCUUUUGCAAGGGUAAUAAGUGCAACAGGCAAUCCUCCGCAUUUUUCAACGAUCUCAUCUGCUAAAGGUUGAAAAGCAGAUGCUUUUGCAGAAUUACACACUAUCUUUCCAAACAAUUGCAAUGCUUCUUCCUUUGAUAAAACUUCAAUUGAGAAAUCCUUCUGAGAUUUCAUAUCAUUGCGCAAUAAAUCUCGACUUCUAGACGUCAAUAUUAUUGUGCGUCUUCUCCGAUCGUCCUCUCUAUCUUUCUCAUCAACAUCCCCAUAAGGAAUUCCAACUGUAUCGAACUCAAGUUUUGUCCAAAUAUUAUCCAGUAUAAUGAGGAGCCGCUUCUCUUGCUUCAACCUUUGACACAGUCGAGAAGCUCUUUGAAAUUCAUUCUCAUUCAAGUCAAAUUCCAUGCCUAAAUCAAAAGCAAGUUUGUCUUGAAUUUUAUGAUGAUCUGGGGUCUGUGUUAUCUCAGCCAUAACGAACUUAUCGAACAACUUAUCUUCCAUCACUUGGUUUGCAACUUGUUUGACCAGCGUGGUUUUGCCCACGCCGCCCAUCCCAUAGACCCCAAUUAUGUUGACCUUGUCAUCCUUCACCGCCUCCAUAACAUCUUGAAAUACUUUCAUUCUUGAAUCAAACGCCUCGAAAUCUUUCACUUGCAUAUGUUCUGCCCGCUUUGGAGCAGGACUGUAGGAAACAUUGGAGAAGUUGCCUUUUCCCACGAGACUAGCGGCAGCUUCUGCCGCCUUUGCUGCUUGUUUACUAAGCUUGUAACGAGAAAUCAAGUUUGGGCAUAAUCCUUUGAAGCAGGACUUCUUAGCUCUAUCUUCAUCAUCAAUGAUGGAUUUUGCAACCCCUUCACUGAUGAAUUCAUCAACGCUAUGUAGCCAGUCUGUGACACCCUCAUAAAGCUCAUCCCCUUGUAGCCUAGCAUGAUUAACUGGUUGCUGCACCAUUUCUCUCUUAUAUCCCAGCUGCUUCACUUGAUCUUUUAGCUCAUCUAUGUAGCUCUGGUACUUGAACACAUAAGAUAUCUGCCGUGUAAUCGGGUUGAACAGUGACUUUGCACCUUCUGAUACACAGUUGGUUAAAAAAGCCAGACACGCUUCUAUAGCCAUUGCCGGUUGCUUAACAAUAUAUAUCUAGUUUUUGGCUGUUGAAAAAAAAAAUGGAUUCAAAUAAAUUAAAUGAACUAGCGGGGAAGAAAAAGAAAGAAACGACAACAAACAACUUUUUAGAAAAAGGUUUCAGGGGCCUGAAUGGAAAACCAACAAUUUUUUGAAGAAAGAAAACUUUUUUGGAAGAUGGAUGCAAAUUAACCAUUAAUAAUACUGCAUAAGAACACAGAAGUUAACAAUAAACAGUAACUUAAAACUCAAGAAAAUUAAAUGACAAGAUUAAGACAAACAAGAGAUAGUUUUUGUUGGACAUUAAGAAACAUCUGCUAUCAAGAUCAAAGAUUAGAAAUUAUGCUAUUGAAAGAAAUUAUUAAAGUAUUUAGAACAAACGCACCUCUUCAAUUAUCGAGGAUCACAGAGUUUAUGAGCUUCACUCUUGGCCUUCGAUUUAUAAGAAAAAUUUUAAUGAGCAAAAGAUCACUGUUAACUGCAGAAGAAUGUGAGUAAAGAGUUUAUGGGAGUAAGCAAUACAAUUGAAUUGUAAAAGAACAAGACUUAAAGCGUGCACCCCGUGUUCAUAUAAACAGAACACAUGUUCAUUUUUAACAAAGUGAUCAAUAACUCUAUUCGUUAUUUAAUUGAUAUUGUAACCAAUUCUAAGAGAAUAUAAUAAUAAUCAUUCAAUCCAUAAAUUUAGAAUUAGAUUUUUUUAACUCUUUAUUUAAAUAUAAACCUUAAUGGAAAAUUAUAAAAGUUUAGAGAUAAAAUUUUUCAAUCACCAAACGAAAAAAACAGGGGAAUGAAAACAGAGGAAUCUUGUUUUAACUAUUUUUUUCCUCAACUCUCGUUCUUAUAUUAAUAAUCUUGUUUUGAUGAUAGUGCUCGUGACUGCGGGAAAAUUUCUACUGGAAACAACUCAAUUUCGGAAGAAAACUUAAUUUUGCAAGUGAUGAAUUUGAACUCGUUGGAUUGGUUGAUUUAUGAUUGACUGAAUUUCACUUUUGCCCAAAAGAUCUUUAACCAAAGUUUAAUAGCCAUCAUGUACUCCUUAAAAGCAAUUUUUUUUUUUAGAUUUGACUGAAUUUGAACUUGUUGGAUUGGUUGUUUUUAGAUUAUUAAUAUGAGAUAUUACAACGUAAAUAUUUUCAUGUGGUUGAGCCCUAUUCUAAAAUCUGUAUAGUUAGCUUUAGAAAAAGGGCUUUUCCUGCUGAUCUGUAAUCUUCAAAUAAACUUAGAUACAAAUAAUGAAAUAAAAGACAACAAACAAGCAAUACUGAUACAAAGCCAACAGAUCAGAGUUUUUUCUUGCCUUCUUUUGUUGAAGGAUUAGAGUUUUUGGUAUUAUCAGUAAAGGUUUCAAGGAGUAAAGCCUAUAAACUUUUUUUUUGGGGGGGGCGCCGCCGCGGGGAGGGGGGGGGGGGGGAGAGCAUGCAAAUUAACCAAAAGAAAUAAUAAGAGCACAGGCUUUAACAAUGAAUACUGACUUAAAACUCAUGCAAAAUAAGUUACAAUAUUAAAACAAACCAGAGAAAAUUUUUUCUUGGAAAGUAGAUGGAACUUAUGAAAGAGCAGAUGUCAAGGAUUUAGAAAACGCGCACCUCUUUAAUUAUCUGGGAUUAGAGAGUUGGUGAGCUUCUCUAUUUAAGAACAAGUUGAAAGAGGAAAAAGAUCACUGGUAACUGCUGAGGAAUGUGUGAGAAAAGAGUUGAUGAGAGCAAUAACAAAGACCUGCAAAAGAAAAAGAAUUAGUCAUGCACCGCUUUUCUAUAUCAUGUAUUUGGUUAUUGUUGCCCUGUUGACGCAUGUUGAAGAAGAAAGCACUAGUUCACAACUCUACGUUUUCAUAUAUUCUAAAGAAAUAAUUAAGUUUUCAUAGAAUGAUACCUGUUGUGUUUGAGUAAUUUUGGUAUAUACAUUGCUUGUGUACUGUGAAAUUGAAAUGAAUAUUGAUGGAAUGACUGAAUUUCACUUUUGCCCAAAAGAUCUUUAACCAAAGUUUAAUAGCUAUCAUGUACUCCUUAAAAGCAAUUUUUUUUUUUAGAUUUGACUGAAUUUGAACUUGUUGGAUUGGUUGUUUUUAGAUUAUUAAUAUGAGAUAUUACAACGUAAAUAUUUUCAUGUGGUUGAGCCCUAUUCUAAAAUCUGUAUAGUUAGCUUUAGAAAAAGGGCUUUUCCUGCUGAUCUGUAAUCUUCAAAUAAACUUAGAUACAAAUAAUGAAAUAAAAGACAACAAACAAGCAAUACUGAUGCAAAGCCAACAGAUCAGAGUUUUUGGUACAAAGCCAAUAAAAGACAAUAAACUUAGGACCUUUUUUUCUUGCUUUCUUUUGUUGCAGGAUUAGAGUUUUUGGUAUUAUCAGUAAAGGUUUCAAGGGUCUGAGUAAAAGCCUAUAAUCUUUUUAUAAACUUUUUUUUUUGGGGGGGGGGGGGGGGGGGGAGCAUGCAAAUUAACCAAAAGAAAUAAUAAGAGCACAGGCUUUAACAAUGAAUAGUAACUUAAAACUCAUGCAAAAUAAGUUACAAUAUUAAAACAAACCAGAGAAAAUUUUUUCUUGGAAAGUAGAUGGAACUUAAGAAAGAGCAGAUGUCAAGAUCAAGGAUCAGGGAUUCUACUAUCAAAAAAAAAAAAAUUAUUCAAGGAUUUAGAAAUCGUGCACCUCUUUAAUUAUCUGGGAUUAGAGAGUUGGUGAGCUUCUCUAUUUGGCCUUCAAUAUUUAAGAACAAGUUGAAAGAGGAAAAAGAUCACAGGUAACUGCUGAGGAAUGUGUGAGAAAAGAGUUGAUGAGAGCAAUAACAAAGACCUGCAAAAGAAAAAGAAUUAGUCAUGCACCGCUUUUCUAUAUCAUGUAUUUGGUUAUUGUUGCCCUGUUGACGCAUGUUGAAGAAGAAAGCACUAGUUCACAACUCUACGUUUUCAUAUAUUCUAAAGAAAUAAUUAAGUUUUCAUAGAAUAAUUUUGGUAUAUACAUUGCUUGUGUACUGUGAAAUUGAAAUGAAUAUUGAUGGACAGAGCAAUGCAUAUGCCUAAAAAAACAUAAAGCAAAUCCUUGAACGAAUGAUUCAGGACUAAAACUUUUAUAAAAGCAAAUACCGGAAACACACAAAAAGCAUUUAAGAGAGAAACUAAACCGCAAAUAAUCGAAGUAAGAUCAAUAAUAUAUGAUUUGAUUUAUGCAUAUUCAAAAACCAAAAUAUAAAAUAAAAUACAAAAUUAAAGUUUGGUUUAUUCUUUCCACAAAAAACAGGGGAAUGAAAACAGAGGCAACUUGUUUUACCAAUUUUUUCUUCUUAAUUUCCGGCAAAAAAAAUCAAUAAACAGGGGAAUGAAAACAAAGGAACGAAAACAGAGGAAACUUGCUUUUCAGGCUAUCUUGUGACAUGAUGAUAUUGCUCGUGAAUGCAUGAAAAUUUCUAAUGCAAACAGCUCAAUUUGGGAUGAUAAGCUUAAGUUUGCAAGUGAUGCAUGAUAAUCAGAUAUUUGUGGCUUUUAAAACUCAAGAAAACUCAAGAAAAUUAAAUGACAAGAUUAAGACAAACAAGAGAUAGUUUUUGUUGGACAUUAAGAAACAACUACUAUCAAGAUCAAAGAUUAGAAAUUAUGCUAUUGAAAGAAAUUAUUAAAGUAUUUAGAACAAACGCACCUCUUCAAUUAUCGAGGAUCACAGAGUUUAUGAGCUUCACUCUUGGCCUUCGAUUUAUAAGAAAAAUUUUAAUGAGCAAAAGAUCGCUGUUAACUGCAGAAGAAUGUGAGUAAAGAGUUUAUGGGAGUAAGCAAUACAAUUGAAUUGUAAAAGAACAAGACUUAAAGCGUGCACCCCGUGUUCAUAUAAACAGAACACAUGUUCAUUUUUAACAAAGUGAUCAAUAACUCUAUUCGUUAUUUAAUUGAUAUUGUAACCAAGAUCAAGGAUCAGGGAUUCUUAUGCCUACUGAUAUUUAAACAGAGAAUUCUUUCUUCUUUUUCUCUUCAUGGAUUAGAGUUUUUGCUAGUAACAGAAAGGUUUCAAGGGUCUGAAUAAAAUCCCAGAUUUUUUUUUAACUUUGUUUUUUGUGGGAAAAUGGAUUCAAAUUAACCAAAGCCAAUAAUAAGAUCACAGACUUUAACAAUGAACAAUAACUUAAGCAAAACCAAUGACAAGAUUAAAACAAACCACAGAAAUUUUUUCUCGGAAAGUAGAUGAAAAGCAAGUAAGAACUGCUAUUAAAGGAUAUUAUUAAAGGAUUUAGAACAUGUAUACCUCUUUAUUUAUAUGGGAUCAGAGAAUCGAUGACCUCCUCUAUUCGCUUCAGAUAUUAAGUAAGAACUGCUAUUAAAAGAAUGAAUUGAUGAGAGUAAUAACAAUGAUUGCAAAAUAGGAAGACUCAAUCAUGCACCCCUUUUAUACCUGAUCAUAUUAAGAAGUCGUUAAAGAAUAACGACUAAAUUAGGAAUUAAUUCUGAAGUUCAGAAUCAAGAACAAAGACGAAGCUUUAAUAACGCAUGCAGUGAGAUACAAGAAAUGGAUCUGGUAAAAUACAUUAAAAAAAUUUGUUCAACUUCAACCUAGUUAAGCUGAUGAAAGCACUAGUUGUUGGCUCUACGUUUCAUAUGUUCUAAUGAAAUAAUUAAGUUGAAGUUUUCAACGAAUAAAUACCUGUUUCGCUUGAAUAGCUUUGGCAUAUACAUUACUUGUGUCCUGUGAAAUUGAAAAGGUUAUUGAUUUACAAAGCUUAUUAGUAGAGAAAAGCUACGUAAGAUGCCUGAUAAAAGAUAAAGCAAGAGCUUGAAUGAAGAAUGACAUUUUAGAAAGAAACUAAAGUGUAAUCAUCAAAGUAGGAUCAAUAAUGUACCACUUUCCUUGCAAAUCUGGUGGGUUUUCUGAAUAGAUUUUUACAUUAUUCUAUUUAACCAUUUUGGGUUUACCCUAAGCAUUCUUGGUUGGCAUUGUCCUGUAAUCUGCGUGCCCUGGAUACGUGUGAGGGAAAGAUGAGGGUAGAUAUGCAAUUUCAAGAAGCGAUUUGCUUGCAUAAUUCAAUGCAUGGAAAGAGAUGUACCUGACCAGAAAAAAAAGGGCACCAUCCAUAUCUGAGCUUGACUUUUUAGAUGGAUAAAUAUUCUUAUUACUGUUGAUAAUGGAGAAGGGUUCUACUUUUACUUUGCCAUCUUUGAUAUAAAACAGCAUGAUUCCUUUUUAUCAAACACUUGCCUAAGUCUAUUUUUUAUUUUUCUUAUUUUCAGAAAGAGAUUAGCUUAAUUUAAAUUAUAUUCAAGUACAAAGUGUUAUACACUCAUAAAACGAGAAAUAGGCAUGUAUUGAUCACGCGCAAUCUAGUUUUUUUUUUUUUUCUUUUUUUUUAAUCCAGUCUUCUUAUUAAAAAAAAAAGAAUUUAUUUGCUUUAUUUUAAAUUAUUUUUUCAUGCGGUAAAUGCAAUACUGAGUAAUGGGUGAGCAAAAUAUUUACAGGCACACCCCCUUUUAAUGAUUUCGUACUAAAAUUAAAAAUUGACGAUUCCAUGAUAAAGUUCAAAGAGUAAAUGAAGACCCAUAAAUGUUUUUUGGUCAUGAGCAAUUUUUGAGUUGGGACAGCACUCGUAUGAAAAAAAAUAGUUUUUUUUUUUCUUUAAGCAUGAGGAUAUUAAUUCUUUUUUUAUAAAUCAGCGUGAAUAUAAAAUUAAAAAAAUAGUUUUGAAUAACUUCUUUUCUUUUUUCAUAAAUAUAGAUAAAAAAUUUUAAAGUCACCAAACACAAAACCAGGAAAAUGGAAAGGAAGCCCCUGUUUCUCCGCUGCUGCAAGCACAAAUUCGGUUUCUACAGGAGUACCUUCUAAAUGCACCAUUUGUAUUGCUUUGUUUCCACGUAAGCUAACGGAAUUUGAUGAAGACAAAAUAGAUAUGAGUCGUGCUAUUCACACCCCUCGAUAAUUCUCUCAAAAUCCCCUUUCUAAUUAUACCGCCUUGAAUAAUUUCAAAACUGACUUUUCCUCUUAUAAUACCACCUUCAAUUCCCUUAAUACCCUUGUUCGCUAUGAAAAUAAGGAAAAUGCCUACAUAAAAAGCUGGCUCUGAUAAUCUACCUGAAUUUACAUUAGAAAAGAGUGGACUUUGAGAAAUAAGAAGACAAUAUAGGGAAUUUUACCAAAAUAAUCCAUUUUUAUAUACAGGGAAUGGUAUUUUCUAAUAUAAGGAGGAGUGGAGAAAUUAAAUUUAGCAAAAUAAAGAACCUCCAUCGAGAAGCAAAAAUGAUGAUAUCUUUGUCGUGAAGAGAUUUCAAUUCAAUUGCAUACAUUGACGAAACAUUAAAUACGGAAAAAACAAAAAAGAAAUAAUAGAACAUGGGGAUUUCGAGAACUUCUAAAGAGAGAAAUGUAUUUAUAAGCAUUGAAAAUUAGCUCAUUAAAUUUGACAGAAUAAUAUACAAUCUCACUGUUGGCCAGAAAAUAAUAGUAAGAACUUGUGAACAUAUAUAAUCAAUUGCUUAUUACUUAAGCUUUUUCUCCGUUAUUUUGAAUGGGUGCAAAGAGGAGAAGUUUUGUACCCAAAUUCCAACUCGAAUUGUGUAGGCUGCUUGCAAGAGCUUCAUUAGAUUUUUAUUUGUCUUUUAAUAGUGCUACUCGAUAAAUACAGCUAGCUAUCUGUCCUUUUUGUUACUGGACUAUAGAUCAAUUGACAGUUGAAGUUAUAUUAAUUUGUUGUACUGGAAUUGAAGCUUGUAUCUUAGCCAUUUCGUGAAGUGUCAAAUAUAUUUUUAAUUUCCUUAAAAUUGUUCAAAAUAUGUUUACACUUUUAAAGUCACUAUUAUACAUGAGUGCCCUAAAAUCAUUUCCUUAAAAUUGUUCAAGUGGGAUCCUAGUUCUCUAUGGCAGUUGAAGAGGUAAAUGCGCAUAGAGCUAUGCUCUAUCAUAGGCCUCGGCCACUAUAAGAAAUUUGAUUUUUUAAGACGAUAUUUUUUACAACAACUUUAAAUUUGGUCACAAAAUGGUAUUUAUUGUGACAAAUUUUUUAAAUCGUAGCUAAUAAUCUUGUCCUAACUUAUAUUUUUUUUUGUAACCAAUUAUUUUUAUUUUGAGACUUGUUCAUUGGUCAUUAAUUAAAUUUUUUUAUACCAAAAAUUAUUUUAGUCACCAAAAGAUAUAUUUUUUUGGCGCAAAAUCUUCCCUCCAAAAGUGAUUAUUUUGAGACAAUAUUUCACUAUUUAUGACAAAAUAAAUAGUCAUGAAAUAUAAUUAUAGGCGACCAAAUUAUUUGGUAACUAAAAGAGGGGUGUAAAAUUAACUAAACAAUCUAUGACACAAAAUAUUAGUAGCCAAAAUUAUUGUUCUUUUGGCAUAUUUUAAGACCAUUUUUUUGGUCAUAUAUAAUUACCUACAGUGACAAAAUUAAAAAAUAGUCGUUGAAUGUUUUAUCUUGAAUAAUUUUAUAUUUGAUAACCAAUUUUUUUUUCUUUUUGAGACAUAUUACUUGGUCCCUAUUUCAACUUCUUUUUGACUAACUUUAUAAUAGUCACAAAAGACAUUUUUUUUUUUUUUGGCAUAAAAAGUCUGUCCAAAGUUAGCUCUUUUGGGACAAUAUAUAAUCUUUUAUGACAAAAUAUAUAGUGGCGAAAUAUAAUUAUUUUUUACAAAGUUAUUUCGUAGCUGAAAAAGAGGUGUAAAUUUAGUUAACCUAUUUGUGACAUAAAAUAUUAGUCUCCAAAACUAUUAUGCUUUUAGCCAAUUUUAAGACCCGAUUUUGUUGUCAUGGAUAAUUACCUAUUUUCAAAAAACUAAGAGAUAGUAAUCAAAAGUUUGUCUUGAUUGACAUUGUAUUUUAUGAGCAAAAUAUUUUGUUUCAGUGACACUUUACUUGGUCUCUGAUUAGACUUGUUUGUGAUGAUCAAUAGAAAUAUAUAAUAACCACUAAAUUUUUUUGGAUUAAAUUUUAUAGAUACUAUUAAUUAAGUUGUUGACGAAAAUGAUCGAACCAAUACUAAUAUGGGAUACCAUCAACAGCCGUAAUACUUAUGAACCGAGAAAUUAUAAUAUGUAGUGAAAAAGUUUUAACAGUAGUCCCUAGUAUUUAGAAUUAUUUUGACUACUUUAUUUAUUUCCAAAACAUAAAAUUCUCAACCCAAAAUUCCCCGCAUUGUGUUUUAUUUUGUCUCCUCACUCAGUUACUCUUAUUAACUCACGGCUUGACAAAAAAAAGAAAAAAAUUCUCACAGCUUGAUGUUCUCCUCUCUUUAAAAAUAAAAAUCCCCAGUUACUCUGCUCAAACUCGUUAAUAUUUGUUUCCACCACCAAAGCAGCCACUCGUAUCUUUUAUUAAGCAUAACGUUUUUCUUAAAACCUAAUUGAUCAUUCUUUAACGUCUCCAGGAUUAUAUUUGGCACGCUAUUUUUCUCCUUCAAUUGAAUAGAAGUCUAGAACCUUUUUUUUUUCGCAAUUCACUUUUGCUGUGUUUCGUGGUUUGGACUAAGAUCAUGACAAUUAUUGAACGAUGGGGAUAAAUAUCAAAGAAGGAGCUUACAUGCCCUAUAUAUCUCUCUUUGGAUGAAUAACGAAUGUGAGCUUUCAAAGUACAGAGAUUUACAUGUUUUAAUUGUCAUUUACAUUGCUGCAUGCCAAUUGCUUGAUAAAAUACUGCAACAAAUACGCAUUCUCGAUUUUCUUAUAAAUUUAUUUUCUUAAUCUGAAAAAAAUUGAAUGUUCAGAGAAUUUUGAAGGUUUUGGUGUAUGCAUUAAUAUUUCGAUUCUAUUUAUGUUGUUUAACUAAUGAAGAUGAUACAUCUAGCCUCUUUUUGCCCCUUGUUGUUUUUAUUCUUGUGCUUUAUAUACGGUUCAAGUGUGAUACACUUUAGUUUUUCUCAAGUGUUUGUUAGUAUUUCCCGAAGCAAAAUUUGUCACAGACUUUGAGUUCAAAAGUUGAAAUCAUAACUAACAUACUUCGAUUUUUUAUUUUCCUUUUUUCUUCGGUAUCCUUCUAUAUGGCAUUGGUUGAGAAAUUGGUGUACUUAGAUCGUAAUAUUCUGUAGAAAUAAGCCAAUAUUUCAUUACGUACAUUGUUUAAUAUGAUGAGUAUUGUAUAGAAGUUUUACAUAUAAGCUCCUUAUAUAUUAUGCAUUAUGUUUUUAUCAUAUUGUUGCUUGGAACUUUGAAGGAUUGGCCACAGGGCUUUAGUCCUACAUGGACAUUUUAUAUUUAAUAGCUGGUUAGGCAUUUUAUUUGAUGUUAUUUGGACUUGUAGGUGUUAAAAGUUUUGUUCAGUAAUUUUAUAAUUCAGAUUCCCAUUGUGAUAAGAUAGCAAUUUUUUGUGUGUCAGAUUCUGUCAACUGAUAUUUAGCUAAAAUAUCUCACUAACCCCUAUUGGUUAGGUAUUAUUUUAAAUCACAUACUUGAUUUUUAUUUUCUUUUUAUCUGUGGAAUCCCAUGUAUCAUUCAUAAGAAACAAGCUAUUAUAUAAUCUAUUCUUUAGAUCCAUUUAUAUGUAGUGAGCACUCUGAUUUCUAUUAUUUGAAUUUUUUGCUACUGUUACUACUCUUUCGGCCCUUCAAAUAGGGGUUAACAGAAAUGGUGAGUAUAUUAAUACAAAUUCAAACUUUCUUUUUCUAAUUUUAUCCAAAAUAACCUACUAUUUUAUUUUAAUUUCAAACUUUUGUCAUAGUCUAAUGGGCAGUUGUCUUGUCAUUAUUUGGUUUCAAGUAAGAAGAGAGAAAGUUAGUGAGAGGAUGAAAAUUUUGCAAAAACUUGUUCAUAGCUAUGGUAAUUAAGUAGUUUGAGUUCUUUUUUUUGUUGUUUUCUAUGUUGGUUUUGGAUCAUUGUAGUUGCUGAUUGUGAUUUAUUGUCGCCUAUGGUUGCUGACUUUUGUUUACUGUGGCUACUUUAUUAAAGCAAUUUUGGAUAUUGAAGUUUAUGGCCAACUUUUAUUAGACACUUCUGACCUUUAUCGAUAUAUUUUCUGAACCUUUACACUUAAGAUGUGUGUGUGUGUUUUUAAAAAAUACAUGUGAAUGAAAUAGUACUUGAAAUAAUAUAUUUUCUCAACUUUUAUUAGAUAUAGUGAAAUAGUACUUGAAAUAAUAUAUUUUCUCAACUUUUAUUAGAUAAUUCAAAGUAUAUCCCACUUAUUAUCGAUAUAUUUGCUCAAGUCUCAUGUGCAACAUGUGAAUGAAAUAGUACUUGAAAUAAUAGAGACUUUGUUUUAUGACUCAUAUUUUUACAUUUCUUUGCAAGGAACCAUACUUAAUUGUACCUAAUAGAAGAGAUAUCUUUUCACUAUAUAGUCUUAGUAUAAAAAGAUACAUCUUCUAUAUAAGGCACAAUUGAUGGGACAUAUCUUUAUACUAAGACAUCAUUCAUAUUUAUCACACAAUAAUAGAAACUGCAAUGGUAGGUGGAAUAUUAUGAAGUCAAAAUUGAGAACGACAUUAAAUCAUGAAUUCUUUAUGUGUUUACUCGAAUGCCUGACAGUAUUUAGUUCAAUUAACACAGAUUGGAAAUCCAAAUGAUUGAAGAGUUGUAUGAGUUCAAGUUCAGUAUUUAAUUACUAUAUAAUUAUACAUAAAUGUGGAUUUUGCAAGCUUGAACCCAUGUGUGUUAGCCCAUUUCGGCCCAAUAAACAUAUUGUUCUGGAUAAAAAAUAUCAGGGGAUCUCUGAUGUUUCUUUGGUUUAACAUAAAUUUAUUCCUAACUCUAUAACCAUGCAUUAUUUAGACAAAAAUUUUUGCAAUCACCAAACAGUAAAACAGAGAAAUAAAAACGGAGGAGCUCUUUUCUAAAACAGAAGUAGGUGUUUUGUCUGAACGUACCACUUUCUGUUUAAUUAUUAUGUUUACGGAAUAGAUUUUUUUUUAUUAUUCUGUUUUAUGUUUCCGUCUUUACCCUAAGCAUUCUUGGUUGGCAUCGCUGCAUUGUCCUGUAAUCUGUGUGCCUUGGUGAGGAGGGGAAUGGAUAACUGUGGUGCUGGAUACGUGAGAGACAAUGAUGAGGGUAGAUUUGUAAUUGCCAGAAGCGAUUUGCUUGCAAUAAUUCAAUGCAUGGAAAGAGAUGCCUCUAACAAAAAAUGGGACUAUCCAUAUCUGAGCAUUAGAGCUCUACGUCUUAGAUAAAUAAAUAUACUUAUUAGUAUUGUUUUUGCAUAUAUCUUUCACAAAAUUAUUGUAUUCGCUUAUAUAGAGAGGACGAUUUAGAUAAGUUUCAACUAAAAAUUGACAAUUCCAUGAUAAAGUUAAAAAUCACCGAAUAAAAAACUGGAAAAUCCCCUGUUUCUCCUCUGCUUUCUUUUGAUUAUUAUUAAAAAGGGGAAUUAAAAAAUGAGUUGCAAGCACAAAUUUUAUUUCUACAGUAGUACCUUCUAAAUGCACCAUUGUUUGAUACAUUAAAAUUAAACAUUACUUAUGCUAGUAUAUCGGUACUUCACAUGUCCGUUCUUCAUUAAUGUAUAUUCAUUUACACCCAAGCUACCUGUCAGUUUUGCGAAAACUGAAUUUAAAGGUGUGGCUUAAAUUAAAAUAAUAAUCAGCCUCAUAGAAUACAGAGAAAAAAGAUAAUUUAUCACAAUCAUAUCCUAAUGCAUCAUAAAUUUAGAUUAUUUAAUUACUGUUAGGAAAUCUGCUUAGAUAAGGCGCACACUACAAAUUCUAAAUUAAAUUCCUAAUUAACAAUAAAAGAUAGACCCUAUUAAUCGUCCACCAGGUACCUUGUAGCCUGCAUCAUAAGUUUAGAUUUAAAUUUUUGCAAUUACCAAACGGAGAAACAGGGGAAUGAAAACAAAGGAGCCCUAUUUUUUCCAUUUUUGUCCCCCUUAACUCUUGUCCUUAUACAAAUAUUUUUCCUUGGAAUUUCAGGCAUACGAAAAAAUAUUGAAAAUUAUUUAAAGCAAACAGGUGGAUGAUAACAAAAAUAUAUUUAAUUAACCAAAUCAAGACACUAUAUUGGUCGUCAAUGUUUCGGCAUCACUGUCUUCUUCAGAUGUUACUUGUUUUUCACAUUUAUUUUGCGCUGUUGUGGAUUAAUAUGGUUCUGCUGGGUGCACAUUUUUACGUGCUACUGUAUUUUCUCUCAGUCCUUUUUAAAAGAACAUACACCCACAUACUAUGUAGAGUGACCUUUUUUAAUGAGGAAUCUGUCAUUUUAAUAAAAUGAAGAAUAAACUAAAAGGUAGAAGUACACGAACUCUAAUGCAAUAUACCUUUUCUUUUCUUUUACCUUUACUAUAAGAUAGGGAAUGAUAUAAUUGAUAAUGGAACUUGGGGUCAGAGCAGCGGUGUAAUUUUGAGAGGAUUUACAAGAUGGUAAGUGCAAUAAUUAACAGGCUCAUUUAAUAUAUCAAACUGCUAGAUAAUUGUACUAGUUAAACAUAAUUUUCAGAGAAUCUUUUUAAGGGUUUAUUUAUUAAUAUUUUGUUUCUUUCCAGCAUGAACACUUUGUUUUGACACGUGCUUAACAACCUUCAACGAACUGGAACAACCUUCAUCACAUGCUUCCUCACGUGAUUACUUAAAUUGAUAUGUAAAACGUGCUCCAUCCAUGUCGUUUCCACUAAAUCGUUUUUUGUUAAGAAUCAGCUGAGCAGCACGUGAGCUAAUGAAGCUUUUACGGCUUCAAAACGCAGCCGUUUCUGGGAACCAAACUUGAUUCAUCAUCUCACAACUACAGAUGAAUUAUCGAAGUGGCUGAUUGGUGCUGUACGUGUUUUUCGUAUUGAACUCAACUCUGCUAUAAUACAUGCGUGCAUCUGAUACAUGCACAAAAACCACCACUCCCACUCCCACUCCCACUCCCACGCCCUCGCGUCACGCGCCUUACCACUCCCUCGCCUCACCUCACCUCUCUUCUUGUUCCACGGCCAUCAACGGCGGCACGAGUCGGCAACGAUCAACUGCGGCUGUAAAUUGACCACAAUCAUCUCUCUCUCUCGGCUUUGCUCAAAUUUGGCCGAUCUAUGCGCUUGCUUAAGCUUGGCCGAUCUAUGCUUGCUCAAUUACUCUUCCUAUAUUCAGUCGGAGUCAACUGUUUGACAAGAGUCGAAGUCCAAGGUUCUUUUUUACAGGAUUUGAGCUACUUCUUUUAUUCUUCUUCCAUGUUCACUGAUACGAAGCUUUGAUGUGGUGUUCUGAGAGCGGGUGGAAUUUGAGAUUCUCCUUUCUUCUCUAUAUGAAGGUGCUUGUCAUGUGUCAAGAAAAAUAAAAUUAUUUACAAAAGAUUAUUUUAAGGAGAUUUAUUAUUAUUCGUGGAUCGGGAAGCUCAAAAAAUUUUCUUAUGUAGACUCAAAUCAUUUCUAUAGGGCGAAGCAUAUGAAUGAUACAUAUUAUCUUUUUUUGGCCUUAUGUAUUGUUAUUUGCAGUGUGAUUUGGUCUAGCUUAAGAGCUUAAGCUUGCAGGCUGGAUUUGUCUGACAUGGAACAAUUUAAUUUGUUCAUCGUGAUGUUUAUAUCCAUUUUGUACUACUAUCAAUUUCAAUCAUGGCUAAUUUUUAUAUGUAUUUCUCGUGGACUCUCAGGUUCAGUGCACAAGAGGAUGAAGACGAUGGACACCCAAAUUUGAUGUGGAGAACAACUAUUGCAAAUGGUCCUUGAUUUACUUCUCCAAUUGACUUGAAUUGGUUUGACGCAAUUUAUAGUGUAUUUUUGUCAUCUUUGUAUGACUGGCAGGUCGUCCUGAUUUGGUACAUGACUGGACACAGGAAUUGGACUCAUAUUUUUCAAACCAGAAUGCCAACAAUCAAGCAUUUUCUUUUGAAAGCACUGGCGUCUUCUUCAGUGCCAAAAAGGUUAGAGAUUUUCUGUAUCCUGUUUUGUAUUUGAUCAGUUUAGCAUGUGGGUGGCAAUCAAGAAAAGUUAUUAUAACAUUUUUGUGUUCCCGAAAAACUGCUGCUGAUGUGUAGUGCAGGAAAUGAAUUGUUUGUGACUUCUUUUUAUUUGUAUUCUUUCUUUUUUCUUUUCUCCCCAACAGAAUUACGUAUUUCUGAAGAGCUUCUUGAAGUUGAUUACCAUGUAUGCCACUUUCUUUACUCUAUGCUCAGGAUGUGAUUUUGUUUAGGUCAGAACCAUCAUCUAAAGUUUACUUAAUGCUGCCGAGAAGCUGUAGUAGAGCAAUGAAGGCUGUUGGUGUUAUGAAGGCCAGCUGUGAAGAAAUAUUUGAACUUGUAAUGAGCAUGGAUGGGACACGAUACGAGUAUGCUUCUUUUCUAUUUUUUAUUUUUAGUUACUUUAACAUAAUCAAGACUAUAUUGGCUGUCUGUGUAAGCUGAGUAUUAUAUUUCCUCUUGUAUGCUGUGAAAUUCACAUUGUCUCCAGUCCCGAUUCUGUAUGUGCCUUUUUGAAUAUAUUUAAUUAAUCUGCAUGGUGCUUUCUAAAGAUUAUUACAAACUUUUGUUGCUUAAGUAUAUGAAGAAUGUGGAAAUGAAAAUAGCUUUUGAAGUUUGAUGGAUUGCUUCAUUAAUAAAGAAAGACUAGGACUCAUUUUUAUAACUUUUCUCCACUUAGCUAAUGGUAUUUGAUGAAGACAAAAUAGAUGUAGCUAUCUAUAUUUUUUGUUGCUGAACUAUAGAUCAAUUGAUGGUUGAAGUUAGUUAUAUUAAUUUGUUGUACUAGAUUAAAGCUUGUAUCUUAGCCAUUUCAUGAAGUGUCAAAUACGUUCUUUCCUCUUUUUUUUUUUUUUCGAAACAUGUUACACUUUUGAAGUCACUAUUACAUAAAAGAGUGUUCUAAAACAGGAGAAGGCGUGCUGCCUGAAAUUACCUGUUUCCUAGCAAAUCUAGCUGGUUUGCGAAUUAGAUUUUAACAAGUCUCUUGGCAAGGUUUGCUAGUAAUGUGUUCAAAUUAUUCUAUUUAAUUUUACUGUCUGUACCCUAAUAAUUCUUGGUUUGCACCAUUGCAUUGUUCCAUAAUCUCUGUGCGUUGGCUUAUAAAGGCCAGCAAGGCUGAUCAUUUGUCGAAUAGUUAUUUCCAUGAAAUUCCUAUCAAUUUGACUCAGUAUUUAGAGGUCUUGAAGAGGGCAGUGUACUAGACAUGGAUUUCUACCUCUUUUGGUUGUACAAUUGUUGUAUUUCUUGGCCAUCAGAUCUUUUUUAUGUACCUUUCUCAAAGUUCUUGCCGCACGUACACCGUUUUUCAUGUUUUGUGCAGGUGGGAUUGUAGUCUUCUGUAUCGCAGCUUAGUUGAAGAGGUAGAUGGUCAUACGGCUAUUCUCUAUCAUAGGCUUCAGCUGGACUGGCUUCCAAUGUAAUAGUCUCUUGAUUCAAUCAUCUCAUUUAUGCUUUGGUCAGAAUAGAACAUUUAUUGUUCUUCUUUCCCCUUUCCUCUCUUCUGAUGUAAUAUGUGAGGAAAUUACCUAAAAUUUCUGUAUCCCAAUGUAAUUGUUGGCAUUCAGAAAUAAAAUAAAUACACCGUCUUGUUUUUCCCUCGGUUCAGUCCUAAGUUCUCUUUGGGCCUUCUGCAAGUUUUUAAACAUACUGUGACAGUAAAAAAUCUAGUGAUUGAGAUCAUUUUGAUGAAUUUAAUUUUAAUUCUUAGCUGAUACUUUUUCUGGAAUUUUUUUCUUAUGUUUCCUCAAUAUGACUUAAAUAUAGGGCUUAGUCAUGGAUCAUGCACCAGAGUGAUGGAAGCACCCCUUGUUUAUUAGGAAAAGCAGUUGAUUGUAACUAUAUCCGCGGUCCUAAGUAGUUAGAAGUAAAUGCUCUUCGAAUUCCUAUAGUACAUGGGAUGUGUUCCCUUUCAAAUAGCUUGUUCAAUACCAUUAACAUGGUUUAACAUUGUUCAUCUUUCUGUAGAUUGAUGUUGACGUGUUCUUCUAGAGUUGCUAAUGGAGUUUUGGGCCUUGUAAUUGGUGUAAUUACGGCAUUGGUGGUUGACAUGGCUUUCCUUGUGCAGGUAUGUAUGAUUGUUUUUUUCCCCCACUUCUAAAUGACACGAGGGAAGAGACAUGAUUUUGAGAUAUUGUACUGCAAUUUGCAUAUUUGCAUACUUGAAUAGUAACUCAAGAAUCAUUUUCAGAAUGGUAUAAUGCUUCGUGUAUGCAGGCAAAUACUACAGAUGAAUUACCGGAGCGGCUGAUUGGAGCUGUACGUGUUUCUUAUAUAGAACUCAAGUCUGCUAUUGUCCCAAAGUUGGAACCAGAGACAUCAUGACUCUGGUUUCAUUUCACCUCAACUGUUUUUUUUUUAAUUGAAAAAAAAAAUCAUUUGUUUUAGGUAUGCAUACAUGUAUUUUGAUCCCGUUUUCAUUGUAAUUUCUCAUUUACUUUGAAAGAAAGUCACUGGUGUUUUCGAAUAGGAAUUUUGCAUUAAAAAAUAAAGAAUACUUAAUAGGAAACUUAAUAAUUCUUUAGUUACUAUUUUUGGAAUGAGUGUAAUAGUAUUGAAGUUGGUUUCUACUCGCAAUCAAGUGAACUACUCGAUCCCCAACUGCGACCGCACUAAUUGUCAUUGUUUAAUAGCCUACUACUUUUAAAACUCAACAACUAAAAAAAUGAUUUUCUUAUGAUGCUGUGAAAACAUUUAUGGGUUCACUUAUUUCCACAAGAUCUAUAACAUGGUCUUGACUUCACGAAAUUCUUUUAACUUAAAGGGUUCUGGUCUGAGAAAGUUAAUUUGACGGAUUAAUUCCUUUUAAUAAUGGUCGAGUUAAUUUUACUAUACUCGUAAAACUAUUAUUAUUCUGAUAAUGCCACAAAUGUUAUGAUGUUUUCUUCAGCCAAUAAUCUUCUAUUAGGACUAGUUAGAAAUCAAAUGCUUAAAACACCAAUUGAAUGAAUAAUGCAGAAGUUUAAACAGUAUCUAAUUGAAAAUUACAUGAAGCAUGAAACAUCAAUUCAAGUCCUUCCUUAAACAGAGAAUGCAUCAAACAAAUCCAAAGUGUCUUGCAUGUCUGUAAAUAAUUGUAAAUGCGUUUAGAUUAUUCAAGUACAGGAGAACAAGCAAGUUGAAUCAUGUACAAGAGGUUGGCCUGGUUCGAGAUAGCUUCUUCACAGUACCUGAAGGGUUGGCUCAAUCUUUUCUUUAGAAUUCUGCACAUUUUGUAAUUACUCGUGUAAGCAAGCAUACAUUACAACCAUAAUAAUAAUAAGGCAAGAGUAAUGAUACGACCACAGCCUCUUGUGCACAAAUAAUAUUGUACAAACUAAUAUGACAUAAUAUGAUUGAUUAAACAAAAACAUAACAUGACCCUCAUAAUUUAUUUAUUAUUAUUUUAUAUUUUCAGUCAAGCAAUCAUAUUAUGCCACAUUAAAUAGAAAUAAUUUACUAGAUAGUGCCAACACUUCAUUGAUACUCACCAUUUCAUUGAACAAUUUUUUUAUAGUGUCAUUGAGGUUGCCUUCCCAACAUCCUUCAUCAUCACCAUCUUCAUCUUCGGUGGGUUUCACUUUGUUUAGCUUUGGUGCGUCUACGACUCCUGGAGAGAAAAUCUUCAUCGUUGGGCAUUGUCUCACAACUACGUGUGCCAAGGACGGGAACUCAAGAGCGUAAUUACCCAAACUAAAGCUUGUUAGGCUUGGCAAACAAUCAAUUCCCAAGUACUCCAAUUUCCUGAAAACAAUGCAAUCUUCCGCUUCUUCUCCAACCUGCGACUGUAUAAUUUCUUCCAUCAUUUUGCAAUCAGUUAUCUUCAUUCUUUCAAGAUUCACUAGACUUUCAGAUGUUGAGAGUGUCAAUAAAUUUAUCAACCCAUGACACUUCGAUACUUCCAGAGUCGCAAGAUUUUCCAAAUGCCACAAAGCUGGUACUAAUUUCUGCAACUUACUACAUUCAAAUAUUUCUAGACUUUUCAAGUUUGCAAACACUUUGUUGGAUUCGGCAUUUUCCUUCCAGAGAUGCUGCACUUUGUGUAAUCCAGAUAGCUUUAACUUCAUCAAUUGAGGGAAUGCAACCUGAAAAUCAACAAAAUUAAGUUGUAAAUGAAAAUAUGUAUCCAAUCUCUACAGUCUUCCCCUACAUAUUUUAUGGACAAGAUUAAUCACGGCAUUUUAUAUUUUAUUUCCAAAUUAGUAUGCUUUGCAGUAGGAUCCCAAAUAUAAGUAUCAAAUCGAUUACCCUUUGAAACACAUAAAUGAAAUCUGAUCAUAAAUCCAAUAUGAAUUAGCUAGGAAAACAAAGAUCUAACACGCAUAAUUUAUGCGAUAUAGUUCAUCACCUCCUGUCACUAGGCAUCUAAUUAAUUUGAGACAUUUUUUUAAUUCAUACUAUAAAGUUAGUUAAUAACUACAAUUAUAUUGUUAAAUCAGAUAUAAAUUAAGACGACGUGCAAAAAGAUAAGUCAUUAAAUUUGAUUUGAUUCUAAUGAAAUUACAUCUAUGCGAAUGAAAGUGAAGGGAAAAAUAAUAAUAAUGAUUACCUUUUUAUCGAAGAGAUGUUGUAUUUGAUUAGCUACCAAGAGGUUCUCUUCUGAUUUUAAUUUUUGAGCUUCCUUAUUAUCUGCUGUCAUGUGCAAUACAGAUGUAGAAUUGGAUAUGAAUGUUUCCAUGUCAGGGCAAUUCUCAAUAGUUAGAUAUCUCAACUCAGGCAGUUCAAUUAUAUUCCCAGUGAAGUUGCAGAAUCUUUUGAGUUUUGGAAGAUCAAUGAGCCUUAGAUUGGAAAGCUUAGGAAACAUGGGGCCUAUAUGUUCUUUGUCAGCAUUUAGCUCUUCCAAACGAAGCACCUCUUCUAGUGAAUCACAAUUCCUCACUUCCAGCCGUCGCAAAUUGUUCAAGCAUCGUAGCAGAUUGGCAGGAAUAGCACUCGACAUAUUCGUGCAGUCAUCCACCACCAGCCGUGCUAAAUUGUUGAAGAAGCUGACAGGCAGUGCUUGGCCAUGCCAUAUUUCUUUCAAACGUGGAAAAUGUGAGAGUUGCAAAUACCAUAUGUCACGGAAUCCAAUCUGCACAAACCAAAACAAUUGCACCGGAUAUAUACAAUUUUUUUUUUGAAAGGCAUUAUAUAUAUACACAUUAAACUUACAUGUUUUGUGUUUUAACUUCUAAAAAUAUAUAUACAAGACCGGGGUAUAUGCUUAAAUGUGCAAUUGCAGGGGAGAUGCAUAAACAAUUUGGGUGAAUCGAUUAACACAUACCAUUUCUUUGUAAUACUUUUGCAUAAUGGAAUUAAGGUUAUUGCCUUCCCAAUGGUGCAGUUCACCCUCUUCCUUUUCAGUCACUUGCACUUUGCAUGGCUUUGGAAUGGAUAAGAUUCCCUGAGAAAAAGUCUUCAUAUUUGGACAACGUAUCAUAGAAACUCGUUCCAGUGAUGGGAAUUCAAGAGUGUAAUUCUCCAAACAAAAGCUGGUAAGCCUUGAUAAAUAAUUAAGUAUCAAAACUUUUAAUUCGCUGAAAGCAAUACGAUUCUCCUUCACUUCUUCUCCAACAUGUCCUACGAUUUCUUCUAUUUUUUGGCACUUCGAUACUUUAAGAUUCACCAAACUACUAGGAAUUCCAACCUGAAAAUAAGCAAAAGUGUGUGUAUAUUAAAAAAGUAAAAAUGUAAGAAUAUCAUUCAACUAGGUUCAAAGUAUGUUUAAUCAUACAAUUAUACGUUUUAUAAAGAUAACAAACCAUGAAAUGUCUACAAGAUAAUUUUUUGUUAAACAAAAAAAGCAACAAGAUAAAUAAAUAAAUAAAAGCCAGAUAAACAAAGAUAUUAAAUGCAUUUACACUAUUUAGUAUUAGGAACGUACGAAGAAUUUAAGGCAAUUUCUAAAUAUUUUAGACUUAUUUUGCAUCUUGAUGCCAGUUUUUAAACAAAAUUUGCAAAUUUCAACUAUUCCUUUUGGGAAAAAAAAAUCAACCAAAAUGCCGCUUUUUCCCUUUUCCCUUGGUCCCUUUUUUUUAUGUAUAUUUAAUUUUGGAAACAAAAUUAAAGUGGAUCUUUAUUAAGUACUUCCAGACUCGAGGAAAUUUCUUUACAAUCAAGGAUCAGUUGUAAAUAAUCGUGAAUUUGUGGUUAAUUAAUGGCAUAAUCAGUUCGUAACUAAACAAGAGAUAUUAAUUAAAUUUGAAGACUUUUCUUUUCUUUUUUUCUUUUUCCAAUCGAAAUGUGAAGAAUUAAGGAAAAGAGAAAUAUAUAGAUGAAUUUGUGAACCUAUAAGAUGAGUGACUAUCCUUUAAUUUUUGAAAAUUGUACUUAUUAAGAUAUGAGCAGAAACAAUUAAAUUGAAUUAUAUUAUGAUGUUGAAUCGUGAUUAAAAAAAUUAUAUUGUUGAUUCUAAUGCUGGCGAACCUAAAAAAUGGACUUAAAAUGUAGAUUUGAGAGUGGUGGUUCGAAAUACAAUACUUGAAAUAAAUAAUCAGUGGCUGAAUAUCAUUUGUAAACCCAAAAAUGGUUAAAAUAUUGUUGGAUGUAAUUUAAAAAAAAAAAGAUUCGAAAUGAAUACAACGACCUUACCAAUGGAGGAAAAAUAUUCAUUAGGUUAUGACACUUAUAUAUCUCCAAAUUCUUCAAUUUGCUGAAAGACUCCGAAGGAAGCUGGUGGUGCCAUAUUUUUCUCAAAUUAUUCAUCCAGCUAAUAUCUAAUACCUCCAACCUAGGAAGUCGUACCUGGAAGUUAAAGAUUAAAUAACUAAUUAAUCAAUUAAUGGCAUAAUCAAUUGAUAACUAAAUUAGAGGCGGAUAUUAACUAAAUUUGAAGACUCAAGGAAAAGACAAAUUAAGUAUUGUGACUAAAAUUAAUUUUAUUUAUUAAAAAAAAAACCUUUUCGUCAAAGAGAGGAGGAGGUUGCAUUUCAGAAUGAUUGGUGUCUUCUGGUGAGCUCGUAGAGAUGAAUCUUAACAUAUUACUGCAAUUACCAAUCUCGAGGUUUAGCAAAGAAGGGAAUUCAACAACUAAAUCUGAAUGAAUAUGUCCUGUAUUGGCGAAGCUUGUCAGUUCUGUAAGCCAAUAGAGCUGCAGGGAGUGUAGUUUAGGAAAAACCUUUAAUUCAAUCAACUUUCCUUCAUCUCUUUCUGACCACCCCGUGGUGUCGACUACCCCUUCCAUUGACUCACAAGACCAUAUUUCAAGAUGUUGGAGUUGCAAAAGACUAUUAACCAUAGAAUACGAAAACAGAUACUUCAUACGAUCACAACUUCUCACGUACAGCUUUGUUAAAUUUUGACAACAGUACAUUCCUUGAUUAUGAUCGGCCCAUAAUUUUUUGAUGUUUCUUAAUUCCGUGAGAUUCAAUUCCUCUAAGCUCGGAAGAAGAACCUGCAAAGAAAAGCCGUACAUUUUUGUUCCUUCAAGUACAACCGUCUAGUAUAAUAUUCUGUUGAUGAUCGAAGAUUAAUCGUGAUAAUAAAUUAAUCAAUUAAUUAUUGAACAGAAAAUUAUCACCUUUGGAGCAGUAUCAUCAUCAGCAAUGAUUUCGUUGAAUCCCAAAGAAGUUGUUGGUUUCUCCCUGUCGGGUCCUGUAAACAAACAAAAACAAUAUACAUAAUUAAUCUUUGUCGUUGUCUUUUUUUUUUCAAAAUAAUUGAGGCGAAGUCCAUAAAUCCACCAACACUUAAUUUCAACACUUACCAACAGUCAUUUCCAGUUUAUUGCAGGAAGCCACUUUGACCUUUUGAAGCCGCAGUAGGUUUCUGGCUAUGGAAAAUGAGAAAAGAUGCUUCAAUUUAUCACAGGAUUCUACUUCUAUAAUCUUUAAGUUGCUGAAAAAUUGAUCUUCUCUGAGUUGGCUGUGGCAUAUGGCCUCCAAAUUGAUCAAUUUAUAGAGAGACAAUGACUCCAGCAAGGGGAAGACUUUGCGAUGAACCCGUCCAACUGAACCGACAAUGUGUAAAAUCUCAGAACACCUUUCUACCCAAAGAUGCUUCAAUCGUGGAAAACCUUCCCCAUCAUCUAAUUCAUGAACAACAUUCUGAACACCCGUCAGUUCCUCUAGACGGAUAUCUUCAGUUAACUUCAGCAACAUUUUCAUCCCAUAAUUCUCCAAAAGAGUGCUAACAUUUUCUAACCCAUGGAGCUGCACCAAUCUUGAUGUUUCAGAAUUAGCGCGCCAGAUGCCCCACGCUUCUCCUAUACAUAUCCUAUAUCUUGGCAAUUCGACAAAGACCAAAUCCUGCGGCAGCAUUUGGGCAUCCUGAACUUGUAUCUCCAAAGUAGUUAGCUUUGACAGCCCCUUCAAUUCAGCAAGACUGGCGUUACUUCCUCCUUCAACCUUAUCCCACUGCGGAAAGCUGUCACCCAUAUAUAGUUCUUCCAAUCGAGAAAAUUUUGAUAUGACAUUUGGUGCUAUCACUACAAGGCUGCUACAAUUGCUCAAAUCUAGCAAUUGUAACUGCGCCAAUUGACCAAUUUCAAGUGGCAACUGCUUAAUGUCGGAAUAUCGAAAGCUAAGAAUCUCUAAUUUCUUUAGCUGUCCAAUUGCCGCUACAUCUUCUAGUUGGCACCAGUCUAAACACAAUGUUUGAAGGUUAAUGAGGUGACCAAGUGAUGAAGAUAAUGAAGAGAAAUGAAUUCCGCUAAGACUUAAAACUUUGAGAUCUUCCGUCCCUUCAAAAAAGAGGUGUGAAAUUUCCAAAUAGCUAUCACCAUUUGCAAGCAACAGUAAUAACUUGAGUUGGGGACAUUCCAACCUUUCGGGAAGCUCUUGAAUAUCUCCAUAAGGUAUAGAAAUAGCAAUUGCACCUUUCUGUAUGAUCUUUUCUAUCUCUUCCUUCAAGUUGGUAACAUUUGGGAUACUAAACAUGAGCUUCUCUGAGGCAAUUGAUACGGCAACAACAUGAAUGACGUCAUGCAUUUUAACUUCAUCUUCAGCAUCGCCGUCCAACAAUAAGCAUGAAGCUUUGAGAUUGUCGAUCAAUGCGUCCACUCUAUUCCUUGCAUUUUCCAAUGUGCGAACAUUUUUAAACAAACCCUUACCAUAUCUCAACAAGGAAGCAACUUGUAUAGGAGUACCUUCACCAAAUAGAGUACAAAGAAGGAACAAAGAUUUUGCUUCAUCACUUUCCAAGAAGUUGUAACUCAAUUCUAUGGAAGAGCAGACAUUUGCAUCCAUUCCAUGAAUUUCUCUUGGAUUAGAAUUUCGCAGCUGAGUCAACGCAUCCUUCCAAACGGGAAGCUUCUUAUUUUUCAGAGCAUUUGCAACUGUACUCAGUGCAACAGGCAAUCCUCCACAUUUUCCAACAAUCUCAUCUGCUAAAGGUUGAAAAGCAGAUGCUUUUGCGGAAUUGCCCACGAUCUUUUCAAAAAAUUGCAAUGCUUCUUCCUUUGAUAAAACUUCAAUUAGGAAAAUCUUCUGAGAAUUCAUAUCAUUGGUCAAUAAAUGUUUACUUCUAGACGUCAAUAUUAUCGUGCGUCUCCUUAGAUCUUGCUUUCUAUCUUUCUCAUCAACAUCCCCAAAAGGAAUUCCAAUUUCUUCCAACCCAAGUUUUUUCCAAAUAUUAUCUAAUAUAAUGAGGACUCGCUUCUCUUUCGUCAAUCUUUGACAAAGUUGUUUUGCUCUGUGGGGUUUGCUAUCAUUCAAGUCAAAGUUCAAGUCUAAAUCGGAAGCGAGCUUGUCUUGAAUUUUCUGAACAUCUGGGUUCUCUGUUACCUCAGCCAUAACGACCUUAUCGAACACCUUAUCUUCCAUAACUUGCUUUGCAAUUUGCUUGACUAGCGUGGUUUUACCCACGCCGCCCAUACCGUGGACCCCAAUUAUGUUGAGCUUAUCAUUCCUCAAUGCCUCCACAACAUCUUGAAAUAAUUUCAUUCUUGAAUCAAAGGCCUCGAAAUCUUUCGCUUGCAUAUGUUCUGUACUCUCUGGAGCAGGACGGUGGGAAACACUAGAGAAGUUGCCUUUUCCCACGAGACUAGCGGCAGCUUCUGCGGCCUUUGCUGCUUGUUUACUAAGUUUAUAACGAGAAAUCAAGUUGGGGCAAAAUCCUUUGAAGCAGGACUUCUUAGCUCUAUCUUCAUCAUCAAUGAUGGAUUUUGCAACCCCUUCACUGAUGAAUUCAUCAACGUUAUUAAGCCAGUCUGCAACAUCCUUGUAAAUCUCAUCUCUUUGUUGAGUAGCCUCACGAACGGGUAUUCCCACCCUUUCUCUUUUAUAUUCUAGCUCCUUCACUUGAACUUUUAGCUCAGCUAUGUAGCUCUGGUACUUGAACACAUAAGAGAUCUGCCGCAUAAUCGGUUCGAACAAUGCCUUUGCACCUUCUGUUACAAUGCCGGAAAAAGUAGUGGAAACCAGGUCUGCAGCCAUUGCCUAGCCUGUUGCUUUCAUACAUACAUACAUACAUAUAUAUAUAUAUAUAUUAGCUGUUGGAAAAAUUAGAUUCAAAUAAAUUAAAAUGAACUAGGGGAAAGACGGAGAAAGAAAUGACAACCAACAACUUUUUAAAAAAAGGUUUCAAGGGCCUGAAUGGAAAACCAACAAUUUAAAAAAAAAAUUGUAAGAUGGAUGCAGAUUAACCAUUGCUAAUAUUACAUAAGAACACAGAAGUUAACAAUGAACAGUACGUAGAAAAUUAAAUGACAAGAUUAAAACAAACAAGGGCUAUUUUUUCUUGGACAAUUGUACCUAUUUAAUUAUUAAAGAGUUAAUGACCUUCACUGCUGGCCUUGAAUAUAUAAGAACGACCAGAAGAUGAAUAUUAACUGCAGACGAAUGUAAGUAAAGAGUUCAUGAGAGUGAGUAAUACAAAUGAAUUGUAAAAGAACAAGACUUAAGUGUGACCCCAUCUUUUGUUUUAUUAUAUAAAUAGAACACAUGAUCAUUUUUAACAAAGUGAUCAAUAACUCUAUGCGUUAUUUAAUUGAUAUUGUAACCAAUUUUAAGGGAAUUUAAUAAUAAUCAUUCAAUGCAUAAAUUUAAAAUUAGAUUUUUUUAAUUCUUUAUUUAAAUAUAAAUCUUAAUGGAAAAUUAUAAAAAUUUAGAGAUAAAAUUUUUCAAUCACCAAGGAAAAAAAAUGGGAAUGAAAACAGAGGAAUCUUGUUUUACCUUUUUUUUUUUUUCCUUAACUCUUGUUCCUAUACAAAUAAUCUUGUUUUGAUGAUAGUGCUCGUGACUAUGGGAAAAUUUCUAAUGGAAACAACUCAAUUUCGGAAGAUAAGCUUAAUUCUGCAAGUGAUGAAUUUGUUCAAUUGACUCUGUACUUGAACUCGUUGGAUUGGUUGAUUUACGAUUGACUGCAUUUCAAUUCUGCCUAAAAGAUCUUUUUAAUAGCUAUCAUGUACUCCUUAAAAGCAAUCAUUUUUAGAUUUGACUGAAUUUGAACUUGUUGGAUUGGCUGUUUUUAGAUUAUUGAUAUGAGAUACUACAAUGUAAACAUUUUCAUGUGGCUGAGCCCUAUUCUAAAAUCUGUAUGUUGCUUUAGAAAAAGGGCUUUUCCUACUGAUAUUUAAUCUUCAAGUAAACUUAGAUAUAAAGUAAAUCAAAUAAAAUGACAAACAAGCAAUAUAAUAAAAGACAACAAACUGGCAAUAUUGAUACAAAGGCAACAGAUAUUAAACUUUAGGACAUUUUUUUCCUAGCUUUCAUUUGUUGGAGGAUUAGAGAUUUUGGUAUUACCGGAAAGCUAAAAGGUUUCAAGGGUCUGAGUAGAAACCUAUAAUCUUUUUAAAAACUUUCUUUUUCUUUUUUCUUUUUUCUUUUUUUGGGGGGGGGGGGGGGGGGGGGGGGGGAAGAAUGCAAGUUAACCAAACGAAAUAAUAAGAGCACAGGCUUUAACAAUGAACAAUAACUUAAAACUCAUGCAAAGUAAAUUCAAUAUUAAAACAAACCAGAGAAAUUUUUUUUCUUGGAAAAUAGAUGGAAAUUAUGAAAGAACAGAUGUCAAGAUCAAAGAUCUACUAUACACAAACACACACAUUAGAGGAUUUGGAAAAUGUGCACCUCUUUAAUUAUCUGGGAUUAGAGAGUUGGUGAGAUUCUCCAUUUGGCCUUGAAUAUUUAAGAACAACCUCAAAGAGCAAAAAGAUCACCGGUAACUGCCGAGGAAUGUGUAAGAAAAGGGUUGAUGAGAAUAAUAACAUUGACUUGCAGAAGAAAAAGCAUUAAUCAAGCACCCCUUUUUUAUAUCAUGUAUUUGGUUAUUGUUGCCCUGUUUACGCACGUAUAGGAUAAUUAUAUGCAAUCUUUUUUUAAAAAUCCACAUGCACUUUAGGGCUUCUUUCAUAAAAGCAGAUACCGGAAACACACAAAAAUCAUUUGAGAGAGAAACCGAACAGCAAAUCAUCAAAGUAAGAUCAACAAUAUAUGAUUUGAUUAAUGCAUAUUCAAGAACAAAACAAAAAUAAAUAAAUNNNNNNNNNNNNNNNNNNNNNNNNNNNNNNNNNNNNNNNNNNNNNNNNNNNNNNNNNNNNNNNNNNNNNNNNNNNNNNNNNNNNNNNNNNNNNNNNNNNNNNNNNNNNNNNNNNNNNNNNNNNNNNNNNNNNNNNNNNNNNNNNNNNNNNNNNNNNNNNNNNNNNNNNNNNNNNNNNNNNNNNNNNNNNNNNNNNNNNNNNNNNNNNNNNNNNNNNNNNNNNNNNNNNNNNNNNNNNNNNNNNNNNNNNNNNNNNNNNNNNNNNNNNNNNNNNNNNNNNNNNNNNNNNNNNNNNNNNNNNNNNNNNNNNNNNNNNNNNNNNNNNNNNNNNNNNNNNNNNNNNNNNNNNNNNNNNNNNNNNNNNNNNNNNNNNNNNNNNNNNNNNNNNNNNNNNNNNNNNNNNNNNNNNNNNNNNNNNNNNNNNNNNNNNNNNNNNNNNNNNNNNNNNNNNNNNNNNNNNNNNNNNNNNCCCCAGGGGAAAAUCUGGAAUUCCUUUUUUUAAUUUUUUUUUUUUUAAAAAAACCCCACCGGAAAUUCUUAAAAUUUGGAAAAAAAAAUUUUGAGUCCCUUAUUCUGGGGGGGGGGGGGGGGGGGACGAAAACAGAGGAAACUUGUUUUACAUUUUUUUGAUCUUAACUCUUGUUCUUAUAUAAUAUUUUCCCUGGGAUUUCAGGCAAACCAAACAAAAAAAAAAAAAUUCAAUAAAGAGCAAGUUGCUCUAAUUGAUUUAUCUUGUUUUUCAGGCUAUUUUGUGACAUGAUGAUAUGUAAUGCUCUUGAAUGCUAGAAAAAUUCUAAUGCAAACAUUUUUGCAAAUGACGAAUGUAAAUAACUUUUUUUGAUUAAUUGAAUCUCUAAUACUCUUACCCUAUUCUAAAAUUUGUAGGUUGCUUCAGAAAAAAAGGGUAUUUCUCACUCAUCUUCAAUCCUCAAGCACAAUUAGAUUAAAAGCAAAUCUAAUAAAAUAACAAACAAAUUAACAAAAAAAAGAAAAAGAAAAAAAACAAUGUUGAUCUUGAGACAAUUGAUACUUAAACAGAGAAUUCUUUGUUCUUUUUUUACUCCCCCUGGCUCGAGGAUUAGAGUCUUUCUUUGCUAUUAACAGAGAGGUUUUAAGGGUCCGAAUAAAAACCCGCGCUUUUUUUAAAAACUUCUUUUUUUUUUUUUAUUGGGGAAGAUAGAUUCAAAUUAACCAAAGCUAGUAAUAAGAACACAGGCCUUACAAAUGAACAAUAACUUACAACUCAAGCAACAUAAAUAAUAAGAUUAAGACAAACAUGAGAUUUUUUUCUUCGAAAGUAGAUGGAAAUCAAGUAAGAACAGCUAUUAAAAGAAAUUACUAGAGAAUUUAGAACAUGUGUACCUCUUUAAUUAUUUGGGAUCAGAGAGUUGAUGAGCUCUCUAUUCGCCUUGAAUAUUAAGAACUGGUAUUAAAAGAAAUUAUGAAGAACAAUUUUAGUGAGCGAUAGAUCACUGUUAACUUCAGAGGAAUUUGUGAGUAAAAAGCUGAAAAGAGCCGUAAUAAUGAAUUACAAAAGAAGAAGACUUAAUCAAGCACCCCUUUUAUACCCGAUUUUUAAGAUUUAGUCUUGAAGUUCACAAUCAAGAACAAAGACGAAGCUUUAAUAAAGCAUGCAGUGAGAUACAAGAAAUGGAUCGGGCAAAAUACCUUACGAAGCGUUUCAUAUUUUCUAAUGAAAUAAUUAAGUUGAAGUUUUCGACGAAUAAAUACUUGUUGUGCUUGAAUAAUUUUGGCAUAUACGUUACUUGUAUCCUGCGAAAUUGAAAAGCACAUUGGUUUAUUAGAGCUUAUUAGGAGGGAAAAGCUUUGUAAGAUACCUGAUAAAAGAUAAAGUAAAAGCUUGAAUGAAGAAUGACAUUUUAGAAAGAAACUAAAGUGCAAUCAUCAAAGUGGGAUCAAUAGUGACUUGAUAUUUCAAUUGUUCUGUCCACAAAUGAUGCUUCGUUAUUACUAAUUCCAGAUGGACAUUAUUAGAAAAUGAUCUUAUGUUUAACAGAAAAAUAAAAACUCGUCAUCAUACAAAACAGCGUGAAGAAAUCUUCAAUUUGAUUAUUAUAAAAUAAUAAGUUUCAUUACUAGAUUAUGCGGACAUUAAUGUUAGAGAUUUGAUCAGAUUAUCAUAUAAUUUACUAAACGCUUUGAGAAGAACAAUAAUUAAUUUUUAAAAAAUUGAAAAAUAAAUUAAAUAAAGAGUACACGCAAAUAAUGUUACUUCCAAUCACCAAACUGAAAAACAGGGGAAUGAUAACAGACGAGUCCCUGAUUAUCCUCUCUCUCUCUCUCUCUUUUUCAAUCUCUCUCUUUGAUAUCCAUAUCUGAGCAUCAGAGCUUGACAUCUUUGAUAAAUAAAUAUGCUUACUGGUACUGUUUUUGCAUAUGUCUUUCACAAAAUCAUUGUAUACGCUUACAUAGAGAAGAAGAUUCAGAUAACUUUCAAAAUCUGAAUCCGCCUGAUGGACAGGCUUGACCACACAGCCCCGAGACAAGGAAGUCCAAGCAACUAAUCUAAACCGUUCUCCUUUAUUAGCUAGAUUUAGUAUUUGGGUUCUUUAUGUAAAACGACACUAUGAUCUUGAAAUUUUGAUUUAAUUAAUAAAUAGUUAAAUUCUUAAUGUUUCAGGAGUAGAUACAUAGACUCUCUUCUAAUUUUAGUCAUUACAAACAAUGCCAUUGUGCGGUUAUACUAUUGCUUCUUUUAUGAAACCAUUCUCACCAUCACAUAGAUCUUGGCAUAUAGAGUCUCAUAAUGUCAUCAAAUAAUUUUUUUUUUUUUUAAAAACAUAAAAUAUGAUACAUGUAUUCAUUUUUUUUCAAAUUAGGGUGUAUUAUUCUUAAAACUUAAGUGUUCUACUUAUAAAUAUCUUGAAGGUGUGAGUGUUUUCUUUUCGUAAACAAACCGUAAAAGAAAAAGAGGAACAAUAAUUUUUUACUUAUCCUUAGAGAUAAGAUUCAAUCGGGAUGUGAGUAAGUGUGUUUUUCUUUUUUUAUUAUGCUAAAUUAUCGAGUCACAAAGCAUAUUGAUUCAAAAGUAUAACUUUAUACUGAUGAUAGAUAAUUUCAAAACAAUGGAAUGAAAACAGAGGAGCUCCCCCCUCCCCCACCCCAAUCCCCGCCCCCCCCCCCCCCCCCCCCCAAAAAAAAGUUCUUCUUCUUUUAUAUAUUUUUCUUGGAAUUUUAGGUAAAAGAAAAAAAAAACUGAGAUUGAUUUCAAGGGAACAGGUGGAUAAUAACUAAAAUACUUAUUUUUAUAUAUUUGAUAUGUGCGCUCACUAUUAAUAGAACUUAUUAGAUACUACAACUUAAAUAACUUCCCAUGGUUGAUUGAGGGUAUGUUUGAGAUUUCCUUUACUUUCCAAGAAUUAAUUUCUACCUUGAUUCUGAACAAAAAAAUAAUUUUACAAAUAAUCUAUUAGGGUGUUUGGUAAAUGAUGAUUAUUUGACAAUCAAUUUUUAAACGGUUUACUAUACAAAUCUGGUAAAUGAAAAUUAAAAGUGUAAAAUGUUCAUGUACAAUGACAAAAAUGUACUUGUUUACUUGUUUGUAAUUUAUUUAGAAUAUUAUUAUUUAAAUCUUUUUUUAUUUACAAGAUUUUUUAAGAGCAUAUUCUAUUUUCUUUAUUACAUAUUUAAAUAAUUUUUUAUUAACUAUUUUAAUUUGCAAUAAAAUUAACUUCAAUAUCUUUUUAACUAAAAAAUUUGUUAUGUAGUUCGUGAUAUAACAAAUACUAACAUAUCAUUAGUUUGAUUAAUAAAUUAAGUGCAAAAAAGAAAAUGCAAAAAUUUAAUCUUUAUAUAAACUUUUAUGUACAUAAAAUCAUUGUAAUCAAACUAGUUCAUAGAAAUAUAAUAUUAUAUACAUGUGUGUAAAAAAAAAAAACAUAUGACCAUAAUAUUAUCCACUCAUUAAACUUGCUGCACUAUUAUUUCUCAAUCUCUCCAUCUCUCGACCUUCAAGAACAUUACUACCAUAAUCUUCUUCUUCUUGAAUCCAACCUCUAUUUCCUCAUCAUCAACAAUGCGACCAAUUUGCCUUGAUAGCCUUUCAACUAGAAUAGAGUUGGCAGUAGAUAUUUUAGUACUCUCAAACUAUGCCCAAACAGGGUCACCAGUGAUUGUUGUAUUAAAAGACAUUCUAUUUAAUUUUCCUCUGACUCUGGGUCGAUACCUUUUAUGCAAAAUCUAUUUACUUAAGGAAUUUUCUACACAUGUCGAUAUCAUAUUAAAGUGAAUUCAGAUCCUAUAUUAUUGACAUUAAAAUUUAGCCGAAUAGUAAAAAAUUUCCCUUUUUGUUUGUCACACAACCAUAUAGUCCCAUUUUUGGUUAUAAGCUCACAAUAUGUAAGGGAAAUGAAGAUCUAUUAAAACUUUCCCAUAAUAUUAAACAUUAAACAAUAUCAACAUUUUGUGCAUAUGGUGCCUCAUCAACAAUUUGAUGUUCAUUUUGUUGCUCGGAGGAAUAUGACUACCUAUUAAUUAAUUAGCAAGAAUUGCGUUGCGAGUCCAUGUUUUUGUCGUUUGGAUGGAGGAUGUGCCAUCUUUUUAUUGUAGAUGCUUUGUAAGGCUUUUGAUUUAAUGAUUUAAUGCAGUCAAUUAACAAAAGCUUACAUAUAUUAUUAUGUAGUUGCUGAGAUGUCUGUUCUUGAUAAAGUCGAUUUAUUUACACCCAAGCCAACGGAAUCAAAGCCUUUUCGUUAAUAAUAUACACGGUAAUUGUUUUUGUUAAAUUGAUUUCUGGCUAACAAGAUAUUUGAAAGCAUUUAGGUAGCGUUUACAUUUUGCGUUGGAGUGAGAAUCGUGAGAAAUGAGAAUCCUGGGAUUAGGAGUGUGGAGUGGGAGUCGAAGUAUGUUGUUUACUUACACUGAAAUGGAAGUAUGGAAUUGAAAUCAGAAUCCAAUUUAUUUGUUUACAUUGUCUUAGAUUGUGAGUAAUGAUUUUAAAUUACAGCUUUACUCUUAAAGAAUUAUAGUUAUUAAUUACAAAAUUAAUAAAAAUUAUAUUUUUAAAUUAAUAAUAAUUAUUAAUAUUCUUAACUAUGUAAAUCACAAUUAUUUUAUUAAUUUUAAUUUUAAUUAUAUAAAUAAAAAAUUAUUAAUAACAACAAUACAAAUGAAACAUUAUUAUUGAUAAUAUAGUACAAAAUUAAUUUUUUUAGAAUAAAAUAUUUAUUAUUAUUAAUUACUAAUAUUAAAUAAAUAUAAUAGUAUUAUUUUUAAAUAAGUAUAAUAAUAUUAUAUUUUCAAAUAAAAAUAGAAUAUAGUAAUAUUAUUAAUUCUUUAUGAAUAUAAUGAUAUUAUUUUUAAGUAAUUUUAACUUAGAAUCAAUGUAAAUUAUUAUUUUUAACCAAAAAAUUAAUAUUAUUUUAAAUAUGUUUAAUAUUAUUAUUUUUAAUAAAUUUAAUUUAUAAAAUAAUAAAAUAUUAUUAUUUAAAUAAAUAUGAUUUUACUUAUUUUAUUAAAUUUAAUAAAAUAAAUAUGUUUAAUAUUAUUAUUUUUAAUAAAUGUAAUUUAUAAAAUAAAAUAAUAAUAUAAGUUAAAUAAAUAUGAUAUUAUUUAUUUUAUUUUAUUAAAUAUAAGGGUGAAAAAGGAAGAGAGGCGAGUGAAUUUCCACUCCCACCUUCCUCCAUGGGAGUGGGAAUCUCACUCCCCCACUCCAAAAUUAGGUGGGAUCCACGGAGUGGAAUUCUCACUUCCCCUUUGAAAAUUGUAAGUAAACACUGGAGUAAGAGGAAUCCACACUCCUCACUCUCACUCCAAAAAGUAAACACUAUAUUAAAGAAGUCAUUGACUUAUAAGAAAGCCAUGAUUAAAUACACGGCGAAGCAUGUGAGCUCGUUUUUCAAUUUCUUUGAUCACUCAUAAGUAGGGGUGGGCAAAAUCGGAUUCGGAUUGGGUUCGGGUUGAUUUGAUCAAUUUCGGAUCAAUCGGGUUGGGGAAAAAAUCAUCCGAACUCAAUCCGAAUUAUUAACCCGAUCCAAUCCGAUCCGAAUAUAAUUCGGAUCGGAUUGGAUCGAAAAUUCGGAUUAAUUCGGAUUAGAUUCAGAUUUAAAAGCAUUCGGGUUAUAUAUCCAUUCUAUAUUUCUGGGUUAAUUUCAGAAGCAAUCAAGUAAAACAAUCAACCUUUUCUCAAGAUAUAGUUUUGUUUUAAGCUUUUUAAAUUAAAUUAUUUAAAACAAUAUAGUCAAUACCACCAAAAACUUGGUGACAGUGAAUGUGGAGGUGAAUUUAGUUGUAGCAGUUGUGGUAACCGGUGAAGCUAGUGGCAGCAAGCGGUAGCAGUCGAGGUGUAGUAGAUUCCAUCGGCACGUUGCGGUUGCAGCGAUGGCUUAGCUUUGAACGAUCGCGUCGGUGACUGAUGGCUGCUGGUUCACGCAGUUGCAUCUCCGAUUUGCUGGCUGCUGCUUCUUGCGGUUGCAUCUCCGAUCUGCUCGCCGCUGCUUCGCUGACAUCUCCGAUCUCCGAUGGUUUGGCUUCGCACGAUCACAUCGGUGAUUGCUGGCUGCUGGUUCGCGGCUUCGCGCGGCCGCAUCUCCGGUCUGCUGGUUGCUGCUUCUUGCGGUUGUAUCUCCAAUCUGUUGGCUGCUGCUUCGUUGUUUGGCAUCUCAACAUUUCCGAUCUCCGAGGCCAAACCUCUAUUUGUGUGUGACCGUGUGUGAUGUGAGUGUGUGUGUGUGCACUUACAGAUUAUUUUAAUUUAGAUCUAAGAUUUGCUUUUUGUGUGGUGUGAAUCCGAUUUUGUUGUGUUUGCCACUUUGUUAGUUUGUUACACAGUUUUUUUUUUAAGCCAACCCGAUCGGGUUUUCGGAUCGGAUCGGGUUUCAUCCGAUCCGAUCAUGAUCCGAUCGGGUUGGCAAAGUUACAUCCGAUUGGAUUUUGUUAACAAUCCGAUCCGAUCUGAACCCGAUAUUUUUUGGGUCAGAUCGGAUCGGAUCGGGUCGGAUAUUUUGCCCAACCCUACUCAUAAGCUUUUCUAUACCACUCACUAUAUCAUCCUUUUAAGUCAAUUUCGACUGAUCAUCAGAGAUCAUGCACCCCACCUUGAGAUGAUUGAUCACCAAUUUGGCAUUGUAACGUUGAUCACCUCUAAUUGCCCAUGCUAAAAUUGAGACCCCACAGCCAAUUGCUUCUACAGUUGAAUUUUAUCCACAGUGAGAUAAAAAUCCACCUAUUAAUUGAUAACUCGGCAUCAAUAAUUGUGGUGCCAUUCCAUCUAUUAUCAAACCCUUUUUACCGGCUUUACUAUCUAAACCACUAUGAAAAUAAGCUGGUUAAAUGACGUGGAGGAUCCAAUCUAUUUACAUCAGUUUGAAUUACCUAAAUAAUCGGUGGAUUUGAUGCUUCUAAAUCAUUGGCUAAUGUUGAAUAAUCAUUUAAGGUGGGACCCAUUUCGGUACCAAAUGACAUGUAUAACACUGAUCCACAUGAUUUCAAAUCUAACCAUUGAAUGAUCUCAUCUUUGGUCAUGUUAGAACUCCGCCGGUUGGUUCUCAUCUCACAAUCACGAAGCACUGAACCGGUCGAUUUGUAAAAUUGUUCAGGUAACAAUGGGCCCACUCCCCACACUAGCAUCAACACCAUCGAUCCCUCCACUUGCUUCAUCCAGUGUGGUUGAUCACUCGGUUCUGAUGGACCUAUUUUCUCUGAACCGGGUGCACCUCACAAAGGUUGUGGGCCACCAGGAAGGGACCCGUGAGGCCUGCGUUUAAGAUCUGAUUGGAAUAAAGCAACAUCCUUGGGUAACCCAAGAAGUAAAUGGGCCUCUCCCGGUUUGGCAUCCUGGAUGCGAGCCUGCCACAUGGCACACUCCACAGCUGCUGAGCAAGCAUCAGAAGUGAAGAACCCAACAAUGGGAACUUCAAAAUUCUUGAAAACAUCAGCCGUCCAGCCCAUCAUAACGCCGAUGACUACGCAAACAGGUCGGCUUUCGGGUUCCGGGUUGAAAGGAGGUUUCGAAGACCCUGAAGCAUUUGGUUGUGCAUGACAACAUGGAGGUAAGAAGGAGGCGAUGGUAGUAGUGGAGAUGAGGAGGGUAUUUCGGUAAUUUCACAUAGAGGGUAUUGGUGAAGAGAGGAAGGGGUGAUGCUGGUGGUGGAAACGUGAGAGGGAAUAAUGAGGGUAGAUUUGUAAUUACGAGAAGCAAUUUGCUUGCAUAAUUCAAUGCAUGGAAACAGAUGUCCCUGACCGAAGAACGGGACAAUCCAAAUCUCAGCCUCAGCAGCAUUCGCAACAGAGCUUGACAUCUUUUAUGAAUUAUUUGAGACUUAAUUGUUAUUGACUGCUUUUGCCAUCUUUCAUAAAACAUUCUUUGUUAUAUAUUCAAGUAAAUAAAUUUAUCGUUUAAAAUUAAUUUUUCAUGUGGUAAAAGCAAUACUAAAUAUGGGGUGGAGAGAAUAAUUUGUAGGGCAUACCCCCACCAUUUAUUUAAUUUCAUUAAAAAAGAAAGAAAAGAAAUAAAGGCUUGUUCAACAUUCAAUUAAAAUUAACAAUUCCAUGAUAAAAUUACUUGAGAAUAAAAAUUUUUAAAAAAAAAGUAACUCAAAAACGAGGAAUUUUUGAGUAACUGAAGAACCAUAGAUGUUUUUUGGUCAUGAGCAAUUUUUGAGUUGACACAGAACUUGUAUAAAAAAAAUAGUUUUGAAAACUUCUUUUCUUUUUUCGUAAAUAUAGAUAUAAAAUUUUAAAAUCACCAAACACAAAACCAGGAAAAUGGAAGGAGAGCCCCUGUUUCUCCUAUGUUGCAAGCACAAAUUCGGUUUCUAAAGUUGUACCUUCUAAAUGCACCAUUUGUAUUGCUUUGUCUCCACUUGAGCUAACGGAAUUUGAUGAAAACAAAAUAAUUGAACGAUAGGGAUAAAUAUCAAAGAAGGAGCUUACAUGCCCUAUAUAUUCUCUUUGGAUGAAUAACGAAGGUGAGCUUUCAAAGUACAGAGAUUUACAUGUUUUAAUUGUCAUUUACAUUGCUGCAUGCUAAUUGCUUGAUAAAAUACCGCAACAAAUACGCAUUCUCGAUUUCUUAUAAAUUUAUUUUCUUACUCUGAAAAAAAUUGAAUGUUUAGAGAAUUUUGAAGGUUUUGGUGUAUGCAUUAAUAUUUUGAUUCUAUUUAUGUUGUUUAACUAAUGAAGAUGAUACAUCUAGCCUCUUUUUGCCCCUUGUUGUUUUUAUUCUUGUGCUUUAUAUACGGUUCAAGUGUGAUACACUUUAGUUUUUCUCAAGUGUUUGUUAGUAUUUCCCGAAGCAAAAUUUGUCACAGACUUUUAGUUCAAAAGUUGAAAUCAUAACUAACAUACUUCGAUUUUUUAUUUUCCUUUUUUCUUCGGUAUCUUUCUAUAUGGCAUUGCUUGAGAAAUUGGUGUACUUAGAUCGUAAUAUUCUGUAGAAAUAAGCCAAUAUUUCAUUAUGUACAUUGUUUAAUAUGAUAAGUAUUGUAUGGAAGUUUUACAGAUAAGCUCCUUAUAUAUUAUGCAUUAUGUUUUUAUCAUAUUGUUGCUUGGAACUUUGAAGGAUUAGCCACAGGGCUUUAGUCCUACAUGGACAUUUUAUAUUUAACAGCUGGUUAGGCAUUUUAUUUGAUGUUAUUUGGACUUGUAGGUGUUAAAAGUUUUGUUCAGUAAUUUUAUAAUUCAGAUUCCCAUUGUGAAAAGAUAGCAAUUUUUAUUGUGGGUCAGAUUCUGUCAACUGAUAUUUAGCUAAAAUAUCUCACUAACCCCUAUUGGUUAGGUGUUUUUUUUAAUUCACAUACUUGAUUUUUAUUUUCUUUUUAUCUGUGGAAUCACAUGUAUCAUUCAUAAGAAACAAGCUAUUAUAUAAUCUAUUCUUUAGAUCCAUUUAUAUGUAGUGGGCACUCUGAUUUCUAUUAUUUGAAUUUUUUGCUACUGUUACUACUCUUUCGGCCCUUCAAAUAGGGGUUAACAGAAAGGGUGAGUAUAUUAAUACAAAUUCAAACUUUCUUUUUCUAAUUUUAUCCAAAAUAACCUACUAUAUUAUUUUAAUUUCCAACUUUUGUCAUAGUCUAAUGGGCAGUUGUCUUGUCAUUAUUUGGUUUUAGGUAAGAAGAGAGAAAGUUAGUGAGAGGAUGAAAAUUUUGCAAAAACUUGUUCAUAGCUAUGGUAAUUAAGUAAUUUGAGUUCUUUUUUUUUGUUAUUGUUUUUUAUUCACUUUUUCCUGUCUUAAAACAAAUAACGAGUUUUUGUGUUUUUAAUAUUUCUUAUAAACUUCAUGUUGUUUGGUAUAAAAUUAGGUAAUUGGAAAGGUCUCAUGUUGGAUGAAAUUAUCAAUUAUGUGCAGUCCCUACAAAAUCAAGUGGUCGUCAAUGUGUCAGCAUCACUUUCUUCUUCAGAUGUUACUUGUUUUUCACAUUUAUUUUUCUCUCAGUCCUUUUUAAAAGAACAUACACACACAUACUAUGUAGAGUGACCUUUUUUAAUGAGGAAUCUGUCAUUUUAAUAAAAUGAAGAAUAAACUAAAAGGUAGAAGUACACGAACUCUAAUGCAAUAUACCUUUUCUGUUCUUUUACCUUUACUAUAAGAUAGGGAAUGAUAUAAAACUGUUCGAUAAUAGUAAGUGAAAUAAUUAAAAGGCUACUGUUCUAGCUCAUUUAAUAUAUCAAACUUUUCUAGCUCAUUUAAUAUAUCAAACUGCUCGAUAAUUGAAUUGGCCUAGUUAAACAUAAUUUUCAGAUAAUCUUUUUAAUGGUUUAUUUAUUAAUAUUUUGUUUCUUUCCAGUAUGAACACUUUGUUUUGACACGUGGUUAACAACCUUCAACGAACUCGGAACAACCUUCAUCACAUGCUUUCUCACGUGGUUACUUAAACUGAUAUGUUAAACGUGCUCCAUCCACGCCGUUUCCACUAAAUCAUUUUCUGUUAAGAAUCAGCUGAGCAGCGCGUGAGCUAAUGAAGUUUUUCGUAUUGAACUCAACUCUGCUAUUUUCCCAAAGCUGGAAAGCAGAAACAUCAUCCCUUUGGUUUUAUUUCACCUCAACCUUUUUCUGAUCCCAUUUUCAUUGUAAUUUCUCAUUUACUUUGAGUGAAAGUCAUUGUUGCUUUCGAACGAGGUUUUGCAACUAAAAAGGAAAAUGGGGCGGCUACAAUACAUGCGUGCAUCUGAUACAUGCACAAAAACUGACCAUUGGAUUAAAUGGAGUGAUCUAAUGGCUGAGAUUUGUUUCAUUAUUAAGCAAUAAAAAAAUUUGAAACAACCAGAAACCUGUAAAACCGGUCAUUUGGUUUAAGGUAAAAAUAUAUAAAUGAAAAAAAAAAAAAAAAACCCACCACUCCCUCGCCUCACCUCUCUUCUUUUGGGUUUAGUAUUGCUGCUUUUAACAUAAUUGACCUAUGGCCCAAAUCAUUUCUAUAGGGCGAAGCAUAUGAAUGAUACAUAUUAUCUUUUUUUGGCCUUAUGUCUUGUUAUUUGCAGUGUGAUUUGGUCUAGCUUAAGAGCUUAAGCUUGCAGGUUGGAUUUGUCUGACAGGGAACAAUUUAAUUUGUUCAUCGUGAUGUUUAUAUCCAUUUUGUACUACUAUCAAUUUCAAUCAUGCCUAAUUUUUAUAUGUAUUUCUCGUGGACUCUCAGGUUCAGUGCACAAGAGGAUGAAGACGAUGGACACCCAAAUUUGAUGUGGAGAACAACUAUUGCAAAUGGUCCUUGAUUUACUUCUCCAAUUGACUUGAAUUGGUUUGACGCAAUUUAUACUGUAUUUUUGUCAUCUUUGUAUGACUUGCACGUCGUCCUGAUUUGGUACAUGACUGGACACAGGAAUUGGACUCAUAUUUUUCAAACCAGAAUGCCAACAAUCAAGCAUUUUCUUUUGAAAGCACUGGCGUCUUCUUCAAUGCCAAAAAGGUUAGAGAUUUUCUGUAUCCUGUUUUGUAUUUGAUCAGUUUAGCAUGUGGGUGGCAAUCAAGAAAAGUUAUUAUAACAUUUUUGUGUUCCCGAAAAACUGCUGAUGAUGUGUGACUUCUUUUUAUUUGUAUUCUUUCUUUUUCUUUUCUCCCCAACAGUAUUAUGCAUUUCGAAGAGCUUCUUGAAGUUGAUUACCAUGUAUGCCACUUUCUUUACUCUAUGCUCAGGAUGUGAUUUUGCCAAGCAUUAAAAUGGUUUAGGUCAGAACCAUCAUCUAAAGUUUACUUAAAGUUGACGGAUUAAUUCCUUUUAAUAAUGGUCUAGUUAAUUUUACUAUACUCAUAAAACUAUUCUUAUUCUGAUAAUGCCACAAAUGUUAUGAUGUUUUCUUCAGCUAAUGAUCUUCUAUCAGGACUAGUUAGAAAUCAAAUGCUUAAAACACCGAUUGAAUGAAUAAUGCAGAAGUUUAAACAGUAUCUAAUUGAAAAUUGCAUGAAACAUGAAACAUCAAUUCAAGUCCUUCCUUAAACAAAGAAUGCAUCAAACAAAUCCAAAGUGUCUUGCAUGUCUAUAGCAUGACAAAAAAGUUGUAAAUGCGUUUAGAACCAAAUUAUUCAAGUACAGGAGAACGAGCAAGUUGAAUCAUGUACACGAGAUUGGCCUGGUUCGAGAUAGCUUCUUCACUGUACCUGAAGGGUUGGCUCAAUCUUUUCUUUAGAAUUCUGCACAUUUUGUAAUUACUCGUGUAAGCAAGCAUACAUUACAACUCUUGUACACAAACAAUAUUGUAUAAACUAAUGCGACAUAAUAUGAUUGGUUAAACAAAAACAUUACAUAGCCCUCAUAAUUUAUUUAUUUAUUUAUUAUUAUAUAUUUUCAGUCAACCAAUCAUAUUAUAUUACAUUAGUUUCUAUAAAAUAAUUUUCUAAAUAGCACCAAAACUUAAUUGAUACUCACCAUUUCAUUGAACAAUUUUUUUAUGGUGUCAUUGAGGUUGCCUUCCCAACAUCCUUCAUCAUCAUCAUCUUCUUCAUCAUCAUCUUUUUCUUCUUCGGUGACGUUCACUUUGUUUAGCAUUGGUGUGUCUAAGACUCCUUGAGAGAAGAUCAUCAUUUUUGGACACUCUCUCACAACUACUUGUUUCAAGGACGGGAAUUCAAGAGCGUAAUUACCUAAACAAAAGCUUGUUAGGCUUGGCAAACAAUCAAGUCCCAAGUACUUUAAUUCCUUGAAAACAAUGCAAUCUUUCGCUUCUUCUGCAACCGGCGACUGUAUGAUUUCUUCCAUCAUUUUGCAAUCAACUAUCUUCAUUCUUCCGAGAUUCACUAGAUUUUUAGAUGCUGAGAGCGUCAACACAUUUAUCAACCCGUGACACUUCGAUACUUGUAGUCCCCACAGAUUUUCCAAAUGCCACGAAGGUGGUACUAAUUUUUGCAACUUACUACAUUCCGAUAUUUCUAGCCUUUUCAAGUUUGCAAACGCUUUGUUGGAUUCGUCAUUUUCCUUCCAGAGAUGCUGCACUUUGUGUAAUCUAGAUAGCUUUAACUCCUUCAAUUGAGGGAAUGUAAGCUGAAAAUCAACAAAAUUAAGUUGUAAAUGAAAGUAUGUAUCCAAUCUCUGCAGUCUUCCCCUGCAUAUUUUAUGGACAAGAUUAAUCACGGCAUUUUAUAUUUUAUUUCCAAAUUAGUAUGCUUUGCAGUAGGAUCCCAAAUAUAAGUAUCAAAUCGAUUACCCUUUGAAACACAUAAAUGAAAUCUGAUACUAAAUCCAAUAUGAAUUAGCUAGGAAAACAGAGAUGCGACAAGCAUAAUUGAUAUAGUUCAUCACCUCAUGUUACCAGUCAUCGAAAUAAUUUAAGACAUUUUUUUAAUUCAUACUAUAAAGUUAGUUCAUAACUGUAGUUGUAUUGUUAAUUCAUAUAUGAAUCAAGAUGACAUGCAAAAAGAUGAGUCAUAAAAUUUGAUUUGAUUCUAAUGAAAUUACAUCUGUGCGAACAAAAGUGAAGGGGAAAAUAAUAAUAAUAAUAAUAAUAAUAAUAAUAAUCACCUUUUCAUCGAAGAGGGGUUGUACUUGAUGAGCCAGCAAAAAGUUCUCUUCUGAUGUUAAUUUUUGAGGUUCCUUGUUAUUUGUUGUCACAUGCACUACAGAGUUGGAUAUGAAUGUUUCCAUAUCAGGGCAAUUCUCAAUAGUUAGAUUCUCCAACUCAGACAGUUCAAUUAUAUUCCCAGUGAAGUUGCAGAAUCUUUUGAGUUUUGGAAGAUCAAUGAGCCUUAGUCUGUUAAGCCUAGGAAACCGGGGGCCUAUAUGUUCUUCCUUAGCAUUUAGCUCUUCUAAAUGAAGCACCUCUUCUAUUAAAUCACAAUUCCUCACUUCCAGGCAUCUCAAAUUGUUCAAGCAACGUAGCAGAUUGGUAGGAAUAGCACUCGACAUAUUCGUGCAGUCAUCCACAGCCAGUUGUCGUAAAUUGUUGAAGAAGCUGACAGGCACUGCUUGGCCGUGCCAUAUUUCUCUCAAGCGUGGAAAAUGUGAGAGUUGCAAAUGCUCUAUGUCACGGAAUCCAAUCUGCAUAAACCAAAACAAUUGCACUGGAUAUAUAUAAAUUUCUUUUUUUGAAAGGCAUUAGAUAUAUAUAUACAUUAAACUUACAUGUUUUGUGCUUUAACUUCUAAAAAUAUAUUUACAACGCAGGUGUAUAUGUUUAAAUGUGGUAUAGUGGAAUUAAGCUUAUUGCCAUUACUUCGUAAUGGUGUUCGUAACACCAUUACUUCGUAAAGUGAAUCGAUUAACACAUACCAUUACUUCGUAACACUUUUGUAUAGUGGAAUUAAGCUUAUUGCCUUCCCAAUGGUGUUCACCCUCUUCCCUUUCAGUCACUUGCACUACGUAUAGCUUUGGUGUGGAUGAGAUUCCCCGAGAAAAAGUCUUCAUGUUCGGACAAUGUGUCAUAGAAACUUGUUCCAAUGAUGGGAAUUCAAGAGUGUAAUUCUCCAAACAAAAGCUGGUAAGCCUUGGUAAAUCAUCAAGUUCCAAAAGUUUUAAUUCGUUGAAAGCAAUACGAUUCUCCUUCGCUUCUUCUCCAACAUGUCCUAUGAUUUCUUCUAUUUUUGCACAGUCUGAUACAUCAAGAUUCACUAGACUAUUGGGAAUUCCAACCUGAAAAUAAAGAGUAGCAUUCAACUAGAUUCAAAGUAUGUCAAAAUCAUACAAUUGUUUUAUGAAAAAUAACAAACCAUGAAUGUCUACUAGAUAUUUUUUGUUAAAGAAAAAAAAGAAAAAAUAAAAAUAAAUAAAUAGAAGUCCAGAAAAACAAAGAUAAUGAAAAUGCAUUUACACUAUUUAGUAUUAGGAACGGAGAAAGAAUUUCAGGUAAUUUUUAAAUAUUCUAAAUUCAUUUUUCAUCUCGAUGCUAGUUUUUUAAAAUUUUUAAUUUUCAAACAUGCCUAUUUUUAAAAUAACUAAACUAAAACGCUGUAUUUCCCUUUUUUUUUUUUUCCCGAUAUUCAUGCUUUUAAAAAUGGAAAACAUUUCUGGAAAACACUUCCCAACGCCAUCAACAUGGGACUGUUAUAGAGUGAAUAUUUGAGGAAUUUUUUAAUCAACGGUCGAUUCAAAAUGACCAUCAUGAAUUUGUGCUUAAUCAAUGGCGUAAUCAAUUCAUAACUAAACUAGAGAUAUUAACUACAUUUGAACACUUUUCUUUAUUUUUUUUUAAAUCGAAAUUUGAAGACCCAAGGAAAAGAGAAAUAUAUAUGAAUUUGUGAGCUUAAAAGCUGAGUAACUAAGUAUCUUUUAAUUUCUAAAAAUCUUAUUUAUUAGGAUUUAAGGAAAAAAACAAUUAAAUUGAAUUAUAUUAUGCUGUUAAAUCGUGUUUAAAACAAUUAUAUCGUUGACUUUAAUGCGGGUGAACCUAUAAAUUAGAUUGACAAUGCAGAGUUCAGAAUGGUGAUUUGAAGUACACUACUUUUUUGCCCUCCUGAUGUUUGAAGUAAAAUACUUGCAAUAAAUAAUUUGUGAAUGAAAAUUAUUUGUAAACACAAAAAUGAUUAAAAUAAUUGUUGAAUGUUACUUGAAAUAAAAAUUCAAAAUGAAUAUAGCAAUCUUACCAAUGGAGGAAAAAUAUUCAGUAGAUUAUUACACCCAGAUAUCUUCAAUUUUUUCAAUUUGCUAAAAGACUUCGAAGCAAGCUGGUGGUGCCAUAUUUUUCUCAACUUAUCCGCCUCACUAAUAUGUAAUACCUCCAGACUUGGGAGUCGUACCUGAAGUUAAAAAUUCAAUGCAAUUAGAGAUGUAUAUUAAUUAAAUUUGAAGACUCAACGAAAAGAGAAUUUAAAAAUUCAAUGAAAAAAAACCUUUUCAUCAAAGAGGGAUUGAGGUUGCAUUUCAGUGUGAAUGACGUCUUCUGGUGAGGCAAAGCUACUUAGUUUUGGAAGCCAAUGGAGCGACAGGUAGUGUAGUUUGGGAAAAACCUUAAAUUCAUCUCUUCCUCCUAACGUCGUGGUGUUGACUACCCCUUCAAUUGACCGGCAAUUACGAAUCUCAAGAUGUUGGAGUUGCCCAAGACUAUUAACCAUAGAAUAUGAAAACAAAUACUUCAGACGAUGACAACUCCACACGGUCACUUUUGUUAAAUUUUGACAACAAUAUAUUCCCUGAAAUUGAUCGGACCAUAAUUUUUUUAUAUUUGUUAAACUGACAAGUUCCAGUUCCUCCAAGCGUGGAAAAGUAACCUGCAAAGAAAAACCAUACAUUUUUGUUCCUUCAACUACAACUUCUAAUAUAAUAUUCUUUCGAUGAUUGAAGAUCAAUCGUGAUAAUAUAUUAAUUAAUUAAUUAUUAAACAGAAAAUUAUUACCUGGUGAACAGGAUCAUCCUCUGCAUUGAUUUCUAUGAAUCCCUGAGUUGUUGUUGGUUUCUCCAUGUCGGGCCCUAUAAAUGAACCAAAACAAUAUAUAAUAAACAUCCGUUGUUUUUUUCCCCAAAAAAAGAAAAAGAAAAAAAGAAAGAGUCAAUGUCAAUAAUCCUACCAAUAAUUAAUUUCAACACUUACCAAUAAUCAUUUUCAAAUCAUCGCAGUCUUCCACUUUUACUUUUUGAAGCCGCAAUAGGUUUUUGGCCAUAGAGAAUGAGAAGAGAUACUUCAAUUUUCGACAGGAAUCUACGUUUAUAAUCCUUAAGUUGCUGAAGGAUUGAUCUUCUCUGAGUUGGCUGUAGCAUAUCGUCUCCAAAUUAGUUAAAAACAUAAGAGACAAUGCCUCCAGCAAGGGAAAGACUUCGCAACGAACCCUAACUGAACCGACAAUAUGUAAAAUCUCAGAACAGUCUGUUACGAGAAGACGCUUCAAUCGUGGAAAACCUUCCCCAUCGUCUAAUUCAUGAACAACACUUUGAACACCCUCCAAUGUUUCUAGCCAGAGAUCUUCAGUUCUCUGCAGCAACAUUUUUGUCCCAUCAUUCUCCUGAAGAAUGCUAACUUUUUUUAUCCCCUUGAGCAUCAUCAAUCUUGAUGCUUCAGAUUUGACGAGCAAUGGGUCAAACUCAUCUUCGGGCCCAUCUCCUAUACGUAUCUUAUAUCUUUGCAAUUCCACAGAGACAAAAUCCGGCGGCAGAAUUUCGGCAUCCGGAACUUCUAUCUCCAAAGUAGUUAGCUCUGUCAACCUCUCCAAUUCGACAAGACUGGCAUUACUUCCUCCUUCAACCUUCUCCCACCCUGAAAAACCGUUACCCAUAUACAAUUCUUCUAAUUGAGAAAAAUUUUUGGAUAUGACAUUUCGGUGCUAUUCACCUUCAAGCCCACCAAACAAUUGCUCUCAAAUCUAGGAAAUUGGUAACCGCGGCCAAUNNNNNNNNNNNNNNNNNNNNNNNNNNNNNNNNNNNNNNNNNNNNNNNNNNNNNNNNNNNNNNNNNNNNNNNNNNNNNNNNNNNNNNNNNNNNNNNNNNNNGCGAGGCUGAGAAUCUCUAUUUCUUUAGUGUCCCAAUUGCGCUAUAUCUGCUAGUCGCACCAGUCUAAACACAAUGUUUGAAGGUUAAUGAGGCGACCAAGUGAUGAAGGUAAUGAAGAAGAGCCAAUUCCAGGAAACUGUAAAACUUUGAGUCCUUCCAUCCCUUCAAAAAAGUGGUCUGAAACUUGCAUAGGGCCAUUACCCUCCGUAUACAACAAAAAUAACUGGAGAUUGGGACAUUGCAACCUUUCAGGGAGCUCUUGAAUAUCUCUAUGAGGUAAUGAAAUAGCAAUUGGAUCUUUCUGUAUUGUCUCUUCCAUCUUUUUCUCCAAGUCAGCAACAUUUGGAACAUUAAACAUGCGCUCCUCUCUGGCAAUUGAUACGGCAACAACAUGAAUGACGUCAUGCAUUUUAACUUCAUCUUCAGCAUCACCGUCCAACAAUAAGCAUGAAGAUUUGAGGUUGUCGAUCAACCGAUGCACUCUACUCCUUGCUUCUUCCAAUGUGUAAACAUUUUCAAACAAACCCCAACCCACACCACAUCUCAAUAAGUCAGAAACUUGUAUGACAUUACCUUCACUGUAUAGACUACAAAGACGGAACAGAGAUUUUGCCUCCUCACUUUCCAAGAAGUCAUAACUCAAUUUUAUGGAGGUGUACACAUUUGCUUGCAUGCCAUGAAUUUCUCUAGCAUCCGAUCUUCUUAGCUGAUUCAAUGCAUCUUUCCAAAAGUAACUAUCCUUAGUUUUCAGAGCAUUUGCAACUGUACUCAGUGCAACAGGCAAACCUCCGCAUCUUUCAACGAUCUCAUUUGCUAUACUUUGAAAAGCGGAUAUUUUAGUUGAAUCACCCACUAUCUUUUCAAAUAACUGCAAUGCUUCUUUUGGUGGCAAAGCAUCGAUCGGGAAAUUUUUCUGAGAAUUCAUAUCAAUGCGCAAUAAAUCUCGACUUCUAGACGUCAAUAUUAUUGUGCAUCGUCUCUGAUCAUCCUUUGUAUCUUUCUCAUCAACAUCCCCACAAGGAAUUCCAACUUUUUCGAACUCGAGUUUUUUCCAAAUAUUAUCCAAUAUAACGAGGACCUGCUUCUCGUUCUUCAAUCUUUCACGUAAUCGAUCUGCUCUUUCGAAUUUAUUCUCAUCCGAGCCAAAUUUCAUGCCUAAGUCAAAAGCAAGUUUCUUUUGAAUUUCCUGAUGAUCUGGGGUCUGUGUUACCUCAGCCAUAACGACCUUGUCGAACACCUUAUCUUCCAUAACUUGCCUUGCAACUUGCUUGACUAGCGUGGUUUUACCCACGCCGCCCAUCCCGUAGACCCCAAUUAUCUUGAGCUUAUCAUCCUUCAACGCCUCCACAACAUCUUCAAAUACUUUCAUUCUUGAAUCAAAGGCCUCGAAAUCUUUCACUUGCAUAUGUUCUGCCCGCUUUGGAGCAGGACGGUAGGAAACAUUAGAGAAGUUACAUUUUCCCAUGAGACUAGCAGCAGCUUCUGCGGCCUUUGCUGCUUGUCUACUGAGCUUGUAACGAGAAAUCAAGUUUGGGCACAAUCCUUUGAAACAGAACUUCUUAGCUCUAUCUUCAUCAUCAGUGAUGGAUUUCGCAGCUCCCUGACUGAAUUCCUUGACGCUAUUAAGCCAGUCUGCAACAUCCUUAUAAAUCUCAUCUCCUUGUUGAGUAGCCUGAUGAACGGGUAUUUCCACCCUUUCUCUUUUAUAUCCCAACUGUUUCACUUGAUCUUUUAGGCCAUCUAUGUAGCUCUGGUACUUGAACACAUAAGAGAUCUGCCGUAUAAUCGGUUUGAACAGUGACUUUGCAUCUUCUGAUACGAUGCUGGAAAAAGCAGCCAGACCCACUUCUGCAACCAUUGCCUGUUGCUUAACAAUAUAUGUAUAUAUAUGAAUAAAAUGAAUAAAAAUGUCAAAGAAAGGAAUACAAAUAAAUUAAAAUGAACUAGAGGGAAAGACAGAGAAAGAAAAGACCGCAAACAACAUCGCGAUAUUGAUUUUGAACCAACUGAUACAUAAGUAGAGAAUUUCUUUUUCUAUCUUAAGGAUCAGAGGUUUUGCUAUUAACAGAAAGGUAUCCUUUAAGGAAAGUUGAUGGAAAUUAAGAAAGAAUGGCUAUCAAGAUCAAGUAUUCUGCUACUAAAAAUAAAUGAUAUGACUUAAGAAAAGUAAAUGAUAUGAUUAAGAAAAACCAGAGAAUUUUUUCCUAGGAAAGUUGAUGGAAAUUAAGAAAGAACCGCUAUGAAGAUCAAGUAUCAGAGAUUCUGCUACUAAAAGAAUAUUACAGGUUUUAGAACAAGUGCACCUCUUUACCUGUCUGGGAUCAGAGUCGAUGAGCUGCUGUAUUCACCUUGAAUAUAGAAGAAAUAUUACAGGUUUUGACUAAAGAGGAAUGUGAGGAACGAGUUGAUGAGAGUAAUAACAAUGAAUUUCCAAAAGAAGACGACUUGAGCAUUAAGCAUGCACCCCCUUUAUCAAUCAAAUAUUGGUACGUAUGUACGUAGGGACCAUUAUGCGUAUAUGAAGUCCAUUAGUUGCAAUCAGAAACCCUGGCCCAAUUUAAUUGACACUCGAUUUUUGAUAAGAAGAAGGCAAGGAUAAGGACAAAGUCAAUCAAUCACCAACAGUAAUUACUUCAAUCUUUGUCAAUCUACUUAAAUUGUCGAUCAACAUGAAAAUUGUUUAAAUUGAUAUUUGUAAAUCAAUCAAUUUUCUAGUUACUAUGAUUAUAACGUUUCACCUUUCAUAUUGGAUUUUAUCUUUUCGAAAGUUUUCAAAUAUGAGUGUCAAUAAUUAUUGAGACUCCAAGCCGUGCUCUCAAGAUCGUGCUGACAAAUCACUAUUGACUUUGUUUAUGCAAAAUUCAAAGAAAAAAAGUUAUGGUUUUGUAUUGCCAGCCCUGCUACUUUUUGUUUUUUUCAUUUGUAUUAUUUACGAAUUAUUUUUUAACAGAAACAUGAGAACUCAUCAUCGUAUAAAAUUGCAUGAAAAAAUCUUCAAAUUUAUAAAAGUAAAUUUCAUUGACAGAUUGUGGAUAUGUUAGAAAGAAUAAGGAUAAGAAUGAGUUAAGAAAUAAUAUAUAUAUAUAUAUAUAUAUAUAUAGAUAGAUAGAUAGAGAGAGAGAGAGAGAGAGAGAGAGAGAGAGUGAAAGUAAACAAUGUUUUGGUACAUUUGGUAUUGUUUUCAAAAUAUUUUGAAAAGAAAAAUUUUCAAUUAUCCAUCUAAGAAUUAUCUUAUUAUCCAAAAAGUUAUAAAAAUUUAAAAAUAUUUAAUUUUAUACCCAUUAUUACAAUGUGUAUCAACUGUUUACUAAAAAAAUAAAGUUACUCCUAAAACAUAAUCACCACUACAAUUUUGUGUUCGGUUCUAUUUUGUCACUUUGAACGAAUAACUUUAUAUUUUUAACAGAUGUUUCAUACAAAUUGCAUACAUUGGAUGUAAAAUUAAAUAAAUUUAAAUUUUUAUAAUAAUUUUAAUAAUUGAAUAAACUUUGAGUAAAUGACUGAUAAUUUCUCUUUUAUAAGCUACAAGAAGUUAAAAAGAAAAAAGAAAAAAUAGGAUGAUAAUUUCUCUUUUAUAUGCCUCAGAUGAUUUAUUGUUUCGGGUCUAAGAUUUUAAUUAUUCAACUUAAAAGAUUAAUAUAUUAUAAAUUAAUUAAUUAAAUAAUCAUUAAGCAACUAAAUUGGGUCCCCUGGAUGUCAAUUCCUUUAAUAUUGACGCAACUAUUUUUUUCUGGCAAAUAAUUAUUAAUGCACUGACGGAACUUUUGCAUAUCUACACAGCGAUUUUAAAUAUUACUGGUAACUGCUGAGAAAUGUGCGAGAAAGAAGUUGAUGAGAGUAAUAACAGCGACUUGCAAAAGGAAAAGACAGAAUCAUUCACCCCUUUUUGUAUCACCUAUUUGGUUACUGUUUCCCUGUUGACGCAUGUAUAAAUUUGACUGGUUUUUCUGCACUUUUUUGGCUGUUGCUUAACAAUGUGUGUGUGUAUUUGCUGUUGAAAAAAUUGGAUUCAAAUAAAUUAACUGAAAGAUUAGAGUUUUGACUAUUAACUGAAAGGUUUCAAGGGUAUGAAUGAAAAGCAACAUUCUUUUUUAGAAACUAUUUUAGAGGAGAGAUGCAAAUUAACAAAUGCUAAUAACAAGAACACAGAAGUUAACAAUGAACAGUAACUUAAAUCAAGAAAAUUAAAUGACAAAAUUAAGACAAACAAGAGAUAUUUUUUUCUUGGACAUUAAGAAAUAACUGCGGUCAAGAUCAAGGAGAUUAUGCUAUUAAUAGAAAUUAUCAAAGGAUUUAGAACAAGUUCACCUCUUUAAUUAUCCGGGAUCAGAUAGUUGAUGAGCUUCUCUAUUUAGCCUUGAAUAUUUAAGAAUAAUUUUAAAGAGCAAAAAGAUCACUGGUAACUGCUGAAAAAUAAGUGAGAAAAGAGUUGAUGAGAAUAAUAACAAUGAAUUGAAUAAAAAAAGGACUUAAUCAUGCACCCCCUUUGCAUAUCAUGUAUUUGGUUACUGUUGCCUUGUUGACGCAUGUAUAGAAUAAUUACAUGUAUUAUUAUAAUUUUGGAUUCGAUAUCCUUGUAUUAGUGUCUAAGAUUUUCAUGAAGAAUUAAACUUGGAAUGACCAAAAGAGGAAGCUGCAGUGUAUUGUUGGACCCAAUUAAGUUGAAGAAAGCACUAGUUCACAACCUUACGUUUGGAUAUAUUCUAAAGAAAUAAUUAAACAGCAAAUCAUCACAUGCACUUUAAUGAUUUGAUCUAUUGUUUUCAAAAGAAAUUGCAAUUAACAGUUUUUGUCAAAAGUUCGCACAGCGUGAAACUAGUGUUAGUAUAAUUUAAAAAAUUAAUUUCAGUAUUAUUUUUUAAAAUGUUAAUUAUUAGAUUUAUUUUAAUAAUAUAUUUAUAUUUAUUAUAAAAAAUUUAGUUAAAUAUUUGUGUUAAAUAGAAUUUAUAAUUAAUUUAAUAUAUCUUAGGUAUUAAUAAUAUUAUAAUUAUUCUAUAUGCUAUUGAAAAUAAUUUAAAUUUUUAGACAUUUAUUUUAUAUUAAGUUUCUAUUUAUUACAAAAUUUAGUUUAAUAUAGUAUAAGCUUGUAAAGUAUUAAAAUAUUUUUUUCAUUUUUUUUAAAAUAUUAAAAUUAUUUUAAAAUAUAUAUAUUAACAUUGAAGCUAAUUUUUUGAGUUAAUAGAGCUAGUAGGUGUUAUAGUAAAAAAGAGUAUCUUAGUAUCUCUUAUUGAAAAUAUAUAGAUCUAUAUAAUCAUUUUUUCAAAUAUUGAGAUGUAGAAAAAUAAAUUAAAAAAUUUUAAAUUUUAAUAUGGCCAUCGUAGGGUUAGAAUCCCCGCUCCAACCCGAUUUGGAGAUUUAUGUUUUUAAAAAAAAAAAGAACAAAGAAAAAAUACACACCCGACCAAAUCAAGCACCUCAUCAAAUCAAAAAUAAAAAAGGAAAGAAAUUAAUGGCUUGCAUGCAAUUUUGGAUCUGAAAUUAAAAUUACAUAAAAAUUAAGGCUUACGUACCUUAAUAUUUACAGCUUGUUUGAUGGCCCCAACAAGUUUAAGCAGCAUCAAAAUGUUGUGGCUCCUUAAAUGACAACAUCGACUUGUUUGACAGCUCCAACAAGGCUACGAUGAUCAGAAGAUGAGCCCUCAAUCAACAAGGCUAAGAUUGGCUUCUCUAUCCUCUGCCGACAUGUCCUCUUCUCCCAACAACCAGCGCCUUGCUCUUUGUCAUUUUUCCUCUUGUUAGUUUUCUUCUACAUAUAAUUAUUACACUGGGAAGUAUACACACACUUCUUUUCUUUUUAUAGUACCUUACUAUUAUAUCUUUACAAAACAAUAUCACCCUAAGACAUAUAUGUAUGAAAUAAAUAUAUAAGGAACGGACGAAAUAAAAUUAGAUCUAACACUAGUUUCAUGUGGUGUGUGAACUUUUGACAAUCCUCUCAUACCCCAACAAAAACUUUGUCAUAUUACAAAAGUUAUCACGACCAUAGACUUUUCAAUUGCAUAUUGGAAUUGCAAUGUCAUUUUAUUAUAGUAAUGUCAUUUCCAUUAUUCAUAGUGGCAGACAAUGGACAUCACGGGACACGGCUAGAAGUUAUCACGACCAUAGACUUUUCUAAUUUAUGAAAUAAAUGAAAUUAGAUCUAAUUCUAGUUUCAAGUGGUGUGAACUUUUGACAAUCCUCCCAUAUCCUAACAAAAGCUUUGUCAUAUUGCGAAAAUACCUUUUCAAUGUUUCAAUUGCAAUGUCAUUGCCAUUAUUCAUAGUGGCAGACAAUGGACAUCACGGGACAUGGCUAGAAGUCUAUGUUACGGCUUCUGUAAGUAACAGCAGCCAAUGGGGAACUUCCAUGGGGGCUAUAGGAGAGAGAAAGAGGUCCCAAUACAAGUGUUAGAGUACAAUUUAUACACUAGUUUUGCAUUGUUUACUUCCCUUAAUAUCGAUGUUUUGCAUUUAAUAAUAAUGAUUUACUUGUGUUUUACUUUUGUAAGUGCAAUUCUAUUGAUUUGUGAUAGAAUUGAGGUAUAAGAUGAUGUUUAAAGAUGAUUGUUCUCUUGGAGAAAUUUAGAGCGUCAGAAGAACUUUAUAGAUAAGGCGUGGGCGCGUGCUGUCAACUGCGGACCUGCAGUUUUUAGUUUAAUGUGUUUUGUAUUUUUGGCUAUUUUUGUAAUUACGAAUUUAAUAUUUCAAAUAUUAUUAUUUUAUUUUAAAUAGAACUUUAAAAGAGAAGAGAGAGAGAGUAUUUAAGGGAGGAAUCUAUUGUGAAAAAGGGGGGAUUUUAAUUGGAGAAAAAGAAAGAAACCCUAGAUCUAAUUUUUCUCUUCUCUCUAUGAAAAACUAAACUUAUUUUUUCUAGUUGAAGGUUAAUGAAUUUUUGAUUCAUCACUACUGUGAGAUCUUUCUUAUGCUUUAAUUGUUUUAUUACUUUUUGGGUAUUUGUUUAUUCUCUGAAUUAGUUUCAUGAUUAUGUUUGUUAAUUAGGUAAUUGGCCACUAUUUAAUUAUCAACUUAAUCUAUUGUCAAUUAAAGAAUUCAUCGUAUGACGAGUUUAAUGUUUGUGACAAAUAACAUAGCAGUGAGUUGUGUUAUGGGAAUAAACAAUCUAAUUUAAAUGAAUCAUCAUAUGUGUUGAUUAGGAUUUGGGUCGCUCUGGUUUUUCAGGCUGUCAAUUGAUUAAAUCCUAUGAUCGUAUCUAGGGUUGUCUAUUAAUUAGGGAAAUAUCCAAUGGUCGUACCUUGGUUAUCGACUAGUUAAGGAGAGAUUGGCUAUUAGAGGGUCUCAAUAGCUAUAACCAGUUUAUUCAUAAGUAAUAAUAAUCUAUUUUUGAAUCAAUGAUCAGUAGUCGAAUCAAACUGAGUUAAUUCCUUCAACCAAAGCUUUCUCCAAUUUGAAUUACAACUUUAAUUUGCAUUUUUGUUAUUUUAAUUUGAUUUUUUAUUAUUGUCAACAAUUCUCCCAUUUUACGUUUUACGUUUCAAAAGAAUUUAAAUAAUUACCGAUCUCUGUGGACACAACCCUGCUCAAUCACUAUACACAAUUUAUUUAGAGUAGGAAUUUAUUUUUAUUGGCUUCAACAACCAUCAACAAGGUGAUGGAAAUGGGAAAGUUCGAAGCUGUUACUUUCAGCUUCUGCACCGUAGCCAUGUCCCACGGGACAAGGCUAGAAGUUAUCAUGACCAUAGACUUUUCUAAUUUAUUUUUUCCUUUCAAAAAGGGACAAGGAUAAGUUUGGGAGAAUGAUUAUAUUUUUAAUAAAAGAAUUCUUUUUUAUUAUAAUACUUUUUGUCUUUAUUAAUUUAAAAAUAUUAACUCUUAUAUUUUAAUAAAUAUAAAUAUAAUAUUAUAAUAACAUAUAACAAUAUAUACAAAUAUUUAAAAAAAUUUAAGAUUUUAUUAAAAUAAAUUUUAUAAUAAAUAAAAAUACAUUAUUAAUAUAAUUUUAAUAAUUUGCAUUUUAAAAAGUAAUACUGAUAUUAUUUUUUAAAUAUUAAUUUUUUAAAUUAUAUUACUCUACCAAAAAAAAUUAAACUAUUAAAUUAUAUUGAUAUUUAUUACAAAAUUUGCAAUUAAUUCUUAUUAUAUUUUUAAUUGGAAUUUGUUCCUGUGAUAUAACAACAAUUGCUACAGUUUUUUCCCUAAAUAAAGAUGGAGUUAUAAAUUAUUUGUGUAAGUGUCAUGAAAGUAAUAGUUGAAUAACAAUAAUGGGGCUUUAGGCAAUUUUUUUUAUGAGGUCUUCUUGCAAUUUCAACACUUAAACAGACUUGUCCUUGAUCCCAAUUUAUUUACCCCAUUUGGGCCCACGAUGAGAUAAAUAUAUUCCUGUGAGAUGAAAAACAUCAGGAGAAGAAAAUGUUUUAUUAUAAUAAAAAAACAAGUGGUCCAUAAGUCUAUUUAUUACUUUUUUUAUUCAAUACAAAUGGCCAACUUAAAAAAUGAUAAAAAUCACAUAACGCACAAGCAAAAAUUUAGAUUUACAUUUUUUAGUUCUCUCCGUGUCUCUCUUUCUCUUUUUUAAAAAAAAUAAAUAAAUGUCAGUGUAAAAUUAGAAAAAUUUUAGAUAUAAACUUUGGCGAUGACCAAACAAAAAUUGCAAGGGAAAGAAAAUAGAGGACCCUUGAUAUCAUUAAAAUACUGAUCAUAGACACUACAAUAUAAAUAACUUGUUGUGAUCCACUCAACUUGUAACACUUUAAUCCAUAUUCUAAAAUUUGUAUGUUUGUUAGGAAUUUUAUUAUUGACAUUACUGUACCAAUAAAAUUCUAAUUUAUUCAUAUGGAAAGAAAACAUCAAGAAAGGACCUCUGAUUUUUAUUAUAACAGAAAAAAGUGGUCCAUAAGUCUAUUUAUUAUUUUAUUUAUUCAAUACAAAUUGCCAACUUAAAAAAUGGUAAAAAUCACAAAAUGCACAAGUAAAAUUUUAGAAUUACAUUUUUUUUAAUUCUCUUUGAGUCUCUCUCUCUCUCUCUUUAAAAAAUAAACCUCACUGUAAAAUUAGAAAAAAUUUAGACAUAAAAUUUGACAAUCACCAAACAGAAAAUGUAGGGAAAUGAAAAUGGAGGAGCCCUAUUAUCAUUAGAAUAUUGAUCAUAGAUACUAUAAUGUAAAUGAUUUGUUGUGGUUCAUUCAACCUGUCACACUCUAAGCCAUUUUCUAAAAUUUGUAAGGUUUAUAGGAUUUUUAUUAUUGGCAUCAUUGUAUCAAUAAUAUUAUAAAUUAUAUAUUCUAUUGUAAUGAAAAUUUGUGUAAUCUUAGGUAUUUAUUGUAUUAAAUUGUGUGGAUUAAUUAAGAAUAUUUUUGGAGACAAAAGAGGUGUGUGUACGUAGGAUUAAUAAUAAAAAAUUUCUAAAUAAAGGUGAUUGCUUCAUUGACAAGUACAUAUUUAUAUUCUCUAUUAGUAUUUGGGUUGUAAACUUUGUUUAUAAAGUGAAUAUAUUGUGGUAAGCGAUGUGGGCAAUAUCGGAUGCAAAAUAUUGAGAGAUCAUUAACGCAUAUAUUUAUUGCAUAUAGAGGAAAGAGUGUAGAUCCGGCCGUAACAAUUAUGAAGCUUUCCCCAAGUAUUCUCACGCUUCCUUAACUGUUCCAAAGUAUUUUUCAUAGUGUGCAGAUUUACUUUAUGGUGUCUUAAUUCGUCUAAAAUGAUUACUUUAGUUCUUUUGGGAUGAAAGGUCAUUUAUUGUGUUAGGAUUAAACAAUAGAAAAAAUAAGUAAUGGUAACGAAAGACUAAUUUGUGAUAUUGAAGCAUACAUGCUUAACUCAAUCCAAAACUUAGUAAGUUAGCUCAAGAGUUAAGAGUUGUCCAAAUCUUAUAUGCUGAACCCAAGUUCAAUACUCAAUUGAUGCAGGAUGUUAUUCCUAACACCGCCCGUCAUGCGUAGGAUUGGCAAAAAAACUCGAGUCAAUCCCGCCUAGACCUGCAAGCUUUAUUUAUGGCCAGCAUGAUGAAGUUACAGAUAUUAACCUAAAAAUUUGAAACUUACUAUGAAUGGCCUUGGUUAAAGACUUUUGUAACUUUAAUUUAUAACAAAUAUGUAUACACACACACACAUGUUUAGAUUGCAUUUGGGUGACUUUUUUUAUCAAUGCAAACAAUAUCAAAUUUAUCGGAUUAAUUUGAAUCUGAUCUAUAUCCGAUUUUGCCCGCCAUAAGCCCAAGUGACUCUCUUUUACUAAUUAAUAAGGGAAUUUUUUGACCUCAUGUCCUUGCUGUGGCAUUAGACUGUUGGUCAUUUUGAUUGUUUCCUACCUUCCAUUUACGCCAGCUGUAACAUUGUAUUAUUCACCAUUUUAGCCAUUUAAAUGAAAUUUUAUUUUUGUCAAAAAUAAAAUGACACCCUUAAAAUAAAAAAAAAUAGUUAUGUAGACCUCAAAUUUUUAAUAAAGAAUGUCAAUACCUCUUUUAACUACAAGAUUCGUAGUAGAUGAUAAAAAGAAAAUUAACUUCAAAUUUUUUCAUUAAAUGUAAAUCUGAUUGAAGUAGUUUAAAUUUUUCUAGUAGACUAAUAUAUAUAACUUAAAUAAUUAAUUUCAUUAUUAAUUGUUAAAAUGUUAACCAAUAUAUUUUUAAUUUAUUAUAAAAAUUUUAAAUAAAUCCUUGGAUUAAAUAGAUUUUACAAUUAAUGUAAUACUUCUGAUUUAUUAAUAAUAUUAAAAUUAUUUUAUAUGAUAUUCAAAAUAAUUUAAACUUAUAUAUAUAUUAAUAUUAUGUCUAUUUAUUAUAAUAUGGUUUAAUAUUAUACGGGAUUGUAAAAUAUUAAAAUAUUUUUCAAUAUCCAAUUAUUUUAAUAUGUAUAUAUCAUUACAUUUAUUUUAGUAUCAUAUUUAUAUUUAUUAUAAAAUAUAAAAUUAAUAAAAUUAAAGAGUAUUGCAGUAAAGUAAAAAAGAAAAGUCUUAUUAUCUCUUAUUCACGAUAUGAGAUUCUACAAAAUUAUUUCCCGAAACGGGUGUCCUUUUCUCAUUUUCAAAAGAAAAAAUAAAGUAAGAAUAAGUCCAUGGGUUUCAAAAACUUCUAGUCUUAUCCCGGGACUACAUUGUCUGCCACUAUAACUAAUGGAAAUGACAAUACAAUUGACAUUGCCUUUCGCAACAUGACAAAUUUUUGGUGGGAUAUGGAAGAAUUGUCAAAAGUUCACGCCAUGUGAGAGUUUUUGGUGGGAUGUGGGAGGAUUGUCAAAAGAUCACACCACAUGAUAUAACCACAAUUGCUAUGGUUUUUAUUUUUUAAAUAAUGAUGGGAGUUAUAAAUUAUUUAUAUAAAUUUGCGUAGAAACUAAUGUAACAUAAAAGAAGUAGCUGAAUAACAAUAUUUGGUGCUUUAGGUAAUUUUUAUAUGAGCCUUUCUUUUAUUUAGCGGCUCUAGUGCUUAAACAAACUUGUUCUCGAUCUUAUAACAGAAAAGGCAUCCCAUUUAAGCCUAUGAUGACAUAAUUAAACAUAUUCUUUUGUGACGAAAACAUCAAGAGAAGACAUCUCAUGUUUUAUUAUAACAGAAAAGAAGUGGUCCAAACGUCUAUUCGUUAUUUUAUUUAUUCAAUAUAAAUGGCCAACUUUAAAAAAAUGAUCAAAAUCACACAACACUCAAGUAAAAAUUUAGAAUUACAUUUUUUAAUACUCUCUAAGUCUCUCUCUCCUGCCCCCCCCCCCCCCACCCCGUCCCCUUUUUUGAAAAAAUAAACCUUAGUGUAAAAUUAGAAGAAUUUUAGAUAUAAAAUUAGAAGAAUUUUAGAUAUAAAAUUUGGCAAUCGCUAAACAGAAAAGCAGCGGAUUGAAAAUAAAAAAACUCUAUUACCAUUGGAAUAUUGAUUAUAGACAAUAUAAUAACUUGUUGUGGUUCAUUGUAGCACUCUGAGCCAUAUUCUAAAAUUUAUAGGUUUGUUAAGGCAUUUAUUAUUGACAUUAUUGUGUCAAUACUAUUAUAAUGAUAAUUUGUCUAGUCUUAGGUACUUAUUAUAUUAAAUUAUGUAAAUUAAUUGAGGAUACUUUUAGAGACAAAAGAAACACGUGUAUGUAGGAUUAAUAAUCGAAGAAUUGUAAAUGAAGGUGAUUGCUUCAUUGAGAGGCAUAUUAAAUAAUUAUGGAGAGUUGCACUAUUUCGGAAGCACAUAAUUAUACUUCCCUAUCAGGAUUUGGGGUAAACGAAGUGCUUUAUCUAUUGCAGUAAGCAAUGUGGACAAUAUCAGAGGCGAAAUAUUAAAAGAUCAUAACGCAUAUAUUGGAGCCAUUUAUCUUCCGCAACUGUUCUGAACUAUUCUUCAUUGUGGGCAGAUUUACUUAAAUACCUGCACAAUGAUUCAAUACUUCAAAGGUCAAGGAAAUGUCAAAAUAUGAAAUGAAAAUACUUAAAUACCCUUCUACCUAACAAAACUCGCAGAGAAUCUAUAAAAUUAAAAAAAAAAUAUUCAUCCAUGAAAAGCUUCGUAACAGAAAAACCGUCUUUCAAAAAAUAAAAACAGAAAAACUGACUCAUUUAUCUGCAAAUGAACCAAUCGGGACUCAUUUAAAAAAGAAUACAAAGCAAAAGUAAAUGACACAAAUUGCAUAGAUAUCUAGGAGCCGCAUCAAAAGACAAAGGUGUUAAUUUGUCCAAGAAUAAAUUCUCCUAGGUCAAAAGCAAUUAACGAUGAAAACUUUCUUCAUUAAGGUUCUGGCCUACGUAAAAAAACAGAAAAAAACCACCCCAAGGUCAAAGCACAACGAUAAAUUUAGAAAUGAAGUUUUUAAUUUUUUUUUAAUAAAUCAACGUGUAUCAAAAAUAGAUAAUAAUUUUGGAUAACUUUUUUUGAUAAAUAUAGACAUAAAAUUUUAAAAUCACCAAACAGAAAAACAGGAGAAUUAAAACAAAGUCCCUGUUUAUCCUCUAUUUUGCUUGUUAUUAAAAAGGGAAAUGAAAAGAUUGCAAGCGGAAAUUUUGUUUCUGCGUUGUCUCUUCUCAAUGCUGCAUGCAUUCAAAUUAAACCUUACAUAUGCUAGCAAACUAGCUACGCUGCAUGUAAGUUCUCGAUAAGUCCAAAUAAUAGAAUAAUUGUAAAAUGUUCAAAUUCAGUAAUUAAUUUUAUUUAUUUAUUUAUUCAAAAAUUAUUAUUAUUAUUAAUUAUUGUCAAUAAUAUAUUAAUAUACUAAUUAAUUGUAAAAAAAUUUAUCAUUCAUAACAAUAAUAAUGAUGAUGAUGACGAUAAUAAUAAAAAUUCAAAAUAUAUUAAUUAAUUAUAAUAAUAUAUUAAUUAUUUAAUAAUAAUAUAUUUAAAAUAUAUAUAAAUUGAUUAGAAUAGUUAUAUUAAUAAAUUAUAAACAUAUAUUAAUUAAUCAUAAUAAUUUUUUAAUUGAGGACAAAAUAGAUAUUUUAUAGUUUGUGAGAGGGGGCAAAAUGAUCAAUCUUGGGAAUGGGGGAUUGAUUCCCACCACCUUCCUUAGGAAUCAAUCUUCCAUUCCUCACUCCUAAUUUGGGUGGUCCCCAUAGUUCUGAUUCGGAUCCCAGCCUCCAUUUUAUGAAGUAAACAUCAUUAAUGAUUUCGAUUUCGGAUUUCGAUUCUCCAGUCCAAGAAGUAAAGGCACCAUUAUUGUUAAUUGGUUCAAACACACAAAGAGAAUGUACCAUGUAGCUAGGCGUCAAGGUUGUGUGGCACAAGUAACCUUUUUCUUUUCUUUUUAUUUUUCUUGUUUUCCUUAACGGAUCAGAAGAAAUCGGUGCCUUUGAGAUACUACAAUGUAAAUAAGUAUUUGUGGUUCAUUGAAUCUGUAACACUCGGUACCCUAAGGUUGCUUUUGAAAAAGGGCUUUUCUCACUGAUCACCAAUAUCCAAGUAAGUUUGUUUCAUUUCAGAAGGUGCAAAGUUUCAAACUUUUUGUAUUGGGAUGUAACAAACUUUGGCCUUAUAUGCUUGCUGUGACGUUAGACUGUUCAUUUUGAUUGUUUCCUACCUUCCACUUGCGCCACUGUAGCACUGUAUUAUUCAUCAUUUUAGUUGUUUAAAUGAAAUUUUAUUUUUGUCAAAAAUAAAAUGACACCAUUAAAAUUUAGAAAAAUAAUCAUGUAGAUCCCAAAUUUUUAAUAAAGAAUACCAAUAUUCCCCUUGACUACAAUACCCUUAGCAGGUGGUAAUCAAACAAAUUGACUUAAAAUUUUUUACGAAAUGUAAAUAUGAUUUAAAUAAUUUAAAUUUUCCAGAAGACUAAUAUAUAUAAUUUAAAUAAUUAAUUUCAAUAUUAAUUUUUAAAAUGUAAAUUAAUUUAUUUGUACUUAUAAAAUAUUUGUAAUUAUUUUAAAAUUUUAACUAAAUCCUUAGGUUAAAUAGAUUUUACAAUUAAUAUAAUAUUUCUCAGGUAUUAAUAAUAUUAAAACUAUUUUAUAUGACAUUGAAAAUAACCUAAAUUUUUUAUAUAUUUAUUUGAAUAUUAUGUCUCUAUUUAUUAUAAUUUGGUUUAAUAGAAUACGAGAUUGUAAAAUAUUAAUAUUUUAGAUAUUGAAAUUAUUUUAAUAUCUAUAUAUUAUUAUAUUUAUUUUAAUAUCCUAUUUAUAUUUAUCAUAAAUUAUUAGAGUUAAUUUUUUUAGUUAAUAAAUUUAAAAAUAUUAUAAUUUAAAAAAAGUCUUAUUGGCCGUUAUUCACGAUAUAAGGUUCUAAUAAAUUAUUUCUCUAGACAGGUGCCAUUUUCUUAUUUUCAAAAGGAAAAACAAGUUCAGGGCCUCGGGGGUUUCAAAAAAUUCUGGUCCUAUCUAUCACUAUGACUAAUGGGAAACGGCAUUGCAAUUGACAUUGCUUUUCGCAAUAUGACAUAUUAUGGAGGGAUAUGGGAGAAUUGUCAAACAUUCACACCACGCGAGAGCUUUAGGUGGGAUAGGGGAGGAUUGUCAAGAGUUCACACCACAAGAAACUAAUGAUAGGUCUAAUUUCGUUGUCAGUUCUUUAUUUAUUUAUUUUUUUUAUUUCAUACAUUAUUGUUCUUGUAAAGGUAUAAAAGUAAAGUAAAAUACUAGGGGUGCUGUUAAGUUACAACUGAUGUAACUUGUAAUUUUUUCAAAAAUAAUGUAAAAAAUUUAAUAGGUGGUGGGACUCACAUAUUUUUUAAGAGACUUAAGUUAUAGUAGUUGUAACUUAACAAAAUCUAAAUAUUAUACAAUAAUGCAUAUUAAUAAUGCAUAUAAUUUGGGUUUGAUUUUUAAAAGAUUAUUUGAGUACCACCUAUCCUUAUGAUAUUAAUGUGAUUAUAUCUUAAUAUUAAAUAAUCAAAAUUUGUUUAAUUAUUAUUUGUAUUUCAUACAUUACAUAUUAGAUUUGUUUGAAUUUUAAGUUGUUGCUAAUAAAUAUUUAUGUUGUCAAAGUCAAAUUCAAUAGCUACAAAAGCAGAGAUAAUGGUAUUGUAUAUAGUUUUUAAGAAUGCAAGGAUAAGCUGGAUAAUUGACAUAAAUUCUAAUGAUUAAAAGAGCAACUAUCCCUUAAAUUAUAAUGUUAAUUUCUUUAAUUAGAUUUUUUUUUUCAUGUGAUAUAACCACAAUUGCUACAAUUUUUUUUUAUAAUAAUAAUGGGAGUUAUAAAUUAUUUAUAUAAAAUUUGGGUUGAAACUAAUGUACCAUAAAAGUGGUUGCUGAAUAACAAUAUUUGAAACUUUAGGUAAUUUUCAUGAGUCCUUUUUAUAUUCAGCAACCUGAAUUGGGGAAAAUCCGACUUGAAUUGGCGGUUGAUUUUGGUGAUGUGGCUUUUGGUUUAUGGCGGCUUUACUGUGGCGGAAGACUGGAUUUACGGUUGCCGACUGCUAGGGAUUAUGGUGGUGGUGUAAAUUGACGGAAAAAGAAGGUGUUUUGGUGGCGGCGCGUGUAGGAAGCACUCGUGGGUUGUCGUUUCGUGUGGUGACAGAGGGCGGCGAUCAAGGGCCGAAGUCGGUCAGUUUUUGGUCAACGAAGGCCGGCGAGUUUGUUGGUGGAGGUGGCUGGUGGAGAAAGUGGCUGAAUGGUGGUGGGUUGCUUGGUGGAGCCGCAGGUUUGGGUUGGUGAUUUGCGGCUGUUCAAGCGGCGGUUGAGGCAGCGAUGACUGAGGCUUGGUCGACGGUGGCUAGUGAGGUUUGUGGUGGUGUUGGCUGGCUGAUUGGCGGUGGUGGGCGGCGGUGGGGGUUGGUCUGACGGGUAGGGUUUUCAAAUUUGUAAUUUUUUUUUUUGAUGGAUUUGGUUUGGAUGGGUAUGGUGUAUCUAGGAAAGAUGUGUGAUUCGCACAGAAUUGCUUUGAUACCAAUUGAUGGAGCGAGCGUAGCGGAAGUGGAAUUGAUAAGGUAAGAAAUACUAAAUAUCAUUCUAGUACUGGAUCAAGCCAACACAAUUAACUUACGCUUUAAUCAAAGCGUGAUUAGAUAUUGUUUUAAUCUAAAUGAUUCAAUGAGAUUUUUAAUAACGCGUAAUACGAGAUUAGAUGACACUCUAAUUUAAAUAACUCUAUAAGAGAGAUUUUGAUAAAUAAUACUAGAGGAAAUUAUAAAAAAAAGAGUUUUAUUUAAUAAUUGAAUUUGAAGUCCUGAAAACAAUGACAAGACAUCUUUAUUUUUUUUAUUACAGACAUCUUUAUUUAUAAUAAAAGAAAUCCACUUUCCUAAGUUAACCUAAAAAGAAAAUUUAAAUUAUAAUUAUAAUGGAAAUAAAAGAUUAAGAUACAUACCAUAAUUGACUCAAACAAAAAUAGAAAACCAUAAAAUAAUAAAUAUUUUAGAAUUAUAAAUUAUCUAAAAUAACGUUAAUUAACUUCCUAAAUCACGUCUUUGGUGUAAACCAUUUUGCAUCCAACCUUGCUUUAAAGGUUUGAACCAACGUUACGAACAACAAUGUAUCAAAUUCCAAUCUAACUUAAGAUCCUGAUACAUCUACCGAUGUCCUUGUUUGAUUAGACAAUAAUGAGUCUAUCUCAUCACUUGUUACCUCUUUUUUGAAGCUGCAUCUGUUGAAGUGAUAGCCUCGCUUAGAGUUUAAAGAUCUUCUUCCAUGUUAAAUAAAGUGGGCAUUUGAUUAAAAAACUUUAUCUCUAUCUCCUUCUAUCAAAUAACGAAAACUAUCCAAAGGAAAAAAAAAAAAUUAGAAAAGUCCAUGGGUUGCAAUAAUUUAUGGUCUGUCCUCGGACCCCAUUAUCUGCCAAUAUCAAUGAUGAAAAUGAAAAUAAAUGGCAUCUUCCCAAAAUGGCGAAAGAUUUUUAGGAGAUAUGGGGAAUUGUCAAAAGUUCCCACAACGCGAAAUAAGUGUUACAUCCAAUUUUAUUUCAUCAUAUAAUGAUAAUAUCAAGUAAUGACAGCCAUCUAAAAGUAUAAUGGGUCUUCCAAAAUUUUGAAAAUGUCGUCAACAUUUAAUCUUCAAUGCUAAAGAAGAUGAAAUGCCCAAAAAUGACAUGCAGGACCCACUCACAGACUAAACGGCCCUGACCACAUGCAACAAACUUUGACUUUAUGUCCCUGCUGAGGCGUUAGACUGUUGGUCAUUUUGAUUGCUUUUUACAUUCCAUUUACGCCAUUGUAGCAUUGUACUAUUUACCAUUUUAGCUGUUUAAAUGAAUUUUUUUUUCCAAAAAUAAAAUGACACCCUUAAAAUUUUAGAAAAUAAUCAUGUAGACCCCAAAAUUUUAAUAAAGAACACCAAUACCCUUUUUGACUAUAGUACUCUUAUGGUAGCCACAAAAAAAAAAUGACUUCAAAAUUUUUUACUAAAUGUAUAUAUGAUUUAAAUAGUUUAAAUUUUCUAGUAGACUAGUAUGUAUAAUUUAAAUAAUUAAUUUUUAAAAUGUAAUUUAAUAUAUUUAUUUUAAUAAUAUAUUUAUUAUAAAAAUUUUAAACAAAUCCUUGGGUUAAAUGGAUUUUAUAAUUAAUAUAAUAUUUCUCAUGUUUUAAUAAUAUUAAAAUUAUUUUAUAUGAUAUUGAAAAUAAUUAAAAAUUUUAUAUAUUUAUUUGAAUAUUAUGUCUCUAUUUAUUAUAAUUUGGUUUAAUAGAAUACGAGAUUGUAAAAUAUUAAAAUAUUUUUAGGUAUUGAAAUUAUUUUAAUAUGUACAUAUUAUUAUAUUUAUUUUAAUAUCCUACUUAUAUUUAUUAUAAAAUAUUAAAAUUAAUUUUUUUAGUUAAUAAAUUUAAAAAAUAUUAUAAUUAAAAAAAAGAGUCUUAUUGUCUGUUAUUCACGAUAUAAGGUUCUACAAAAUUAUUUUCAAAAGGAAAAAUAAGUCUAGGGGUUUCAAUAAAUUCUAGUCCUAUUUGCCACUAUGACUAAUGAAAACGACAUUGCAAUUGACAUUACUUUUCGCAAUAUGACAAAUUUUUGGAGGGAUAUGGGAGAAUCGUCAAAUGUUCACACUACGCGGGAGUUUUGGAUGGGAUUGGGGAGGAUUGUCAAGAGUUCACACCACAAGAAACCAAUGAUAGCCAUAAUUUUGCUAUCAGAUCUUUGUUUAUUUAUUUUAUUUAUUUCAUACAUUGUUGUCUUGUUGGCAUUGUUUUGCAAAGAUAUAAAAGUAAAAUAAACUAUUAGGGUGCUGCUAAGUUAAGCUGUUGUAACUUACAAUCCCUUAAAAAAUAAUGUAAAAAAUUUAACACGUGGUGGGAUCGACAUAUGUUUGAAGAGGCUUUAAGUUACAGUAGUUGUGACAUAGCAAAAUCCAAUUAUUAGACAAUAACGCACAUUAACAAUGCAUAUAAUUUGGGUUUGAUUUUUUGAAAAAUUAUUUGAGUAUUAACUAUCCUUAAGAUAUUAAUGUGAAUAUAAUUUAAUAUUAAAUAAUCAAAAUCUGUAUAAUUAUAAUAUAUAGUUCAUACAUUGCAUGUUUAAUCAAAAUCUGAUUGCUUUUUACCUUCCAUUUACGCCCACUGUAGCAUUGUACUAUUCACCAUUUUAGCUGUUUAAAUGAAAUUUUUUUUUUUUCAAAAAUAAAAUGACACCCUUAAAAUUUUAGAAAAUAGUCAUGUAGACCCCAAAAUUUUAAUAAAGAACACCAAUACCCUUUUUGACUAUAGUACUCUUAUGGUAUUCACAAAAAAAAAAAAUGACUUCAAAAUUUUUUACUAAAUGUAAAUAUGAUUUAAAUAGUUUAAAUUUUCUAGUAGACUAGUAUGUAUAAUUUAAAUACUUAAUUUUUAAAAUGUAAUUUAAUAUAUUUAUUUUAAUAAUAUAUUUAUUAUAAAAAUUUUAAACAAAUCCUUGGGUUAAAUAGUUUUUAUAAUUAAUAUAAUAUUUCUCAUGUUUUAAUAAUAUUAAAGUUAUUUUAUAUGAUAUUGAAAAUAAUUUAAAAUUUUAUAUAUUUAUUUUAAUAUUAUGUCUCUAUUUAUUAUAAUUUGGUUUAAUAGAAUACGAGAUUGUAAACUAUUAAAUAUUUUUUGGUAUUGAAAUUAUUUUAAUAUGUAUAUAUUAUUAUAUUUAUUUUAAUAUCCUACUUAUAUUUAUUAUAAAAUAUUAAAAUUAAUUUUUUUAGUUAAUAAUUUUAAAAAAAUAUUAUAGUUAAAAAAAAGAGUCUCAUUGUCCGUUAUUCACGAUAUGAGAUUCUACAAAAUUAUUUUCAAAAGGAAAAAUAAGUCCAAGGGUUUCAACAAAUUCUAGUCCUAUCUGCCACUAUGACUAAUGGAGACGAUAUUGAAUUGACAUUGUUUUUCGCAAUAUGACAAAUUUUUGGAGGGAUAUGGGAGAAUCGUCAAGCGUUCACACCAUGCGAGAGCUUUAGGUGGGAUAUGGGAGAAUUGUCAAGAGUUCACACCAAGAGAAAUUAAUGAUAGGCCUAAUUUCGUUGUCAGUUCUUUAUUUAUUUAUUUUAUUUAUUUCAUACAUUAUUGUCUUGUUGGUAUUGUUUUGUAAAGAUAUAAAAGUACAAGUAAAAUAUUAGGGGAAGUAAAGUAAAAUAUUGGAGGUGCUGCUAAUUUACAGCUGCUGUAACUUACAGUUCCUUCAAAAAUAAUGUAAAAAAUUUAACACGUGGUGGGACCCACAUUAUGUUUGAAGAGGCCGUACAUUAUAGCAGUUGUAAAUUAGUAAAAUCCAAAUAUUAGACAAUAAUACACAUUAACAAUGCAUAUAAUUUGGGUUUGAUUUUUUAAAAAAUUAUGUGAGUAUUACCUAUCCUUAAGAUAUUAAUGAGAAUAUAUUUUAAUAAUAAAUAAUCAAAAUCUGUUUAAUCAUAAUAUGUAAUUGAUACAUUGCAUGUUAGAUUUGUUUGGAUUUUAAGUUGUUGCUAAUAAAUAUUUAUGUUGUGAAAGUCGAAUUCAAUAGCUACAAAAGCAGAGAUAACGGUAUUUUAUGUAGUUUUUAAGAAUACAAGGAUAAGACCAUAACGCAUGAGAUAAUGGUAUUUUAUAUAUAUUAAAAGACCAUAACACAUGUAUUUGAGCCAUUGAUAUUGAAGACACAUAUAGAGGAAAGAGUGCAGAUCCGGCCCUCAGUAUUGUGAAGCUUUCCUCAAGUAUUCUCAUGCACACAGACCUUAUCUGGUCAAGUUUUCUGAUUCAAUAUAAUCAAUUUCCGCGCAGUACUGACGACAGCUUCUCUGUAAAGCUCUUCAACCACAAGCAUUUCUACAAGGCAAAAGACUAGGACGUGUCAGAAUGAAUAUCAAUAAGGGAAUGUCUUAUGAAUUUAGUUUAUAUCCUAAUAUAAGACAAUCAGUAAAUAUUGGACUCAUUAGUUGCCCUUGCCUCAGACGUUUGGAUGCUAAGGGGAAAAAGGAAGUUUGAAUUAGUCAAUCUCAUUUCUAAUGGCAUUCACAGAGAACUUAUAAAACAAAAAAAUUAUAAAAAAAAAUUCAUCCAUAAAAAGCUUAGUAACGGAAAAACCGACUCUUUUAUCUGCCACUGACGAAAAAAAAACUGAAGUAUCAAAUAGAUAAAGAUUUUAAUUUUUUUCUUGGAAAAACUAAUAAUAAAUUAACAAUUGGAUAAUACUAUUAAUUAGAGAUCUUUAAUAUUAAGGUUAUCAAAGAUAGAAUGUGUAUAAAAAUUCUUAAUUAUAAGAUAAUUACUAACUAAAAAGAGGCCUAAAAAAGAAGAUUUGCUAUUAUAAGUAAUACCAAAAAUAAAAAAGGGAGACUUCCUAAUUGUUUAAUUGUUAAAAAAGAGGAUUUGCUAUUAUAGGCCUAAUUUGCCUAUAAGUAAUACCAAAAAUAAAACCGUUCCUGGAUGUAAAAAAUAAAAAUUAUUGUUAAAUUCCUGACUAAUAAGGUCAUUGAAAGUAUUCAAAGGACCUGAACUUAUAGGAAAGCCAGCCAUGAUGAACUAUACCACGUUGCAAGUGAGCUCGUAUCUUCAUCCCUUGAUCUGCCAUCGGCAUUUCUGUUCCACUCACUAUACCAUCCUUUUCAAUCGAUUUUUAUUGAUCAUAAGAGGCCAUGUGGCCCACCUUAUUUUUAUUUUGGAUCCAUAACCCAAAGCUGGCCCAAGUUCUGAUUCCAGAAUCAUUUGUCUACAAAGUGACCUCAUUCCGGCAAUUGGUUUAUGCUAAUAGCACGUGCAAUUUUCAUUUUCUUCUUUUUAUUAAUUAAUUUCAUCAUUAUUAUUUGCUUAUUAUUUUAAAUUAAUUAAUUAAAUUGUAUUAUUGAAAUUAGUCUUUCUUUUUUCUUUUCUCUUUCAAUGCACAAAGCCAAACAACCAUUCUUGCUUCAAAUACCGAAGAGCUCCUGACUACGGCUGUCAAUGCUUCUAUAUUUACGUGCUGUGCUGCAUCACUCUUAGCGAAAGCUUGAAUGAAUGAUUAAAGACAAAAGCUUAUAUAAAAGCAGAUGCCGGAGGCACUCAAAAAGCAUUUGAGAGAGAAGCUACACAGCAAAUCAUCAAACGUACUUCAAUGACUUUGAUUUUGAUUCUUUUUUUUUUCAAAAGAAGUAGAAAAGUCCAUGGAUCACGAUAACUGCUUGUCCUAUGCCGUGACCUCAUUGUCCGCUGCUAGUGUCAAAUAGAUUAAUCUUUCUAGUAGAUUAAUAUAAUUUAUAAUUUUAAUUUCAGUAUUAAUUUUUAAAAUGUUAGUUGUUAUAUUUAUUUUAAUAAUAUAUCUAUUUUUAGUAUAAAACUUUAAAUAUAUAUUUAGAUUAAAUAGAUUUAUAAUUAAUAUAAUAUAUCUCAUGUAUUAAUGAUAUUUAAAUUAUUUUAAAUAAUAUUAAGCCUAACUUAAAAUUUUAUAUAUUUAUUUUAAUAUUAUGUUUCUAUUUAUUAUAAAAUUUAGUUUAAUAUAAUAUAAGAUUGUAAAGUAUUCAAAUAUUUUUUAAAUAUUGAAAUUAUUAUAAAAUGUAUAUAUUGUUACAUUUUUAAUAUUGAAGUCAAUCUUUUUUAAGUUAAUAGAGUGAAAAGAUAUUAUAAUAAAAGGCUACGUAAUCUUUCACUUGCACAUAUUCUGUACUCUCUGGAGCAGGACGGUAGGAAAUAUGAUUACAAAUGUUAAAUUCGCCUUUCUUCACAAGUUUAUCAGCUUCGUUUGCGGCCUCUGCUGCUUGUUUACCAAGCUUGUAACAAGAAAUCAAAUUUGGGCACAACCUUUUGAAGCAGAACAUCUUAGCUCUAUCUUUAUCAUCAAUGAUUGAUUUUGCAACCCCUUCACUGAAUUCAGCAACUCUAUUUAGCCAGUCUCUGACACCCUUAUAAAUCUCAUCUCCUUGUAGAGUAGCCUCUCUAACCAGCAUUUGCACCCUUUCUCUUAUAUAUUCCAGCUCCUUCACUCAAUCUUUUAGCCCAUCUAUGUAGCUCUGGUACUCGGAACACAUAAGAUAUGUGCCACAUAAUCGGUUUGAAUAAUGCUUUUGAACCUUGUGAUACAAUGCUAGAAAAAGUAGGGAGACACCCUUCUGCAGCCAUUGCCUGUUGCUUAACAAUCUAUAUAAAUAAAUACAAGUGUCAAAGAAAGGAAUACAGAUAAAUUAAAAUGAACUAGUGGGAAAGACAGAGAAUGAAAAGACUGCAAACAAUAUUGCGAUAUUGAUCUUGAACUAACUAAUAAUUAAAUAGAGAAUUUCUUUUUCUUUCUUGAGGAUCAGAGAUUUUGCUAUUAACAAAAAGGUACUUCGAGGGUCUGAAUAAAAAACCAACCAUAAAUUAUCAAAAGCUAGUAAAAACACAGACGUAAAUAAUGAACAAUUACUUAAGCAAAACAGACCAUGAUACAAAGCAAAUCUAAUAAAAUGACAAAAAAAGAAAGAAAGAAAGAAAGAAAGAAAAUACAACAAAUAAUAUUGAAGUGUUGAUUAUGAGCCAACUGAUAUUUAAACAGAUUUUUUUAAAAUUUUUAGUCUUUUGCUAAAGGAUUAGAGUUUUUGUUAUUAAUAGAAAGGUUUUAAAGACCUGACAUUACUAGAAAAAUACUAAAUAAUGACAGAAAUUUUAUAACAUAUAUCGUUAUGUCACGAAUGUGUCAUGAAAAUAUGAUAGAUUCGUGAUAUAUAUUCAUGUCCAGAGUAUAUGACAUAUUCAUGACUUAUAACUUAACCAUCGUAAAUAAAUGAUACAUAUAAGUCAUGCUUAAGUUUUGUGAACUUAUAAGAUUGUAAAACAAUGCCGUUUAAAUUAACGACACCGUUUUGUAUAACUUAAAACCCAUUAACACUCGCAGCCAAAUUUUGGCUAAGCGUUGAAUUAAUCCCUCUCUCCACUGUAGAGAUGGCAGAAAAGCCCGCUCAGACCGGAUCCGGACUGGACCCGGUGCAUACGGUCCGGGUAAAACCCGGAUCGGAUGCAUGGAAAAAGCGGAUCCGGGCACGGGUCCGGUCACAGCACCAAGAAUCUGGAACCCGGACCCGUGCCCACUUUUUUAUUAAGUAAAAAAAAAAUAUAUAUAUAUAUAUAUAUAUAGUAGUUUUCCAAUCAGGGAUUAGUUAAAAGACAAAAUAAACACAUACUCCAAUGCAUUGUAUUUUAUCAUGUAGUGUAGUAAAAUUUAAAUUUUUUUGUCUUUUAGCUAAUCCAACUACUAUAUAUAUAUAUAUAACAACAAAAAUGCAUUUUGCUUUACCCAAUUUCCCCCAAACCCAACCGGCCAACCCUAAAUCGCAACAAGUCUCAGAAUCGCCACCUCCCUCCGUUUCUCCACCAACAACCACCACCCAUCUUCACCGAUGCAGUGUUGACGGCGCGGCCUCUUCCCCACUUACAGAAAAAUGCGCAUGCUUUUACCGAGAAAAGAAAGCUUUUAUUUUUUGUAUGACAUCUGGUCCUCCCAUCAAGCUUACCUGAGGCAGCGAGGCUGAAAGUCUCUGUUAUCAACCAUCAGGACACCAGAAAGAGUAAUUGCUCACAUCGUAAGCGCCAUGAACUAAUUUUUCCGAAAAGGAGGAAAUGAAGGUCACAAUGGAGCUCAUUUCCCGCGAUUCGAGAGCCCUACAGAGAGGUAGGACCCCUAACUCACUCCGUUUUAGUCACCUUUCAAUGGCUCCCUUAAUUUCCUAAAUCAAUAAGUGUUCUAAAAGGGCUUGAAAAAUCAAAAUGAUGCCCAACAUUAGUGCCAGGAUUAAGGAACUUUUCACUGCAAAGAAGUGAAUAGCUACGUGGAUGAAGUUAUGGGCCAUGCAGAAAUUCACACUUCACUCUCUCUUGAUUUGUACUCAAAAGUCGCCACCAACCUUCAAUUAUAUGGACUCAUGGAUUCAAUAUUUAGGCUUACAAUUGGACCUUCACAAAGCAAUUGGAGCACUCCAAGCUGCAAAAAAUGUCUCUUCUCUGUGACAUCUGCAGGUGGGCUAGAAGAAGGUUAUGCAUAGAUGGUCUAUGUGCGUGUGCUUACUAAAUGCAUACAAAAUGUAUAAGAACUGAGAUUCCUAUGUUUUUUCCUUUUUAAUUUUAAUAAUUAUGUUAGAUGUUUGCUUGGUAGUUAAGAUGUUUUGGUUUUGGACUGUUACGCUUUGUUAGAACUUAAAAGUAAACAAUUGUUUAGGCUGUAUUUUUUUUUACAGUGUUUUCACCUUUGAAAAUCCGGGUAGAGAAAACCCGGAAAAACCCGUGCCCGGAUAGUGCCGGGCAUGUACCCGGCCUGUAUAAAAAAAAUUCCGGACACGGUGCGGGUUCGGGUAGUUACGUGUGACAUCCGGGUCGGUCCCGGGCAGCCUCAAACCCAGACCCGACCCGGACUUUUGCCAUCUCUACUCCACUGGCCACUGCAACCUAAAAUAGUUUUUCACUUUAAUAACCCAAAAGCUUUCCUCUGUUUCAACUAAGCGAAAAUUUACAUAUUAAAGCCUGGCUCAAAUUCCUUUUUUCAAUCGAAAUUAAACGUAGCCACAAAACCCUAAUUCACCACACCAAUUUAUCUCUGCCCGGUAUUCAUUUAAACCCUACCUCGCGGUUCAAUGUCAUUCAAUACGAUUGCAGAUGCUGUUUCAACUUGUCAUUUAGUUAGCGCCAUCCAGUUCUCUAUGGUAAGCCUUAACCCUAACAACUAAUCGACUGCGGUAGCACGUUGCUUGUUAGGAGUGGGGAUACAUUAUUUGAAUAUAUGAAUUGGGUGAUGUUAGUGAUUCAUUCCCCUAUUUGUCGUGAAUUGAGAUUUGUGCAUAAUGCUAGUAAGAUUGCUAAAAAUUUCAUAUUUUGUAUUGUUCCAGUUGAAUUUCUUGCUUGUGGAAGAUAAAACAAAAGUUCAAUUUCAUGUUGAUUUAAUUCUUCUUUUCCUUCUUUUUAUUUUUCUUCUUUAUAGUCACGCUCUGGCUUUGGUGCUAUGCUUAGUGCAGUUUAUGGUUUCAAGAUUAAGUCAUGUUUAUUUGAUGGCAUCGAUUCCAUCGUUGAGGAUUGGAUUGUUGAUCAAAUGCACAUAGUAAGCUCUUCUUAUUUUAUCUCAAUUUUAAUUUUCUUUUAUUAUCUGCCUCUACCUGAAAAUGGACGUGUUUUACUAGUAAGCAUAGACCUUGUUUAUUUAAUUGAUAUUUUAAUUUUAUGUAUAAGAAUGGAGGUUUAUUUUGGAAAAAAAAAGAAAUAAAAAAAAUACUCUGUUGAAGCUAAUUAGUACUGAAUUUUUUUUGGUGGUGCGACCAGAGGUGGAAACAGGGUAUGAAAAUGUGUUACUGGUGAGGCUGCUGCUUAAGAUGAGAAUGCAUUCUUUUCAAAAAUCCUUGGAAGGUGUGAUCUAAUUAUAUUUGAUGGAAUAUUAAAUGGCUAAAAAUCUGUCAUACGUUCAAACUUUGUUUGUGUUUAGAAGAAUGGUGUUGACUGUAUAUUCGUUUGGAAGAAUGGUGUUGAUUGUAUAUUCAUUUGCUUAGCCUUUUGACAGAUGGAUUUGGAACUGACGAUAAAUGUGAUUCAAUUUACAAGGUUUUCGAGGGGCUCACAGUGGAAGGGAUAUUGAAGAACUGGUCGAAGUUAAAGCCUAUGAUUGUGAAAGAUUGGAGUGAGAAUAUAGAUGCUCAUUUAAAUCUUUUUGGCAAGGUCAGAGAUGAAUGGAUAGAUAAGGAUUUAUUUGACAACUUGGACUGGUGCUAAUAGGUAUUUUAAGCAAGCUUUUUGAGAUAACACUGAGCAAGUUAUACUACUAUUUUGCACAUGAUGAUCAAAACUCUCGAAAAGUAAAUAAAAUAAAGUAUUAACUUUUACUUUCAUCUUUUGCAUAGCAAUCAAUGUGGUGCUUGUUCUGUGACAACUUUGAUAAUCUACUUAAUUACUGGUUAGCAUUUGGACCAAAAAAGUUCUUAUGAUUUACAUGUUUUGUAGAAAUGCAUGAACCUUAAAUGUGCUGAUCAGGGAGUUUAAUUAUUGCACCUUGAAAUUCAUUUACUGUUAACUAAUUGGCUUUCCUUUGCAUAAAGCCGCUUAUAAGGCUUGAGUGGACGUCUUUAUGGGCAUAUUUUUUGUAUUUCUCGAUGCAUGCCUUUAUCAUUUAAUGUGGUGCUCGUAUUUCUUUAUGCAUGCCUUUAUCAUUUAAUGGCCAGCUCCCUUUCCUCUUUUGUAAUUUGAAUAGUAGUAUGGGCCUCCAUUUUACAAAUCUUUAACAUUUUUUGCUGUAAAUUAAUUUUUCUUUCAAAUAUUUUGGAGGUCAUUGGAAUUCCUGUAGGUCUAUUUACCAGAUUUUAGUAUGUUUAAGGUUAUAAUUUUGCUUAGACUUUAAUUUUUCUGAAAGAUUGUAGUAUUGAUCCUUAAAGUAAGAUCAUGCUACUUCAAAUUAUUUUGAAGUGUUGCUAGUUAUAGCCUUACAUAUCAAAUUCCAGUUGUCUGGAAAUUUAUUGAUAGCUGUUACAGCAGCAUAUUUUAUGACUCUACUUCUUAGUUAUGUAAGUUCAUUAUGUUUAGGUCAGAGGCAGUCAGCUGUGGGGAAUCGAUUUAUACACAGAUGACUUUGAUCUUGUUGCUGGUAUGUGGUUCUAUGAAUAAUUGUUCACAAUAAUUGUGUUUGCCUCACUGUUUUUGUUUUAUGAGAUCUAUAAUUGAUCUUGGGAUAUUACUUUUUAGUUCUCAUGCAGGCAAGUUACUACCUUCCCACUGCAUCUCCUCCUUUAUCUGCUACUCAAGAGUUGCGUGCCAUAAUCUGGUAUUACCUCUGCAAGAUUGUGAAUGAAUAUGAUGCCUCUAAAUUUAUUUUAUACAUAAUGCUAAUGCUGAAUAAUAUAUUGUAGCUCCUGUCAUAUUCUACUUUGACUUUUUAUAUUCCGUUUCAAAUAAAAAUCUUAUUCAACUUUAGUUGUUCAUGAGCAAAUGUCACAUGUAUAAGCCCAAAUGAUGUUUAAAGGUAGCGCCGCUACCUUCAGUUUGAGCUUACAAUGGGUGAAAAAGAAAUUGAAACUGAUAUUUUGCGGUUUUUCUUAUUUUUCAAAGUAUUUUAGAUCAUGACUUUUGUUUGGACUUGAUGGUUAUAGAUUGUGUCUAGAUUUGUUAAGUCGUUUCCAACACCUCGUGCCAAAUCAAAGCACAAUCUUUCUGAUUCAGAUGUUUUGUUAAUUGUGCUUCAUUUUUUCGUUAAAGGUUGGAUGGUUGAAUGGAUUGAUGGAGUUGGAGUUCAACCAAUAAUUCUAAUUUUUUGGACUUAAAAUGCCUUUUUCUUCUGUAUAAAAGCUUUAGUAAGUGCUAUUGAGUUGACAGAAGUUGAAUACUUACAGGUUGUUUCACACUUUUUAAUAGUUUUACAUAUAUGAAUUUCUGUUUUUUGAAUUGCAGAAAGGAGGUGGAACUAUUGAUUUGGAGCCUUAUCUUACUCACUCAUCAACAACGGAGCCUACCCUCGCUCCUAUGGCAGUGGAACGGACAAUGACUACUAGGGCUGCAACAUCAGUUGGUUCGGGUCUGUUUUGAUAGCGAAUUUUGAUAUGUCAAUAUAAUGUGUAAUUGUUUUGGGUUGAGCUGGUAAUUAUGCUGGAUUAGAUUGGUUUGGUUUUGGUGCUUCGCUGAUGGAACACUGGUUUUUUAGAAAAUUUGAAUGUAAUAUGAGACUACAUUUAGUUUAAUUGAACACUGCAUCUAGUCUAAUUACUAGAAGUGUGGCAUUUGGUUUGGUUUAUCCGAUAUUCUCCAGAAUUUCACUUGCAUCUGGUUUUGUUGCAUAUGUUUGCUUGCAUUUGAUGGCAGUAGCAGACUGUUUGGUUUUGUGGCAUUUGAUGGCAGUUUGGUCUGUUCUUGGUGCUGAUUUACGAUUGUUCCUGAUGUGUUGAUGUUAAUUGCAGGUGCUUGAAUCAGCUAGGGUUGCUGGUUUUUUCAGAUGGUUGACUCAGGCGUUGUUACUGGUUGAUUCAGGUGGCUGGCUCAAGUUGUUCAUUUAAUGUUAGGAAGCAAAUUAAGAAUUAAUGAAGUAUUCAUUUAACUAUAAUUAUUGUAGUUAUUUUAUUUCAUAACUGAAUUAUAAUCUAUGAUACUUGUGAACAAAUUAGAGAAUUUUUAUAUAUAAAUUAUAUAUAUGUGUGUGUAUGUACAUUUUGCUUUUUAUAUAAUAAUUUAAAGAAUAUAUUUCAAUUCCCACAAAAAAAUGGCCCCAAUUUCAAUAAUUCCUGCCAAAUAAUUAAUUUUUUUUAAUUUACCGCCAAAAUAUAUCUUAAAGAAAUGUUAGUUAUUCUUGCUAGAUUUAACAAAAAUAAUUUAUAGGAUUAACAUUUAAUUAAAAUAAUUAAAUAAUUUUACUAUUUCAAUUAAAUGUCAUGUUUAUAUCACAGACAAUAGUCAUGAAUGGGAAGUAUUAGUUACAUAUUUUUCCUUGUAGUUAUUUUAUUUCAUAACUGAAUUAUAAUCUAUGAUACUUGUGAACAAAUUAGAGAAUUUUUAUAUAUAAAUUAUAUAUAUGUGUGUGUAUGUACAUUUUGCUUUUUAUAUAAUAAUUUAAAGAAUAUAUUUCAAUUCCCACAAAAAAAUGGCCCCAAUUUCAAUAAUUCCCGCCAAAUAAUUAAUUUUUUUUAAUUUACCACCAAAAUAUAUCUUAAAGAAAUGUUAGUUAUUCUUGCUAGAUUUAACAAAAAUAAUUUAUAGGAUUAACAUUUAAUUAAAAUAAUUAAAUAAUUUUUCUAUUUCAAUUAAAUGUCAUGUUUAUAUGACAGACAAUAGUCAUGAAUGGGAAGUAUUAGUUCCAUAUUUUUCCUUGGGAUUUCAGGCAAAUGAAAAAAAGAUUGAGAAUGAUUUCAAGAGGACAGGUGGAUGAUAAGUAUUCAUUUUUGUAUAUUUGGCUAAUGUCCUCAUUAGUGGAUUUUUAUGGUAUUGAUUUUUUUUUUUUUGGUUUAUAAUUUUCAAUUAGUUGUUACCCUAGAGGAAGAGCAGGCUGAUCAAAUUGAUUUGUCUUAUUUUUCCGGCAAUCUGCGACACGAUGACUGUGAUAAUGCUCGUGACUGCUGGAAACUUUCUGGUGGAAAUAACUUUAGAGUUCGUAGCAAGCAUUUUUGUUAUGACAAAACAAAGGUUCCCCCAUAUUUUGGUUGUUUGUUAUGGUAUUUAUAUAUCCUGCAUAUGCUAGGUCGACAGGUUAUGAUGUAGUUUGGUUGGCUCUUGUGCUUUGUGCAAUUUGUAACUGCAGAUACCUGCGGGAAAACAUUUAAUGGAUCUUGUUGCUGUUGAUUGGUUCAAAGACACAAAGAGAAUGGACCAUGUAGCUCGGCGUCAAGGCUGUACUGCACAAGUAACUGAAGAAAAAUGUGAAUUGGUUCCUCUUUUUCUUACUUUCCAGAACAGUAUGUACAGGGAAUAUAUACAGCAAAAUAGGAGAGAAAAUAGGAGACUACAUCUAUCCUUUCCUAAAUAAUAGGAAACAAAAUCUGGAAAGAAUCCUAAUGAAUCUUCCCAUUAUAAUUUAACUUAUUCCUAAAAUAGCCUAGAUUACAAAUAAAUCAUAACUUUGAAUCUUUAUUUUCAACACUCCCCCUCAAGCUAGUGUGUGUAUAUCAUACAAACCCAGCUUGUUACUUAAGUCUUCAAAGUUAGGUCUUGGCAGUGCUUUAGUAAGGAUGUCUGCAAUUUGUUGUCUAGUUGGAAUGUACUUUAGUUCCACACUUCCACUAGUGACCUUCUUUGAGAUGAAGUGCCUAUCAAUCUCGACAUGUUUGGUUCGAUCAUGAUGCACUGGAUUUUUUGCGAUGCUGAUUGCUGCUUGAUUGUCACACCUCAUUAGAAUGGAUGAAGGGUUGCACACACCGAGUUCUUUGAGUACACGCUUUAUCCAAAUUCCUUCACAGAUUCCAUUUGCCAAAGCUCUGAACUCUGCUUCUGCACUACUCCUAGCUACAACUGAUUGUUUCUUACUCCUCCAGGUUACUAGAUUUCCCCAGACAUAGGAACAGUAAGCAGAUGUUGAUAUUCUAUUUGUGAUGUCUCCAGCCCAGUCUGCAUCAGAGUAGAUCUCAAUAUUCCUAUAUUCUGAUUUCUUGAAAAACAAUCCUUUUCCAGGUGUCAUCUUUAGAUACUUCAAAAUUCUAAAGACUGCAUCCAUGUGUUCCUCUGUAGGAUUGUGCAUGAAUUGGCUCACAGCACUAACAACAAAGCCUAUGUCCGGACGGGUAUGUGAGAGAUAAAUUAAACGACCAACCAGUCUUUGAUAUCUCUCUCUAUUGACUGGAACACUAUUCUCAACUGAGCCUAGUUUCUUGUAGGGAUCCAUAGGAGUAUCUACUGGUUUGCACCCAAUCAUACCAGUCUCCUUUAGUAAGUCCAGGGUGUAUUUCCUUUGGGAGACAACAAUUCCCUUCCUAGAUCUUGCCACCUCCAUCCCAAGAAAAUAUUUCAGAUUCCCUAGAUCUUUAACUUCGAAUUCCUGAGCUAGCUGUUUCUUCAACUUCUGCAGUUCUUCCUCAUCAUUUCCUGAGAGAAUGAUGUCAUCAACAUAUACGAUUAGGAGAGAGAUCUUCUUUGCUUGUGAUGUUCGGAGGAAUAGAGUGUGAUCUGCCUGACACUGAGUGUAACCAAGUCUCACAACUGCCUUCGCAAAUCUAUCAAACCAUGCUCGAGGGGAUUGUUUAAGCCCAUACAAAGAUUUCUUGAGCUUGCACACUUUAUUUCUAGUAAGAUUCAGAUCAAGACCCUGGGGAACUUCCAUAAACACUUCUUCUUCAAGAUCGCCAUUGAGAAAUGCAUUUUUUAUAUCUAGUUGGUAUAAGUACCAAUCUAGAUUUACUGCUAAGGAGAGCAAGAUUCUAAUGGUGUUGAGCUUCGCAACCGGAGCAAAGGUUUCAAGAUAAUCAAUCCCAUAUGACUGUGUGAACCCUUUAGCUACAAGACGAGCUUUGAGCCUCUCAACACUUCCAUCUGCCUUGUAUUUAACAGUAAAAAUCCACUUACAUCCAACUGGUCGUUUCCCUGCAGGAAGAUUUGUUAUAACCCAUGUAUCAUUUUUCUCAAGAGCAUUUAUUUCUUCAUGAACAGCUCUCUUCCACUCAGGAUGACCGAGAGCCUCUUGUAUAUUGUUGGGAACAUGUAGAUUAUCUAAAGAAGAAACAAAGGCUCGGUAUGAUGGGGACAAACCAUCAUAUGAGACAUAUUUGGCAAUUGGAUGAGUGGUGCAACUUCGAACCCCCUUUCUUUCUGCAAUUGAUUUAUUAGAAUCAUCCACACUUGGAACCAUGAACUCAACCGAGGCAAGACUAUCCAUACCUGUGUUGUCUUCAUAAGAGCUUGGAUUUGGUUCAGUUUCUUGGACAUGUGGCUGAGUUCUGUGCUCUAUCUGCUCUCCAGUUCUUCUCCUCCUAUAAACAUUAAGAUUAUCAACAGCAAGCUGUGGAAGAGGUGAGAUUAGAGGUUGUAGUUGAUGAGCUGAUGGAUGACGGGGUGACUCGGCUGGUUGUGGUUGGGAGGACUCAGAUGACUCAAAAGGUUGUGAAGAUGUUGGGAGGAUUGCUGAUUGUGGCUGUUGGAUAGAUUGAUCAUGUGUGGUGGUUGAGUUAUGAGGGUUUUCAUGAGGGGUUUCCAGCCAAGAUUGCCAAGAAGAUUCCCAAGGCUGAUGUUCGCUCAUACUCUCUCCCUGAACAACAGUUUUGGAAUAGAAAGGCAGGUUUUCAACAAAUGUUACAUCUCUGGAAAUGUAUAUUUUUCUGGUAUGAGGAGAAUAGCAUUUGUAUCCUUUUUUAUGUGGAGAAUAGCCUAAAAAUAUACACUUGAGAGAUCGGGGAUCAAGUUUAGUCCUGUGUUGAGAGUGAACAUGGACAUAUGCUGUGCAACCGAAUAUUUUUUGUGGUAAAUCUGCUGAAACAAUCCUAGUGUGUGGAAAGAAAUUGAGAAGAACUUUUCUUGGGCAAUGAAACCCCAAGACUCUAGAAGGCAUUCGGUUGAUUAAGUAGGCUGUAGUGAGAACAGCUUCACCCCAGAAAAAAUUAGGAACAUGAGAUGAGAACAAAAGACAGCGAGCCACUUCAAGAAGGUGUCUGUUUUUGCGUUCAGCGACCCCAUUUUGUUGUGGGGUGUCAACACAAGAACUGAUGUGAAGAAUGCCUUGAUGGAGAAGAUAUGAGCUGAGGGAGUCUUUGAAAUAUUCCUUGGCAUUGUCGGUUUUAAGGACUUGGAUUUUGGUAUUGAAUUGGGUUUGAAUCAUGGCGUUAAAGUUUUGGAAGAUUUGACUAACUUCGGAUUUGUUUUUCAUGAGAAACACCCAAGUGAGACGAGUAUGAUCAUCCACAAAUGACAAAAACCAGCGAGCCCCAGAAACAUUUUUAAUUCUUGAGGGACCCCACACAUCAUUGUGAAUUAAAGCAAAUGGACGAGAAGGCUUAUACUUAACGCUUGAAUAAACAUUUCGAGUAUGUUUUGCAAAUUGACAAAUUUCACAAUGAAAUGAUAAAGGGUUUUUAUUGAUGAAUAGAUUGGGAAAAAUUUUUGCGAGAUACAUGAAACUAGGAUGACCUAAUCGAUAGUGUAACAGAACAAUUUCACUAUCGUUAUUGACAUUUGGACUAACAAUAGAAUGAGGAUAACUAGUUGACAGACUAUUGGACUUGGCACAGUUUGCUCUCGAAUCUUGUAUGAAGGAGGAUUGAUCGCUUUUGAGUAGAUAGAGUCCAGAACAUAGCUCAGCACUGCCAAUCGUCUUCGCGAAUCCAAGUCCUGAAAAACACACAUAUUUGGAUAGAAUUUAGUUACACAAUUCUGAUCACGAGUGAAUUUACUGAUUGAAAGUAAAUUGCAAGCCAAAUUAGGCACAUAAAGUACAGAAUUAAGGUGUAACUCCUUAGUGAGUCUGAUGGAACCUGUCCCUGCUAUAUUGUGUGAGAGCCAUCUGCGAUCCGGACUGAAGUGCUGUUGAUGCUAGCUUUAUAAUCCUGCAACAUUGAGGCAUCUCCAGUCAUGUGAUCAGAAGCACCAGUGUCAAUUAUCCAGGGUUUGCUUGCUCCAUUAGUGGCUGCAAAUGCUGAAUGAGUCUCUUUCUAAGCCACUAGACUUGUCCCUGCAUUGGAGUUCAAAGUGGCUUGAUCGAAAAGCUUUUGAAGAAUCUCCAUUUGCUCCUUGCUGAAUGGAUUUGGCUCGGGUAGGGCCUGAUUGUCCGUGGUGGAUGCUGCAUGAGCACGAGAUUCACGGUCACCUUUGGAACGAGGUUUCCAAUCAGCAGGUUUGCCAUAAAUUUUCCAGCAACUCUCCUUAUAGUGGCCUGCCUUACGACAGUGAUCGCACCAUGGUCUUUCUUUCUUUGUACGAUUUUCACUAACCCCUACAGAGUUGGAUGCACGGGCAACAAGUGCAGAGGCGCCCAGUGUUGGUUCUGAUGACCCCAUCAUCACCUUUUUCCUACUUUCUUCAUGCCUAACUUCAGAAAAGGCUUCACGAGGGCGCGGUAGAGGCUUUGUCCCGAGUACACGGCUCCUAACCUGAUCAAGAUCUUUAUUGAGUCCGAGGAGAAAUUUAAACGUUCUCUUCUGUUCCACAAUCUUCUUGUACAAGGUUGUAUCGUCGGUGCACUUCCAAGGGUAUGUUUCAAAUAGAUCAAGGUGUUGCCAAUGCCUAGUCAGAGUAUUAAAGUAUUGAGUGACAGAUUGUUCUCCUUGGCGGAAGUCAUGGAGGAUGGUUUCAAUCUGGAAUAACUCUGAUGUGUUCUCAGAGCUAGAAUAGGUUUCCUUUGCAGCAUCCCAUAUGUCAUUUGCAGUCCCAAACAGAAGAAAAUUCUCACCAAUAUCAUUGUUCAUGGAAUUGAUAAGCCAUGACAUGAUCAUGUUGUUCUCUGACUNNNNNNNNNNNNNNNNNNNNNNNNNNNNNNNNNNNNNNNNNNNNNNNNNNNNNNNNNNNNNNNNNNNNNNNNNNNNNNNNNNNNNNNNNNNNNNNNNNNNNNNNNNNNNNNNNNNNNNNNNNNNNNNNNNNNNNNNNNNNNNNNNNNNNNNNNNNNNNNNNNNNNNNNNNNNNNNNNNNNNNNNNNNNNNNNNNNNNNNNNNCACGUAACAGAGGUUGAUGAGGAAGCCAUCCCGUAUUUUGCCACAGAGAAUACAACUGAUGGGAGAGGAAGGAAGGUAGAUUGUUCAAUUUAUGAGAGAAGAAGGAAAUGGCGGCUGAUAGGAGAACUAGGGUUUAGAGCCAGGCUCUGAUACCAUGAAGAAAAAUGUGAAUUGGUUCCUCUUUUUCUUACUUUCCAGAACAGUAUGUACAGGGAAUAUAUACAGCAAAAUAGGAGAGAAAAUAGGAGACUACAUCUAUCCUUUCCUAAAUAAUAGGAAACAAAAUCUGGAAAGAAUCCUAAUGAAUCUUCCUAUUAUAAUUUAACUUAUUCCGAAAAUAGCCUAGAUUACAAAUAAAUCAUAACUUUGAAUCUUUAUUUUCAACAGUAACUAUUCUUUUCUUUUUAUUUUUCCUUUUCUGAAAGAAACUUAGUUUUGUAUUGUUUGGCAAGCUAGAAAAUGAAAGAAAAUAAAAGAAAGCGCUGUAAAGAAGUUUGUAGAACCUUUAUUACUCUAGCAUUACAACUGAAUGAAUACAGACUGAUAUUUCUAUUAAGCUACAAUUUUCUCAACACACACACAAGUUUGUUACAUCACAUAACCAUUUGCUGCAUAACUAAUUUGACACAUCAGCUCAACCAGCUAACUAACUUUGCCAGGUCAAGCCUAGUGAGUUGAUCUGCUAAAGUCAGCUACACAGCAACAUCAUGCUCUGCUCCAACUUCAUUCAAUUCACUAACAUCCCCCCUCAAGCUGAAAUGUUUAGGAUGAACAUUCAGCUUGCUUCUUAAGUAACUAAACUGUUUGAGAGUAAGCCUUAGUCAACACAUCUGCUGUUUGAUCUUGACUGGGCACAAAACAUACUUCAAUCUCUUUUGCAGUAACUUUAUCUCGAAUAAAAUGUAUAUCCAAUUCGACAUGCUUAGUUUUAGCAUGAUAGACUGGAUUGUAAGCUAAAGCAAUUGCUUCUUGAUUAUCACACCACAUCAUAGGAGUAGAGCUCAAUUUGAUGUUAAGUUCACCAAGUAAAGAUUGUAUCCAGGGAACCUCUGAAGCAGCAUGAGCAAGAGAUCUAUACUCAGCCUCUGUGCUGGACCUGGAAACAACAACUUGUUUCUUUGAUGACCAUGAGACUAGAUUAGGGCCUAGGUAAACAGCAAAGCCAGCCACUGACUUCUUAUCAUCACGAUCACAAGCCCAAUCAGAAUUUGAAAAACAAUGUAGUUGCAAAGUUCCUUUGUUAUUAAAUUGCAGCCCAAGAUGUAUAGUGCCUUUUAAGUACCUCAAUAACCUUUUGCAUGUUUCCCAAUGUUGUGUUCUAGGACUUGAAAUGAAUUGACUUAGGUUGUUUACAGAGAGAGCAAUGUCAGGUCUGGUAAGAGUAACAUAUUGAAGAGCUCCUAUAACACUCCUAUAUUGAGAAACAUUAUCAAUUAGCUCUCCUGAUUCUUUUGUGAGAUAAUAACCAGUAGACAUUGGAGUAGGCACAGGACUGCAAUCUGUCAUGCCAUGUUUAUCCAGAAUGUCAGUAAUAUACUUUGCUUGUGUCAAGGAAACCCCUUGUGAAGACUUGCUGACUUCAAUCCCCAGAAAAUAGCUAAGUUCCCCCAUGUCUUUUAAAGCAAAGGCUUGAUUCAUAAUCUUAAUAACUUGCUGAAUUAGUGUUGGACUGGAACUAGUGAUGAUAAUAUCAUCAACAUAGACCGAAACAAGAGUUAGAUGACCACUGUUCCAGGCAUGAAACAGAGAGUUAUCAGACCUUGAAUGCUAGAAAUGCCGUUUAGAGAUCAUUGCAUCCUUGAAUCUAUCAAACCAGGCUCUAGGUGCCUGUUUUAAGCCAUACAAAGCUUUAUUCAGCUUGCAGAUAUGAUUAGGUUUAGUUGAGUCAACAAAACCUUCAGGUUGAGCCAUGUACACCUCUUCAAUUAAAAUGCCAUUUAGAAAGGCAUUAUUAACAUCUACUUGCCUAAUCACCCAUUGAUUCAAUACUGCUAAGCUAAGAAUAACUCUAACAGUUGAAGCUUUAACUACUGGACUAAAAGUUUCUGUAUGGUCAAUCCCAUGUGUCUGAUGAAACCCCUUUGCAACAAGCCUGACUUUAUAUCUUGAAACUGAACCAUCUGAGUUAUACUUUAUUCGAAACACCCAUUUGCUGCCAACUAUCUUCACUGGAGUAGCAUGUAAAACUAAAUCCCAGGUGUGAUUAGUUUUAAGUGCUAGAUACUUUUCUUGCAUAGCCUUAUACCACAUAGGAUCAGAAAGUGCUUGGGAAACAGAAGUUGGUUCUGAUUUCUGGGCUAAUAAAGCUGACAAAUAAAUUUUUGGCUUGAAAAUACCUGCUUUUGACCUGGUUAUCAUUGGAUGACCAGUUGAUGCAGGUUGUGGCAAUGUAUGUGGAGGUGAAUUAUGUGGUAGUGAAGAAGAAGAAGCUGAGUUGGAAUUAUCAGAAAAAUAAAGUGGAGUAGAAUUUGGUGAGGGAGUAGGAGCAUCUGAAUGAUGAACAUUUUGAUGGUGUUCUGAUGAUGCUGCUAAAGGUGCUUGUAACUGAGUAAUAGAAGGAACAGAGGAAUUGAAAGAAGACUUAUAAUUUUUUGUUGACUAACAACUUGAAGAGAGUGAAGAAAAAUCUGCUCCAGACUCAUAAGGAAAAGAAUUUUCAUCAAAGGUGACAUGAUUUGAAAUGUAAACCCUCUUAGAAGAGUGAAGACACUGAUAUCCCUUGUGUUGUGAAUUGUAGCCAAUGAAUAUACAUCUGGCAGUUCUGAAAUCAAACUUAUGUCUAUUGUAUGGUCUGAGUGUUGGAUAACAAGCACAACCGAAGGUUUUAAGUGUUGAAUAAUCUGGUUGAUGAUGAAAUAACUUUUGGAAAGGAGAAAUGUUGUUUAGAAUUGGAGUUGGAAGUCUGUUUAUCAAAUAGACAGCUGUGUGGAAUGCAUUCCACCAAAAUUUGAGUGGUAAAUGUGCUUGAGCUAAUAAGGUCAGACCUACAUCAACUAUGUGUCUAUGUUUCCUCUCAAUUCUUCCAUUUUGAUGAUGAAUAUGUGGGCAAGGGUGUCUAAAAUGGAUACCAGAAGCAGUGAGUAAUGAGGAAAAUGUUCUGAACUCUUCUCCCCAAUCAGUUUGGACAGUUUUGAUUUGAAGUUGAAGAUGCUUUUCAAUAAAAAUUUUGAAAUUGGUAAACACUUCAAGAGCAUCAGAUUUGGCUGACAAUGGAAAUAUCCAGGUAAAUCUACUAUAAUCAUCUAAGAUUGAUAAGUAGUAAUUAUAUCCUUGGGUAGAACAGACAUGAGAAGGACCCUGAUGGCUGUCGAAGCCAACAAAAAUAAAUUCCUACUCUAAAUAAAUUGUGUAUAGUGAUUGAGCAGGGUCGUGUCCACAGAGAUCGAUAAUUAUUUAAAUCCUUUUGAAACGUAAAACGUAAAAUGGGGGAAUUGUUGACAAUAAUAAAAAUCAAAUUAAAAAUAACAAGAAUGCAAAUUAAAGUUGUAAUUUAAAUUGGAGAAAGCUCUGGUUGAAGGAAUUAACUCAGCUUGAUUCGACUACUGAUCAUUGAUUCAAAUAUAGAUUAUUAUUACUCAUGAAUAGACCGGUUAUAGCUACUGAGACCCUCUAAUAGCCAAUCUCUCCUUAACUAGUCGAUAACCAAGGUACGACCGUUGGUUAUUUCCCUAAUCAAUAGACAACCCUAGAUACGAUCAUAGAAUUUAAUCAAUUGACAGCCUGAAAAACCAGAGAGACCCAAAUCCUAAUCAACACAUAUGAUGAUUCAUUUAAAUUAGAUUGUUUAUUCUCACAACACAACUCUCUGCUAUGUUAUUAGUCACAAGCAUUAAAUUCUUCAUACGAUGAAUCCUUUAAUUGACAAUAGAUUAAGUUGAUAAUUAAAUAGUGGCCAAUUACCUAAUUAACAAACAUAAUCAUGAAAAUAAUUCAGAGAAUAAACAAAUACCCAAAAAGUAAUAAAACAAUUAAAGCACAAGAAAGAUCUCACAGUAGUGAUGAAUCAAAGCUUCAUUAACCUUCAACCAGAAAAAUGGGUUUAGUUUCUCAUAGAGAGAAGAGAAAAAUUAGAUCUAGGGUUUCUUUUUCUCCAAUCCAAAAUUCCCCCCUUUCACAAUAGAUUCCUCCCUUAAAUACUCUCUCUCUCUUCUCCUCUAGAAUUCUAUUUAAAAUAAAAUACUAAUAUCUGAAAUAUUAAAUUCGUAAUUACAAAAAUAACCAAAAAUACAAAACACGUUAAACUAAAAACUGCAGGUCCGCAGUUGACAGCACGCGCCCACGCCUUAUCAAUAAAGUUCUUCUGCCGCUCAUAAUUUCUCCAAGAGAACAAUCAUCCUUAAAAAUCAUCUUGUAGCUCAAUUUUAUCACCAAUCAAUAGAAUUGCACCUACAAAAGUAAAACACAAGUAAAUCAUUAUUAUUAAGUGCAAAACAUCGAUAUUAAGGGAAGUAAACAAUGCAAAACUAGUGCAUAAAUUGCACUCUAACAAAUUCCCCCACACCAAGAUGAUGCUUGUCCUCAAGCAUAUAACUCAAGAUUAAUCCCAAAUCUCCACUCAAUUCUCAUCUCAACUCAUCCAAAAAUAGAAAUUAAGUCGAUCAACAUUCGAGAGACAAGGAUUUUAAAGCAUAGAAUCUCAUAAGAUAGAAUAAGAACAUUCAACCACCAAGAAGAUCCAUUCAAAAUUCAAGUGCAACAAGAUGUAAUAGCCCUCUCAAUAACUUCACUCCAUGCACUCAAAGUGUUUAGGGUGUCAUUUAUCCACUCAAAUCAAAUCAAAGAAUGCUAUUACCAUAAGCUUGCUCAUAUAUCACAUCUCAAUCCACAAAACAUGAAUAAAAUGCAAAAAUCUAAGGGUCUUAAAAGGAUUGUAAUGGGGUUAAAUGGGUUAAAUGAAAAAGAAAGGUUUACGAAAGAAAAAGAGAUCAAAAUGAGAAGAAUGAACUCAUUGAAUGAACUUAUGAUAUCAAAAUGCUUAUUUCUACUCAAGUCACCAAGAAUGUAAACAUUUUUUUUUUCGAUUUUUCUUUUUCUUUUUUUUUCUUUUUCCUUUUCUUUUUCUUUUUUUUUUUCAUUUUUUCAUUUUUUUUUGUUUUUUGUUUUUUGUUUUUUUCGAAUCAAACAAAAGAAACGAACCUUGCACAAUUUAAUUCAAGCAUAAUGCUUGUUGAUCUAAUUGAGAAACUUCAAUACAAGGUAGAAAAAGCAACAAAAUAUAUCCACACAAUGAGUCCAAAAAUCUCCUUAAAUUGAGGCUCAAAAAGAAGAAAAAUGGUUAAGUAGACGGAGAGAAUUAGAUGGGUAAUGGUUAAGGCUCAAACAAAGGUAGCAAAUAAAGGUCUUCGGGUAGAGAAAAAGGAAAAUGCGAGAAUAGAAAAAUGGUAAAUGGUUUGCCCUUAUCAUUUUAAUGCCUAAAAUCCCGUAAUGUGGCUUCAAUAUGCAUAACAAAGCAAAUUCUAGAAUAAACAAACUAGGAUUGAUAUUCACAUAACAAAAAUAAUUAGAGCAAAGUGGUUGCUCAUAGGCUCAAAUCCUCACAAAGUUGGUAAAUUUGCCAUCAAAUCAUGUACACUCUUCAAAUGAAUCAACCAUCAAUAGUGGUGUAGAAUGAGAAGAAGGUAUGAGUGAUAUAUAAAAGAAAAGGUAAAAAUUAUAAGAAGUGAGAAAGAUGUAUGUAGUAAUAUGAAAAGUGAAAGAUAAAAUGUGAGUGAUGAAAGAGUAUGGUAAAAUAAAAAUAGAUAUGAAUAGUUUGAGAUAGAUGGGAAAAAAGUAGUGAGAAAGAAAAGAAAAGAAAAUUAAUAAUAUAUGAAGCAUACUAACUCCAAAAUCAUUUAAGGAUGAGUAGAGUGAAAAUAGAUGAGUAGAGUGAAAAUAAUAAUUCCAGACAUCAAUAAUGCAAAAAUCCCUCCCCCACACCAAGAACUUACAUUGUCCCCAAUGUAAGAUAAUCAAAGCUCACAUAAAAAUUAAAGCGUAAGGAUAAAAGAUUAAGGGCAAAAAAAAAAACUUCCCUGAAUUGUGAGCUUUGAUCCACAUAACGUCUAUGGGCUUGGCGGAAAUGGUGGGGUAAAUCCCACACUCUCGAAGUAUGCGGCCAAAUUCUGCUCCAUCUUGUUCAGCUUGUGCUCCAUUUUCUCUAACUGAAUACUCAAAGGUGGUGCGGAUGUAGAAGGAAUAGUUGGCGGGGCAGCAGUGUCGUCGUCAAACUCGUCAUCAGAGGUAGCACCACUCCUAGCAUAAAGCUUCUUCGGAAGUUGAGUGGGUCCUGGUUCAGUAAACUGAAAUCUCCCCUCCUUGAAUUCAACCACACCUGUUCUUUCAAACACAGACAUAUCCAAAAAUUCCUUUUUGCAAGCAGGAUGCAAAUCAUUAUUGUCGGGAUCAAGAACACAUAGGUUUAUAGCUAACAGAGUAAUGUAUGGACCAAGAAAUAAAGUCCUAUACCGUUUAAGCACAUUUUGAAAUUGAUCCGCUAACCAAAAACCUAAAUUAGGCCUCACAUCAUUUAACAUGCACCAGAUAAAAUAAAAUUCAGUUUUAGAGAAAAUUCCCGAGUGAUCUUUCUUGCCUAAAAAAUUAUAUGCUAAGAAUCGAUGCACACAUUUCAAAACAGGAUCACGUAAGAAAGAACUCUUUGAUUUACUCGGGUCAUAGGCAUUGUGAUCAACAGAUAAAUUACGCCAAAGACCAUAAGGCUCAAAAUUUUCGCUAAAGUCACAAGUUGUUCCUAAAUAUGCAUCACUAGAAGAAUAAUCAUCAUCAAUGAAUCCUAAAGCUAGGUUAAAAUCCGUGAUAGAGUGUGAAAAAUUUCGUCUCAUUAACCUAAACUUAAUGACAUUCGGGGUAUGCAAAGUAAAAUCAUUCGGCAUAGUAAAUUGAAAAGUAGCAUAAAACUCCCUAAUCAACUCAACAUAACCCAAACAAUCAACAUCAACAAAUUUACGCAACCCAAUCUUAUCUAUCAAAGAAUCAAAAUUAUCCUUAACAUUCAAUUUUUCAAGAGUCGGGUAAUGAAUAUACUUAGCUGGAAGUAUUUUGCAAGUGGAAAUAUCUUUGUACCUCUCUUUCUCUUGUUGAGUCGCGAACGCGAGGCACCCUCCGAGAUUGGAUUCCGCAAGUGGCAAAACACUCAUGCCUUUUCCAUGCUUCGAUCUUUGUCUCACGGCUUUGCGUGAAUCUGAAAUUGUGUUCCAUGGAACCGUAGUGGGAGCGGCAAUCUUAGAUUUCUUUACGACGGGUUUCUUUUUCGAUGACUUGGAAGUAGAUGCUUUCCUCUUCGGCAUUGUUACAAUAAUUGCACUCACGGAUUUCGAUUUACCCGGCUGGAAUACAUGACGUAGGCUGGUUGCGUUGCGUUGCUGCUCGACUGGAGCUUGCUGUGCGGGUUGGAGCUGGUUGCGCACUGCUGGGCUGCGAGACACGGGAUGCUGGUGCUGCGCUCGCGGGGGCUUGCGUUGCGAGCUGGUGAUUCGCGUUGCUGGUUCGUGCUGCGUUGCGGGGCUGCUGGUGGGACUGAUGUUGCGCGUUGCGGCUGGGGCUGGAUCUACGCACUGCUGUGUGAUUCGCGAGAGCCGGUUCGUCUGCGUUGCUGUGCUGCACUGAGGUUGAUUCGCGUUGCUGCUGGUUGCGGUGCGCGAUGCUGCGCCCGGCGGCUGGGGCUGGUGGGGCUUGCUGCUGGAAAACGAUAAUCAACAGUAAUUUUUUUGAAUUAGGGAUUUGUGAACAGUGAUUUUCGAAUUUUUUUUUUUUUUUUUUUUAGUGAUGAAUCACUUUGAGACACUAAAAAUUUCAGAAGUACUUUUUUAAUAAGCACGUGGGCACGCCUUAUCAAAAAUUUUCUUCUGGCCAAAAUAAGCAAACACAUUAUUUUAAAAAAAAAUCUGAAUCAAAAUUAAAAGAAGAUAUAACAAAAACCAAAAUAAAUAAAUCAUUUGGGUUGCCUCCCAAAAAGCGCCUUUGUUUUAUGUCUUUGGCUAGACACGUUUAUGCAUCAAUCUCCAUAAUUGGGACUCUCGAGAGCCACAUCCUCCACAAUAUUCACCGAAAAACCUUCAUAAAAAGGUUUUAAGCGAUGACCAUUAACCUUAAAAACUUUGUCAGAGGUCGGACUCCGAAUCUCAACUGCACCAUGAGGAAAAACAUUAGUAACAAUAAAAGGUCCAACCCAGCAAGAACGUAAUUUACCCGGAAAAAGUUUAAGCUUAGAAUGAAAAAGAAGAACUUUUUGACCAACAGAGAACUCCUUUCUCAAAAUCAUUCUAUCAUGAAAUGUCUUCGUCUUUUCCUUGUAAAAAAUUUCCUGCGCUAUAGGGUUAAUAACAUCCACAGAAAAUACCGAAUGUUCCUCACUAGGAUAUUUCAUGGUAUCAUUCAUAUUGAAUCCUAUAACCUCUCCAUCAAACUCCAUAGUGAGAGUCCCUUUAUGUACAUCCAUUUUAGUCAUAGCAGUCUUAAGAAAAGGUCUUCCUAGCAAAAUUGGGACAGAAUUAGAGGAGUUAUCAUCUUCCAUAUCAAGUACAUAAAAAUCAGCAGGAAAAACCAACUCAUUAACUUGUACUAAGACAUCUUCUAAUACCCCAUCAGGAUAUGCAUUAGACCUAUCAGCUAGUUGAAUUAUCACGCCAGUUUCUUUUAAUGGACCAACAUUCAAAGAUGAAUAAAUGGAACGAGGCAUGACAUUAAUAGAAGCUCCUAGAUCUAACAUAGCCUUUUCAACUCUAACACUACCAAUUUUACAAGGGAUAGUAAACAUACCUGGAUCCUUGCACUUAGGAGGUAGUUUCUUUUGGAAAAUUGCUGAAACAUUCUCCCCCAUGUGAACUUUUUCAUCUCCUCUUAAUUUUCUUUUGGAGGUGCACAGUUCCUUAAGGACUUUAGCAUAUCGAGGUAUUUGUUUUAUAGCAUCUAAUAAAGGAAUAUUUACCUCAACCUUGCGAAAUGUCUCAAGGAUGUCUUUCUCUUGUUCUUCCUUCUUGGAUUUUGCAAACCGGCUUGGAAAAGGAGGAGGUAUCACAAUAGGUAGGGGUUUCGCUCCGGUGGGUUGUGCAUCUUGAGAUUGAGGCAUCAAUUCAUUCUUCUCAAGCUCAUCUUCUACAUGCUCUGUCACUUUCUUACUAGGCUCUUGCAACUCCUUCCCACUUCUAAGGAUGAUAGCACUAACGUUUUGCUUUGGAUUCACCUCAGAUUAUGAAGGCAAUCUUCCUAAUACUCGAGACUCCAGAUGGCUUACUGUAGUCGCCAAUUGACUCAUUUGGUUCUCCAAGUUCUGAAUGCUUGCUGUAGUUGCCUGCUGAAAUUGUUGAGUGUUAGUCGCAAGUGAUUUAACAAUUUCUUCAAGAGAUAUACCUGACUUGGAGUUUGACUGUGGAGGUGCUGGUUGUCUUGGUGGAUACUGUUGUGGGAAUCCUGACGGUUUAACUCCAUAGCUGAAGUUGGGAUGAUCCUUCCAUCCCAGAUUGUAUGUUUGUGCAUAAGGAUCAUACCUCCUCUGAGGCAUGCCUGGAAAUCCUCCAACUGCAUUGGCUUGUUCAACGAGUUCUUCUUGGAGUGUAGGACACAUAUAAGUUGAAUGACCCAUAUUGUAACAAAUGCCACAAGUCUUCACCUGUUGCACAUUACCUACAACAAACUUUUCCACAAGAGAAGUAAGUUUAUCUAAACGUUGUUCAACAAAAGAAAUAUUUACCUCAUUCACCUUCCUUGAAGUGGGAUCUUGCCUGCUACUAAAUUGUUGUGCAUUGGCAGCCAUAUUUGAGAUCAACUCCCUUGCUUGAGUAGGGGUUUUGUUCACCAACACACCUCCACUAGCAGCAUCUAUCAUACUUCUAUCCAUUAAUGAUAGUCCUUCGUAAAAAUAUUAAAUAAGAAGUUGAUCAGAAAUCUGAUGCUAAGGACAGCUGGCACACAAUUGUUUGAAUCGCUCCCAAUACUCAUACAAAGUCUCCCCAGGAAGUUGUCUGAUCCCACAAAUAUCUUUUCUGAUGUUGGCAGCUCUUGAAGUAGGAAAGUACUUCUCAAGGAACUGCUUUUUCAAACCAUUCCACGUUGUAAUUGAUCCAGGAGGCAAGUAGUACAACCAAUCUUUAGCUAGCCCAUCUACAGAGAAUGGAAAAGCACGCAACUUAAUCUGCUCUUCAGUCACGCCUUGUGGCCUCAUACUUGAGCACACAACAUGAAACUCCUUGAGAUGUUUAUGAGGAUCUUCACCUGCAAAACCAUGAAACUUGGGUAAUAAAUGAAUAAGCCCAGACUUUAAUUCAAAAUUUACCUCCAAGUCUACAUAUUGAAUGCAGAGUGGUUGUUGAUUCAAGUCUGGUUCAGCUAACUCUCUAAGAGUUCUUUCUACAGGUGCAGGUCUAUCCAUCACUUGUUCUUCUGAAUCGCUAGAUGAUUCAACUAAAUCAGGCACUGUAUCUGUUUCAGAAAGCAAAGGCGACGAGGAUCGUUGCUUAGCUCGCUUUGUCUGCUGUCUCAGUUGGCGAGCUGUCUUCUCAAUUUUAGGAUCAAACGAAAGUGUACCUGUACGAGAAGAACGAACCAUACACCAAGUAAAACGUAAAAAAGAUUAAAUAAAUGACACCAAUCCCCGGCAAUGGCGCCAAAAUUUGAUGGGUGUCGAAGCCAACAAAAAUAAAUUCCUACUCUAAAUAAAUUGUGUAUAGUGAUUGAGCAGGGUCGUGUCCACAGAGAUCAGUAAUUAUUUAAAUCCUUUUGAAACGUAAAACGUAAAAUGGGGGAAUAGUUGACAAUAAUAAAAAUCAAAUUAAAAAUAACAAGAAUGCAAAUUAAAGUUGUAAUUUAAAUUGGAGAAAGCUCUGGUUGAAGGAAUUAACUCAGCUUGAUUCGACUACUGAUCAUUGAUUCAAAUAUAGAUUAUUAUUACUCAUGAAUAGACCGGUUAUAGCUACUGAGACCCUCUAAUAGCCAAUCUCUCCUUAACUAGUCGAUAACCAAGGUACGACCGUUAGUUAUUUCCCUAAUCAAUAGACAACCCUAGAUACGAUCAUAGAAUUUAAUCAAUUGACAGCCUGAAAAACCAGAGAGACCCAAAUCCUAAUCAACACAUAUGAUGAUUCAUUUAAAUUAGAUUGUUUAUUCUCACAACACAACUCUCUGCUAUGUUAUUAGUCACAAGCAUUAAAUUCUUCAUACGAUGAAUCCUUUAAUUGACAAUAGAUUAAGUUGAUAAUUAAAUAGUGGCCAAUUACCUAAUUAACAAACAUAAUCAUGAAAAUAAUUCAGAGAAUAAACAAAUACCCAAAAAGUAAUAAAACAAUUAAAGCACAAGAAAGAUCUCACAGUAGUGAUGAAUCAAAGCUUCAUUAACCUUCAACCAGAAAAAUGGGUUUAGUUCCUAAUAGAGAGAAGAGAAAAAUUAGAUCUAGGGUUUCUUUUUCUCCAAUCCAAAAUUCCCCCCUUUCACAAUAGAUUCCUCCCUUAAAUACUCUCUCUCUUCUCCUCUAGAAUUCUAUUUAAAAUAAAAUACUAAUAUCUGAAAUAUUAAAUUCGUAAUUACAAAAAUAACCAAAAAUACAAAACACGUUAAACUAAAAACUGCAGGUCCGCAGUUGACAGCACACACCCACGCCUUAUCAAUAAAGUUCUUCUGCCACUCAUAAUUUCUCCAAGAGAACAAUCAUCCUUAAAAAUCAUCUUGUAGCUCAAUUUUAUCACCAAUCAAUAGAAUUGCACUUACAAAAGUAAAUCAUUAUUAUUAAGUGCAAAACAUCGAUAUUAAGGGAAGUAAACAAUGCAAAACUAGUGCAUAAAUUGCACUCUAACAGACCCCAAAGAUCUGCAUAUAUCACUUGUAAGGGUGCUGAAGUUUUUGUUUCAACUGAAUCAAAAUGCAGCAUAUGAUUUUUCCCAUAUUGACAUGCUGAACAAAAUUUCAAGCUUUCAAUUUUAUUAUAAGCAGUAGAGUUGUUACAAGUUUUGAGUAUAGUUUUGAGAGUAUAAGAUGCUGGGUGUCCUAAUCUUCUAUGAAGAAGAUUUACAUCAAUAGAACUCUUUGUAACAACUGACAGACAUGGCUUUUUAUUCAAUUCAUAAGAACUAACAGCAGUGAGCUGAUCAGAAUUGAAAACAGGAGAACAAGCAAAGAGAGUGAAUUUUAUUUUGACCAACUGAAUUGAGAAAGACUGAAUGAGCAGCAACAUGUGAAGAGACUCUAUACAAGUCACCUUUAGCAACACCUUCAAGUAAAAUUUUCCUUGUGUUCCUAGCCUUUAUAAAAAACAAAUCACCAAGAAAUUCCAACAGUAACUGGAUUGUCAGCCAAUAAUUUUGAAAUGCUAAGCAAAUUCUUAGUAAUAAAAGGGACAUGAAGAACAUGGUUUUUAAAGGUUUAGAAGUUGAAGUAUUUAGCACAACUGAUCCUACAUGUGUAAUAGCUAAUGCAUUUCCAUCUCCAACAAACAAUUUUUCAGUACUAGUAUAAAUUUGUGAAUCCAGAAGUUUACCUAGAUCAUUUGUAAUGUGAUUUGUUGCUCCACUAUCAAUAUACCAUGAAGGAUCUUCAAUGUGUUCUGGUGGAAGUGAAGAAGGCAUAGCUGAGGAAGAUGAAGCACUUGACUGUCCAGGAUUAUUAUUUCCUUGACCAGAAACAAAAGUAGAUGGUCUAGGGGUGAAUGAGUAAUAAGCAGAAGGAUUACUAUCUGGAUACACCAUAUUUCCUUGAUAGCCAAAACCAGCAUUUAAACCAAAACCUCCAAAACCUCUGCCACCAUUACCAUUAAAAGCUCUUCCUCUACCAUAUUGCCCUUGAUUAAAACCUCUGCCACCAUUCAUAUUACCUCUGCCAUAGUUUCUCUGUGGAACAAAAGAUGAAUUGUACCUAUUUUUGCAUCUAUUGGCUGCAUGACCAGGUAUGAAGCAGAUUUGACAAACAGUUUCAGAGGAAUUACCACCAUUAUUAAACUGACCAUAUCCAUAUCCAUUAAAACCUCCAUACCUAGAAUUAUUUCCAUAAUUUUUUUGAAAAUUGCCAUUAUUCUUUCCAGCAUAUGAGUUCUUCUGAGCAAUAUUUGCUGUCAUAUUGUGCAUCACAUCACCAGCAAUUUUUCCUUUCUUUUGUUCAACUCUAUUUUCAUGAUUCAAUAGCAAAGGAUAUAGUUCAUCUAAUGUUAUCUUCUCACCUCGAGCUAAAACACCUGUGACUAAAGAUUCAUAAUCUGAUGAAUCAAGACCAGUUAAUACAUGAAUCACAAGAUCACUUAACUCAACAGGUUUUCCAGCUAGAGCUAAAGUAUCAGCUAUACGUUUUACUUUUGCAAAGUAAUCAGACAUAUGCAUUGCACCUUUCUUAAUAGUUUGAAUCUGCAUUCUAAGUGUUUGAAUUCUAGCUUGUGAUUAAGAAAUAAACAUACUAGUAAGAGUCUUCCAAAGCUGUUUUGAAGUUGUGGAGUCAAUCACAGUAGCAAGUAGAUUUUGCUGUAUCGACGACAUCAUCUAACUCAACAGAAGUUGAUCAGUCUUCAUCCAAGCUAUGAACUCUGGAUUAAUAGAUUUGGAUUCAGAUUCAGUAAAAAUUUCAGCUCCAUUGUUGUUUCCAAAAGAAAGAAACUACUCAGGACAUUCUUGAUCACCAUUGAUAAACCCUUCCAGACCGUUUCCUUUGAUCGAUGCUAAAAUUUGUGCCCGCCAUAAAAUGAAGUUGUUUUGGUCUAGCUUUGCAGGCGUAACAAAACUAAAAGAGUUGUUAUUUUGAACUGUAUUCGCCAUUUAUGGCUCUAAUACCAUGAAAGAAACUUAGUUUUGCAUUGUUUGGCAAGCUAGAAAAUGAAGAAAAUAAAAGAAAGCUCUGUAAAGAAGUUUGUAGAACCUUUAUUACUUUAGCAUUACAACUGAAUGAAUACAGACUGAUAUUUAUAUUAAGCUACAAUUUGCUCAACACACACACGAGUUUGUUACAUCACAUAACCAUUUGCUGCAUAACUAAUUUGACACAUCAGCUCAACCAGCUAAUUAACUUUGCCAGGUCAGCUUAGUGAGUUGAUCUGCUAAAUUCAGCUACACAGCAACAUCAUGCUCUGCUCUAGCUUCAUUCAAUUCACUAGCAUUUUCCCUUGAUACAUUAGGAGAAAAGACUGCCUGUGAGAUACAACAAUGUAAAUAACUUCUCAUGGUUCAUUGAAUCUAUAACGCACUGAGCCCUAUUCUAAAAUAUGUAGGUUGCUUCUGAAAAAGGGCUUUUCUCACUGAUCUUUAAUCUUCAAGAAAGUUUGUUUCAUUUCAGAAGGUAUAAGUUUCAAACUUAUUGUAUUGGGAGGUUGUAUAGUUGUAACCUAAGCAUCUGCAGGUUCCUGGUUCAACACAUUAUAGUAUGGUAUUUUAUUUUGUCACAAGGCAAUUGGUUACGGGAUCACUUUUGCAACGGUUUGUUGAUGGCGAUGAUGAAUUUCGCAAUAGUAGGUUGAAACUUAUUCCAUCUGUUCCUAAGGUAUCCAUCUUGGCCUUCAUGUAGUAGGACUAUAUUAACGUAUACUUACCCUUUACUGCAUGGUACACUUCAAUUUGUACAAAGAAGGCAUGCAUUUAGGUGUGAAUGUAUUGAUGGGUUGUACCUUCAAACUUUAUCUCCUUUUUACCCUCUUGAAUUUGUUUUGCACUUGUUCUUGAUUUUCAGCACUGAAUCAUGCAGGGGUCAUGGAUAGUGCGCCAGAGUGUUGGAAGCACCCCUUGUUUAUUGGGGAAGGCAGUUGAUUGUAACUAUAUUCGCGGUCCCAAGUACUUAGAAGUAAAUGCUCUUGGAAUUUCUAUAGUACAUGAGAUGUUCCCCUUUCAAAUAGCGUCCAAUACCUUUAACAUGGUUUAACAUUGUUCAUCUUUCUGUAGAUUGAUGUUGACAUCGAUUCUUCUACUGUUGCUAAUGGAGUUUUGGGCCUUGUAAUUGGUGUAAUUACGACAUUGGUGGUUGAGAUGGCUUUCCUUGUACAGGUAUGUAUGAUUGUUUUUUUCCCCCACUGCUAAAUGGACACAAGGGAAAAGACAUGAUUUUGAGAUAUUGCACUGCAACUUGCAUUUUUGCAUACUUGAAUGUUCUCAGAAUGAUAUAAUGCUUCUGUGUGUGUCUUCUUUAUCUUGCUCUUCUGUAUGCAGGCAAAUACUACAGAUGAAUUACCGGAGCGGCUGAUUGGUGCUGUACGUGUUUCUCAUAGAGAACUCAAGUCUGCUGUUGUCCCAAAGCUGGAACCAGAGAUAUCAUGACUCUGGUUUCAUUUCAGCUCAACUGUGUUUUUUUUUUAAUUAAAAAAAUCAUUUGUUUUAGGUAUACAUACAUGUAUUUUGAUUCUAUUUUCAUUGUAAUUUCUCAUUUACUUUGAAUGAAAGUCAUUGGUGUUUUCGAAUGGGAAUUUUGCAUUAAAAAAUGAAGAAUAAUGAAUAGGAAAUUUCCUGAUUCUUUAGUUACUAUUUUUGGUAUGAGUGUAAUUAGUAGUAAAGUAGGUUUCUACUCGCAAACAAGUGAACUACUCGAUUCCCGAGUGGUAUCAACCAGUUUCCAACUUUUUAAUAUACACUAAUUGUUAUUGUUUAAUAGCUACUACUAUUAAAACUCAACAGCUAGCAAAAAUACUUAAAAAAAAUGAUUUUUCUUAUGAUGCUGUGAAAAAAAUUACGGGUGUACUUCUUUCCAUGAGAUCUAUAACAUGGUCUCGACUUCACGAAAUUCUUUUAAUUUAAAGCGUGCUGGUGUGAGGUCAGUUUAACUGAUUAAUUCUUUUUAACAGUGGUCGAGAUAAUUUUACUAUACUAAAAAAUAUUCUUAUUCUGAUAAUGCCACAAAUGUUAUGCUGUUUUCUUCAGAUAAUGAUCUUCCAUUAGGAGAGGUUAGAAAUCAAAUGCUUAAAAGACCAAUUGAACGAAUAAUACAGAAAUUUAGGCAGAAUCUAAUAGAAUAUUGCAUGAAACAUGAAACAUCAAUUCAAGUCCUUUCUUAAACGGAGAAUGCAUCAAACAAAAUCCAAAGUGUCUUGCAAGUCUGUAGCGUGAGCAAAAAAUUGUAAAUAUGUAGAACCAAAUUAUUCAAGUACAGAAGAACGAGCAAGCUAAAUCAUGUAUAAGAGAUUGGCCUGGUUCGGGAUAGCUUCUUCACUGUAUCUGAAGGGUUGGCUCAAUCUCUUCUUUAGAAUUCUGCAGAUUUUGUAAUUACUCGUGUAAGCAAGUAUACAUUGCCACCAUAAGAAUAAUGAAGCUAGAGUAAUGAUAUGACCACCACCUCUUGUGCACAAACAAUAUUGUAUAAACUAAUGCGACAUAAUAUGAUUGGUUAAACAAAAACAUUACAUGGCCCUCAUAAUUUAUUUAUUUAUUUAUUAUUAUUAUUAUAUAUUUUCAGUCAACCAAUCAUAUUAUAUCACAUUAGUUUCUAUAAAAUAAUUUGCUAAAUAGCACCAAAACUUAAUUGAUACUCACCAUUUCAUUGAACAAUUUUUUUAUGGUGUCAUUGAGGUUGCCUUCCCAACAUCGUUCAUCAUCAUCUUUUUCUUCUUUGGUGACGUUCACUUUGUUUAGCAUUGGUGUGUCUAAGAGUCCUUGAGAGAAGAUCUUCAUUUUUGGACACUGUCUCACAACUACUUGUUUCAAGGACGGGAAUUCAAGAGCGUAAUUACCUAAACAAAAGCUUGUUAGGCUUGGCAAACAAUCAAGUCUCAAGUACUCCAAUUCCUUGAAAACAUUGCAAUCUUUCGCUUCUUCUCCAACCUGCAAUUGUAUGAUUUGUUCUAUCAUUUUGCAAUCAACUAUCAUCAUUCUUUUGAGAUUCACUAGAUUUUUAGAUGCUGAGAGCGUCAACACAUUUAUCAAUCCGUGACACUUCGAUACUGCCAAAGCCUCAAGAUUUUCCAAAUGCCACGAAGGUGGUACUAAUUUUUGCAACUUACUACAUUCCGAUAUUUUUAGACUUUUCAAGUUUGCAAACACUUUGUUGGAUUCGGCAUUUUCCUUCCAGAGAUGGUGCACUUUGUGUAAUCCAGACAGCUCUAACCAUCUCAAUCGAGGGAAUGAAACCUGAAAAUCAACAAAAUUAAGUUGUAAAUGAAAAUAUGUAUCCAAUCUCUGCAGUCUUCCCCUGCAUAUUUUAUGGACAAGAUUAAUCACGACAUUUUAUAUUUUUUUUCCAAAUUAGAAUGCUUUGCAGUAGGAUCCCAAAUAUAAGUAUCAAAUCGAUUACCCUUUGAAACACAUAAAUGAAAUCUGAUACUAAAUCCAAUAUGAAUUAGCUAGGAAAACAGAGAUGUUACACACAUAAUUAAUAGAGUUCAUCACCUCGUGUUACCAGGCAUCCAAUUAAUUUAAGACAUUUUAAUAAUUCAUAUUAUAAAGUUAGUUGAUAGCGGAGGUUAUAUUGUUAAAUCAUAUAUAAAUUAAGACGACGUGCAAAAAGAGGAGUCAUUAAAUUCGAUUUGAUUCUAACGAAAUUACAUCUAUGCGAAUGAAAGUGAAGGGAAAUAAUAAUAAUAAUAAUAAUAAUCACCUUUUCAUCGAAGAGAGGUUGUACUUGAUGAGCCAGCAAGAAGUUCUCUUCUGAUGUUAAUUUUUGAGGUUCCUUAUUAUCCGCUGUCAUGUGCAGUACAGAGUUGGAUAUGAAUGUUUCUAUAUCUCGGCAAUUCUCAAUAGUUAGAUUUCUCAACAUAGGCAUUUCAAUUAUAUUCCCAGUGAAGUUGCAGAAUCUUUUGAGUUUUGGAAGAUCAGUGAGCCUCAGCCUGUAAAGCUUAGGAAACAGGGGGCUUAUAUGUUCUUUGUCAGCAUUUAGCUCCUCCAAAUGAAGCACCUCUUCUAUUGAAUCACAAUUCCUCUCUUCCAGCCAUACCAAAUUGUUCAAGCACCGUAGCAGAUUGGCAGGAAUAGCACUCGACAUAUUCGUGCAGUCAUCCACAGCCAGUUGUCGUAAAUUGUUGAAGAAGCUGACAGGCAGUGCUUGGCCAUGCCAUAUUUCUUUCAAACGUGGAAAAUGUGAGAGUUGCAAAUCCCAUAUGUCACGGAAUCCAAUCUGCACAAACAAAAACAAUUGCACUGGAUAUAUAUAAAUUUUUUUUUUGAAUCAACUUACAUGUUUUGUGUUUUAACUUCUAAAACUAUAUAUACAAGGCAGGUGUAUAUGUUCAAAUGUCCAAGUGCAAGGGAGAUGCAUAAGUAAUUUCGACGAAUCGAUUUAACACAUACCAUUUCUUCGUAACACUUUUGUAUAGUGGAAUUAAGGUUGCCUUCCCAAUGGCGCAAUUCACCCUCUCCCUGUUAAGAAUAGAAUUAGUUAGUUAAUGAGUAUGCUGACAUGGCAGCUGAGUCAGCUAAAGGUUGUUAUAGAGGUUGUUAGUAGUAAACUGUGCGUGUGUGCAAUGUGUGUAGAAUCUUCUAUGCACAUAUAAAAAGGCUUGUAAUUUCCAGAUUCAUUAGAUCAAUAAUAACAGAAUUCUCAGCUUACAGAAGUUUUCUUUCUUCCUAUUUUCUUAGUAACCAAACAACAUCACAGUUUCAUAUAAAACUUAAUACUUCCUUUUUACUCACAUGCACUUCGUGCAGCUUUGGUGUGGAUACGAUUCCCUGAGAAAAAGUCUUCAUGUUCGGGUAACAUGUCAUAGAAACUCGUUCCAAUGAUGGGAAUUCAAGAGUGUAAUCCUCCAAACAAAAGCUGGUAAGCCUUGGUAAAUGAUUUCAGGUAAUUUUUAAAUAUUCUAAAUUCAUUUAGAAUAUUUAAAUGAAUUUAGAAUAUUCACUAUUUAGUAUUAGGAAUGGAGAAAGAAUUUCAGGUAAUUUUUAAAUAUUCUAAAUUCAUUUUUCAUCUUGAUUCUAGUUUUUUAAAAAAAUUUAAUUUUCAAACAUGCGUAUUUUUAAAAUAACUAAACUAAAACGCUGUAUUUCCCUUUUUUUCCCGAUAUUCAUGCUUUUAAAAAUGGAAAACAUUUCUGGAAAACACUUCCCAACGCCAUCAACAUGGGACUGUUAUAGAUGAAUUAAGGAAAAGAGAAAUAUAUAGAUGAAUUUGUGAACCUAUAAGAUGAGUGACUAUCCUUUAAUUUUUGAAAAUUGUACUUAUUAAGAUAUGAGCAGAAACAAUUAAAUUGAAUUAUAUUAUGCUGUUGAAUCGUGAUUAAAAAAAUUAUAUUGUUGAUUCUAAUGCUGGCGAACCUAAAAACUGGACUUAAAAUGUAGAUUUGAGAGUGGUGGUUCGAAGUACAAUACUUGAAAUAAAUAAUCAGUGGCUGAAUAUCAUUUGUAAACAAAAAAUGGUUAAAAUAUUGUUGGAUGUAAUUUGAAAAAAAAAAAAAGAUUCGAAAUGAAUACAGCAACCUUACCAAUGGAGGAAAAAUAUUCUUUAGGUUAUCACACUCAAAUAUCUCUAAAUUCUUCAAUUUGCUGAAAGACUCCGAAGCAAGUUGGUGGUGCCAUAUUAUUCUCAAAUUAUUCAUCCAGCUAAUAUGUAAUACCUCCAACCUAGGAAGUCGUACCUGGCAGUUAAAGAUUAAAUAACUAAUUAAUCAAUUAAUUGCAUAAUCAAUUGAUAACUAAAUUAGAGGCAGAUAUUAACUAAACUUGAAGACUCAAAGAAAAGACAAAUUAAAUAUUGUGACUAAAAUUAAUUUUUUUUAUUAAAAAAAAAACCUUUUCGUCAAAGAGAGGAGGAGGUUGCAUUUCAGAAUGAUUGGUGUCUUCUGGUGAGCUCGUAGAGAUGAAUCUUAACAUAUUCCAGCAACUCUGAAUCUCGAGGUUUAGCAAAGAAGGGAAUUCAACAACUAAAUCUGAAUUAAUAUGUCCCGUAUUGGCAAAGCUUGUUAGUUUAUAAAGCCAAUAGAGCUCCAGGGAGUGUAGUUUAGGAAAAACCUUUAAUUCAAUCAACUUUCCUUCUUCUCUUUCUGACCACCCCGUGGUGUCGACUACCCCUUCCAUUGACUCACAAGAUCUUAUCUCAAGAUGCUGGAGUUGCAAAAGACUAUUAACCAUAGAAUAGGAAAACAGAUACUUCAUACGAUGACAACUGCUCACGUACAGCUUUGUUAAAUUUCGACAACAGUACAUUCCUUGAUUAUGAUCGGCCCAUAAUUUUUUCAUGUUUCUUAAUGACCUGAGAUCCAAUUCCUCUAAGCUCGGAAGAAUAACCUGCAAAGAAUACCCGUACAUUUUUGUUCCUUCAAGUACAACCGUCUAGUAUAAUAUUCUUUUGAUGAUCGAAGAUUAAUCGUGAUAAUAAAUUAAUCAAUUAAUUAUUGAACAGAAAAUUAUCACCUUUGGAGCAGGAUCAUCAUCAGCAGUGAUUUCGUUGAAUCCCAAAGAAGUUGUUGGUUUCUCCCUGUCGGGUCCUAUAAACAAACAAAAACAAUAUACAUAAUUAAUCUUUGUUUUUUUUUUCAAAAUAAUUGAGGCGAAGUCAAUUAUCCCACCGGUACUUAAUUUCAACACUUACCAACAAUCAUUUCCUGAUCAUCGCAAAAAGCCACUUCUACCUUUUGAAGCCGCAGUAGGUUUUUGGCUAUGGAGAAUGAGAAAAGAUGCUUCAAUUUGUGACAGAAUUUUACUUCUAUAAUCCUUAAGUUGCUGAAAGAUUGAUCUUCUGUGAGUUGGCUGUCACAUAUUGUCUCCAAAUUGAUCAAACGACGAAGAGACAAUGACUCCAGCAAGGGGAAGACUUUGCGACGAACCCGUCCAACUGAACAGACAAUAUGCAAAAUCUCAGAACAACUUUCUGCAGAAAGAUGCUUCAAUCGUGGAUAACCUUCCCCAUCAUCUAAUUCAUGAACAACAUUCUGAACACCCUUCAGUUCUUCUAGAUAGAGAUAUUCAGUUCUCGUCAACAACAGUUUCAUCCUGUAAUUCUGCAAAAGAACGCCAAACUUUUCCAGCCCCUGGAGCUUCAUCAAUCUUGAUAAUCCAGAUUUAACGGACCAGCUGCUCCACCACUUAUUUCCUAUACAUAUCCUAUAGCUUUGUAAUUCCACAGAGACGAAAUCCUGCGGUAAAAUUUCGGCAUCCCGAACAUGUAUCUCCAAAGUAGUUAGCUUUGACAGCCCAUUCAAUUCAGCAAGACUGGCGUUACUUCCUCCUUCAACCUUCUCCCACUGUGAAAAGCUGUUACCAAUAUAUAGUUCUUCUAAUCGAGAUAAUUUUGAUAUGACAUUUGGAGCUAUCACCACAAGACUGCUACAAUUUCUCAAAUCUAGCAACUGUAAUCUCGUCAAUUGUCCAAUUACAACUGGCAACUCCUUAACAUCAGAAUCUCGGAAGCUGAGAAUCUCUAAUUUCCUUAGCUGUCCAAUUAUAGUUAUUUCGUUCAGUCGGCAACCGUCUAAACACAAUGUUCGAAGGUUAAUGAGGCGACCAAGUGAUGAAGGUAAUGAAGAGAAAAAUAUGCCAGUAAAAUCUAAAACUUUGAGUUCUUCUGUCCCUUCAAAAAAGAGGUCUGAAAUUUGCAAAGAGCUAUCACGCUUUGAAAACAACAAAAGUAACUCGAGACGGGGACAUCCCAACCUUUCGGGAAGCUCUUGAAUAUCUCUAUAAGGUAAAGAAAUAGCAAUUGGACCUUCCCGUAUUGUCUCUUCCAUCUUUUUCUCCACGUAGGCAACAUUUGGAAUAUUAAACAUGAGCUCCUUUUCUGCAAUUGAUACAGCAACAGCAUGAAUGAUGUCAUGCAUUUUAACUUCAUCUUCAGCAUCACCGUCCAACAAUAAGCAUGAAGAUUUGAGUUUGUCGAUCAAUGCAUCCACUCUAUUCCUUGCAUUUUCCAAUGUGCGAACAUAUUUAAACAAACCCAAACCCAUACCCAUACCAUAUCUCAACAAGGAAGCAACUUGUAUAGGAGUACCUUCACCAAAUAGAGAACAAAGAAGGAACAAAGAUUUUGCUUCAUCACUUUCCAAGAAGUCGUAACUCAAUUUUAUGGAAGAAUACACAUCUGCAUCCAUACCAUGAAUUUCUCUUAGAUUGGAACUUCUUAGCUGAUUCAACGCAUCCUUCCAAAUGGCAAGACUCUUAUUUUUCAGAGCACUUGCAACUGUUCUCAGUGCAACAGGCAAUCGUCCGCAUUUUCCAACAAUCUCAUCCGCUAAAGGUUGAAAAGCAGAUGCUUUUGCGGAAUUGCCCACGAUCUUUUCAAAAAAUUGCAAUGCUUCUUCCUUUGAUAAAACUUCAAUUGGGAAAAUCUUCUGAGAAUUCAUAUCAUUGAUCAAUAAAUCUUGACUUCUAGACGUCAAUAUUAUCGUGCGUCUCCUUAGAUCUUGCUUUCUAUCUUUCUCAUCAACAUCCCCAGAAGGAAUUCCAAUUUCUUCCAACCUAAGUUUUUUCCAAAUAUUAUCUAAUAUAAUGAGGACUCGCUUCUCUUUCGUCAAUCUUUGACAAAGUUGUUUUGCUCUGUGGGGUUUGCUAUCAUUCAAGUCAAAGUUCAUGUCUAAAUCGGAAGCGAGCUUGUCUUGAAUUUUCUGAACAUCUGGGUUCUCUGUUACCUCAGCCAUAACGACCUUAUCGAACAACUUAUCUUCCAUAACUUGCUUUGCAAUUUGCUUGACUAGCGUGGUUUUACCCACGCCGCCCAUACCGUGGACCCCAAUUAUGUUGAGCUUAUCAUCCCUCAAUGCCUCCACAACAUCUUGAAAUAAUUUCAUUCUUGAAUCAAAGGCCUCGAAAUCUUUCGCUUGCAUAUGUUCUGUACUCUCUGGAGCAGGACGGUGGGAAACACUAGAGAAGUUGCCUUUUCUCACGAGACUAGCGGCAGCUUCUGCGGCCUUUACUGCUUGUUUACUAAGUUUAUAACGAGAAAUCAAGUUGGGGCACAAUCCUUUGAAGCAGGACUUCUUAGCUCUAUCUUCAUCAUCAAUGAUGGAUUUUGCAACCCCUUCACUGAUGCAUUCAUCAACGCCAUUAAGCCAGUCUGCAACAUCCUUGUAAAUCUCAUCUCUUUGUUGAGUAGCCUGACGAACGGGUAUUCCCACCCUUUCUCUUUUAUAUUCCAGCUGCUUCACUUGAUCUUUUAGCUCAGCUAUGUAGCUCUGGUACUUGAACACAUAAGAUAUCUGCCGCAUAAUCCGUUCGAGCAAUGCCUUUGCACCUUCUGAUACAAUGCUUGAAAAAGCUUCGAGACCCACUUCUGAAGCCAUUGCCUAGCCUGUUGCAUAUAUAUAUACAUUAGCCGAUGGAAAAAUUGGAUUCAAAUAAAUUAAAGUGAUCCAGAGGGAAGGACAAAGAAAGAAAUGACAACGAAUGACUUUUUAAACAAAGGUUUCAAGAGCCUGAAUCGAAAACCAACAAUUUGAAAAAAAAAAAAAGAAUUGGAAGAUGGAUGCAAAUUAACCAUUGCUAAUACUACAUAAGAACACAUAAGUUAACAAUGAACAGUUACUUAAGAAAAUUAAAUGACAAGAUUAAAACAAACAAGCGCUAUUUUUUCUUGGACAAAUGUACCUGUUUAAUUAUUAAAGACUUAAUGAGCUUCACUAUUGGCCUUGAGUAUAUAAGAAUGAGCAAGAGAUCAAUGUCAACUGCAGAGGAAUGUCAGUAAAGGUUUCAUGAGAGUGAGUAAUACAAAUGAAUUGUAAAAGAACAAGACUUAAGCGUGCACCCCCUGUUUUGUUUUAUUCGUUAUGAAAAUGAUAUUGUACCCAAUUUUAAGAGAGCAUAAUAAUAACCAUUUAAUGCAUAAAUUUAGAAUUAGCUUUUUUUUUUGUAAUUCUUUAUUUAAAUAUACACGUCAAUGGAAAAUUUUGAAAAUUUGGAUACAAAAUUUUAAAUCACCAGAAAAAAAAAAGCACGGGAACGGAAAUAGAGGAAUCUUGUUUUACCUUUUUUUUUCCCCCCUUUAACUCUCGUUCUUAUAUAAAUAAUCUUGUUUUGAUGAUUGUGACUCGUGACUGCGGGAAAAAUUCUAAUGGAAACAACUCAAUUUCGGAAGAUAAGCUUAAUUCUGCAAGUGAUGAAUUUGUUCAAUAGACUCUGUACCUGAACUCGUUGGAUUGGUUGAUUGAUGAUUGACUAAAUUUGAAUUAAGUUUAAUAGCUUAGCUAUCAUGUACUCCUUAAAAGCAAACGUAAAUCUUUUUUAGAUUUGACUGAAUUUGGGAACCUGUUGGAUUGAUUGUUUUUAGAUCAUUAAUAUCAGAUACUACAAACGUAAAUAUUUUCUUGUGGUUGAGUCCUAUUCAAAUCACACAAAAUUGCACGACCAAAUAUUAAGAGAACGUAAUAAUAAUCACUCAGUGCGUAAGGGUAAAUUUAGAAUUACGUAUUCUUUUUUAUUUAAUAAAAUCCCAGCGAGAAAAUCAUAAAAUUUAGAUAUAAAAUUUUCAAUCACCAAACAAAAAACAGGGGGAAUGAAAACACAGGAAACUUGUUUUACCUUUUUUUCAUCUAACUCUUGUUCUUAUAUAAUAUUUUCCCUAGUGUUUCAGGCAAGCAAAAAAAAAAAAAAAAUCAAUAAAGAGCAAGUUGCUCAAAUUGAUUUAUCUUGUUUUUCAGGCAAUCUUGUGAUAUGAUGAUAAUGCUUAUGAAUGCUAGAAAAACUUCUAAUGCAAACAACUCUAUUUGGGAUGAUAAGCUUAAUUUUACAAGUGAUAAAUAUAAAUAACUUUUUGUGGUUAAUUCAAUUUGUAAUUACCCUUAGCCCUAUUCUAAAAUUUGUUGGCUGCUUCAGAAAAAAAAAAAAAAAAAUUUCACUCAUCUUUAAUCUUCAAGUAAAAAACAAAUCUAAUAAAAUGACAAACAAACAAACAAAUAAAAGACAGCAAACAAACAACAUUUAGCCAACUGAUAUUUAAACAGGGAUUAGAGUUUUUGUUAUUAACUGAAAGGUUUCAAGGGUCUGAAUAAAAUCCCAGACUUUUUUUUAAAACUUUUUUUUUAAUUAACCAAAGCCAUAUAAUAAGAUCACAGACUUUAACAAUGAACAAUAAUUUGAAACUCAAGCAAAACCAAUCACAAGAUUAAAACAAACCAGAGAAUUUUUUUCUUGGAAAGUAGAUGAAAAGCAAGUAAGAACUGCUAUUAAAGGAUAUUAUUAAAGGAUUUAGAACAUGUAUACCUCUUUAUUUAUAUGGGAUCAGAGAGUCGAUGACCUUCUCUAUUCGCUUCGGAUAUUUAGUAAGAACUGCUAUCAAAAGAAUGAAUUGAUGAGUAAUAACAAUGAAUUGCAAAAGAGGAAGACUUAAUCACGUACCCCUAUUGUACCCGAUUUUUAAGAUUUAAUUUUGAAGUCCAGAAUCAAGACAAAAGACGAAGCCUUAACAAAUAUGCAGUGAGAAUAGUUAAGUUGAAGAAAGCACUAGUUUAUGGCUCUGUGUUUCAUAUGCCGUAUUGAAAUAAUUAAGUUGAAGUUUUCAACGAAUAAAUACCUGGUGUGCUGGAAUAAUUUUAGAAGAAUAUUGGCUUAUAGAGAUUAGAGCAUAUUAGGAGGGAUCAGAUUUGUAAGAUGCCUGAUAAAAGAUAAAGCGAAUGUUAUUAUGGACAUACCAAUUUCCGACUUUUCGGAGUGCAUCCGUCUAUCCAUGACUUGAAAAGAGACCCAAUGUGUGGACAGACUUGAUUACAUNNNNNNNNNNNNNNNNNNNNNNNNNNNNNNNNNNNNNNNNNNNNNNNNNNNNNNNNNNNNNNNNNNNNNNNNNNNNNNNNNNNNNNNNNNNNNNNNNNNNNNNNNNNNNNNNNNNNNNNNNNNNNNNNNNNNNNNNNNNNNNNNNNNNNNNNNNNNNNNNNNNNNNNNNNNNNNNNNNNNNNNNNNNNNNNNNNNNNNNNNNNNNNNNNNNNNNNNNNNNNNNNNNNNNNNNNNNNNNNNNNNNNNNNNNNNNNNNNNNNNNNNNNNNNNNNNNNNNNNNNNNNNNNNNNNNNNNNNNNNNNNNNNNNNNNNNNNNNNNNNNNNNNNNNNNNNNNNNNNNNNNNNNNNNNNNNNNNNNNNNNNNNNNNNNNNNNNNNNNNNNNNNNNNNNNNNNNNNNNNNNNNNNNNNNNNNNNNNNNNNNNNNNNNNNNNNNNNNNNNNNNNNNNNNNNAUUUAAUAAUUAUAGAAGAAUAUUGGCUUAUAGAGCAUUUUAGUAGGGAUAAGAUUUGUGGACAGAAUAAAUGAAAUAAUAAAAAGCAUAACUGAUCAAGUCAUUAUUGAUCUUACUUUGAUUAUUACAUUGCACAUUAGUUUCUUUCUAAAAAUGCCAUUCUUCAUUCAAGCUUUCGCUUUAUCUUUUAUCAGGCAUCCUACAAAUCUUAUCCCUACUAAUAUGCCCUAUAAGCCAAUAUUCUUCUAAAGUUAUUAAAUGCCAUUCUUCAUUCAAGCUUUCAUGGACAUUAUCUACAAACUGAAUCUUCAAUGUAAUAAAAUAAUGAUCAGCCUCACAGGAUACAUAAAAAGCUCAUUUAUCACAAUCAUUUCCUAGUGCAUCAUAAACUUAGAUUAUUUAAUUUUACUAUUAGGAAACCUACUUAUAAAAGGCGCACACUACAAAUUCUAAAUUAAAUUUCUAACUAAGAAUAAAAGGUAAACCCUAGCAAUUUUCCACCAGGUGCCGUGUAGCCUGCAUCAUAAAUUUUGAUUUAAAUCUUUGUAAUCACCGAACAGAAAAACCGGGGAAUGAAAACAGAGGAGCCCUAUUUUUCCAUUUUUUUAACCCUUAACUCUUGUUCUUCUAAUUAUAUUUUUGCUUGGAAUUUCAGGCAAACGAAAAAAAAUAGUGACAACUAUUUAGAGAGAACAGGUGGAUGAUAGCAAAAAUAUUUUUAAUUAAUAUGCAUGAUUAACUCUUGUUCUUCUAAUGUAGUGGCUUGAUUAAUUAAUAUUUUUAAUCAAGCCAUUACAUUAUUGGUAGUCUCUGUGGGCUCAUUUCGUCUCCAGACCUGAUAUUGUAUAUCUCUUUUUGAAUAUGUUUAAUUAAUAUGCAUGCUGCUGAAUAAAGACGAUGAUUUCCAAAUUUUUGUUGCUUUUUUUUUUUCUUUUUGCUGCUUUGGUACAUGAAGAAUGUGGAAAUAGAAAUAGCUUUCGAAGUUUAAUGGCUUGCUUCAUUAGUAAAGAAAGACUAGGAUAUCCGUCCUUUUUGUUACUGAAUUAUUGAUCAAUUGACGGUUGAAGUUAGUUAUAUUAAUUUGUUGUACAAGAAUUGAAGCUUAUAUCUUUACCGUUUCGUGAAAGUGUCAAAUAUGUUCUUUCCUUGCAAUUGUUCAAAAUAUGUUACACUUUUGAAGUCACUAUUACAUAAAGGGUGUUGUAAAAUAGGGAAAGGCGGGUUUAUGAUUAGAUUUUAAUAUGUUUAAUUCAAGGAUUAACCGAAGCUAUUAACCAACGGCUACUAACCGAAAACCGAAUUUAACAAUAAACACUAACUCAGAAUUCAAGAAAAUUAAAUGACAAGAUUAAGACAAAUGAGAGAUAUUUUUCUUGGACAUUAAGAAAGAACUACUAUCAAGAUCAAGGAUUAGAGAUUAUAUAUGCUAUUAUUAAUAGAAAUUAUUAAAGGAUUUAGAACAAGUUCACCUCGUUGAUUAUCUGGGAUGAUGAGUUUCUAUAUUCACCUUGAAUAUAUAAUAACAAUUUUAGUGAGCAAAAGAUCACUGGUAACUGCAGAGGAAUGUGUGAGUUUAAGAGCUUAUUAGAGUAAGCAAUACAAAUGAAUUUUCAAAUUAUGUACUUGGUCAUUGUUGUCCUACUGACGCACGUUUUUUUUCAUGAAUAAUUGCCAGAUCAGAAAAGAAUAAGUUCGGUGGAUUGAAAGAUUGCUGAAGCAAGUAAAACAAUCUUCAUAUCGAACAUGAUUCCAAUUAAAUUAAUCUUUUUAUAAGAUGACUAAUAAAAGACAAAAGUAGAAGCUUUGAUGAAUGAACGAUGACCAAAACUUUUGUAAAAGCGGAUGCCGAUAAAAUAAACAAAAGGCACUUUAAAAAGAAACUAAAGUGCGAUCAUCAAAGUAAGAUCAAUAAUGACUCGAUUUAUUUCACCUAUUCUGUCCACAAAUGAUGCUUCGCUAUUACAAGGUCCGAAUGGACAUUAUUUACAAAUUGUUCUUAUGUUUCACAGAAAAAUGAAAAACCGUUCAUCAUCAUAUAAUUAUGAAAUAAAUAAAUUUUAUUAAUGGAUUAUGGGGAUAUGUUAAUGUUAGGGAUAUGUUCAAAUCAUCAUAUAAGUUACUAAACGCUUCAACAAGAACAAGAAUUAAUGAGUUAAAAGUAAAAAAAAAAAAUUUUAAAAAAAGUUAAAUAAAUAAAACUUAGAAGUAAAGAAUGUUAUUUGCAAUCACCAAAAUGAAAACAGUGGAACCCUGUUUUUCCUCUCAUUUCUCUUUCUCUCUUUUUCAUUUGUUGGGAAGUGUCGCCUAAAACACUUCCUCUGCUAGGUGGAAUUAUUGGCUUGAAGAGAUGAGUUCUUGUCACAAGCACAAAUUUUAUCUGUACAUUAUUUCAUUUUAAAUGAUGAGUUCUUGUCACAUGAUCAUUACUUUUUUUGUUUUGAUUUGGUUAGUUCAUGAUAACAAACAAAUUAUUUUGCAUCACAUUAUGGUAAAAAGUUGCCCUCUUUGUUACUUCCACAGCUAUAUAGUUUAAUAUUUUGUAAUAAGAUCACAAAGUGCAUGGGAACCACUGUUCGAGUACUUCAGCCUAAUAUGAAGAUCUAUUGAAAAUUUUCCUGAUGUCAUGAUAUUAAACAAAAAAAGGUACCUCUUUUACUAAUUAAUAAGAGAAGUUUUGACCGAUUUCAUGUGACUCUCUUUUACUAAUUAAUAAGAGAAUUUUUGGCCUUAUAUCCUUGCUGUGGCGUUAGACUGUUGGUCAUUUUGAUUGUUUCCUACUUUCCGUUUACGCCAGCUGUAACAUUGUAUUAUCACCAUUUUAGCCAUUUAAAUGAAAUUUAUUUUUGUCAAAAAUAAAAUGACACCCUUAAAAUUAAAAAAAAAAUAGUUAUGUAGACCUCAAAUUUUUAAUAAAGAAUGCCAAUACCCCUUUUAACUACAAGAUUCUUAGUAGAUGAUAACUAAAAAAAUUAACUUCAAAAAUUUUCACUAAAUAUAAAUCUAAUUGAAAUAGUUUAAAUUUUCUAGUAGACUAAUAUAUAUAACUUAAAUAAUUAAUUUCAUUAUUAAUUUUUAAAAUGUUAAAUAAUAUAUUUUAAUUUAUUAUAAAAAAUUUAAAUAAAUUCUUGGAUUAGAUAGAUUUUACAAUUAAUGUAAUACUGCUGAUUUAUUAAUAAUAUUAAAAUUAUUUUAUAUGAUAUUCAAAAUAAUUUAAACUUUUAUAUAUUUAUUUUAAUAUUAUGUCUAUUUAUUAUAAAUUUAUAAUUUGGUUUAAUAUAAUACGGGAUUGUAAAAUAUUAAAAUAUUUUUCAAUAUCAAAUUAUUUUAAUAUGUAUAUAUCAUUACAUUUAUUUUAAUAUUGCAUUUAUAUUUAUUAAAGAGUAUUGCAGUAAAGUAAAAAAAAAAAAAGUCUUAUUAUCCCUUAUUCACGAUAUGAGGUUCUACAGAAUUAUUUCCCCAAACGGGUGUCCUUUUCUCAUUUUCAAAAGAAAAAAUAAAGUAAGAAUAAGACCAUGGAUUUCAAAAAACUUAUAGUCCUAUCCCGGGACCAAACGUCUAUUCAUUAUUUUAUUUAUUCAAUAUAAAUGGCCAACUUAAAAAAAUGAUAAAAAUCACACAAAGCUCAAGUGAAAAUUUAGAAUUACAUUUUUUAAUACUCUCGGAGUCUUCUCUCCUGCCCCCUUUUUUUCUUAAAAAAAAAAACCUUAGUGUAAAAUUAGAAGAAUUUUAGAUAUAAAAUUUGACAAUCGCUAAACAGAAAAGCAGCGGAUUAAAAAUAGAGGAGCUCUGUUAUCAUUGCAAUAUUGAUUAUAGAUAAUAUAAUAACUUGUUGUGGUUCAUUGUAGCACUCUGAGCCAUACUUUAAAAUUUACUGGUUUGUUAAUGCUUUUAUUAUUGACAUUAUUGUGUCAAUAUUAUUAUAAUUUAUUCAUUUUAUUGUAAUGAUAAUUUGUCUAGUCUUAGGUACUUAUUAUAUUAAAUUAUGUAAAUUAAUUGAGAAUACUUUUACAGACAAAAGAAACACGUGUAUGUAGGAUUAAUAAGCGAAGAGUUGUAAAUGAAGCUGAUUGCUUCAUUGAGAUGCAUAUUAAAUAAUUAUGGAGAGUUGCUCUAUUUCAGAAGCAUAUAUUUAUACUUCCCUAUCAGGAUUUGGGGUAAGCGAAGUGCUUUAUGUAUUGCAGUAAGCAAAUGUGGGCAACAUCAGAGCCGAAAUAUUAAAAGAUCAUAACGCAUAUAAACGAUUAGUAUAUUCAAGGCACAUAUAGCGGAAAGAGUGCAGAUCUGGCCGUAACUAUUAUGAGGAUUUCCUCAAGUAAAUAUUAAAAGAACAACUAUUCUGAACUAUAUAUUCUUCAUUGUGGGCAGAUUUACUUAAAUACCAACACAAUGAUUCAAUACUUCAAAAGUCAAGGAAAUGUCAAAAUAUGAAAUGAAAAUACUUAAAUACCCUUCUCCCUAACAAAACUUAGUACUUCUAACUGCCAUCGCAGAGAAUAUAUAAAAUUUAAAAAAAAAAUCAUCCAUGAAAAGUUUCGUAACAGAAAAACCGUCUUUCAAAAAAUAAAAAAUAAAAAAUAAAAACAGAAAAAUUGACUCAUUUAUCUGCCAAUGAACCAGUCGGGACUCAUUUAAAAAAGAUUACAAAGCAAAAGUAAAUGACACAAAUUGCAUAGAUAUCUAAGAGCCGCAUCAAAGGACAAAGGUGUUAAUUUGUCCAAGUAAUAAAUUCUCCUAGGUCAAAAGCAAUUAACGAUGAAAACUUUCUUCAUUAAGGUUCUGGCCUACGUAAAAAAACAGAAAAAACCACCCCAAGGUCAAAGCACAACGAUAAGUUUAGAAUUGCAGUUUUUAAUUUUUCUUUUUAAUAAAUCAACGUGUAUUAAAAAUAGAUAAAAAUUUUGAAUAAUGUUUUUUUGAUAAAUAUAGACAUAAAAUUUAAAAAUCACCAAACAGAAAAACAGGGCAAUUAAAAGAGAGCCCUUGUUUCUCCUCUGUUUUGUUUGUUAUUAAACGGGGAAAUGAAAAGAUCGCAAGCAUAAAUUUUGUUUCUGCGUUGUCUCUUCUCAAUGUUGCAUGCAUUCAAAUUAAACCUUAUAUAUGAUAGCAAACUAGCUACUCUGCAUGUACGAUAAGUCUAAAUAAUAGAAUAAUUGUAAAAUGUUCAAAUUCAGUAAUUAAUUAUACAUAUUUAUUUAUUCAAAAAUUAUUAUUAUUAUUAAUUAUUGUCAAUAAUAUAUUAAUAUACUAAUUAAUUAUAAAAAUUUUUAUCAUUCAUAACAAUAACAAUGAUGAUGAUGAUGAUAAUAAUAAAAAUUCAAAAUAUAUUAAUUAAUUAUAAUAAUAUAUUAAUUAUUUAAUACUAAUAAUAAUAAAAAUGUAAAAUGUAUAAAUUGAUUAGAAUAGUUAUAUUAAUAAAUUAUAAACAUAUAUUAAUUAAUCAUAAUAAUUUUUUAAUUGAGGACAAAAUAGACAUUUUAUAGUUUGUGAGAGGGGGCAAAAUGGUCAAUUUUGGGAAUGGGAGAUUGAUUCCCACCACCUUCCUUGGGAAUCAAUUUUCCAUUCCUCAUUCCUAAAUUUGGGUGGCCCCAUAAUUCUGAUUUGGAUCCCUGCCUCCAUCAUUAAUGAUUUCGAUUUCGGAUUCCGAUUCCCCAAUCCAAGAAGUAAAGGCACCAUUAUUGUUAAUUGGUUCAAACACACAAAGAGAAUGUACCGUGUAGCUAGGCGUCAAGGUUGUGUUGCACAAGUAACCUUUUUCUUUUCUUUUUAUUUUUCUUGUUUUCCUUAACGGAUCAGAAGAAAUUGGUGCCUUUGAGAUACCACAAUGUAAAUAAUUAUUUGUGGUUCAUUGAAUCUGUAACACUCGGUACCCUAGGGUUGCUUUGGAAAAAGGGCUUUUCUCACCGAUCGCCAAUAUCCAAGUAAGUUUGUUUCAUUUCAGAAGGUGCAAAGUUUCAAACUUGUUGUAUUGGGAUGUAACAAACUUUGGCCUUAUAUGCCUGCUGUGACGUGAGACUGUUCAUUUUGAUUGUUUCCUACCUUCCACUUACGCACUGUAGCACUGUAUUAUUCACCAUUUUAGCUGUUUAAAUGAAAUUUUAUUUUUGUCAAAAAUAAAAUGACACCAUUAAAAUUUAGAAAAAUAAUCAUGUAGAUCCCAAAUUUUUAAUAAAGAAUACCAAUAUUCCCCUUGACUACAAUACCCUUAGUAGGUGGUAAUAAAAAAAAAUUGGCUUAAAAUUUUUACGAAAUGUAAAUAUGAUUUAAAUAAUUUAAAUUUUCCAGUAGACUACUAUAUAUAAUUUAAAUAAUUAAUUUAAAUAUUAAUUUUUAAAAUGUAAAUUAAUUUAUUUGUAUUUAUAAAAUAUUUGUAAUUAUUUUAAAAUUUAACUAAAUCCUUAGGUUAAAUAGAUUUUACAAUUAAUAUAAUAUUUCUCAUGUAUUAAUAAUAUUAAAAUUAUUUUAUAUGAUAUUGAAAAUAACCUAAAUUUUUAUAUAUUUAUUUGAAUAUUAUGCUCUAUUUAUUAUAAUUUGGUUUAAUAGAAUACGAGAUUGUAAAAAAUUAAAAUUUUUAGAUAUUGAAAUUAUUUUAAUAUGUAUAUAUUAUUAUAUUUAUUUUAAUAUCCUAUUUAUAUUUAUCAUAAAUUAUUAGAGUUAAUUUUUUUAGUUAAUAAAUUUAAAAAAUAUUAUAAUUUAAAAAAAAGUCUUGUUGUCCGUUAUUCACGAUAUGAGGUUCUACAAAAUUAUUUCUCCAAACGGGUGUCCUUUUCUUUUUUUCAAAAGGAAAAACAAGUUCAGGGCCUCAGGGGUUUCAAAAAAUUCUGGUCCUAUAUACCACUAUGACUAAUGGGAAACGACAUUGCAAUUGACAUUGCUUUCCACAAUAUGAUAGAUUAUUGGAGGGAUAUGAGAGAAUUGUCAAACGUUCACACACGCGAGAGCUUUAGGUGGGAUAGGGGAGGAUUGUCAAGAGUUCACACCACGAUAAACUAAUGAUAGGCCUAAUUUUGUUGUCAGUUCUUUAUUUAUUUAUUUUAUGUAUAUCAUACAUUAUUGUAUUUUGUCAAGGUAUAAUAGUACAAGUAAAAUACUAGGGGUGCUGUUAAGUUACAACUUAUGUAACUUGCAAUUUUUUCAAAAAUUAUGUAAAAAAUUUAAUAGGUGGUGGAACCCACAUAUUUUUUAAGAGACUUAAGUUACAGCAGUUGUAACUUAACAAAAUCUAAAUAUUAGACAAUAAUGCAUAUAAUUUGGGUUUGAUUUUUAAAAGAUUAUUUGAGUACCACCUAUCCUUAUGAUAUUAAUGUGAUUAUAUCUUAAUAUUAAAUAAUCAAAAUUUGUUUAAUUAUUAUUUGUAUUUCAUACAUUACAUAUUAGAUUUGUUUGAAUUUUAAGUUGUUGCUAAUAAAUAUUUAUGUUGUCAAAGUCAAAGUCAAUAGCUACAAAAGUAGAGAUAAUGGUAUUGUAUAUAGUUUUUAAGAAUGCAAGGAUAAGCUGGAUAAUUGACAUAAAUUCUAAUGAUUAAAAGAGCAACUAUCCCUUAAGUUAUAAUGUCAAUUUCUUUAAUUAGAAUUUUUUUUUCAUGUGAUAUAACCUUAAUUGCUACAAUUUUUUUUAUAAUAAUAAUGGGAGUUAUAAAUUAUUUAUAUAAAAUUUGGGUUGAAACUAAUGUAACCUAAAAGUGGUUGCUGAAUAACAAUAUUUGAAACUUUAGGUAAUUUUCAUGAGUCCUUUUUAUAUUCAACAACUUGAAUUGGGGGAAAUCCGACUUGAAUUGGCGGUUGAUUUUGGUGAUGUGGCUUUCGGUUUACGCCGGCUUUACAGUGGCGGAAGACUGGAUUUACGGUUGCCGACUGCUAGGGAUUAUGGUGGUAGUGUAAAUUGACGGAAAAAGAAGGUGUUUUGGUGGCGGCGCGUCUAGGAAGCACUCGUGGGUUGUUGUUUCGUGUGGUGACAGCGGGCGGCGAUCAAGGGCUGAAGUUGGUCGGUUUUUGGUCAGCAGAGGCCGGCGAGUUUGUUGGUGGAGGUGGCUGGUGGAGAAAGUGGCUGAAUGGUGGUGGGUUGCUUGGUGGAGCCGCGGGUUUGGGUUGGUGAUUUGCGGCUGUUCAAGCGGUGGUUGAGGCAGCGAUGACUAAGGCUUGGUCGACGGUGGCUAGGGAGGUUUGUGGUGGUGUUGGCUGGCUGAUCGGCGGUGGUGGACGGCGGUGGAGGUUGAUGUGACAGGUAGGGUUUUCAAAUUUGUAAAUUUUUUUUUUGAUGGAUUUGGUUUGGAUAGGUAUGGUGUAUCUAGGAAAGAUGUGCGAUUCGCACAUAAUCAUUUUGAUACCAAUUGAUGGAGCGAGGCGUAGCGGAAGCAGAAUUGAUAGGGUAAGAAACAUUAGAUAUCGUUCUAGUACUAGACCAAGCCAACACGAUUAGUUUACGCUCUAAUUGAAGCGUGAUUAGAUAUCGUUAUAAUCCAAAUGACUCAGUGAGAUUUUUAAUAACGCGUAAUACGAGAUUAGAUGACACUCUAAUCCAAAUGACUCUACAAAAGAGAUUUUGAUAACUAAUCCUAGAGGAAAUUAUAAAAGAGGGGGUUUAUUUAAUAAUUGAACUUGAAGUUAUGAAAAUAAUGACAAGACAUCUUUAUUUUUUUUAUUACAGGCAUCUUUAUUUAUAAUAGAAGAAACCCGCUUUCCUAAGUUAACCUAAAAAGAAAAUUUAAAUCAUAAUUAUAAUGGAAAUAAAAGAUUAAGAUACAUACCAUAAUUAACUCAAACUAAAAUAGAAAAUCAUAAAAUAAUAAAUAUUCUAGAAUUAUAAAUUAUCUAAAAUAACGUUAAUUAACUUCCUAAAUCACUUCUUUGGUGUAAACCAUUUUGCAUCCAUCCUCGCUUUAAAGGUUUGAACCAACGUUACCAACAAUAAUGUAUCAAAGUCCAAUCUAACUUAAGAUCUUGAUACAUCUACCGAUGUCCUUGUUUGAUUAGACAAUAAUGAGUCUAUCUCAUCACUUGUUACCUCUUUCUUGAAGGCUGCAUCUGUUGAAGUGAUAGUCUCGCUUAGAGUUUAAAGAUCUUCUUCCAUGUUAAAUAAAAUGGGCAUUUGAUUAAAAAACUUUAUCUCUAUCUCCUUCUAUCAAAUAACGACAACUAUCCGAAGGAAAAAAAAAAUAGAAAAGUCCAUGGGUCACAAUAAUUUAUGGUCUGUCCCCGGACCCCAUUAUCUGCCACUAUCAAUGAUGAAAAUGAAAAUAAAUGGCAUCUUCCCAAAAUGGCGAAAGAUUUUUGGGGGAUAUGGGGGAAUUGUCAAAAGUUCACACAACGCGAAACAAGUGUUACAUCCAAUUUUAUUUCGUCAUAUAAUGAUAAUAUCAAAUAAUGACAACCAUCCAAAAGUAUGAUGGGUCUUCCAAAAUUUUGAAAAUGUCGUCAACAUUUAAUCUUCAAUGCUAAAGAAGAUGAAAUGACCAAAAAUGACACGCAUGACUCACUCACAGACUAAAUGGCUCUGACCACAUGUAACAAACUUUGAUCUUAUGUCCUUACUGAGGCGUUAGACUGUUGGUCAUUUUGAUUGCUUUUUACCUUCCAUUUAUGCCAUUGUAGCAUUAUACUAUUCACCAUUUUAGCUGUUUAAAUGAAAUUGUUAUUUUUUUUCCAAAAAUAAAAUGGCACCCUUAAAAUUUUAGAAAAUAGCCAUGUAGACCCCAAAAUUUUAAUAAAGAACACUAAUAUCCUUUUUUACUAUAGUACUCUUAGUAGAUGGUAACAAAAAAAAAAAUGACUGUAAAAGUUUUUACUAAAUGUAAAUAUGAUUUAAAUAUUUUAAUUUUUCUAGUAGACUAGUAUGUAUAAUUUAAAUAAUUAAUUUUUAAAAUGUAAUUUAAUAUAUUUAUUUUAAUAAUAUAUUUAUUAUAAAAAUUUUAAACAAAUCCUUGGGUUAAAUAGAUUUUAUAAUUAAUAUAAUAUUUCUCAUGUUUUAAUAAUAUUAAAAUUAUUUGAUAUGAUAUUGAAAAUAAUUAAAACUUUUAUAUAUUUAUUUGAAUAUUAUGUCUCUAUUUAUUAUAAUUUGGUUUAAUAGAAUCAAAUGAAAGUGUACAUGUACAAGAAGAAAGAACCAUACACCAAGUAAAACGUAAAAAGGAUUAAAUAAAUGACACCAAUCCCCGGCAACGGCGCCAAAAUUUGAUGGUUGUCGAAGCCAACAAAAAUAAAUUCCUACUCUAAAUAAAUUGUGUAUAGUGAUUGAGCAGGGUCGUGUCCACAGAGAUCGGUAAUUAUUUAAAUCCUUUUAAAACGUAAAACAUAAAAUGGGGGUUUUGUUGACAAUAAUAAAAAUCAAAUUAAAAUAACAAGAAUGCAAAUUAAAGUUGUAAUUCAAAUUAGAGAAAGCUCUGGUUGAAGGAAUUAACUCAGCUUGAUUCGACUACUGAUCAUUGAUUCAAAUAUAGAUUAUUAUUACUUAUUAAUAGACCGGUUAUAGCUAUUGAGACCCUCUAAUAGCCAAUUUGUCCUUAACUAGUCGAUAACCAAGGUACGACCGUCAGAUAUUUCCCUAAUCAACAGACAACCCUAGAUACGAUCAUAGGAUUUAAUCAAUUGACAGCCUGAAAAACCAGAGAGACCCAAAUCCUAAUCAACACAUAUGAUGAUUCAUUUAAAUUAGAUUGUUUAUUCUCAUAACACAACUCACUGCUAUGUUAUUUGUCACAAACAUUAAAAUCUUCAUACGAUGAAUCCUUUAAUUGACAAUAGAUUAAGUUGAUAAUUAAAUAGUGGCCAAUUACCUAAUUAACAAACAUAAUCAUGAAACUAAUUCAGAGAAUAAACAAAUACCCAAAAAGUAAUAAAACAAUUAAAGCAUAAGAAAGAUCUCACAGUAGUGAUGAAUCAAAGCUUCAUUAACCUUCAACCAGAAAAAUAAGUUUAGUUCUUCAUAGAGAGAAGAGAAAAAUUAGAUCUAGGGUUUUUUUCUUUUUCUCUCAUCCCCCUUUUUCACUAUAGAUUCCUCCCUUAAAUACUCUCUCUCUCUUCUCUUUUAGAGUUCUAAUUAAAAUAAAAUACUAAUAUCUGAAAUAUUAAAUUCGUAAUUACAAAAAUAACCAAAAAUACAAAACAUGUUAAACUAAAAACUACAGGUCCGCAGUUGACAGCACGCGCCCACGCCUUAUCAAGAAAGUUCUUCUGACUCUCUAAAUUUCUCCAAGAGAACAAUCAUCUUUAAACAUCAUCUUAUAACUCAAUUUUAUCACAAAUCAAUAGAAUUGCACCUACAAAAGUACAACACAAGUAAAUCAUUAUUAUUAAGUGCAAAACAUCGAUAUUAAGGGAAGUAGACAAUGCAAAACUAGUGCAUAAAUUGCACUCUAACAAGUUCACACCACGAGAAAUUAAUGAUAGGCCUAAUUUCGUUGUCAGUUCUUUAUUUGUUUAUUUUAUUGAUUUCAUACAUUAUUGUCUUGUUGGUACUAUUUUGUAAAGAUAUAAAAGUACAAGUAAAAUAUUAGGGGAAGUAAAAUAAAAUAUUGGAGGUGCUGCUAAGUUACAGCUGCUGUAACUUACAGUUCCUUCAAAAAUAAUGUAAAAAAUUUAACAUGUGGUGGGACCCACAUUAUGUUUGAAGAGGCCGUAAGUUAUAGCAGUUGUAAAUUAGUAAAAUCCAAAUAUUAGAUAACAAUACACAUUAACAAUGCAUAUAAUUUGGGUUUGAUUUUUAAAAAAAUUAUGUGAGUAUUACCUAUCCUUAAGAUAUUAAUGAGAAUAUAUUUUAAUAUUAAAUAAUCAAAAUCUGUUUAAUCAUAAUAUGUAAUUCAUACAUUGCAUGUUAGAUUUGUUUGGAUUUUAAGUUGUUGCUAAUAAAUAUUUAUGUUGUGAAAGUCGAAUUCAAUAGCUACAAAAGCAGAGAUAAUGGUAUUUUAUGUAGUUUUUAAGAAUACAAGGAUAAGACCAUAACGCAUGAGAUAAUGGUAUUUUAUAUUAAAAGACCAUAACACAUGUAUUUGAGCCAUUUAUAUUGAGGACACAUAUAGAGCGAAGAGUGCAGAUCCGGCCGUAACUAUUGUGAAGCUUUCCUCAAGUAUUCUCAUGCACGCAGACCUUAGCUGGUCAAGUUUUCUGAUUCAAUAUAAUCAAUUUCCGCGCAGUACUAACGACAGCUUCUUUGUAAAGCUCUUCAACCACAAGCAUUUCUACAAGGCAAAAGACUAGGACGUGUCAGAAUGAAUAUCAAUAAGGGAAUGUCUUAUGAAUUUAGUUUAUAUCCUAAUAUAAGACAAUCAAUAAAUAUUAGAUGCAAUCUAAGGGAAUGUCUUAUGAAUCCUGAUUGAUGGCCUCUCACAGUCAGUUAUAUGACAAAGUAGCCACCACAACAAACUUGAACUUGGCUGGAGGUCUCAUUAGCAGUAUACCUCAGAAAUUAAGACAAAGACUUUAAAAUGCAAACUUAUGGAGCAAUUUAAGCACUGAAACUAAUAACAGUACUGUAUUAGCAAUUGACCUCUGCUUUUUUCUUGGACAAAGGUUCUCAUCACAAGGGACUCAUUAGUUGCCCUUGCCUCAAACGUUUGGAUGCUAAGGGGAAAAAGGAAGUUUGAAUUAGUCAAUCUCAUUUCUAAUGGCAUUCACAGAGAACCUAUAAAACAAAAAAAUUAUAAAAAAAAAAAUCAUCCAUAAUUCGCCAAACCGAAAAGAAAAACAGGGGAAUGAAAAGAGAGCCCACGGGAAUGAAGAGAUCAGCUCUUGUCGCGAAAAUGCAGUCGACUGUAACUAUAUCCGGGUCCCUAGUACUUAGAAGUAAAUGCUCUUGGAAUUUCUAUUAUAGAUUGAUGUUUCCCGUUCAAAUAGCUCUUCCGAUACCAUUAACAUGUUCAUCUCUCUAUAGAUUGAUGUUGACAUAGAUGUUAUUCUACUUUUGCUAGUGGAGUUUUCCUUGUACAGGUAUGUAUGAUUGUUUUUUUUGCACUUCUAAAUGGACACUGUUGAAAAGCUUAAAAUUGAACUGAUAAUUUUGUUUGGAAGCUCAGAAAAUUCAUGAGAAAGUGAAAUAGAAUAUUCUGGAUUUCUUUUCUUUCCAUAAUAUACAAAUGACAAACGUAGCAGUAUUUAUACUCGUUGCUUACAUCAUAAAAACAGAAUUAAAACAAGGUACACAACUAUAACAGAAUCAAAAGCGUGCUUAACUAAUUGGCAGAGCUGGCAUAUACUUCUUUAACUAACAAUGCUGCUGACUGGACUUUAGCUCACACAUGCUUAUCGUGCAGCUACUCUUAGUUCACACGUGCUCAGUCUGCUGUUGGCCCAAAGUUGGAACCAGAGAUAUCAUGACUCUGGUUUCAUUUCACCUCAACUGUGUUUUUUUUUUUAAAUUAAAAAAAUCAUUUGUUUUAGGUAUACAUACAUGUAUUUUGAUUCUAUUUUCAUUGUAAUUUCUCAUUUACUUUGAAUGAAAGUCAUUGGUGUUUUCGAAUGGGAAUUUUGCAUUAAAAAAUGAAGAAUAGUGAUUUUUGGAGUGUAAUUAGUAGUAAAGUUGGUUUUUACUCGCAAACAAGUGAACUGCUCGAUUCCCGAGUGGUAUCAACCAGUUUCCAACUUUUUAAUAUACACUAAUUGUUAUUGUUUAAUAGCUACUACUAUUAAAACUCGACAUCUAACAAAAAUACUUAAAAAAAAUGAUUUUUCUUAUGAUGCUGUAAAAAAAAAUUACGGGUUUACUUCUUUCCAUGAGAUCUAUAACAUGGUCUUGACUUCACGAAAUUCUUUUAAUUUAAAGCUUGCUGGUGUGAGAAGGUCAGUUUGACUGAUUAAUUCUUUUUAACAGUGGUCGAGAUAAUUUUACUAUCUAAUCGAAUGUUAUGCUGUUUUCUUUUUCUAAUCUGGUGUGAGAUAAUUAAUUCUUUUUCACAAAUGCUAUGCUGUUUUCUUAGGCUAAGGAUCUUCUAUCAGGAGAGGUUAGAAAUUCAAUGCUUAAAAGAGAAUAAUACAGAAAUUUAGGCAGAAUCUAAUCGAAUAUUGCAUGAAACAUGAAAAAUCAAUUCAAGUCCUUUCUUUAAACGGAGAAUGCAUCAAACAAAAUCCAAAGUGUCUUGCACGUCUGUAGCAUGAGCAAAAAAUUGUAAAUAUGUAGAACCAAAUUAUUCAAGUACAGAAGAACGAGCAAGCUAAAUCAUGUAUAAGAGAUUGGCCUGGUUCGGGAUAGCUUCUUCACUGUACCUGAAGGAUUGGCUCAAUCUCUUCUUUAGAAUUCUGCAGAUUUUGUAAUUACUCGUGUAAGCAAGCAUACAUUGCCACCAUAAGAAUAAUAAAGCUAGAGUAAUGAUAUGACCACCACCUCUUGUGCACAAACAAUAUUGUAUAAACUAAUGCGACAUAAUAUGAUUGGUUAAACAAAAACAUUACAUGGCCCUCAUAAUUUAUUUAUUUAUUUAUUUAUUUAUUAUUAUAUUUUUUCAGUAAACCAAUCAUAUUAUAUCACAUUAGUUUCUAUAAAAUAAUUUGCUAAAUAGCACCAAAACUUAAUUGAUACUCACCAUUUCAUUGAACAAUUUUUUUAUGGUGUCAUUGAGAUUGCCUUCCCAACAUCCUUCAUCAUCAUCAUCUUCAUCAUCAUCAUCAUCUUCUUCAUCAUCAUCUUCUUCAUCAUCAUCUUUUUCUUCUUCUGUGACGUUCACUUUGUUUAGCAUUGGUGUGUCUAAGACUCCUUGAGAGAAGAUCUUCAUUUUUGGACACUGUCUCACAACUACUGGUUUCAAGGACGGGAAUUCAAGAGCGUAAUUACCCGAACAAAAGCUUGUUAGGCUUGGCAAACAAUCAAGUCCCAAGUACUCCAAUUCCUCGAAGACAACGCAACCUUUCGCUUCUUCUCCAACCUGCAAUUGUAUGAUUUGUUCUAUCAUUUUGCAAUCAGCUAUCUUCAUUCUUUGAAGAGUCACUAGACUUUCAGAUGUUGAGAGCGUCAAUAAAUUUAUCAACCCAUGACACUUCGAUACUUCCAGAGUCGCAAGAUUUUCCAAAUGCCACGAAGCUGGUACUAAUUUCUGCAACUUACUACAUUCAAAUAUUUCUGGACUUUUCAAGUUUGCAAACACUUUGUUGGAUUUGGCAUUUUCCUUCCAGAGAUGCUGCACUUUGUGUAAUCCAGAUAGCUUUAACUUCAUCAAUUGAGGGAAUGCAACCUGAAAAUCAACAAAAUUAAGUUGUAAAUGAAAAUAUGUAUCCAAUCUCUGCAGUCUUCCCCUGCAUAUUUUAUGAACAAGAUUAAUCACGACAUUUUAUAUUUUAUUUCCAAAUUAGUAUGCUUUGCAGUAGGAUCCCAAAUAUAAGUAUCAAAUCGAUUACCCUUUGAAACACAUAAAUGAAAUCUGAUGCUAAAUCCAAUAUGAAUUAGCUAGGAAAACAGAGAUGUAACACGCAUAAUCGAUAUAGUUCAUCGCCUUAUGUCACCAGGCAUCUAAUUAAUUUAAGACAUUUUUAUAAUUCAUACUAUAAAGUUAGUUAAUAACAGAGGUUAUAUUGUUAAAUCAGAUAUAAAUUAAGACGACCUGCAAAAAGAUGAGUCAUUAAGUUUGAUUUGAUUCUAAUGAAAUUACAUCUGUGCGAACGAAAGUGAAGGCAAUAAUAAUAAUAAUAAUAAUAAUCACCUUUUCAUCGAAGAGGGGUUGUACUUGAUGAGCCAGCAAGAAGUUCUCUUCUGAUGUUAAUUUUUGAGGUUUCUUGUUAUCUGUUGUCACGUGCACUAAAGAGUUGGAUAUGAAUGUUUCCAUAUCAGGGCAAUUCUCAAUAGUUAGAUUCUCCAACUCAAGCAUUUCAAUUAUAUUCCCAGUGAAGUUGCAGAAUCUUUUGAGUUUUGGAAGGUCAAUGAGCCUUAGCUCGAAAAGCUUAGGAAACAGGGGACCUAUAUGUUCUUUGUCAGCAUUUAGCACUUCCAAAUGAAGCACCUCUUCCAGUGAAUCACAAUUCCUCACUUCCAACCAUUCCAAAUUGUUCAAGCACCGUAGCAGAUUGGCAGGAAUAGCACUCGACAUAUUCGUGCAGUCAUCCACCACCAGGUGUCUUAAAUUGUUGAAGAAGCUGACAGGCAGUGCUUGGCCAUGCGAUAUUUCUUUCAAACGUGGAAAAUGUGAGAAUUGCAAAAACUCCAUGUCACGAAAUCCAAUCUGCUCAAACCAAAACAAUUGCACUGGAUAUAUACAAUUUUUUUUUUGAAAGGCAUUAGAUAUAUAUAUAUACAUUAAACUUACAUGUUUUGUGUUUUAACUUCUAAAAAUAUAUUUAAAUGUGCAAGUGCAGGGGAGAUGCAUGAACAAUUUGGAUGAAUCGAUUAACACAUACCAUUUCUUCGUAACACUUUUGUAUAGUGGAAUUAAGCUUAUUGCCUUCCCAAUGGUGCAGUUCACCCCCUUCCUUUUCAGUCACUUGCACUUUGCAUGGCUUUGGAAUGGAUAAGAUUCCCUGAGAAAAAGUCUUCAUGUUUGGACAACGUAUCAUAGAAACUCGUUCCAAUGAUGGGAAUUCAAGAGUGUAAUUCUCCAAACAAAAGCUGGUAAGCCUUCGUAAAUCAUCAAGUAUCAAAACUUUUAAUUCGCUGAAAGCAAUACGAUUCUCCUUCGCUUCUUCUCCAACAUGUCCUACGAUUUCUUCUAAUUCUUUGCAAUCCGAUACUUUAAGAUUCACCAGACUACUAGGAAUUCCAACCUGAAAAUAAGCAAAAGUGUGCGCAUGUGUGGUGUAUUAAAAAAGUAUGUUAAUCAUACAAUUAUGCAUUUUAUAAACAUAACAAACCAUGAAAUGUCUACUAGAUAAUUUUUUGUUAAACAAAAACGGAACAAGAUAAAUAAAUAAAUAAAAUCCAGAUAAACAAAGAUAAUAAAAAUACAUUUACACUAUUUAGUAUUAGAAACGUAGAAAUAAUUUAAGGCAAUUUCUAAAUAUUUUAGACUUAUUUUGCAUCUUGAUAUCAGUUUUUAAGCAUAAAUUUGCAAAUUUCAACUAUUCCUUCUUUUUUUUUUAAAAAAAAAGGGACCAUUUUCCUUGGUCCCUUUUUUUUAUGUAUAUUUAAAAAUGGAAAAAAAAAUUUGGAAAAGACUUCCCAAUACUGUCAACGAGGGACUGCUGUAAAGUGGAUCUUUAUUAAGUACUUCCAGACUAGAGGAAAUUUCUUUACAAUCAAGGGUCAGUUGUAAAUAAUCAUGAAUUUGUGGUUAAUUAAUGGCAUAAUCAAUUCGUAACUAAACUAGAGAUAUUAAUUAAAUUUGAAGACUUUUAUUUUCUUUUUUUCUUUUUCCAAUCGAAAUGUGAAGAAUUAAGGAAAAGAGAAAUAUAUAGAUGAAUUCGUGAACCUAUAAGAUGAGUGACGAUCCUUUAAUUUUUGAAAAUCGUACUUAUUAAGAUAUGAGCAAAAACUAUUUAAUUGAAUUAUAUUAUGCUGUUGAAUCGUGUUUAAAAAAUUUAUAUUGUUGAUUCUAAUGCUGACGAACCUAAGAUACUUGAAAUAAAUAAUCAGUUUGCUGGCUGAAUAUCAUUUGUAAACAAAAAAUGGUUAAAAUAUUGUUGGAUGUAAUUUGAAAAAAAAAAGAUUCGAAAUGAAUACAGCAACCUUACCAAUGGAGGAAAAAUAUUCAUUAGGUUAUCACACCCAAUUAUCUCCAAAUUCUUCAAUUUGCUGAAAGACUCCGAAGCAAGCUGGUGGUGCCAUAUUUUUCUCAAAUUAUCCAUCAACCUAAUACGUAAUACCUCCAACCUAGUAAGUCGUACCUGGCAGUUAAAGAUUAAAUAACUAAUUAAUCAAUUAAUGGCAUAAUCAAUUGAUAACUAAAUUAGAGGCGGAUAUUAACUAAAUUUGAAGACUCAAGGAAAAGACAAAUUAAAUAUUGUGACUAAAAUUAAAUUUUUUUAUUAAAAAAAAAACCUUUUUGUCAAAGAGAGGAGGAGGUUGCAUUUCAGAAUGAAUGGUGUCUUCUGGUGAGCUCGUAGAGAUGAAUCUCGACAUACUGUUGCACCAACUAAUCUCGAGGUUUAGCAAAGAAGGGAAUUCAACAACUAAAUCUGAAUGAAUAUGUCCCGUAUUGGCAAAGCUUGUUAGUUCUGGAAGAAAAUGGAGCUUGAGGGAGUGUAGUUUAGGAAAAACCUUUAAUUCAAUCAACUUUCCUUCUUCUCUUUCUGACCACCCCGUGGUGUCGACCACCCCUUCCAUUGACUCACAAGACCGUAUUUCAAGAUGUUGGAGUUGCAAAAGACUAUUAACCAUAGAAUACGAAAACAGAUACUUCAUACGAUGACAACUGCUCACGUACAGCUUUGUUAAAUUUUGACAACAGUACAUUCCUUGAUUAUGAUCGGCCCAUAAUUUUUUCAUGUUUCUUAAGUCCCUGAGAUUCAAUUCCUCUAACCUCGGAAGAAUAACCUGCAAAGAAAACCCGUACAUUUUUGUUCCUUCAAGUACAACCGUCUAGUAUAAUAUUCUUUUGAUGAUCGAAGAUUAAUCGUGAUAAUAAAUUAAUCAAUUAAUUAUUGAACAGAAAAUUAUCACCUUUGGAGCAGUAUCAUCAUCAGCAAUGAUUUCGUUGAAUCCCAAAGAAGUUGUUGGUUUCUCCCUGUCGGGUCCUAUAAACAAACAAAAACAAUAUAUACAUAAUUAAUCUUUGUUGUUUUUUUUUUUCCAAAAUAAUUGAGGAGAAGUCCAUAAUCCCACCAAUACUUAACUUCAACACUCACCAAAAAUCAUUUCCAGAUCACCGCAAAGAGCCACUUCUACCUUUUGAAGCCGCAGUAGGUUUUUGGCCAUGGAGAAUGAGAAAAGAUGCUUCAAUUUGUGACAGGCUUCUACUUCUAUAAUCCUUAAGUUGCUGAAAGAUUGAUCUUCUGUGAGUUGGCUGUCACAUAUUGUCUCCAAAUUGUUCAAAUAGCUAAGAGACAAUGACUCCAGCAAGGGAAAGACUGUACAAUGAACCCGUCCAACUGAACCGACAAUAUGCAAAAUCUCAGAACAACUUUCUACCCAAAGAUGCUUCAAUCGUGGAAAACCUUCCCCAUCAUCUAAUUCAUGAACAACAUUCUGAACACCCUUCAGUUCGUUUAGAUGGAUCUCUUCAGCUUCCUUCAGCAACAUUUUCGUCCCAUAAUUCUCCAAAAGAGUGCUAACAUUUUCUAGCCCAUCGAGCUCCACCAUUCUUGAUGUUUUAGAAUUAACGCCUCACAUGCGCCACGCUUCUCCUAUACAUAUCUUAUAUCUUUGCAAUUCCACAGAGACCAAAUCCUGCGGUAGAAUUUCGGCAUCCCGAACGUGUAUCUCCAAGGUAGUUAGCUUUGACAACCCCUUCAAUUCAGCAAGACUGGCGUUACUUCCUCCUUCAACCUUAUCCCACUGCGAAAAGCUGUCACCCAUAUAUAGUUCUUCCAAUCGUGAAAAUUUUGAUAUGACAUUUGGUGCUAUCACUACAAGGCUCCUACAAUUGCUCAAAUCUAGCAAUUGUAACCGCGUCAAUUGACCGAUUUCAAGUGGUAACUGCUUAAUGUCGGAAUAUCGAAAGCUAAGAAUCUCUAAUUUCUUUAGCUGUCCAAUUGCCGCUACAUCUUCUUGUUGGCACCAGUCUAAACACAAUGUUUGAAGGUUAAUGAGGCGACCUAGUGACGAAAGUAAUGAAGAGAAAUGAAUUCCAGUAAAAUCUAAAACUUUGAGUUCUUCUGUCCCUUCAAAAAAGAGGUCUGAAACUUGCAUAGGGCCAUUACCCUCCGUAUACAACAAAAAUAACUGGAGAUUGGGACAUCCCAACCUUUCGGGAAGCUCUUGAAUAUCUCUAUAAGGUAAAGAAAUAGCAAUUGGACCUUUCUGUAUUGUCUCUUCCAUCUUUUUCUCCACGUCAGCAACAUUUGGAAUAUUAAACAUGCGCUUCUCUGCUGCAAUUGAUACAGCAACAACAUGAAUGACGUCAUGCAUUUUAACUUCAUCUUUGGCAUCACCGUCCAACAAUAAGCAUGAAGAUUUGAGAUUGUCGAUCAACCGAUGCACUCUACUCCUUGCUUCUUCCAAUGUGUAAACAUUUUCAAACAAACCCCAACCCACACCAUGUCUCAAUAAGUCAGAAACGGGUAUGACAUUACCUUCACUGUAUAGACCACAAAGACGGAACAGAGAUUUUGCCUCCUCACUUUCCAAGAAUUCAUAACUCAAUUUUAUGGAGGUGUACACAUUUGCUUGCAUGCCAUGAAUUUCUCUUGCAUCCGAUCUUCUUAGCUGAUUCAAUGCAUCUUGCCAAAAGUAACGCUCCUUAGUUUUCAGAGCAUUUGCAACUGUACUCAGUGCAACAGGCAAACCUCCGCAUCUUUCAACGAUCUCAUUUGCUAUACUUUGAAAAGCAGAUAUUUUAGUUGAAUCACCCACUAUCUUCUCAAAUAACUGCAAUGCUUCUUUUCGUGGCAAAGCAUCGAUCGGGAAAUUUUUCUGAGAAUUCAUAUCAAUGCUCAAUAAAUCUUGCUUUCUAGACGUCAAUAUUAUUGUGCAUCUUCUCUGAUCAUCCUUUCUAUCUUUCUCAGCAACAUCUCCAGAAGGGAUUCCAACCGCAUCCAACUCAAGUCUUGUCCAAAUAUUAUCCAAUAUAAUGAGGACCCGCUUCUCUUUCUUCAAUACUCGACGUAGUCGAUUUGCUCUGUCGAAUAUAUUCUCAUUCAACUCAAACUUUAUGCCUAAAUCUGAAGCGAGUUUGUUUUGAAUUUGCUGAUUAUCUGAUUCAUGUGUUAGCUCAGCCAUAACGACCUUAUCGAACAACUUAUCUUCCAUCACUUGCUUUCUAACUUGCCUGACUAGCGUGGUUUUACCCACGCCGCCCAUGCCGUAGACCCCAAUUAUGUUGAGCUUAUCAUCCUUCAACGCCUCCAUAACAUCCUGUAAUACUUUCUUUCUUGAAUCAAAGGCCUCGUUAUCUUUCCCGCCCCUAGGUGAUUCGCUCUCUGGAGGAGGAUCGUAGGAAACAUCACUCUUCAGUUUGUCGCCUUUUUCCAUGAGAUUAGCAGCAUCUUUUGCGGCCUUUGCUGCUCGUUUACUGAGUUUGUAACGAGACAACAAAUUUGGACACAAUCCUUUGAAGCAGGACUUCUUGGCUCCAUCUUCUUCGUCAAUGAUAGAUUUUGCAACCCCCUCCGUAGAUUCAACCCUACUUCGCCAGUCUUUGACACGCUGAUAAAUCUCUUCCCCUUGUCGGGUAGCAUGAUAAACAUGUUGUUGCACCAUUUCGUUUAUACCUCCCAACUCCUUCACUUGAUCUUUCAGCUCUUCUAUGUAGCUCUGGUACUUGAACACAUAAGAGAUCUGCCGCAUAAUCGGUUCGAACAAUGCCUUUGUGCCUUCUGAUAUAAUGCUUGAAAAAACACCUUGACAGAAUUCUACAGCCAUUGCCUGCUGCUUAACGAUAUAUAUGUAGUUUUUGGCUGUUAAAAAAAAAAAAAUUGGAUUCAAAUAAAUUAAAUGAACUAGAGGGGAAGAAAAAGAAAGAAACGACAACAAACAACUUUUUAGAGAAAGGUUUGACAGGCCUAAAUGGAAAACCAACAACUUUUUGAAGAAAGAAAACUUUGGAAGAUAGAUGCAAAUUAACCGUUGAUAAUAAUACUACAUUAAGAACACAGAAGUUAACAAUAAACAGUAACUUAAAACUCAAGAAAAUUAAAUGACGAGAUUAAGACAAACAAGGGAUAGUUUUUGUUGGACAUUAAGAAACAACUGCUAUCAAGAUCAAGGAUUAGAAAUUAUGCUAUUAAAAGAAGUUAUUAAAGGAUAGUGCUCGUGACUGCAGGAAAAUUUCUAAUGGAAACAACUCAAUUUCAGAAGAAUUUAUCCAAUUGACUCUGUACUUGAACUCGUUGGAUUGGUUGAUUUAUGAUUGACUGAAUUUCAAUUCGGCCCAAAAGAUCUUUAACCAAAGUUUAAUAGCUAUCAUCUACUCCUUAAAAGCAAAUGUGUAUCUUUUUUAGAUUUGACUGAAUUUGAUCUUGUUGGAUUGGUUUUUUUUUAGACAAAGUUGUUUUCCUACUGAUUUUUAUUCUUCAAGUAAACUUAGAUACAAAGUAAAUCUAAAAAAAUGACAAACAAACAAUGAAAUAAACGACAACAAACUGGCAAUUUUGAUACAAAGCCAACAAAUAUUAAAAUUUAGAACAUUUUGUUUUCUUGCUUUCUUUUGUUGGAGGAUUAGAGAUUUUGGUAUUACCCGAAAGGUUUCAAGGGUCUGAGUAGAAACCUAUAAUCUUUUUAAAAACUUUUUUUUAAAAAAUUUUUUUUGGGGAAAAGGAUGCAAAUUAACCAAAGGAAAUAAUAAGAGCACAGGCUUUAUCAAUGAACAAAAACUUAAAACUCAUGCAAAAUAAUUCAAUAUUAAAACAAAUCACUGAGGAAUAUUUAAGAACAACUUGAAAGAGCAAAAAGAUCACUGAGGAAUGUGUGAGAAAAGAGUUGACGAGAGAAAUAACAAUGACUUGCAGAAGAAAAACCAUUAAUAAUUAUGUGCAUUUUUAUUUUAUUUUUAUCCGCAUGCACUUUAAUGAUUAGUGCUCCUUUCAUAAAGCAGCUACCGGAAACACACAAAUAUCAUUUGAGAGAGAAACUAAACAGCAAAUCAUCAAAGUAAGAUCAAUAAUAUAUUAUUUGGUUAAUGCAUAUUCAAGAACAAAAACAAAAAUAAAUAAAUAAAUAAAGAAGGUUUGAUUUUGUAUUGCCAACGCUGCUUUUUUGUUAUUUCAUUUGUUCUUUCCACAAAUGAUGCUUGGUUAUAAUUAAGUUUCACAUGGCCAUUACUUACAAACUGUGUUUGUGUUAACAGAAACAUGAAAUUCACAUCACACAAAAUUGCACUAUCAAUUCUUAAUAGAACAUAAUAAUAAUUACUCAACGCAUAAGGGUAAAUUUAGAAUUACAUUUUCUCAAUGCAGAAGGGUAAAUUUAGAAUUACAUUUUCUGAUUCUUUUUUAUUUAAUAAAACCCCAAUGGAAAAUCAUAAAAAUUUAGAUAUAUAAAUUUUCUCCACCAAACAAGAAAAAAAAAGGGGGAAUGAAAACACAGGAUUUAUUUUACCUCUCUUUCAUCUUAACUCUUUUUCAGGCAAACCAAAACAAAAAAAUUUCAAUAAAGAGCUAGUUGUUGAAAUUGAUUUAUCUUGUUUUUCAGGCUAUCUUGUGACGUGACGAUAGAUAAUGCUCGUGAAUGCUAGAAAAUUUCUAAUGCAAACAACUCAAUUUGGGAUGAUAAGCUUAAUUUUGCAAAUGACGAAUGUAAAUAACUUGUUUUGAUUAAUUGAAUUUGUAAUACUCUUACCCUAUUCUAAAAUUUGGAGGUUGCUUGAGAAAAAAGGGUAUUUCUCACUCAUCUUCAAUCCUCAAGUAAAAUUAGGUAAAAAUCAAAUCUAAAAAAUCACAAACAAAUUAACAAAAAAAAAAAAAAAAACAACAACAUUGAUCUUGAGACAAGUGAUAUUUAAACAGAGAAUUCUUUAUUCUUUUUUACUUCCCCCUCCCCCCCCGGGGGGCUCGAGGAUUAAAGUCUUGCUAUUAACAGAGAGGUUUUAAGAGUCUGGAUAAAACCCGUGCUUUUUUAAAAAACCACUUUUUUUUUUCUUUUCUCUUUUUUUUGGGAAGAUAGAUUCAAAUUAACCAAAGCUAGUAAUAAGAGCACAUACCUUACAAAUGAACAAUAACUUACAACUCAAGCAACAUAAAUGAUAAGAUUAAAACAAACCGGAGAAAUUUUUCUUGGAAAAUAGACGGAAAUUAAAUAAGAACUGCUGUUAAAAGAAAUUAUUAGAGGAUUUAGGAGCAUGUGUACCUCUUUAAUUAUUUGGGAUCAGAGAGUUGAUGAGCUCUCUAUUCGCCUUUAAUAUUGAGUAAGAACUGGUAUUAAAAGAAAUUAUUAAGAACAAUAUUUCAGUGAGCAAAAGAUCACUGUUAACUGCAGAGGAAUUUGCGAGUAAAAAUUAAGCUGAAAAGAGCAGUAACAAUGAAUUGCAAAAGAAGGAGACUUAAUCAAGCACCCCUUUUAUACCCGAUUUUUAAGAUUUAAUUUUGAAGUUCCCAAUCAAGAACAAAGACGAAGCUUUAAUGAAGCAUGCAGUGAGAUACAAGAAAUGGAUCGGGCAAAAUACCUUACGAAGCGUUUCAUAUUUUCUAAUGAAAUAAUUAAGUUGAAGUUUUCGACGAAUAAAUACUUGUUGUGCUUGAAUAAUUUUGGCAUAUACAUUACUUGUAUCCGGCGAAAUUGAAAAGCACAUUCAUUUACAGAGCUUGUUAGUAGGGAAAAGCUUCGUAAGAUGCCUGAUAAAAGAUAAAGCAAAAGCUUGAAUGAAGAAUGACAUUUUAGAAAGAAACUAAAGUGCAAUCAUCAAAGUAGGAUCAAUAGUGACUUGAUCAGUUAUGCUUUUUGUUAUUUCAAUUGUUCUGUCCACAAAUGAUGCUUCGUUAUUACUAAUUCCACAUGGACAUUAUUUAGAAACUGAUCUUAUGUUUAACAGAAAAAUAAAAACUCGUCAUCAUAAGCAUUCUUGGUUGUCCUAAACCAGAAGUAGGUGUUUUGCCUGAAAGUACCACUUUGCUAGCAAAUCUAGUGGGUAUACUGAAUAAAUUUUUACAUUAUUCUAUUUGAUCUCUCUGUCUUUAUCCUAAGCAUUCUUGGUUGGGAUCGCUGCAUUGUCCUGUAAUCUGUGUGACUUAGUGAAAAGAGGAAUGGGUAACUGUGGUUAUGGGUACGUGAGAGGUAACGAUGAGGGUAGAUUGUUAAUUUUGAGGAGCGAUUUGCUUGCAUAAUUCAAUGCAUGGACAGAAAUGUCCCUGACCAAAAAAAGGGACCAUCCAUAUCUGAAUCUGAGCAUCAGAGCUUGACUUAUUUGAUAAAUAGAUAUACUUGAACUGUUUUUGCAUAAUAACUAAAAUAUUUAUUUUUAUAUAUUCGAUAAACGAGCUCACUAUUGAUAGAACUUAUUAGAUACUACAACUCAAAUAACUUCUUGUGCUUGAUUGAGGUUUUUAUAUAUUCGUAUGUUUGAGUUUUUUUUUUUUUUUUACUUUCUAAGAAUUAACUUCUACCUUGAUUCUAAAAAAAAAUAUAUAAUUUUACAAAUAAUUUAGUUCGGCAUUUGGUAAAUGAUAACUAUUUGAGAAUAAGUUUUAAAAUGGUUUACUGUACAAAUCUGGUAAAUGAAAAUUAAAAGUGUAAAAUGUUCACAUAAUGAAAAUUAAAAGUGUAAAAUGUUCACUUGCAAUGACAACAAAUACUUAUUUACUUAUUUGUAAUUUAUUUUGAAUAUUAUUGUUUAAAUCAUUUUUUUUACUUACCAGAUUUUUUAAGAGCAUUCUAUUUUCUUUAUUACAUAGUUAAAUAAUUUUUUAUUAGCUAUUUUAUUUUGCAAUAAAAUUAACUUCAAUAUUUUUUUAACUAAAAAUUUUGUUAUGUAGUUCGUGAUAUAACAAAUACUAACAUAUCAUUAAAUUGAUUAAUAAAUUAAGUGCAAAAAAGAAAAUGCAGAAAUUUAAUCUUUAUAUAAACUUUUAUGUACAUAAAAUCAUUGUAAUCAAACUAGUUCAUAGAAAUAUAAUAUUAUAUACAUGUGUGUAAAAAAAACAUAUGACCAUAAUAUUAUCCACUCAUUAAACUUGCUGCACUAUUAUUUCUCAAUCUCUCCAUCUCUCGACCUUCAAGAACAUUACUACCAUAAUCUUCUUCUUGAAUUCAACCUCCAUUUCCUCAUCAUCAACAAUGCGACCAAUUUGCCUUGAUAGCCUUUCAACUCCUCCCACUUUCCUCCCUUUUUGCAGACACUCUUUUUCUUUUUCUUUUUCUUCUUUAAUAGCUUCAAUGGGAACAACCUCAUCUAACGACAAGUCCAUUCUUCAACUAGAAUAGAGUUGGUAGUAGAUAUUUUAGUACUCUCAAACUAUGCCCAAACAGGGUCACCAAUGAUUGUCGUAUUAAAAGACAUUCUAUUUAAUUUUCCUCUAACUCUGGGUCGAUACCUUUUAUGCAAAAUCUAUUUACUUCAGGAAUUUUCUACACAUGUCGAUAGCAUAUUAAAGUGAAUUCAGAUCCUAUAUUAUUGACAUUAAAAUUUAGCCGAAUAGUAAAAAAUUUCCCUUUUUGUUUGUCACACAGCCAUAUAGUCCCAUUUUUGGUUAUAAGCUCACAAUAUGCAAGGGAAAUGAAGAUCUAUUAAAACUUCCCCAUAAUGUUCAUUUUGUUGCUCGGAGGAAUAUAACUACCUAUUAAUUAAUUAGCAAGAAUUGCGUUGCGAGUCCAUGUUUUUGUCGUUUGGAUGGAGGAUGUGCUAUCUUUUUGUUGUAGAUGCUUUGUAAGGCUUUUGAUUUAAUGAUUUAAUGCAGUCAAUUAACAAAAGCUUACAUAUAGUAUUAUGUAGUUGCUGAGAUGUCUGUUCUUGAUAAAGUCGAUUUAUUUACACCCAAGCCAACGGAAUCAAAGCCUUUUCGUUAAUAAUAUACACGGUAAUUGUUUUUGUUAAAUUGAUUUCUAGCUAACAAGAUCUUUGAAAGCAUUUAGGUAGCGUUUACAUUUUAUGUUGGAGUGAGAAUCAUGAGGAGUGAGAAUCCUGGGAUUAGAAGUGUGGAGUGGGAGUCGAAGUAUGUUGUUUACUUACACUGGAAUGGAAGUAUGGAAUUGAAAUCAGAAUCCAAUUUAUUUGUUUACAUUGUCUUGGAUUGGGAGUAAAUGAUUUUAAAUUACAACUUUACUCUUAAAAAAUUAUAGUUAUUACUUACAAAAUUAAUAAAAAUUAUAUUUAAAAAAUAAAAUAUUUAUUUUAUUAUAUUUUUAAAAUAAUAAUAAUAAUUAAUAUUCUUAACUAUGUAAAUCAAAAUUAUUUUAUUAAUUUAAAUUUAAAUUAUAUAAAUAAAAAAUUAUUAAUAACAACAACACAAAUGAAACAUUAUUAUUGUACAAAAUUGAUUUUUAGAAUAAAAUAUUUAUUAUUAUUAAUCACUAAUAUUAAAUAAAUAUAAUAGUAUUAUUUUUAAAUAAGUAUAAUAAUAUUAUAUUUUCAAAUAAAAAUAGAAUAUAGUAAUAUUAUUAAUUCUUUAUGAAUAUAAUAAUAUAAUUUUUAAGUAAUUUUAAAUUAGAAUCAAUAUAAAUUAUUAUUUUUAACCAAAAAAUUAAUAUUAUUUUCAAUAUGUUUAAUAUUAUUAUUUUUAAUAAAUGUAAUUUAUAAAAUAAUAUAAUAAUUUAAUUUAAAUAAAUAUGAUAUUAUUUAUUUUAUUUUAUUAAAUAUAAAGGUAAAAAAUGAAGAGAGGCGAGUGAAUUCCCACUCCCACCUUGCCCCAUGAGAGUGGGAAUCCCAUUCAGUCACUCCAAAGUUAGGUGGGAUCCACAGAGUGGAAUUCUCACUCUCCCUUUGAAAAUUGUAAGUAAACACUAGAGUAAAAGAAAUCCACACUCCUCACUCUCACUCCAAAAAGUACACACUACAUUGAAGAAGCCAUUGACUCAUAAGAAAGCCAUGAUUAAAUACAAGGCGAAGCAUGUGAGCUCGUUUUUCAAUCUCUUUGAUCACUCAUAAGUUUUUCUAUACCACUCACUAUAUCAUCCUUUUAAGUCAAUUUUGACUGAUCAUCAGAGAUCAUGCACCCCACCUUGAGAUGAUUGAUCACCAAUUUGGCAUUGUAACAUUGAUCACCUCUAAUUGGCCAAGCUAAAAUUGGGACCCCAAAACCAAUUGCUUCUACAGUUGAAUUUUAUCCACAGUGAGAUAAAAAUCCACCUGUUAAUUGAUAACUCAGUAUCAAUAAUUGUGGUGCCAUUCCAUCUAUUAUCAAACCCUUUUUACUGGCUCUACUAUCUAAACCACUACGAAAAUAAGCUGGUUAAAUGACGUAGAGGAUCCAAUCUAUUUACAUAAGUUUGAAUUACCUAAAUAAUCGGUGGAUUUGAUGCUUAUAAAUCAGAGGGAAUUGCAGCAGAUACACCUUCAUACUUUAAAAAUUACCUCAAUACCUUAAAAUUUGAUUUUUCCAAAAUUUUCAUCAAUAUCCUUUAAAAGCUGAUAGGAAAUGACUAAGUUAUCCUCGUUUUAAAACACUUCAACUCAACUGGCAGCACCUCUCCCUCCCUCUACUCAAACAAACAAACACUCAUAUAUGCUACAAUUCCCUCCACUACCUUUACUCAAACAAACAAACAUUCAUUCUCCAUACAUGCUAAAUCGAACUUCAACACGAGCAAAUUGAGCUGAGAAAGGGAAGCUGCUACAACUGAGAAAGAGAAGCCUAGUUCGUCGCUACAUAAUCGCCAGCGAGAGUUGAUCCUUUAUUGCAAAAUGGUCAGAAUGUAACUAGUUGAGGUAAGUAAUUCCCUAUAAUUUGUUUUCUUGUUGAUAUUCAAGGGAAAAAACAAAAAGUUAGGGUUUUAUAUUGAAAAAAUAAUUAAUUAGUUGCGGGUCUCUCAUAACAUGUUCGAAAACACAUUUCUAGUUGUUUUGUUGCAUGCAAAUUGUGAAAAAUUAAUGGAUUGUGCCGAUUAUAAUUUUUUCAUGUAACACACGAUUUGGUCAUGUAAGGUUAUGUAAGAUUCAAGGUUGUGUAUUACACGACCUUCAUGUAUUGCACGAUUACAUGACCUUCAUAUAUUGCACGAUUACACGAGCUUUAUGUAUUACACAAUUACAUGACCUUCAAUUCCAGAUUGAGGAGUAAAAAGUUUAUCAUCUCUCCAGGUGUGUUCUGUAAUUUAAUUUUUUGUUUCUUGUCGAUAGAAUAUACACAUUACAUUUAGUUUAAUUAGGCUCACAAUUGGGGACAAUAAAUUGGAAUGGUACAUAUGCCUUUACCUUGUGGAAUGUCAUUACUUAGAGAGAUCCUUAAUUUGCAAUUAUAAGCCAUGGUAAGUCAUGGUAUGUCUAGUUAUGAGUGGAAACACUUUGAUCAUUGCGAAUGGUGUUCUUAUGUGUAUAACAUUACAUUAAUUUCCUAUAGUUAAUUUUUUUUCCUAAUUGAUUUCAUGGAUUAAUUAUAUGCAGGCAUUCCUCAUGUAUGCAUGUAUGUUUGGGCAGAGGAAGAAAGCACUUUGAAGAUUAAAAAAGCUUUUUAAAUGGUUGUACUAUGUUUAAUAGCGAUGUUCAUUAGUGUAUCAUAUCCAAAUAUUGAAAAAUUUGUACACUGAUAACUUUGUUUAUUUAUACUAAUUAAUCUAAUCAUUUCUCAAACUGUCGGAUGUUCAAAUUUAGUUUUUUUUUUCUGCAAUUUAUGAACACACGAUUUGGUCGUUUAAGGUCAUGUAACAUAGGAUUCAAGGUCGUGUAAUAUACUCAUGUAUACAUGACCCUCAGUCGUCUAUGACAUGACUUUGUAUAUUAUUACGCGAUCUUGAAUCAUGUGUUACGAGUCUUUCAUGACCUUCAGUUAUAUAUUACACGACUUUCAUGUACUACACGACUUUAUGUAUUACAUGACUUUAUAUAUUGCGCGAUUAUACAGCCUCCAUGUAUUACACGACCUUAAAAUUACACGAAAUUUUCCAUUAAUCAUUAGAUUAAUUUAGUUCAUUAAAGACUUAAUUUGUGCUAAGAAUUUAUAUUUGCUGCUAUGCAGAAAAUGUCAACGAAAAUUAUUAAAAAAAAGAAGUGAAAUUAAAUUGGAAUCUAAAAAAAUUCCACAUCAUCAUUGGUUUGAAUUGUAAGUGGUGGCAUAGGAUCAGAUGUCUUAAGCUUGAACUUCAUUGUGAUUUCGAAUUCCGAAGUAUCUAUAUCAAUAAAUUGAGCUAAUCUUCACCAAUCCGGCAUAUGUUGUCGAUCGUGGUAUCAUUAUCCCUUUAGCCUUGGAACCUUUGAACUUAUACUCAUCAUUUUGGUCAAUCCAUUCACCAUUGAAGAGAAUAGGUACACGUACCAAAACCAUAUCUGAUGAUACAAUAAAAACAAUAAUAUCAAAUUUCAUAUACAAGUAACUACACGACCUACAUGACUACAUUACUUACAUGACUUACACGACCUACAUGACUAUAUUACUUACAUGACCCACAUGACUUACACGACUAUAUUACUUACACGACCUACAUGACUAACUACAUGACGUGCACGGUAUCAAAAGGAAUGCACGACGCAAAACAUUUUCACCAUAAAUAAAUUAUAUUGCUGAAAAAAAUAAUUAAACAACCUACAUUGCAUAUAAUUCUACAUAUAAGAAAAAAUGGUGAAAAUACAACAUUAUAGAGUGAGGAAAUUUUCUAAAUUUUCCUAAAAAUUAAAAAAAAAUUAAAACCCAACAACAUUAACAUAUCUUAUUGGGUUGUUUAAUGAGCAAUGCACCUAAUUUCAGUUAAAGAAAGAGUGGGUGUUAAAGAAAUGAAUAUAUAAUUGUAUUUGUGUAAGAAGUUAUGAGAGAUUUUGAGAGAUUCUAGGAGAUUUUGAGAAAAUUUCGGCAGCAAGAAAAGAUUUGGGUGAAAGAAAUAUGAAGACAAUGAAGUUGAGUGAAUUUGAUGCAUUCAUUAAGGACAUUUCAAACUUUACUUACAUUUAUUAGGGUAUCCAUGAAAACAAAAAAGGGAGGGGAUAUUUAAAUAAUUUUGAAACUAUUAAAGGGUAUUUAAUUAAAAAACCCUCUAAAUCAUUGGCUAAUGUUGAAUAAUUAUUUAAGGUAGGACCCAACAUGUAUAACACAGAUCCAUAUGAUUUCAAAUCUAAUCAUUUAAUGAUCUCAUCUUCGGUCAUGUUAGAACUCCGCCGGUUGGUUCUCAUCUCACAAUCACGAAGCACUGAACCGGCCGAUUUGUAAAAUUGUUUAGGUAACAAUGGGCCCACUCCCCACACUGGCAUCAACACCAUCGAUCCCUCCACUUGCUUCAUCCAGUGUGGUUGAUCACUCGGUUCUGAUGGACCUAUUUUCUCUGAACCGGGUGCACCUCACAAAGGUUGUGGACCACCAGGAAGGGACCCGUGAGGCCUGCGUUUAAGAUCCGAUUCGAAUAAAGCAAUAUCCUUGGGUAACCCAAGAAGUAAACGGGCCUCUCCCGGUUUGACAUCCUGGAUGCGAGCCUGCCACAUGGCACACUCUACAGCUGCUGAGCAAGCAUCAGAAGUGAAGAACCCAACAAUGGGAACUUCAAAAUUCUUGAAAACAUCAGCCGUCCAGCCCAUCAUAACGCCGAUGACUACGCAAACAGGUCGGCUUUCGGGUUCCCGGGUUGAAAGGAGGUUUCGAAGGCCUUGAAGCAUAUGGCUGUGCAUGACAACAUGGUGGUGAGAAGGAGGUGAUGGUAGUGGUUGAGAUGGGAGGGUAUUUCGGUAAUUUCACAUAGAGGGUAUUGGUGAAGAGAGGAAGGGGUGAUGCUGGUGGUGGAAACGUGAGAGGGAAUAAUGAGGGUAGAUUUGUAAUUACGAGAAGCAAUUUGCUUGCAUAAUUCAAUGCAUGGAAACAGAUGUCCCUGACCGAAGAACGGGACAAUCCAAAUCUCAGCCUCAGCAGCAUUCGCAACAGAGCUUGACAUCUUUUAUGAAUUAUUUGAGACUUAAUUGUUAUUGACUGCUUUUGCCAUCUUUCAUAAAACAUUCUUUGUUAUAUAUUCAAGUAAAUAAAUUUAUCGUUUAAAAUUAAUUUUUCAUGUGGUAAAAGCAAUACUAAAUAUGGGGUGGAGAGAAUAAUUUGUAGGGCAUACCCCCACCAUUUAUUUAAUUUCAUUAAAAAAGAAAGAAAAGAAAUAAAGGCUUGUUCAACAUUCAAUUAAAAUUAACAAUUCCAUGAUAAAAUUACUUGAGAAUAAAAAUUUUUAAAAAAAAAGUAACUCAAAAACGAGGAAUUUUUGAGUAACUGAAGAACCAUAGAUGUUUUUUGGUCAUGAGCAAUUUUUGAGUUGAGACAGAACUUGUAUAAAAAAAUAGUUUUGAAAACUUCUUUUCUUUUUUCGUAAAUAUAGAUAUAAAAUUUUAAAAUCACCAAACACAAAACCAGGAAAAUGGAAGGAGAGCCCCUGUUUCUCCUCUGUUGCAAGAACAAAUUCGGUUUCUACAGUUGUACCUUCUAAAUGCACCAUUUGUAUUGCUUUGUCUCCACUUGAGCUAACGGAAUUUGAUGAAAACAAAAUAGAUAUGAGUGGUGCUAUUCACAGCCCUCAAUAAUUCUCUCAAAACCCCUUUUCUAAUUAUACCCCGUUGAAUAAGUUCAAGACCAACUUUUCCUCUUAUAACACCACCUUCAAUUCCGUUAAUACCCUUGUUCGCUAUGAAAAUGAGGAAAAUGCCUACAUAAAAAGCUGGCUCUGAUAAUCUACCUGAAUUUACAUUAGAAAAGAGUGGACUUUGAGAAAUAAGAAGACAAUAUAGGGAAUUUUACCAAAAUAAUCCAUUUUUAUAUACAGGGAAUGGUAUUUUCUGAUAUAGGGAGGAGUGGAGAAAUUAAAUUCAGCAAAAUAAAGAACCUCCAUCGAGAAGUAAAAAUGAUGAUAUCUUUGUCGUGAAGAGAUUUCUGCCUCAUACAAAUUUUUUAUUCUAGAAUGCUUGAAACCGAAAAGUUCUGUAGUUGUUUCAAUUCAAUUGCAUACAUUGACGAAACAUUAAAUACGGAAAAAAACAAAAAAGAAAUAAUAGGACAGGGGGAUUUCGAGAAGUUCUAAAGAGAGAAAUCUAUUUAUAAGCAUUGAAAAUUAGCUCAUUAAAUUUGACAGAAUAAUAUACAAUCUCACUGUUGGCCAGAAAAUAAUAGUAAGAACUUGUGAACAUAUAUAAUCAAUUGUUUAUUACUUAAGCUCUUUUUCUUCGUUAUUUUGAAUGGGUGCAAAGAAGAGAAGUUUUGUACCCAAAUUCCAACUCGAAUUGUGUAGGCUGCUUGCAAGAGCUUCAUUAGAUUUUUAUUUGUCUUUUAAUAGUGCUUCUCGACAAAUACAGCUAGCUAUCUGUCCUUUUUGUUACUGGACUAUAGAUCAAUUGACAGUUGAAGUUAUAUUAAUUUGUUGUGCUGGAAUUGAAGCUUGUAUCUUAGCCAUUUGGUGAAGUGUCAAAUAUAUUUUUAAUUUCCUUAAAAUUGUUCAAAAUAUGUUUACACUUUUAAAGUCACUAUUAUACAUGAGUGCCCUAAAAUUGGAGAAGGCGAUUUGCCUGACAUUACCUGUAUUCGCUUGUAUAGAGAGGACGAUUUAGAUAAGUCGGAACGGAACAACCUUCAUCACAUGCUUCCUCACGUGGUUACUUAAACUGAUAUGUAAAACGUGCUCCAUCCAUGUCGUUUCCACUAAAUCGUUUUCUGUUAAGAAUCAGCUGAGCAGCACGUGAGCUAAUGAAGCUUUUACGGCUUCAAAACGCAGCCGUUUCUGGGAACCAAACUUGAUUCAUCACCUCACAACUACAGAUGAAUUAUCGAAGUGGCUGAUUGGUGCUAUACGUGUUUUUCGUAUUGAACUCAACUCUGCUAUUUUCCCAAAAGCUGGAAAACAGAAACAUCAUCCCUGUGGUUUUAUUUCACCUCAACCUUUUUCUGAUCCCAUUUUCAUUGUAAUUUCUCAUUUACUUUGAGUGAAAGUCAUUGUUGCUUUCGAACGAGGUUUUGCAACUAAAAAGGAAAAGGGGGCGGCUAUAAUACAUGCGUGCAUCUGAUACAUGCACAAAAACUGACCAUUGGAUUAAAUGGAGUGGAUCUAAUGGCUGAGAUUUGUUUUAUUAUUAAGCAAUAAAAAAAUUUGAAACAACCAGAAACCUGUAAAACCGGUCAUUUGGUUUAAGUUAAAAAUAUAUAAAUGAAAAUAACAAAAAAACCCACCACUCCCCCGCCUCACACGCGCCUCACCGCUCCCCGCUCCCUCGCCUCACCUCUCUUCUUGUUCCACGGCCAUCAACGGCGGCACGAGUCGGCGACGAUCGACUGCGGCUGUAAAUUGACCACGAUCAUCUCUCUCUCUCGGCUUGCUCAAAUUUGGCCGAUCUGUGCGCUUGCUUAAGCUUGGCCGAUCUAUGCUUGCUCGAUUACUCUUCCUAUCUUCAGUCAGAGUCAACUGUUUGACAAGAGUCGAAGUCCAAGGUUCUUUUUUACAGGAUUUGAGCUAUUCCUUUUAUUCUUCUUGCAUGUUCACUGAUAUGAAGCUUUGAUGUGGUGUUCUGAUAGCGGGUGGAAUUUGAGAUUCUCCUUUCUUCUCUAUAUGAAGGUGCUUGUCAUGUGUCAAGAAAAAUAAAAUUAUUUACCAAAGAUUAUUUUAAGGAGAUUUAUUAUUAUUCGUGGAUCGGGAAGUUUAUUUUGUUUUUUGGUCUCUUAUUUAUUUAUUGUUUUCACGAGGAAAUUGCUGUGCUUUUGGAAAUUAAUAUGCUGUGUUGUCAAUGUUGUGUGAAAUCCUUUUAUUGGUGUCUAUGUAAAGUGUUUCAGAUUUCAGACCUGAGAGUUAAUCUUCGCGUACCAGUUGGCUUUUGGGUUUAGUAUUGCUACUUUUAACAUAAUUGACCUAUGGCCCAAAUCAUUUCUAUAGGGCGAAGCAUAUGAAUGAUACAUAUUAUCUUUUUUUGGCCUUAUGUAUUGUUAUUUGCAGUGUGAUUUGGUCUAGCUUAAGAGCUUAAGCUUGCAGGUUGGAUUUGUCUGACAGGGAACAAUUUAAUUUGCUCAUCGUGAUGUUUAUAUCCAUUUUGUACUACUAUCAAUUUCAAUCAUGCCUAAUUUUUAUAUGUAUUUCUCGUGGACUCUCAGGUUCAGUGCACAAGAGGAUGAAGACGAUGGACACCCAAAUUUGAUGUGGAGAACAACUAUUGCAAAUGGUCCUUGAUUUACUUCUCCAAUUGACUUGAAUUGGUUUGACGCAAUUUAUAGUGUAUUUUUGUCAUCUUUGUACGACUAGCAGGUCGUCCUGAUUUGGUACAUGACUGGACACAGGAAUUGGACUCAUAUUUUUCAAACCAGAAUGCCAACAAUCAAGCAUUUUCUUUUGAAAGCACUGGCGUCUUCUUCAAUGCCAAAAAGGUUAGAGAUUUUCUGUAUCUUGUUUUGUAUUUAAUCAGUUUAGCAUGUGGGUGGCAAUCAAGAAAAGUUAUUAUAACAUUUUUGUGUUCCCGAAAAACUGCUGAUGAUGUGUAGUGCAGGAAAUGAAUUGUUUUUGACUUCUUUUUAUUUGUAUUCUUUCUUUUUUCUUUUCUCCCCAACAGGAUUAUGCAUUUCUGAAGAGCUUCUUGAAGUUGAUUACCAUGUAUGCCACUUUCUUUACUCUAUGCUCAGGAUGUGAUUUUGCCAAGCAUUAAAAUGGUUUAGGUCAGAACCAUCAUCUAAAGUUUACUUAAUGCAGCCGAGAAGCUGUAGUAGAGCAAGGAAGGCUGUUGGUGUUAUGAAGGCCAGCUGUGAAGAAAUAUUUGAACUUGUAAUGAGCAUGGAUGGGACACGAUACGAGUAUGCUUCUUUUCUAUUUUUUAUUUUUAGUUACUUUAACAUAAUCAAGACUAUAUUGGCUGUCUCUGUAAGCUGAGUAUUAUAUUUCCUCUUGCAUGCUGUGAAAUUCACAUUGUCUCCAGUCCCGAUUCUGUAUGUGCCUUUUUGAAUAUAUUUAAUUAAUCUGCAUGGUGCUUUCUAAAGAUUAUUACAAACUUUUGUUGCUUAAGUAUAUGAAGAAUGUAGAAAUGAAAACAGCUUUUGAAGUUUGAUGGAUUGCUUCAUUAAUAAAGAAAGACUAGGACUCAUUUUUAUAACUUUUCUCCACUUAGCUAAUGGUAUUUGAUGAAGACAAAAUAGAUGUAGCUAUCUAUAUUUUUUGUUGCUGAACUAUAGAUCAAUUGACGGUUGAAGUUAGUUAUAUUAAUUUGUUGUACUAGAAUUAAAGCUUGUAUCUUAGCCAUUUCAUGAAGUGUCAAAUACGUUCUUUCCUUUUUUUUUUUUUUUUUCAAAACAUGUUACACUUUUGAAGUCACUAUUACAUAAAAGAGUGUUCUAAAACAGGAGAAGGCGUGCUGCCUGAAAUUACCUGUUUCCUAGCAAAUCUAGCUGGUUUGCGAAUUAGAUUUUAACAAGUCUCUUGGCAAGGUUUGCUAGUAAUGUGUUCAAAUUAUUCUAUUUAAUUUUACUGUCUGUACCCUAAUAAUUCUUGGUUUGCACCAUUGCAUUGUUCCAUAAUCUCUGUGCGUUGGCUUAUAAAGGCCAGCAAGGCUGAUCAUUUGUCGAAUAGUUAUUUCCAUGAAAUUCCUAUCAAUUUGACUCAGUAUUUAGAGGUCUUGAAGAGGGCAGUGUACUAGACAUGGAUUUCUACCUCUUUUGGUUGUACAAUUGUUGUAUUUCUUGGCCAUCAGAUCUUUUUAAUGUACCUUUCUCAAAGUUCAUGCCGCACGUACACCGUUUUUCAUGUUUUGUGCAUGUGGGAUUGUAGUCUUCUGUAUCGCAGCUUAGUUGAAGAGGUAGAUGGUCAUACGGCUAUUCUCUAUCAUAGGCUUCAGCUGGACUGGUUUCCAAUGUAAUAGUCUCUUGAUUCAAUCAUCUCAUUUAUGCUUUGGUCAGAAUAGAACAUUUAUUGUUUCCUUCUUUCCCCUUUCCUCUCUUCUGAUGUAAUAUGUGAGGAAAUUACCUAAAAUUUCUGUAUCCCAAUGUAAUUGUUGGAAUUCAGAAAUAAAAUAAAUACACCGUCUUGUUUUUCCCUCGGUUCAGUCCCAAGUUCUCUUUGGGCCUUCUGCAAGUUUUUAAACAUACUGUGACAGUAAAAAAUCUAGUGAUUGAGAUCAUUUUGAUGAAUUUAAUUUUAAUUCUUAGCUGAUACUUUUUCUGGAAUUUUUUUCUUAUGUUUCCUCAAUAUGACUUAAAUAUAGGGCUUAGUUUGGUUUAGAAGUUCAUCUAAAACCUUCUCCUUGAUUCCAAAAAAAUUCUCUAGAAAGGUCUCAGAUGGAUUUUAGGGGAGUUUUGUGGCAAAUUUGAAAAGUUCAGGGGAAGGGUCUAAUGAAUUUUAAAACCACAUGGGUUAUCUGUUUUAUUCAGAGGAUAGUGGAAUUCCCUGAAAUUUAUCAUUUUUAUUUAAAUAAUCUUCCUACUUUCCUCUGCAGAAUUUAUUUAUAUAUAUGAAUUCAUUUGGUUGCAGGUUUGUUUGGCCCCGCGGCCUUUGUUAAGUGCGUUAUUGGCGUUGAAAUGACGCUGCGAGUUAUGGUAAGGUUCUUGCUUCCCCACUUCUUGAAAUUAAAUCUAUCUUUUCUGGCACUAGAAGUUUCCAUAAGCUGUGUUUUGUUAUCGCGCAGUUGUGUUAUUUCAUUCUAGGGAGCAUAUGAACUGUGGUCCACAACCCGGAUAUGUACGAGCUCACAUGGAGAGUUAGUUUUCUGUCCUUUACUUUGGUUGAUGUAGAGAAUUAACAAGUGACUAAGUCAUGCCAAGUUGCACCACUUGCUUCCUGUAUUCUGAUUUCUCAGGUGGUGGAUUCAACAUUUCCCCACUAAAACCUCAAAAUGGUAGGCCCAGAACACAAGUACAGCAUCUUAUGCAGAUUGAUCUAAAAGGGUGGGGUGUUGGUUAUGUGUCAAUGUUUAGCAACACUGUCUUCUGCAGAUGUUAAAUAGCAUUGCUGGUAAGUUUCUUGCUUUCACAUUUUAUUUUGCGCUGUUAUGGGUUAAUAUGUUUCUGUUGGGUGGCCAUUUUAAGUCAUAUUUUUACGUGUUACUGUAUUUUCUUCAGUCCUUUUAUAGGGAACACACACAUACACGUAUGUAGAGUCACCUUUUAAUGAGGGAUCUACCAUUUUAAUGAAAUGAGGAAUGAGCUAAAAGAUAAAAAAUUCACGAACUCCAAUGCAAUAUGUGUGUGUGCGCGUGUACACCUUUUCUAACUCUUGUUCUUAGUUAGAUAUUUUUUGGGAUUUCAGGCAAAUGAAAAAAGAGAUUAAGAGAAUGAUUUCAAGAGAACAGGUGGAUAAUAACUUAAAUAUUCAUUUUUAUACAUUUUGUUAAUGUCCUCUUUAAUGGAUUUCUAUGGAAUUAACCUUGUAAUUGGUGUAAUUACGGCAUUGGUGGUUGACAUGGCUUUCCUUGUGCAGGUAUGUAUGAUUGUACUGCAAUUUGCAAAUUUGCAUACUUGAAUGUUCUCAGAAUGGUAUAAUGCUUCGUGUAUGCAGGCAAAUACUACAGAUGAAUUACCGGAGCGGCUGAUUGGAGCUGUACGUGUUUCUUAUAUAGAACUCAAGUCUGCUAUUGUUCCAAAGUUGGAACCAGAGACAUCAUGACUCUGGUUUCAUUUCACCUCAACUGUUUUUUUUUUUAAUUGAAAAAAAAAAAUCAUUUGUUUUAGGUAUACAUACAUGUAUUUUGAUCCCGUUUUCAUUGUAAUUUCUCAUUUACUUUGAAAGAAAGUCAUUGGUGUUUUCGAGUGGGAAUUUUGCAUUAAAAAAUAAAGAAUACUUAAUAGGAAAUUUCAUAAUUCUUUAGUUACUAUUUUUGGAAUGUGUGUAAUAGUAUUAAAGUUGGUUUCUACUCGCAAACAAGUGAACUACUCGAUCCCCAACUGCGACCACGCUAGUUGUCAUUUAAAACUCAACAACUAACAAAAAUACUAAUAAAAAAAUGAUUUUCUUAUAUUGCUGUGAAAACAUUUAUGGGUUCAUUUAUUUCCACAAGAUCUAUAAUUUGGUCUUGACUUUACGAAAUUCUUUUAAUUUAAAGGGUUUUGGUCUGAGAAAGUCAGUUUGACGGAUUAAUUCUUUUUAAUAAUGGUCGAGUUAAUUUUACUAUACUCAUAAAACUAUUUUUAUUCUGAUAAUGCCACAAAUGUUAUGAUGUUUUCUUCAGCUAAUGAUCUUCUAUCAGGACUAGUUAGAAAUCAAAUGCUUAAAACACCGAUUGAAUGUAUAAUGCAGAAGUUUAAACAGUACCUAAUUGAAAAUUGCAUGAAACAUGAAACAUCAAUUCAAGUCCUUCCUUAAACAGAGAAUGCAUCAAACAAAUCCAAAGUGUCUUGCAAGUCUGUAGCAUGACAAAAAAGUUGUAAAUGCGUUUGGAACCAAAUUCUUCAAGUACAGGAGAACGAGCAAGUUGAAUUAUGUACAAGAGAUUGGCCUGGUUCGAGAUAGCUUCUUCACUGUACCUGAAGGAUUGGCUCAAUCUUUUCUUUAGAAUUCUGCACAUUUUGUAAUUACUCGUGUAAGCAAGCAUACAUUACAACCAUAAUAAUAAUAAAGCAAGAGUAAUGAUACGACCACCACCUUUUGUACACAAACAAUAUUGUAUAAACUAAUGCGACAUAAUAUGAUUGGUUAAACAAAAACAUUACAUGGCCCUCAUAAUUUAUUUAUUUAUUUAUUUAUUAUUAUUAUUAUUAUUAUUAUUAUAUAUUUUCAGUCAACCAAUCAUAUUAUAUCACAUUAGUUUCUAUAAAAUAAUUUGCUAAAUAGCACCAAAACUUAAUUGAUACUCACCAUUUCAUUGAACAAUUUUUUUAUGGUGUCAUUGAGGUUGCCUUCCCAACAUCCUUCAUCAUCAUCAUCUUCUUCAUCAUCAUCUUUUUCUUCUUCGGUGACGUUCACUUUGUUUAGCAUUGGUGUGUCUAAGACUCCUUGAGAGAAGAUCUUCAUUUUUGGACACAGUCUCACAACUACUUGUUUCAAGGACGGGAAUUCAAGAGCGUAAUUACCUAAACAAAAGCUUGUUAGGCUUGGCAAACAGUCAAGUUCCAAGUACCUCAAUUUCCCAAAAACAAUGCAAUCUUCCGUUUCUUCUCCAACCUGCGACUGUAUAAUUUCUUCCAUCAUUUUGCAAUCAACUAUCUUCAUUCUUCCGAGAUUCACUAGAUUUUUAGAUGCUGAGAGCGUCAACACAUUUAUCAACCCGUGACACUUCGAUACUUGUAGUCCCCACAGAUUUUCCAAAUGCCACGAAGGUGGUACUAAUUUUUGCAACUUACUACAUUCCGAUAUUUCUAGCCUUUCCAAGUUUGCAAACACUUUGUUGGAUUCGUCAUUUUCCUUCCAGAGAUGCUGCACUUUGUGUAAUCCAGACAGUCUUAACUUCCUCAAUUGAGGGAAAGCAACCUGAAAAUCAACAAAGUUAAGUUGUAAAAGAAAAUACGUAUCCAAUCUCUGGAGUCUUCACCUGCAUAUUUUAUGGACAAGAUUAAUCACGGCAUUUUAUAUUUUAUUUCCAAAUUAGUAUGCUUUGCAGUAGGAUCCCAAAUAUAAGUAUCAAAUCGAUUACCCUUUGAAACACAUAAAUGAAAUCUAAUGCUAAAUCCAAUAUGAAUUAGCUAGGAAAACAGAGAUGUUACACACAUAAUUAAUAUAGUUCAUCACCUCGUGUUAUCAGGCAUCCAAUUAAUUUCAGUCAUUUUUAUAAUUCAUACUAUAAAGAUAGUUAAUAACUGAGGUUAUAUUGUUAAAUCAUAUAUAAAUUAAGAUGACAUGCAAAAAGAUGAGUCAUUAAAUUUGACUUGAUUCUAAUGAAAUUACAUCUGUGCGAACAAAAGUGAAGGGAAUAAUAAUAAUAAUAAUAAUAAUAAUUACCUUUUCAUCGAAGAGGGGUUGUACUUGAUGAGCCAGCAAGAAGUACUCUUCUAAUGUUAAUUUUUGAGGUUCCUUGUUAUCAGUUGUCACAUGCACUACAGAGUUGGAUAUAAAUGUUUCCAUAUCAGGGCAAUUCUCAAUAGUCAGACUCCACAACAUAGGCAUUUCAAUUAUAUUCCCAGUGAAGUUGCAGAAUCUUUUGAGUUUUGGAAGAUCAAUGAGCGUUAGGCUAAAAAGCCUAGGAAACAGGGGGCCUAUAUGUUCUUUGUCAGCAUUUAGCUCUUCCAAAUGAAGCAUCUCUUCUAGUGAAUCACAAUUCCUCACUUCCAGCCUUGCCAAAUUGUUCAAGCAUCGUAGCAGAUUGGCAGGAAUAGCACUCGACAUAUUGGUGCAGUAAUCCACCUCCAGCUCUGCUAAAUAGUUGAAGAAGCGGACAGGCAGUGCUUGGCCAUGCCAUAUUUCUUUCAAACGUGGAAAAUGUGAGAGUUGCAAAUACUGUAUGUCACGGAAUCCAAUCUGCACAAACCAAAACAAUUGCACUGGAUAUAUAUAAAUACAUUAAACUUACAUGUUUUGUGUUUUAACUUCUAAAACUAUAUAUACAAGGCAGGUGUAUAUGUUCAAAUGUGCAAGUGCAAGGGAGAUGCAUAAGUAAUUUCAACGAAUCGAUUUAACACAUACCAUUUCUUCGUAACACUUUUGUAUAGUGGAAUUAAGGUUGCCUUCCCAACGGCACAAUUCACCCUCUUCCUGUUAAGAAUAGAAUUAGUUAGUUAAUGAGUAUGCUGACAUGGCAGCUGAGUCAGCUAAAGGUUGUUAUAGAGGUUGUUAGUAGUAAACUGUGCGUGUGUGCAAUGUGUGUAGAAUCUUCUAUGCACAUAUAAAAAGGCUUGCAAUUUCCAGAUUCAUUAGAUCAAUAAUAACAGAAUUCUCAGCUUACAGAAGUUUUCUUUCCUCCUAUUUUCUUAGUAACCAAACAACAUCACAGUUUCAUAUAAAACUUAAUACUUCCUUUUUACUCACCUGCACUUCGUGCAGCUUUGGUGUGGAUACGAUUCCCUGAGAAAAAGUCUUCAUGUUCGGGCAACGUGUCAUAGAAACUCGUUCCAAUGAUGGGAAUUCAAGAGUGUAAUUCUCCAAACAAAAGCUGGUAAGCCUUGGUAAAUAAUCAAGUAUCAAAACUUUUAAAUUGCUGAAAGCAAUACGAUUCUCCUUCACUUCUUCUCCAACAUGUCCUAUGAUUUCUUCUAUUUUUUCACAGUAUGAUACAUUAAGAUUCACUAGACUAUUGGGAAUUCCAACCUGAAAAUAAAGAGUAGCAUUCAACUAAAUUCAAAGUAUGUCAAAAUCAUACAAUUGUUUUAUGAAAAAUAACAAACCAUGUCUACUAGAUAUUUUUUGUUAAAGAAAAAAGGAAAAAAAUUAAAACAAAAAUAAAUAAAUAGAAGUCCAGAAAAACAAAGAUAAUGAAAAUGCAUUUACACUAAAACGCUGUAUUUCCCUUUUUUUUUUCCCGAUAUUCAUGCUUUUAAAAAUGGAAAACAUUUCUGGAAAACACUUCCCAACGCCAUCAACAUGGGACUGUUACAGAGUGAAUAUUUGAGGAAAUUUUUUAAUAAACGGUCGAUUCAAAAUGACCAUCAUGAAUUUGUGCUUAAUCAAUGGCGUAAUCAAUUCAUAACUAAACUAGAGAUAUUAACUACAUUUGAACACUUUUCUUUAUUUUAUUUUUAAAAUCGAAAUCUAAAGACCCAAGGAAAAGAGAAAUAUAUAUGAAUUUGUGAACUUAAAAGCUGAGUAACUAAGUAUCUUUUAAUUUCUGAAAAUCUUAUUCAUUAGGAUUUAAGGAAAAAAAACAAUUAAAUUAAAUUAUAUUAUGCUGUUAAAUCGUGUUUAAAAUAAUUAUAUUGUUGACUUUAAUGCAGGUGAACCUAUAAAUUAGAUUGAAAAUGCAGAGUUCAGAAUGGUGAUUUGAAGUACAAUACUUUUUUUCCCUCUAGAAGUUUGAAGUACAAUACUUGCAAUAAAUAAUUUGUGAAUGAAAAUUAUUUGUAAACAAAAAAAUGAUUAAAAUAAUUGUUGAAUGUUAUUUGAAAUAAAAAUUCAAAAUGAAUAUAGCAAUCUUACCAAUGGAGGAAAAAUAUUCAGUAGAUUAUGACACACAGAUAUCUCUAAUUUUUUCAAUUUGCUAAAAGACUUCGAAGCAAGCUGGUGGUGCCAUAUUUUUCUCAACUUAUCCGCCCCACGAAUAUGUAAUACCUCCAGACUUGGGAGUCGUACCUGAAGUUAAAAAUUCAAUGCAAUUAGAGAUGGAUAUUAAUUAAAUUUGAAGACUCAACGAAAGAAGAAAUUAACUAUUAAGAAUAAAAUUAAUUUAAAAAAAAAACCUUUGCAUCAAAGAGAGGUUGAGGUUGCAUUUCAGAAUUAGCUUCUGGUGAGGCAAAGCUACUUAGUUUUGGAAGACCAUCGAGCUGCAGGAAGUGUAGUUUAGGAAAAACCUUAAAUUCAUCUCUUCCUCCUAACCCCGUGGUGUUGACUAUCCCUUCCAUUGACCAACAAUUAAUAAUCUCAAGAUGUCGGAGCUGCCCAAGACUAUUAGCCAUAGAAUAUGAAAACAUAUACUUCAGAGGACAACACCUUGUCACGGUCACUUUUGUUAAAUUUUGACAACAAUACAUUCCCUGAAAUUGAUCGGGCCAUAAUUUUUUGAUGUUUGUUAAACUGACAAGUUCCAGUUCCUCCAAGCGUGGAAAAGUAACCUGCAAAGAAAAACCAUACAUUUUUUUUCCUUCAACUACAACUUCUAAUAUAAUAUUCUUUCGAUGAUUGAAGAUCAAUCGUGAUAAUAUAUUAAUUAAUUAAUUAUUAAACAGAAAAUUAUCACCUGAUCAUCCUCUGCAUUGAUUUCUGUGAAUCCCUGAGUAGUUGUUGGUUUCUCCAUGUCGGGCCCUAUAAAUGAACAAAAACAAUAUAUGAUUAACCUCUGUUGUCCCCUCCCAAAACAAAAAAAAAAAAAGAAUGAGCCAAUGUCAAUAAUCCUACCAAUAAUUAAUUUAAACACUUACCAAUCAUCAUUUUCAAUUUAUUGCAAUUUACCACUUCUACUUUUUGAAGCCCCAAUAGGUUUUUGGCCAUAGAGAAUGAGAAGAGAUACUUCAAUUUUGGACAGGAAUAUACGUAUAUAAUCCUUAAGUUGCUGAAAGAUUGAUCUUCUCUGAGUUGGCUGUAGCAUAUCGUCUCCAAAUUAGUUAAAUUAAUAAGAUCCAAUGAUUCCAGCAAGGGAAAGACUUCGCAACGAACCCGUCUAACUGAACCGACAAUAUGUAAAAUCUCAGAACAACCUGUUACAUGAAGAUGCUGCAAUCGUGGAAAACCUUCCCCAUCGUCUAAUUCAUGAACAACAUUCUGAACACCCGUCAGUGAGUAUAGACGGAGAUCUUCAGUUCUCUUCAGCAACAUUUUCGUCCCAUCAUUCCCCAAAAGAAGGCUAACUUUUUCUGGCCCCUUGAGCACCAUCAAUGUUGAUGUUUUAGAUUCGACGAGUCGUCGGUUAGACAUUUGUCCUAUAAAUAUCUUAUAUCUUUCCAAUUCCAUAGAGACAAAAUCCGGCGGCAGAAUUUCGGAAUCCGAAACAUCUAUCUCCAAAGUAGUUAGAUUUGACAACCCCUUCAACUCGACAAGACUGGCAUUACUUCCUCCUUCAACCUUAUCCCACUGUGAAAAGCUGUUAUGCAUAAACAGUUCUUCUAAUCCAGAUAAUUUUGAUAUGACAUUUGGUGGUAUCAACUCAAGGCUCCAACAAUUGCUCAAAUCUAGCAACUGUAACCGCGUCAAUCGUCCAAUUUCAAGUGGUAACUGCUUGAUAUCGGAAUCUGCAAGGCUGAGAAUCUCUAAUUUCUUUAGCUGUCCAACUAUUGCUAUAUCUUUUAGUCGGCAAUAGUCUAAACGCAAUGUUUGAAGGUUAAUGAGGCAACCAAGUGAUGAAGGUAAUGAAGAGAAUUGAAUUCGAGUAAAAUUCAAAACUUUGAGUCCUUCCGUCCCUUUAAAAAAGUGGUCUGAAACUUGCAUAGAGCCAUCACCCUCCGCAUGCAAUAGCUCAAGACAGGGACAUUGCAACCUUUCAGGAAGCACUUGAAUACCUCCAUAAGGUAAAGAAAUAGCAAUUGGACCUUCCUGUACUGUAUCUUCCAUCUUUUUCUCCAAGUCGGCAACAUUUGGAAUAUUAAACAUGAGCUCCUCUUCUGCAAUUGAUACAGCAACUACACGAAUGACGUCAUGCAUUUUAACUUCAUCUUCAGCAUCACUGUCCAACAAUAAGCAUGAAGAUUUGAGUUUGUCGAUCAACGUAUGCAAUCUCCUCCUUGCUUCUUCCAGUGAGUAAACCUUUUUAAAAUAGUCCAUACCCAUACCAUAUCUCAAUAAGUCUGGAACAGGUAUAGCAUAACCUUUACUAAGUAGACCACAAAGACGGAACAGAGAUUUUGCCUCCGCACUUUCCAGCAAGUUGUAACUCAAUUUUAUGGAGGUGUACACAUUUCUUUCCAUUCCAUCAAUUUCUCUUGCAUCGGAACUUCUUAGCUGAUUCAAUGCAUCCUUCCAAAUGUCAAGAUCCUUAGUUUUCAGAGCUUUUGCAACUGUACUCAGUGCAACAGGCAAUCCUCCGCAUUUUUCAACGAUCUCAUCUGCAGUGGGUUGAAAAGCAGAUAUUUUAGUUGAAUCACCCACUAUCUUCUCAAAUAACUGCAAGGCUUCUUCUUUUGAUAAAGCAUCGAUCGGGAAAUUUUUCUGAGAAUUCAUAUCAGUGCACAAUAAAUCUCGACUUCUAGACGUCAGUAUUAUUGUGCAUCGUCUCUGAUCAUCCAUUCUUUCGUUCGGAAUCCCAACUUUAUCGAACUCCAGUUCCCCCCAAAUAUUAUCCAAUAUAAUGAGAUGCCGCUCCUUGUUCUUCAAUACUCGACAUAGUCGAUUUGCUCUGUCGAAUAUACUCUCAUUCAACUCAAACUUUAUGCCUAAAUCAGAAGCAAGUUUGUCUUGAAUUUUCUGAUGAUCUGGGUUCUCUGUUACCUCAGCCAUAGCGACCUUAUCGAACAACUUAUUUGUUUCCAUCACUUGCUUUGCAACUUGCUUGACUAGCGUGGUUUUACCCACGCCGCCCAUGCCGUAGACCCCAAUUAUGUUGAGUUUCUCAUCCUUCAACGCCUCCAUAACAUCCAGUAAUACUUUCUUUCUUGAAUCAAAGGCCUCGUUAUCUUUCCCGCCCCUAAGUGCUUCGAUAUCUGCAGAAGGAUCGAAGGCAAUUUCUUCACUCUUCAGUUUGUCGCCUUUUUCCAUGAGAUUAGCAGCAUCUUUUGCGGCCUUUGCUGCUCGUUUACUGAGUUUGUAACGAGACAACAAAUUUGCACACAAUCCUUUGAAGCAGGACUUCUUGGCUCCAUCUUCUUCAUCAAUGAUAGAUUUUGCAACCCCCUCCGUAGAUUCAACCUUACUUCGCCAAUCUUUGACACCCUGAUAAAUCUCUUUGCCUUGUCGAGUAUCAUGCUUAACACGUUGUUGCACCAUUUCGUUUAUACCUUCCAACCCCUUCACUUGAUCUUUUAGCUCAUCUAUGUAGCUCUGGUACUUGAACACAUAAGAUAUUUGCCGUAUAAUCGGUUUGAACAGUGACUUUGCACCUUCUAAUACAGUGCUGGAUAAAGCAGCCAGAGCCACUUCUGCCAUUGUCUGCUACUUAACAAAUCUAAUAAUAUAUCAAAGAAAGGAAUACAAAUAAAUUAAAAGGAACUAAAGGGAAAGACAGAGAAAGAAAAGACGGCAAACAACAUCGCAAUAUUGAUCUUGAACCAACUGAUACCUAAAUAGAGAAUUUCUUUUACUAUCUUAAGGAUCAGAGGUUUCGCUAUUAACCGAAAGGUAUCGCUUCUAUUUUGUCACUUUGAACGAAUAACUUUAUGUUUUUAACGGAUGUUUAAUACAAAUUGCAUACAUUGGGUGUAAAAUUAAAUAAAUUUAAAUAUUUAUAAUAAUUUUAAUAAUUGAAUAAAACUUUGAGUAAAUGACUGAUAAUUUCUCUAAGAUGAUUUAUUGUUUGGGGUCUAAGAUUUUAAAUAUUCAACUUAAAAGAUUAAUAUCUUAUAAAUUGAUUAAUUAAUUAAUCAUUAAGCAACUAAAUUGGUCCCUGGAUGUCAAUUUAUUUAAUAUUGACGCACCUAUUUUUUUUUUCUGGCAAAUAAUUAUUAAUGCACUUAGGNNNNNNNNNNNNNNNNNNNNNNNNNNNNNNNNNNNNNNNNNNNNNNNNNNNNNNNNNNNNNNNNNNNNNNNNNNNNNNNNNNNNNNNNNNNNNNNNNNNNNNNNNNNNNNNNNNNNNNNNNNNNNNNNNNNNNNNNNNNNNNNNNNNNNNNNNNNNNNNNNNNNNNNNNNNNNNNNNNNNNNNNNNNNNNNNNNNNNNNNNNNNNNNNNNNNNNNNNNNNNNNNNNNNNNNNNNNNNNNNNNNNNNNNNNNNNNNNNNNNNNNNNNNNNNNNNNNNNNNNNNNNNNNNNNNNNNNNNNNNNNNNNNNNNNNNNNNNNNNNNNNNNNNNNNNNNNNNNNNNNNNNNNNNNNNNNNNNNNNNNNNNNNNNNNNNNNNNNNNNNNNNNNNNNNNNNNNNNNNNNNNNNNNNNNNNNNNNNNNNNNNNNNNNNNNNNNNNNNNNNNNNNNNNNNNNNNNNNNNNNNNNNNNNNNNNNNNNNNNNNNNNNNNNNNNNNNNNNNNNNNNNNNNNNNNNNNNNNNNNNNNNNNNNNNNNNNNNNNNNNNNNNNNNNNNNNNNNNNNNNNNNNNNNNNNNNNNNNNNNNNNNNNNNNNNNNNNNNNNNNNNNNNNNNNNNNNNNNNNNNNNNNNNNNNNNNNNNNNNNNNNNNNNNNNNNNNNNNNNNNNNNNNNNNNNNNNNNNNNNNNNNNNNNNNNNNNNNNNNNNNNNNNNNNNNNNNNNNNNNNNNNNNNNNNNNNNNNNNNNNNNNNNNNNNNNNNNNNNNNNNNNNNNNNNNNNNNNNNNNNNNNNNNNNNNNNNNNNNNNNNNNNNNNNNNNNNNNNNNNNNNNNNNNNNNNNNNNNNNNNNNNNNNNNNNNNNNNNNNNNNNNNNNNNNNNNNNNNNNNNNNNNNNNNNNNNNNNNNNNNNNNNNNNNNNNNNNNNNNNNNNNNNNNNNNNNNNNNNNNNNNNNNNNNNNNNNNNNNNNNNNNNNNNNNNNNNNNNNNNNNNNNNNNNNNNNNNNNNNNNNNNNNNNNNNNNNNNNNNNNNNNNNNNNNNNNNNNNNNNNNNNNNNNNNNNNNNNNNNNNNNNNNNNNNNNNNNNNNNNNNNNNNNNNNNNNNNNNNNNNNNNNNNNNNNNNNNNNNNNNNNNNNNNNNNNNNNNNNNNNNNNNNNNNNNNNNNNNNNNNNNNNNNNNNNNNNNNNNNNNNNNNNNNNNNNNNNNNNNNNNNNNNNNNNNNNNNNNNNNNNNNNNNNNNNNNNNNNNNNNNNNNNNNNNNNNNNNNNNNNNNNNNNNNNNNNNNNNNNNNNNNNNNNNNNNNNGGGAUUAUGGGGGUAUGCUAAUGCGGCAACCUGACUGUGAGUCGGGAAAAGCUAAUGAGGCAACUUUGCUUGUGCUGCUUCUUUUUUUUUUUUCUUUUGCUUUCUUUUUUGCUUUUUUUUAAUAAUAUUAAAUAAUAUAAAUUUUAAUUUAAUUUAAUAGAAUAUUAUAUAAUAUUAAUUUUUAUUUUCUCUUAUUUUGACAUCAUAAUUAUUAAUAUAAAUUAAUUAUUUUUAUUCAUAUUUUAAUUUUUAUUACUAAAUAAUAAUUAUAUAAUAAUUAAUAUAUAAAAUUGAUUAAUAAAUACUUAAAUAAUAUAAAAAUAAGAAUAUAACUUGAUAUUACAUUAUUUAAUUAUAUUAUAGUAAUUAAUAUAUAUGAAAAUUUAAUAUAACUAAUAAAAAUAUUUAUAUAUGAAUAAAUUUAAAUAAUAUUAAUUUAAAAUUAAUAUUAAUAAAAAUAAUAAUAUAAAAUAUCAUUAUGUUAUGAUAUUAUUUAGGUAUUAAUAAAUAUUAUUUUCUAAAUAUAUAAUUUAAGUUAAUCACAAAAAAUUAAUACAGUACAGUGUAGCACCAAACAUUGUAUUAUGCUGUAUGCCUGUAUUGUAUUAGCACUGAUUGGGUGUAAAGCGUUUGUAAGUGGCUUUUUAAGUCUGCCGUCAAAUCCCCUGCAAAAGCUUUUUUCUUAAUAUCACGCGUGUUGGUACUACAUAAAACCGUAAACUCUAACAAUUUCUUUGUUCUUUCUUAAUAUCACGCGUGUUGGUACUACAUAAAACCGUAAACUCCAACAAUUUCUUAGUUCUCAACACCCCUUAAUUUACAAGAAUUAAUCACUUCAAGGGUGGAUUAGGUAUAUCUUUAGUUCAUAUAUAACUAGCAAUAUCUAAUAUCCCAUAUACAUGUUUUUCUCCCAGAAUGUAAACCAACUAUUCAUAUCUUAGACUCCAAGUAUUCGUAUCUUAAAGUCAAUCGAUAAUAUUAAUUUAAAUUUAAUAAUAAUAUAAAAUAUUAAUAUAAUAUAAUAUUUAAUUUAAAUUAAUUACAAACAAAUAAUAUAGUACAAUGUAGCACCAAACAUUGUAUAGCAUUAUUAUAAUACAAUGCUAAUGCAAUACAAUAUAAUAUAAUCCACCAACAUUAAAAUAAUAUAAUAUAGCAUAAUACAAUACAGUGUGUCAAAUGCACCCUUAGGGUGUGUUUGGUAUGUGGUAUUGCAUAGCAUUAAAUGUGGGCCCAACAUUAAUUUAAACCAAUAACAUGUUUGGGAGCAAUUGAGGCUUAUUGGGAUUGGGUAUUGAGGGGUGCGCUAAUGCGGGAACCACCGCAUUAGCUUGUCUUUUUUUUUUUACUUUUACUUAAUAAUAAUAUAAAUGAAUAAAUAUAUAAUUUUUAAUUUUUAAUAUAAUAUUAUUUUUAUUUUUAUAUCAUAAUUUAUUAAUAAAUUUAUAAUUUAAUAUGAUUAAUAAUAAAUAUUUAAAUAGUAUAUAAAAUAUAAUAUAAUAUUACACUGUGUAAUUAUUGUAAUAUAAUUAAUAUAUAUAAAUUAUUUAUUUUUAAAUAAUUUAAUAUAAAAAAUAAAAAAAUAUUUAAAUACAAAUGAAUUUCAAUAAUAUUGAUAUACGAUUAAUAAUAACAUAAAUAAUAAUAUAAAAUAUUAGCACAAUUCAUUUUGCUAUUAAAUAUGUUAUAACAAUUUUGUCAUUUUAUAAUUUUGUGGUGUAUAUGAACAUAUGUCUUAAGAUUAUUUUUGAACAAAUCUUGUAGGUUUUAACUAUUUAUUUUUCUUGUUAUAUUAUUUCAAGAUUAUUUGAUUAAAUUAUUUGCUUCGAUAUUUAACAAGUUAUAUAUUUAGAAAAUAUAGAAAAUAAAUGUUAUGCUUCCAAAAAUUAAAGGAUAUAACGUUCGAUCUUUAUGAAGAAUUAUGAUAUUUUUGAACAUUUAUACUAAAAAAUUAUUAAAUUUUUAGAAAAUUAAAAGAUAUAACAUUCGAUCUUUAUGAAGAAUUAUGAUAUUUUUUAACAUUUAUACUAAAAAAAUAAUUAAAUUUCUAAAAUUUAAGACCUCUAUAUUUAGUUUUUUUUAAGUACUAUUAAUAUUAUUUUAUAAAUAUAUAAUAUAAAUUAAUUACAAAAAAUUAAUACAGUACAGUAUAACACCAAACAUAAUAUAAUUAAAAAUUAAUACAGUACAGUGUAAUACCAAAUAUUGUACAAUAUUAUUAUAAUACAGUACUAAUGUAAUACAACAUAAUACAAUACACUGCAUAAAAAUAAUGUAAUUUAGUGUACCAAACACACCCUUACAGAACUUUUGCAUAUCUACACAGCGAUUUUAAAUAUUACUGAUAACUCCUGAGAAAUGUGUGAGAAAGGAGUUGAUAAGAGUAAUAACAGCGACUUGCAAAAGGAAAAGACAGAAUCAUUCACCCCUUUUUAUAUCAUGUAUUUGGUUACUGUUGCCCUGUUGACGCAUGUAUAAAAUAACCGUAUGUAUUUUUUUUGGCUGUUGCUUAACAAAAUGUGUGUUUGUGUGUGUAUAUAUAUAUAUUUGCUGUUUGAAAAAAUUGGAUUCAAAUAAAUUAAAAUGAACUAGAGAGGAAGAGAAAGAAUGAAAAGACAACAAACAAUUGAUAUUGAUCUCGAACCAACUUCUUUCUUUCUUUCUUUCUUUUUUGUGUUUUUUUUUUCGCCCGUACCCCCUCUCAGAUUAGAGUAUUGGCUAUUAAAUGAAAGGUUUUAAGGGUAUGAGUGAAAAACAACAUUCUUUUUUAGAAACUAUUUUAGAGGAGGGAUGCAAAUUAAAUGACAAGAUUAAGACAAACAGGAGAUAUUUUUUCGUGGGCAUUAAGAAAUAACUGCUGUCAAGAUCAAGGAGAUUAUGCUAUUAAUAGAAAUUAUCAAAGGAUUUAGAACAAGUUCACCUCUUUAAUUAUCCGGGAUCAGAUAGUUGAUGAGCUUCUCUUCUUGGCGUUGAAUAUUUAAGAAUAAUUUUAAUGAGCAAAAAGAUCACUGGUAACUGCUGAAAAAUAAGUGAGAAAAGAGUUGAUGAGAAUAAUAACAAUGAAUUGAAUAAAAAAAGGACUUAAUCAUGCACCCCCUUUGCAUAUCAUGUAUUUGGUUACUGUUGCCUUGUUGACGCAUGUAUAGAAUAAUUAGUGACUUCUUUCAUGAAGAAUUAAACUUGGAAUGACCAAAAGACGAAGCUGCGGUGUAUUGUUGGACCAAAUUAAGUUGAAGAAAGCACUAGUUCACAACCUUACGUUUGGAUAUAUUCUAAAGAAAUAAUUAAACAGCAAAUCAUCACAUGCACUUUAAUGAUUUGAUCUAUUGUUUUCAAAAGAAAUUGCAAUUAACAGUUUUUGUCAAAAGUUCGCACUGCGUGAAACUAGUGCUAAUAUAAUUUAAAAAAUUAAUUUCAGUAUUAGUUUUUAAAAUGUUAAUUAUUAUAUUUAUUUUAAUAAUAUAUUUAUAUUUAUUAUAAAAAAUUCUGUUAAACAUUUGUGUUAAAUAGAAUUUAUAAUUAAUAUAAUAUAUCUUAGGUAUUAAUAAUAUUAUAAUUAUUCUAUAUGCUAUUGAAAAUAAUUUAAAUUUUUAGACGUUUAUUUUCACAUUAAGUUUCUAUUUAUUAUAAAAUUUAGUUUAAUAUAGUAUAAGCUUGUAAAGUAUUAAAAUAUUUUUUCAUAUUUUUUGAACAUAUUAAAAUUAUUUUAAAAUAUAUUUAUAUAUUAACAUUGAAGUCAAUUUUUUAAGUUAAUAGAACCAGUAGGUGUUAUAGUAAAAAAGCGUUUCUUAGCAUCACUUAUUGAAAAUAUAAAGAUCUAUAUAAUCAUUUUUUCAAAUAUUGAGAUGUAGUUAUAAAAGAAAAAAUAAAUUAAAAAAUUUUAAAUUUUAAUAUGGCCAUCGUAGAGUUAGAAUCCCCGCUCCAACCCGAUUUGGAGAUGAGCUUGGUCUAUUUAUGUUUUGGAAAAAGAAAAACCAAAGGAAAAAAAAGGCACCCGACCAAAUCAAGUAACUCAUCAAAUAAAAAAUAAAAAAAGGAAAGAAAUUUAAUGACUUGCAUGCAAUUUUGGAUCUGAAAUUAAAAUUACAUAAAAAUUAAGGAUUACGUACCUUAAUAUUUACAGCUUAUUUGAUGGACUCAACAGGUUUAAGCAACAUCAAAAUGUUUGUGGCUCCUUAAAUGAGCCCCCGACAUGGUGCAAAUGACAACAUCGACUUGUUUGACAGCUCCAACAAGGCUACGAUGAUCAGAAGAUGAGCCCUCAAUCAACAAGCUAAGAUUGGCUUCUCUAUCCUCUUCGCCCCACAACCAGCGCCUUGCUCUUUGUCAUUUUUCCUCUUGUUAGUUUUCUUCUACAUAUAAUUAUUACACUGGGAAGUAUACACACACCUCUUUUCUUUUUAUAGUACCUUACUAUUAUAUCUUUACAAAACAAUAUCACCCUAAGACAGCUAUGUAUGAAAUAAAUGAAAUAAAUAUAUAAGGAACUGACGAAAUAAAAUUAGAUCUAACUCUAAUUUCACGUUGCGUGAAUUUUUGACAAUUCACCCGUAUCCCAACAAAAGCUUUGUCAUAUUGCGAAAAUACCUUUUCAAUGUUUCAAUUGCAAUGUCAUUGCCAUUAUUCAUAGUGGCAGACAAUGGACGUCACGGGACGGUAGAAGUCUAUGUUACGGCUUGUGCAAGUAACAGCAGCCAAUGGGGAACUUCCACGGGUGCUAGAGGAGAGAGAAAGAGGUCCCAAUGCAAGGUGAUGGAAAUGGGAAAGUUCGAAGCUGUUACUUUCAGCUUCUGCACCUUAGCCAUGUCCCACGGGACAAGGCUAGAAGUUAUCAUGACCAUAAACUUUUCUAAUUUAUUUUUUCCUUUCAAAAAGGGACAAGGAUACGUUUCGGAGAAUGAUUAUAUUUUUAAUAAAAGAAUUCUUUUUUAUUAUAAUACUUUUUUCUUUAUUAAUUUAAAAAUAUUGACUCUUAUAUUUUAAUAAAUAUAAAUAUAAUAUUAUAAUAAAAUAUAACAAUAUAUACAAAUAUUUAAAAAAAUUUAAGAUUUUAUUAAAAGAAAUUUUAUAAUAAAUACAAAUAUAUUAUUAAUAUAAUUAUAAUAAUUUGCAUUUUAAAAAGUAAUACUGAUAUUAAUUUUUUAAAUUAUAUUACUCUACCAAAAAAAUUAAACUAUUAAAUUAUAUUGAUAUUUAUUAAAAAAAUUGAAGUUAAUUCUUAUUAUAUUUUUAAUUGGAAUUUUUUCAUGUGACAUAAUUACAAUUGCUACAUUUUUUUCCCUAAAUAAAGAUGGGAGUUAUAAAUUAUUUGUAUAAGUGUCUGUGUGUAAACUAAUGUGACAUGAAAGUAAUAGCUGAAUAACAAUAAUGGAGCUUUAGGUAAUUUUUUAUGAGGUCUUCUUGCAAUUUCAACACUUAAACAGACUUGUCCUUGAUCCCAAUUUAUUUACCCCAUUUGGGCCCCUUAUGACAAACAUAUUCUUGUGGAAUGAAAAACAUCAGGAGAAGAAAAUGUUUUAUUAUAAUAGAAAAAGUUGUCCAUAAGUCUAUUCAUUUUUUUUUUAUUCAAUACAAAUGCGGGCCGCGUUCUGUGGGUCUNNNNNNNNNNNNNNNNNNNNNNNNNNNNNNNNNNNNNNNNNNNNNNNNNNNNNNNNNNNNNNNNNNNNNNNNNNNNNNNNNNNNNNNNNNNNNNNNNNNNNNNNNNNNNNNNNNNNNNNNNNNNNNNNNNNNNNNNNNNNNNNNNNNNNNNNNNNNNNNNNNNNNNNNNNNNNNNNNNNNNNNNNNNNNNNNNNNNNNNNNNNNNNNNNNNNNNNNNNNNNNNNNNNNUAAGUAGAGUGAGACUCUGGCAUCCUCUAAAUAUCUCUCAACACUCUUUCUUAUUAACCCCAUUAAAAUAUUUAAAAAUAUUAUAAAAUUCUUUUAACACCUUUUUUAUGGCAAAAAUACCCUUAGUUUAAAUUUAUUAAUAUAAACCCCAUUUUAAUUUUUGACCCCUGAUUGUGAUUUUUUUUUAAAGCACCUGAAUUUUGAAACAAUUAAUUAUCUAUUGAAAAAGAAAGAAAGAAAAGGAAAACAAAAGGAAAAGGGCACUUGCUCCAAGAAAGUUCUACUUUAAUGUGGCAAAUCAUUGAAACACCACAUGGCCAAAACUUUACUCUAUGCAUGACAACUCAUUGUAAUUGAUAAUGACCCUCGCAAACACUUGGCUACCAUGCGUGUAAUUCUAAGGCCAAGUGCUAAUUUGGUUUACUGAUGAAGAUGCUGAGCACAAGCUUCUGAAAAUGCAGAAUUACGAAUUUUUCGAAAGACUGCGAACCUUUAUGGAGAAAGACAACUAGGCCACUGGAAAACAUGUCGGUGGGAAAAUAAUUCUGAUGAUCGUUCAGCUCGUCCUUUGCUUCAUAAUUACUUUCUUCUUUCUUAAUUUCUCUCAUGGGUCUCGGUUUCUUCCUGAAGCUUGUUGAUGAUGAGUUGCAUAUGCCGAUAAUUCCUCACCAGAAAAUAAGAUGAAAAGGUAACUUUCUUAAUUUUUAAAAUGCUGAAUUUCAAUUUAAGGUACUAUUCAUUUUGUCUCUUUCAAGUUAUUUUUCAUUUUUCUGCUGAUAUUUUAAUAUUUACAGUCAAUUGUAGCAUUACUUAAAUUUAUAGUAUGUAGAUCAUAAUUCAUAAAUUAGUUUGCAGUUGGAGUAAACUCGAAAAUGUUAAAAAAAUAAUAAUAACAACAAAAAGAGUAGAGACAAGUUGUCAUCUUGAGUAACAAUAAAAUAAAGAAUUGCAGCUUUUACAAAGUCUUUCUUUAAAAAUAUGAAAUGAAUAAAAUGACUAUUAAAAUGGUUCAAAAUUUUCUGAUAGUGUCAUUGACUAGCUAGAUCAAUUGUUUCUUGUGUGGUAACUUCAAACACCAAAUCCUUGAAAGCAAGUAUAUUAGUUUUGUAUGGUGUUGCCCAGCCUUCUGCACAUGGUUCAUGAUAUUUGAUCCAACUAUUCGCAAUAGGAGGAAUAGGUGAAGCUGGAAGCAUGAACACCUGUAAAAAAAAAAAAAAAGCCAUAGAAAAAUUAGUCCAAUAAUUAAGAUAUUGCAGCAUAAUUUGAAUUUCUAAACUUUUACAUACCUCUAUGAAAUGAUUUCUAUUAACAAAUCCAAUAGCAAUGAUUUUAUGCGAGGAGCGUGAUAAUGGAAUAGAUCUAAGUGGAAGGAAUGUGACAAUCAGCACAUCUGAUAUAUGUAGUAAUACCACAUUAUAUUUAGAAGCAAUAAUAUGACCAAUUUCAGGCAUGGUCAUCCAAUACUCUCUUCCUGGGUUAUUCUCAAAGUAUAAAAGUGAAUGAAGCACCUCCUCUGCUCUACCAGCAUAUUCAAAGACUCUUUUAUAAUCAUUAAAGUGACUUUGCAACUCAACAACUAAGACUUUCCUGACUUGUGCCCAGUUAUCUUCACCAAUACCUAUUAGGUCAGCCACUGCCUGAAAACCACAAUUACCAUCUGCAACAACAUCUCUAACACCACAAAUAUAAGGCCUCAAACCAAAUGGAAAUGAAUCAAUAUAAGAAGCAUGCUUUGGUGCUUUUGUUUGAGAAACACUCAUUUUUCGUUGCCCUUUUGGUUUUUUUGUAGUUGUACUUGAAGACAUAAUGUCUGGAGAAUGAUUAUCCUGUGCGGAUACUACAUACUCAAAUCUUGAUGGAUCUCGGCGGGUAGAUUUAUCAAGCUUUUGGGAGGGUCGUCCUCGAGUCUUAGCUUUAACAGGUAGCUCAAUUAAAAAAGUUAAGAAUGGAUCAGCUAAUUCUUUCAGUUUUCUUUUUAUUUGCAUUUUUCCGAAACCAUCUGAAUCUUCAAAACGCUUGAUAAUCAUUUCCAUUUCAGGGGUACAACUCAACUCUGCUGAUUUUUCAUAGCUGGUGCAGACAAGGUCUAAUUUCCUCCAAUGCAAAUGUACAGAAUCUAAAGGUAUCGGUCGACCUUCACGCUUAUACUCUGCAAUUUCAUGUGCACACGGUAGCCCAUAAGUGUGUCGAACUACACAACCACAUGCUGAAAUAUCUAUACCAAUUAAAUCAGCUCUUUUUGACUCACUUAGUAUCAUAUCUAAUGCAUUUCUAGCAACUAACCCCCUUAAUUCUUUAAAAACUGAAGGUGUGAAACUAUGUUGCACAGUAGUCAAACUCUUCUCAAAUGAUGCCUUAAUUUUUGUAUGUUGCAACUCUACCAAAGAAUGAAGUUUUGUCCAUAAUGUUACAAAGUUUCCUUGGGAUGAACAUAGUUGCCUUUUUAAUUUUGAAUGUGCAGUCUCAGCCCUAAAAAUAAACCAACAAAAAAAUAAUAAAAAGAUAUAUAAAAAAAUGGUGUUGAGUUUAUUUAUAAAAUCAUUGAAAACUAAAUAUUGGUUACCUGUUGGUUGUCAUAUUUCCGAAAUGCAUAAUAAAGUCUGUCCAUGCUGCAAUAAAUUUUUCUUUAUACUUAUCAAGCCAUGUCUACUUCACAUAGACAAGUGCUUUCGGAUAUCUAGCAUAAUCACUCUAAAAAAUACUCAAGUGUUGUAUGUACUCUUGUUCAGUGGCUGAGAACACCAGUACAUUCCAGUUGCUGUUAAAGGCUUCCCAUCUUUCAUUAGUAUGAAAUAGCCUCUUAUAAUUAGCUAACACAUUUUUUGAAAUAUGCCAUCUACAAAGUAAAUUAGUUGCACUUGGAAAUAUCUUUUCAAUGGCAUUCAUCAGAGCUAAUUCCCUGUCUGUCACAAUCACAGCUGGUAACAUAUCAUCUUGCAUAAUGGUUUUCAAUCUUUCUAAUGCCCAAAUAUAGUUAUCUUCUCGUUCGGACUCAAGAUAUGCAAAACCAACAUUAAAUGUCUUUGCAGUCGAUGUGUCACCAACUAUUUCUAACAACGGAAACUUAUACUUAUUGACUUUAUAAGUGCAGUCCAUUAUCAGAACACUUGGAAAAGCUUUUAACAAAUCAAAAGUAAGAGGAUGUGCCUAAAAUAUGUCUUUCACACAAUUUGUAUCAUCAUCACUCCGAUGCCACUCAAUGUAAUUAUGAUCAUGCAAUUUACUCAUAAGCUGUUGCAUUUGUGACCGUCCGCCCAAUUCGCGAACCUUAUAUUUAUACCGAGCAUUAUAAACCGUCUUCAUUGUUGUAACAUUAAAUGUAUCCCUAGUCUUUAAAGUAUGUAAUAUCUCUUUUGGCCGAACAUUAUUUUUAGACAAAUCAACCAAUAUACUAACAUCUUCAUUAGUAAGUCUACCUGCAAAUGAGUGGCCCUCAAGAUAUUGUGCAAAAUGAUGGUUAUGCAAUCCACAGAUUACUUUUAACACCCAAUCUUGAUUAUUCACCAACAUUUGACCCUUUAAUAAAAAUGGACAGCCACACUUUUUUGUUCCAAUUGCAUUCGGUCUUUUCUUCUUUUCCAAGUCGCUAUUCUGCUUAGACAUGUUGGUACUUCUUUUCGGAUAUGCACCACUUCUUUCACAAGCAAAAAUUAUCCUUGGUCUCCUUCCAAUCACAUUCACGUCAGAUCUUUUAAUAAUAAUCACAAGUCCAUUUUUUUCCCAACAUCAUGCAUCCAUCGAAUCAACUUGUCUCUACUGGUGAAAACCUAUGAGAAAGACAAUAAUAUAUUAGUUAAUGAUACAAAGAAAAGAGAAUAUAUGUAUGAAAAUUUAUUUAGCAUUUUACCUCUUCAGUAGUGAAUGCAGCAGUGUAAUCCAUAACAUCUACUUUAUUAUCAAGAAUGACAACUAUGGUAGAACUUUCCUCCUUUACAAUCAUUGUAAGAUAUUACAUAAGUUAAUACAAGACACAAAACUAGAAUAAUAGCAAUUUAUUCAGCAAUAAUCAACCAAACAAUUGACAUUUGUUAAGGGAUAUUUGUUGAACAUUGUUCAACGCUCUCCCAGUCAUUAUAAUUCUAAAACAAUAAAUUAAUAGCAAACUUACUUUUUUAUUAUCAUCCCCAUCUAUUUGCAUGAUUAUUUUGCCCUAAAUUUGAAACUCUUAGAUUAGGGUUUAAGAAAGAAAAGAGAGUUUAUAUCGUAUGCCACACAAAGAAUUUAAAACUCUUAAACAAAAAUAUGCCAUAUAAGAAAUUUUUAAGGGGAAAAAAAUAUUUGAUUUUGAGUGGGGGUUUAAUUAGAAAUUGUCUUAUUAUGUAAUUUUAAUAAAGGUUAAAAUUGUAAAAUAACUAAAGGGGUGUUAAGAGGUAUUUAGAGGGGUGCCAAUAGUCCCACUCAAAUAAGUAAUGGUAACAAAAGACUAAUUUGUAAUAUUGAAGUGUACGGGCUUAACUAAAUCCAAAAAUUAGUAAGUUAGCUCAAGAGUUGAGAGUUGUCCAAAUCUUAAAUGUUGAACCCAAGUUCAAUACUCAAUUGAUGCGGGAUGUUAUUCCUAACACCUCCCGUCAUGUGUAGGAUUGGUAAAAAAACUCGGGUCAGUCCCGCCUAGACCUACGGGCUUUAUGCAUGGCCCGCAUGAUGAAGUUACGAAAUUAACCUAAAAAUUUGAAACUUACGAUGAAUGGCCUUGCUUAAAGAUUUUUGCAACUUUAAUUUAUAACGAGUAUGUAUAUAUACACACACAAAAGUUUAGAUUGCAUUUGGAUGACUUUUUUAAUCAAUUCAAACAAUCUGAAAUUUAUCAGAUUAAUCCGAAUUUGAUCUGUAUCUGAUUUUGCCCGCCCCUACUAUUUAUAAGCCCAAGUGACUCUCUUUUACUAAUUAAUAAGGGAAUUUUUUACCUUAUAUCCUUGCUGUGGCGUUAGACUACUGGUCAUUUUGAUUGUUUCCUACCUUCCAUUUACGCCAGUUGUAACAUUGUAUUAUUCACCACUUUAGCCAUUUAAAUGAAAUUUUAUUUUCAUAAAAAAUAAAAUGACACCCUUAAAAUUUAAAAAAUAGAUAUGUAGAUCUCAAAUUUUUAAUAAAGAAUGUCAAUACCCCUUUUAACUACAAGAUUCUUAGUAGAUGAUAACCAAAAACAUUAACUUCAAAUUUUUCACUAAAUGUAAAUCUGAUUGAAAUAGUUUAAUUUUUUUCUAGUAGACUAAUAUGUAUAACUUAUAUAAUUAAUUUCAUUAUUAAUUUUUAAAAUGUUAAUUAAUAUAUUUUUAAUUAUUAUAAAAAUUUUAAAUAAAUCUUGGAUUAGAUAGAUUUUACACUUAAUGUAAUACUUCUGAUUUAUUAAUAAUAUUAAAAUUAUUUUAUAUGAUAUUCAAAAUAAUUUAAACUUUUAUAUAUUUAUUUUAAUAUUAUGUCUAUUUAUUAUAGUUUGGUUUAAUAUAAUACGGGAUUGUAAAAUAUUAAAAUAUUUUUCAAUAUCAAAUUAUUUUAAUAUGUAUAUAUUAUUACAUUUAUUUUAAUAUCACAUUUAUAUUUAUUAUAAAAUAUAAAAUUAAUAAAAUUAAAGAGUAUUGCAGUAAAGUAAAAAAAAAAGUCUUAUUAUCCCAUAUUCACGGUAUGAGUUUCUACAAAAUUAUUUCCUCAAAUGGGUGACCUUUCCUCAUUUUCAAAAGAAAAAAUAAAGUAAGAAUAAGUCCAGGGUUUCAAAAACUUCUAGUCUUAUCCCAAGACCUCCAUUGUCUACCACUAUGACUAAUGGAAAUGACAUUGCAAUUGACAUUGCUUUUCGCAACAUGACAAAUUUUUGGUGGGAUAUGAGAGAAUUGUCAAAAGUUCAUGCCGCGUGAGAGUUUUUGGUGGGAUGUGGGAGAAUUGUCAAAAGAUCACACCACGUGAUAUAACCAUAAUUGCUACAAUUUUUUUUAAUAAUGAUGGGAGUUAUAAAUUAUUUAUAUAAAUUUGUGUAGAAACUAAUGUAACAUAAAAGAAGUAGCUGAAUAACAAUAUUUGGUGCUUUAGGUAAUUUUUAUAUGAGCCUUUCUUUUAUUUAGCGACUUUAGUGCUUAAACAAAUUUGUCCUCGAUCUUAAUUUACUUACCCCAUUUAAGCCUAUGAUGACAUAAACAUAUUCUUUUGUGACGAAAACAUCAAGAGAAGACAUCUCAUGUUUUAUUAUAACACAAAAGAAGUGGUCCAAACGUCUAUUCAUUCUUUUAUUUACUCAAUAUGAAUGGCCAACUUUAAAAAAUGAUAAAAAUCACACCACGCUCAACUGAAAAUUUAUAAUUACAUUUUUUAAUACUCUCUAUACUCUCUAGCCUCUCUCUCCUGCCCCCUUUUUUUUUUAAAAAAUAAACCUUAGUGUAAAAUUAGAAGAAUUUUAGAUAUAACAUUUGACAAUCGCUAAAUAGAAAAGUAGGGGAUUGAAAAUAGAGGAGCUCUGUUAUCAUUGGAAUAUUGAUUAUAGAUCAUAUAAUAACUUGUUGUGGUUCAUUGUAGCACUCUGAGUCAUAUUCUAAAAUUUAUAGGUUUCUUAAGGUUUUUAUUAUUGACAUUAUUGUGUCAAUACUAUUAUAAUUUAUUCAUUUUAUUGUAAUGAUAAUUUGUCUAGUCUUAGGUACUUAUUAUAUUAAAUUAUGUAAAUUAAUUGAGAAUACAUUUAGAGACAAAAGAAACACGUGUAUGUAGGAUUAAUAAUCGCAGAGUUGUAAAUGAAGGUGAUUGCUUCAUUGAGAGGCAUAUUAAAUAAUUAUGGAGAGUUGCACUAUUUCGGAAGCAUAUAUUUAUACUUCCCUAUCAGGAUUUGGGGUAAGCGAAGUGCUUUAUGUGUUGUAGUAAGCAAUGUGGGCAAUAUCGGAGGCGAAAUAUUAAAAGAUCAUAACGCAUAUAUUUGAGCCAUUUAUAUUGAAGACACGUAUUGAAGACACGUAUAGAGGAAAGAGUGCAUAUCCGGCGGUAACUAUUAUCAGGCUUUCCUAAAAUAUUCUCAUGCUUCCUCAACUGUUCUGAACUAUUCUUCAUAGUGGGCAGAUUUACUUAAAUACCCUUCUACCUAACAAAACUUGGUACUUCUAAUUGCACUCGCAGAGAAUCUAUAAAAUUAAAAAAAAAUUCAUCCAUGAAAAGCCUCGUAACAGAAAAACCAUCUUUCAAAAAAUAAUAAUAAAAUAAAAACAGAAAAACCGACUCAUUUAUCUGCCAAUGAACCAAUCGGGACUCAUUUAAAAAAGAUUACAAAGCAAAAGUAAAUGACACAAAUUGCAUAGAUAUCUAGGAGCCGCAUCAAAGGGCAAUGGUGUUAAUUUGUCCGAGUAAUAAUUAAUUUCAAUAUUAAUUUUUAAAAUGGAAAUUAAUUUAUUUAUAUUUAUAAAAUAUUUGUAAUUAUUUUAAAAUUUUAACUAAAUCCUUAGGUUAAAUAGAUUUUACAAUUAAUAUAAUAUUUCUCAUGUAUUAAUAAUAUUAAAAUUAUUUUAUAUGAUAUUGAAAAUAACCUAAAUUUUUAUAUAUUUAUUUGAAUAUUAUGUCUCUAUUUAUUAUAAUUGGGUUUAAUAGAAUACGAGAUUGUAAAAUAUUAAAAUUUUUAGAUAUUGAAAUUAUUUUAAUAUGUAUAUAUUAUUAUAUUUAUUUUAAUAUCCUAUUUAUAUUUAUCAUAAAUUAUUAGAGUUAAUUUUUUUAGUUAAUAAAUUUAAAAACUAUUCUAAUUUUAAAAAAAAGUCUUAUUGUCUAUUAUUCAUGAUAUGAGGUUCUACAAAAUUAUUUCUCCAGACGGAUGUCCUUUUCUUAUUUUCAAAAGGAAAAACAAGUUCAGGGUCUCAGGGGUUUCAAAAAUUCUGGUCCUAUCUACCACUAUGACUAAUGGGAAACAACAUUGUAAUUGACAUUGCUUUUCACAAUAUGACAAAUUAUUGGAGGGAUAUGGGAGAAUUGUCAAACAUUCACACCACGCGAGAGCUUUAGUGUGGGAUAGGGGAGGAUUGUCAAGAGUUCACACCACGAGAAACUAAUGAUAGGCCCAAUUUCAUUGUCAAUUCUUUAUUUAUUUCAUGCAUUAUUGUUUUUCUAAAGGUAUAAAAGCAAAGUAAAAUACUAGGGGCGCUUUUAAGUUACAAUUGAUGUAACUUACAAUUUUUUCAAAAAUAAUGUAAAAAAAUUAAUAGGUGGUGGGACCCACAUAUUUUUUAAGAGACUUAAGUUACGGCAGUUGUAACUUAACAAAAUUUAAAUAUUAGAUAAUAAUACAUAUUAAUAAUAUAUAAUUUGGGUUUGAUUUUUAAAAGAUUAUUUGAGUACCACCUAUCCUUAUGAUAUUAAUGUGACUAUAUCUUAAUAUUAAAUAAUCAAAAUUUGUUUAAUUGUUAUUUGUAUUUCAUACAUUACAUAUUAGAUUUGUUUGAAUUUUAAGUUGUUGCUAAUAAAUAUUUAUGUUGUCAAAGUCAAAUUCAAUAGCUACAAAAGCAGAGAUAAUGGUAUUGUAUAUAGUUUUUAAGAAUGCAAGGAUAAGCUGGAUAAUUGACAUAAAUUCUAAUGAUUAAAACAGCAACUAUCCCUUAAGUUAUAAUGUCAAUUUCUUUAAUUAGAUUUUUUUUUUUAUGUGAUAUAACCACAAUUGCUACAAAUUUUUUUUUUUAUAAUAAUAAUGGGAGUUAUAAAUUAUUUAUAUAAAAUUUGGGUUGAAACUAAUGUAACCUAAAAGUGGUUGCUGAAUAACAAUAUUUGAAACUUUAGGUAAUUUUCAUGAGUCCUUUUUAUAUUCAGCAACUUGAAUUGGGGGAAAUCCGACUUGAAUUGGCGGUUGAUUUUCGUGAUGUGGCUUUUGGUUUAUGGCGACCUUACAGUGGCAGAAGACUGGAUUUACGGUUGCCGACUGCUAGGGAUUAUGGUGGGGGUGUAAAUUGACGGAAAAAGAAGGUGUUUUGGUGGCGGCGCGUGUAGGAAGCACUCGUGGGUUGUCGUUUCGUGUGGUGGCGGGCGGCGAUCAAGGGCUGAAGUUGGUCGGUUUUUGGUCAACGGAGGCCGGCGAGUUUGUUGGUGGAGGUGGCUGGUGGAGAAAGUGACUGAAUGGUGGUGGGUUGCUUGGUGGAGCCGCGGGUUUGGGUUGGUGAUUUGUGGCUGUUCAAGCGGCGGUUGAGGCAGCGAUGACUGAGGCUUGGUCGACGGUGGCUAGUGAGGUUUGUGGUGGUGUUGGCUGACUGAUCGGCGGUGGUGGGCGGCCGUGGAGGUUGAUGUGACGGGUAGGGUUUUCAAAUUUGUAAAUUUUUUUUUUUGAUGGAUUUGGUUUGGAUGGGUAUCGUGUAUCUAGGAAAGAUGUGCGAUUCGCACAGAAUCCCUUUGACACCAAUUGAUGGAGCGAGGCGUAGCGGAAGCGGAAUUGAUAGGGUAAGAAACAUUAGAUAUUGUUCUAGUACUAGACCAAGCCAACGCAAUUAGCUUACGCUCUAAUCGAAGCGUGAUUAGAUAUCGUUCUAAUCCAAAUAACUCAAUACGAUUUUUAAUAAUGCGUAAUACGAGAUUAAAUGACACUCUAAUCCAAACGACUCUACAAGAGAGAUUUUGAUAAAUAAUCAUAGAGGGGUUUUAUUUAAUAAUUGAACCUGAAGUUAAUGAAAAUAAUGACAAGACAUCUUUAUUUUUUUUUAUUACAGACAUCUUUAUUUAUAAUAAAAGAAACCCGCUUUCCUAAGUUAACCUAAAAAGAAAAUUUAAAUCAUAAUUAUAAUGGAAAUAAAAGAUUAAGAUACAUAUCAUAAUUGACUCAAACUAAAAUAGAAAAUCAUAAAAUAAUAAAUAUUCUAAAAUUAUAAAUUAUCUAAAAUAACGUUAAUUAACUUCCUAAAUCACUUCUUUGGUGUAAACCAUUUUGCAUCCAAACUCGCUUUAAAGGUUUGAACUAACGUUACCAACAACAAUGUAUCAAAUUCCAAUCUAACUUAAGAUCUUGAUGCAUCUAUCGAUGUCCUUGUUUGAUUAGACAAUAAUGAGUCUAUCUCAUCACUUGUUACCUCUUUCUUGAAAGCUACAUCUGUUGAAGUGAUAGCCUCACUUAGAGUUUAAAGAUCUUCUUCCCUGUUAAAUAAAAUGGGCAUUUGAGUAAAAAGCUUUAUCUCUAUCUCCUUCUAUCAAAUAACGACAACUAUCCAAAGGGAAAAAAAAAAUUAGAAAAGUCCAUGGGUCACAAUAAUUUAUGGUCUGUCUCCGGACCCCAUUAUCUGCCACUAUCAAUGAUGAAAAUGAAAAUAAAUGGCAUCUUCCCUAAAUGGCAAAAGAUUUUUGGGGGAUAUAGGGGAAUUGUCAAAAGUUCAUACAACGCGAAAUAAGUGUUACAUCCAAUUUUAUUUCGUCAUAUAAUGAUAAUAUUAAAUAAUGACAACCAUCCAAAAGUAUGAUGGGUCUUCCAAAAUUUUGAAAAUGUCGUCAACAUUUAAUCUUCAAUGCUAAAGAAGAUGAAACGCCCAAAAAUGACACGCAGGACUCACUCAAAAACUAAAUGGCCCUCACCACAUGUAACAAACUUUGACCUUAUGUCCCUGCUGAGGCGUUAGACUGUUGGUCAUUUUGAUUGCUUUUUACCAUCCAUUUACGCCAUUGUAGAAUUGAACUAUUCACCAGUCUAGCUGUUUAAAUGAAAUUGUUAUUUUUUUUCCAAAAAUAAAAUGACACCCUUAAAAUUUUAGAAAAUAGUCAUGUAGACCCCAAAAUUUUAUUAAAGAACACUAAUAUCCUUUUUUACUAUAGUACUCUUAGUAGAUGGUAACAAAAAAAAAAUGAUUGCAAAAUAUUUUAGUAAAUGAAAAUAUGAUUUAAAUAGUUUAAAUUUUCUAGUAGACUAGUAUGUAUAAUUUAAAUAAUUAAUUUUUAAAAUGUAAUUUAAUAUAUUUAUUAUAAAAUUUUUAAACAAAUCCUUGGGUUAAAUAGAUUUUAUAAUUUAUAUAAUAUUUCUCAUGUUUUUAUGUUAUAGAAAUAUUAAAAUUAUUUGAUAUGAUAUUGAAAAUAAUUAAACAUUUUAUAUAUUUAUUUGAAUAUUAUGUCUCUAUUUAUUAUAAUUUGGUUUAAUAGAAUACGAGAUUGUAAAAUAUUAAAAUAUUUUUAGGUAUUGAAAUUAUUUUAAUAUAUAUAUACAUAUUAUUAUAUUUAUUUUAAUAUCCUACUUAUAUUUAUUAUAAAAUAUUAAAAUUAAUUUUUUUAGUUAAUAAAUUUAAAAAAUAUUAUAAUUAUAAAAAGAGUCUUAUUGUCUGCUAUUCACGAUAUGAGAUUCUACAAAAUUAUUUUGAAAAUGAAAAAUAAGUCCAGGGGUUUCAACAAAUUCUAGUCCUAUCUGCCACUAUGACUAAUGGAAACGACAUUGCAAUUGACAUUGGUUUUCAUAAUAUGACAAAUUUUUGGAGGGAUAUGGGAGAAUCGUCAAAUGUUCACACUACGCGGGAUUUUUGGAUGGGAUCAGGGAGGAUUGUCAACAGUUCACACCACGAGAAACCAAUGAUAGCCCUAAUUUCGCUGUUAGUUCUUUGUUUAUUUAUUUUAUUUAUUUCAUACAUUGUUGUCUUGUUGGCAUUGUUUUGUAAAGAUAUAAAAGUAAAGUAAACUAUUAGGGUGCUGCUAAGUUAAGCUGUUGUAACUUGCAGUCCCUUAAAAAAUAAUGUAAAAAAUCCACAUUUGUUUGAAGAGGCUGUAAGUUAUAGUAGUUGUGACUUAGCAAAAUCCAAAUAUUAGACAAUAACGCACAUUAACAAUGCAUAUAAUUUGGGUUUGAUUUUUAAAAAAAUUAUUUGAGUAUUAGCUAUCCUUAAGAUAUUAAUGUGAAUAUAAUUUAAUAUUUAAUAAUCAAAAUCUGUUUAAUCAUAAUAUAUAUUUCAUACAUUGCAUGUUUAAUCAAAAUCUGAUUGCUUUUUACCUUCCAUUUACGCCCACUGUAGCAUUGUACUAUUCACCAUUUUAGAUGUUUAAAUGAAAUUUUUAUUUUUUUUCCAAAAAUAAAAUGACACCCUUAAAAUUUUAGAAAAUAGCCAUGUAGACCCCAAAAUUUUAAUAAAGAACACUAAUAUCCUUUUUAACUACAGCACUCUUAGUAGAUGGUAACCAAAAAAAAAAAAUUGAUUGCAAAAUUUUUUAGUAAAUGUAAAUAUGAUUUAAAUAGUUUAAAUUUUCUAGUAGACUAGUAUGUAUAAUUUAAAUAAUUAAUUUUUAAAAUGUAAUUUAAUAUAUUUAUUUUAAUAUUAUAUUUAUUAUAAAAUUUUUAAACAAAUCAUUGGGUUAAAUAGAUUUUAUAAUUUAUAUAAUAUUUCUCAUGUUUUAAUAAUAUUAAAAUUAUUUUAUAUGAUAUUAAAAAUAAUUAAAAAUUUUAUAUAUUUAUUUGAAUAUUAUGUCUCUUUUUAUUAUAAUUUGGUUUAAUAGAAUACGAGAUUGUAAAAUAUUAAAAUAUUUUUAGGUAUUGAAAUUAUUUUAAUAUAUAUAUAUAUAUAUAUAUAUAUAUUAUAUUUAUUUUUAUAUCCUACUUAUAUUUAUUAUAAAAUAUUAAAAUUAAUUUUUUUAGUUAAUAAAUUUAAAAAUAUUAUAAUUAAAAAAAGAGUCUGAUUGUCUGUUAUUCACGAUAUGAGGUUCUACAAAAUUAUUUUGAAAAGGAAAAAUAAGUCCAGGGGUUUCAACAAAUUCUAGUGCUAUCUGCCACUAUGACUAAUAGAAACGACAUUGCAAUUGACAUUGCUUUUCUUAAUAUGACAAAUUUUUUUAGGGAUAUGGGAGAAUCGACAAAUGUUCACACUACGCGGGAGUUUUAGAUGGGAUCAGGGAGGAUUGUCAACAGUUCACACCACGAGAAACCAAUGAUAGCCCUAAUUUCGCUGUCAGUUCUUUGUUUAUUUAUUUUCAUUAUUUCAUACAUUGUUGUCUUGUUGGCAUUGUUUUGUAAAGAUAUAAAAGUAAAGUAAACUAUUAGGGUGCUGCUAAGUUAAGUUGUUGUAACUUACAAUCCCUUAAAAAAUAAUGUAAAAAAUCCACAUUUGUUUGAAGUGGCUGUAAGUUAUAGUAGUUGUGACUUAACAAAAUCCAAAUAUUAGACAAUAACGCACAUUAACAAUGCAUAUAAUUUGGGUUUGAUUUAAAAAAAAAAAAUUUUGAGUAUUACCUAUCCUUAAGAUAUUAAUGUAAAUAUAAUUUAAUAUUAAAUAAUCAAAAUCUGUUUAAUCAUAAUAUAUAUUUCAUACAUUGCAUGUUUCAUCAAAAUUUGAUUGCUUUUUACCUUCUAUUUACGCCCACUGUAGCAUUGUACUAUUCACCAUUUUAGAUGUUUAAAUGAAAUUUUUAUUUUUUUCCAAAAAUAAAAUGACACCCUUACAAUUUUAGAAAAUAGUCAUGUAGACCCCAAAAUUUUAAUAAAGAACACCAAUACCCUUUUUGACUAUAGUACUCUUAUGGUAGCCACAAAAAAAAAUUGACUUCAAAAUUUUUUAGUAAAUGUAAAUACGAUUUAAAUAGUUUAAAUUUUCUAGUAGACUCGUAUGUAUAAUUUAAAUAAUUAAUUUUUAAAAUGUAACUUAAUAUAUUUAUUUUAAUAAUAUAUUUAUUAUAAAAAUUUUAAACAAAUCCUUGGGUUAAAUAUUUUUAUAAUUAAUAUAAUAUUUCUCAUGUUUUAAUAAUAUUAAAGUUAUUUUAUAUGAUAUUGAAAAUAAUUUAAAGCUUUAUAUAUUUAUUUGAAUAUUAUGUCUCUAUUUAUUAUAAUUUGGUUUAAUAUAAUACGAGAUUGUAAAAUAUUAAAAUAUUUUUUGGUAUUGAAAUUAUUUUAAUAUAUAUAUAUAUAUUAUAUUUAUUUUAAUAUCCUACUUAUAUUAUUAUAAAAUAUUAAAAUUAAUUUUUUUAGUUAAAAAUUUAAAAAAAUAUUACAGUUAAAAAAAAAGAGUCUCAUUGUCCGUUAUUCACGAUAUGAGAUUCUAUAAAAUUAUUUUCAAAAGGAAAAAUAUGUCCAGGAGUUUCAACAAAUUCUAGUCCUAUCUGCCACUAUGACUAAUGGAGACGACAUUGAAUUGACAUUGCUUUUCGCAAUAUGACAAAUUUUUGGAGGGAUAUGGGAGAAUCAUCAAGCGUUCACACCACGCGAGAGCUUUAGGUGUGAUAUGGGAGAAUUGUUAAGAGUUCACACCACGAGAAAUUAAUGAUAGGCCUAAUUUCGUUGUCAGAUCUUUAUUUAUUUUUUAUUUAUUUCAUACACUAUUGUCUUGUUGGUAUUGUUUUGUAAAGAUAUAAAAGUACAAGUAAAAUAUUAGGGGAAGUAAAGUAAAAUAUUGGAGGUGCUACUAAGUUACAGCUGCUGUAACUUACAGUUCCUUAAAAAAUAAUGUAAAAAAUUUAACACGUGGUGGGACCCACAUUAUGUUUGAAGAGGUCGUAAGUUAUAGCAGUUGUAAAUUAGUAAAAUCCAAAUAUUAGACAAUAAUACAUAAUAACAAUGCAUAUAAUUUGAGUUUGAUUUUUAAAAAAAUUAUAUGAGUAUUACCUAUCCUUAAGAUAUUAAUGAGAAUAUAUUUUAAUAUUAAAUAAUCAAAAUCUGUUUAAUCAUAAUAUGUAAUUCAUACAUUGCAUGUUAGAUUUGUUUGGAUUUUAAGUUGUUGCUAAUAAAUAUUUAUGUUGUGAAAGUCGAAUUCAAUAGCUACAAAAGCAGAGAUAAUGGUAUUUUAUGUAGUUUUUAAGAAUACAAGGAUAAGUAGGGGUGGGCAAAUCGGGUUUCGAUUCGGGUUGUUCGGGUUUCGGAUUGGGUUUCAACCCGUUCGGGUUGGAGAAUUGAACCCAAUCGGGUUGAAAGCACCAACCCGAACCAAACCGAACCGAAUUUAAUUCGGUUCGGUUCGGUUUGGGUUGGCAAUUCGGAUCGGAUUGGGUUGAUAAUUCGGGUUAAAAUUUCGGUUCGGGUUAAUUCGGGUUAGAAUGGGUUGGAACAAUUUAAUCUAAAAAUUCUAACAACAACCACUUAAAAUCUAAAAAUUUAAAUUUCAAACAUUCUUAACAACAAAUAUCAAUUACAAAUCAUCCUUAAUAACAUUUCAACAAUUUAAAAAUCUCAAUUCCAAACAUUCCAAACAUCCUUAAGGAACGAUUUAAUCUAAAAAUUAUAACAACCUCUUAAAAUCCAAAAAUCUUAAUUCCAAAUAUCCUUAAUAACAAAUAUCAUCUACAAAUCAUCUUUAAUAACAUUUCAAUAAUUUAAAACUCUCAAUUCCAAACAUCCUUAAUAACAAAUAUCAACUACAAAUCAUCUUUAAUAACAUUUCAAUAAUUUAAAACUCUCAAUUCCAAAUAUUCCAAACAUCCUUAAGGAACAAUUUAAUUCAAAAAUUAUAACAACCACUUAAAAUCUAAAAAUCUCAAUUCCAAACAUCCUUAAUAUAUAUAUAUAUAUAUUUUUUUUUUUAAUUUAAAAGCUGAAUCUUAAAAAAAAAAAAAAGCUUCAACCCGAACGGGUUGAAACUUUGAAUCCGUUCGGGUUUCACCGGUUAACCCAAACCGAACCGAACGCCCACCCUAAGGAUAAGACCAUAACGCAUGAGAUAAUGGUAUUUUAUAUUAAAAGACCAUAACACAUGUAUUUGAGCCAUUUAUAUUGAGGACACAUAUAGAGCGAAGAGUGCAGAUCCGGCCGUAACUAUUGUGAAGCUUCCCUCAAGUAUUCCCAUGCACACAACCCUUAUCUGUUCAAGUUUUCUGAUUCAAUAUAAUCAAUUUCCGAGCAGUACUGACGACAGCUUCUCUGUAAAGCUCUUCAACCACAAGCAUUUCUACAAGGCAAAAGACUAGGACGUGUCGGAAUGAAUAUCAAUAAGGGAAUGUCUUAUGAAUUCAGUUUAUAUCCUAAUAUAAGACAAUCAGUAAAUAUUGGAUGCAAUCUUAGGCUAACAUUUGGUUGAUCAUUAUACAAAAAAAAAGGUACAAAAAUACAAAACAGAGCUGAUUGAUGGCCUCUCACAGUCAGUUAUAUGACAAAGUAGCCAUCACUACUUGAACUUGGCUGGAGGUCUCAUUAGCAGUAUACCUCAGAAAUUAAUACAGAGACUUUAAAAUGCAAACUUAUGGAGCAAUUUAAGCACUGAAACUAAUAACAGUACGGUAUUAGCAAUUGACCUCUGCUUUUUGCUUGGACAAAGGUUCUCAUCACAAGGGACUCAUUAGUUGCCCUUGCCUCACACUUUUGGAUGCUAAGGGGAAAAAGGAAGCUUGAAUUAGUCAAUCUCAUGUCUAAUGGCAUUCACAGAGAACCUAUAAAACCAAAUAAAUAAAUAAAGUUUUCAUCCAUGAAAAGCUUAGUAAUGGAAAAACCGACUCUUUUAUCUGCCACUGACGAAAAAAAAACUGAAGUAUUAAAUAGAUAAUGAAUUUAAUUUUUUUCUUGGAAAAACUAAUAAUAAAUUAACAAUUAGAUAGUACUAUUAAUUAGAGAUCUUUAAUAUUAAGGUUAUCAAAUAUAGAAUGUGUAUAAAAAUUCUUAAUUAUAAGAUAAUUACUAACUAAAAAGAGGCCUAAAAAAGAAGAUUUGCUAUUAUAAGUAAUACCAAAAAUAAAAAGGGAGACUUCCUAAUUGUUUAAUUGUUAAAAAAGAGGAUUUGUUAUUAUAGGCCUAAUUUGCCUAUGCUUAAAACCGUUCCCGGAUGUAAAAAAAUAAAAAUUAUUGUUAAAUUCCUGACUAAUAAGGUCAUUGAAAGUAUUCAAAGGACCUGAACUAUACCACGUUGCAAGUGAGCUCGUAUUUUUAUCCCUUGAUCUGCCAUCGGUAUUUCUCUUCCACUCACUAUACCAUCCUUUUCAAUCGAUUUUUAUUGAUCAUAAGAGACCAUGUGGCCCACCUUUUUUUUAUUUUGGAUCCAUAACCCAAUGCUGGCCCAAGUUAAACAGCAAAUCAUCAAACGCACUUCAAUGACUUUGAUUUUGAUUUUUUUUUUCAAAAGAAGUAAAAAAAUCCAUGGGUCGCAAUAACUGCUGGGAAAUUUAUAAAAAUAGUCAUAAAAUAUUUGUAUUUUUUAACUUUAAUCCCUUAAAGUUUUUUCUAUCAUAACUAGCCAAAUACCCUACUUUUGGACUAGAUUACCCUCAUCACUUUUAUCAAAUUUAUAAAGACAUGCCACUUUUUCAAUUCCAGCACAACUAAAUACGGUUCUUCUUCAAUAACUUAACAAACAUUUAUCACUCUCAACAAACUUCAUCACUCUCUAUAAAUCAAUUACAUAAUUGAAUAUAAUCAUCAAUGGGAGAGCUUCUUAAAAUUAGUUUAUGCUUUUACACAAUGUAAAUCUUUAAUCUAUUGAUUUUAUCAACUAAAUUUGAAAUUAAAGUGGGUUUUGUUACAAAUAUUGUUAUUUUUCAUUCAUAAAACAAUGUGAUUUGUUAAAGUACUUAGUUUGAGUUGAGAAAUGAAGAAAAAUCAUUGAAAAUAUAGAAAAAUCGGGCAAAAAACGAAGUUCAGAACAAGUGAGAUAGGCAAGUGGGACAGGUGCAUGUCUCACAUAAACGCACUGCAUUUAUGUGCGACAGGCACCUGUCCCACUGCUUGUCGCACAUAAACCCAUAAAUUUUAUAGAGUACAUGAUUUUGGAUUUGAUUUGUCUCGUCAUAAGCUUCGAAACAGUAUAUUAUACGCCUAAAACGAACAUAUGUAGCUCAAGUUAUAGCUUUUGCAAUAUAUAUGAAAUUUAGUGAGACAGGCACCUGUCCCACUUGCCUGUCUCACUAAAUUUCAUAUAUGUUUCAAAAAUCAUAACUUGAGCUAUAUAUGUCCGUUUUAGACGUAUAAUAUAUCAUUUCAAAGUUUAUGAUGAGACAAAUCAAAUUCAAAAUUAUGUACUCUAUAAAAUUUGUGGGUUUACGUGCGAUAGGCAAUGGGACAGGUAAAAUGAAUAAACUCUGAGCCUCUCUCUAUAACACUAUAUAGAACCCUAAGCCUAAGUCUCACAUUCGCAACCGCCCCACAUAUCAGAACCACAGCGAACUGCCUCCGACCCUACGGACCCAAAAAAAUUAUUGUAUUCCUGCUCUUUCACUUCAAUAAUUUUUUGUAUUAUUCCAUAUCUUUCACUUUAAUAACCCAAAAGCUUUCCUCUGUUUCAACCCAAAAGCUCAAAUUCCUUUUUUCAAUCGAAAUAAAACGUAGCCACAAAACCCUAAUUCACCACACCAAUUUAUCUCUGCCCGGUAUUCAUUUAAACCCUACCUCGCGGUUCAAUGUCAUUCAAUACGAUUGCAGAUGCCGUUUCAACUUGACAUUUAGUUAGCGCCAUCCCGUUCUCUAUGGUAAGCCUUAACCCUAACAACUAAUCGACUGUGGUAGCACGUUGCUUGUUAGGAGUGGGGAUACAUUAUUUGAAUAUAUGAAUUGGGUGAUGUUAGUGAUUCAUUCCCCUAUUUUUCGUGAAUUGAGAUUUGUGUAUAAUGCUAGUAAGAUUGCUAAAAAUUUCAUAUUUUGUAUUGUUCCAGUUGAAUUUCUUGCUUGUGGAAGAUAAAACAAAAGUUCAAUUUCAUGUUGAUUUAAUUCUUCUUUUUUUUUUCUUCUUUAUAGUCACGCUCUGGCUUUGGUGCUAUGCUUAGUGCAGUUUAUGGUUUCAAGAUUAAGUCACGUUUAUUUGAUGGCAUCGAUUCCAUCAUUAAGAAGCUCUUCUUAUUUUAUCUCAGUUUCAAUUUUCUUUUAUUAUCUGCCUCUACCUGAAAAUGGACGUGUUUUACUAGUAAGCAUAGACUUUGUUUAUUUAAUUGAUAUUAUAAUUUUAUGUAUAAGAAUGGAGGUUUAUUUUGAAAAAAAAAAAGAAAUAAAAAAAUAGACUCUGUUGAAGCUAAUUAGUACUGAAUUUUUUUUGGUGGUGCGACCAGAGGUGGAAACAGGGUAUGAAAAUGUGUUACUGGUGAGGUUGCUGCUUAAGAUGAGAAUGGCUAAAAAUCUGUCAUACGUUCAAAUUUUGUUUGUGUUUGGAAGAAUGGUGUUGACUGUAUAUUCGUUUGGAAGAAUGGUGUUGAUUGUAUAUUCAUUUGCUUAGCCUUUUGACAGAUGGAUUUGAAACUGACGACAAAUGUGAUUCAAUUUACAAGGUUUUCGAGGGGCUCACAGUGGAAGGGAUAUUGAAGAACUGGUCUAAGAUAAAGCCUAUGAUUGUGAAAGAUUGGAGUGAGAAUAUAGAUGCUCGUUUAAAUCUUUUUGGCAAGGUCAGAGAUGAAUGGAUAGAUAAGGAUUUAUUUGACUACUUCGUCUGGUGCUAAUAGGUAUUUUAGGCAAGCUUUUUGAGAUAACACUGAGCAAGUUAUACUACUAGUUUGCACAUGAUGAUCAAAACUCUCGAAAAGUAAAAUAAAAUAAAUUAUUAACUUUUACUUUCAUCUUUUGCAUAGCAAUCAAUGUGGUGCUUGUUCUGUGACAACUUUGAUAGUCUACUUAAUUAUUGGUUAGCAUUUGGACCAAAAAAGUUCUUAUGAUUUACAUGUUUUGUAGAAAUGCAUGAACCUUAAAUGUGCUGAUCAGGGAGUUUAAUUAUUGCACCUUGAAAUUCAUUUAUUGUUAACUAAUUGGCUUUCCUUUGCAUAAAGACGCUUAUAAGGCUUGAGUGGACGUCUUUAUGGGCAUAUUAUUUGUAUUUCUAUAUGCAUGCCUUUAUCAUUAAUUUAUGUGCUGCUUGUAUUUCUUUAUGCAUGCCUUUAUCAUUUAAUGGCCAGCUCCCUCUCCUCUUUUGUAAUUUGAAUGGUAGUAUGGGCCUCCAUUUUACAAAUCUUUAACAUUUUUUGCUGUAAAUUAAUUUUUCUUUCAAAUAUUUUGGAGGUCAUUGGAAUUCCUGUAGGUCUAUUUACCAGAUUUUAGUACGUUUAAGGUUUUAAUUUUGCUUAGACUUUAAUUUCUCUGAAAGAUUGUAGUAUUGAUCCUCAAAGAAAGAUCAUGCUACUUCAAAUUAUUUUGAAGUGUUGCUAGUUAUAGCCUUACAUAUCAAAUUCCAUUUGUCUGGAAAUUUAUUGAUAGUUGUUACAGCAGCAUAUUUUAUGACUCUACUUCUUAGUUAUGUAAGUUCAUUAUGUUUAGGUCAGAGGCAGUCAGCUGUGGGGAAUCGAUAUAUACACAGAUGACUUUGAUCUUGUUGCUGGUACGUGGUUCUAUGAAUAAUUGUUCACAAUAAUUGUGUUUGCCUCACUGUUUUUGUUUUAUGAGGUCUAUAAUUGAUCUUGAGAUAUUACUUUCUAGUUCUCAUGCAAGCAAGUUACUACCUUCCCACUGCAUCUCCUCCUUUAUCUGCUAUUCAAGAGUUGCGUGCCAUAAUCUGGUGUUACCUCUGCAAGAUUGUGAAUGAAUAUGAUGCCUCUAAAUUUAUUUUAUACAUAAUGCUGAUGCUGAAUAAUAUAUUGUAGCUCCUGUCAUAUUCUACUUUGACUUUUUAUAUUCUGUUUCAUAUAAAAAUCUUAUUCAACUUUAGUUGUUCAUGAGCAAAUGUCACAUGUAUAAGCCCAAAUGAUGCUUAAAGGUAGCGCGGCUACCUUUAGUUUGAGCCUACAAUGGAUGAAAAAGAAAUUGAAACUGAUAUUUUGCUGUUUUUCUGAUUUUUCAAAGUAUUUUAGAUCCUGACUUUUGUUUGGACUUGAUGGUUAUAGAUUGUGUCUAGAUUUGUUAAGUUGUUUCCAACACCUCGUGCCAAAUGAAAGCACAAUCUUUCUGAUUCAGAUGUCUUGUUAAUUAUGCUUCAUUUUUUUCGUUAAAGAAUGGAUGGUUGCAUGGAUUGAUGGAGUUGGAGUUCAACCAAUAAUUCUAAUUUUUUGGACUUAAAAUGCCUUUUUCUUCUGUAUAAAAACUUUAGUAAGUGCUAUUGAGUUGACAGAAGUUGAAUACUUACAGGUUGUUUCACACAUUUUAAUCGUUUUACAUAUAUGAAUUUCUGUUUUUUGAAUUGCAGAAAGGAGGUGGAACUAUUGAUUUGGAGCCUUAUCUUACUCAAUCAUCGACAGCGGAGCCUACCCUCGCUCCCAUGGCAGUGGAACGGACAACGACUACUAGGGCUGCAACAUCAGUUGGUUUGGGUCUGUUUUGAGUUUAUUGUCAUUUAUUUGGCAAUGUUUUGAUAGCGAAUUUUGAUAUGUCAAUAUAAUGUGUAAUUGUUUUGGGUUGAGCUGGUAAUUAUGCUGGAUUAGAUUGGUUUGGUUUUGGUGCUUCUCUGACGGAACACUGCUUUUUUUAGAAAUUUUGAAUGUAAUAUGAGACUACAUUUAGUUUAAUUGAACACUGCAUCUAGUCUAAUUACUAGACGUGUGGCAUUUGGUUUGGUUUAUCCGAUAUUCUCCAGAAUUUCACUUGCAUCUGGUUUUGUUGCAUAUGUUUGCUUGCAUUUGAUGGCAGUAGCAGACUGUUUGGUUUUGUGAGAUUUGAUGGCAGUUUGGUCUGUUCUUGGUGUUGAUUUAAGAUUGUUCCUGUUGUGCUGAUGUUAAUUGCAGGUGCUUGAAUCAGCUAGGGUUGCUGGUUUAUUCAGAUGGUUGACUCAGGCGUUGUUACUGGUUAAUUCAGGUGGCUGACUCAAGUUGUUCAUUUAAUGUUAGGAAGCAAAUUAAGAAUUAAUGAAGUAUUCAUUUAACUAUAAUUUUUGUAGUUAUAUUAUUUCAUAACUGAAUUAUAAUCUAUGAUACUUUUGAACAAAUUAGAGAAUUUUUAAAUAUGAAUUAAAUAUGUGUGUGUAUGUACAUUUUGCUAUUUAUAUAAUAAUUUAAAGAAUAUAUUUCAAUUCCCACAAAAAUAAUGGCUCCAAUUUCAAUAAUUCCCGCCAAAUAAUUAAAUUUUUUUAAUUUACCACCAAAGUAUAUCUUAAAGAAAUUUUAGUUAUUCUUGCUAGAUUUAACAAAAAUAAUUUGUAGGAUUAAAUUUAAUUAAAAUAAUUAAAUAAUUUUAUUAUUCCAAUUAAAAAUGUCAUGUUUAUACGACAGACAAUAGUCAUGAAUGGGAAGUAUUCGUUACAUGUUUUUCCUUGGGAUUUCAGGCAAAUGAAAAAAAGAUUGAGAAUGAUUUCAAGAGGACAGGUGGAUGAUAAGUAUUCAUUUUUGUAUAUUUGGCUAAUGUCCUCAUUAGUGGAUUUUUAUGGUAUUGAUCUUUUUUUUUUUUUAAUUUUCAAUUAGUUGCAGCCCUAGAGGAAGAGCAGGCUGAUCAAAUUGAUUUGUCUUGUUUUUGGGGCAAUCUACGACACGAUGACCGUGAUAAUGCUCGUGACUGCUGGAAACUUUCUGAUGUAAAUAACUUUAGAGUUCGUAGCAAGCAUUUUUGUUAUGACAAAACAAAGGUUCCCCCAUAUUUUGUUUAUUUGUUAUUUAUGGUACUUAUUUAUGGUAUUUAUAUAUCCUGCAUAGGCUAGGUAGACAGGUUAUGAUGUAGUUUGGUUGGCUCUUCUUGUGCUUUGUGCAAUUUGUAACUGCAGAUACCUGCGGGAAAACAUUUAAUGGAUCUUGUUGCUGUUGAUUGGUUCAAAGACACAAAGAGAAUGGACCAUGUAACUAGGCAUCAAAGCUGUGCUGCACAAGUAACUAUUCUUCUCUUUUUUAUUUUUCCUUUUCCAUUGACGGAUUAGAAGAAAAUACUGCCUGUGAGAUACUGUAAUGUAAAUAACUUCUCAUGGUUCAUUGAAUCUAUAACACACUGACCCUCUUCUAAAAAAUGUAGGUUGCUUCUGAAAAAGGGCUUUUCUCACUGAUCUUUAAUCUUCAAGUAAGUUUGUUUCAUUUCAGAAGGUAUUAAGUUUCAAACUUAUUGUAUUGGGAGGUUGUAUAGUUGUAACCUAAGCAUCUGCAGGUUCCUGGUUCAACACAUUAUAGUAUGGUAUUUUAUUUUGUCACAAGGCAAUUGGCUAUGGGAUCACUUUUGCAACGGUUUGUUGAUGGCGAUGAUGAGUUUCGCAAUAGUAGGUUGAAACUUAUUCCAUCUGUUCCUAAGGUAUCCAUCUUGGCCUUCAUGUAUUAGGACUAUAUUAAUGUAUACUUACCCUUUACUGCAUGGUACACUUCAAUUUGUCCAAAGAAGGCAUGCAUUUAGGUGAAAAUGUAUUGAUGGGUUGUACCUUCAAACUUCAUGUCCUUUUUACCCUCUUGAAUUUGUUUUGCACUUGUUCUUGAUUUUAAGCACUGAAUCAUGCAGGGGUCAUGGAUCGUGCGUCAGAGUGUUGGAAGCACCCCUUGUUCGUUAGGGAAAGCGGUUGAUUGUAACUAUAUUCGCAGUCCCAAGUACUUAGAAGUAAAUGCUCUUGGAAUUUCUAUAGUACAUGAGAUGUUCAUCUUUCAAAUAGCAUCCGAUACCAUUAACAUGGUUUAACAUUGUUCAUCUUUCUGUAGAUUGAUGUUGACAUUGGUUCUUCUACCGUUGCUAAUGGAGUUUUGGGCCUUGUAAUUGCUGUAAUUACGACAUUGGUGGUUGACAUGGCUUUCCUUGUACAGGUAUGUAUGAUUGUUUUUUUCCCCCACUUCUAAAUGGACACAAGGGAAAAGACAUGAUUUUGAGAUAUUGCACUGCAAUUUGCAUUUUUGCAUACUUGAAUGUUCUCAGAAUGGUAUAAUGCUUCGUGUGUGUCUUCUUUAUCUUGCUCUUCUGUAUGCAGGCAAAUACUGCAGAUGAAUUACCGGAGCGGCUGAUUGGUGCUGUAGGUGUUUCUCAUAUAGAACUCAAGUCUGCUGUUGUCCCAAAGUUGGAACCAGAGAUAUCAUGACUGUGGUUUCAUUUCACCUCAACUGUGUUUUUUUUUUAAUUAAAAAAAAUCAUUUGUUUUAGGUAUAUACAUACAUGUAUUUUGAUUCGAUUUUCAUUGUAAUUUCUCAUUUACUUCGAAUGAAAGUCAUUGGUGUUUUCGAAUGGGGAUUUUGCAUUAAAAAAUGAACAAUAGUGAAUAGGAAAUUUCCUGAUUCUUUAGUUACUAUUUUUGGUACGAGUGUAAUUAGUAGUAAAGUUGGUUUCUACUCGCAAACAAGUAAACUGCUCGAUUCCCGAGUGGUAUCAACCAGUUUCCAACUUUUUAAUAUACACUAAUUGUUCUUGUUUAAGAGAUACUACUAUUAAAACUCAACAGCUAACAAAAUUACUCAAAAAAGAUGAUUUUUCUUAUGAUGCUGUGAAGAAAAUUACGGGUUUACUUCUCUCCACGAGAUCUAUAACAUGGUUUUGACUUCACGAAAUUCUUUUAAUUUAAAGCAUGCUGGUGUGAGAAGGUCAGUUUGACUGAUUGAUUCUUCAAAAAUAUUCUUAUUCUGAUAUUGUCACAAAUGUUAUGCUGUUUCGGCUAAUGAUCUCCUAUUAGGAGAGGUUAGAAAUCAAAUGCUUAAAAGACCGAUUGAACGAAUAAUACAGAAAAUUUAAGCAGAAUCUAAUCGAAUAUUGCAUGAAACAUGAAACAUCAAUUCAAGUCCUUUCUUAAACGGAGAAUGCAUCAAACAAAAUCUAAAGUGUCUUGCACGUCUGUAGCAUGAGCAAAAAAUUGUAAAUAUGUAGAACCAAAUUAUUCAAGUACAGAAGAACGAGCAAGCUGAAUCAUGUAUUAGAGAUUGGCCUGGUUCGGGAUAGCUUCUUCACUAUACCUGAAUAAUUUGCUAAAUAGCACCAAAACUUAAUUGAUACUUACCAUUUCAUUGAACAAUUUUUUUAUGGUGUCAUUGAGGUUGCCUUCCCAACAUCCUUCAUCAUCAUCAUCUUUUUCUUCUUCGGUGACGUUCACUUUGUUUAGCAUUGGUGUGUCUAAGACUCCUUGAGAGAAGAUCUUCAUUUUUGGACACUGUCUCACAACUACUUGUUUCAAGGACGGGAAUUCAAGAGCGUAAUUACCCAAACAAAAGCUUGUUAGGCUUGGCAAACAAUCAAGUCCUAAGUACUCCAAUUCCUCGAAACCAUUGCAAUCUUUCGCUUCUUCUCCAACCUGCGAUUGUAUGAUUUCUUCUAUCAUUUUGCAAUCAGCUAUCUUCAUUCUUCCGAGAUUAACCAGAUUUUUAGAUGCUGAGAGCGUCAACACAUUUAUCAACCCGUGACACUUCGAUACUUCCAGUCCCCACAUAUUUUCCAAAUGCCACGAAGGUGGUACUAAUUUUUGCAACUUACUACAUUCCGAUAUUUCUAGACUUCCCAAGUUUGCAAACGCUUUGUUGGAUUCGUCAUUUUCCUUCCAGAUAUGCUGCACUUUGUGUAAUCCAGAUAGUGUUAACCAACUCAAUUUAGGGAAUGCAACCUGAAAAUCAACAAAAUUAAUUAAGUUGUAAAUGAAAAUAUGUAUCCAAUCUCUGGAGUCUUCCCCUGCAUAUUUUAUGGACAAGAUUAAUCACGGCAUUUUAUAUUUUUUUUCCAAAUUAGUAUGCUUUGCAGUAGGAUCCCAAAUAUAAGUAUCAAAUCGAUUACCCUUUGAAACACAUAAAUGAAAUCUGAUCCUAAAUCCAAUAUGAAUUAACACGCAUAAUUAAUAUAGUUCAUCACCUCAUGUCACUAGGCAUCUAAUUAAUUUGAGACAUUUUAAUAAUUUAUACUAUAAAGUUAGUUAAUAACUGCGGUUAUAUUGUUAAAUCAUAUAUAAAUUAAGACGACAUGCAAAAAGAUGAGUCAUUAAAUUUGAUUUGAUUCUAAUGAAAUUACAUCUAUGCGAACGAAAGUGAUGGGAAUAAUCAUCAUCAUCAUAAUAAUAAUAAUAAUAAUAAUAAUAAUAAUCACCUUUUCAUCGAAGAGAGGUUGUAGUUGAUGAGCCAGCAAGAAGUUCUCUUCUGAUGUUAAUUUCUGAGGUUCCUUGUUAUCUGUUGUCACGUGCACUACAGAUGUAGAAUUGGAUAUGAAUGUUUCCUUAUCAGGGCAAUUCUCAAUAGUUAGAUAGUCCAACUCAGGCAGUUCAAUUAUAUUCCCAGUGAAGUUGCAGAAUCUUUUGAGUUUUGGAAGAUCAAUGAGCCUUAGAUUGGAAAGCUUAGGAAACAUGGGGCCUAUAUGUUCUUCCUUGGCAUUUAGCUCUUCCAAAUGAAGCACCUCUUCUAGUGAAUCACAAUUCGUCACUGUCAGGUAUUGCAAAUUGUUCAAGCACCGUAGCAGAUUGGCAGGAAUAGCACUCGACAUAUUCGUGCAGUCAUCCACCACCAGGUCACUUAAAUUGUUGAAGAAGCUGACAGGCAGUGCUUGGCCAUGCCAUAUUUCUUGCAAACGUGGAAAAUGCGAGAGUUGCAAAUACUCUAUAUCACGGAAUCCAAUCUGCACAAACCAAAACUAUUGCACUGGAUAUAUACAAUUUUUUUUAAAGGCAUUAGAUAUAUAUAUAUAUACACACACACACACAUUAAACUUACAUGUUUUGUGUUUUAACUUCUAAAACUACAUAUACAAGGUAGGUGUAUAUGUUUAAAUGUGCAAGCGUAGGGGAGAUGCAUGAACAAUUUGGGUGAAUCGAUUAACACAGACCAUCUUUUUGUAACAUAUUUUUAAAUGUGCAAGUGCAAGGGAGAUGCAUAAGCAAUUUGGACGAAUCGAUUAACACAUACCAUUUCUUCGUAGCCCUUUUGUAUAAAGGAAUUAAGGUUAUCGCCUUCCCGAUGGUACAAUUCACCCUCUUCCUUUUUACUAACUUGCACUUUGCAUGGCUUUGGAAUGGAUAAGAUUCCGUGAGAAAAAGUCUUCAUGUUCGGACAAUGUGUCACAGAAACUCGUUCCAGUGAUGGGAAUUCAAGAGUAUAAUUCUCCAAACAAAAGCUGGUAAGCCUUGGUAAAUCAUCAAGUAUCAAAACUUUUAAUUUACUGAAAGCAAUAUGAUUCUCCUUCGCUUCUUCUCCAACAUGUCUUAUGAUUUCUUCUAAUUUUGUGCACUUCGAUACAUUAAGAUUCACCAGACUACUAGGAAUUCCAACCUGAAAAUAAGCAAAAGUGUGUGUAUAUUAAAAAAGUAAAAAUGUAAGAAUAUCAUUCAACUAGGUUCAAAGUAUGUUUAAUCAUACAAUUAUACGUUUUAUAAACAUAACAAACCAUGAAAUGUCUACUAGAUAAUUUUUUAUUAAACAAAAAAAGCAACAAGAUAAAUAAAUAAAUAAAAGCCAGAUAAACAAAGAUAAUAAAAAUGCAUUUACACUAUUUACUAUUGGGAACGUAGAAAGAAUUUAAGGCAAUUUCUAAAUAUUUUAGACUUAUUUUGCAUCUUGAUAUCAGUUUUUAAGCAUAAAUUUACAAAUUUCAACUAUUCCUUUUAGGGAAAAAAAAUUCAACCAAAAUGCCGCUUUUUCCCUUUUCCUUGGUCCCUUUUUUUAUGUACAUUUAAAAAUGGAAAAAAAAAAUUGGAAAAGACUUCCCAAUAUUGUCAAUAAGGGACUGCUGCUGUAAAGUGGAUCUUUAUUAAGUACUUCCAGACUCAAGGAAAUUUCUUUACAAUCACGGGUCAGUUGUAAAUAAUCAUGAAUUUGUGGUUAAUUAAUGGCAUAAUCAAUUCGUAACUAAACAAGAGAUAUUAAUUAAAUUUGAAGACUUUUAUUUUCUUUUUUUCUUUUUCCAAUCGAAAUGUGAAGAAUUAAGGAAAAGAGAAAUAUAUAGAUGAAUUUGUGAACCUAUAAGAUGAGUGACGAUCCUUUAAUUUUUGAAAAUCGUACUUAUUAAGAUAUGAGCAAAAACUAUUUAAUUGAAUUAUAUUAUGCUGUUGAAUCGUGUUUAAAAAAUUUAUAUUGUUGAUUCUAAUGCUGACGAACCUAAAAACUGGACCUAAAACGUAGAUUUCAGAGUGGUGGUUCGAAGUACGAUACUUGAAAUAAAUAAUCAGUGGCUGAAUAUCAUUUGUAAACAAAAAAUGGUUAAAAUAUUGUUGGAUGUAAUUUGAAAAAAAAAAAAAAAGAUUCGAAAUGAAUACACUCAAAUAUCUCCAAAUUCUUCAAUUUGCUGAAAGACUCCAAAGCAAGCUGGUGGUGCCAUAUUCUUCUCAAAUUAUCCAUCGACCUAAUACGUAAUACCUCCAAACUAGGAAGUCGUACCUGGCAGUUAAAGAUUAAAUAACUAAUUAAUCAAUUAAUGGCAUAAUCAAUUGAUAACUAAAUUAGAGGCGGAUAUUAACUAAAUUUGAAGAAGACUCACGGAAAAGACAAAUUAAAUAUUAUGACUAAAAUUAAUUUUUUUUAUUAAAAAAAAAACCUUUUCGUCAAAGAGAGGAGGAGGUUGCAUUUCAGAAUGAAUGGUGUCUUCUGGUGAGCUCGUAGAGAUGAAUCUUAACAUAUUACUGCAACUCUGAAUCUCGAGCUUUAGCAAAGAAGGGAAUUCAACGACUAAAUCUGAAUGAAUAUGUCCCGUAUUGGCAAAGCUUGUUAGUUCAUAAAGCGCUUCUAGCUGCAGGGAGUGUAGCUUAGGAAAAACCUUUAAUUCAAUCAACUUUCCUUCAUCUCUUUCUGACCACCCCGUGGUGUCGACUACCCCUUCCAUUGAAUCACAAAGCCUUAUCUCAAGAUGUUGGAGUUGCAUCAGACGAUUACAAUUCCCCACGUACAGCUUUGUUAAAUUUUGACAACAGUACAUUCCUUGAUUAUGAUCGGCCCAUAAUUUUUUCAUGUUUCUUAAGUCCCAGAGAUUCAAUUCCUCUAAGCUCGGAAGAAUAACCUGCAAAGAAAACCCGUACAUUUUUGUUCCUUCAAGUACAACCGUCUAGUAUAAUAUUCUUUUGAUGAUCGAAGAUUAAUCGUGAUAAUAAAUUAAUCAAUUAAUUAUUGAACAGAAAAUUAUCACCUUUGGAGCAGUAUCAUCAUCAGCAAUGAUUUCGUUGAAUCCCAAAGAAGUUGUUGGUUUCUCCCUGUCGGGUCCUAUAAACAAACAAAAACAAUAUACAUAAUUAAUCUUUGUCGUUGUCUUUUUUUUUUCAAAAUAAUUGAGGCGAAGUCCAUAAAUCCACCAACACUUAACUUCAACACUUACCAACCAUCAUUUCCAGAUCAUGGCAAAAAGCCACUUUGACCUUUUGAAGCCGCAGUAGGUUUUUGGCUAUGGAGAAUGAGAAAAGAUGCUUUAAUUUGUGACAGGAUUGUACUCCUAUAAUCCUUAAGUUGCUGAAAGAUUGAUCUUCUGUGAGUUGGCUGUCACAUAUUGUCUCCAAAUUGUUCAAAUUGCGAAGAGACAAUGACACCAGCAAGGGGAAGACUUUGCGACGAACCCGUCCAACUGAACCGACAAUAUGCAAAAUCUCAGAACAACUUUCUACAGAAAGAUGCUUCAAUCGUGGAAAACCUUCCCCAUCAUCUAAUUCAUGAACAACAUUCUGAACACCCUUCAGUUCGUUUAGAUGGAUCUCUUCGGCUUCCUUCAGCAACAUUUUCGUCCCAUAAUUCUCCAAAAGAGUGCUAACAUUUUCUAGCCCAUGGAGCCCCACCAAUCUUGAUGUUUCAGAAUUAACGGGCCAAAUGCGCCACCACGCUUCUCCUAUACAUAUCUUAUAGCUUUGCAAUUCCACAGAGACCCAAUCCUGCGGCAGAAUUUGGGCAUCCGGAACUUGUAUAUUCAAAGUAGUUAGCUUUGACAGCCCCUUCAAUUCAGCAAGACUGGCGUUACUUCCUCCUUCAACCUUAUCCCACUGCGAAAAGCUGUCACCCAUAUAUAGUUCUUCCAAUCGAGAAAAUUUUGAUAUGACAUUUGGUGCUAUCACUACAAGGCUCCUACAAUUGCUCAAAUCUAGCAAUUGUAACCGCGUCAAUUGUCCAAUUUCAAGCGGUAACUGCUUAAUGUCGGAACCUCGAAAGCUAAGAAUCUCUAAUUUCUUUAGCUGUCCAAUUGCCGCUAUAUCUUCUAGUUGGCACCAGUCUAAACACAAUGUUUGAAGGUUAAUGAGGCGACCAAGUGAUGAAGGUAAUGAAGAGAAAGGAAUUCUAGUAAGAGUUAAAACUUUGAGUUCUUCUGUCCCUUCAAAAAAGAGGUCUGAAAUUUGCAUUGAGCUAUAACGCUUUGAAAACAACAAAAGUAACUGGAGACGGGGACAUCCCAACCUUUCGGGAAGCUCUUGAAUAUCUCUCUGGGGUAAUGAAAUGGCAAUUGGAUCUUUCCGUAUUGUCUCUUCCAUCUUUUUCUCCACGUCAUCAACAUUUGGAAUAUUAAACAUGCGCUCCCCUGCAGCAAUUGAUACAGCAACAACAUGAAUGACGUCAUGCAUUUUAACUUCAUCUUCAGCAUCACCGUCCAACAAUAAGCAUGAAGAUUUGAGAUUGUCGAUCAACCGAUGCACUCUACUCCUUGCUUCUUCCAAUGUGUAAACAUUUUCAAACAAACCCCAACCCACGCCAUAUCUCAAUAAGCCAGAAACUUGUAUCGCAUGACCUUCACUGUACAGACCACAAAGACGGAACAGAGGUUUUGCCUCCGCACUUUCCAAAAAGUCGUAACUCAAUUUUAUGGAGGUGUACACAUUUGCUUUCAUGCCAUGAAUUUCUCUUGCAUGCGAUCUUCUUAGCUGAUUCAAUGCAUCUUGCCAAAAGUAACGCUCCUUAUUUUUCAGAGCAUUUGCAACUGUACUCAGUGCAACAGGCAAACCUCCGCAUUUUUCAACGAUCUCAUUUGCUGUACUUUGAAAAUCAGAUAUUUUAGUUGAAUCACCCACUAUCUUCUCAAAUAACUGCAAUGCUUCUUCUUUCGAUAAAGCAUCGAUCCAGAAAAUUUUCUGACAAUUCAUAUCAUUGCACAAUAAAUCUCCACUUCUAGACGUCAAUAUUAUUGUGCAUCUUCUCUGAUCAUCCUCUCUAUCUUUCUCAUCAACAUCCCCAGAAGGAAUUCCAACUUCAUCGAACUUCAGUUCUCUCCAAAUGUUAUCCAAUAUAAUCAGGACCCGCUUCUCUUUCUUCAAUACUCGACGUAGUCGAUUUGCUCUGUCGAAUAUAUUCUCAUUCAACUCAAACUUUAUGCCUAAAUCAGAAGCAAGUUUGUCUUGAAUUUUCUGAUGAUCUGGGUUCUCUGUUAUCUCAGCCAUAGCGACCUUAUCGAACCACUUAUCUUCCAUCACUUGCUUUGCAACUUGCUUUACGAGCGUGGUUUUACCCACGCCGCCCAUCCCGUAGACCCCAAUUAUGUUGAGCUUAUCAUCCCUCAACGCCUCCAUAACAUCUUGAAAUACUUUCAUUCUUGAGUCAAAGGCCUCGAAAUCUUUCACUUGCAUGUGUUCUACCAGCUUUGGAGUAGGACGGUGGGAAACAUUGGAGAAGUUGCCUUUUCCCAUGAGACUAGCUGCAGCUUCUGCGGCCUUUGCUGCUUGUCUACUGAGCUUGUAACGAGAGAUCAAGUUUGGGCACAAUCCUUUGAAACAGAACUUCUUAGCUCUAUCUUCAUCAUCUGUGAUGGAUUUUGCAGCGCCCUGAGUGAAUUCCUUGACGCUAUUAAGCCAGUCUGCAACAUCCUCAUAAAUCUCAUCUCCUUGUUGAGUAGCCUGAUGAACGGGUAUUUCCACCCUUUCUCUUUGAUGUCCCAGCUGCUUCACUUGAACUUUUAGGCCAUCUAUGUAGCUCUGGUACUUGAACACAUAAGAUAUCUGCCGUUUAAGCGGUUUGUACAGUGACUUUGCACCUUCUGAUACAACGCCGGUUAAAAAAGCCAGACACGCUUCUACAGCCAUUGCCUGUUGCUUAACGAUAUAUAUGUAGUUUUUGGCUGUUUAAAAAAAAAAAAUGGAUUCAAAUAAAUUAAAUGAACUAGAGGGGAAGAAAAAGAAAGAAACGACAACAAACAACCUUUUAGAGAAAGGUUUGACGGGCCUGAAUGGAAAACCAACAACUUUUUGAAGAAAGAAAGCUUUGGAAGAUAGAUGCAAAUUAACCGUUGAUAAUACUACAUAAGAACACAGAAGUUAACAAUAAACAGUAACUUAAAACUCAAGAAAAUUAAAUGACGAGAUUAAGACAAACAAGGGAUAGUUUUUGUUGGACAUUAAGAAACAACUGCUAUCAAGAUCAAGGAUUAGAAAUUAUGCUAUUAAAAGAAGUUAUUAAAGGAUUUAGAACAAGUUUACCUCUUUAAUUAUCUAGGAUCAGAGUUUAUGAGCUUCACUAUUGGCCUUGGAUGUAUAAGAAAAACUUUAAUGAGCAAAAGAUCACUCUUAACUGCGGAGGAAUGUGAGUAAAGAGUUUAUGGGAGUAAAGCAAUACAAUUGAAUUGUAAAAGAACCAAGACUUAAGCGUGCGUCCCGUGUUUUGUUUUAUUAUAUAAACAGAACAUAUGUUCAUUUUUAACAAAUUGAUCAAUAACUCUAUUCGCUAUUUAAUUAAUAAUGUAAUCAAUUUUAAGAGAAUAUAAUAAUAAUCCUUCAAUGCAUAAAUUUAGAAUUAGAUUUUUUUUUACUUUUUAUUUAAAUGUAAAUCUCAGUGGAAAAUUAUAAAAAUUUAGAGAUAAAAUUUUUCAAUCACCAAACGGAAAAACAGGGGAAUGAAAACAGAGGAAUCUUGUUUUACUUUUUUUUUCUUUUUAAACCUUAACUCUUGUUCUUAUAUAAAUAAUCUUGUUCUGAUGAUAGUGCUCUUGACUGCAGGAAAAUUUCUAAUGGAAACAACUCAAUUUCGGAAGAUUAGCUCAGUUUUGCAAGCGAUGAAUUUAUUCAAUUGACUCUGUACUUGAACUCGUUGGAUUGGUUGAUUUAUGAUUGACUGAAUUUCAAUUCGGCCUAAAAGAUCUUUAACCAAAGUUUAAUAGCUAUCAUCUACUCCUUAAAAACAAAUAUGUAUCUUUUUUAGAUUUGACUGAAUUUGAACUUGCUGGAUUGGUUUUUUUUUAGAUUAUUAAAAUUUGGAAUAUUUUUUUUUCCUUGCUUUCUUUUGUUGGAGGAUUAGAGAUUUUGGUAUUACCAGAAAGGUUUCAAGGGUCUGAGUAGAAACCUAUAAUCUUUUGAAAAACUUUGUUUUUUUUUUUUUUUAAUUUUUUGGGGAAAAGGAUGCAAAUUAACCAAAUGGAAAUAAUAAGAGCACAGGCUUUAACAAUGAACAAUAACUUAAAACUCAUGCAAAAUAAAUUCAAUAUUAAAACAAACCAGAGAAAUUUUUUUCUUGAAAAGUAGAUGGAAAUUAUGAAAGAACAGAUGUCAAGAUCAAGGAUCAGGGAUUCUACUACCCAAAAAAAAUAAAAAAUAAAAUUAAAGGAUUUAGAAAAUGUGCACCUAGAGUUGGUGAGCUUCUCUCUCUAUUCACUUGAAUAUUUAAGAACAACUUGAAAGAGGAAAAAGAUCACUGGUAACUGCUGAGGAAUGUGUGAGAAAAGAGUUGACGAGAGAAAUAACAAUGACUUGCAGAAGAAAAACCAUUAAUCAAGCACACCUUUUUAUAUCCUGUAUUUGGUUAUUGUUGCCCUCUUGACGCAUGUAUAGAAUAAUUACGUGCAUUUUUUUUAAUCCGCAUGCACUUUAAUGAUUAGUGCUCCUUUCAUAAAGCAGAUACCGGAAACACACAAAUAUCAUUUGAGAGAGAAACUAAACAGCAAAUCAUCAAAGUAAGAUCAAUAAUAUAUGACUUGGUUAAUGCAUAUUCAAGAACAAAAACAAAAACAAAUAAAUAAAUAAAUGGAGAAGGUUUGAUUUUGUACUGCCAACGCUGCUUUUUUGUUAUUUCAUUUGUUCUUUCCACAAAUGAUGCUUGGUUAUAAUUAAGUUCCACAUGGCCGUUACUUACAAACUGUGUUUGUGUUAACAGAAACGUGAAAUUCACAUCACACAAAAUUACACUAUCAAUUCUUAAGAGAACAUAAUAAUAAUCACUCAACGCAUAAGGGUAAAUUUAGAAUUACAUUUUGAAAUUGAUAAAAUGUUUUUUAUGGGAUUUCAGGCAAACCAAAACAAAAAAAAUUUCAAUAAAGAGCUAGUUGUUGAAAUUGAUUUAUCUUGUCUUUCAGGCUAUCUUGUGACGUGACGAUAUAUAAUGUUCGUGAAUGCUAGAAAAUUUCUAAUGCAAACAACUCAAUUUGGGAUGAUAAGCUUAAUUUUGCAAAUGACGAAUGUAAAUAACUUGUUUUGAUUAAUUGAAUUUGUAAUACUCUUACCCUAUUCUAAAAUUUGGAGGUUGCUUGAGAAAAAAAGGGUAUUUCUCACUCAUCUUCAAUCCUCAAGUAAAAUUAGGUAAAAAGCAAAUCUAAAAAAUCACAAACGAAUUAACAAAAAAAGAAAAAAAAAAACAACAUUGAUCUUGAGACAAGUGAUAUUUAAACAGAGAAUUCUUUAUUCUUUUUUACUUGCCCCCCCCCCCCCGGGGCUCGAGGAUUAAAGUCUUUGCUAUUAACAGAGAGGCUUUAAGAGUCUGAAUAAAAACCCGUGCUUUUUUUAAAAAACCACUUUUUUUUUCUUUUUUCUUUUUUUUUGGGAAGAUAUAUUCAAAUUAACCAAAGCUAGUAAUAAGAGCACAGACCUUACAAAUGAACAAUAACUUACAACUCAAGCAACAUAAAUGAUAAGAUUAAAACAAACCGGAGAUAUUUUUCUUGGAAAAUAGACGGAAAUUAAAUAAGAACUGCUGUUAAAAGAAGUUAUUAGAGGAUUUAGGAGCAUGUGUACCUCUUUAAUUAUUUGGGAUCAGAGAGUUGAUGAGCUCUCUAUUCGCCUUGAAUAUUGAGUAAGAACUGGUAUUAAAAGAAAUUAUUAAGAACAAUAUUUUAGUGAGCAAAAGAUCACUGUUAACUGCAGAGGAGUAAAAUGCUGAAAAGAGCAGUAACAAUGAAUUGCAAAAGAAGAAGACUUAACCAAGCACCCCUUUUAUACCCGAUUUUUAAGAUUUAAUUUUGAAGUUCCCAAUCAAGAACAAAGACGAAGCUUUAAUAAAGCAUGCAGUGAGAUACAAGAAAUGGAUCGGGCAAAAUACCUUACGAAGCGUUUCAUAUUUUCUAAUGAAAUAAUUUAGUUGAAUUCUUCGACGAAUAGAUACCUGUUGUGCUAGAAUAAUUUUGGCACACACAUUACUUGUGCCCUGUGAAAUUGAAAAGCACACUCAUUUACAGAGCUUGUUAGUGGGGAAAAGCUUCGUAAGAUGCCUGAUAAAAGAUAAAGCAAAAGCUUGAAUGAAGAAUGGCAUUUUAGAAAGAAACUAAAGUGCAAUCAUCAAAGUAGGAUCAAUAGUGAGUUGAUCAGUUAUGCUUUUUGUUAUUUCAAUUGUUCUCUCUUUUUUCAAUCUCUCUUUAUGUUAUAAUUGAAUAAUUGUAUAGAAAGUGUGACGGUUGCUGCAGCAUUAUGAAGUCAAAAUUGAGAACGACAUUAAAUAAUCAAUCUCUUUAUGUAUUUACUCGAAUGUCUGAUAGUGUUCAGACUUGGAUUUUCAAUAAACACAGAUUCGAAAUCCAAAUAAUUGAAUAAUUGUGUACGUUCAAAUUCAGCAUUUAAUUACUAUAUAAUUAGACAUAAAUGUGUAUAUAAUUUUACUUUCUAAGAAUUAACUUCUACCUUGAUUCUAAAAAAAUAUAUAUAUAUAAUUUUACAAAUAAUUUAGUACGGCGUUUGGUAAAUGAUAACUAUUUGAGAAUAAGUUUUAAAAUGGUUUACUAUACAAAUCUGGAAAAUGAAAAUUAAAAGUGUAAAAUGUUCACAUAAUGAAAAUUAAAAGUGUAACAUGUUCACAUACAAUGACAAAAAUAUAUUUAUUUACUUAUUUGUAAUUUAUUUUGAAUAUUAUUGUUUAAAUCAUUUUUUUACUUACUAGAUUUUUUAAGAGCAUUCUAUUUUCUUUAUUACAUAUUUAAAUAAUUUUUUAUUAACUAUUUUAAUUUGCAAUAAAAUUAACUUCAAUAUUUUUUUAACUGAAAAUUUUGUUAUGUAGUUCGUGAUAUAACAAAUACUAACAUAUUAUUAAAUUGAUUAAUAAAUUACGUGCAAAAAAGAAAAUGCAAAAAUUUAAUCUUUAUAUAAACUUUUAUGUACAAAAACCGUUGUAAUCAAACUAGUUCAUAGAAAUAUAAUAUUUUAUACAUGUGUUUAAGAAAAACAUAUAACUAUAAUAUUAUCCACUCAUUAAACUUGCAGCACUAUUAUUUCUAAUUCUCUCCAUCACUCGACCUACAGGAACAUUACUACCAUAAUUUUCUUCUUGAAUUCAACCUCCAUUUCCACAUCAUCAACAAAGCGAUCAAUUUGCCUUGAUAGCCUUUCAACUCCUCCCACUUUCCUCCCUUUUGCAGACACUCUUUUUCUUUUUCUUUCUUUAAUAGCUUCAAUGGGAACAACCUCAUCUAUCGACAAGUCCAUUCUUCAACUAGAAUAGAGUUGGUAGUAGAUAUUUUAGUACUCUCAAACGAUGCCCAAACCGUGUCACCAGUGAUUGUUGUAUUAAAAAACAUUCCAUGUAAUUUUUCCUCUGACUCUGGGUCGAUACCUUUUAUGCAAAAUCUAUUUACUUCAGGAAUUUUAUACAUAUGUCGAUAUCAUAUUAAAGUGAAUUCAGAUCCUAUAUUAUUGACAUUUAGCCAAAGGUAAAAAAUUUUCCUUUUUGUUUGUCCCCCAACUAUAUAGUCCCAUUUUUGGUUAUAAGCUCGCAAUAUGCAAGGGAAAUGAAGAUCUACUAAAAACUUCCCCAUAAUAUUAAACAUUAAACAAUAUCAACAUUUUGUGCAUAUGGUGCCUCUCCAACAACUUGAUGUACAUUAUGUUGCUCGGUGGAAUAUGACUACUUAUUAAUUAAUUAGCAAGACUUGCGUUGCGAGUCCAUGCUUUUGUUGUUUGGAUGGAGGAUCUGCCAUCCUUAUUGUGAAAUAUGAACUAAAUAUACACUCACGACAUGUCAUAUGUUGAGUCUGUAGUAGCACGACAUGUCAUCUGAUAAGCAUUUGGAACAAAACCGACAUGAGCCAAAAUGUCGUUCUUUGUUUAAGUAGCUCACGUGUUUGGCAUGUGAGCUGAACAAGACUCUUACUCUCAGAAACGACUGAACCAGAAGCCGUUUUGAGCAUGCUUAUUCAAGACACGUUGCAAGCACGUGGCUGAGGCUGAAUCUGUUAUGUUAGCGGGAAAAGCCGCUGAGGAAGGCAUCCAGAAUCAGUUAAUAAAGAACUGGAGUUCUGGGUUUUUCACAACAGGGCCAGAAAACAGAGAGAGAGCAGAGAAAGAGGGAAUGCGAGAGAGAGAGAGUUCUGAAUAGGCUUGUAAUCUCCAUUUGUGUUUGCUCUCUGUAAACUCUUGAACAAGCAAUAAAGUGAAAUCACAGAGUUUGUUUCCAGUGGAUGUAGGCAUCAUUCAUUUGGUGCUGAACCACUUUAAUUCGUGUGUGUUUUGUUCUUGAUCUAUUUGUUAUUCUUGAUUCUUAGUAGGUUGACUUCUUCUUGGUUGAAUCUUGAGUAUAAACCAGUGAGUGAAGUGUUCUUGGGGUGGGUUUAGUCUUGAUAGUUAGGGCUUAAACCAAAACACUUUUAUUUUAGAUGCUUUGUAAGACUUCUGAUUUAAUGAUUGAAUGCAGCCAAUUAACGAAAGCUUACAUAUAGUAUUAUGUAGGUGCUGAGAUGUCUGUUCUUGAUAAAGUAGAUAUAUUUACACCCAAGCCAACGGAAUCAAAGCCUUUUCGUUAAUAAUAUACACGGUAAUUGUUUUUGUUAAAUUGAUUUCUGGCUAACAAGAUCUUUUUUUUUUUUUGAAAGGGCUAAAAAGAUCUUUGAAAGCAUUCAAAGAAGCCGCCGAACUCAUAGGAAAGCCAUGAUUAAAUAUACGGUGAAGCAAGCGAGCUCGUUUGUUAAUCUCUUGAUCACUCAUAAGCUUUUCUAUACGGCUCACGAUAUCAUCCUUUUGAAUCGAUUUUGAUUGAUCAUCGGAUAUCAUGUCCCCACCUUGAGAUGAUUGAUCACCAAUUUGGCAUUGUAAUGUUGAUCACCUCUAAUUGGCCAUGCUAAAAUUGGGAGCCCACAACUAAUUGCUUCCAUAGUUGAAUUCCAUCUACAAUCAAAUAAAAAUCCACCCAUUGAUUGAUGACUUAGUAUCAAUAAUUGUGGCGCCCACCCAUCUAUUAUCAAUCCCCUUUUAACCAAUAAAGUGUUGGCUCCACUGGCAAUGGAGUCCCCUUAAGUGGUUUGACUGGGUUUGCUCCCCAGUUCGAGUCGCAGGGAAGUCGCCUUUGUUGGGAGAACCUGUGCCUCUCGGUUCGAGCGGGGACUUCUAGUCUGGGUUGUGGUACGGGCUUAAAGGUGCCUCCCACAGUUGGGGCCCUCCCCAGGAUACCUCGUGGUCAAAACCAAAAAAAAAAUCAAUCCCCUUUUACCGACUUUACUCUCCAAACCACUGGAAAAAUAACUGCCUUCUACUGGUCUGUCUAAACCGGUUAAAUGACGCGGAGGAUCCAAUCUACCUGCACUAGUUUGAAUUACCCAAAUAAACUGUUGAUUUGAUGCUUCUAAACAUUGGCAAGGCUGAAUACUCCUCUAAGGUGGGACGCACUUUGGUACCAAAUUAUAUGUAUAGCACAGAUCUACGUGAUUUCAAAUCCAACCAUUAAGCGAUCUCAUCUUCAGUCAUGUUAGAACUCUGCUGGUUGGUCUCGUCUCACGAUCAUGAAACGCUGAACCGACCAAUUUGUAAAAUUGUUUAGGUAACAAUGAGCCCACUCCCCACACCGGCUUUCCCAUUUGAUUGGCUAAAUAAUUAAUAAAUGGUCCCUCAAGAUCAUUACAUGUGUUAGAACAUCAACGCCAUCGAUCCCUUCACUUCCUUCAUGCAGUGUGGUUGAUCAUCGGGUUCUAGUGGACCUAUUUUCCCUGAACCGGGUGCACUCUGCAGAAGUGGUGGACCACUAGGAGGGGGCCCACAAGGCCUACGUCUAAGAUUCGAUUCAAAUAAAGCCGUAUCCUCAGGUACCCCAGGAAGUAAAUAGGCCUCCCCUGAUUUGACAUCUUUGAUGCGAGCCUACCACAUGGCACACUCUACAAUUGUUCAACUAAAAUUAAUAAUAUUGUUCUAAUUAAUUACUCGAUAAGCAAAUAGUCAUAGACAAAUCUAUCCCUAAUCCCACAUUUACAAAAUAAAGAAUUGAAAUGAGUUUAUGUGGCUUUGAACCCAAGCCCUCAAGCCUAGUGGCUGGAUCUUGACCACUUUGACAUAAUUAUUAUAACAAUUUUUUUUUUCAUAUUUCACUAAGCAUCUUUUGUUAUAUAAUGAGGAAGAUAAGUUGACGGAGAAGGGUUCUACUUUUACUAGUAGAUGAGAUUUAAAUUAAGAAGGUUAGUUUUAGAUUGUUAAAUUUCCUUAGACGAUUAUUCAUGUGAGAUGUUUAACAUAUACUUGAGUUAGUCGGUGCCUAACAAUUCUUGUGAUACAUGAAACCAACCAAUAUGAAAACCAUAUGAAGUUGGUAGGAUUAGAUUAAUUUAAAUGAAAAUAAAAAUUAGUUUAUGCUAUUUAUUAAUCUUAUACUGUUGAAAAUUGAAAGUUAAUUCUUUAGCCUGUCAAUUGGUUCAUGACAUAAUUAAAAUAUUCAAGUAAAUACAUUUAUCGUUUAACAUUAAUUUUUCAUGCGGUAAAACCAAUACUAAUUAUAGAGUGGAGAGAAUAAUCUGUAGGGUAUACCCCCACCUUUUAUUUCAUUUCAUUUAAAAAAAAAAGAGAGAGAGAGAAAAGUAAAGGCUUGUUCAACAUUCAAGUAAAAUUAACAAAUCUAUGAUAAAAUUACUUCAGAAUAAAAAUUAAAAUGUUUAAAAAAAAAACGGCAACUCGAAAACGACAUACAAAUACCGCAUAGAAGGUUUUCGUCACGAGAUAUUUUUGGGCUGAGACAACACUUGUAUAACUUAGCAUAUAGCUUGGAUGACGGUGAGAAUAAGAAGGAAAACGGCACCGCAGACCGAAAUGCCAGCCCAUGGAGUAUUGAAGUAAUUUUUUUUCACAAUUCAAAGGAGGUUUUGGAACUUACCACAAGGCUGAGUAUUUCAACAGUUAUGGAUGACAUAAUCCAGCUAAGCAGAAGCUGAUCUUGGCGUUUCCACACAGCAUAUUCUGGAUUUUCAUGACCUUCAGAGAUUGACGAAGUGCCUUCAAAUCCAGGUGAAAGAAAUUGAUCAGGACAUAGCUUUGAUCCAUCGAUAUAAGACUCAAGUCCAUUGCCUCGAACUGAAGAGAGCACCUGAUGUUUCCAGAUCGUGUAAUUUGUACGAUCUAAUUUGACUGGUGUAGUGAAGGUGAAAGAAGCUAUGGCACUGGUAUUAGAUUGUGAAUUUGAGUUCGUUAGAGCCAUUGGAUCUAGCUCUGAUACCAAGUUAAAGAAGCUUUUCCUGUUUGUUUACUCAGAAAGUGAAGGAAAAAUACAGAGAAAAUUAUGUAGCUAGAAUGAAUCUAAAACCAUCUUAUUAAUCUAUAUUUGGUUCAAUAUACAACAAUAUUUAUGCUACUCACUGGAACCUUCUAUAUGAAACAAACACGUGAACUCAAUACAAUUCAGCUUAACAAACUUUUAACGGGAAAUAACUAAACAGAGCAACGGCUUGCCAGCGUGGCUGCUGACUCAGCAGCCGACUAAUCAUACUCUGAAAAAAAAUCACCAAACAGAAAAACAGGGGAAUGAAAAGAUAGCCUCCGUUUAUCCUCUGUUCUGUUUUCAUUGUUAUUAAACAAGGGAAUGAGAAAAGAGAGCCCCUGUUUCUUCUCUUUUUUGAUUUUUUUAAUUACUAAACUGGGGAACGCACGGAUCACCUCUUGUUGCAAGCGCAAAUUCUUGUUUCUACUUUAGUACCUUCUAAAUGCUGCAUGCAUUAAAAUUAUUCUUACAUAUGCUAACAUAAUAGCUACUGUACAUGUAAGUUCUUGAUAAAUCCAAAUAACAUAAUAAUUUUAAGAGUUCAAAUUUAGAAUUUAAUUAUAUAUAUUUAUAUAAAUCCAAUGUGCAUAUCGGAUAUUGCAUGCUGCAAUGAUCUCAUAUGUUUCCUCAAUAUGACUUAAAUAUAUAGGCCACAACUUGGUUUUGAAGUUAGUCUAAAGCCUUCCCCUUGAUUCUAACAAAUUCACUAGGGAAGGUUCAUAUGGAUUUUGGGGGAGCUCUAUGGCCAAUUUUAAAAGUUCAGGGGGGAUCAAAUGAAUUUCAAAACUGCAUGGGUUAUCUAUUUCAGUCAGAGGAUAGUGGAAUUCCCUGAAAUUUAUCCUUUUUAUUAAAUUAAUCUUCCUCCUUUCCUCUGUGGACCUUUGCUAUGUGUGUUAUUGGCGUCCAAAUGACGAUGGGAAUUAUGGUAAGGUUCUUGCUUCCCCACUUCUUGAAAUUAAAUAUAUCUUUUCUGGCACUAGAAAUUUCCACAUGCUGUGUUUUGUUAUUGUUUGGGAGAAAUACGUCAACGAGACCAGGCGUGGUGAGCAGAUAUCUGAUAGCAGAGUUCCGCGAACCGGUGUGUUCCGUAAAAGCCUGGUGCGCGGAGGAACAGGAGCAGAAGUAUCCCGCUCGUCCACGAACACGUCAUCCGCGAGGCCAAUUUCCCGUAAGAGGCAUAAGGUCAUUCCGGCUAGAGGUCGAGAGGCGAGGAGACCCGGUCGACGGCAGUUGGCAAGACAUGCUCCCCAGCCCGAGAAUCUAGGCACGACAGCCACGCUUUCCCCAGAACUGUGGCGUAACACGCAAAAUCUCACGGAACCACGACAACCACGCUUUCCCCAGAACCGUGGCGUAACACGCAAGAUCUCACAGAACCACGACAGCCACGCUUUCCCCAGAACCGUGGCGUAACACGCGAGAUCCCACGUUUGCCCAUAACGCAGCAGUCAGAGUCCCAUACCGUCUCGAAAAAAGCGGAAAACUGGGAUUCAGGGGAGGCCUAUAAAAAGGUAGCCAACGAAGGUAAAAGGGUUAGCAUUUUUAAGAUUAGAAAAGAAAUAAAAAAAGCCAUAAGACCUGUGGCAAGCGUUCCCCGAACCUUGAUAUCUGAAUUGAGCGUCGGAGGGUUUGCGCCGGGAAAACAACCGGCGUACUCUGACUUGUCUGUGUGCGCAGGAACCUCUGGAGAAGAAGCCUCACGAGGAGACCUCCUGGUCGUGAAGAAGUUGAUCGGGCAGAGAUCCUGGUCGUAGAACGAGGAGACCCGGAAUCCCGCAUCAACAUUUUGGCGCCGUCUGUGGGGAACAGAGCAAAAAGCUUCUGUUGAUAGCAAGAGGAGGGGCGAAGCAAGUGAAAAGCAAUGGAGACAUGAGGAAGUAGUGGACAAGGGGGUGAUAGGAGGCCUAACGAUUCCGUGACGCUGAGGGAGAUAGUCAGUGAAGCACGGGAAAAAGUCAUGUUCGACCGGAUGGAACGGGUGGAAAAGCAGAUGGAGACCUUGACAACCAUCCUAGAUGAGCUGCGGAGCGAGCGAAGUAUAAUCCAAGAGGGAAGGGGGAGAGGCGGUGGAGUGGCACCAGGUCCCGAUAGUGCGGGGAGAAGUCAAACCACCGGGAGAUUUGGUGGUGAGAGAGGUAACGUACCUCUGCGGGGAGAAUUUCAUAGAGAAAGAGAGCGGUCCCCGGCAAGGCAGACUGGCGACGAGGACGAUGGAGUGGUGAAUGCAGAGGAAACGAAGUUGAGACAACACUUGCAUGAUGUAGAGCAAGAGCGGGAUCAAGUUGCAGCACGUGACCCUGGUCGUGCAGUGCAGCUGGAGGAGGAAGUGCGCAGACUAGCGCAGAUAAUCGACGACAUGCAAGGAAGGAACAGAGCCCCUGGUUGGAGGAUAAUGCUAGACGGAGAAUCACCGCUCGCAGCAGAGAUCAUGAGGGCAGUUAUUCCGAGAGAUUUCCGCCUCCCAGACCUCAGAUACUCGGGAAGAACUGAUCCGUUGGUGCACAUAGAGCGCUUCAACGACAUAACUGGGGUACAAGGAUUAUCUCAAUCCCAAAGGUGCAGAGUGUUCCCACUAUCCCUUGAGGGACGUGCACGAGAAUGGUACAGGAAACUUCCUCGGGGCAACAUUAAAACCUUCGAGCAGAUGUGCCAGGAAUUCGCGGAGCAGUUCAGUGGGGCAAUGGCGCCGGAAGAUGACAUGAUGGAGCUGAAAAGCAUGAAACAGGGGGAGCAAGAAACCCUUCGGGAAUUCAUCAAGAGGUUUCAUCGGGCUGUCCUCGACUUGGGAGCCUUCAACCACCCUCAGGCGUUAAGGGGAUUGAAAGAAGGGGUGAAGAUAGGAAGGCUGUGGUACAAUUUGAGAAGCCCAGCUAUUCAAACGUAUGCAGCCGCAUACGAACAGGCUAAGAGAGACAUCGAGAUUGAAGAGGAGAAGGCUGCACGGAUUAAGACAGACCAGUUACAAGGGUUGGGGAGGAAAGAGAAGAAAGCAUUACCGGGGAAUGGGCCGAUCAGGAGGAGGGACCACCAGGCCUCCGGUAGCGGAGCAGGAGGUCGGGUAGCCGCUUACCAUUCUCAUCAAAGGCCACCACAGUAUCAGCGCAGCAGGGCGCAACCUCCUCGUUCCCCAGUUAGGGAGCCUUGGAGAAGACAUGAGUCGGCAUCUGGUGGUCUCCAUCAACACCCCCACGGUAGCAGAGCGAGCAGACCAGAAGUACUUCCACCGCCCCCAACUCAGAGCGGGGCAAACGGAGAAAGAGUAGUGCACCUGAUCGACCAGAACCCGGACUAUGGGCGGUACACUUCCUUGAAGAUGUCCCUGGAUGAGGUGUACGAGGCCAUAAAGGAUCGAGGGCUGUUGCACCUCCCUACACCAAUAACAAAGCUACCCAACAGGAGGGAUAGAGGGCGUUAUUGUAAGUUCCAUGGCACCCAUGGCCAUACCACAGCAGAGUGUAGAGAUCUCAAGACCCAGGUCGAAGAUUUGGUGAGAAAUCGGUACCUGGACGAGUUUAUGGAUGGGACUUUCCCGAUGGGGGCCGCAACAGGUGAAGGGGAGCAGAGUGGCGGAAACGUGAGGCACGAGCAGCCUGCAGUAAGGGUGAUCGCCGGGGGCCCGACAUUGGCCGGAGAUUCCAACAGAUCGAGAAAAAAUUAUGCUAGGUACGCCAUGACCAGUAAAGAGGUACUCCUCAACACCCCAGCAGCCAAACGAGCAAGGGUCAGGCAAGUGCCAAUCAUGUGGACGGAUGAGGAUGAGGAAGGGAUUCUAUACCCCCACGAGGACGCUUUAGUCAUCAAGGCUACUAUCGCUAGCAAGAAGUUUGACCGGAUACUGAUUGAUACAGGGAGCUCAGUUGAUGUGUUAUUUAAGUCAACCCUGGAAGAGAUGGGAAUAGCCGACCGGAAGUUGGAAUACACCAAUACCUCCUUGAAGGGGUUCGGAGGAGGGAAGCUGGUCCCUCUGGGCGUGGUCGAGCUGCCUAUCACAAUUGGGAGCUCCCCGACAGAAAGAACAAUGAUACUGGACUUUGUCGUAGUGGAUGAGGAAGGUCCUUACCAGAUGAUCUUAGGUCGGCCAUUUUUAAGGAUGAGCAAAGCGGUGUUGUCCAACCAUUAUCUGGCCCUGAAGUACCGGGUGAAUGGGGUAGUAGGAGUGGUACGAGGAGACCAGAGGAUCGCAAGAAGCUGCUACUCCUCGGCAGCAAGGGAAGCAAUGCAGAUAACAUCCCUCGAUACCCGAGUGGAAAGCAGGAAGGGCAGACAAGAACCUGUAGAGGAUCUGGAAACAGUAAGCCUGGGACCAAAGAACCCGGAAAAGACGAUCAGAAUCGGGUCGAGACUUAGGGGAGGGCAAAAGCAGGAGUUGGUGAAAUGCUUACAGGCUCAUGCUGAUGUGUUUGCUUGGACACAUGAAGACAUGCCAGGGAUUGACCCUGAGGUAGCAUGUCAUAAGCUGGCAAUAAAGAAAGGUGCUCGGGCAGUAAGGCAGAAGAGGAGGUGCUUCAACCAGGAGAGGUAUGAGGCUAUAAAUGGCGAGGUGGAGAAGCUCCUGAGAGCAGGGUUCAUUCGGGAAGUCAGUUACCCUGAGUGAAUAUCGAAUGUGGUGUUGGUAAAGAAGGCAAACGGCGAGUGGAGGAUGUGUGUGGAUUUCACAGACCUCAAUAAGGCGUGCCCAAAAGACAGCUUCCCUUUACCAAAGAUCGAUCAGCUGGUAGAUUCAACGGCUGGACAUGAUCUGCUCAGCUUCAUGGACGCGUUCUCGGGAUACAACCAGAUCCCCAUGUACGGGCAGGAUGAGGAGAGCACGGCUUUCAUCACUAACCAAGGUUUGUUCUGUUACAGGGUAAUGCCAUUCGGUCUCAAAAAUGCGGGGGCCACCUAUCAAAGGCUGGUGAACAAAGUCUUUAAGCCGUUGAUUGGGAAAACCAUGGAGGUGUACGUGGAUGACAUGAUCACCAAGUCCAAAAUCCCGGAGGAACAUGUCAGACACCUCGAGGAGACAUUCGAGCUUUUGAGGAAGUAUAAGAUGAAGCUCAACCCGGAGAAGUGUGCUUUUGGGGUCGAGUCAGGGAAAUUCCUUGGAUUCAUGGUGAGCCAUAGGGGGAUUGAAGCAAAUCCCGAGAAAAUCCAGGCGAUUGUGCAAAUGACGUCUCCUCAUAACCUGAAGGAGAUGCAGAGCCUCACGGGGAGGUUGGCGGCGUUGAGCAGAUUCAUAUCCAAGGCUACAGAUAAGUGUCAGCCAUUCUUUCAAGUAAUAAGGAGGGGAAAGAAAACAGAAUGGACCCCAGAAUGCGAGGAAGCCUUGCGGAACUUGAAGCAAUACUUGCAGCAAGCUCCGCUGCUGUCCACACCGAGGGAUGGGGACAUGUUGUAUCUGUAUUUGGCGGUAUCGGAUCGGGCCGUCAGUUCUAUUCUGGUGAGAGAGGAAGAAGGAGUUCAGUAUCCGAUAUACUACACCAGCAAAGCCCUGCUCGACGCUGAGACCAGAUACCCACCGUUGGAAAAAUGGGCACUUGCCCUUGUGGUUGCUGCUCGGAAGUUGAGGCCAUAUUUUCAAGCAUUCCCGGUUUCGGUAGUAACAAACCAGCCAUUGCGUCAAACUCUGCACAAGCCAGAUGCCUCUGGUCGGCUCGUCAAGUGGGCUGUAGAGCUGAGCGAGUUCGACAUAGACUAUAAACCCCGCGCAGCGAUAAAAGCCCAGGCAAUGGCUGAUUUCGUAGCCGAAUUCACAGAGCCCGAAGUAUGCUUAGAUCAACAAGAUGCAGAUAUAGGCAAUGACGAAACUCAAGUAUGGCAGAUGUCUGUGGAUAGGUCAUCAGGGGAGCGGGGUUCAGGAGCAGGGAUUGUCUUGGAAGGCCCAGAGGGGGAGGAGAUCUCUUAUGCUGUAAAGUUGGAGUUUGCAGCCACGAAUAACCAGGCAGAGUAUGAAGCCUUGAUAGCAGGUCUGGAAUUAGCUAAGGCCGUGAAAGCAAACAGAGUUAAGAUCAGAACUGAUUCCUAGCUGGUUGCAAAUCAUGUCAGUGAAAGAUUCCAACCAAGAGAGGAGAAGAUGGAGCAGUACCUGAAGAUAGUCAGGCAGAUGAUGGGGAAGUUUGAAGCAGUGGAGGUAAUACAAAUCCCCAGGGAGCAGAAUAGUCGAGCAGACAUUUUGGCUAGGAUGGCAGCAGUAGCCGACCCAAAAAUGCCAAAGUCGGUUCCUCUGGAGGUGAAGUCCAGCCCAAGUAUUGGUCAGAAUUUGGGGGUGUUGCGGAUAGAACAAAAAUGCUCGUGGAGGGAUCCGAUAGUUUCAUACCUUAGGGACGGGGUAUUACCACCAGAUAAGGUGCGAGCUCGCAAGCUUAGAGCCCAGGCCUCGAGAUACACGAUGAUUGAUGGGGUACUGUAUCGGCGAGGAUAUACACUAUCGAUUACUUCACGAAGUGGAUAGAGGUAGAAGCCCUUAGCAGGAUCACAGAGUCGAGCAGACAUUUUGGCUAGGAUGGCAGCAGUAGCCGACCCAAAAAUGCCAAAGUCGGUUCCUCUGGAGGUGAAGUCCAGCCCAAGUAUUGGUCAGAAUUUGGGGGUGUUGCGGAUAGAACAAAAAUGCUCGUGGAGGGAUCCGAUAGUUUCAUACCUUAGGGACGGGGUAUUACCACCAGAUAAGGUGCGAGCUCGCAAGCUUAGAGCCCAGGCCUCGAGAUACACGAUGAUUGAUGGGGUACUGUAUCGGCGAGGAUAUACACUAUCGAUUACUUCACGAAGUGGAUAGAGGUAGAAGCCCUUAGCAGGAUCACAGAGAAGAAAACAACGGACUUCGUGUGGAGAAACCUGGUCUGUCGAUACGGGAUCCCUUAUGCCUUGGUAACGGAUAAUGGCAGGCAGUUCGAUAAUCACAGCUUCAGGGAUUUCUGCCAGAACCUCGGGAUAGAGCUGAAGUAUUGCUCGCCUGCUCACCCUCAAUCGAACGGACAAGUAGAAGCAGCCAACAAGACCAUCAAGAGGCUUUUGAAAACCAGGCUUGGAGCAAAAAAGGGUGCGUGGGUUGACGAGCUGUCAGGUGUGCUAUGGGCAUACAGAACAACCCACAAAACAGCAACUGGGGAGACACCGUUCGCUUUGGCUUUCGGACAUGAAGCGGUCGUGCCGGCCGAGAUAGGAACGACCACACACCGGACAAAUCAUUUCAAUGAGCAGGAGAACGACGAGCAGAUAUGUUUGAAUCUUGAUCUGCUAACGGAAAGGAGGGAGCAAGCAGCCGAGCGAUCGGUCAUUUACCAACAGAGGGUUGCUCGGUAUUAUAACCAGAAGGUGAACAUACGGCAAUUCAGGGUCGGAGACUGGGUACUGAGAAGAGUGAAUCAGAGCACCAAAGACUCGACUCAAGGAGUGCUGGGACCGAAUUGGGAAGGGCCAUAUAGAGUCAAGCAGAUAGCGGGACCUGGAGCUUACAAGCUGGUACGCACGGACGGCCACGAGGUGAAACGCCCAUGGAACGCAGCACACCUCCGAAAAUACUUCCAGUAAGACUUGUUCACAUGUGAAAACUAUUUUUGCUCAUGUUCAUUACCGUUUAUCUUUCACACUUAUUGUCCAAACAAUCUCAUGUAAGUCGAAUCUUGCCAUUAAUGGAACGUCGAAGAAUUUCUUUCGCUUGAAACCGAGAAAGUUGCCUAAGGCAUGCAAAGGCUCGACAAAGUCUCAAAGCCUGUCUUAUGGCGAGACAGAAGCCAAGCAUGCCAGGAUCUGCUCGGCCACGAGAAGGCGAACAGAAUCCCAAUCCUUGAAGAAAUGCCUAAGGCAUGCAAAGGCUCGACAAAGUCUCAAAGCCUGUCUUAUGGCGAGACAGAAGCCAAGCAUGCCAGGAUCUGCUCGGCCACGAGAAGGCGAGCAGAAUCCCAAUCCUUGAAGAAAUGCCUAAGGCAUGCAAAGGCUCGACAAAGUCUCAAAGCCUGUCUUAUGGCGAGACAGAAGCCAAGCAUGCCAGGAUCUGCUCGGCCACGAGAAGGCGAGCAGAAUCCCAAUCCUUGAAGAAUCCAAGGCAUGCAAAGGCUCGACAAAGUCUCAAAGCCUGUCUUAUGGCGAGACAGAAGCCGAGCGUGCCAGGAUCUGCUCGACCGUGCGAAGGCGAGCCGAAUCCCAGGCAUUGAAGAAUCUCCAAAGGCAUGUGGCGAAACCAUGAGCCAAGCCGGAACCUGCUCGUCUAGACAGACACAAGCAGAUUCUCAACCGAAAAUUAAUUCAUAAUUACAACACAAGAAAGUAAUCAAAAACCAUUUUUAUUAAUUUGUUAAUAAUUAACAGAGGGGACAAUCUCAAUGAACAUUGUUCAUUACAAUACAAGAAAUAUAUCAAGAAGAUGAUGGACCAGUAAGCCCGGCAGCAUCGGUUGGCUGGACCUCCUCAGGUGCUGGAGGGGUAUCACCAGUUGCGUCCGGGGGGGUACUUGCCUCGCCGACAUCAGCAGGGACUGCAUGAGCAGGAGAGUCUUCCUCCUCAAUCACGAUCGGCUCUACCCCAUCAGUAUCUUCCUUAGCCGCCUCCUCGUCCAUGUGUUGAGCAACACCAGCUGCAAGGUCAUCCAUCUUCAGAUCAGGGUGUUGCUUCCCGAGGACGGCCAUGAUGCAACGAUAGGAAUGCCGAAGGCCCUGGUCGUACUGGUUGUCAGCCUCCCUCUCCAAGUUCUCGACCUGAGCUCGGUGGGAGUCGCGGAGAGAUUCGAGCUGAGCCUCAUACGUAGCCUUCUGCCUUUGCAGAUCCUCCUUGACCUUGGUAAGCUCCUCCUCGAGGGAAAUGGCUUUUGCUUGAGCAAGUGAUUCUUGCUCUAUCAGCUUCAGAUUCUCGAGAUUCAGCUCCCCUGCUUUCUUCUCGGCAACGUCAGCCCUGGUCGUCGCCAAUUGAAUAUCCUCCUUCAUCUUCCGGUCGUAGCGGCCAACCUUAGCCUUGUAAUAGGUGGUCAGGCAGCUGAGGUGGAAAGCGUUAUGCUGCAUGGCCCCCACCAGCUCACCCAAGGUGCGGCCGUCAAAGUCCUCCAGGUCCUUCUUGCUCACGAGUUUAGUUAACUCAUUGAGGUAAGGGACCAGAUGUUCUGCUCGGCUGUCAGGUAAGCGAGACCAAGGCCCGACAGGAGGAGAAGAAGAAGCAGGAUCUGUGGCUGCUCCACUAGCUUCCCCGACUUUCACAGAAGCAGGAGGUAAAGUCUUCAAGGGUGGGACCUGCUGCACGAUGUUGGCCCGCUUUGCAGCAGGGGCAUCCUUACUCUGGUCCCUCUUCGUGGUUGGAGGUCGGGAACGUUUUCGGGUCAAAGCCCCAAUCACAGCGUCCUCCAUCCUAUAGCCAGGAAGUAUCAAGCGAGACUCGAGCAAGUUGUAUGUAGUUAACAGUUCUCGGCUCGAGCAGGAAUUGGCUGGUCAGGUUCAAGCGGGAAGUGGACACCCCAAGAAACUACAACACAAACAGACACUUGGUUAGAGACAAGCCAAUAAAGCAAGAACAAUUAUGAACGCAAGACAUCUAGAGCGAGCAGGCAACCUGGGACCGUGAAACGGGGUGGGACGCGACAAUCCUUCCCGUCUAUUUGUGCAAUUUGACCCCAAGGACCCCCAGCAAAAAAGAAUUUCCUCUUCCAAGCCCCACCACCACCGGUUGGAAGAUCGGUUAUGGGUUUCCGGCUCUUGGUGCUAGAUUGGAAGUAGUACCAGCCGGCAUCUUUGGGGCUGCUCUUUAGCUGGUACAAGUGCUUCACCUCAUCAACCGUGGACUCGCUUCCGAAAAAGGACUUUUCUCAUUAAUUUUUGAUCUUCAAGUUAAGUUUGUUUCAUUUCAAAAGGUAUUAAGUUUCAAACUUGUCGUGUUGGGAGGUUGGAUAGUUGUAACGUAAGACAUCUGCAGGCUUCCGGUUCAAAACAUUACAGUAUGGCAUUUUAUUUUGUCACAAGGGAAUUAGUUAUGGGAUCCCUUCUGCAACGAUUUGUUGAUGGCGAUGAUGAACUCCGCAAUAGUAGGCUGAAGCUUAUUCCAUCCGUUCCUAAGAUAUCCAUCUUGGUCUGCAUCUAUUAGGACUUUGUUAACAUGUCGUAACCUUCACUGCAUGGUACACUUCAAUUUGUUCAAAGAAGGCAUACAUUUAGGUAUAAAUGUAUUGAUGGGUUGUACCUUCUAACUUAAUGACCUUUUUUCACUCUGUUGAAUUUGUUUUGCACCUGCUCUUGAUUUUAAGCGCUAAAUCAUGCAGGGGUCAUGGAUCGUGCACCAGAGUGUUGGAAGCACCCCUUGUUUAUUAGGAAAAGCAGUUGAUCGUAAUUUUAUCCGCGGUCCCAAGUUCGUAGAAGUAAACGCUCUUGGAAUUUCUAUAAUACAUGAGAUGUUCCCCUUUCAAAUAGCUCGUCCGAUACCAUUAACAUGGUUUAACAUUGUUCCUCUGUCUUUAGAUUGAUGUUGACAUCGGUUCUUCUAAUAUUGCUCUUCUUUAUCUUACACGUGUCUCUUCUUUAUCUUACUCUUUAGUAUGCAGUCAAACACUACAGAUGAAUUACCAGAACGGCUGAUUGGAACCAGAAACAUCAUGACUGUGGUUUCAUUGCACCUCAACUUUUUUUAAUACCCGAAAAAAAAAAAUCAUUUGUUUUAGGUAUACGCACAUGUAUUUUGAUCCCAUUUUCAUUGUUUUCUUUGGAUGAAAGUCAUUGAUGUUUCCAAAUGAGACUUUUGCAUAAGUAUAGCUAGUAGGAAAUUUUCUGAUUCUUUAUUUACUAUUUUUGGAAUCUGAGUGUAAUAGUUUUAAAAUUGUUUAAUCGGUCUCUAAAUGUCGUACUCACAAGCAAACAAGUGAACUGAUUGAUUCCCAACCGUCACUCAACCGGUUUCCAACUUUUUAAUAUACACAAUAACUGUGUUUGUUGAAUAGCUAAUACUAUUAAAGCUCAACAUUAACAUAGAUACUAAUGGAAAAAUUGAUUUUCCUAUGAUGCUGUGUAAAGAAUAUGGGUUUACCUACUUCCAUAAGAUCGAAAACAUGAUCUUGACUUCACGUGAUUCUUUUAAUUUAGAGAGUGCUGGUUUGAGAAGGUCAGCUUGACGGAUUACUUCCUUUUAAUAAAUGUCAAUACACUAUAUUUGAUAAUACUAUAAAAAUGUAAUAAACAUUGUCUUGUGCUGUUUUCUUCAACUACAGAUCCUCAAUUGAAUCAGUCAAUCAGGUUAGAAAUCAAAUGCUUAAAAUACCAAUUGGAGAAACAAUAUAGAAGUUGAAUAUUGCAUGCAUAUGAAACAUCAAUUCAAGCCCUCACUUAACCAGUGUGCACCAAGCAAAUCCAAAGUGUCUUGCAAUUAUGUAGCAUGACCAAAAUGCUAUAAAUGCAUCUGGGAACAAAUUUUUGAAGUAGAGGAAAACGUGCAAGUUGAAUCAUGUAUAAGAGAUCGGCUUGGGUCGAGAUAGCUUCUUCUUUAUACUUGAAGGGUGGGCUCAAUCUUGUCUUUAGAAUUCUGCAUGUUUGUAAUUAUACAUGUGUAAGCAAGCAUACAUUACCAUAAUAAUAACAAUAAGAAAAAAGAAGCAAAUGUUAUGAUACGACUAUAAACUCCAUCAGACAAACAAUAAUGUAUAAAUUAAUGUGACAUAAUAUGAUUGAUUAAACAAAAACAUCACAUGGACCACUUGAUUUAUUUUUUAUUAUUAUAUAUUUUCAGUCGACCAAUCAUAUUAUACCAUAUCAAUUUCUACAAAAUAAUUUGGUAGUUAGCGCCAAUACUUAGUUAAUUAAUACUGACCAUUUCAUUGAACAAUUUAUGUAUGGUGUCAUUGAGGUUGCCUUCCCAGCAUCCUUCUUAUUUUUCGGUGAGUUUCACUUUAUUUAGCGUUGGCGUGCCUAUGAUUCCUUGAGAGAAAAUCUUCAUCUUUGGGCACUGUCUCACAAGUACUUGUUUCAAGGACGGGAACUCAAGAGUGUAAUUACCUGAAUAAAAGCUUGUUAGGCUUGGCAAACAGUCAAGUCCCAAGUACUCCAAUUUCCCGAAAACAAUGCAAUCUUUCGCUUCUUCAUUUAAUAAUUAUAGAAGAAUAUUGGCUUAUAGAGCAUUUUAGUAGGGAUAAGAUUUGUGGACAGAAUAAAUGAAAUAAUAAAAAGCAUAGCUGAUCAAGUCAUUAUUGAUCUUAUUUUGAUUAUUACAUUGCACAUUAGUUUCUUUUUAAAAAUGCUAUUCUUCAUUCAAGCUUUCGCUUUAUCUUUUAUCAGGCAUCCUACAAAUCUUAUCCCUACUAAUAUGCUCUAUAAGCCAAUAUUCUUCUAAAAUUAUUAAAUUCCAUUCUUCAUUCAAGCCUUCAUGGACACUAUUUACAAAUUGUUCUUGUAUUUGACAGAAAAAUGAAAACUCCUCAUCAUACAAAACUGCAUGAACAAAUCUUCAAUUUAAUUAUGAUAAAAUAAUAAAUUCCAUUAAUAGAUUAUGUUGUAUUUUUUUUUUUUUUGACCACGAGAUAUCCUGAGGAGGGCCCCAAUUGUGGGAGGCACCUUUAAGCUCGUACCACAACCCAUACUAGAAGUCCCCACGGGAACCGGGAGGCACAAUUUCUCCCAACAAAGACGAUUUUCCUGCGACUCGAACUGGGGAGCAAACCCAGUCAAGCCACUUAGAGCCAACACUUUGUUGGUUAUGUUGUAUGUUAAUGUGAGGGAUUUGAUCAGGUGAUCAUAUAAUUUAGUAAACGCUUUAAGAAGAACAAGAAUUAAUAAGUUAAAAAUUAAAAAAAUAAAUAAAUAAAGAGUAGAUGGAAAGAAUGUUAUUUGCAAUCACUAAACCAAAGAACAGGGGAAUGAUAAGAGAGGACGGUUACUGCAACAAUAUGAAGUCAACAAUAUAAAGUGUUUACCAACUUAAAACCAGGGCUAUAAAGUGUUUGAUGAAUUAUUUUUUAAUUAAAAAAAAAAAACUGAUUUAGCGGGAUAAAACAAUGCUCCAUUCCGUUUAGUAUGUGAAGUCCAGAGUAUUACCUACUACUAACUAAAUCCGCUUGAUUCACAAGACUACCAAGAGAUAACUGAAUCAUUAUUUAAUUUUACUAUUAGGAAACCUACUUAUAUAAGGCGCAAACCACAAAUUCUAAAUUAAAUACCUAACCAUAAAUUAAGAUCAACCCUAACAGUCAUCCACCAGGUGCCGUGUAGGCUGCAUCAUAAAUUCUGAUUUAAAUAUUUGCAAUCACCGAACAGAAAAACAGGGGAACGAAAACAGAGGAGCCCUAUUUUUCCAUUUUUUUAACCCUUAACUCUUGCUCUUCUAAUUAUAUUUUUCCUUGGAAUUUCAAGUAUGAGAUGAAUUUGGAGAAAGUAAAUAAAUUUGAAUUACGUGAAAAAUUCUAAUUUUUUUAACCCUUAACAGUUGGUAUAUUUUUUUUAGGUCAUAGAUUAAUAAAUUUCUUUUAAAAAAAUUUAUAAUAUCAAUUAAUAUUAUAACCUAUAGAUUAAUACAGAUAAAAAUAUGAUUGAUUUAUCUCCACCACCUAAGUCUUAGCCAAAUUUAAUUAAAGAUUAAUUUAAUAAAUUACCGAAAAUAAUAAAGUAAACGAAAAAUAAAGCACGCAAUUAAGUAAUCAUGCUUCUAAAGGGCUAAUUAACCAUAAUAGGCAUAGGUAUUAAUUUGACUUCUAUGAAAGUCCCUUCUAGUUUCUCAAAAUUCAAAAAUUACAAUAAAAAGCCAAAGAAAAAGUCAAUGCUUCUAAAGUAGAAAAGUUUGAGUACUAGAUAGGCUGCCCAAAAUACAUUUUCAUUACUCACAUAUCUCUAUAGAAAGUAAUUUUUUUAAUAAAAACAACCUAUUUGGCUAAUAUUCAGUAGUCUUUUUUGUUGAUGGAAUUAUCCUCUUAACAAUAUUUUAAAAAGUUUACAUGAAUAUUCCUUUUUUAAAAAAAAAAAGAAUAAUAACGUGUAUUGUUAGGAUAAAAAUGAUCAUCAAUACGUAUGUAUAUAGGCACAAAUAUAUGAAAAAAAAUCAAGUUUAAGUACAAUGUAUAGGUCAAUGCCUAAGAGUCAAGCCUAAAUUAGGGGUAUAAAAAACUACAAAAUACAAUUUCGUACACUACAAAAUUUUGAUAUCAGCAGUAGGGGUAUAAAAAAAUCAUUGUUGCCAAAAAUCCAAAAGCUAACUAGAGGUUUGGUUUUGUUUCAAAAAUUAAAAAAACAAGUCAAUUCGUAAAAUCAAAAACAGAAAAAGAAAAACAAAAUAUAGAGGAAUUUACAGUUUAAAAAGAAAAACCAAGCCAAAACGAAAUUGAAUCGAAAGUCGAACCAACUCAGUUCAGUUUGAUUUGAAUUUUAUUUUAUAAAAAAAAAUGAUCGGAACCAACUAAACUGUAUUAUGUUAUAAAUUAUUAUAUAACAUAAAUUUUUGAAUACCUUUGUGACGAGCACAAUUUAAAAUUUUAUGAUUUUAAAUUUUAACAUUAAUGGAGAGUUAAUACUCCACCAUUUUCCAAUUUUUACAAUACAUAUUACCAGUUUAGAUAUGCUGUAUAUUAUUGUUAUAAUUUUUCGAGCAAGAUAAUAUUUGUCAAUUGGUGUUAUGACAUCAAAAUACUUGGUAUUAGUUAGUGCUAAGUGCUUCUUUUUCUUAAAAAAAGCGGUUCCUUAGUUUUAAAACAAAAAUCAUUAUCCUGAAAUUCUCCAUUUGCUUUGUUAACAGAUAUAACAAAAUAAAGUGAUAAAAGUUUAAUUUAUAAAACUUCGGCAUUUAUAUCUAUCAGAUUCAACACUUUAGUGUCAUAGAUUUAUUUCGGUGGAGCACGAUGUGGGUUGGGCCAGGCUUAGAAUUUUAAGCACGAGAGCCUUAAAAAUAUGAUAUGAUUAGAGAUGGACUGAGCACAGCACGAUGAAAAUGCCCACAAUAAGCACAUUAUAUUUUUUUAUUGAAAAUAAACUUAAAAUUUUAUGUUUUAUAAAUAACUUGAAGUUGAAUUUUUUAAAUUCAUUUAAUUCUUAGUUUAAAAAAAUAUUAUAAUUAAUUUAUAUUUAUAAUUUAUUAAAUAAAUAAUUGAUAUCAUGAUUUUAAUGAAUAAAAUUAUAAAUAUAAUGAUUUUAUAAAUAUGCAUUAAUAUUAUUGUGAACUAUGAUCUAUGACUCUAUGUAACUCUAAGUUAACAAUUAAGUUAACCCUUAAGAAAAUAUUAUUAUUAUUAUUAUUAUUGUUGUUGUUGUUGAGUAUUAAAAAAAUUAUAAUACUAAGAGGUCAAACUUAGAUCUAUUAAAUAUUACAUUUUCUUACUAUUAUUAGUUUAUUAUUAUUGAAUAUAAACUUGAGUUUUGAUUUUUUGAUUCUAUUAAAUUUGAAUAAAAGUAUAGACCUAAGAAAAAUAUAUAGACUUGAAAAAAAUACGCCAACAGUUUAGUAUGCCCUUUAAAAAUUAAAAAAAAAAAAAAACUUAGUGAGCUUUUUUUCUUAGGCAUAGCACGGCAUGUAUCGGCAUGUGUGUUAGGCCGGACCUAAACAAAAAAAAUAAAAUAAAUCUCGACACGACACAACACAAGCAUAAGCACGCAUGGGCCUUACUUACUGGCCCGACCCAUUGAGCAUCUCUAACUGUAUCUAUCUCCGCCAUAAUAAAUUAAACAUCGGGUAACUACUAGACUAGGCAUUAGCAUAUAAACUAACUAACUAUAGUACCAAAAAGAAUGAUGCGACAUUGUAAAAGAGAUGGGGCAAAGGGCAGAAUGGGAAACGAAUGAACCAAAUAAUAGUAUAUAAUAAUAUGGAUUUGGUAAAAAUAAAAAAUAAAUAAAAUAAAGUGGUGACACGUACCUCCUUUUAUUUCUCGAUCGAGUAGUGCAGAAAGUGGAGUGUGUGUGUGUGUGUUAAUUGUGAAAUGUCAGCCAAUUUUUUCUCUCUCAUUCUGAAACAGCUCAGCAGGAAUAGUGUACACUAGAGACGUCUGUCUGUCAGUCAGAACUGCCAAAAGAGCAAAACGGGUGCACGUACAAAUUAAAUCAGCCAAUCAGCGAUAUAUUUCAGUUACUAAAAGCUAGCACAGAGGGAACAAGCAAUAUGCAGGGCCAAAAGAGAUGAGACCCCUGAACCCGAACCCUCCUGAAUGAUCUGAUCACAUCUGAUUCGAUGUCUCGAGUCAUUAGAUUUAACAUAUUUUAACAAUAUUUCUCAGUUAAUAUGUGAUUUAAUUAAAGGUCAAGUUUACAUCUGAAAAUGAACUUAUUAAAAAUUAAUUUGAAAUAACAUCUAAGAUAUCUAUUUGUUUAUAAUAAAAUUUAAUUGUCAUAUCAGAAUUAUUUUCCGUUAGACUUUACAAUAAGUUAAUCCCAAAUAAAUUGACAAUUUCAAUUUUAAAGUUAGUUUGUAACUUUAAAAUAAUUUUCUAAUAAAAAUUUAAUCUGAAACAUUUGCAAUAAUAUCAAGUAUUUUGAUGUAAUAACACCAAUGUUUCACAUGCACACACAAGUCAUAUAUAAGUUAACAAAAACAUCAUUUGUUAUUAACAAAAUCAUGUUAAUUUUUAAUUCUUAAAUUAACUCCCUAUUAAAUUUUGGCUAAAUGUUAGAGUGCAAUUUAUGCACUAGUUUUGCAUUGUUUACUUCCCUUAAUAUCGAUGUUUUGCACUUAAUAAUAAUGUUUUACUUGUGUUUUACUUUUGUAGGUGCAAUUCUAUUGAUUGAUGAUAAAAUUGAGCUAAAAGAUGAUGUUUAAGGAGGAUUGUUCUCUUGGAGAAAUUAUGAGCGUCAGAAGAACUUUGUUGAUAAGGCGUGGGCGCGUGCUGUCAACUGCGGACCUGCAGUUUUUAGUUUAACGUGUUUUGUAUUUUUGGUUAUUUUUGUAAUUACGAAUUUAAUAUUUCAGAUAUUAGUAUUUUAUUUUAAAUAGAAUUCUAAAAGAGAAGAGAGAGAGAGUAUUUAAGGGAGGAAUCUAUUGUGAAAAAGAGGAUUUGGAUUGGAGAAAAAGAAAGAAACCCUAGAUCUAAUUUUUCUCUUCUCUCUAUGAAGAACUAAACCUAUUUUUCUGGUUGAAGGAUAAUGAAGCUUUGAUUCAUCACUACUGUGAGAUCUUUCUUAUGCUUUAAUUGUUUUAUUACUUUUUGGGUAUUUGUUUAUUCUCUGAAUUAGUUUCAUGAUUAUGUUUGUUAAUUAGGUAAUUGGCCACUAUUUAAUUAUUAACUUAAUCUAUUGUUAAUUAAAGGAUUCAUCGUAUGAAGAAUUUAAUGUUUGUGACAAAUAACAUAGCAGAGAGUUGUGUUGUGAGAAUAAACAAUCUAAUUUAAAUGAAUCAUCAUAUGUGUUGAUUAGGAUUUGGGUCUCUCUAGUUUUUCAGGCUGUCAAUUGAUUAAAUCCUAUGAUCGUAUCUAGGGUUGUCUAUUGAUUAGGGAAAUAUCCAACGGUCGUACCUUGGUUAUCGACUAGUUAAGGAGAGAUUGGCUAUUAGAGGGUCUCAAUAGCUAUAACCGGUCUAUUCAUAAGUAAUGAUAAUCUAUAUUUGAAUCAAUGAUCAGUAGUCGAAUCAAGCUGAGUUAAUUCCUUCAAUCAGAGCUUUCUCCAAUUUGAAUUACAACUUUAAUUUGCAUUCUUGUUACUUUAAUUUGAUUUUUAUUAUUGUCAACAAUUCCCCCAUUUUACGUUUUACGUUUCAAAAUGAUUUAAAUAAUUACCGAUCUCUGUGGACACGACCCUGCUCAAUCACUAUACACAAUUUAUUUAGAGUAGGAAUUUAUUUUUGUUGGCUUCGACACCCAUCACUAAAUCAUUAUUGCAAUUUAUAAAUUAAUAUUUAUAAAAAAUUAUGAAUCAUCCAAAAAGCUGCUUGAUAUAGAUUAAUUUCAUGGUCAUCAAUUUUUUUUUAUUUAUAUACCUUUAAAUUAUCACUUGUAUCAUAUGAAAAGACCAUAUUACCCCUCUAACGUCAUCAUAUUUAAACGGCAACUAAGCUAUGGUGAACGACAUUAUAUUUUGUCAACUUAAGAUGAAUGACUGAUAUACCCUAAAAGUAUUGUAGUAAAUUUGAUAAUAAAGUAUACAAUUGAUAAUUUUCCUAUUUAUAAUUUAUCCCCUUAAUUAUGAGUAAUUUUGUUUUUGUCUUCAUUUGUCCCUUUCCUACAAAACCGUACAAGUUACAUAUAUAAAACAUUCUUCUUUAAUCAAGUUUGGAAUAUUUUCAUCCUUAUGUAAAAUUAUGCAUAUAUCUUUUGAGUUUCUCAAUUGUACUUGAAAAAAAAAAUUACAUUUAAUCACGGUUGGUUAUCCAUAAAAAAUUUUAGGUGGAAAGUUCACGCGUUUUAAAAUUUAAUUGUGGAAUUAUAUUACAUUUAUUAUUUAGUUUCAAUUUAAUCAUGUAUCAAAUUCAUAUUUUAAAACAUGUGGAAAUUUAUAAUAUAUAAUGAUUCUAUGUAAAUAUAUUAUCUCAUUUCUUCAUUCUUUUGUUAUUAGUUCUCCUCCACCACAUUAGAUAUAUUUUGAAGUUUUCUAAUGUAAAUGUUACUAACAAAUACGCAUUGAAUAAUUAUCGGGUAGUUUAUAUUAUAAUUUAAUAAUAGCCACAACAUAAAUGUACAAUUUGGUGAUAGUAAAUGCCAUUACAUGAAAAUGAAAUCAUCAUGUUGCAAACAAGAUGCAACCAAGGGAUUGCAAACAAUGUUAAGUUACUAUUGGGUCACUUGAACUCCUGGGCUCUCUCCUGUGUAAUUUAUAUUAGACUGUCGCGUACAAAACGCAGACAUAUAUAUACAUACAAGUAGUGCUUUGGCAACAGACACAAUAGCCAAGAAGCAGCCCUUGUUUUCAAAUUCAUUCAAAUGCCAGCCUGCAGUUUUGAAUCCUUCAAAUUGUGCUCCACCUUUUGAGGGGACGAUGAAGAGUGAAAGAAGAGACAAAUGGCAGAAAUAUCAUCCAUUGCAAUGCCUCGUUUCUUAUAUUUCCAUGCCCGAACAGCACAUUCCACCAAUCUUUUUGCUGCCUUUUCCCUAUCCACUACUGAAGAAACAAUCUCCACCGCCUCUUGGUUCGAAAUCACAUCCCAAACCUGAAGAACAAUCCAUAAUUGAUCUUUCAAACAUUGACGUUAGUUCAGAUCAAAAGAUAAUUCCAAUAUGUGGAUACGUAUCCCGUCUGAUGCCAGAAUGAUAAAUUGGUCUCGUGUUGUUAUGUUUCUUUGCGUUACAUGGGGCACGGAGAUUAGGCCAUAGUCCUUGACACAGUAAUCACCCAAGGCUCUUGAUAUGGCUAGUCCCGGAGUCUCACCAUUCGGCAUCCAGACUCUGUAUACGCCUGGCUCAUCAUUUAAGCAAAACACAAGCCCUUUGGACUGCGUUAUUCGCUCCGCUUCCUCUGUAUAGGCCAGUGAAGACAAGAACCCGUACGCAGACCUUAAAACACACCCAUAUAUACACCUACACGAGGCAGAAAUAUUUAAGAGACAAUGAGAUAAUUGAGAUCUGAUUGGUAAAAUAUUGUUAAUUAAUAAAAAAUAAUUAAUAUACUUGCUAUUUAAGUAUUUUACUAAUACUUUAAACAUCAGUAUUCAAUGAUGUUAAUAUGUGAUUUUAAUAUUAAAUUUAUGUUCUCAUUUAUAACAGUAUGGUCAUCAGUAUUCACAACACAUCAUAUAUUAAUGUAUGGGUUUAUUAAUAUUAACAAACAUUUAUUUCCAAAUAAAUAUGGUAGCCUUAGUAUUUAAGAAUAUUCUUUAUUGUCUAGUCGUCUGUCCAAGGAAGAACGGGCCAUCAUCAAAUUUAUCAACGGCCUUCUCUAAGUAAUCAAAAGCAGGACCUGUGACAAAUUAAAACUUUUUCCGUGAGUUCAGCACAUAUAUAUACAUAUUCAAAAUGCAUUCCAUUAUAAACAAGUAAGCAAGUUUCAAAUCCUACCAGCUUGUUUUGCUGGGUCUCCUUUGAAUGAAGUAUACACAUCGUUGGUGAAGGUAUCGAUGUGGGAAAACAGUUCAUCAGCAAACUUUCGUUUCUCAGGAUCCUACAAUAUUUUCACAACAUUACUUUACUCAAAGUUGAGAGAGAGAGAGAGAGAGAGAGAGAGAGAGAGAGAAGCUUUUAUUAAAAGCAACAAUGUAAUCAGCAAAAUCUUACAUCAGGUAAAAGUGAAGGCCCUUCAAAAUUGCUGUCAACAUAUUUAAUCAAAUCAAGAGAUUCUCCAAUAACUUUGCCAUUGUGCUCCAGUGCUGGAACCUGUAAAGAACUCUAAUAGGUAAAUAUACUUCAUAACUCCAGCAAUGAUCUCUAAUCUUGCACGAAAGUGUAACAAUCAGUUUAACUCUUUCGUUGUGUUUUCUUGCAAGCAAGCAACUUGCUCAAAUCAGAAUAUGUUAAGAUUUUACUAGGCACACAAAGCACAAAGACACCAUUCCAAUUUUAUUCAGGAACUCCUCCGCACAGAUUACAAGCAUUUCAAUUUCAAAGAUGGGGCAUAAGGACACAGAGUCACAUAAUUAGGCUAUUUGGUAUUGAGGUGCUGUGGUUUUUUUAGCUACAGCUGCCACACGUACCCAAAAAAAAAAAAAAAACUGUAACUAUAAAAUAAAAAUUAAAAAUGCGUAAUAAAUAUGAAUUUUAAAUUAAGAUUUUGACAAAAAUAGUAGAAAUAUUAUAAUUUUACAAAACACUUUAACUCUGUACCUUUUAAUCCAUAGCCGCCCUACCUCAAUACCAAACACAACUAAUCUCUUCCUUUUCUAUAUCUGAAUUGGUCUAUCAACACCUUGAUUAGAAAAAUUCCUAAUUAUUAUUCAGAAACUUUCUAAUACUAUUCAAAAUCUUCCCAGCAGAUUCUAAGCUCCAUGUUAACCAAAAGAAUGCACAUAUUGUUGAUCUAUCAAAUUACUUAAAUGAUCAAUCAAAUAAAAUCAAAUAUUAUUAUUGAUCACACAUCAGCAUCAGCAUCAGCAUCACCUUGUUAACAGGAUAAACCUUCUCCUUGUACCAAGCGGGCCUAUCUUGGAGGUUCAGUGGAACUAACUUAAUCUUGUCUUGUAAUCCCUGCAGCAGCACACCAAAAGUUGUCAAAUUCAAAGAGAGUAUUACGACAAAGGCGAAACGAAUAAACCAUAAAUUACUGUUAUUGUUAUUAUUAUUAUUUUAAUUAAACCUAGAAAGCAGAGACGGGUCAACAGUGAUAAAAAAAAUAUAAUAAAAAUAGUAAAUAAAAAUAAAACCUUGUAGUUCCUGGUGAUCCACACACGCUGAGCAAAUGGGCACGAGUAAGAAAUGUACAACCUGGGAGUUCCAUCGAACAGAGGUGGUAGCUCGGCCUUCGAAUCCAACGGUGGAGGAAGAUUCUCUUGCGCUCUAUCAAAGAUGACACAUGAUCGUUAAAAUAAUGAUCAUAAUUAAUUAUGAAAUUCCAAAAAAAAAAAAAAACCAAAUUCUUGUUGUGGCCAUCGAGGAAGGUAAGACUCUAGAGGUUUCCUGAAUGCUUUUCUUUUGCUUUGAAGAAGAAAGUCAUAUGAUACCGAAAUGUGUCUCUACGCAGAAUGAGUGCGCUUAUAUAUAGAAGCUUUAAAGUAACCUUCUGAAGCCAGCAGUGACGCAAUGCGCACGUGUUAGGGUGUCAUGAUAAUAAUGCAUGUUGCCAAAAAAAAGGGCAAAAUUCUUAUCAGUUUUAGGCAAUUGCCAUGCAUAUUAGUUGGAUUCAAUGGCUGCAAGGGAGAAGCAGUGAGAAUAUCGCUGAUUAAUUAAAUUUGUAUAAUAGAAAAAAUUUGGUAUAUUUUUUUAUGACAUAUUGCUAAAAAUGUGGAGGCUUUGAUAUUAAAAAAGAGUUAUUUAUAAAUAAUGUUAUUAUGUUAUUGUUGAUUAUUAACAAUAAAUUUUUAGGAGAUAUCAUUUGGUUUACAAGUAGUUCAUCAACCGUGUUUAUUAAAAUGUUACAAACAGGAUUACAAAAUAUUAAAUUAUCCUAAACCCAAUUAAUAUCUGCAGGGAUCAGACGACUGUUAGAACAUAUGUUCUAUAAUUUUUCUCUGGAAAAAUAUUAUUUCUUGUACAAACAUAAUAAAUAGCUAUUUAUAACUUAAUAAUUCAAAAAUAGUUAAUUUAUAAAAAGACUAUUCUUGGUGUUAACUAAUGCAGUGGAACUGAUAUAAAUUAACUUAUUGUAAAGAAUUCACUGUAAAGAUAUCAUUUGUUAAUUGUUAAUUAUAAAUAUCCAAUAUUAAAAUUAAUUUCUGAUUUAAUCCAUGAUUGUCAAGCUAUUGUUUUCAUGGUUUACAAUUUUUUAAAAUAGAAGAGGUAAAACAUUAAGUAAAAAGUUUUCAAUCUCGUAUAAAACAAUGUAGAAUGUUUUAACCAAUUCAAAAUUUUUUAUAAUAAAGCAGUUAUUUUCAAAAUUCACAUUAUGUUUCUAUUACUCAUAAAAAAAAAUCCCUUCAAUGAAUGCAGACAUCCUUGAAAGAAACUUCACUACUCUAACAAAAAGGCCAAAAUUUUAGAAAAUGACAGGAAAAGAGAACACCAAUUGUCAACUAGAGUACCCUUUGUGAAAAACACAAUAAUAAAUAGCUGAUAUAUGAUUAGGUUAAUUAAUUGAUUGGAUUGGAAUCAACUUCGGACUGUUUUGCCCUUCCCUGCAGUGCAGCGUAUUAGGUGGCGAAUGAAGUAACUGGCCUCACUAAUUUUAAGUAAAAAGAUUGUUAAUAUUUAACCGCGUCUUAUCAACAUUCUUUGUUUUGAUUAAAAUAUACGACAUCGUUUGCAGAAGAGGCAGCAAGGGCAACAACGUGCCAAGUAUAAUAGACAAAUUUUUUAUCAUAUUAAUUGAGAAGGCUUGAGUUCUGGCCGAUGUUAAUAAAAUUUAAAACACAAAAAAACUGAUAAUGUCACGGCUGGUGAGAUGAUAUAUAAAUAUUAAAAAGAAAAAAAAGAAUUAUCAAUAUUUAAUUUUUGAAGAUUAAACUCAUUAAUUAAAGUGAAUCGUGCAUGCUUUGCUAGCUGAUAUCGCGCGCGCGUGUGUAUGUAUAAAUAUGUUAGAUCAAAUCCAAAGCUAAUUCCAAGUAUUAUAUUAUAUAUAUGUUACUAUUAUUAAUUAGAAUUCCCAAGCUCAAGCUAAUUAAUUGAUGGUAAUCUUUUGGAUGCACUUAAUUGUAAUUAACCGGAUCAAAUUUUGAAACCAAAAUAAUUCACGGGGCAUUCUAGCUUCUAGCUAAUUCAUCCAAAAAAAUAUAAAAUUAUAUAAAAAUAAUAAAAAUACGUGUGAUGUCAGCUUGAUGCGUACAUUCAAAGUUCCAAUUGAAAACAAAUAGAUAUUCAUUUUUCUUGUCAAAUUAUUGAAAGAGACAUCUCUUAAUUUCUUCCAUCACCAGCAACGGUUGAGUGACCUUGUCUUACAUUGUGCAGCAGCCUCCUCGAAGUAAAAAAAAAAAAAAAAUAUAGCCCAUUAUCUUGGCUUUUGGCUGGAUCCAAAUUUUUGUUAAAUACAAAUAAAUAUAAUAUCAAAUUAAAUAUUCCAAUAAACCUUCUAAUAUCUUCUUUGAACAGUUUUAUUUUUAUUUUAUGAGGGAAGAGUAAACCAUUAAAACUAUAAUUCAUCAUAAAUUUAUUGUGCCAAUUUUUUUUUAAAUCCAUAAUUUUGUGAAAUAUAAAUUUUAAGAAUUGAAAAAUAUCAUUAUAGCUUUCAUAUCCAAAGUUAAUUUUGAUAUUUUUGUACAAAUACAUAAUCUUCAAAUGUGGAUAAUGUAAAAGAUGAAAAUUGUCAAAUUAUUAGAUAAUUGUUUUUACAAAAUUUUAACGAUCAGAAAAAUCUUAAUUUAUAUGUCUUAGUUUAAAGAAUUGGUAUUAUCAAAUGUUACUUAAAUGUAAAUAUAAUAUAAAUAUUUUAUGUAUUUAUAUGUUACGUUUAUGAUUUGGUCACUGUUUAUCUAAAUUUUAAUAAAAUCAGACAUAUUUAUGUAAUUUACUCAUUAAAAAAAAAAUCCAUGAUUUAAUUUGCAAUGAUCAAAUUGUUGUAUUUUGUCAUAUCAAAAUACAUAUUUUUGUACAAUUACCCAUUAAGUUUAUGCUACAAUCAAGCUAUUUAUAAUAUAAGUGUGAUUUUUGAAUUUAAUAUUGAUAUUAGUAUUAAAUAUGAUAAUAAAAAAAUAUUUUAUUAGAUAUUAAUUGGGUCAUUUGUGUUAUUGUUUUUAAAAAUUAAUGACCUGCAACAUUAAUUGUCAAUAAUGGGUUUUUUUAAAACAUGCUGGUGCCCGGAUGUAAAUGCCGGUACCUCCCAAGUCAGUAGCCUUAUUAUAAUCCCGUCAGCAUAUUGGCCUGCCCCUGUACCAUUACUCCAAUUGAUGCUGAAAAUAUAACAACAUCAGUGACCGCGUUGUCGUUUCCCGUGAUGUUUAUUCCGAUGCCGGAGAAAUCCUUUUCGCGAUCAUCCCCGCCGAUGUUGAUGUGUUGGCCGAUGAAGGAAUUUCUUAUAUACGUUUCGUGGCCAUCUUGGAUGGAAAUGCCAGCGGUAGUGAAAUGCGAAACGUAACAAUUGUCCACUGUGGUUCUUAUUGAAUUUAUAAUGGCAAUGCCGCCACCCCUAAAAUUGGAGUCCAACAUAAGCUCCUUCAAAGUAAUGUAUUCGUAUAAUGACGAUGAUGAUGACGAUCUUAACUCUAUGAGAUGUCCGUUGCCCGAAAAAUCAUCCGAUGCUCGGAGGGACCCACCGUGUAUCUAUGUAUACAUAUAUAGAUGUUAAAAGUAAGAAUUAAAAGUAAGAAUUAAAUUUUAAAUUAAUAUGUGAUUUGGUAUGAUUCCUGGCAUUUUGUAUUCGGUUUUGUAGUCCUUCAUAAGACUGGCAAAAAUCAUUAUCAAUUAAACAUUAUGUUGUUAUAUUUUUUUAUUAUAUUUUUUUAAUGAUCUUUAUUUUAUUUGCUUUAAACAAUAUCUAUUUUUCAAAAACAAUACUUUUGACAAACAAACCCUAAAGUGAUGAAAGAGAAAGCAUGCAUUUUGCACAUGUUUAUAAAAACAAGAGAGUAUAUUUAAUCUCAAUCUGUAAUUCUGUAUAAUGUAUUAUUCUUAAGUUUGAAUCAAAUUAUUCUUGAUUCCAUCCGCCAAUCCAUCUCGGGCCAUUGAAUUAUGCAUAGCUAUUAUGGUAAUGGUCUCUUUAUUCUCCUCACAAUCAAUUAAUUGUGAUGACCAUACUGUUCUCACGAUUCUCAACCGCAAAAAAUUUAAAUAUUGUAUUGUACAUUUUUAUAAACAAAUUUUAUGUCAUCUCCAUUAUUGUGGAAUUUUAAUAUCCUAAUACAAUAUUAUGAUAGUAAUUGGGUCAAUAUGGGUAUUGGAUCAUAUUAUCGUUAUAAAUAUUAAUUUAUUAUAACUGAGUGUGUAAAGUAUCUUUUUUUAUUGUUGUACCAUAUUUAACUUUUGGCUGCAAAUAUAUAUAUAUUUAGCAUUAUUUAUAUCAAUAAGUUAAUAUAUAUAUCCUUUUCUUUAACAUCAAAUUUAAGUUUUUAAAAAGUUAUGAUAAUUCACUAAUUUGGUAUUUAGGAAAUUAAAUCCAUAUCAAUUUAUUAGAUAUCUUAAACCGUAUGUAAAAAUAGAAUAUUGACCAUUAUUCUAUUAGUAAUAUAUCCAUUAAAGAUUUUGACGUGCUAUGGUCUAAAAAAAUUAACUUGGCGGGAUGUUAUGAUUAUAUUCAAGGUGAUAGGGAAGAAAGUUAUGAGGAGACCCCAUUGAAGCCUAUAUAUUAUAGUAUGCAUAAAGACUCAAAAUGUGCACUUGAAAUAACAGUUGUCACUGACAGGUUAAGAUAAACUACCAAAUUGGCACUUAAAGGAAGAAAUUCUAGUAUUAGUGUCAUAUUUUAUGCCAUAUUAUGUAAUGCAUAUUAGUAAUGAUUUCUUCAUAAUAUCGCAGAUAUAUAAAAGUUCAUCUAGCUAGAUGCAUUGUAGAUUUUGUGAGAAUUAUUUUAUUCCGUCCAAAUGAGUUCACAUUAUUAUCCAAUUUUCCUUUUUUUAAGUUGAUUUAUGAAAGAAAAAAAAAAUGACACCAAUGUUUUCCACGUCGCCGCAAGUCUCAUCGAUAAAAGUCCAUCUACAAAUUAGUUCAUAAUUCUUUUUGUAACUUCGCUAAAAGCUAGUCAAGUCAUUGCUAGCAAGCCUCAAAAGCACGAAGUACGCGAAUCACGGCGAUAACUGAUAAUAACUUGGUUGUCCGGUUUCGCAUACUAAUUAGCUUGAUUGAAAAUCGUGAAGUAUGGGGCACGACUAACGCAACGCAUACGUCUCAUGCAUUAGGCAAAUAUUGUACGCGACCCAUGUUGAGAGCACAAAUCCACUAUCUACAAGUACUAUAUAUAGAGCUGCAAUGCGUGCUUCAAGUAUUCACAACUUACCCCCAGCUGGCUAGCCAGCCUCUAUAAUUUGAAGGGAAAAAAAAAAAAAAAACAACAACCUUGUUCAACUUGCAAAUACCUACCAAUUAUUAUGGAGAAAAGCUUUGAUAUCAUUGCCCUGUCUAUGAUCAUUCUGGUGACUUAUUCAUCUAAAAUGGUGUCGGUCGCCGGCCGGUCGCUGCAUGAACCAUCCAUUGUUGAGAAGCAUGAAAAAUGGAUGGCUGAGCAUGGGCGCACUUACAAGGACGACCUGGAGAAGGAAAAGCGGUUUAAGAUAUUCAAAGAAAACCUUGAAUACAUUGAGAAAGCCAAUGAGGAGGCGAAUCGGACGUACAAGUUAGGCACCAAUGAAUUUUCAGACUUAACUAAUGAGGAGUUUCGUGCUUCAUAUACAGGAUACAGGGUGCCAAGCCAGUCAUCUUCAUCACGGCAAUCCACAACAGCAUCCUUCAAGUAUCAAAACCUGACUGACGUUCCAACUAGCAUGGACUGGAGAGAGAAAGGAGCUGUCACUCCUAUUAAGAACCAAGGUCAAUGUGGUAAGUAAAUCGUAUACUAAAUAUUUAUGAAGUAACUAUAAUAGAUUAUUUAGCCUCCAACCUCUUUCAGAACUCAAACUCAGUUGACCAUCAGCUAAUUAAUAAAAACAGCUUGACAACCGUCUGCCAAACCCCUGCUGGGGCAUGUUUCAUGUAACUUAAUCAAGCCUUUUUUUUUUUUUUCCUUAAUAUGUACGAUGCAGGAGACUGUUGGGCAUUUUCAACUGUGGCGGCGGUGGAAGGGGUGACUGAGAUUAGUAGUGGUAAUCUUAUUCCACUUUCGGAGCAGCAAAUACUAGACUGCUCAAUAGAUGGUAACCGUGGAUGCGGUGGCGGUUGGAUGGACAAUGCCUUUAAAUAUAUUAUAAAAAACCAGGGUAUUGCCUCAGAAGCGGAUUAUCCAUACAAGGAAGUCCAAGGGACUUGUGAAGACGCACAGGUCAAGGCAGCUGCUAAAAUUAGUAACUUUGAAGAUGUAAAACCCAAUGAUGAGCAGGCUUUACUCCAAGCUGUAGCCAUGCAGCCAGUAUCAAUUUGCAUUGAAGGAAGUGGACCAGACUUCCAGAGUUACAAAGGCGGUAUUUUUAACGGAGGAUGUGGAACUCAGUGUUCUCAUGCUGUUGCUAUCGUUGGAUUUGGGGCAACUGAAGAUGGAAUGAAGUAUUGGUUAAUUAAGAAUUCAUGGGGGGAGAGCUGGGGUGAGGCCGGCUACAUGAGGAUUCUCAGAGAUGUUGAAGCACCUGAAGGUCUCUGUGGCAUUGCCACUAAACCUUCCUACCCAGUUGCAUGAGUAGCAGUAUUUUAUAUUAUAAAUAGCCGCCUCUUAAUAAUGAUGUCUUCAAGCCUACACAUGCAUUAGCCUCGAAAGGCUUAUACGAACCGUAUGAAUCGUAUGAUUCUGUGGUUUUACCUAUGUUGAGUAUUUCAUAAGUUGUAAUUGAACGCCAAUAUUUGGUAUUAGUUAAUGUUAAAUCUCUCGUUUAAAUAUAAGUUUGAUCUUUGCAGUAAUUAGUCAUUUACAUUUAAUGCCACGGAUACUCAAUUCGACCAAGAAAUACAUAGUUUAUAUCUUAGUUACUCUGAUAUUUUAUGUGGCAUGUUAUAUGUCGUUCAUUGAUUAAGUUGUAAGAAUAGUAUGUAAAUAAUUAAUAAUAAAUUUAUUUAUUAUCAUUUAUGAGACAAUAAAUGAUUAGUGGAACAUUAAUUAAAAUACAAACUAUUAUUAUUUAUUUAAGAAAUAUAUAUUGGUCAAUGAAAUUAAUGCAAGACAAAAAGUAACUGAAUUUUGAUUACACGCUUGAUGUCUGGAAGUACAAUGAUUAUGAAUUUGUGUUAAAUUAGGUCAAAGUUUUAAGUUAAAAUAAUCAAACCUAUAUACUCACACUAACUUUUAAAGUUUGAGUGGAAUUUGCCCGCUUUAAUUGGGGUCUCAUACAGCAAAAAAAUUUUGGCCAUCUUGAAUUUCUUUUUCUAAUUACUUAUAAAAAUUUAAAGGCUUGGUAAUUUCCCUCCCCCAAAUUCUGUCUUUAUUCCUAAGUAAAUUAGUUAGUCAUUAUUUCAAUAAUUAAAAUUAUUCUAAGUUCUAAAUUUUGGGCGUGGAGGGAAAGUUAAGCGCAAGUAGCCGUGACUGAUUAAUAUUAAACAAUAUAAUUUAAUGCAUUUUUAUUCUUCAUCUAUUUUUUUAAUAUUAGUUUUUGAACAAAAUAGUAGAACGAUAGUUAUAAUUUAUUAAUCAAAUUUUUUUACUUUCAUAUCCAUAUUAUAUUGUCAGUAAUAGUGUCAUGUAAUGAUAAUUAAAAGUAUUAGGAGAUACUUUUAAAAGUCGACCGCCUCAUCAAAAAAUCAGGAUGGCCAAGUGGUCUAAGGCGCCAGACUCAAGUUCUGGUCUUCGAAAGAGGGCGUGGGUUCAAAUCCCACUUCUAAGUAAUUUUUUAUUUUUUAUUCAUUUUUUUACAACGUUACGACUAAACGACGUCAUUUUCAUUAAACGGCAAGUCGUUUCAGUCGUCUUCUUUAACGGAAUAAAAAAUAUCUAAACCGAAGACCAAUGUUUCCAAACCCGCUGUAAACCCUACAGAUAACCCUCAUUGCCACUCGCAUCACUGAGUUCUUAACCUGAGUUAAAAUGGCCGAGUCCGCAUCCGAACUCAGUGAGUUCCGGAUUUUUCCGGCGGACUCACCGCCACCACAACCGAAUUCAACCGGAGUUCCGGUUCAUAAUCUAACACCAGAGGAGCUCGUGGCCAAAGCCAUAGCUCCAGUUAAGAAACAGUUUCUUCGUCAUUAAAUUCCAAAAUAAAUUUUAACAUAAUAAUUAAUUCUUUUAAUAGAUAAAAUUGUCUAUAUGCACGAUUGAAUUCAGCCCCAAAAUGUUAAUUAAAAAACAAUUAUCCAAUAUUCAAGAUAGUUUGAAUCGUCAUUCUCAUAUCGUUAUAAUGUCAUGAAAUAAUUGUACAAAAACAAAUGACCAAUAAAUUCACAAACGUAUAAUAUUGCCUAAUGUAAAUAACUUAUUAAUUAAUAUUGAUAUAUUAUUAAUUACUUAAUGUUUUACCUUUUUAUAAAACAUAAAAUUAUGUUUACUUCCAUUCAAGAUAUCCCAAAAAAAUUAAUCUUUUUGGAUGAUUCAUAAUUUUCAAGAGGAUGUUUUUACACCAUACCAUCGUCAAAUUGAUAAGGGCCAUGUUAUUUUUUAUUUAAUUAAUUUAAAUUUCAACUAGAGAGCUAUUGGAAUCGAUCACUGUAAAAGUUAAGUUGUGAUGUAAUCACACAAUCUUGAGAUCUGCUAUUAGAAAAAUAAUUGAAGAACCAAAUCCCAAUGAAAAUACAUCCAAAAUGAUGUCGUUUUGAAUUUGUUCCAAAAAAAUAAAAUAAAAUCAAACUCACUAAAAAACAACAUGUGUGUUUUUGUUAACCUUUUAUCGAGUUUUAAUUUAAAUAUUUAUCAUGUACUUUUAUAUUCUAUUCAGGACCGGCUCAACCAUAUUUGAGGCCUUAGGCAAAUGGUUUUAAUUAGUUUUUCUUAAAAUUUAAGACAAAAAAUAUGUAUAUUAGUUAUGAGUGAUGAUACAGCCACAAACUCUUGUACAAAUUGACGUGGUAUUAAUUUAUUGGUUGAAUAAAAAUAUAAAAUAAUAAAAACAAAAUCACGUGAGCCAAGUGAUAUUUAAUUCAACCAAUCUUAUCAUGCCACAUCAGUUUAUACAAGAGUUUGUGGUUAUAUCAUUACUCAUAAGUUAUAUAAUAUUUAUUGAAAAUCAAUUCUUCAAACACUCUCUAAAAUGUAAAAUUAUUAAAUAAAAUUAUAUUACACUAUUGUCAAUCCUUGAAAUUUUAAUUCAAUUAUAAUAUUUUUACUUUUUUUUAACUCAAAUUACAUCUUUUAUACUACUUCUUUUCUACAUUAAAUUAAUUUUUUUAUUCUUCUAUUUUCUAAAGUUUUUUUAUAUAGUUAUUUAUUUCACAAUAGAAAAAAAAGCACACAAAAAUAGUAGAUGAAUAAAAGAAUGUAUUAAAAAGAAAUAAGAACACAUAAAUAAUACAAUUAAUUAAGAGAAUAAUAAAAAAUAAAAUCUGAAAUUUGAAAUUUGAGAUGAAAUCAUAAAUUAACUUUAUCUUUAUAUUAAUUAUUUGAAGAUUUGAGUAAUGACUAAUAGCCAUAGAGAAUAGAAAAAAACUAUUAGAUUUUUUCUUUUUUUUCUUGAGUGGAAAGUAGAGGAAGCAAGAUUUUUUUUCCCCUCUCUCUCUUUCUUUCUCUCAAAAACGAAGAACAUAUGGUGUCUUCAUUGUUAGAAGAAAAAUUUAAUGGAUAAGUAAUAAAAUGUGGGGCUUUUAUAGAGGUUUAAAAUGAAUAUAAAACUUUUUAAUUAUAAGUUGUUAAUUCUAACAAUGAAAUAUCAAAUUUAUAGGAUUGAAACUAUUAAUUUAUCGGUUUUGUAGGAAUUAAAACUACUAAGUACUACAUUAAAUAAACUUUAUAGGAACUCGGUAGUUUAUUUGAGAAAAGAUAAUUACAAAAUAAUAAUAAAUUAGAUGCAUAAUAAUGAUUUUUAAAUUCACUUUCCUCUUUUAUAUACAAAAUAAUCAUCUUAUAGGAUCUUCAUGUAAAGUAGGGCCCUAAGCAACCGCCUAAGUUGUCUAGAGAUCGAACCGCUACUGAUUCUAUUACUAAUUUUGAAAUUUUCAGACAUAUUUAAGCUCCACUAUUUUAUUUUUUUAAUCAAAAUAGUAUGUUUAUUAAUAAUGAUUAUAAAAAAAAGAUAAUGAUUCAAUAAUGUUGUUUAUAUAUAUUGAAUCAACUUUAAAAGUCAACAUUUACUUUACACACUCAUAUAAAUGCUAAAAUAACCCUUUAUUUAUUUAUUUUUUUAAGGCUGUAGAAUGUAUUCAUUACAAAGAUAGAGUAAAUUUAAUUUGUGGUAUUCAAAAUUUGAUGAUUACAAUUUUUGAGUUGAUGGUCUUAUGCUUCAUAUUUGCAUUAAUUUUAUGUUUAAUGGUAGAAUUAUCAAGCUCAAUGACAGUGAUUUCAUGUAAAGCUUUAUUUCCUAAUUACAAUUUUAAGUUAAUGGUCCUAGAUUUCAUAUUAACAUUAGUUUCAUAUAUCUUUUAGGUUCAAUAUUAAUGAUUUCAUGUAAUACUCAAUGAUUUCUAGUUUAAUGAUUACAAUUGUAAGUUGAUGGUCAUAUAUUUCAUGCUUAAUAGUAGAAUUAUAUUAAUGGAUGAAGCUGUUGCUAUCAUUUACAUUAAUAUUUAUUUCCUGGAACUCAUUUAUAGCACAUCUCAAUGUCAUUAUUUAAAAAUUUAAAUUGAUGGUUGGUUUUGUAUUCAUUACAUCGGAUGAUUUAUAUUUAAAUAAAUUAUUUCAAUCUCAUAUCGUUUUAUUAUGGGUGAUUUUAUAUCCACAUUAAAAUUUUUAAAGUUGUUAUCAUAACUUUUUAAAAUCAGAGUUGUGUUUAUUUAUCAAUUUAAAACGUCAAUAAUCUACUAUUGGCUUAACAAUUGAUAUUCUCAUUUGGGAAUCAUCAAGAUUUUAAAAUUUUUCAAAGCCCCCAUGCUCAAUUUAUACGCAAAAAAGAGGGGGGGGGGGGUGGGUGGUAAGAUGCAUGAUCAGAAAUGAAUUUGGCAAGUAUUUGAUUGAGUUGAGAGGUCACUAAUCUCACUUAAUUUGCGAAUCACAAUAUGAUUGUUUUCAAUCGGCACCAAAACGAAGGGCUGGUUUUGGUUAUUAUAGUGCCUUGUUCUAUGAAGGAUUUUGGUUACCCACAUAUGGGAUUGAUCUUUGCUUCUACUCAGUAUAAAUUCUUGAAUUAUACUAUAUAUGGGAUUGAGACUUUCGUUAAAUUUUAAUUUAUAAUAUUUUUCCGGAGAAAAGUAAUUAGCAUGAAACACAACAGCGGUGAAUCAUCUCAUUUUUCAAGAAAUAAUAUUUGUCAGAGCUUUUUUUUUAUAUUAGUUUAUAAUUAACUUUUUUUUUUAUAUUAAUCACGAGGUAUCCUGGGGAGGGCCCCAACUGUGGGAGGCACCUUUAAGCCCGUACCACAACCCAGACUAGAAGUCCCCGCUCGAACCGGGAGGCACAGGUUCUCCCAACAAAGGCGACUUCCCUGCGACUCGAACUGGGGAGCAAACCCAGUCAAGCCACUUAAGGGGACUCCAUUGCCAGUGGAGCCAACACUUUGUUGGUUGUUUAUAAUUAACUUUAAUAUGUAAUAAUAUAGCAUAUUCUGGGAAACCUGUUGGGAUAAUUGUUUUUAAUAUUAUUAUGAUAUUACGCAUGAUUGGCAGUCGCAACUCAUCAUCAUCAUCAUCUGAAACCAUAUUAACAAACAUUUAUUUAACAAUAUUCUUUAUGUAAACAGGAUUACCCUAAACCCAAUUAAUAUCUGCAGGGAUCAGAUGACUGUUAGAACAUAUGUUAAAUUUGUAUAAUAUAUGAUUUAAAAAUUUAAAAAAUAAAUUUUUCUUUUUUGGAGAUAACAGUUGGUAUAUUUAUGAUUAGUAAAACUAAAAGUUUUAUUUUUAUUCUAUGUGCUCCAUCAUGGCAGUAGUUAUUUUUUUUGCGAUUAAACAUACUAUUUUGAUUUAAAUGGAUUACAAAAUGGCACAUUUUUUUAACCCUUAACAGUUGGUAUUUUUUUUUAAUAAGAUUAUUAAUGCAUCAAGUAAUCUUGUUUUGAUGAUUGUAACUCGUGACUGCGGGACAAUUUCUAAUGGAAACAACUCAAUUUCGGAAGAAAACUUAAUUUUGCAAGUGAUGAAUUUGAACUCGUUGGAUUGGUUGAUUUAUGAUCGACUGAAUUUCACUUUUCCUCAUAAGAUCUUUAACCAAAGUUUAAUAGCUAUCAUGUACUCCUUAAAAGCAAUUUUUUUUUAGAUUUGACUGAAUUUGAACUUGUUGGAUUGGUUGCUUUUAGAUUAUUAAUAUGAGAUAUUACAACGUAAAUAUUUUCAUGUGGUUGAGCCCUAUUCUAAAAUCUGUAUAGUUAGCUUUAGAAAGAGGGCUUUUCCUGCUGAUCUGUAAUCUUGAAAUAAACUUAGAUAUAAAUAAUGAAAUAAAAGACAACAAACAAGCAAUACUGAUACAAAGCCAACAGAUCAGAGUUUUUGGUACAAAUCCAAUAAAAGACAAUAAACUUAGGACCUUUUUUUCUUGCUUUCUUUUGUUGAAGGAUUAGAGUUUUUGGUAUUAUCAGUAAAGGUUUCAAGGAGUAAAGCCUAUAAACUUUUUUUUUGGGGGGGGCGCCGCCGCGGGGAUUUUACACCAUACCAUCGUCAAAUUGAUAAGGGCCAUGUUAUUUUUUAUUUAAUUAAUUUAAAUUUCAACUAGAGAGCUAUUGGAAUCGAUCACUGUAAAAGUUAAGUUGUGAGGUAAUCACACAAUCUUGAGAUNNNNNNNNNNNNNNNNNNNNNNNNNNNNNNNNNNNNNNNNNNNNNNNNNNNNNNNNNNNNNNNNNNNNNNNNNNNNNNNNNNNNNNNNNNNNNNNNNNNNGAAAAAUUAAGUUUUCAUAGAAUAAAAUGGUACGAUUUUUAAUUGAACAAUUGAGUGCAAUCAGUAACAAAGGCUUUACAUAUGCAAGUAAAAUUUGUAGGUUGCUUCAGAAAAAAAGGGCAUUUCUCACUCAUCUUUAAUCUGCAAGUAAAAUUAGCUACAAAGCAAAUCUAAUAAAAUGACAAACAAAAGAACAAAACAAAGAAAAGACAGGAGGCAAACAACAUUGAUCUUAAGCCAACUGAUAAUUAAACAGAGAAUUCUUUUUUUUUUUUUUUUUAACCUGUUGCUCAAGGAUUAGAGUUUUUAUAUUAACAGAAAGGUUUAAGGGGUCUGAAUAAAAGCCCACAAUUUCUCUAUUUUAUUUUUAUUUUUAUUUUUUGAAAGGAGCUUCACUAUUGGCCUUGAAUAUAAAAGAAUGAGCAAAAGAUCAAUGUCAACUGCCGAGGAAUGUGAGUAAAGAUUUCAUCAGAGUAAGUAAUACAAAUGAAUUGUAAAAGAACAAGACUUAAGCGUGCACCCCGUGUUUUGUUUUAUUGUACGUAUAAACAUAACAUGUUCAUUUUUAACAAAGUGGUCAAUAACUCUUUUUUUUUGGUACAAAGACGUGCCUAGCAUAGACUAGGGCAAAACAAAACGGGGGUGUGAAACCCCAAUACAAUCAUGACGAAUCCAAAACCCAGCCCCUAAAGGAAGAGAAUUGAAAAGGUGCAAUUCAACAGGUAGUGAAAGAGCAGAGUUUGCAGGAAAGUCAGCUGCAAAAUUUGAUUCUCUGUAAACAUGCUUGACCUGCACUUGCCAGGUUCUGUUAAGCAAUUCCUUAAUACCCCUGACAAGAGAAGCAUGUGCAUUUGGCCUAAUCUCGUCAUCCGCCACCAAACGAGUAACACAAAGGCUGUCAACCUCCACCUGAAGCUGCCGAAUUCCAUUAUCCCAAGCCAUACAUAACCCUUGAUAAAGGCCCCAUAACUCAGCACCAAUGAUGGUAACCACACCAACAUUCAUUCCAAAACCAAUUAUCCACUCUCCAUAACAGUUUCUAAUCAAGCCACCCGUACUAGACAGACCAGAACUUUUACGAGCUCCAUCUGUGUUGAGUUUAAAACAAGGCCAAGUAGGUGCCACCCAUCCAAAAUAUUUCUAAAUCUUCAUGGCAGCAGGAACCAAACAACUCUGAUUAACCUUUUGAAUUUCUUCUGUACGGAUCUUAAUAUCCAUUACAACAGUACUCUUGCUGGUAAAAACACCAUUAUGCAGAUUUUGGUAACGCCAAAACCAAAGCCUCCAAACUGUGACCCCAAAAAGACACGGCCAGUCAAACAUACCAUCAUACUUCCACAAGUUCCUCAAAUUAUAUAACGCCCAAUCUCGGAGAUUCAAACUAAAAAAUUGAUGACUAAUCCCAUGGGGUAUCAAUGACGACCAUACAUGCUUAGCACUGGGGCAAUCCCGCAGCACAUUAAGAGUAUUUUCAACAACACAGCCACACCUUGCACAACUCAUAUCAUCAACAAUAUGUCUCCGGAAAAGUUCUGCUUUAGUUUUAAGUCUAUUUUGACCCACCACCCACAGAAAGGUUUUGAUAUGUUGGGGACCUCUCCACUGCCAAAGAAUGCGCCAAAAGGAUUCUUCAUUGUGAACCUCCAUUUUUGACAAAGCCCUAUAUGCUGAAUUAGUAGUGAAAUCUUCUGACUUAGAAUAUGCCCAGUACAUGUAAUCAUCCUCAUCAUUUACACUGGGAGGCUUGGUGGCUGCAAUUUUGAGAAGUAAAUGAUGGGGAAAUAAAUUCUCAAAAAGCCGCCAAUUCCAAGUACCCUCAACAGUGAUAAACCUCGCCACACACUCCUCAAGCUGCUGUAAACGUAUCGGCUGCAAAGCGAAAGUAUACAAAGGGUAUUCCUCUGUUACCCAAUUAUCCCACCAAAAUCUAACUCGGUUGCCAUUUCCAAUGUCCCAUUUGAUCCCUUUUAAAACCUCAUGCCAAAUGCCUCCCACAGCCUUCCACAUGUAAGAGCCAUAUUUCGUAGGUAAUGUGCCGGGGAGGGCUUUAGGAGCCAGCCCAUACUUAGACAAGAGAACCUUCACCCAUAAACUAUUUGGAGAAGCAAUUAAAACCCACCCAAUCUUCAUGAGCAGAGCAUCAUUCAUUAAAUUAAGCUGCUUAAGACCAAGGCCUCCGCUAGGUUUCAGUUGACAUAUUGUAUCCCAUUUCACCAAACUGAUUUUCUUCUUGUCUGCUGCCCCGCUCCAAAUAAACCUCCUACAAGCCUGAUCAAUUUUCUCCCGAAUACCAAACGGAAUCUUCGUGGUCUGCAUUGCAUAAAUAGGAAUUGCCUGGAUUACCGAUUGAGUGAGAGUGAUCCUACCCGCCAAGGACAAAUGUAUCGCAUUCCACCCCGACAAACGUUGGUUCACUUUGUCCAAAAUUCCCUGAUAAGUCAGCUUAUUAACCCGUGAAUGAAUAAUUGGCAUUCCUCAAUAUUUCCCUAGGUUUUUUGUGACAGAAAAACCCAAGGAAUCACCAAUUUCCUUAGCCUCAGCAGACUUUAUGUUGUGGGAGAAAAAAACUUGUGUCUUUGUUUUACUAACUUUCUCUCUAGAGCUCAUACAACAAACAUUCAACACUUCAUUAUAACCAUUGCUUGCCUACAGGAAGCCUCUGCAAGCAAGAUAAGAUCGUCAGCAAAAAAUAAGUGAGAUAAAGAGGUACCUCCACGAGACAGUUUAAUAGGUUUCCAGUGCCCUCUCUUCACAGCGUCAUUUAUUCCAUGGCUUAACCUUUCUAUACAUAACACAAAGAUAUAUGGGGAAAUGGGGUCUCCCUGUCUAAUACCCCUAGAAGGGGUAAAAAUCUCUGUAAUUUCUCCAUUCCAUAGAAGUUGCAUAGUCGCCGUUGUAAUACAUUCCAUAAUAAGCCGAACCAAAAUAGUAGGCAAUCCAAACUCCCUCAAGGUUUCAUAAAUAAAAUCCCAGCUUAAACGAUCAUACGCCUUUUCCAAAUCCACCUUAAUGGCCAUCUGCCCAAUCCUCCCUUUCUUACGUCUCAUCAAAUGAAUAACUUCCUGAGCAACCACUAUGUUUUCCGUUAUGUGUCUCCCCCGGAUAAAACUAGUCUGGGUAGGUCCAAUGAGGUCAGGCAAGAUAGAUUUCAGCCGGUUAGCUAAUAACUUAGUGAUAGUUUUAUAGAUAACCGGGCAAAGACUAAUCGGACGAAAAAGCUUAAGGCUAAUAGGAUUAUCCGACUUAGGAACCAACACAAUCAGAGUUUUGUUCAACUCCUUAGGGAUCUCGUUGCCAUUAAAAAUACCUUUUAUAAGACUACAGACAGAUUUUCCCACUACAUGCCACUGGGUCUGGUAAAAGAGAGCAUGCAACCCGCCUAUUCCAGGGGCUUUCAAAGCCUUCAUGCCGAAGAUCACAUUCUUAAUUUCCUCAUCCUCCACUGCUUGUCCCAAAGCUUGCAUUCGACUUUCCUCAAGGACUGGGAAGGCGUUAACAACAUGGUAUGGAUGAUAGAUUGCAUCCUCUUUGGAAUAGAGCUUUGAAAAGAAGGACACAGCAUAAUCUCUAAUCUCAUCAUUAUUCAACAACCAAUAACUCUAUUCGUUAUGAAAUUGAUAUUGUACCCAAUUUUAAGAGAGCAUAAUAAUAACCAUUCAAUGCAUAAAUUUAGAAUUAGGAUUUUUUUGUAAUUCUUUAUUUAAAUAUAAGCUUCAAUGGAAAAUUAUAAAAAUUUAGAUAUAAAAUUUUAAAUCACCAGACCAAAAAAAAAAAAAAAAAAAAAUAGGGGAACGGAAAUAGAGGAAUCUUGCUUUACCUUUUUUCCCUUUAACUCUUGUUCUUAUAUAAAUAAUUUUGUUUUGAUGAUUGUAACUCGUGACUGCGGGAAAAUUUCUAAUGGAAACAACUCAAAUUCGGAAGAUAAGCUUAAUUAUGCAAGUGAUGAAUUUGUUCAAUUGACUCUGUACUUGAACUAGUUGGAUUGAUUGAUUGAUGAUUGACUAAAUUUGAAUUAAGUUUAAUUGCUUAGCUAUCAUUUACUCCUUAAACGCAAACGUAAAUAUUUUCUUGUGGUUGAGCCCUAUUCUCAAAUCAGUAGGUUGCCUUUGAAAAAGGGCUUUUCUCACUGAUCUUUUUUUUUUUUCUUUAAUUCACACGCACUUGAUUAUUGAAUUCUUUCAUGAAGAAAUAAACUUGUAAUGACUUAAAGAUUUAAUUUCAAGUUAGAAUCAAUACCAAAAGACGGAGGUUUAACAAAGCCGUUUAGUGUGAUAAAAGUACUUUAAAAAAUGUUGUUCGACCCAAUUAAGUUGAAGAAAUAAUAAAGUUUUCAUGGAAUAAAUACCGGUUGUGCCUUAAUGAUUUUGGCAUAGACGUUGCUUGUGUACUGUGAAAUUGAAAUGAAUAUUAAGUGACUGCGCGAUGUAUAUGCCUAAUAAAAGAUCAGCAAAAGCUUGGAUGAAUGUUUGAGGACCAAAACUUUUAUAAAAGCAUUUUUGAGAGAAACUAAACACCAAAUUAUCAAAGUAAGAUCAACAGUAUAUGAUUUGAUUUAUACAUAUUCAAAAACAAAAUAAUGAUUAAUAAUAAAGUUUGAUUUUGUAUUGCCAACGAUGCUUUUUUGUUGUUUCAUUUGUUCGACGUGGCCUUAUUUACAAAUUGGUUUAUGUUAACAGAAACAUGAAAUUCACAUUACACAAAAUUGCAAGAACAAAUAUUAAGAGAACGUAAUAAUAAUUACUCAAUGCGUAAGGAUAAAUUUAGAAUUACAUAUUCUUUUUUAUUUAAUAAAGUCCCAACGGGAAAUCAUAAAAAUUUAUAUAUAAAAGCUUUCAACCACCAAACAAAAAACAGGGGGAAUGAAAACACAGGAACUUGUUUUAACUUUUUUUCAUCUAACUCUUGUUCUUAUAUAAUAUUUUCCCUAGUAUUUCAGGCAAAAAAAAAAAAAAAAAAAUCAAUAAAGAGCAAGUUGCUCAAAUUGAUUUAUCUUGUUUUUCAGGCAAUCUUGUGAUAUGAUGAUAAAGCUCAUGAAUGCUAGAAAACUUCUAAUGCAAACAACUCUAUUUGGGAUGAUAAGCUUAAUUUUACAAGCGAUAAAUAUAAAUAACUUUUUGUGGUUAAUUGAAUUUGUAAUUACUCUUAGCCCUAUUCUAAAAUUUGUAGGCUGCCUCAAAAAAGAAUAAAAAAAAAUUUCUUACUCAUCUUUAAUCUUCAAGUAAAAAAAAAAUCUAAUAAAAUGAAAAACAAACAAACAAGUAAAAGACAGCAAACAAACAACAUUUAACCAACUGAUAUUUAAACAGGGAAUUCUUUCUUCUUCUUCCCCCCCCCCCCCCCCCCCCCCGGGCUCAUGGAUUAGAGUUUUUGCUAUUAACUGAAAGGUUUCAAGGGUCUGAAUAAAAUCCCAGACUUUUUUUUUUUAAUUAACCAAAGCCAUAUAAUAAGAUCACAGACUUUUAACAAUGAACAAUAAUUUGAAACUCAAGCAAAACCAAUGACAAGAUUAAAACAAACCAGAGAAAUUUUUUCUUGGAAAGUAGAUGAAAACUAAGUAAGAACUGCUAUUAAAGGAUAUUAUUAAAGGAUUUAGAACAUGUAUACCUCUUUAUUUAUAUGGGAUCAGAGAGUCGAUGACCUCCUCUAUUCGCUUCGGAUAUUAAGUAAGAAUUGCUAUCAAAAGAAUGAAUUGAUGAGAGUAAUAACAAUGAAUUGCAAAAGAGGAAGACUUAAUCACGUACCCCUAUUAUACCCGAUUUUUAAGAUUUAAUUUUGAAGUCCAGAAUCAAGACAAAAGACGAAGCCUUAACAAAUAUGCAGUGAGAAUAAUUAAGUUGAAGAAAGCACUAGUUUAUGGCUCAGUGUUAAGUUGAAGUUUAUGAAAUAAUUAACUAGUUUAUUAUGCUCAAGUCAGUUUUUGGGCCUUUGCCAAAAAACUUGUGCCACCACUCAUAUGGCUUAAUAAACAUUGUCUUAAAAACCAAAAGCUUUUUGAGUAAUUUGCAGAAAAAUGAAAUAGAGUGUAAAAGAAAGGAUUUUCCAUGAGAAGAAGAGAGAAAAAGAUGCCUUGCAGACCCCGAAAAAAUAAAUAAAUCCUCCUUUUAAGGUCACGCCCCACUCUCCUCUUUUCCCCUUUGUUCUCCUCCACUUACGGGAGUUAAGGAUGAGAUAAAAGUAAUGCCUCCACUCUCCAUUUUUUUCUCCUUUUUCCGUUACCAAACAUCAGUCCCCCAGUUUCUAGUGUUGAGAGUUUUAACGAAUCAAGACUGGAAACUAUAUGAAUUUUAAAGUGACAUCGAUGUGGUUGGCAUAAAUCGGCUCGGGAUUGCUAAAAUUAACCUUACUAUUAGCAAAAAAUUUCAAGUUUUAAACUUUUACUUGCCUUUAAAUAUACCAUUUUCCUACUCGCAUAAUCAUGUAAAGCAGGUUUCAUAAGUUCACGUAUUUAUCUCACCUGAAGUAAGUUUUGAGACUUAGUCAUUUAUCUGCUUUAGAAUAUUUUUCACUCAUAUAACUCUUGCUCGCCUAAUCUUGGUCGGGCAAGAGCAGGCAAACUUUGACUUCGUCUCACUACGAGGAGGUUUAGAGACUGUAAGCCUUUCACUUGAAGUACCCUUUUUUUUUUUUUUUUACUUUCUGCUUGCCUUCACAUGGUUGAGCAGAUUCUGGCAAGCUUGACUUCUUGUCUCGCCAUCGAGCAAACUUUGAGACUUUGAAGUCUUUUAUGUGCCUUAGAAACUUUCUUGGGAUUUUUGUUCUCUGCUCGCCUUUACAUGGUCGAGUAGAUUCUGGCGAGCUUGGCUUCCUAUCUCGCCAUCAAGGAGGCUUUGAGACUUUGGAGCCUUUGCUUGCCUUAGAAACUUUUUUGGAACUUUUGUGGUUUGCUCGCCUUCGCUUGGUCCAGCAGAUCCUGGCAUACUUGGCUUUCUGUCUCGCCAUAAAUAGGCUUUGAGACUUUGGAGCCUUUGCUUGCCUUAGAAACUUUUUUGGAAUUCUCAUUGUUUGUUCGCCUUCACAUGGUCGAGCAGCUUCUAGAGAGCUUGGCUUCCUGUCUCGCCAUCGAGGAGGCUUUGAGACUUUGGAGCCUUUGCUUGCCUUAGAAACUUUUUUGGAACUUUUGUGGUCUGCUCGCCUUCGCUUGAUCCAGCAGAUCCUGGCAUGCUUGGCUUCCUGUCUUGCUAUAAAAUAAGCUUUGAGACUUUGGAGCCUUUGCUUGCCUUAGAAGCUUUUUUGGAACUUUUGUGGUCUGCUCGCCUUCGCUUGGUCGAGCAGAUCCUGGCUCCUGUCUCACCAUAAAAUAGGCUUUGAGACUUUGGAGCCUUUGCGUGCCUUAGAAGAUUUUUGAAACUUUUUUGGUCUGCUCGCCUUCGCUUGGUCGAGCAGAUCCUGGCAUGCUUGGCUUCCUGUCUCACCAUAAAACAGGCUUGGAGACUUUGGAGCCUUUGCGUGCCUUAGAAGAUUUUUGAAACUUUUUUUGUCUGCUUGCCUUCGCUUGGUCGAGCAGAUCCUGGCAUGUUUGGCUUCUUGUCUCGCCAUAAAACAGGCUUUGAGACUUUAGAGCCUUUGCGUGCCUUCAAUGUGCUCUUAUUUGAGGUUUUUGCUUUAAAUCCUAAAAUAUGGACAACCAUCAAAAAUUUAAUUUCGGACUUGUAACUUAUAACUUGUCCAGAAAAUAGCUCACAUUUACAACUUGCGCUUUAGCUAUUUAUAUAUGUUUGGGCCUUUGAUGGAUAAACAUCCUUGGUGUUUUUAUUACCAUCUAUAAUAUUUGGUUAGCAAUAUUAUUAAAGACCUUUGCUAAAGGUGCGGAGCACCAUUUCCCAACACUAAAGAUAUUAAAAUUUAUAUAUAAAAUAAAUCAUAUUAUAUAAAAUAUGUAAUCAACAAAUAAAUGGUACCAUAAAAGUUUAAGCAAAGUCAUAUCACUGUAUCAAGGAAAUACGAUCUCAUGCUAACCCAAGUUCCAUCAAUCCUUCGGUCAAGCAUGUUGUGUGCUAAUAUAUGACUAUGCUAUAUAUUCUAUAAUAUGUAAUCCUUCGGUCAAGCAUGUUGUGUGCUAAUAUAUGACUAUGCUAUAUAUUCUAUAAUAUGUAAUCUUAACUAUUUUCUAUUAACGACUUAAUAAGUCAAAACCUCAUCCAUCAGAUUUUUGAAGUCAGGUAGUGGAUUUAAAGGAUAAAUAUAAAACUGGGGUUUUAGAACAAGUGCACCUGAGAUUGUGCUCUGCAUUAUUUCAUUAGUACUUCAUCAAACAAAUCCCGAGCUUGACUCUGCUUUGCUCCCUUCUUAGAAUUAUUCUUGCAAUAUUUUAACACGGGCACAAAAUGAAUAAAAUAUGAAGGAAACAAAAAUCCAACUUCAUCAAUUCUUUGAAGCUUGAAGACAUGCCUAUCAAUUCUCAUCAUCAAUAAAAAUUUGUUUUGUUUUAAAACCAUUAUUAAGGUUAGCCAAAAUACCAAUACUCGGCCUCAUCCAGAUUAUGCUAAUUAUACUUCUUCCAACACUCAUUAACGAUUAUGAGAAUUUGUGCAAUGUGGAUGACAGGUACUAUCAAAAGACAGCGAAUAUAUGCAUAAUUUCUAAUGUUCUCUUUGCGAAAAUAUAAUAAAGCUAUGGUUAAGAAUAACUCAUGCUCUCAAUCAGUUUGAUACUUAUAUUAAAUAAACUGAAACAGAACCUGGGUUUAGAUCUUGGCUCCUGGGCAACAUUCUCUCAAGCAUAUAUGUAGUGUAUGUAGUGUAAUCAGCAACAAACUCACUUUUGAACUUUCAUAUCCCUUGAGGCGAUUUAACGAACAGCUCCUGAUUUGAAUUUUAACAAUUCUGCCUCAACUUGUAAUGAACCGAGUUUUAUACCAGAAUUGUCUAUAUACUUUCCCUGCAUAGUCUUCACAUGAAAACUAGCUGCAUGAUUGAUUGAUGGGGUGUAAAACCAGUAGGAAAUAUCUUGAAGAAACCAAAGAUCCGUGGAUUUUUAUGCUUACCACCAAAUGAAUUUAACAAUUUGUGUAAUCUUUAUUUUAAGAAAUUGAACAUUGAUAAUACCGCAAAUCGAUUGCUCUUUUGAACAGACUUUAUAUCUUGAGUUCGAUGAAAAGAGAACAAUCAAUCAAGAAAUAUAAAUACAUCAGCAAAAUAAUGAUGGUAGUAGCAUUACACAUCUAAUUAGCCAUAACGAAGCCGAAUAAUUAGCCAUAAUAAAUCUGAACUGUUAACAUUAUGUCAAGCAUGUUGUUGGAAAAUAUUAAAUUAAUUCAUUUGCAAGUAUAAUAGCAUGUAAUCUUGAAUUAUGAAUGAAGCCCAUUCUAACAAGCUAAUUUUGUAAAGGAACAUUAUCAACGAAUUCCAAGGGAUAAUAUUCAAUUUCAGCAAAUAUAUCAUGCACGGUAUUGAAACAUGCAUGUUAUUAAAGAAUUUCCAAGCAUCUCUCAUUUGAUAAAUCAAUAAUCAUAGCAAUUGGAAAUUGAAUUUUAAUGACAAUAUACUUAAAGCAAUAAAUAAGCCAAAACCUUUACAGGUAAGCAUUCCAUCCAGCCUUGAUUGGCUUCCGUGUUUGAGCCAGCUUAUCAAUUUGUGCAUGAUAAUAUUCUGCCUUUGGCUUGGCCGGAUGAAAAAUUGGUAGAGACAAGAAGUUGGCUUUUUGUACCGAUUCCCCACAGACAGUGCCAAAUGUUGAUGCCCAAAUCUGAUCUAGUCUAUUAGCGACUUAAUAUCAAACUUCUACACCAGCAUUAGAUUUAUUUGGUAGAGAAUCGAUUGGUCAAUCGUCAAGAUGUCCUGCAACCACUAGCGAUUAACUUGCGAAUACUUAAAAUCAUAGAAGACGGUCAGAGGCGCUGAAAGUUUUUCCGACGUGAACCCUCCGACACUCAAGUCAGUUUCUGGGCCUUUGCCAAAAAACUUGUGCCACCACUCAUAUGGCUUAAUAAACAUUGCCUUAAAAACCAAAAGCUUUUUGAGUAAUUUGCAGAAAACUGAAAGAGUAUAAAAGAAAGGAUUUUCCAUGAGUGGAAGAGAGAAAAAGAUGCCCUGCAGACCCCGAAAACAUAAAUAAAUCCUCCUUUUAAGGUCAUGCCCCACUCCCCUCUUUUCCCCUUUGUUCUCCUCCACUUACGGAAGUUAAGGAUGAGAUAAAAGUAAUGCCUCCACUCUCCAUUUUUUUUUCUCCUUUUUCCGUUACCAAACACCUACAAAUCUUAUCCCUACUAAUAUGCUCUAUAAGCCAUUAUUCUUCUAAAAUUAUUAAAUGCCAUUCUUCAUUCAAGCUUUCAUGGACAUUAUUUACAAAUUGUUCUUGUAUUUGACAGAAAAAUGAAAACUCCUCGUCAUACAAAACUGCAUGAACAAAUCUUCUGUUUAAUUAUGAUAAAAUAAUAAAUUCCAUUAACAGAUUCUGCUGUAUGUUAAUGUGAGGGAUUUGAUCAGAUGAUCAUAUAAUUUACUACACGCUUUAAGAAGAACAAAAAUUGAUGACUUAAAAAUUAAAAAAUAAACAUAUAAAGAGUAGAUACAAAGAAUGUUAUUUGCAAUCAACAAACUGAAGAACAGGGGAAUGAUAACAGAGGACGGUUGCUGCAACAUUAUGAAGUCAAAAUUAAGAAAGGCAUUUUUUUCUUUUUUUUUUACAUUAUUCUAUUUAAUCUUAAAUUUUUACAAUCACCAAAUGGAAAAACAGGGGACUGAAAACAAAGAAGCCCUGUUUGCAGAAACAGGGGAGUUUCCGGGUUUCUGGAAACAAACUCAGAAACGAAUGAACUGGCUGCCGGCGGUACUUUCUAGAUAAAUCUCUUGGUGUAUAUAAGCUUUCAUGAUCUGGUUUUAGUCUGGUUAGGUUCAGCCACUGUGACUGUUAGGGAUUCUCGUAAACUGAAUUUAAAGUUGCGGCUUAAAGUGUUUACCAACUUAAAACCAGAGCUAUAAAGUGUUUGAUGAAUUAUUUUUUAAUUUAAAAAAAUAAAAAACUGAUUUAGCGGGAUAAAAUAAUGCUCCAUUCUGUUUAGUAUGUGAAGUCCAGAGUAUUACAAAGAGAUAACUGAAUCUUCAAUGUAAUAAAAUAAUGAUCAGCCUCAGAGGAUACAUAAAAAGCUCAUUUAUCACAACCAUAUCCUAGUGCAUCAUAAACUUGAUUAUUUAAUUUUACUAUUAGGAAACCUACUUAUAUAAGGCGCACACCACAAAUUCUAAAUUAAAUUUCUAACUAAGAAUAAAAGGUAAAGCCUAGCAAUUUUCCACCAGGUGCCGUGUAGCCUGCAUCAUAAAUUUUGAUUUAAAUCUUUGUAAUCACCGAACAGAAAAACCGGGGAAUGAAAACAGAGGAGCCCUAUUUUUCCAUUUUUUUAACCCUUAACUCUUGUUCUUCUAAUUAUAUUUUUGCUUGGAAUUUCAAGCAAACGAAAAAAAAAAAAGUGACAACUAUUUAGAGAGAGCAGGUGGAUGAUAGCAAAAAUAUUUUUAAUUAAUAUGCAUGAUUAACUCUUGUUCUUCUAAUGUAGUGGCUUGAUUAAUAUUUUUAAUCAAGCCACUACAUUAUUGGUAGUCUCUGUGGGCUCAUUUCGUCUCCAGACCUGAUAUUGUAUAUCUCUUUUUGAAUAUGUUUAAUUAAUAUGCAUGCUGCUGAAUAAAGACGAUGAUUUCCAAAUUUUUGUUGCUUUUUUUUUUUCUUUUUCUGCUUUGGUACAUGAAGAAUGUGGAAAUAGAAAUAGCUUUCGAAGUUUAAUGGCUUGCUUCAUUAGUAAAGAAAGACUAGGAUAUCUGUCCCUUUUUGUUACUGAAUUAUUGAUCAAUUGACGGUUGAAGUGUCAAAUGUGUUCUUUCCUUACAAUUGUAUAUGCUAUUAUUAAUAGAAAUUAUUAAAGGAUUUAGAACAAGUUCGCCUUUUUAAUUAUCUGGGAUGAUGAGUUUCUUUAUUCACCUUGAAUAUGUAAUAACAAUUUUAGUGAGCAAAAGAUCACUGGUAACUGCAGAGGAAUGUGUGAGUUAAGAGCUUAUUAGAGUAAGCAAUACAAAUGAAUUUUCAAAUUAUGUACUUGGUCACUGUUGUCCUACUGUCGCACGUAUUUUUUCAUGAAUAAUUGCCAGAUCAGAAAAGAAUAAAUUCGGUUGGCUGAAGUAAGUAAAACAAUCUUCAUAUCGAACAUGAUUCCAAUUAAAUUAAGCUUUUUGUAAGAUGACUAAUAAAAGAUAAAAGUAGAAGCUUUGAUGAAUGAACGAGGACCAAAACUUUUGUAAAAGCGGAUGCCGAUAAAAUAAACAAAAGGCACUUUAAAAAGAAACUAAAGUGCGAUCAUCAAAGUAAGAUCACUAAUGAUGCUUCGCUAUUACAAGGUCCGCAUGGACAUUAUUGAGUUCUGCUAUUUGAACUACGCGAAGACAAAACAAAGACAGAAAAAUUGACACUGUUACUUCAACGGCUGUUUAUUACUUUUUGAAUUUAAAAAAUAAAAUAAUCAAAAGAAAAAGGAAAAGGAAAAGUAACGAAAAAAAAGAAAUAAAAUAAUCAAAAGAAAAAAAAAAGAUUACUUUUUGAGUUAAUCUUUCUCCAUCUCUCAUCUCUGCUAUCUGCGUUCACGCACAAAGAAAAAACUCUUCAUCUCACCAUUUUCAUCUCUUUGCAUCUCACCAGUUCCGCAUCUCAGUUACCAUAAGGAAGAAGUUAGAUCUAGAUCUAUAAACAGAGAUUUUGAUAAAAUUAGUACUGAUUAAUUAGUAAGUUAGUGACUCUCACUAUAUUCAAAUAAAAUUUUUAUUGUGUUCUAUAUAUUUAAAUGAUUAGAAUAUUUAAUUUAAAUUGUAAAAAUUCGUAAAUUUUUAUUUUUUAUAUAUUUAAAUUGUUAUGAAUUGUUAUGAUUUUUUUAAUUUAAAUGGUUGUUAAAUAAUGGAAUAGAUUAUAACAAUUUCUGAAUGUGUUUUAUGAACUUUAAAUUUUUAAAAUUAUGUUAGAUUUGACUUUAAAUCUUUGAAAUUGUAGUGAUGGAAUAAUAUUUUGUGUUAAAUUAAAUUUUUAAUUUUUGAAAUUAUGUUAGAUUUGUUUAAUUUUGUCCGCUUGCAAUUUAUUUGUUCACGCUAUCAUGAAGUGAUAUUAUAUAGGCAUCGAUGGUUUUUUAAUUAUUACAAAAUAUUAUUUUUUAAUUAUUUAACAAAAAUUGAUACAAAAUAUUAAUUUUGUAUGACUGAGAGAUACAUAGGGUUAAACAGGACGAGUAGAGAAAGGAACGAAUGAAAAAUAAGUGGAAUGAACAAAGUAAUUAACGAGAAUGAAUAGAGGGGACAAAGUGGAGAACGAGUAGUUGAGGAUGAGAAUAAGUGGAUCAGAUUUUAAAUAAUAAAGAUAUUUAAAAAAUUUUCAUUUUUUAUUAUAAUAUUUGUUGUUGGUCCCACCAAAAAAUUGGAUGAGAGCAGGCGUGAAAGAGCAUUUUUUUUCAUUUUUAUUCUUUAUUUUAAUAAUUGUUAUCGGUCCCACAAAAAAAGAAAAUUGAAUGAGGAAAGGCGUGAAACGGCAGCCAAUUUCUGUCGUCCCAUCGUCGUGCUUUCGUCUAUUUACCAUUUCUCGACAUUAUUUACAAAUUGUUCUUAUGUUUCACAGAAAAAUGAAACACUGUUCAUCAUACAAAAUUGCAUGACCGAAUCUUCAAUUUUUAUAAUUAUAAAAUAAUGGAUUAUGUGUAUGUUAAUGUUACGGAUAUGAUCAGAUCAUCAUAUAAGUUACUAGACGCAUUAACAAGAACAAGAUCUAAUGAGCUAAAAGUUUUUUUUUUAAAUUAAAUAAAUAAAGAGUAAAAGUAAAAAAAAAUGUUAUUUGCAAUCACUAAAAUGAAAACAGAGGAGCCCUGUUUUUCCUCUCGUUUCUCUUUCUCUCUUUUUCAAGUAGUAGAAAAUGAUAACAGAGUUUGAGAGCUCACUGCUUUCAUUAGUUGGAAAGUGUCGCCUAAAACACUUCCUCUGCUAGGUGGAAUUGUUGGCUUGAAGAGAAGAGUUCUUGUUACAAGCACAAAUUUUAGCUGUACAUUAUUUCCUUUUAAAUGCACCAUUGUUGCACAGAUUUGAACCCUAUGAUCAUUAGUUUUUUGUUUUGAUUUGGUUAGUUCGUGAUGACAAAUAAAUUAUUUUCAUCACAUUAUGGUAAAAAGUUGCCCUCUUUGUUACUUCCACAGCUAUUUAGUUUAAUAUUUUGUAAUAAGAUCACAAAGUGCAUGGGACCUAUUGUUCGGGUACUUAGCCUAAAAUGAAGAUCUAUUAAAAAUUUCCCUGAUGUCAUGAUAUAAAACAAUAAAAGGUACCAACUUCAGCUUAAAUUCAUAUAAAAUUAAACCUUACCACAUACUGUAUUGAAACAAAUUACUCAUCUUUAUUGGUAACAUCAUCACCUUCAUAAAAUAUAUGGUAUCGUACAAAGUUCUUGCGCUGGGUUCGGGCAUCUAACAACGAGGACACAGCAACCUAUUCGCUAGGUUAGAGACCAAAGAGCCAACAGCAAAUGUGCACGACGCAUGUCACUAUCAUGAAAACAACAUUCUUUUUCUUUUUUUUUUCUCCUCAAUAAUUUCAGAUAUAAUAUUUUAACUAAGUUUGUAACACUGUUGAUUGAAAUUAUCAAGUACGAAUGUGUGUAGAUUUUAACAUGUGCACUCAUAAUUAUUAUUGUGCAGUUUUAGACUUAGUUGGGUAUUGAGGUGCUAAAACUUUUGCCGUAAGAAAAAAAAGUUUUAAGUAUAAAAUAAAAUUUAAUAGUAUCUAAUAAAUUUAGUUUUUUAAUAAUAUGUUGAGUACAUAAAAGCCCCAGGUCGGCCAUGCUACUAUUUUCACCCCGGCAUGGAUCACCUUAGCCAAAUGGUAUGAGCAGAACGCAGGAUAAACACGAGCCAACCAGAGACGAGUACCGGCCAGGGUAAUGUACCGACCAGAAUCAUAUACCGAGCCGACACCAAUUCCCCAAAAAAGCGGGAACACGAUCCCACAGAAUCACGGUAGUUGCGCUUUUCCCAGAACCGUUGUGGGAGAUGCGAGAUCCCACGUUUGCCCACAAUGUAGCAGUUAAAAUCCCAUGAGAGGCUACCACUACCCGAGAAAGGGGGGGAUGAAGGGUGAGUGAAAACGUGGGACAGCGGCUAUAAAAGAAGAAGAAACCGAUUAAGAAGGGGAGAGAAAAAUUGAGAGAGGGAAAACGCUGCCAAAUUGCAAUCAUGCCAUUUUCUGACAAGACUCCGAAUAAUUUAGAAACCAUUUUUAGAUCUAAAUUGCACUGUUUUCCCGUAAACACCUUGAGCUAACUUAGGCAUUGGAGGGUUUUCGCCGGCAAAACCACCGGCGACUCUGAUCCGUUUUUGGUGAACGCAGGUCUAGUAAGAGAAAGGAGGGUGAUUCCAACCUCAGAGGUUCGAGCAACAGUCGAUAACGUAAACGUUGGUGAAAGAAUCUGGUCGGUCAAAAGGCGAGCAGAUUUAAGCAUCAACAUUUUGGCGCCGUCUGUGGGGAGCUGGAUAAAAAGCUACCACCGAAUUAGUAGUUACCGGAGAAACAACGAACGAUUAGACAUGGAUUUGCCAAGGAAGGACGCUUUGAGGGAGGAUAACGAAUCGGGGGAGACAAGCACCCUUCGGGAAAUUGCAAAUGAAGCCCGAGAGAGGGUGAUGCAAGAUCGAUUGGAAUAGAUGGAGAAGCAAAUGGAGACUCUCGCUACCAUACUGAAUGAGCUGAGAGAUGAGCGGAGAAGGGAUUGCGAAAUCCCCGUGGGGAGAGAUGAUGUGGGAGCAGAACCCAACCUCCGGAGGCGUAGAGUCGAGGAGAUCCCUCCGCCGGUGGACCAACCUUAUGGGGUGCAUCCCCACAGAAGCACUGGUUGAGUUCCUGGAGAACAAAUAGAUGAAGGGAGGAACUAACCUCGCCCCAGGCGAGCACUGGAAGCUGAUGGCCGAGGAGCCAGUGCUGAUGAAGGAGAGUUAAGACAGCGGUUGCAGAAUGUCGAGCAGGAGCGAGAUCAGAUAGCUGCACGUGAUCCUGACCGUGAUGUAGAAUUGGAGGGAGAGGUGCGCAGAUUAGCGCAAGUGAUAAAGGAGAUACAGGGUAAGAGGAAGCCCCCGAGCUGGAGGAUAAUGCUAGAUGAAGAAUCUCCACUAUCAACUGAGAUCGUGGGUACCAUAAUCCCAAGAGAUUUCCGCUUCCCCGACCUCAAAUACUCCGAGCGAAGUGACCCGCUGGUGCACAUUGAGCGUUUCAACGACAUGAUAGGUGUGCAGGGGCUGACACCAGCUCAGAGGUGCAGGGUGUUCCCGUUGACAUUAGAGGGACGAGCCCGAGAAUGGUACCGCAAGCUGCCCCGAGGAAGUAUAAAGGGGUAUGAGCAGAUGUGCCAGGAGUUGGCCGAGUAGUUCCGAGGGGCAGUGGCCCCAGAGGACGACAUGAUGGAACUGAUGAGGAUGAAACAGGAGGAGCAUGAAUCCCUUCGAGAUUUUGUAAAACGAUAUCACCGAGCCGUGCUAGAUCUGGGGGCUUUUAAUCACCCGCAGGCGUUGAGGGGAUUAAAAGAAGGUGUAAGAAUCGGCCGACUGUGGUAUAACUUAAGAAGCCCCCUUGUACAGAAUUACUCGUCGGGGUAUGAGCAGGCGAGGCGAGAUAUAGAAAUCGAAGAGGAGAAAUCAGCAAGAAUAAAAAGUGAACAGCUGGACGAGCUGAGGCGAAAGGAACGGAGAGCCCCAACAGGGAGCGGGUCGGGAAAACGAGCUGGAGAAUCUUCAGUGAUGGGCGGAAUAUCGGCUCGGUCCCGCCCUUACCCCAUAGCUCCGAGAUCGCAGCAGUUCCAGCACAACCGGGCUCAACCUCCGCGUCCCCCAUUUCCGGAUCGGCAACGAGAAUUCCGGCAGAUGGCUGCCCACCCCUAUCACAACACUCCCAGAGCAUUACAUGCAACCAAUUCCAGGGCUAGUCGACCAGAUCAGUUAGCAACUGGGCCAGCCUGAGGUGACAUUCAUGAUAGCCGAGCAGUUCAGCUGGUAGACCAGAGCUUGGCGUAUAGACAGUACACUCCAUUAAAGAUCUCCAUGGAGGAAUUGUAUGAGAGGAUCGAGGGACGAGGCUUGUUAUACCCUCCAGCCCCUAUAACAAAACCGGCUCACCGACGGGAUAAGAGCAAAUUCUGCAAAUUCCACGACACUCAUGGUCACACUAUCAGCCAAUGUCGUGACCUGAAAAUUCAGGUGGAAGAUUUGGUGAGAAACCGUUAUUUGGACGAAUAUGUAGAUGGAAUGUCCCCCGUCACUGAAUCACAGUACACGCGGGAUGAAGGAGCUGAGAUGGGCCUGGAACGUGAACAGCCGACUAUCCGUAUAAUAGCAGGGGGGCCAACAUUGGCUGGGGAUUCGAACAGGGCACGGGAGAACUAUGGGAGAUAUGCCCUGACUAGCAAAGAAGUGCUUUUCAAUUUUCCGGCAACCAAGAAGGCAAAAGUGCGGCAAGUUCCCAUUAUGUGGACAGAUGACGAUGAAGAGGGUAUCUUAUAUCCGCAUGAGGAUGCAUUGGUGAUCAAGGCAAUGGUGGCUGGUACAGAAUUGCGACGAAUACUAAUAGACACAGGCAGCUCGGUUGACAUCCUGUUUAAGUCGGCUCUAGAUGAUAUGGGGAUUGCAGACUUGAAAUUGGAGCGGACAAAUACAUCCUUAAAGGGAUUUGGAGGGGGAUGGUUAACUCCCAUGGGGAUCACCGAACUCCCAAUUACUAUGGGGACAAAGCCAUUUGAAAGAACAAUGAUGCUGGAUUUUGUCGUGGUAGAGAAAAGAAGCCCUUACCAGAUGAUACUGGAGAGACCGUUCAUGAGGAUAAGCCAAUGUGUUGUAUCCACGCAUUACUUGGCACUGAAAUACAGAGUAAAUGGGGUGGUUGGCGUAGUAAAAAGCGACCAGAGGAUGGCAAGGAGUUGUUAUGCUACAGCAGCCAAGGAGACACUGCAGGUUACUUCUCUAGAUAAUCGAGGAAAGUCUAAAAAGGGCCGCCAAGAGCCUGUUGAGAAGCUGGAGGAAGUUGCGGUAAGCAAAAGCAACCCGAGCAGAGUAGUGAAGAUCGGGUCAGGAUUGGUUGGGGCAGUAAAAGGCGAGCUGAUAAAUUACCUACAGUCUCAUGCGGAUAUAUUCGCCUGGUCUCAUGAAGAUAUGCCCGGAAUUGAUCGCGGGGUAGCUUGCCACAAGUUGGCAAUCAAGAAGGGGGUAAGGCCGGUGAGACAGAAGAGGAGAUGCUUCAACCAGGAAAGGUACGAGGCCAUAAACGCCGAGGUGGAGAAGCUGUUGAAAGCAGGAUUUAUAAGGGAAGCCAAGUACCCAGAAUGGAUUUCAAAUGUCGUCCUGGUAAAAAAGGCCAACGGGAAGUGGAGAAUGUGUGUGGACUUCACGGACCUCAAUAAGGCAUGCCCAAAGGACAACUUUCCCCUACCCAAAAUAGAUCAGCUGGUGGACUCAACAGCAGGUCACAGUCUGCUCAGUUUCAUUGAUGCCUUUUUCUGGAUACAACCAGAUACCCAUGGACGAGCAGGAUGAGGAGAGCACUGCCUUUAUAACUAACAUGGGUUUGUUUUGCUACAGGGUAAUGCCUUUCGGCCUAAAAAAUGCAGGAGCCACCUAUCAAAGGUUGGUAAACAAGAUCUUCAAACCGUUGAUUGGACACACUAUGGAGGUAUAUGUGGAUGAUAUGAUUACGAAGUCCAAAGAGCCGAGGGAUCAUGUGAAGCAUCUAGAAGAGACCUUUGAAUUGCUGAGGAAGUAUGAGAUGAAACUAAACCCGGAGAAAUGCGCAUUUGGGGUAAGCUCGGGCAAAUUUCUGGGAUUCCUGGUAAGCCACCAAGGGAUUAAGGCCAACCCCGAAAAAAUACGAGCGGUUACAGAUAUGAGAUCUCCGCGGACAGUUAAAGAGGUGCAGAGCCUUACAGAGAAGUUGGCAGCAUUGAACCGAUUCAUCUCGCGGGCCACAGAUAAAUGCCACCCUUUCUUCCAAAUCAUAAAGAAAGGGAGAAAGAUGGAAUGGACAUUAGAGUGCGAGGAAGCAUUUGGGCAACUGAAGGAAUAUCUGGCCCGUGCACCGUUACUGUCAACUCCGAGAGAGGGUGACCAGCUGUUUUUGUACUUGGCAAUCUCCAAGCAAGCUACCAGCUCAGUCUUAGUCAGGGAAGAAGAAGGGAAGCAACACCCGGUAUACUACACGAGCAAGGCCCUGGUGGACGCAGAAACCAGAUAUCCACUAAUGGAGAAGUGGGCGCUGGCUCUGAUAACGGCAGCACGCAAACUCCGACCAUAUUUCCAAGCCCACCAGAUCGUUGUGAUGACUGACCAGCCCCUUCGGCAAGUGCUUCAAAAACCAGAUGCGUCUGGUCGGUUAGUAAAAUGGUCAGUGGAGCUGAGCGAAUUUGACCUGACCUACAGGCCCCGAGGAGCAAUCAAGGCCCAAGCCCUGGUAGAAUUUAUGGUAGACCGAGCUGAGCCAGGGGAAGGAGAUCGGGAGUAGCAACCGUUAGAGCAGGAGAAAACAGAGGGGAUGUGGUUGGUAAUGGUUGACGGAUCAUGUAGUGAGCAAGGAUCCGGAGCAGGAGUUGUAAUACGGAGCCUAGAAGGAUCCGAAAUAACGUAUGCAGUAAAGUUUGAAUUUCAGCUCGCAAACAACCAAGCUGAAUAUGAAGCCUUUAUCACCGGGCUCGGACUCGCACAUGCCUUAAAAGCAAAAAGGGUAAAAAUUCGAGCAGAUUCCCAAUUGGUAUGUAAUCAGCUCAAUGAUCAGUUCCAAGCAAGGGGAGAGAAGAUGGGCCUUUAUUUGAAGAAGGCGAAGUAGAUGGUCGGGCUUUUCCAAGAGGUGGAGGUGAAGCAGAUAUCUCGGAAUGAGAAUUACCGAGCAGAUAUUUUGGCUAGGAUGGCUGCAGUUGCAGAUCCGAAAUUACCUAAGUCGGUUCCACUAGAGGUAAGGACCUCGCCAAGUAUAGGAGAGGAGGUAGAGGUGAUGAGAGUAUGCAUUGGAGAAUCAUGGAUGGACCCGAUUCGCGCAUAUAUCCGGGAUGGAAUCUUACCAGAGGACAAACAGCAAGCCAGGAGAUUAAAAUGCCGAGCAGCGAGGUACACUCUACUAGAUGGAGUGCUGUAUCGCCGAGGGUUCACCUUACCCCUUUUGAGAUGUGUGGAUGAUGAGGAGGCAGAUUAUGUACUGAGGGAGAUUCAUGAAGGAAUAUACGGCAAUCACUCGGGAGCAAGAACUUUAGCCUUCAAGGCACUCCGGCAAGGAUACUUUUGGCCAACUAUGCACCAGGAUGCGAAAAGGAUGGCAAAGAACUGUAAAACCUGCCAAAGCUUCUCUAAGGUUCCUGCACAACCCCCAGAGAAGCUGACCACUAUGACAUCCCCGUGGCCUUUCGCUCAAUGGGGAAUCGACUUGAUUGGUCCGUUACCUAAGGGCCGAGGAGCGGCGACACAUGCAAUUGUGGCAAUAGACUACUUCACCAAGUGGGUAGAAGCGGGAGUCCUCAGCCAAAUCACCGAGAGGAAGACAACAGAUUUUAUUUGGAGAAAUAUCAUUUGCAGAUACGGGAUCCCCUAUGCCAUCAUUACAGAUAAUGGGAGACAAUUUGACAACAGCAACUUCAGGGAAUUUUGCCGAAAUUUGGGGGUGGACCUGAAGUUCUGCACCCUCGCACACCCCCAGGCAAACGGACAAGUGGAAGCAGCCAACAAAGUAAUAAAAAAGCUUUUGAAAACUAGAUUGGGAGAGAAGAAGGGAGCCUGGGUUGACGAACUACCAGGAGUAUUAUGGGCCUACCGGACAACUCACAAAACCGCCACAGGGGAAACCCCGUUCGCUUUAGCCUUUGGUCAUGAGGCGGUAAUCCCAGCAGAAAUCGGAGUAGGAACACAUCGAACAGAAUAUUUCGCUGAGGAGAAAAACGACGAGCAGAUCUGCUUAAACCUGGACCUGCUGGAGGAGAAAAGGGAAGGGGCCUCGCAGAGAGUGGCCCAGUGUCAGCAACGGGUCAUGCGCUAUUACAACAAGAACGUACGCGUGAGGCAGUUCCGAGCAGGAGAUUGGGUACUUAGGAAGGUGAACCAAAACACCAGGAAUCCUAACCAUGGCGCUCUUGGCCCAAAGUGGGAAGGCCCGUAUAGGGUGGUACGAGCCACUGGACCAGGAGCUUAUAAGUUAGCGUACCUAGAUGGACGAGACGUGAGGAGGUCAUGGAACGCCGAGCACUUGAAGAAGUAUUUCCAGUAAGCAAAGUGCUCUACCAAAUCUUCAUUUUGACAAAUUGUUUGUGUUAACUGCAUGAUGGCUUGAUGCAUAUGUAUGUAUUCAGUAUUUUUGUAACACAUUCAUGUUUCAAAUAAAGAUGAAUUCAGCAUGAAAUCCCCCUACUAGCAAAGCCAAAUAAAAAUUCUACGAAGGCAAGCAAAUGCCUACUUCUGCUUGGUCAACGAAAGACCAGCAGCUAAUUUUACGAGAAAUUCACUAAGGAAAGUGAGUGCCUGUUUCUGCUCGGUCAACGAAAGACCAGCAGCUAAUUCCGCAAAAAUUCUAUUAAGGCAAAUAAGUGCCUAUUUCUGCUCGGACAACGAUAGACCAGCAGCUAAUCUACGAAAAUUCUACUAAGGCAAGUAAAUGUCUGAUUCUGCUCGAUCAAUGAAAGACCAGCAGCUAAUCUACGAAAAUUCUACUAAGGCAAGUAAAUGCCUGAUUCUGCUCGGUCAAUGAAAGACCAGCGGCUAAUCUACGAAAAUUCUACUAAGGCAAGAAAAUGCCUGCCUCUGCUCGGUCAACGAAAGACCAGCAGCUAAUCUACUAAGGCAAGUAAAUGCCUGCCUCUGCUCGGUCAAACGAAAGACCAGCAGCUAAUCUACUAAGGCAAGAAAGUGCCUGCCUCUGCUCGGUCAGCGAAAGACCAGCAGCUAAUCUACGAAGGCAAGUGAGUGCCUGCUUCUGCUCGGUCAACAAAAGACCAGCAACUAAUCCUACGAAAAUCCUACUAAGGCAUGAAAGUGUCUACUUCUGCUCGGUCAACGAAGGACCAGCAGCUAAAUUUAUGAGACUUUUACUAAGGCAAAUAUGUGUCUGCUCCUGCUCAGUCACCGAAGACCAGCAGGCGAUUUUGCGAAAAUUUUUACCAAGGCAAACGGAUGCCUAUUCCUGUUCGAUGCACUAAAGAACCAACAGGCGAAACCAGACAAAAAAGCCAAUAGAGAGCAUUUAAAAAAUUUUAUAAACGUUCAAAUGUUUACAAAGCAAAUGAAAAACUAGAGUCUUUACAAAAAUAGACCUAAGGAUUAGGAGGAUCAACGGCCUCAGCAGGUGAAGGGUCAGCUAUCUCGGGAGGUGGAAGGUCAGCAAUAUCGGGAGGAGGAGGCACGGACCCCUGCCCCACUUCAAAAACACGCUGCCCAGCUUCUCCCUCCUGCACCCCAUUCAAAGGAACCUCCACCUGCUCCUGCUCAUCCUGCUCCUUAUCUCCUUGGCCGGCCCCAGCCAUAUACCUCUCCACCCCAGAUUCCAGCUUGCUCAUGUCGAGCUCGGGGUAUUCUUCCUUGAGUACAGACAUGAUGCACUUAUAGCUGAAAGCAACCCCGGAGUUAUACUCAGCAUCCAACCGAUCAUCCACAUCAGCGGAUUUGCCUUUCUCUUCAGCCAGCUGGUCACUCAGGGAUUUGAUCUCUCCCUCAAGGGCGGUCCUCAGAGUAUCUCUUUCACUUUGAGUAGCCUGAAGAUCGGACUUCAGAUCACCCAGCUCACCCUCAAGCUUGGAGGAAGUAGACUCAGCAACCGCAACUUUCUCCUCAAGCUCCGUAAGCUGCUUGUUCAGCUCGGCCAGCUUCUCUUUGGACCGAUCAGCAGAUUCGGCUUUCUUUUUCAACUCCUGGUUAUCAGCUUGAAGCUUCCUCUCAUGACGCGCGGACCCGGUCUUGUAGCACGAGACCAUUGUGGCCAGCCUGAAAGAGACUCUUUGAACAGAAGCAGCUAACUCGGAGAGGUCCAUGCUCUCGAUGUCCUUCACCAUCUUGGGCCCAACCGAUUUUUUGUAAUCUUUCUGGUAUAGGCUCAGGUAGUCACCUUGAUCCCGAGAUGGAAGAGGAGCAGAUCGGUCCCCAGACUGCAAGCUGACCUCAGGACUCUUGUCGGAGGUUUUCUCCCCACCACUCUUACAGGGUGGGGGAGGGGGCAGAGCAGGGACAGGAGCCUUGGAGGGGCCGACACUAUUCUUCUUUGGAGGAGGAGGAAGGUUGCUGGAGCUGCUUGGAGCCCGACCACGCUUCCUGCUCAUUGCGCUGAGGAUCUUGUUAUCCAUUCCAGCGGCUAUGUCCACUAGGCCCGAACCGACCAGGUUUGUUGGUGACAGGAGGUCUUGGCAGGUAGACGCGUUCACCAGAGCAGUUUCCACCUGAAGCAAAGGCCGAUCUUCAAGCCCCUUUAUCAAACCCCACGACUCUGAAAGAACAAACAAGGUUAAAGAACCCAAUAAGUAACAAGUCGAGAAAGAGUAUAGGCAAAAAAUAAACGACCUGGGGUGACAAAAUGUGUUGGAAGGUAAAUAUCACCACCCAACGAAUGAGCUGCUGGACACUAAGCUCCUCCAGCAAAGAAGAAUUUGUUCUUCCAAUUUUUGCACGAGGAGGGGAAGCCGGUGAUUGGUUUCCUCUUCGCAGAGCUUGACAUGAAGUAAUACCAGCUUGCUUCCUUCGGGCUACUCCUCAGCUGGUAUAGAUGCUUCACUUCAACGAGGGAGGGCUCCUCUGAUCCACACCUCUUCCACAACACAUAUAUAGCCGAGAGAACCCUCCACCCAUUGGGAUAUAGCUGACCUAGGGCCAGAUGCAUACCACCCAAUAUCUUAGCGAAAUAACGUUAAAGGGGCAGCCGAGCUCCUAAUUUGAAGCUCUCCAGGUGCAUCGUCACAUACCCCCGCGGAGGCCGACUAGGGACGUCACCUUUUCCUGGAACUACCAGGAGAAUCUCCGCAGGAAUGUCGUAAAGGUUCCUCAGCUUGAACAGAUCAGUUUGGGUGGUGACACAAGCUGUGUAGUCAAUAGGGUAAAAAUCCGCCUCUACCCUAUGACCAAGGUGCCUUCUCUGAGGAGGUCCGCUCGGUCCAGAGCUGCUCCCCUCACCAUCACCAACUCCUUCAAGGAUCCCAACCCCAUCAAAGCUGUGCUUCUCACCAGAGCCCGACGCAGGUCCACCUCUAUUCCCUACAAGCUCUAGUUCGGGGGAGGGAGAGACAACCAAAGGGCGUGGGUACUCAAGGGUAUCCCUGCCAUGGGAAGGACCUACACUACUGGAGGGACCUAAGAAAUCGGUGGGUAUUGGCACGUUGAGGCCCGAAUCCCCUGAUUCUUCCUCGCCCUCAUCAACAAUUAACUUUCUUUUCCGGUUUGACAUAUCGGAAUCCCAAAAGAAAGCAAAGAAAACUCGAAUGUACGGAUACAAAAGGGGGCAACACGGAACCCAAUCAACAACAACAAGAGAAGAGAUUAAAAGCAGUACCUGAGAUUAACUGGCCCUGAUAGCGCUGCCGUGACAGAGAAAAAACCAGCAAGUAGAAACUCCGGACGCAGGAAGUGUGAGUAAAGUUCAGAGAGGGGGCUGGUUAACGGUGGAGAAACGGAUAAACAAAGCAAUGAGGAUUUCAACCUAGGGAUUUGAAGUGAAAAGGGGAAAGAUAGAAGCAUUUAAGUGAUGAGGAUGCCAGCUCACUCACCACAUAUCGAGGGUGGAUAGCCCGUCGUUUCAAAUUUCAAAUACGAAGAGUCUGGUGAUGCCACGUCACUAACCGUUACAAGAGGCCAGGAUAGAUGUAAGCCCAGAUAUGCAAUGGACAUGUUCACUUAGGCCCAUGCUCAGGUCGGAGUCUCCCCAGAAGAAAAAUGGUACAUCAGGUCAGGCCCAUCCCAAUAAACAGAGGACCAGAUGAGAAGCUCCCCGGGUUGGUGAGAUUUGACCAUCAGUUUCUACUCUUAACUCAUUUCACUCGCCAGACCAGAAACUGGGGGACUGGUGUUGAGUACAUAAAAGCCCCAGGUCGGCCAUGCUACUAUUUCCACCCCGGCAUGGAUCACCUCAGCCAAAUGGUAUAAGCAGAACGCGGGAUAAACACGAGCCAACCAGAGACGAGUACCGGCCAGGGUAAUGUACCGACCAGAAUCAUAUACCGAGCCGACACCAAUUCCCCAAAAAAGCGGGAACAUGAUCCCACAGAAUCACUGUAGUUGCGCUUUUCCCAGAACCGUUGUGGGAGAUGCGAGAUCCCACGUUUGCCCACAAUGUAGCAGUUAAAAUCCCAUGAGAGGCUACCACUACCCGAGAAAGGGGGGGAUGAAGGGUGAGUGAAAACGUGGGACAGCGGCUAUAAAAGAAGAAGAAACCGAUUAAGAAGGGGAGAGAAAAAUUGAGAGAGGGAAAACGCUGCCAAAUUGCAAUCAGGCCAUUUUCUGACAAGACUCCGAAUAAUUUAGAAACCAUUUUUAGAUCUAAAUUGCACUGUUUUCCCGUAAACACCUUGAGCUAACUUAGGCAUCGGAGGGUUUUCGCCGGAAAAACCACCGUCGACUCUGAUCCGUUUUUGGUGAACGCAGGUUUAGUAAGAGAAAGGAGGGUGAUUCCAACCUCAGAGGUUCGAGCAACAGUCGAUAACGUAAACGUUGGUGAAAGAAUCUGGUCGGUCAAAAGGCGAGCAGAUUUAAGCAUCAACAUAAUAAUUUUGAUAAAAUUAGAAAAGAUAUAAUAAUUUUUUUAUUAUAUAAGUGUAAAAUCAAAUCAUCUUAACUUCUAAACUACAACAACUAUAACAUUUGAACUAUUCAAUCUCAAUUCCUAAUAGACUCUUAAUUUAUAAUUAGAUUGUCACUAAAAGAUUUUAAGUAUGUAUUUUAGAAUUUAACGAAUACACUUUUAAACUACCUUUGCCGGAUGAAAUGUUGGGAAAUUUUUAUUAAGAUCCAAAAGUAUUUGAAAUAAAUUUAUGUUUUUAUGAUGCCAAAAAAAAUAAAAAAUUAUGAACAUUUUUGUGAAGCUUAGGCGAAAAUUUUUGUUAGGCUCUAUUGGGCUAGAUGAGCAGCUCGGGCAGUUAAUUGUCGCCCAAGAAGCCCAACCCAGAUUACAACAAGCUGGGAUUUAGUUAGCUCGUUGACGGCCAUUUGGGUAUGCAUGAAUUGGGUGGAUGAUUAAUAAAUACGUUUUAUUAAUUAUUUCGCCGAUUGGGAUAUUCUCCUAAUUUAAUCUUUUCUAAUAUUAUAAUAAAGAGAUUUUGACAUGUGUAAUACAUGUGUUAUUUUAAUAAUCCAAUAGAUAAUAUCUACUUUAUUUUUAUCUUUCGUUAUUAAAUACAAAAACACUAAUAAAAAAAAAAUGACUUAACUCUUUUUAUAUUUUUAAUUUUUAUUUAUUUCCUUUUAUUGCUUUCCUAGCAAUGUUCAUCUUUUUACUAUACAACAUCCAUAACCUUAACUUUGGAAAUAAAAGAGAAUAUGUGAAAGUAUAAGUAGGAGAAAGACUUCAUUGAAAUCAAACAAAUUGGGCAACGUUAGAUUUUUCUUUAAAAUUCUCAUGAGAUAUUAAUUAGUAGUAUUAUCACUGCUGCCUGCCUAUUUCUAACCUCAACCAAUAUAUGAUCAAUGCUUGAUUUGGUCAAUCUAAAUAAUUAUGAUCGAUGAUUGGAUAUUGUUGAAGGGCGGCCCUAAGGAUGAGAGAGGGGAAUGCGUGUGCAAGCCACAUGUGUGAAGAAAAAGAAAAAGGCAAGAGUGAAGAUGACGACGAUUAAAAUCUUGUUUGAUUUCUUUUUCUGAUAAUUUUGUUAAUCUGCUGUUGUUAGUUCCAAAAUUUUAGUUAGCAACAAAAUGACAUGUUUUUGUGUUUAAUAAGGAAAAAGUAAAUAAUAUAUUUUCUAUAGGAUUCUUAGAAUGGAUUAGAUUAGACUACGGAGAGAAAUAUAUUUGAGAAUAUUAGUGUUGAGUUAUUCUAAUGUCUUUAAUAGUAAAUUCAAUUAAGACUAUUUUAGUAAUAUAUUUUUUUUAUUGAAAUUAGAGUGUUCAAAGUUAUAAAUAAAAAAUUCAAUAAUUUUUUAUUGAAUUUAUAUAACUCUGGAUUCUUUUUUUUUUUUUCCAACACUGAUAUGGUUCUGUUCUGUGUAUUUAUAUACAAUUUAAUGUUUACAUACAAAUUAAAUAAGAUCAAUUUAAUGUUUAUAUACAAUCCUUCAAGUCGUAACUCAAUUUUAUGGAGGUUUAUACAUCUGCACGCAUUCCUUGAAUUUCUCCUAGAUUGGAACUUCUUAAUUGAUCCAAUGCAUUUUUCCAACAGUCAAGAUCCUUAGUUGUCAGAGCAUUUGCAAUCGUACUCAGUGCACCAGGCAAACCUCCGCAUCUUUCAACGAUCGAGGAGUAUUUUUGUUGAAUCACCGACUAUAUUCUCAAAUAACUGCAAUGCUUCUUUUUUUGAUAACGCAUCGAUCGAGGAAUUUUUCUGAGAUUUCAUAUCAUUGCACAAUAAUAAAUCUCGACUUCUAGACGUCAAUAUUAUUUUGCAUUGUCUCUGAUCGUCAACAUCCCCGGAAGUUAAUGAACGGAAUUCUUUUAUCCUUUCUAUCUUUCUCAUCAACAUCCCCGGAAGUAACCACAUCGAACAACUUAUCUUCCCUCACUUGCUUUGCAACAUCUUGGAAUACUUUCAUUCUGGAAUCAAAGGCUACGUAAUCUUUCACUUGCACGUACUCUGUACUCUCUGGAGCAGGACGGUAGGAAACAUGAUUACAGAUGUUAAAUUCGCCUUUUUUCACAAGUUUAUCAGCUUCGUUUGCGGCCUCUGCUGCUUGUUUACCAAGCUUGUAACGAGAAAUCAAAUUUGGGCACAACCCUUUGAAGCAGAACAUCUUAGCUCUAUCUUUAUCAUCAAUCAUGGAUUUUGCAACCCCUUCACUGAAUUCAGCAACUCUAUUUAGCCAGUCUCAGACACCCUUAUAAAUCUCAUCUCCUUGUAGAGUAGCCUCUCUAACCAGCGUUUUCACCCUUUCUCUUAUAUAUUCCAGCUCCUUCACUCAAUCUUUUAGCCCAUCUAUGUAGCUUUGGUAUUCGAACACAUAAGAUAUGUGCCGCAUAAUCGGUUCGAAUAAUGCUUUUGAACCUUGUGAUACAAUGCUGGAAAAAGCAGGGAGACACCCUUCAACAGCCAUUGCCUGUUGCUUAACAAUAUAUAUAUAUAAAUACAAGUGUCAAAGAAAGGAAUGCAAAUAAAUUAAAAUGAACUAGAGGGAAAGAUAGAGAAUGAAAAGAUCACAAACAAUAUGGCUAUAUUGAUCUUGAACCAACUAAUAACUAAAUAGAGAAUUUCUUUUUCUUUCUUAAGGAUAAGAGGUUUUACUAUUAACAAAAAGUUAUUUUGAGGGUCUGAAUAAAAAACCAACCAUAAAUUAUCAAAAGCUAGUAAAAACACAGACAUAAAUAAUGAACAAUUACUUAAGCAAAACAAACUAUGAAACAAAGAAAAUCUAAUAAAAUGACAAAGAAAGAAAGAAAGAAAAUACAACAAAAAGUAUUGAAGUAUUGAUCAUGAGCCAACUGAUAUUUAAACAGAUUUUUUUUUUAAUUUUUAGUCUUUUGCUAAAGGAUUAGAGUUUUUGCUAUUAACAGAAAUGUUUCAAAAAUCUAACACUACUAGAAAAGUAUUAAAUAAUGACAGAAAUUUGAUGACAUAUAUCGUUGUGUCACGAAUGUGUCAUAAAAAUAUGAUAGAUUCAUAAUAUAUAUUCAUAUGUCCAGAAUAUAUGACAUAUUCAUGACUUAUAAUUUAACCGUCCUAGAUAAAUGAUACAUAUAAGUCAUGCUUAGGUUUUGUGAACUUAUAAGAUUGUAAAACAGUGUUGUUUAAAUUAACGACACCGUUCUGUAUAACUUAAAACACAUCAACACUUACAGCCAAAUUUUGGCUAAGCGUUGAAUGAAUCCCUCUCUCUCCACUGGCCACUGCAACCUAAAAUGAAUGUUUAAAUUAACGACACCGUUGAAUUAAAGCCUAGCUCAAAUUCCUUUUUUCAAUCGAAAUAAAACGUAGCCACAAAACCCUAAUUCACCACACCAAAUUAUCUCUGCUCGGUAUUCAUUUAAACCCUACCUCGCGGUUCAAUGUCAUUCAAUACGAUUGCAGAUGCCGUUUCAACUUGUCAUUUAGUUAGCGCCAUCCAGUUCCCUAUGGUAAGCCUUAACCCUAACGCUAGUAAGAUUUGCUAAAAAUUUCAUAUUUUGUAUUGUUCCAGUUGAAUUUCAUGUUAAUUUAAUUCUUCUUUGCCUUCUUUUUUCUUCUUCUUUAUAGUCACGCUCUGGCUUUGGUGCUAUGCUUAGUGCAGUUUGUGGUUUCAAGAUUAAGUCAUGUUUAUUUGAUGGCAUCGAUUCCAUCGUUGAGGAUUGGAUUGUUGAUCAAAUGCACCUAGUAAGCUCUUCUUAUUUUAUCUCAGUUUCAAUUUUCUUUUAUUAUCUGCCUCUACCUAAAAAUGGACGUGUUUUACUAGUAAGCAUAGACUUUGUUUAUUUAAUUGAUAUUUUAAUUUUAUGUAUAAGAAUGGAGGUUUAUUUUGAAAAAAAAAAAAGGAAAUUAAAAAAUAGAUUCUGUUGAAGCUAAUUAGUACUGAAUUUUUUUGGUGGUGCGACCAGAGGUGGAAACAGGGUAUGAAAAUGUGUUACUGGUGAGGUUGCUGCUUAAGAUGAGAAUGCAUUCUUUUCAAAAAUCCUUGGUAGGUGUUAUCUAAUUAUCUUUGAUGGAAUAUCAAAUGGCUAAAAAUCUGUCAUACGUUCAAACUUUGUUUGUGUUUAGAAGAAUGGUGUUGACUGUAUAUUCGUUUGGAAGAAUGGUGUUGAUUGUAUAUUCAUUUGCUUAGCCUUUUGACAGAUGGAUUGUAUAAUUGUGUUUGCCUCACUGUUUUUUUUUUAUGAGAUCUAUAAUUGAUCUGGGGAUAUUACUUUCUAGUUCUCAUGCAAGCAAGUUACUACCUUCCCACUGCAUCUCGUCCUUUAUCUGCUAUUCAAGAGAUGCGUGCCAUAAUCUGGUGUUACCUCUGCAAGAUUGUGAAUGAAUAUAAUGCCUCUAAAUUUAUUUUAUACAUAAUGCUGAUGCUGAAUAAUAUAUUGUAGCUCCUGUCAUAUUCUACUUUGACUUUUUAUAUUCUGUUUCAUAUAAAAAUCUUAUUCAACUUUAGUUGUUCAUGAGCAAAUGUCGCAUGUAUAAGCCCAAAUGAUGUUUAAAGGUAGCGCGGCUACCUUUAGUUUGAGCUUACAAUGGAUGAAAAAGAAAUUGAAACUGUUUUUCUGAUUUUUCAAAGUAUUUUAGAUCCUGACUUUUGUUUGGACUUGAUGGUUAUAGAUUGUGUCUAGAUUUGUUAAGUUGUUUCCAACACCUCGUGCCAAAUGAAAGCACAAUCUUUCUGAUUCAGAUGUUUGGUUAAUUAUGCUUCAUUUUUUUGUUAAAGAUUGGAUGGUUGCAUGGAUUGAUGGAGUUGGAGUUCAACCAAUAAUUCUAAUUUUUUGGACUUAAAAUGCCUUUUUCUUCUGUAUAAAAACUUUAGUAAGUGCUAUUGAGUUGACAGAAGUUGAAUACUUACAGGUUGUUUCACACUUUUUAAUAGUUUUACAUAUAUGAAUUUCUGUUUUUUGAAUUGCAGAAAGGAGGUGGAACUAUUGAUUUGGAGCCUUAUCUUACUCACUCAUCGACAACGGAGCCUACCCUCGCUCCCAUGGCAGUGGAACGGACAACGACUACUAGGGCUGCAACAUCAGUUGGUUUGGGUCUGUUUUGAGUUUAUUUUCAUUUAUUUGGCUAUGUUUUGAUAGCGAAUUUUGAUAUGUCAAUAUAAUGUGUAAUUGUUUUGGGUUGAGCUGGUAUUUAUGCUGGAUUAGAUUGGUUUGGUUUUGGUGCUUCUCUGAUGGAACACUGCUUCUUUUAGAAAUUUUGAAUGUAAUAUGAGACUACAUUUAGUUUAAUUGAACACUGCAUCUAGUCUAAUUACUAGAAGUGUGGCAUUUGGUUUGGUUUAUCCGAUAUUCUCCAGAAUUUCACUUGCAUCUGGUUUUGUUGCAUAUGUUUGCUUGCAUUUGAUGGCAGUAGCAGACUGUUUGGUUUUGUGACAUUUGACGGCAGUUUGGUCUGUUCUUGGUGUUGAUUUAAGAUUGUUCCUGUUGUGCUGAUGUUAAUUGCAGGUGCUGGAAUCAGCUAGGGUUGCUGGUUUAUUCAGAUAGUUGACUCAGGCGUUGUUACUGGUUAAUUCAGGUGGCUGACUCAAGUUGUUCAUUUAAUGUUAGGAAGCAAAUUAAGAAUUAAUGAAGUAUUCAUUUAACUAUAAUUAUUGUAGUUAUUUUAUUUCAUAACUGAAUUAUAAUCUAUGGUACUUGUGAACAAAUUAGAGAAUUUUUAUAUAUGAAUUAUAUAUAUGUGUGUGUAUGUACAUUUUGCUAUUUAUGUAAUAAUUUAAAGAAUAUAUUUCAAUUCCCACAAAAAAAAUGGCUCCAAUUUCAAUAAUUCCCGCCAAAUAAUUAAUUUUUUUUUAAUUUACCACUAAAAUAUAUCUUAAAGAAAUUUUAGUUAUUCUUGCUAGAUUUAACAAAAAUAAUUUGUAGGAUUAACAUUUAAUUAAAAUAAUUAAAAAAUUUUAUUAUUCCAAUUAAAAAUGUCAUGUUUAUACGAUAGACAAUAUUCAUGAAUGGGAAGUAUUAGUUACAUAUUUUUCCUUGGGAUUUCAGGCAAAUGAAAAAAAGAUUGAGAAUGAUUUCAAGAGGACAGGUGGAUGAUAAGUAUUCAUUUUUGUAUAUUUGGCUAGUGGAUUUUUAUGGUAUUGAUCUUUUUUUAAAAAAAAAAAAAAAUUUCAAUUAGUUGCAGCCCUAGAGGAAGAGCAGGCUGAUCAAAUUGAUUUGUCUUGUUUUUCGGGCAAUCUACGACACGAUGACUGUGAUAAUGCUCGUGACUGCUGGAAACUUUCUGAUGGAAAUAACUUUAGAGUUCGUAGCAAGCAUUUUUGUUAUGACAAAACAAAGGUUCCCCCAUAUUUUGUUUGUUUGUUAUGGUAUUUAUAUAUCCUGCAUAGGCUAGGUAGACAGGUUAUGAUGUAGUUUGGUUGGCUCUUCUUGUGCUUGUGCAAUUUGUAACUGCAGAUACCUGCGGGAAAACAUUUAAUGGAUCUUGUUGCUGUUGAUUGGUUCAAAGACACAAAGAGAAUGGACCAUGUAGCUAGGCGUCAAGGCUGUGCUGCACAAGUAACUAUUCUUUUCUUUUUAUUUUUCCUUUUCCAUUGAUGCAUUAGGAGAAAAUACUGCCUGUGAGAUACUACAAUGUAAAUAACUUCUCAUGGUUCAUUGAAUCUAUAACACACUGACCCUCUUCUAAAAAAUGUAGGUUGCUUCUGAAAAAGGGCUUUUCUCACUGAUCUUUAAUCUUCAAGUAAGUUUGUUUCAUUUCAGAAGGUAUUAAGUUUCAAACUUAUUGUAUUGGGAGGUUGUAUAGUUGUAACCUAAGCAUCUGCAGGUUCCUGGAUCAACACAUUAUAGUAUGGUAUUUUAAUUAGUCGCAAGGCAAUUGGUUGUGGGAUCACUUUUGCAACGGUUUGUUGAUGGCGAUGAUGAGUUUCGCAAUAGUAGGUUGAAAUUUAUUCCAUCUGUUCCUAAGGUAUCCAUCUUGGCCUUCAUGUAUUAGGACUAUAUUAACGUAUACUAACCCUUUACUGCAUGGUACACUUCAAUUUGUCCAAAGAAGGCAUGCAUUUAGGUGUAAAUGUAUUGAUGGGUUGUACCUUCAAACUUCGUGUCCAUUUUUACCCUCUUGAAUUUGUUUUGCACUUGUUCUUGAUUUUAAGCACUGAAUCAUGCAGGGGUCAUGGAUGGUGCGCCAAGAGUGUUGGAAGCACCCCUUGUUCAUUAGUGAAAGUGGUUGAUUGUAACUACAGAUGAAUUGUUCCCCUUUCAAAUAGCGUCCGAUACCAUUAACAUGGUUUAACAUUGUUCAUCUUUCUGUAGAUUAAUGUUGACAUCGGUUCUUCUACUGUUGCUAAUGGAGUUUUGGGCCUUGUAAUUGGUGUAAUUGCGACAUUGGUGGUUGACAUGGCUUUCCUUGUACAGGUAUGUAUGAUUGUUUUUUUCCCCCACUUCUAAAUGGACACAAGGGAAAAGACAUGAUUUUGAGAUAUUGCACUGCAAUUUGCAUUUUUGCAUACUUGAAUGUUCUCAGAAUGGUAUAAUGCUUCGUGUGUGUCUUCUUUAUCUUGCUCUUCUGUAUGCAGGCAAAUACUACAGAUGAAUUACCGGAGCGGCUGAUUGGUGCUGUACGUGUUUCUCAUAUAGAACUCAAGUCUGCUGUUGUCCCAAAGUUGGAACCAGAGAUAUCAUGACUCUGGUUUCAUUUCACCUCAACUGUGUUUUUUUUUUAAUUAAAAAAAUCAUUUGUUUUAGGUAUACAUACAUGUAUUUUGAUUCUAUUUUCAUUGUAAUUUCUCAUUUACUUUGAAUGAAAGUCAUUGGUGUUUUCGAAUGGGAAUUUUGCAUUAAAAAAUGAAGAAUAGUGAUUUUUGGAGUGUAAUUAGUAGUAAAGUUGGUUUCUACUCGCAAACAAGUGAACUGCUCGAUUCCCGAGUGGUAUCAACCAGUUUCCAACUUUUUAAUAUACACUAAUUGUUAUUGUUUAAUAGCUACUACUAUUAAAACUCGACAGCUAACAAAAAUACUUAAAAAAAACGAUUUUUCUUAUGAUGCUGUGAAAAAAAUUACGGGUUUACUUCUUUCCACGAGAUCUAUAACAUGGUCUUGACUUCACGAAAUUCUUUUAAUUUAAAGCGUGCUGGUGUGAGAAGGUCAGUUUGACUGAUUAAUUCUUUUUAACAGUGGUCGAGAUAAUUUUACUAUACUCAAAAAUAUUCUUAUUCUGAUAAUGCCACAAAUGUUAUGUUGUUUUCUUAGGCUAAGGAUCUUCUAUCAGGAGAGGUUAGAAAUUAAAUGCUUAAAAGAGAAUAAUACAGAAAUUUAGACAGAAUCUAAUCGAAUAUUGCAUGAAACAUGAAACAUCAAUUCAAGUCCUUUCUUUAAACAGAGAAUGCAUCAAACAAAAUCCAAAGUGUCUUGCACGUCUGUAGCAUGAGCAAAAAAUUGUAAAUAUGUAGAACCAAAUUAUUCAAGUAUAGAAGAACGAGCAAGCUAAAUCAUGUAUAAGAGAUUGGCCUGGUUCGAGAUAGCUUCUUCACUGUACCUGAAGGGUUGGCUCAAUAUCUUCUUUAGAAUUCUGCACAUUUUGUAAUUACUCGUGUAAGCAAGCAUACAUUGCCACCAUAAGAAUAAUAAAGCUAGAGUAAUGAUAGGACCACCACCUCUUGUGCACAAACAAUAUUGUAUAAACUAAUGCGAGAUAAUAUGAUUGGUUAAAUAAAAACAUUAUAUGGUCCUCAUAAUUUAUUUAUUUAUUUAUUAUUAUUAUUAUUAUUAUUAUUAUUAUUAUUAUUAUUAUUAUUAUUAUUAUUAUUAUAUAUUUUCAGUCAACCAAUCAUAUUAUAUCACAUUAGUUUCUAUAAAAUAAUUUACUAAAUAGCACCAAAACUUAAUUGAUACUCACCAUUUCAUUGAACAAUUUUUUUAUGGUGUCAUUGAGGUUGCCUUCCCAACAUGCUUCAUCAUCAUCAUCUUCUUCAUCCUGAUCAUCCUUUUCUUCUUCGGUGACGUUCACUUUGUUUAGCAUUGGUGUGUCUAAGACUCCUUGAGAGAAGAUCUUCAUUUUUGGACACUGUCUCACAACUACUUGUUUCAAGGACGGGAAUUCAAGAGCGUAAUUACCCAAACUAAAGCUUGUUAGGCUUGGCAAACAAUCAAGUGUCAAGUACUCCAAUUCCCUGAAAACAAUGCAGUCUUUCGCUUCUUCUCCAACCUGCGAUUGUAUGAUUUCUUCUAUCAUUUUGCAAUCAGCUAUCUUCAUUCUUUGAAGAUUCACUAGACUUUCAGAUGUCGAGAAUGUCAACACAUUUAUCAACCCGUGACAUUUUGAUACUUUCAAAGCCUCAAGAUUUUCCAAAUGCCACGAAGGUGGUACUAAUUUUUGCAACUUACUACAUUCCGAUAUUUUUAGACUUUCCAAAUUUGCAAAUACUUUGUUGGAUUCGGCAUUUUCCUUCCAGAGAUGCUGCACUUUGUGUAAUCUAGACAGCCUUAACUUCCUCAAUUU
This 426616-nucleotide long non-coding RNA is filed under the name Citrus x clementina. Its description in RNAcentral is "Citrus clementina (C. clementina) long non-coding RNA (CCLE_LNC002784)". The stretch from base 386305 to 386388 matches the Rfam family "tRNA". The record is from RNAcentral. Lineage: Eukaryota; Viridiplantae; Streptophyta; Magnoliopsida; Sapindales; Rutaceae.